GGGAUGUGCUUUUGGGCUUGGGUGGCCUUUAUGGCGCCUCAAACCUCAUCAUCAACCCUUUUGCCAUGGCAGCUCCUAUAGCCGCCCCAGAAAUCUCCAAAUGCGGUCCACCGGCGGACUUACCUCCAGGAGCAGUUGUCACUGACAAUUGCUGUCCGCCGGUGCCCGGCAAAGUCAUUGACUACAAACUCCCUCCACCACCUAAGGUGAACCGUUUUAGGCCAGCUGCUCAUUUGGUCAAGAAAGACUAUAUUGAAAAACUUAACAAGGCGGUCGAGCUCAUGAAAGCUCUGCCAGCUGAUGAUCCCCGUAAUUUUACCCAACAAGCAAAUGUUCAUUGCGCUUAUUGCAAUGGUGCCUACGUCCAACCAGGCUCUGAUCAAGAAAUUUCAGUCCAUUACUCGUGGUUAUUCUUCCCUUUUCAUAGAUGGUAUUUGUACUUCUAUGAAAGAAUCUUGGGAAAGCUAAUAGGCGAUCCCAGUUUUGGACUGCCCUUUUGGAACUGGGACAACAUUGGUGGCAUGACCAUACCGUCCAUAUUUAUGGACCAAUCGUCAGCAUUGUAUAACGAAAAUCGUAACCAAAGUCAUCUGCCACCAACGGUCGUGGACUUGGGGUAUAAUGGUACGGAUAGAGAUGCAACAUGCACAGAAAGGAUAGAAAACAAUUUGGCGAUCAUGUACCGUCAAAUGGUCUCUAAUGCCACCACUGGCAGAGAUUUCUUUGGAAAGGAAUACCGGGCCGGCGAUGAGCCCAAUGCCUUUGCUGGCGCAGGGUCCAUCGAGGCCAGUCCCCAUAUUCCACUCCACAGGUGGGUCGGCGAUCCAAGGCAGCCAAAUGGUGAAGAUUUGGGUAAUUUCUACUCAGCUGGAAGAGAUGUUCUGUUCUAUAGCCAUCAUGCAAAUGUGGACCGGAUGUGGACAAUUUGGCAACAAUUGGGAGGUAAAAGGAAGGAGGUCCCCGAUCCAGAUUGGCUGAAUUCUUCCUUCAUUUUCUACGAUGAAAAUGCUCAGCCUGUCCGCGUGAAAGUUCGUGAUUCUUUUAGUAAUGAUAGAAUGGGAUAUAUUUACGAAAAGGUGGAUAUUCCCUGGCUUAAGAAUAAGCCUGUGCCCCGCGUGAGAAAAUCUAGAGUGGCUUUCACUUCCGGGGCACCACCAGCCGAUAAGGUCUUCCCUGGACCCCUUAACAAGAUCGUGAAAGUGUUGGUCAAGAGGCCCAAAUUAUCAAGAAGCAAGAGGCAAAAGGAGGAAGAGGAAGAGAGAUUGGUGGUGUACGGGAUCGAGUUUUCCAUGGACAAGUAUGUUAAGUUUGAUGUUUUCAUUAAUGAUGAAGAUGAUAAUCCAAACGAUUUUGCUAAGUCCGAGUACGUUGGGAGCUUUGCAAAUUUGCCACACAAGGUUAAAAGUGGCAUGAAAGCUAAGACUACUCAAACCUUUGAGUUGACUGAGAUUUUGGAGGACUUGGAUGUCGAAGACGACGAUGCCCUGUUGGUGACUUUGGUGCCAAAUACCGCUCUUACCAUUGAUGGCAUCAAGAUUGAGGUUGCUACUUGAUUCGCCUGCUAGUACUUUUUUUUUUUUUCUCUCCUCCCUGGGAAAAAAUCUGGCAUUGGAUUUCAUUGAAUGCUUUGAUUUUGACCUAUGCAUGCAUGUUUCAGCGUGAUGAAUAAAAUGCUUCUGGUGUGCUUGUUACUACUUAAUAAAAAUAUAUUUCAGGUUCUUGUUUUCUUGAUACCUUUCUGACAACACCCCUUUGGUUUUUCUUUUUGAAAAGUUUAAUUUACAUUAAAGUUUAAGAUCUUGUGACGCUAUCUAUCUAACUUUCUCCACUCAAAAAAAAAAAGGAAAAGAAGAAGACAAUUCUUCCUCAAUCAAAAUUAAAUUUUUCUGUGCGUAUCCAAAAGGAAAACAAAAGUAAUCCUCAACUCCCACGUUUGGCAAGGCUUACAAGUGUUAGCUUCCGAUUCGCCAUUUCAAGUAGUCAGAUAGACUAUACAUUAAUUUACCAAAAUAUAGGAGAGUAUUUUUUAUUUUUUUUUUGAAAAAGAAUAUAGGAGAGGUUACAAAAAGUAAGGGAAUUCUACAAUAAUGAUCCUUGCUUUUUGUGUGUUGAGGAAAGAGGUGAUUUCUUAAAUUUGUGCGAUCCCACCUUUCAUUUCGUAUGCAACUUUUUCGUAUACCACUUUUGAUUUCAUGUGCAACUUUAUUAAUUUGUGAAGACAGAACUUUAUAUUCUCCCACUUUCACAAUCAAUACAUAAUAAUAUCUGCAGCACAUGUGAAAGCUUGAUCAACAACAAAGGAAUUGAUUAGUUUCUAGCUCAAGUUGCCUAAUGAUUCAUAGGAAUGAAAGUUAAAAGGGCUUGACCCCGGCUCCUAUUUUUUAAUGUACAUUUACUUUAUAGGAAUAGGGUAAUAAUAUGCCAACCUACCCAAAGUUUCACGACCACGACAUGGAUCUCCCCUUGAAUUCUUGGAAGUGUAAUUUAGUGUUAAGUGUAUAAUAUGAGCUGUUAUACAUUUUUUAAUUUGACUAUCUAUAUUUUUUUCUUAAAAUUCUAAGGGCGUUCUUGUUCUAGUGAGUGAGCAUCCACUUCUUAAAUACUAACAUCUUCCUUGUGUGCAACUGCUUCUUGUAAAACGAUCUAAGUGCCUUUGAAAUUUUUGGUCCGACUCUUAAAUUCUUGUUUUUUUCGCUUUUCCCUUAUAAUGCUUGAAAUUUUCUUUGAACAAUUAAAAGAAAAGUUGAAUAAGGACAGAUACAGAUUAAUAUAACUUUAUAUAAGUGAAUUCUCUAUUCCUUUCCCCCUCCCUACUUUUGAAGUUCUUGUAGAUUUAUUACCAUUCGAAAUAUUUGACAAACUUGGCUCUCUCACUCUGCAUUAAAUAGCUAUCGGUCAAAUUUACCAGGUUCGGAUAUAUUGCAGUCUUGUGGGACCAAGACCGACCAAUAAUUUGAUAUCGUCAGAAAUGCCUGUCGAGAAUUUAAUAUGAGUAGGAGGGAAUCACCGCGCAUCGCGCAGUGUUAAUUUCAUGUUGCCCAAAUAAUACCCAAAUUCAUAAGUGGAGAUAUCAUGAUUUGGAUGCAUUGCAUUUAAGUUAUUUCGUUAUAAAAUGAUUAAACUUUUAAAUAAGCGAAAGCGUGAGCAAAUAAAUGGGUAACUUUUCUCGAUUUCCAAUUGCUAUGCAUGUUUAGCUAAUCCUUAUCCCUUCUCACCAUUUCAAAUUUANNNNNNNNNNNNNNNNNNNNNNNNNNNNNNNNNNNNNNNNNNNNNNNNNNNNNNNNNNNNNNNNNNNNNNNNNNNNNNNNNNNNNNNNNNNNNNNNNNNNNNNNNNNNNNNNNNNNNNNNNNNNNNNNNNNNNNNNNNNNNNNNNNNNNNNNNNNNNNNNNNNNNNNNNNNNNNNNNNNNNNNNNNNNNNNNNNNNNNNNNNNNNNNNNNNNNNNNNNNNNNNNNNNNNNNNNNNNNNNNNNNNNNNNNNNNNNNNNNNNNNNNNNNNNNNNNNNNNNNNNNNNNNNNNNNNNNNNNNNNNNNNNNNNNNNNNNNNNNNNNNNNNNNNNNNNNNNNNNNNNNNNNNNNNNNNNNNNNNNNNNNNNNNNNNNNNNNNNNNNNNNNNNNNNNNNNNNNNNNNNNNNNNNNNNNNNNNNNNNNNNNNNNNNNNNNNNNNNNNNNNNNNNNNNNNNNNNNNNNNNNNNNNNNNNNNNNNNNNNNNNNNNNNNNNNNNNNNNNNNNNNNNNNNNNNNNNNNNNNNNNNNNNNNNNNNNNNNNNNNNNNNNNNNNNNNNNNNNNNNNNNNNNNNNNNNNNNNNNNNNNNNNNNNNNNNNNNNNNNNNNNNNNNNNNNNNNNNNNNNNNNNNNNNNNNNNNNNNNNNNNNNNNNNNNNNNNNNNNNNNNNNNNNNNNNNNNNNNNNNNNNNNNNNNNNNNNNNNNNNNNNNNNNNNNNNNNNNNNNNNNNNNNNNNNNNNNNNNNNNNNNNNNNNNNNNNNNNNNNNNNNNNNNNNNNNNNNNNNNNNNNNNNNNNNNNNNNNNNNNNNNNNNNNNNNNNNNNNNNNNNNNNNNNNNNNNNNNNNNNNNNNNNNNNNNNNNNNNNNNNNNNNNNNNNNNNNNNNNNNNNNNNNNNNNNNNNNNNNNNNNNNNNNNNNNNNNNNNNNNNNNNNNNNNNNNNNNNNNNNNNNNNNNNNNNNNNNNNNNNNNNNNNNNNNNNNNNNNNNNNNNNNNNNNNNNNNNNNNNNGUAACGUUUCAUGCAAUCAUUAAAGAAUAGUAGUAGGAAGCAGGCCAGUAAUGACAGAUACCAUCAUCUGCAGCCAUGUCAAGAAAUGCCUGCAACUUUAGGGCUUUCUGAUAGUACAUCAUCCCCCGAACUGCAACGUGUAUAUGAGAAAACUUAGAAGUAAACUGUAAUAGUUUUUAAUUUUUAUUAUUCAGAAAACAGACACCAGUUUCCUAAGAAUAAAAUGGCACCACAAACCUGUUCGGCAUAGAGUUUGCCCUCGAAAAGAAGCCCAAUUUCUAAGAUCCUCCUCAUUUAUUUCAUCAUUUGAUGCAUUAAGGUUUUCAGUUCCAACACGUUCCAAAAAGUUUUCCCACUCAUCUGAGAGACAAUGAUAAAAGGAGAGUUGAGUAAUCUGGACAUGCUUUAAAAUAUUAACUUUCCAAUACUGCUGAAAAGGAAAAGAAGAAUAUAUAAAUCACAGCCUUAAGAGGUCCUGCAUGCAGUAACCUGGGAAUAUCUUCUGCAUAUAAAAGAGGAUUGAAACGCCUUCUUUGUUAGAAUGAAGCUCUUCUGAUGAAUAUUUCACAUCCUCCAUGUAGUGAGGAGUCAGAACACUGUUUAAACAAAAGCCUCCAGGUCAGGACAAACUAUAGGUAUCACAAUAUCUUCAGAUAAUAAUUAGCAAUAAUAGUAUGUCAUGGAAUUCAAUAACUAUAAUGCUGUCUCUUUUGUUGUCAAGUGGUUUAGUAAUUAGAAACUCUACUAUUAAAUCAGAAGAGUGCCUGGCAAUAAUACUUCCAGAAAACCACCCUUAUGUUUGACCUGAAAGAUAACAUGUUGCGCACUUUUGGUGCUCUCGGCAUAUCCAUAAACAAAGAAGUUGCAAAAAAUGAAAUCCGUCUUUGAGCUUCCAAGUUUGAUGGUAUGUCCAUGGCUUUAUCUCUUGUGGUAAGCAGCAAAAGAAAACGCUUGAUCUGACCCCAAAAACAAAAAAAAAUCAGCUCUGCAAUAUUUAUAAGUUUAAUAAUGUAAAGGAACCAUGUAUUUGCUGUUCAUGAAACAUGUAUCAUCGAAAGUUAAGAUAUGCACCUUGUCCACUAUAAGGCCACUAUCUGGCAGUGGAAAAUGGAUAGAACGAGCCGAAGCAAAUAAUUGUGGUUCUAUGUGCGUGAAAAGUUCAGAAUCAUCUCCAUCACGAUGAGCAUAAAGAGAAUCCAAUGUUCUGGAACAUUUAGGCUGAUAUCAACAUAAUUGAUUUCAAUGCAUGUUAGGUAACCAAAGAAAUCCUUCUUCCAGCUUACCUACAUCCCUUCAGCAUCAGAUCACUGGUAACAAUUUCAAAUAUAUCUUGCAGUGCUUUCACAACAUUACAGUACUGUUCUUCAUUUCCUUCAACCUUAAUGAAGAAAAGGUAUCAACUAGAAGGAGUUGGAUAGGUGUCAUGCUGAAAAAUGAAGAGAAACCAUUCGAGAUUUGUGUGCAACAUUUUACCAGUAGUUCGAGUAAUUCAACACAUUUAGUAUGUAGAGCUGGUAAUUCACUCAUGUUCAAGUCCUCAAGAAGUGUUGAGCACCCUAUACUUCCCUCGAUUUCAUCCAAUAUUCCAGAUAUAAUCCUGAAUGACCAACCGUACAAGAUAAAUGAGUAUUCAAAUUUUGUUAUUAAAACAUGCAGGGAAACUAUAGGGCAUAUAAUGAAAAAUAGAUACUGCGAUGGAUCAUUAGAUUUGUUUAUGGCAUCAAUUCAUUCUACUUACUCUACCUUUGUUCAAAAUCCCCAACUACAAGGAUUUCAAGAACGUACUUCAGCGAGUCGUAACAUUCAGUUACUACCAAGUACAUGUAGUCAUCUCUUUUAAUCUUUCUCAAAAGAUCAGCAUCCUUUCCUGAAAAAUCUCUUGCAAUACUCAAUGCAGUUGAGAACUGCAUAGAAAGACCACAACUGAGAGAUUUUUGAAAACAGCACUCGGGAUCAUCAAGAAAUGCAGGAAACAAUACCUUAUUUGCCAGAAGGAAAACAGGCCAACGAAUCUGGCCUGAGAACAGUUCUGAUGACAAAGGCAUUUUCAUCAAAUGCAUUUCCCUGAGUUUUGAAUAUACCAGCAUUAGUUUUCUACUAUACCUUCAUGGUCAAAGAAGAAUCUGAUAUGCUUACACACCUGUUACUUAUGAGGUCCUCUUCACGAAAGCUACUAAUAAUUUGGUUCCAUACGACAACGAAUUUCACAAUACUGUUCUUUUCGAAAGCCUGAAAGUUCAUAAAUUAUCUAGAAUGGAAGCAAGGAAGUCUUAGAAUUAAUAAUAACUAUAUCAUGAAAUAGAUUAGUCCAUACCUUUUCUCUCAGGCAGAGGAACCACUUACUGAUUCCUUCCUUGUUAUCUUUCUCCUUGUGUGGUAUAAGAUAUGCACUGAAUGCAUCUGGCAAAGAGUGAAAUCUAAUUCUCAGCAUUCCCAGUGUCCUAAUCUGCAGAACAUGAUGAGUGAGAACAUCUUCAUACUAACUCUCAGCGAGCAAGAGACAUAUCCUACCUCACCAAGAUGGUGAAGAAUUCCAUAAACUCCACCAAAUAUGGAACAAUAGACAGAGUACCAUAUUUGUGCAUCCAUGAAAUAGACCUGAAAACAUUAGAUAACUAAUUAUUCAUAUAAUGACAAACAAAAUUCUACAUUAGCAAACAAUACUUAUUGCGGAAAAUCAUUUAUUAACCCACAUCAGGGACUAAGAGAUUCAUAAAUACUAAAUAGGGAAGCAUUAAAACAUUUUUCCUAUGCUAGACAUGUUGUCAUACAGAGGAUACUCAAUGCUUUAAGUGUAAGGGAUCAUGUACAAUAGAAUUUAAUCUUACAAGUAUAAUAGGAGCCCAAAUAGCAGCAAUUGCACCAGCAUUACUCUUGACUGAAUCAAUAAACACAAUGUCAGAUUUUUCCAGUUCCUUAUAUAACCACCUAAUAUUGAAGGGAUAUAUCAAUAGACAAUUACCUUUGGGAAAGAGCUCAUGCCAAUCAUAGUUCUUUAUGCCAAUCCUCAUGAUCUGUCUAGUGGGUGAUAUAAGAGGUUUAAUCUGGACAGUCGGGAAGAAAUUAAUACUCCCACCAUUGCACUUGCAAGGAUUUAUAGUUUGACUCUUUUCGUUAAACUGACUCUUUCACCAAUUAACAAUUUGUAAUCAUUCACUUACAGAAAUUUUUAAUUGUUUCAGCACAAGAAAAUUUCAAUUGCGAAAAUGGAGGAAAAACAUUCAAAUGCUUACAAGAAUUCUAGCUGGAAGACUUUAAAAAGAAUCAUACCAACUUUAUGAGUGCAAAAAAAUGAAAGUAGGUGGUAACACUAAGUGGCCAAAAAUUUCCAAAAGACAUGGAAAGACAUUAAGACAACAUAAUCCCUUGCAAUCAUUAACAUAUUGCAAUAAUUAAACUUAGUGUUACUACAUCCUGAUUGUUCCACUUGAAAAAUGAGAUGGCUGAAGAAAGAACUCUUGAAUUAUAAUGAAACAAGUAUUGAGAAAAUGCAGAAAGUAAAAGACUGACCUCAAAUUGGUAACUGAAUAUGAACUUGCUUAGCAUUAGAAGCACCCAAAACAUAGUAUACCUAAAUGCAACACAAGGGAUGCACACCUCAGAAAUCCAUCAUAGGGAACGUCAAUAGAUAAUGGAAAAGUUCUGAGUAAGGGAAAAUAGAUACUUGAACUGGGAAAGUUGGGUCUCUUGCAUUCCACGUCCAACGUACAACCUAGGCUGAGUGAUGCAAAAAUUCAGAGGAUAAAAAAUCAGCCUAACAAACAAACAUUCCAAAGGAUGAAGACAAGUUGUACAGGAUGAUCAAGCAAACAUGGGAUAUAGGAAUUUAUUUCAAUGAAACUGAAUGGAUAAAGGCUUAACUUCAUGGGAACUCCCAAUAACAAUGUCAAUCUUAAUAACCCUACAACUCAAGAAAUAUCAGAUGAUUUAUGCCCAUCUUGCGCCCAGUCAAGUACUGAUUUCCUGGCUGUCUCCUGUUACAAUACAAAAUCUUAUGCUCCCCUCUGUCCCACUAAGGUUGUUAUUCUAGUGAAUGGCAUGGUACAUGAGAAACUGAUUUUUUCUUUUCCAUCAUUUCCACAUAUUACAACUGAUAUAUGAAGUCAUACCUGUCUCCACCAUGACAACAUUGUGCAUAUUCGAGAGUUUGAGGUCUCAAUAUACUUCCCAACCACAGGCACAAGGAAUAGGACCAUAUCAAAUGCAUUAGUCAUCAAAUAGAAUGCAACUGCGACCAUAUAGGAGGAAUAGCACCACUCUCCAAGCCAGCUCUGGCUCUGUGUAGAAUAACAAGUAUAUUUCCCUCUAUGAUUGAUAUAAUAUAUAGGUAGUGUGAUAGUCCAUAUCAUUGGGACCAACACCUUCAGCACAUUUCUUCUGAUUUUAUAGGAAUCGAUUGUGUUCCUUGCUUUCCAUGUGAAGACAAUGUCAAGAAUAGCUGCAAGACAAAUUAUUUCAGUUUAUGACAACUCAAAAUUUGUAUCCUGGAAUUUUGAGAAUUCACUCUGAAUAUCUUCAUCAGGUUCAAUUGAAACAAUGAACAUAAGAUACAUGCUGAUGAAACAGAAAAGAAAAAAAGGACACACAACAAUCGCGAAAUAUCAUGUUGUUCAUGUGUCAAGCAAGAAGCUGUGGUACUUUAGUGGUAAGAAUUUUUUCCUGCCCUGAUUUUUCUAUAGCUUUCUGAGUUUCUGUCCGUUGUAAAUGCAUUUUGAGUCUUGCGACAUUAACUAACAAAAUUUCACCAUAUCUUCCAAAAGUAAUGAACCUCGUAUAAGUUUGAGAGCUGCUGAUGUGAUGAAGAUGCUCAUUACGUCCUCAAGAACUGUUGCGUCAAACACUUCAAGUGGAGAUUCUAAAUCAUGCGAUGCCAUGAUUAUCAUUGCCUAUACCAAAGGAAAAAUGACUCAAUGAUCCUGAUAGGCAAAACACAGAUAAUUACUACUCAUCUCUCUCCUCAACGCACACCUGAAGGCAUAAAAUUAAGAAACUCCACAUUCUAUCAAAACUUCUGAAGAUUUGCCAAAAUGAGCGAAUCUCCACAAAAUUUGUCUUUCCUAGCCAUUUUCCUUCCCGCACUUUGUGUCCUUCAUCGGGGAUGUCCUGAAAACCACCAUAAGCAUGUUUAAUGAUCCUAGGAAGCAAUUGAUGACUUGGAUCUUGAUAACAAAAAACAUGGAUGACUUGAUAUCAAAUGUUAAUGGCCUAUAUGAAGCUGGUGUCUAGGCAGAAGUCUGAGCAAUAUCAGUGGAGGUGGUCUGCACGGGAACUAAUGCCUAUUUUCAUAGAAAUUUUGUCAUGCAAUACUAAACUUUUAUACAUGCACCAUUUUCCAUAAUUGAUAAUUAUGGUUUGAUGUUAGACAUUUAAAGUGAAAGGCAAAGUUUACCUCCAUUUCUUCAUCUUCAUUAGGACUCUUCUUGUCUUCAUCAGUCCUGACUGAUUGCCGAGGCUUUUUUGUUUUGCUAUCACUGGAAGGGUCUAUACAGAAAAAAUCAUGUUCCAGACGCAUAGGCCAACCUAUUUGAAAACAAUCCUCAGACCUGUGCAUUUUAAGGAACAAGCAACUCAGGGGUAAUUUCAACAACCAAUGGUUCAACAGAUGUAAAAGAUUUCAAUUAAGCAAGGAAUUAGAGUCUGACCAGAAAAACUCAUUCAAGUCAUCAUAGUUCCUCCAUGAUGAAUGGUCAGUUGUUCCAUUUCUGUUUUUCAUAGCUUCCUUCAUUGAUUUGAAUGAAAUUAGUGUUACAAUAUUGAAGUACUUAGGGGUUCAGCAAAUGUCUCCUUAAGUGCUCUAACAUUUUGUACCUCAUGUAUGACUUUAUAUAGAUGAAAGACUACAUUGUUAAGAAAAGACUCAGAUCCUCCUCCAUACACUGGCAUAAUCCGUUCUCCAGUUUCCAUGUUUACAGCACCAACUAGCAAGCUAUGUAGCUCAUAUGCCAUCUGAAAGAACACGUGAAAAAAAAAAAUUCUUUCAAAUUAGAGAAAGUUUUACUGGUCAACCAAAAAAAGUUCAAAAAUAUCUGUCAGGGAAAAAAAAAUUGAAAUCCAUGCAGAGCUCUAAUCAGCAAAAAUCAGUUGAAUAUAAUUGAGAACACCUUUAACAUAGGUUUCAGGAAUCUAAAUGGAUAAUUGUGCAAUCCAACGGGUGUAUAACUAUUCAUUGCACAAAUUAUAAGAUCAAGAUUGUUACUUCCAAACCAUAACUCAAUCAUAUAUGCAGUUUCAGAACUGAACAUUUACAUGUAUGUUUAUGCAUAUCUGAGAAAAACAAACUAAGGUAAAAGAUAAAGUUUCCUAGAAACAAAGGGAGCCAAGUAAAGAAUAUUGCUUAUCAGUAAGAAGCCAGAGAAGAAAACAAACAGAGGAAGUGAGCCGAGAAGUCAAGUGAGGCUAAGAUUGGAGACACAACAAAGAAAAACAACUUAAAGAAAAAUCCAGUCUGAAGCUUGGAUAGGAAAGCUCAAUAUCAAAGUUGCCAUUUUACCAUAAAAUGGUUCUUCCACAGAAAGUAAAACAAGAGUUGCCAUAUUGUUAAUCACAAAGAGAAACCAUAAGUAGUGCUGACUUAUAGAAAAGAGUUUUCUUUUCUCUCCAAUUAUGGACAUGAUAGUAUUACCUUUACUUAGGUUUUGUGGUUUAUGAUGUAAGAAAAAUCUUACUAAAUCAUGAUUUGUCUUAUGGUCAGAAUAAUGUAGACUGAAUCAAGCAAGAAACAUGAGGAUGAAAUACUGAACAAUCUUGCUAAAACGAUGGCUAAGAUGCUUUGCACAUUUUGUAUGAGGACGAAAUAUUGAAAGACAAUGAACGAACAGGUAAAGCAGCCAAAAGAAAUGGCACAACAUACAUGGUGAAAUAUAUAGCAGAGGCAUUCUGGCAUAAAUCUUAUGUUUGCAGCCUCUCCCCAUAUUAGAAGAUAAAGUCCAAUAUAAAGAAGUUUAUAUUGUUGGGCUUCCUCCUUCAGAUAUGGCAACCUGCAUUUAAAGCAGAAUAUCAGAAAAAAAAUCCCUGGACUUUACUGAUAAUUAUCUACGAUAAUUUGAAUGAGAAUGUCAAACAAUUACAUUGCAAGCUGAAGAAGAGAUACAAACUAUUGCCCUAGGGAAAUUCACUGAAGCCAUUUACACCACUAAAUGCACUAGAGAAACUUCAAGGGCAUAGGUGACAGAAAUCCUAUCCUGGGACAAGAAUGUAAGUAAGCACUAUGAGAGUACGAAUCUUACUGUAUAUUGCUUUUUCUCCCCAGAAAUUUGCACCAAUCUGUAUAAUUUUUGAAAAACUUCUUCAUCAGUUCGUCCAAAGCUCCAUCACCUAACUAGUAUCAUGAAAUGAGUAAAAACCCAAACUAAGUAAACAAUCAGUUAUAGUAGAGAGAGUUCAUGCUAUAAUUGUUAUAGCACCUUGGAGACUGAUGUCUCCUUAUGACUUUUCCGUAUGUGAGUGUUAGCAAGGAGCAGGAUCAAAUGCUCCCUUUGGUUUGCAACAUUUCCUUUCUGAAAGAAGAUGAACAAUGUUCGUAUUAAAACAUUCUCUUCCAUCAGAAACUGUGGAGCUCAAUGUAGAGAGGAUGAUAUCAAUGAAGAAUAUAAUUUGUCUUGUAUUGCAAAUUGAAAGAAGAAAGGAGAUCACCUGAAAUCCAAAGCAAAACUGGAGCCAAUCGAACAAAUCCAGGCAAACUACCCUUCUCCUAAAAUCUUCAACAAAUGGCAAACCGCGAACCUUACGAAAAGCAGCAACUGCAGCCUUGAUCUGAUUAUUUAAUGUAAAAUUUUUGGUCAAAAAUCAAGCUGUUAUGAUACAAUUUACAUAUAACGCAUGCAAGAUGAUAAGAUUACUUGGCAUAAAGGGCACAGUAAGUUGUGCUCAUUCAAAGCAUGCAGCAAUCAGGAGCUUGAUAACAUGCAGAAAAAAUAAAUUUACUGGAACAAGUAUCCAUGAAUGGAACUUAAUUAAUGCACAUAUUAAGACCUCAGGCAGCUGCAUGAUUGCUUGACUGGCACCUCCUUCAUCCAGAGGGAGAAUAUUAUAAGGGACAUACAGUUCAGGUUUUGCAUGAAUGCUCUCGCUCUCGGCAAGGACCUGCAAUGUACAGCAAACUUAAAACCUACAUAUUCUAUGGAAGUAGCAUAACCUGGGAGGAAAACAAGUGAAACUAUUUAAGCAAAACAAAAAAAAAUAAAACAGAAACUAAGGUAACCUGUGGACCGGCUGCAGUAGUAACUGUAUUUAACACUUUGGAUAAAGCUGAAGCAAUAGCUCGGGCUUUUAUCAUUUUUUCGCUGUAAGAGAGAGAUAAAUAAUGCGCUUACUCAACAACACAACCAAGCACAUUGUUAGCAUUUCACUUGAAAAGAGAAUGAUCACCUGUUUUGCAAAUUACUGUCUCCACUGUGCUUGAUGAUGAAGUCCUUGUACUCACGGUAAACACGUCUAAGUUCACGUAUGUCACUCUUUUCCUUCCUCUUCCUGAUUGUAAUUUCUUCAUCCUGUCGGUUACAUAAAUAGUCAGGGCACAGAAUUUUAUUACUAAAGGAUAAGAAAGUUCCGAGAAAAUAGAGGAAAAUUAGUUAAUGAAUGACAGAUGGUGACAGUUUAGGUGGCAGCCAUUUUCAGCUUGAUAGUAUUUUACUUGUAAGAAUUUACAAAUUUGCCAAUAACCAGAAGAUACAGACCCAUAGUAAGAUCUGGAAAGUUCCUUCACAGAUAUCUUUUGUAACAAGACUAUUGAGGGUUACUUACACUAUGCUGAAUCAUUUUCUGCAGCCCAAUCAAAGAGAAAAGGCACCAGAAUAACAGCUUUGAUGUAUUUGUCAUGGAUGUAAAAGAAUCAUAUCAGAGACAUAGUGGUUUUAUUUUUUUAGGCCAGAGACAUAAUGAUUAAUAACUGCAGAGUUUGGGAUUAAAAAUGUUGAGCCCAUCUCUUAGUUGUAGAGCAGUCUGGUUGAAAUUGUAGUCUUACAAAACAAUAAUCAUCAAAUUUCUUAGGAUGAACGAACUUUGUCCGCUGAAAAAAGAAAGAGAAGAUUGCUUGGUAUUUUAAGAACAUUUCCAUUGAUGGUGGCUUUCAUUCAAUUUUUUACCUGCUCAAGACGCUGAAGCAGAGAAGUCUUGAAUUGCCGUACUCCUCGACCACUGGAAUUUCUGUCCAAGUUAUGUGCCACUUCAAAUGCAUGAAAACGGCCUACACAAAAGAAUCAAUCCAUAAGUGCUUUAUCGUUAGCAUAAAAGAUACAGACCAAACUCUCUUGAGUGCUAUAAUCAUUUAUGCGAUCCCAUUACAACCAAACCUUCUUUUCUUGAAUGUGCUUAUAAAAGCAAGGAAAAGAGCAACAAAAUCACUCCUUGAAGUGCAUUUUCUUUCUUUUCAGAUACACUUCUCUGAUGUCUUCUGCAACAUUUUUUCGACUGAAUAAAAUAUCACCUUUUUCGUUCGCUUAUCAUUAACAAAUAAGAACAGAUAUGCCAGUGAAUCAGUAUAGGAACUUUAGAUUAAUAGCCAAAAGGGUGAACAAAAUCAAGACAAGAAACUCGGUUUUCUUACUGUCUAAACUAAUUUAGCGUACAAUUAUCACAAUACAAACCAACCAACCCAUAGAGGAUUUUCAAUUCAAUUACAAGAAAUUCCAUGUUGCAACACAUUAUAAUUAACUAACACAAUAUCAAGAAUCCAACACCUAAAACACCGAAUUUUUUAAUGACUAGCACAAGUUUCAAUCUUUGUUUCUAAACCAUUUAGGUGCUUACAAAGAUAAGCCACGCGAGGCUCUUCAAGUUCUAUCUGAUUAGCAACACGAAGAAAUUUUUGGAUCUCUGAAACCAAAGUGACCGGCAAUUUCUCACUGUCAAAGGGCUCAACCACAUGAUCACGCCCAGAAGUGAUUAAUCUUGUAAAGGGUCUUGUAUUAGUUGUCGUAUAUACUCUUCUGCUGCUAGUACUUGCAGAAUUACUAGUGCUCGGAUCUGCAGGAACAAUCUCUGCCAUUGUUCUUGGGAAAGCCAAGCAGAGCAAGAACUGAGAUGCAUGAGCAUGGAAGUAUAAAAAUGGGAUCUUUGGUGUAUAUACAUGCUGCUAUUAAAUUGUUGUUGACAAUCUGAUUUUGCUUUUUGGGAUGCUUUUUUUUUUUAGCUUGGUGGGGUGGACUGAUCUUUUUCACUUUUGCUUUUGAUGAAAAUUUGGGAAUGUGUCUUAUGGGGUCUGGAAUGAAAGGGGAAGUUGGCGUUGAGCUUCUCUUUUUGAAGCUGUGUGCGAUAGGCGGGGUUUUUUAAAAGUUGGAAAAAGAAAGUGGAGGCCUAACGUGAGGGGAAAAGGUUUGGUAGUAAAAGGAGACGAGACAGAGCCAUUGUUCACCUCGCUAAGGAAUGACAUUUGACGAAUUAUGAAAUGGGGUUAUGACAACCUCAUAGAGAGUUCAAGAAUUUGCAAAUACACAGGGUUUGUUUGUAUAGAGAUUUAUUAGCCAAAAUUUAUUUGCUUACAUCAUCAUUACAAUUUUCAACGCACCUUUUUAUCUUCUCAAUUACCUUUUUAUCUCACAGACAUCACAUCACAAAAAGUGCUACAGUAAAAAUAUCUCAAAUAAUUUACAAUCCAAACAGAGCCACAGUUUCAGAAAAGAGUUGAUCAUUAAAGUCACAAGCUAGACAGCAUUAAAGAAAUUCGUUCGAUGCAACUUCAUUGGUCUUCCUCCAGAGAAGUGAUUGCAGACUUGAUUGCACCUGUAUGUUUUGUUAAAAUCCCCCUAUUAUUAGUACUCACAAUAGUUGAUUGCAUUGAUCUGCUACAAAUAAAGAACAUAAAGCUAGCUUUUGUGCUGGCUGUAAAGAGAAGAGCCCACUUUCUUCUGUUUUGUUCUCUAACUUCAACAUAGGGUGCUAACGUAAAUGUGGCAUGCAAGCUACAUUGUAAAAGAUCAAAAGGGUCAAGAAAAGAUAGAAAAGCAACCUAAUGGAUCAAUUUCAGAAGUGGAGGGCUUACCAAAUCACCUUUUGCUUUUCUGUAACAAAGAAAAAUUUAUUGCUGUUGAACUCGUAUUCAUGUGGUCAUCAAAGUUUCUUUGAUUGAAAAGUUGGUCAAUUUAUCAUGUUAGAUGAUGAAGUGUUACUAUCUGAAGAUAAAACUGGAGGAGUAAGACGACGCUGAGAAGAGUAAACAAAUUUGCCCUUUCCAGCAGUUUUCUUCCGAAUUAAGUAUGCCAAAGAUGCAUCCCGUAUGAGCAGGAGAAACAAUAGUGCUGGUUGCUUUAUUUUGACCUUGAUGCCUCGUCCUUCCUAGGCUGGAAGAUCUGUAAAAGAGAAUGAAUGUUACUCUAGCGUUUGAACAAUUAAGAGUUGUUUUUUUUUUUUUGCUAUUAUUUUAAAGAUGAACAAAAAAUUUCAUAAAGUAAAAUUUGCCAGUGGUUAAAACCCCAAAGUAGUCUUCCCCCUUCCCAAAAAAGAAAAAAAAAAACCCCAAAACUGCAUGCACUUUUAGCAACGUCCCUGUGCACCUCAAAUGUCAUAAAUUUACAUACCGCCCUUUUAGUGAAGUUCGUGUAUUCUUACAGGUCGUCCUUUUAGCAGUGCACCUCAAAUGUUGUAUUAAAUGGCAGAUCACCGUUUUUAUGCACCUCCAAUGUCGUAUAUUUAUAUUUUUAUAGAUCGCUCACCAACAUAAUUCUCAUAUCGCAUUGACAUUAAUAGCGAGAUUAAAAUACAUAAUCUUUUAUGAAAAAGUGUUCCAUCCUUAGACGUGGAGUUAAGAUUAUAUUUUCCUAUUGAAAGAAAGAUAUGAUAUUGUGUAGCUAGUUUUAUCACUGUGCAAUCUGGCAAGUUUUACAACAGGAAAGGACUUCAUGGGUUGGGCAUUUCUGAGACCAGAGAUAUGUAAUAUGAGAAACCCAACGUGAGGCCCAAAUGCUAUGCAGGGCUUAAUGGAUUGUACAUUGGCUUCAAUUCCAAUGGGCUGCUGGAGUUUGCCGUAGUAAUUUUGCCUUCUUCCAAAAGUUACAUCUGAAAAUGUUACUGCUUACUAAACCCGAUUAAUUCAUUUGCUAUAACUCAAGAUUCUAUGAACAUUUUCCACAUGAUUUUGGUGGAAGUCGCUACUAUAAGUAGCAAAAUCUCUAUUUUUAGGAGCAUUUAAAAAGUUGGACUAUCUUUGUAAUUUGGAAUAAAAAUAGGAUUAUAUAUGUAAAAACCCCAUCUUAUAUGAACCAAAGUGUUUGUACUGUGAUCAAUUUGUUAGAAAUUAUUUUCACAUUUCUUUACUCUACCACUGGAGAAUUGAAGCGACCUGUUCCUGCGAGCUAAUCGAAUGGGCUUGCCAUUUCUUGGAAAACAACCUUCCGUCGUCCAUUAGCAAGAAAACCCAAAGGAUUUUCUUCCAAAAGUUUUUUUUUUCCUUCCCCCCACGCGAUCAACACUUAAGGUUACGAGGGCAGCUAAGGAGAAGGAAGGGGUCCUUCACUCCUUCUUGAUGAGAGAUGUCCAGAGAGAAAUGCUCUUUGACUUUCACAAAAAGCUGAAAGAAUUUAAGUAAAAUUCCAAAACUUUUAAUCCUACAAUUAUAGCUUGCAAAAGAAGAGAGAAAUGCUCAUGGCUUCUCAAUCACAUGAAGAUCAUUAAUUAGUAGAGUUCGUGCAUGGCUGUAGCAGAAGAUGAGCAUAUAAUAUUUGACAGGAAAAAUUCCAAUAUUUGUAAAAGGGAUUCAAACUUUCAUUGUAUUGAGCAUUUCACUAAUGCGUUUUUGUUUUUUGUAAUGCAAGGCUUUCUUUUCUAUUGUUUGGUAUAUAGUAUCUAAUUAGUUGAUUUGUUAUACGACAAGAUUACUAAAAUCGUUUUUAAAUUUUAUCUAGCAAGUCAAUUAUUAGUGUGUUCAUGGAUGGAUAGAGUGAACUGGACCACAAAUGAAGUAUAUUCAAAUGGAUCAUUAUCUUGCUUAAUUCCAAAACAAAUAGCUUUCUGAUCAUAACAUGUUGUUUGUCAGGAUUUACAUUUUCAUAAUCAAAGAAAACGCAAUAAUUGCAUAAAACAAAGUUUUAUAAACGAUAAGUUUCUUGCCAGAUAGAACUACAGGUAGGUUCCUCCAAAAGAAUCUCUGAAUAAUCUAUGACUCCUCCGUAUUGAGCCGCGUUAUGCUCUACAUCUUCUUCUCCAACUUGUUCAUACCAGCAAGAGAGACCGUGAUCACCAGGUGAAGAAGAUGAAGAAGAUGAUGAUGAUAUCUCCAGAUCCAUCCAACUGAAAUCAAGAUCUUGUGAUGCUGAAUUAUCCUGAUCACCAUACGUAUAUUCCUCAUCAAUUGACAUUAGUUGAUCAAAAAGGCAAUCCUGCAGCUGGUAACCAUCGUCAACGUUUGAGCCAUGAUCAUUCAUCAAACCGGGGUUGAUAGCUGCCUCUAGAGAUUGGAUCACACUGUUUAAUCUGUCAUCAUCACAACAUUCAAGUUGCACUGAAUCCUCAAGAAAGGACAUAAGAAUUGUGUCAUCCCUUUGUGGGAUUUCAGGGAUUAGGCGCUCUUCAUUGUUGGUGCAGGACAUGUUUUCUGGUACAAUUGAUGCCAUAUGGAACUAGAAAUGAUCUGAUAUGAAAGAAUUGGAAAUGAACACUGGAAAAAAGAAGUAAACAGUUUAAAAUUAACUUCAGUUGUCAAAGUUUUUGAGAACAUUUAGGCCCUAUAAAUAGGUGGAUGGAUCCCUUAAAGGCAUAUAUCAUGCGCAUGUGCUACUAAAAUCCUUGAGGGGCCAAUAGGGAUGCAUUAUUAUGACAUUAAGUAGCAUCCUGCACCAGAAACAAUGUGCCUUAAUUUAAUCUUUCUAGCUAGCCUAGUUGAGUAUUAUUGGAACAUUGUUGCAGUUGCAGGUGGCCUAAUAGACAAAGAAAAUUAAAAUAUGAACCUGGUCCUUUUUGACACCGACAAGAAAUAUUUCUGCAUUUCUUUAUCGAAAGAUGAAAAAAAAAAUCCUAGUCCGUGUUUAUUUAAAAAAAAAGAAGAAGAAGAAGACUUUGGACAUUAAGUUCAGCACUAAUUUGAGGUGAUAGCACAAGUAUCCGAAAGAAAUCAUAUGAUUUGAUAGCUAAAACAAAACCGACCUCUUGUAACAUAAGUAAGUGAUGUGUGAGCACUACAGAUUACUGAAGAAGCAGUUGAUUAUUAAUGGGUUUCCAAGUAAGCAAGAUUGGUAACAAGGCAUGCAAUAAGAUAGACAGAAUCUGCAAAGGUGGAAUCAUAUGUUUAAACCAGCAUUGAAGUUUCACCAAUUCGACCACUUGGGGAAGGUGUUAUGCAACUAUACCACUUUUACGUUAAUUAUAUUGGAUCUAAAAUUUAAGAUUUUCUAAAGGAAGUACGGUUCAAUAAAGUUCAAACUAAGUUAUUAGCCCACUAGUAUGUGUUGUUAAUACCAUAAUUUAACAUCAAGUGUGUAAAAGCCGAUUAACAGGAUUGAGUGCUGUGCCAAAGAAAAAAAAAAAAAAAAAAAAGAUCUCAUAAUGGAUCGAGUAGGUUCUUGGAAAGUGCAAGACUUUGGUCCACAUUGAACGAUGGAGGAUCGCCACUCAUUUUUGCAGACCCUUGACCCAUACCAUGCAUUUUGGUGGGCAAACAUGGUGAUAGUGCCCACACGGGACAGAAAACACAUUACCAGAAAAAAGGACCUCCGAGAUAAUCCUACGUAUAAUAUCACGUUUUGGUUGGGCUUCAUGAGAUCUCAUUAUCUUGCUUUCUGGUUUCUGCUACAAGUGUCUUGAUAUUUAAACAACAAAGGGAAGUGAAUCAUGAAUUUUGUUGAAAGGCAAACAAAGUUUCAUAUUAUUGCAGUUUUGCUUCCAAUGUACCGAGAAUAUUCAUGCAUGCAUGUACUAUUGCGUUGGCAUGGAUUGUUUGUUUUAGGUCAAUAUACAGAUAUAUCAGCAAUCCCGACCGAUCCGAUCUAAUAUAUACGAUGGAGGUUGGAGUGGCAACAGGCUGUAGCCAUGAAGCAAGGCUGGACGUUUCUUGUUGUGACAAUUGGUGUCUUUUUCAAUAUUCAAUGGUACUCAUCCUUGCGACCAAUACCAACCAUUCUCGAUGUUAAUUAUUGGAGAGUGUGGAUUAAAGGUGGAGAGUUGGAAUUCAGCCUAAUCCAGUAAGCUAGAGUUUUUUUUUUUUUUUACCUAGGUAUGCGAGUGCUAACAUCCUCCCCUUUAUUGUUUCAAAGAUGAAAGAAAAACUGUUUAUUUCCAAAGUUUGAAGUUCGUUUUGCUAGAUAGAGAAAAUCAGAGAUGCUGAAUUAAUUCUUAAAUUGACCAAAAGCCCAUUUUGUAGUUAUUUUACUAUUUAAUUUUAAUUCAAAAGUUUAAGUUGUUAUAUAUCCUUCUUAGACAUGUUUGCUUUUUUUUUUUUUUCUUUUCUUGUGGUGGGGGGCCAAACCAAAGGCAGGUUUUCCAUUUUGGAUAAAAAUAAUAAUAAUUUCAUUGAAAUAUAUAUAUAUAUAUAUCUAACUUGACAUAGAUGUAUACAGAUAAUCAAUCGAAACAAAGAUCUAAAAGUCAAUGAAUAUAAAAGUUAUGUUGACUCAAAAAAUAUCUUGCAUCAAGAUGAAUCAUUGCAACCUAUAAAAUCGGUGCAUGUUUUCUAACAGUCAUACGUAAUAUAAUACUACUUUAACCCUAAAAAGAAAUUUAGAUAUGACACAACAAACGUAAAAAAUCCCAGAUCUUACAUAACAGAUGCAAUAAGUGCAGGGUUUUAGUUUUGUAAGUUUUGUUAAUAUAAGAGGAUUAGUCGUACGUGCUACUACUAAUCCUUUUUUAUGAAUUAGCCAGUGUAUUUUGUCGUACGUCUUCUUUUCUUAUUCUCUGGUUUAGUCAAACAAUAAUCUGCUUGUCAAACUAGUUCAUUUGUAAUCUCUGGAGGCAGCUUUGGAUUAGUGGACGCGGUUGAAGAAUCCAUCAAGAAAUUAAUAAUCUGCUCAGCUUGGCCUGUAAUAUUGUUCACUAACUUCAUUUCUGAUUGCAUAAGCCAUUUGACUCCCCAACAAUACUCGCAAUUAAUUCUACCCACUUUGUUAAGCACGAAUUAGUUACUUAUUUACUUUUAAACAGUUAAAAAGAAAAAACCUAAUUUGCUCUGCCUUCAAUUGCAGCAUAUGUGAAAUACUUUGAUAAAACUAGGAAGAAAUAUGUAUACCAUUGGUCGAUGCUAGCUGAUGAUAGGAAAUUCUCUGCUUUUUUUUUUUUUUUUGUUGUACGAUGACAUUAAUUACAUAUUAAUUAGUUAACUCAGCAAGAACAUUGCAAAUCAGUGCAAAUGCACCAAAGAGGCAUUUGUUUCUUGCCACAAAUUACCAGAAGAGUAACAUUCAUGGUCCUCAAAGGAAAUUCCAUUGAGAUGCUGGAAAUAAUAGAAAUCUUUCCGGGUUGCAGCAUCCAUCUCAUCUCCACAGGGAUCCAUGUACCAGCUGGCCAUAACAUCACUUGGUGAGGAAGGCACCAUAUCCAUCCAAUUGAAAUCUAAACCAUGAUCAGGUCUCAGAUUAUCAUGGCCUUCAAAAUGUGCAUGAUCAUGAUCAUGAUCAGAUAAAACACUUGUCCAAUUAUUAUUAUCUUCAGAUGAUGACUUUUGAUCAUCAUCGAUCGUUUGCUGAUCAAUUUCAGCUUCCAGAGAUCUCAUCACACUGUAUAACUUUUCACAGUCGCAAUCAUCAACUUGUGUAUCAUCUAGCAACGACAUGAGAAGGGCUUCAUCAUCUUGUGGGAGCUCGAAGUGGUCAAACUCAUCAUGGCUGUUGUUGCAUGCCAUUGUGAGAUUUGAUCAAGAAAAAUAUGACCCUCUUCCUACAACUGAAAUAAUAUCAACUUGUCAAAGAAAAAGGUUGAAGGCAAUGCAAAAUCAGAAGAAGAUAUCGCUUGGAAAAUUGCAAUGACUUCUCAACAAAAGCAUGGCUUUAUAUAGAUAGGUGAACCCUCAAGCCCCAGCUAGCCAAAUAAUAAAGGGAGACCUGGAAAGCUAGUGUCAUAUUCCACAGCCCAGAAAAAUUAGAUUAAGAACAUGGGAGGCAGGUCGUGUGUCACAUCCCCACGUGGUCACCCUCUGAUCAUCAACUCGCCAAUAAAGUAAGAAAAUUUCCAGAAGCAAUAAUUAAUUCUACAAAGCCCCAGUCAAAAGGUAGGCUAAGUGGUUGAAAUUUGACAAUUAUGUAUGCAAGCACAAUGCUGAAAGUCUCUUGAUUAUGAUUUAUCAGGAUAAAAAGGAAAUUACCUAGUAAAAUGAACUAAACCAACUUUAUAGUAUAUCUUUCACGAUAAUUGGUGGACCGACUAAACAAUUUAAGAUGGUCCCCCAUUGUCACGAAUGCAUACUAAUCAGAAAAUGCAAUGAACCAACCAAUCAUGUGACCUUGGACACAUAAUCAAAGGGAUGGACUACCACCACGGAUGGUUUAGAAGUGUAGAUAAAUGUCUCUGUCUACCAACAAAAGGCUUUUCAGGUGCCAAAGAUGCCGCUGUAUUUGUCUAUGGUCAUUACAGAAUAAUGUGUUUAUCAGAGAGUACAGCAAAGCAGACAAUAUCUAGGAGAUUAUGGUGGAUCAGAUACCAGCAAAGUUACGUGGGAGAAGAACUUAUCCCCAUAUAUAUAUAUAUAUAUCUUCAACUCCUAAAUUAUUAGUGCCGGCAAAUAAAUAAGAAUUGAACCCUGUCUUAUUGAUUCUGAUUGCUCGAUCUGAUAGCUUAUUGGGGUUUCCACGCUUGUAGGCACUUGUGAACUGUGAUGUUUUACAUUUAGCAUGUUGUAGCCUUGGAGGAUCGAGUACUACACAAUCAUCAAAGAAUAUUCAGAAUUAGAAAUUAUUGUGAGUGAAAGUAAUGAUAGGUGCGCAGCUUAGUUAGUAAGAACAUUAAUUAGGCCGGUGAUUAUAAGAUUCUCGAUUUAAGUCUUAACCUCAUUCUUUCUCAUCUUUCAAUUGUAAGGUUUACAGUAUCCCUUGAAAUUUGAAGAAAAAAAAGGAGAGAGACAGAAACAUGGCAAUUCACAUCAGAUAUGAGGAUGCAAAUACAAAGCAUUAGAUAUGAGGAUGCAGAAUGGGAGUUACUACUGUGGAGCAAACAUCAUGAAGUAAAAAAAAAAAAAAAAAGGGUAAGAGAUUGAUUUUGAUGUCAUGAAAUUAAUUGGUUACACGUAAGUGAUAAGUUCAGGUGGGGCUUGCUACAACUGAGUGCUACACGAGAAUCUUGAUUCGGGCAAUUCACUGUCUGGAAUGCAACUUCGAGCGUGAAAUUUUUUUUGGCCAAGUGCCAAAAAAGAUGCUUAAAAUUUGGUUUAAGAAAAACGAAAGCUGGUCCCUCGUGAGAUAAUGCAUGGAGAACUUCAUCACAGGUCUUGUCAUCUCCAUUGUUGACCGCCCCAACACAGGAAUUGGUGCACAUGUUGCCACCAAAAUGCGUUGGGUGGAGUCUGAUCACAAUCACAUCCUCCUGGCUAUAUAUAUUAAUUAGGUAGCUUCGCAACACAUUGGAUGGUGAAUGCACCUAAGCUCCAUGUGAGCUGAUCCGUCAUUGCAUAAAUCCUCGUGGCACCACCCACCUAAAAGUUGCUGAUUUAUAUCGGGUUAUUGUCAGCCUGCUAUUCCAAGAAGGAAAGAUCAAGUUAUUUGUGGCGAUCGAUCUCGAAUUUAACAUUUAGAAAACAGCAUUAAUUUAUCAUCUUGAACUCUAGAUACAAAAUAAACUUUUUUGGAAUACAAAAUUUUGCAAUUAAAACCUUUUAACUAACGAUUUAAAUCUUGGAAAUAUCAUAUAGAACUUAAUACUUGUUCAGUGAAAUUCAUAAUUGACUCGCACAAUUUACUACAACAUGCAUUAGUUCAACACUAAAAACUUAAAAGAGUACUUUUUUUUUUUCUUUCUUUUUGCUAUGAAACUUACCGCUAGAUUGGUGUCACAUUCUACGACUCACAAUAUUGGCAAAAAAGAAAAAAAAAUGUUAUCACAAAAUUUUUUUUUCUAAAGCUUGAUAUAUAUUUGGUGUGAAAUCUUGCCAUUUAUCAGAAUUAUGAUCAAGUGACGAGGACAAGUUUUAGGUAGGGACAAAAAGGUUUGUGAAGCACAUGCACCGUCUCCUGUUUAAUUAGAUGAACAAACAUAGUUAAGAAUCAUGAAUGUUACUAAUAGAAAAUAAAGGUCUUUUAUUCCCAAAAAAAAAAAAAAAUUGGAUUUAGCUCUACAUAUCACAAAUCAAAUAAAACUAAAUAAAGAAAACUCCUCAAGUUUUUGCCUUUAGAUUUAUAUCCACGCGGUGUAAGCCUGACAUCUUUGUGCAAGAAAAAAAAGAUAAUAAAAUAGGGGAAUUGGUAAAGAAAAACAUUAAAGGGAAUUUGACUGAAAUAAUAUGCUUAAACAUGUGGGAAACCAAAUUAAUCAAUUUAAAGAUGAGGGAAUACAAACGGUUUUUCAAAAAUAUGAGGGACUAUUUCAGCAAUUAGCUCCCAUAAUUUUUUCAGACAGCUUUGAGAAAAUUUCAGCAAAAGAGGCUCAAAAGUUUUACUUCCACAUUCUUCGGCUUUCAGGGCUGCCGCCAAAAAAGCUUCGAGUUUUAAACUCCAACGGUCCCCAAGGCUAUGGAGUUUCCUCAAUUCUUUGAGUCAUGCUAGCAAACCGCACCUCCACCCAGUUGUACAUAGCCCUCAAGAAACCUUCACUACAAAUCUUUAGCACUUUAGUUUUUGCUACUCAAACCAACUUGUCAAAAACCAAAACUGAAACCAAUAAGUUCCUCGUUUACUGCAACUCCCAGAUAACAAAACAUGGCCGAGACGGCAAUAUCAAAGAGGCCGAAUCAGUUUUCAACCGAAUGCCCACAAGAAAUGUUGUUUCGUACACUGCAAUGCUCACAGCUUAUGCUCAAAAUGGUCAGCUCAAGAGAGCUCGCGAACUAUUCGAUGAAAUGCCUGAACGAACUAUCGUAUCGUGGAAUGCGAUGAUCACAGCUUAUACGAGAAGCAAAGGUGGUAUCUUUGAAGGGUUUCGAUUGUUUGUGAAAAUGCCCGAGCGGAAUGAGGUAUCUUGUGCUGCUAUGAUCACGGGGUUUGUGAAUUCAGGGAGGUUUGAUGAGGCUGAAAAAUUGUAUAAUGAGACACCAUUAGAACUGCGAGACCCGUCUUGUUCGAAUGUGUUGAUAAAUGGGUACUUGAAAAUGGGGAGAUUGGAUGAGGCAACUCAGAUUUUUGAUAGGAUGACGAAGAAGGAUGUUGUAUCCUGGAGCUCAAUGGUGGAUGGGUACUGUAAGAAUGACAGAGUUGAUGAGGCUAGAGAGUUUUUUGAUGCAAUAAGGGAGAGGAACGAGGUUACCUGGAGUUCCAUGAUUAAUGGCUAUAUGAAACUGGGACGUUUCAGAGACGGACUUGGAUUGUUUUCUGAAAUGCGAAGGGAAGAUGCUGUGAGAAUCGAACCUAUAUUAGUCACUACAAUUUUUGAAGCUUGUGGGAGAUUUGACAGAUAUACCGAAGGGUGUCAAGUUCACGGUCUAGUUUCACAUUUAGGAUUUGAGUUUGAUGUUUUUCUGGGAAACUCAUUAAUUACCAUGUAUUCUAGAUUUCGUUGUAUGGAUGUGGCUCGAAGUGUGUUUGACAUGAUGUUAGAAAAAGAUAUAGUCUCUUGGAAUUCUCUCAUUUCUGGUUAUAUUCAAAAUAAAGACCUUGAGGAGGCAUAUGGACUAUUUGAGAAGGCACCUGAGAAAGACGUAGUUUCCUGGACAACCAUGAUUACUGGAUAUUCUGAGGAAGGAUUGACUGAAAAAUGCAUUGGGCUGUUCACAAUGAUGCCAGAGAAAGAUGCUAUUGCCUGGACUGCUCUUAUUUCAGGGUUUGUUAUUAAUGGACAAUAUGAGGAAGCUAUCUGUUCGUUCUUUCAGAUGCUUCAGACUGCAGUGAGACCAAAUCCUCUGACCUUAAGUAGUGCUCUUAGUGCUUCAGCUGGUUUGGCAACAUUAAAUCAGGGUACACAAAUACAUGCUCAGGUUAUUAAGAGGAACAUGGAGUCUGAUUUAUCCAUUCAAAAUACCCUUGUCUCAUUUUAUUCAAAAUGUGGAAAUGUAGAUGAUGCCUACCGGAUCUUCAAUUCCAUUAUGGCACCUAACAUUGUUUCUUUCAAUUCUAUGAUUUCUGGAUUUGCCCAAAAUGGUUUUGGAAAGGAAGCACUUGAGUUGUUUGAGAAGUCACAGAGCAGAGGCUACGAACCUACUGAAAUUACCUUUCUCGGUGUUCUUUCAGCCUGUACGCAUGUAGGACUCGUAGAAGAAGGAAGGAACUACUUUAGGUUGAUGAAAUCUCUAUAUAAGAUUGAACCUGGACCUGAUCAUUGUGCCUGCAUGGUUGAUCUCCUUGGAAGGUCAGGUUUGCUUGAUGAUGCUGUAACCUUCAUCAAUUCAAUGCCAUUUGUGCCCGACUCUGGGGUAUGGGGUGCUCUUCUUGCUGCAAGCAGGACUCGCUUCCGCGUUGAUCUCGCGAUGCUUGCAGCCGAAAAUAUUUCUAAGCUGGAACCAAACAAUGCAGCGCCGUAUGUGGUCUUAUCAGACAUGUAUUCUUUUGCAGGGAAGAAAAAAGAGGAAGAAAGAGUUAGAACGGCCAAGAAAUUGCAAGGAAUAAAAAAAAGUCCUGGGUGUAGCUGGAUUACUGUUAAGAACAAGGUUAAUACAUUCCUUUCGGGAGAUCAGUCCCAUGCCAGUUUUAAAGGAAUCAAAUGUGUGUUAUGUUUAAUCCUGGAUGAGAUGAAAGAAUUACACUGGCUUGAUCAUGAUUGGUUACCACCUUAGCAAAGUAUAACAAUUAACAAAAUUGACAAUCUUGAACGUUUUAUGGAAGUCCUUUGGUUGGUUUUCCAUGCUUCUAUAUUUAGACAACCAGGUUUUGAGUUUGAUUCAAACAACAACUCUGGUGACUGAACUUCAAAUUUUACGUUCUGAAUGGUUGAGGAAAACCAGAGAAGUACGUCUACUUCAAUGAAAAAAGAAAUGAAUAUUGUGUGACAAAAAUAAGAAACAAAAAAGUGAUGAUGGGACUCUUGUAUUUCAAUGAAGGGAAAAGAGCACUUGUGUUAGAGGCAAAGCAUCUAUGAUUAUUCUACUAAAAUUAGAGCAAAAACACCAGAAAGAGGUCACUUGUUAUAGAAUUCUUGGUUCUAUAAUGAUAACACCUUGAAGAAGAUAGGAAAAAAAUAUUUAAGCUAAAAAUGUGUCUACUUGAAUUAGAUACUUGGUAGCAAGUUUUAUUCAACUUUUCACUUGAACUGUUGAACACAUCGCGUGGCAACAGAGAAGCACUAAAAUUCCCCUAGGAUAGAAUUACUUUAUAAGAUUUGGGGGAAGGGAAUAGAUGGAUAAGGGUGAUAUGGUAGGAGAGAGUGUAAGUGAGAAGUUCCGAGUUCGAGAUCUUCUAUUUACAUUAGUAAACCUAAAAAAACAUUGGAAAAAAACUCGAUUAAGACUUGAUAAGAUUGACCUUGAAAUUCUACUAAAAGUUUACACUCCUGCUCAAAAAAUAAAAAUAAAAUAGAAAUCAAGAGACUUCUAGGGGACAACUCCUGCCUCUUUCCUUCAAAGAAUCAACAUUGCACAAAGUUGAAAGGUAGAGAUCUUAGAGAAGCUCAUCACAGAUGUCAAUCUGGUGACUAUCAGUAUUGCCUGUCUCCUCGUUCUUGAAUUGACAGAUUAUGUCUGUAUCUUAGUAUUUCGUGUAUAAAAUUGUACGUUGAUCAUAUGGCGACGGGCAUAUAAUGGCGUGGAACUCUGUUAAUUACACUAGACAGGAAGAGAUGGAGAUGCUAUAUAUCGCUCGAGCAACUACACUUAUAUUUUUGGUACAUACAUGGCAACUUAAAAGCCUGGUGAAUGUUUUGUUUCGAUAUUGCUCGGGCUCAUCUGCAAUCAACUUAAAUCACAAAUAUGAAAUAACCACACACCGAUGAAACUUACCAACUGGACAAAUUUGAGGAAAUCAGAAACAAACAGCACUGCAGCCUCUUAUAUGAUCCUCUCAUGUGUAUGUAGAGCUAGAAAGAUAACAGCGCCAGGCUUUGAUUGAUUGAUUAAUCACCACCACCCCCACAUCCACCACAACCACCUCCACAUCCACUACAACCACCACCACCACAACCGCCACCAUCACUACCACCGCCAUCUCCGCCUCCUGUCUCGCUAUCACCACCAUCUCCGACCACGGCUUCUGCUGCACUAGUGGCAGCUGCAACUGCUGCUGUUGCUCCCAGAACAACCAUUCCCCCAUCUCUUAUUGCACUACAUUGACCCUUCUCAACAUCGUCAUACGAAGGCCGCCGAGGAGCACUCGUCCCAGCAUGUGAUGUAGCCGGAAGCCGCUUCCUUUUCCGUCCAAUUUCCCAUGAACAAAGCAAUAUCAGAAUUCCAGCGAUCCAAGAGCCCCAGACAAUGAGAAUUAUGGCAUUAGAAUUCAUUUUCCUUCAUAAUAUAACUUCGGCUACGAGUCUGACGAUCUUUCCAUCCACUUUUUAUAGCAUUUUCGUGAGCUGAGUUUUCAAUAUAAUACUCACCCUGUAUAAUGCAAGGAUAAUUUUCGUCUAGGUAAUGACACUGACAGAUGCUCGAAGUUGUUUAAUAUUAGACUUUUGUUGUACGUCGUUGACUUUCAUUAAUUUCUCUUCAUUCUUGUCCUAUUUACUCAAUUUAAUAUAGUACAAAACUUUUUAUUGGUUGAGGACUAGUUCAAAGAUUAGCGCAAAAGAAGAAAAGAUUGGCAGUUUUCAUAUUAAUCUAGGAUUCCUUGCCUGUUGGGUUUAAUAAUUUCUAUUUGGAAGAUAUCAUUCGGCAUUGUAAAUAUAUUUUUUCUGCCAACAAAAAUGCCUAAAUCACGUUUAUCCCACAUCAAUCUGAUAAUUAUCGUUAAUUUGUGAGUUUGUGAGAAGAUUAUUUUGGCUGGCCUAGCCAUUGGUAUGAGGUAGACUUGAUUAUAACUAUAUAUUUAAGUAAUUAAAUUGCCAUUUCACAUGCAGUCAUAUGAAAAGUGGAAUUAUGCGGUUUUAUAUAAUAAGUCGUAUGCAUUGUUGAUUUUCUGUUUUCUGUUUGACAUUAGAUGACCAUUUCAACUAGUGGAAAAGUUUCAUUGAACAAAUUUUGUUACAACUAAAAAAUGAUUUAGACAUAUGGUAGAAAAAUUAUCAACUAUCUUCCACUAGCAUAAAUGCAGUAGGAAAUUUCUGGAUCCAAAUGUUCACAAAGAUGAUCAACACAAUUCAUAGAAGAGUACAGUUCAAGACAAGGGUCUUUUACAAGUGAAGCUACAGAUAGACUUUGCAAUUUGCAUGCGUGGGUUGUGUACAUUUCGACCUCAGCCACCACAGCCUCCCCCACAACCACCACCACCACCACAACCACCCCCACCGCCAUCUCCGCCUCCUGUGCCACUAUCACCUCCACCUCCACAACCACCUCCGACCGUGGCUUCUGCUGCAAUAGUGGCAGCUGCAACUGCUGCUGUUGCUCCCAAAAUAGCCAUUCCCCCAUCUCUCAUGGCACCAGUUUUUGCAGUUUGACCCUUCUCAACAUCAUAAUCCGAAGGUGGCCGUGGAGCACUCGGCCUAGCCUGUGAUGUUGCAGGCAGCUGCUUCUUUUUACGUCCAAUACUCCAUAAACAACAUAAGGUUAGAAUUCCAGCAGCUACAGAGCCCAAAACAAUAAGAACUAUGGCAUAAGUUUUCAUCUUGCUUCAAAAUAUGACUUCAGGCACGAGCCUUGCAAUCCUUUGAUCCACUUUUUAUAGCAAUUUGGUGAGGUGAACUAAUGGUUGAAUUUUCAAUAUAAUACUCAUAAUGUAUAAUGCAAGGAAGUUUACAAUUUUUGUUUAGGAAUGACCUUGAAAUAUGCUGGAAGUUCUGUUAGUAUCAGACUUUUGUUAUACGUCGUGGACUUCAUUAAUUUCUCCUUCAUUCUUGAGCUAUUAAAACACUAGACAAUAUUUUUGUUGGUUGAGGACUUUUUGAAAAGCUAGCGUAGAAGAAGAAAAUAUUGGGCGAUUUUCAUAUUGAGUCCGAAUGGAAAUUAAUAACGAUUUAAAAUGUAUGUGGCUAGGAUACCUUGCUUGUCGGGUUAAACAAUUAAUUACCAUUUAGAAGAUAUCAUUUGCCAAUGUAAUAUAUUUUUCCGCCGCGAACUUAAAUACCUAAAUCAUGUUUAUUCGGCGUCAAACCUGCUAAUUAAUCCAACACUAAAAUUAAUGUCAGGCCUUGUCAACGUUGAGUAUCUUAGGCUUCCAACCAAUUUGUUAAAAUUAGUGGCAUUAACAAAUUUACCACCACCAUCUUUAACUAACUUCAACUUCUCUUCAAUUGGGUCAACAUAGGUUUGGCAUAUUUCUUCUGUGUAAUAAAUAUGCCGUCAUUUGUUUGAGAAACCUCAAUGCCAAGAAAAUAUGACAUUAAUCCCAAGUCAUCAUUUUAAAAUGACUAAUCAUGAAAUCUCCCUGAAUUCAGAAAUCACUCUAUUGUCGGUAAAAAUCAGAUCAUCCACAUAUGAGCAUACAAUAAGAAUAUCACCACCAGGAUCGAAUUUGAUAUACAAAGUAUGCUCAUAUGGACAUCUGUCAAAACUGUUUCCAAUAAAGUAAGAGUCGAUACGAGUAUAUCAAGUUCGAGAAGUUGGCUUCAAACCAUAUAAAACCUUCUUUAACCUGUAGAGUUUAUUGUCUUGACCUUUCUUCAUAUAACCUACAGGUUGCUCAACAUAUGCUUUCUCUUCAAGAAUUUCAUUCAAGAAAAUAGAUUUCACAUCCAUGUGAUAAAUCUUUCAAAAAUUAUUGGCAGCAAUAGAUAUAAUCAUACGAACAGCAUCAAGUCUGACAAUUGAAGCAAAAAUUUCAAAAUAAUCAAUACCUGUCUUUUGCUUGUAUCCUUUAACCACUAAUCUUACUUUGUAAUGAUGUACCUCUCUAGUUUGCUUGUACUUGAUCUUGUAGACCCAUUUGACACCAAUUAAUUUCUUUCCAUAUGGAAGUGUAGUCAGCUCCCAUGCCUUAUUUUUUUUUUUUUUCAAUUGUAUGCAUUUCCUCAUUCAUUGUUUGAUUCUAAUGAUCAUUGUUUAUGACCUCCUCAAAGGUAAUAGGAUCACAAUUUACAAAUAAAAUAAAGUUUACAAUAUUUUCAUCAGAUAAUUCAUUAUCGUUAACAAAAGAUCUAAAAGACUCAUUCAAAUCAACAAACAUAUUUUUGUUACCACACAUAUGGUUACCGCAGUCAAAAUCCAAAAAUCAAUUUUUUUUUUAAUUUUCUUCCACUCUUGAGUUAGUGAAUAAAAUAGUUUCAUUCUUUUCAUCAUUAUUCUCUGCCAUAUUAGCAUGCCUGUCUUUAUUGUCAGAAUUUUAUCAACACUCGCUUUUAUAAUGACCAAUUUUUUUACAAUUAUAGCACUGAAUAUUACAUUUGCAAGAAUUAUUAUUUUCUAACUCACCAUUGGGAUAAUUAUUGUUACCUCUCUGUUGAUAAAAAUUACCUCUACCAUGACCUCUAAAAUUGUUUCUAUUGCGGCCUCGUCAUCUUUCUCUGAAAUUUUGGUUUCUUUGACUGGAGCCAUCACCCUUCUUCUUGGGUCUAUCUGUCUGCACCUGCAAUGUCUUUUCUACCGUUUCUCUUUCUACACCAUUUUCCUAUUUUCCAUUAAUUCUCUAUUCAUAAAAAGUUAACGGACUCUACAAUUCUUCAAUGGUCAUAGUUGAGAGAUCUUUUGCCUCUUGAAUCACAGCAACUACAUGAUCAAAUUUCAUAGGUAAAGUAUUGAGAGCUUUUUCUACUAGUACCUCAUCUAUGAGAUCAUGACCAUUAUGCUCCAUCUCAUUUUUUAUGUCAAUCAGUUUGAAAAAAUGUGAUUCUAUGGUCUCUGAUUUUUUCAUGGUGAUCAACUCAAAUUUCCUUUUUAACAUCAGCAAAUUAUUUUUCUGAACUCUAUCAACUCCUUUGUAUGUUUUCGCCAAAAUGUUUUAUGCCUGUUUUGCAGUCUUGGCAUUAGCAAUUUUUUCAAAAAUCAAAGCAUCAAUUGCCUGGCGAAUUUAAGAUACUUGCCUCUUGACACUUGCUUCUUCAUCUGCAGCAAUUUUUUGCCGAACAAAUUUAAUCAAAUUAUACUCAGCAAGAUGAGUUUUCAUCUGCGUUCUCCAAGAACUGUAAUAUUUUCUCCCUAUGAGUUUGGUACUGCAUAGGUAAUAUUACUUGGCAUCGUUGAUGUAGUUGAUGCAAACAUGUCUUACAAUAAACCUAACUCUAAUAUCACUAUGUAGGCCCACAAAAAUAAUUAAUAUAAGCCACACAAAUUUCAUGAUUGAAUGAAAACACAAGAAGACAAAAUAAAUCUCAAGGCCAGAAAACCAAAUAGAAGAAAGAGAACUUGAGACUUUUAUUAUCUUUCUGACUCUUUUCUUUCUCUCUUUUCUUUCGUACACCGAAAGACCAAGAACUAUAUGGUCUUUAUAUAGACUACCAACUACCAAAAUUUUAUUGGAAUUUAAACUAUCAAAUCAUACUAGUAAUAGAAGAUUACAACUAAACAACAAACUAAAUCCCAAAAAAACUUGGUUUAAAAAUCCUACAAAGAAGAGUACAGUUUAAGACAAGGGUCUCUGACAAGUAAAGCUAGAGAUAGACUUUGAUGCGUGCGUUGUGUACAAUUCAACCUCAGCAACCACCACAGCCCCCUCCUCCGCAGCCUCCUCCUCCUCCACAACCACCCCCACCACCACAACCACCCCCACUGCCAUGUCCGCCACCUGUACCACUAUCAUCGCAACCUCCGCCACCACCUCCAAACACUGCUUCUGCUGCAAUAGUGGCAGCUGCAACUGCUGCUGCUGCUCCCAAAAUAGCCAUUCCCCCAUCUCUAAUGGCACUAGUUUUAGCAGUUUGACCCUUCUCAACAUCAUAAUACGAUGGUGGCCGUGGAGCACUCUGCCUAGCCUGUGAUGCUCCAGGCAGCUGCUUCUUUUUGCGUCCAAUAUUGCAUAAGCAACACAAGAUUAGAAUUCCAGCAGCUACAGAGACCGCAACAAUAAGAAAUGUGGCAUUAGUAUUCAUCUUGCUUCAAAAUAUGAAUUCAGUUGCGAGUCCUGAAAUCUUUUGAUCCACUUUUUAUAGCAAUUUGGUGAGGUGAACUACCAGUUGAUUUUUCAAUAUAACACAUCAUGUAUAAUGCAAGAAAGUUCACAAUUUUUGUUCAGGAAAUGGCCGUGAAAUUUGCUGGAAGUUCUGUCAGUAUCGGACUUUUGUUACGCGCCGUGGACUUCAUUAAUGAUUUAACAUGUACUUGGCUAGGAUACCUUGUUCGUUAAUUGGGUUAAAUAAUUACCAUUUAGAAGAUAUCAUUUGGCAACGUAAUAUAUUUUCCGCCAACUUAAAUUUUCUAAAUCAUGUUUAUUGCACGUCAUUAAGUCUUCGGUUUACAAAAAAAAAAAAAAAAAAAAAUUAUAUCUUCAGUUCAGAAAUUAGAAGUCUUGUAUAUGCAAUUACCAUAAAUUCGAUCAGAAUUACCAAAUUGAAAUUGGGACUUUUGUGAUGUUAUGAACUGUGCUUGAGAAUUCAGUAUUUUGUGGAUGGUUCUAUACAAGCGAAAUGGUUGUGAAUAGAAUCUGUGUUAAGUAACUUAAUGAAAAUAUGCUGGCAACUUAUUGGUGGAAGUGUCAAUUUCAUUUUUUCUUUCCCUUUGUAUGACUUGGGGUCAAAGUCAAGAGUCGCUAAGUCUAUUAUAUUGUUUGUCGAUAAGAACUUCUUCGAAGCGCAAGGCAAAAAAGGACAAGCAAUUCUCUCAUUCAGGAAAAGGACGAAGCAGUGGAUUUUCGUUUGCCCAACGCAUUAGGCCAUUGCAAUACAUUCUCUUUUCUUCAGCAAAGAAAAGGGUGGAAAAAAUUUCAGUGGGGUUCUAAGUUCUAACUGAGGCGAGUCGAUCUAUUGCCGUUUGAAAAACUAUUUCCAAACUCCCUCUUCAAGAAUUUUUGGAAGGGCACCCUCCAGGAUGGCUAAACCUACCCCACAAGCUCUUUGAUGGAAGCCUACAUUAUGAUUAUGUUGAGAGUGGGCAAUUGUCCCCCCUCAACUUUACAAAAUUUAAAAUAUAGCUUUAAAACUAUUACUACAAUUUUUUUUUAUCAUUAUUGCACCUCCUCAAUUGUGAAAAAUAACCUUUUUCUCUUUAUAUUGCCUCCUUAUAUUAAAAGGAAACCUCAUUCCCCUCACAUGAUUUCCCUAAGCAAUCAAUUUCUUCUAGAAAUAAUUUCAAUACUUUCAAAACACAAAAUAAAAAAAUAACUCAAAAUAAAACAUAAUUUUAAGUCAAAAUUUUCUUGGCACAAUAAUUAACAACAUCAUUUUAGCUGUAUAAUACUGGUUCCAUUAGCUAUAGGUCCUAGCUCCGCCAUUAGAUCGAUGGAAGUCCUUUAAUUUGGGUGGCUUUUCCUUGGAUGAAAUAUUUGACAUCCAGUUUUUGAGCUUCAUUCGAACAACAAUGCUGGUCCUUGGACUUCAAAUUUUACAAUCUUCAAUUAAGAGGGAAAAAAGGAAAUGAAUAUUGUGUGAGAAAAAAGUAAGAAACAAAAAAAAAAAAAAAAGGAGGAUUGUGUUGCAAAUGUACAGAAAGGCCUAUUAGGGAGAAAAGGUACGGUAGGCCUCUUGUAUUUCUACGAAGAAGGGAAUUGAAAGUGUUAAGAGGCAGGCAAAGCUUCUACAGUUAUUCCGUACAACCUAGAGCAAAAACACCAGAAUGAGGUCACUUAAUACAGAACUGUUCGUCUUGUAACGACAACACCUUGAGGAAGACCAGAAGAAAUAUUAAAGGUAAUAAUAUCAUAUGUUGUAUUUGAUUCAAAUAAUUGCUCGCAAGUUUAAUCCAACAUUUUACUUGAAUUGCGGAUCACAUCCCGUGGGAAGUGGGAAGCACUAAAUCUCCCCCUACGAUGGAAUUACUUGAUAAGAUUGACCUUGAGAUUCUAUUAAAAAUUUACGCUACCGCACCACUGAAACAAUAAAUAAAUAAAAAGGGAAUUAGUCGAGGCCUUCUUCAAAAGCUAGCGUUAAAGAAGAAAAGAUUGGGAAGUUUUCAUAUCAAGUCCAAAUGGGAAUUAUGAUUCAAGAUAUAUGUAGCUAGGAUAUAUACCUUGCUUGUUGGGUUAAAUAAUUACCAUUUAGAAGAUAUCGUUUGGCAAUGUAACAUGUUUUUUCUAACAACUUAAAUGGCUAAAUCGUGUUUAUCAAUUUUGUGAUUUAAAACCGACUUAUUGCUACAUCCACCAAUUUCAUGUCAUAAAGAGUAAGGUUUUUCGUGACUUGCAUUAAUCGGACACGUUACGAAAUUGCAAAUUUCUAAAGAAAAAUUGCUACUUUUUCGUGAGUACAUUUUUCAACCACCUUUUUAUCUUACAUAUAUCAAAUCAAAUCGUUACGGUGUAAUUUUCUACAAAAAAAAGUCCAGGAAAAUGCAAUCCAAACACAAUCUUUUUUAACCACCGUCAUUCUUUGAAAUCGACCUUCUGUGCGGUAGUUAUUUCCAUCACGAUGACAGGUACUUCUCCUCACCACAGGAUUUGGGAAAACUUCAUAUGCAUUGACCAUUAAAGAUUUGGGAAUGUGCAAUUUGCUCUUGUCAGAGUACACAUUUCAAAUUCAACCGAGGUACUAAUUAAAAUGUGAAACAAAUUAUUGACAAGCCUCCAAAUGUUACACAGGAGAAUGUAAUUGAUCGAUUUAAUUAUGUGCUUUAAUAUUAAGUCUUAUUUUCUCACUAGAAGCAUAUAUACAAAUCCUAUCCAAAACCCUUCACUACGGAAGAAAACAUAUCCAAAAUACUUUUUGGAAAAAAAAAAAACACGAAGAAAGAAAUGUAUCCGUAUAAAUAAUUAACACUAUGACGAAAACGGAAAAGCUAAAGCAAAACAUUUCUUCAACGAGGAUAAUAAUUAUUUGGACCUUAGCCACCGCCGCCACAUCCGCCCCCACCGCAUCCGCCGCCUCCGCAUCCGCCCCCGCCGCAUCCGCAGCCGCCACAGCCACUGCCGCCGCCACCACCACAGCAGCAACCUUGGCUAGCAGCACCACCAUCAGUUGCUACACCGCCACAGGCGCCACCGCCACUCGUUUUAUUAUCACGGGCACGUUGUUCUUCUUCAACGUUGCUUACUGCGGCAGCUGUAGCAACCGUAGCAGCAGCUACGGCAGCACCAGCACCCGCACCGGCCAAGAUGGCCAUAUUUCCAUCCCUCUUGCCGCUGCGAGCAGCCCUUUGAUCAACAGCAUAGGCCGGCCGUGGAAGGGAAAUAUCGGGUUUGGUUGGUGUUUCAGUUGUCUUACUUCUUCGCCGGCUUCCUAUAAACGGACACAGACAGCAGCCCGUCAUGUUCUUAAUUUUCUCGACCUCAGCUAACUAUGUAAUAAUGGCUAACAUUAGCAUGUUGAUAGAUCAUAUUGCAGAGGAAUCCUUAAUCCUAGUACAUGAUGGCUUCGGACAUUUUCUAGGGGUUAAAUGGUCCCAAAAAAAAAAUGAAGAAGAUGAAGAAUUCCUGAUGCAAAGCUCUGCUCUCCAAGACUUCAAGAGAUAUUUGUCUAUUAUCUAAAUUCAGCAACUAAUACCUUCCAAUUUCGCACAUAUGAUCGGUGCAAGCAGCUCAAUUUUAUUUUAUUUUUUUUUAAUAAGACGACUUCGUCGAAGGUCAAACAAUAGUUUCCUAUGAAUUGAAGGCAAUGAAGGGGCCACCAGUUGGGAUAUUUCCAAUUUUCCAUUCAGCAAUAAUUGCUCAUUGCUAUCCUGUCCUAUUCAUCGUCAGCUUCUUGGUUGAAAAUUUUCGGUUGAAAACCAAAAAUAAAAUUCACGAUUUUGAAAAACACACUAACAAACUAUUUCACAACUCAUUGUUGGUACAAACCGUGUAACAAUUGUCAAUCAUAGACAAUAAAUCAAGCAUCCAGAGUUAUUUUCUGCUUGGAGCACUUCAGACUUGUCAGUCCUGAAGGAACGAAAGAAAGCCCAUAAUCUUAUAACGUUCGUUUUCGUUUGGUUUCAAAAUAAAAUUUUCAAAAUAAAAUUUUCAAAUAUAAUGUUAUACUAAUACAUAAAUAAAAAUAACAUAAAAAAUAUUUCAUCCAUACAGUAUAUUAAAUAUUUAAAAAAAAAUUUAUAGUAAAAUUUUUGUUUAUAUAUGUUAUUAUAAUAAAAUAUUUCAAAAAAUAGCUAAUUUUUUUUUUCGACUCAAAGCAAUUGACUUUUGCCGAAUGAAAUAACCUAAUCCCAGAGAUAAUACCAAAAACCGGCAACUCUUGGUACAACCCCAGGGACUUAUCUACCCAACUAACCCAACCCCCCGACCCGAUAUGGGAUAAACUACUCUAGGUGUUCCCAACCUAAGCUAAGAACCCCGGCACAUGAACUAAACAUGCUAAUACUAACGAGCAGUUUGUCUUUUUUCGACUCAAAGCAAUUGACUUUUGUCGAAAAAAUAGCUAAUUCAAACAGGGCGAUUUUUGACUUUUUUUUUUUUUCUUUUCUGGAUAGUACCAAAGAACGUUAAAAGGGUUUCUGAUGCAAUACAUAUAUUACUAAGUAUAACAAUUAUACUUUAGCAAAGUUGAGCUACCAUCCUUUCUGCUUACGAAAAUCUAUCCUAUUCUUUUUUUUCUUUUGAACCUAUGAUCCAGAUUGAGCAUUAACACGGUCCACGGGUCAAAGACUCGGCGUCGAUCCCCUAGCCUGCGGCGGGGCAUCAGAUUGCUUCCCAUUGAAGCCAAUUCAAUCGUAUUUGGGUGCAGUUCUAACUAAGUAAAAAAAACAUAUAUAUAUAUUUAAGAUUUUUACAUCAAGGCUGAAUAAGUAGUUUUUUUUUUUCUUUUUUUCCUCCUGUCUCUUUGCAAAAGGCAAUACAUUCACUUUUGUUGGAAUGAAAAAAAAAAAUUUUUUGUUUUUUAAAAAAAAAAUGAAGAAAAGAACAGGAUGCAUGCAACACCAAGCUGGAGGUAAUGGAAAUUAAUUUACUUCACUUCAAUUUGUAUCCUUUUCUUUCUAAAGAGAAAAGCUGUCCAUCCCCAGUAGUUUUAAAGGAAAAUGUCACAGAUCUAGAAAGGUUAUGAAACUAAAAAGAAAACCUACACCGUAAAUCUCAGAAAUCAGAAUUCUUAAGAACAGAUAAUUCGAUACAAUACGAAUGUGAAGCUUUAAUUUUCUGCUAACAAAUAACCAAUCAUCGACAAAUUAAUUCAAUCAGUAGUUAACAAAUACAUUACAUAUCAUAAACUGGAUCCAGAAAGGGGAAGAAAAAAGACCCGAGGAUAAGACUGACAAAUUCCAGAGUCCAAACUCUAAACUCAACCUCCACCACCAUCAUUUCCUCCUCCGCCGCCGCCGCCAUCUGCACUUAUGCCAUCCAAAGCAGCCACCGCCGCAAGCGCAGCAGCACCAGCCAUAAUGACGGUUCCACCAUCUCCCGCGCCAUUACCACCACCACCACCAGUGGUCACAGUUGCACCAUUUCCGCCAUCUUGAUAAGCUCGAAAAGAGGAAUUGGAAGCUCUUUUUCUGGGAUCAAUGGUGGGAAUCGCGUUUCCUCUCUUCUUAUUGCUCUCUUUGCAAUACCGGUUGACAAGCAUCACCAAACCGAUGAAAAUAAUGCAAAUUGGUAUUACAGUAACAUAUGCUGGCAUUUUUGAGAGUUAGCCACUAAAGUUUUUGAAGUAAAAAUUCCUCAAUAUAUCGACAAGCCACUGAAUUUAUAUUAAUUAAUUUAGGUACAUGGAUAAAGUUUUCCAUGGCCAUUACACAAUGACCCCGGUUGAGAUCGUUGACUUUUUUUUUUUGUGGUUUAGAAGGUGCAUUUUUAAUAUUUUUCUUAAAAUAUCAAAGCAACUUGGCAGAAAGUAGUGGUACGUAACAAGUAUCUGAUGAUUGAUUAAUAAUGGCCAUGUGCCACCUUAGUCAUUCCAACCAAAAGGGGCCGUGGCAGUAUUUCCAAAAUGAAUUCCAGGUGUUCAUAUUUUGAAAAAAUAAUAUUAAUUAAGAAAAGUAUGUAAAUGCAAAAUGUGAUAAUAAUUAUGGAUAAUGUGUGAAGUUAUGUGUGAUAAUAAUGUUAAAAAAAUCUAAAUAAGAAAGGAAAAUAAUUAAAAGAUAAAAAAUUUUCUAAUGAGUGUCCAAUAGGCGAGCGUGAGUGAGAGUUUUACUGAAGAAAUUCAAGCUCUCGUUCAUACUAAUUUCUGCAGGAAGAAUUUGACCUGAAAAAUUGUUGUUACCUGCCCUUAAGAUCUUAAGCCUUCUCAAUCUGCCAAUGGAUGAUGGAAUUAUUCCAGUAAGAUUGUUACUGUAAACCACAAGCCCCUCAAUUGAAGUAAUAUUUCCAAUUCCCUCUUGGACUUCUCCAAAAUUAUCUUUCUGAAAUGGAUAAAUUAAGCUUGCUGAAGGGGGUUAUUUUGUAAAUUAAGCUUGUGUGGAAUGUCAUGAUUCGACCACUUUAGAUGGGAGGCUGUCACUAGGUGAGUCCUUAGUGGAAGACCUGGAAUAUUUAGCACCUUAAUCUUAUUUUCACGUCCUGUAUUAGGUAACAGCAUCAUAUUCUAGUGGUCUCGAAUACAUCUUCAACAUGGAACUAUGAAAACACAGUCCCGCAGCGGCCAGAGCUAAAGGAGCAUGUAUUGCAACUAGCAGUGACAAUCAAAUUACUGCCAUGCAGUGAACGGUACUUAGUGAAUAAACCAAUCAAGAAGUUUCUUCCAUCUGUCAAACUUUAUCUUACCCCGGCUUGGAAACUAGGCCACAAGCCCACAUUCAAACUCAUGAAUCAGUAACUUCGAUUCGUUUAUGCAGCAAAUAUGCAGGAGUACUCUUAUUUGGUCUAUGCCCAAUCAGUUACCCAAUUGAAUCAUAGUCUGUAUUCAUCAAUGGAGCUGACGUUGGCAGGAGGCUUGCUGGAAGUCCACUUCAACGGAUCUCAUUUGGCCCAAUCCCAAAUCACUAUGAUGAAUUAUGGUGGAACUUCUUCUUAUUAUCCCCUCUCGCGCAGCAAUUUGGGGGUGCAGAGAUUCAAGCUACACGAGCUCAUAUGUCGAGUUUGAACUCCAAAUUCUUGUACUCAAAAACCUGACGAGAAAUUAAUUGAGUUGAUAUAUACACACAUAUAUAUAUAUAUAUAUUAUUGUGAAAUAUCAAUUAUAUAUAUUUUUUUAAAUUAUAUCUAAAAUAUUAAUUUUUAUUAAAUGAGUUCAAUUAGAUUCGAAUAGGUUCAAUUGAACUUGAUUAGAUUUCAUUAGGCCUAAUUAAACUCAGGCUCGACUUUCUAAAACCUGGAGCUCAGUUACUUUAGCUUGAAUGGAGCUCGAGUAGUCCACUUGAGUCAAAUGUAUCCCUACACUCACGUUUCAAGCCAAUAUCGAUUGGGCACCAUUAAUUUUCUAUCGCGUUUCAAGCCAAUAUCAGUUCUGCACCAUUAAGUUUCUAUCAGGAACGGGGCCUGCAGCUUUCUCAAUUCAUCAUCGUCUUCUUCCUCAUUAUUCCACUACGAACUAAAAUCUUAAACAUGACUUACGUUUCUUAUCCUUAUCAAUCUUUUGUCUAUUUCGCCAAUGGCACAUACAGAACAAUAUUCUUCACAGAUUCUGAUAAUGCUUCAGCCACGUGUCAGCACUUGCACCUCUUAAUCAAACACACGACCAAUGCAAAAUCCCAGAAUCAGCUUCUGUAACUUCGUCUGUUCUCACUGAAAAUCUAGUACUACCCCUUUAUUAAUUUGUUCGCUACCCCAUUAUUUGCUUAAACCAAGACAACCUAUCACACUGGAGUAGUAGGCAUGGCUAGUUUUCUUGAUCUAUUCAAGGUCUCAUUUCUAUGGAGUCUCCUCUCAAUUGGAUCAAAUUUGGGCACCUUGAAAGGAAGUUCAAGUGGGCAUGUUGGUGUGUUUCCUCCUACAUGCAAUCGGAUAGAGUGUCCGAGUUUUGAUGUGAUUCAUUCGGGAAAUGGGUUCGAAAUUCGACGGUACAAUUCGCCUGUGUGGAUGUCAACCUCUCCCAUUGAUGAUAUUUCGUUUGUGGGUGCGACUAGAACUGGUUUCUUGCAGUAAGUUUGCUGUAUUCUGGUAUCAUUUUCCUAUCUUGGAUGUUUCCAUUUCCAUUUCAUCAAAUCGCUAGAGUUUCUCACUUAUUUGCGAAAUUUUGCUUAUGUCUCCUUAAUGAUAGCAAUACUAUAAUUUUUUCCCUUGUCACAGUUUAGAUUUCGUCGUCUGUUCCCCAUUUUUGUCACUCUGGUUAAGUAGAACGACCAUUUCGCAACUUCACAGAGUCUUUCUUAUUCUUCUUAUAAAAAUUAAGCCUUUGUCUGGCUGAUAUUUGUUUAGUUUAUAUCAGGAUACUAUCACAUUUAGUAUUCUCUAGCUCAAAUUAUGAUUAGUAUCAUUUCAUAGCUCUCCAUCUUUUGUCCUAAAAAAUUGUAAUGAUCCUAAGUAAGAACGUUGACACGGUUUGAUUGAAAAGGUAUUUGGGAAUUCUUCUCUAUUGACAAAUGAUAGUCUCCUCAAGUCUGUACUCCUUAUGCCCUUCAAUGAAUCAAAAGAAUGGAGAUAUAUUGCAACAACCAUAUUCUCUUUGGUGUUUUUUUUUUUCGCCUUUGGAGUACUAAAUCAGUUUAGAGUUUUCUGUUUAAGAACCUAAAUGUUAAAGGGGGAAAAAUAAUCUGUUUAAGUUAGCCAAAGGGAAAUUUUUGGCCACAAGUUCAUAGUAAAGCAAAGAUUGAACUAAAAUUAAUGAUUUAAGCAGUCUAAAAGCUACCCAGGGUUGUUACUUCUUAGAACUGACAGCAUUAGCUUAUCAGUUUGCAACUGCUACUCUAAUUGUAAACAAUAAGGUGAGUCUGCAUAAUUCACUGGGCAUAUCCAUCUUCCCCUGCCAAUUCAUGAUAUUUCAAAGCAAACAAGGGAUUAUGAUUCAUAAGUUUUAUUGCGAUCAUGUAGUAGUUAAACAUCUAGUUUAGUUCGAGGCAUGUUGAAGAACCUUUCGGGGGCUUGACAUACCACAAAUCCUCUUCAAAGAUAGGGGUUCCUUCAUGUGUGGCCCUUGGUUUUUGGACAUUGUUCAAACCUGUUGGAGGUAUAGUGCUUAUUCAGGUUAAGUAGGAAAGUCUUUGUGGUCACUGAGACAUUAAUUUUGUUUGCUGAUUCAUCCUAAAUCUGAAAUGUUACAGAUCUAUUGGUGUUUGAAUAUUUGUGAUCCUCCCCCAUGUUAUCACUAGAAAUUCCCUACCUAGAGUUGGUGAUUUUGUUAAAUACAGGUCCAUGGUAAACCUUCUUCCCUUCCAAACUUGCAGGCUAUUUGACUACAUUCAAGGCAAGAAUGAAUAUCAGCAGCAAAUAGAAAUGACAGGUCCAGUGAUUACAGAAGUCAAACCUAGUGAUGGACCAUUCUGUGCAUCAUCUUUUGUGGUGAGUUUCUUUGUUCCAAAGGAGAACCAAGCUAACACGCCGCCUGCUAAAGGGCUCCAUGUGCAAAGAUGGGGGCAAACCCAUGUAGCAGUAAGGCAGUUCAGCGGAUUUGUGGCUGAUGAAGAUGUUGGUAAGGAAGCUGCAUCCUUGUAUAACAGCAUUGCUGGAACCAUUUGGUCAGAUGCCAUUGACAAAAGCCAUGCAGGAGAGAACACAACUUUGUAUAUUGUCGCACAAUACAACUCUCCUUUCGAGUUUGAGAACCGAGUAAAUGAGAUUUGGCUGACAUUUGACAUGAAUGAAGAUGAGAUUUAAGAAAGUAAAGUUUCGUGACCUCUUGAACCUGGAGACGUAAUUCAAGAAUAGCUGGAUUGCAUCUAAUUUGGUGUUGAAUUAUUCAACAUCUAUUUAACUCUCUUUCUAGUAAUAGCUACCAUAUUCGUAAUAAUGCUGUAACUAGAUCCUACUGAACUUUAAGUGUGUGCUAUGUGCUAUCGGAAUAAGUUUGUCCUGUUUUCGCAAUGAAGUUGAGGUGCCUAUGAGAGUAUAUGAAAUGGACUCGGCAUAUUUACAUGAGACUUGACAGAGCAAAUACCUUCCCAAUCCUUCCAUACCAGCUAGUUUUGUCCCAACAACUAUAAAGCCAAAAACCCGCCAGCCUGCAUUCAUUAUUUUGCCACUCUACAUAAUUAGAGUUGGCUUUCGGUGGUCUGGGGCAUCUAAAUUGACUCAAGAGCAGGAAUAACUUUCCUUAGAGCACAAACAUCAGCAGACGAAAAUUCGGUAUAAGUUGCAUCAGGAAGAAGAAAGAGUAGCAUUCUCUGGCACAUCACCCAUCAUGGACAAGAAGAAAGAUUUGACUCGGUUACUUUUCAACCAAAGAUACAAAAUGGAAUUGGAAUCCUUACGUCGAAGUUGCAGAAAAACUACUCAGGCAGCUUAAAAGUCUCGCCCCUGGCAUCGGAACAUGAGAAGAGUUUUCAACCUGAAAUGAAACAUACGUUCAGAACUAAACGAAACGAUGAAGAGGUCCCUUCUCCUUAAAUUCUGACCAAUGUUGUGAACUGUUAAACAAGAAUAUUCAAUCAACCCAUACAAUAGAAGGCAUCAAAUUUUGCAAUCUUGUACCGCAGUAUAGGCAAUUUUAAUAACUCUUUCUAUAAUGAUUAGCUAGAAUUUCUUUUCCUAUGUUGUAGCUGGUGCCAAAUUGUUAUUUGACUGACGUUGUAAAUACUUCAGUAUUUUGUUUCAAUCCUACUCAAAAUCCUAUUAAGUACCGAACAGCAAGAAAGAAAUGAUAAAUUCAUUUACACUCUUGGAUGGAUAGUUAUAUGGAUUUCGACAUUAAUUGGAUCGAUAAUGGUGAAAAAUUCUAACCUAGUAUUAUGCUCCACCAAGUUUGGGAUAUCUUUAAUCUUAUUGACUCGGAUUCUAACAAAAUUUUCAAUAGAUGAAACCUUGUCUAGGAAACAAGAUUGAAGCCCCAAGAGACAGACAUUUUGGAUUAAAGUACCAGAAGUUGUGAAUUUAGUCUAAUUUUAUGUUUGUUAUUUCCCACCGAAUGUGGUUAUUUGUAAUUUAUGCUAGUAAUUAUCCCACAAAAUGUAAGUAAUUUAUAAUUGAUAAAUUGUUAUAUUAAUUCCAUACUUAUGAAUUACAUAUAAUCUUAUGAAAAAAACGAUUGCAAUACAAAGAAAUGAAGAGGCAUCAACGUUCCUUUGUCCUCCAUUAGAGUACUUUGCACUUUAAGAAAACGCGAGCUACUCGAUGAUCUAGUCCCACUCAGGAACAGGGCAUACUUUUCCCUUGUAUUUCAAAACAUUUGACAAACUGUUUAGAUUCCCAUUUUUCAUUUUUUUGAACAAGUUUUUCAUAUACAAUACUAUAGUAACAUGUGAUGGAGCCAAUCCACCACGGCCACGCGUUAGUUCGGGCAAGUUGACAUAUCAGCUCGGUCGGAUUAGCUUGGACAGGGUGGUAGUCAGUUCGCGUAGGGUCACUGCCACUCCUACCGGAUGGGCUUGAUGGGCCGCACCCCCCGAACUCUUCGGAGUCACCCAAUGGAGCCCUAAGAGGAAUCCCUCUCUAAUAAGACUCCGUUUCCUAUAAGAAAACUACUACCCUGAAACCUAUAAAUAUACCCCCAUAAAGCAAAGUAAGGUACGCCAGUAAAAGUACUAUAUACUAUUACUCUGAAAAAGCUCUCACUGACUUGAUCGUCGGAAUUGCACCGGAGAACCAGUCUCGCCGUUCACUUCUCUUUGCAGGGCAGUUCGCACACCUCGCUUACGCGCCAGUCUACUCCUCUGCAGUUCGCUCAACCCGCCGCAACUCAGUUCAGAUCACGUUCUCGGCAGUCGCAUCAAUUGGCGCCGUCUGUGAGAACCGUAAUUCUUCUCUUGUGAAAAUAUGUCGAAAAUUAUAUCUUAGAGGAACGUUGACGGAUUCAAGGGGAACGAGCGGAAUGACCCCUAAAAUCCCUGUCAAGACCCAACUCCGAAGGAUGAGGGCCCGGAGUUCUCGCGUAUCCCGUCCGAACAGCUGGUACAAACUGUGGCGGACAACAUGCCUACUUUCGAAGCCAUCAUGAACUAUCUCAAAGGGCAGACCGGAGACCAUUAGGACCAGGAGCCCAAGGCGUGAAAAACGGGUGGAAUUAAACAAUCAGAAUCUCGAACGGGAAACCCCAACCCCCGGCAAAAGCGGGCAAGGAAGGAGUUCAAGCAUGAACAGAUCGAAAUUCUGGAACCCUCUCACAGGAACUCCAGAACAGAACACCCUGAACGCUUCCGGGGGUUCCCAUGGAGGAAGUCCUCUCCAAAGAGAAACGACACGAGUACCAGAUACAGGACGAACUGGAUCUUUUGCUAGAUCUGGAGGCAGACAAAUAUACUGCCUCCCCCUUUGUGCCAAACAUUGAGGACUACCCGCUGCUCGCUAAACUCAAAAUGCUGACCAUGAAAUCCUAUGAUGCAACCACGGAUCCAGAGAAUCACCUGUUCGCAUUCUUGACAUAAAUCGCCUACAAACAACUAUCGAUGCGAUCAGAUGCAAGACCUUCCCGAUGUUCUUGGAACAAAGAGCGCGUCAGUGGUUCCAGAAACUACCUUCAAGGUCAAUUCGCUCUUUUGAUCAGCUCGGGCGCCUGUUCGCAACUCAGUUCGUUUCGUCGCGAGCUUUCUCCAAAGUACAAAAUCACUUUGGUCAAAAAUCAAUCAAAACAGUCAAAAUCGGCUGAACCAAUUAUCGGAUUCAACUGGUUGACCCAAUUCUCAAACUUUUAUUUCUUAUUUUUCUCGAAUAUAAUUUGAGUUAUUUAAAUUGUAAUAUUUUCAUUUAUUAAUGGCAGUAUGAAAACGCCACCCACUUAGUGUAAAUACCAAAAUCACUCACUUUUCUGAAUGAUCUCUAAUUCAAAAUAUUUCAUUCCUAUCAUCUUAUCAAUUUAGUAUUAGUGAUUCCAACUUACAUUAAUUUGUUUUAAUUUAAUUUUUCAAAUAAUUUUGAAAAAUGGACAUAUUUUAAUCAUGAAUUUACAUUUUUAUAUAUAAUUAUUAGGUGUAUAUUUGAUUACAAGUCUAUUAUUUUUGGAACAUUUUGUAUGAUUGGCCGAAUAUAACCAAGAAUUUAAUUUCAAUAUUUCUGAAACUUAUAAAAAUAUAAAAAAAUUAUGACAUCAUGCUAACGUCAAUGAAUUUUUGCGAAUGGUCUGAUCGAUCCGACCAAUUGACUCCUAAUCCAGUAAUUUAGUUGAGUCACUAUCCAAUCCAAGUUUAACAACAUUGCUCUCCCCUCCCCCUCCUUGAGCUGUCGUGGACACAUGUAAGGGAGUAUUUACUUUUUUGAAUUCACUUUAAUAAGGAAGUAUUUUAAAUUCAAAAGGUACACACGUAAAUUCAUCUAAUACCAAUUUAGAUGGACAUAAUGAUUAACUUGGACUUUCAAAAUUUUACUCUAAUAUUGGUCAAAUAUCAAUUACUAAGUUUACCAUAUAUUUAAUCUGGAUCGAGAUAUAAUUUCACCUAAUAUUGCGACAAAGGGAGUAAUACGAGUGUUUUGUCGCGUAAGAGUGCACCUGACGGGCUUUUUACAAAUACGUACAAGUUAAAAAAUCGAAUUUCGACCAAAUGAAAUUGGCUACUGUAAUUCGGCUUUUUGACCUGGAAAACCUUCAAACUGGAUUCAGAUGUCUUCACCAAAGUUGUAGAUCUAUCUCUUAUCUUCAAAUUGGUUUAAGAAUCAUCUCAAUCCGAUUAUUGUAACUCAAGUUAUAGCCAAAAUAUGAAAAUGUGUCAAAACUGUCAAAAUACACAAAAUCCAAGUAAAAAAUGAUAAAAACCUUAUUUAAUUACUUAAAAGCAUUUUUUACCAUUUAUAGCCAAAAUGAUUCAUUUUCUUCCAAUAAUAUACCCAAAGUGACUAAAAAUAAUAUAAAAAGUCAUAUAAUUAUUACAUAAAUUAGUCACUUAUCAGUACCAAUAAAGGCUGCAUCUACCACCCACAAACCACCCCGUUGAAUAUGCCUACCUCUUAGAUUGCUUGUUUAUCAGGCCGGUUUAUCUGUUAACUCUCGUGCUUAGUCUAAUUAAGUGUGUGUGUGUGUGUGUGUGUUUAUUUCUGUGUCCGGAAAAAAAGAAUAUGCCUGCCUCUUUAUUGUACAAAGGUUUCAGUUGCUUAUUUAUUAGCCUGCUUGUUAGUCAAGCACUUUUGACCAUUUUGCUGCAUAUACCACCCACGAACCACCCGGUUGAAUAUGCCUGCCUCUUUAUUGUACAAAAGUUUCAGUUGCUUAUUUAUUAGCCUGCUUGUUAGUUAAGCACUUUUUGACCAUUUUGCUGCUAUAAAUGUUUUUAGUGCUCCAAUUAGUGAUUAAACGAGAGCUGAAAGGAAAACGAUGGUUACGUACCUUCGCGUCAGAUAUUGAACCAAUGAAGAUCGAAAUUACCAACCCUUCUAGAAUUCAAUUGAAAUCUACACGGUUGCCAAAUUAACACGGAAAUUUAGGAUCUCAUUACUAACAAGAGAAUCCAACUUGUUCACGGCUCCUUCUUCUAGAACUGCUAUGUUCACAAUUUCUCAUGGACAGUGACCCCUGUUCGGAAAGGGAUUUCCCACCAAAAAAAUUUCUACGUAAAUAUAUUUUUUAAUUAUUUUUUUAUUUUACAUAUAUUAAAUCACUACAGCAUGAUUUUUACAAAAACUUCAUAAAAUUACAAUCCAAACACGAGUUUGUUAGAUCCAUUUCCAAAAUUGGCUGAUUUUCAUCCUGCAUGUCAUGAGGCGUAACACAUAUUGCAGGCAUCAAAAUUAGACUGGAAAGGCAAGAAUGUUUUCUUGCUUCAACUUUCCUUUCAGUGAAUGGUGUGGGGUGCUAUUCUGACCAUACGGGGGCCAUCAUCAUCUGCUGCUCAUUUUCAGAUAUAUGUUUCUGUGAUCAAAUAGCUGACAUAUUUUGGUAGAAAUCUACAGCUUAUUGCUCAAUUGAGGAUAAAAGUUUUCCAGAAACAAGUUCAAAAUUGACCAAUAUAAUCCAAGUCAAGGACAACAAACAAAAAUCGACCGAGAGACGCGUCCAAAAAACCAAAAAUGAAAAAAAAGAAAAAAAUGAAGAAACCUCCAAGAAGUCCGAUUGAUGUGACUAUUUAACGUUGUAAUCCCAACAACUCAAAAGCCUUAAACCACUAUAUAUGAAAGGACUGCGUGGCAUUGAGGAGUAACACACUCUUAGAUUUGAUUCAAGCAAUCUCAGAGAGAGCAGAGAAGAAAAAAGAGAGAGUGUAAUUUUAAGAGAAAUAUCCACAAGAUCAGAGAUGGAAACUAAAGGUGUCCCACUAAUUGACAUGCAAGACCCUCAUGGUCUACCGGAGAAACUAGUGAAAGCAUGUGAAGAAUGGGGUUGCUUUAGGGUAGUGAACCAUGGAAUUCCAUCGACAGUCUUGUCAGAAAUGAAAGUUGUUUGCCGCUCGCUCUUGGAUCUUCCAUUCAAAAUCAAGCAAGGAGACUCUCCUCCUGGGCCUGGCCAGAGAUACACGCCACCAAACAUGGCAAGUCCAUAUUUCGAGGGACUGAAUAUCUAUGACAUGGCCUCCCCGGGGGCUGUCGAUGAUUUUUGUACUCAAGUUCAUGCUUCUCCACAUCAAAGGUGAAUUUUCUCGUCCCAAAGUAGAAAUGCACAAAGGGUUCUCUUAACUAAGAUCAUGUGUAUACAACUGCUCAAAAAUUCGGCUUUCUUGCAGGGAGAUUAUAUUGAAGCACUCUCAAGCUCUGUUCGAGCUUGCGAAAGAUCUUGGUGGAAAGAUGACUGAAGGGUUGGGUUUGGGUGGACUAGAGGCAUUCAAGGAUUGGCCUUGCCAGUUCCAAAUGAAUAAGUACAAUUAUAACCCAGAAAGUGUUGGAUCAACCGGUGCUGUAAUGCAUUCAGACGCUGGAUUCAUCACCAUAUUACAGGAUGAUGAAUUGGUUAACGGUCUAGAGGUUGUGAACAAGUUUACUGGAGACUUAGUCUCCGUGGAUCCCAUACCAGGCACCCUUGUUAUCAACAUUGGAGAUGUUGGCAUGGUAAUUAUUAGCCUUACAAAUUUCUUUUCUCUCAAUAUUAUAUCCAUAUCAACUAAAAAUGCAAGUAACUUUUGCAGCCUUGAAUCCAUAUUUAGGCAGCAGUACUUCGUAACUUCUGUGUAUAUAAUUAUACAAUAAAAGUAACGGUUGAAGAAGUUUUAUACGUUCAUAACUUUCAAAGUUACAAACCUCUGCGAUUGCAUCUGGAAUCCUAUAAUUGUAUGUAACUUUGCUAUUAGCCAAUGAAGGGCUGAUCAAAAGGCAUGCAUGCAGGUAUGGAGCAAUGGAAGAUUUAACAACGUCAAGCAUAGAGUACAAUGCUAUAAAGCAACUGUUCGUAUCUCAAUUGCAUUGUUCGUGUUUGGACCGAGAGGUAAGAGGGUUGAAGCACCAUCAGAGCUGGUGGAUUCAGAGCAUCCUCGUCUUUACAAUCCAUUUGAUUUUGAGGCAUAUAGAAAGCUACGUCAUUCCACCGGUUCACCCACAGGUGAAGCUCUCGAGUUGUUCCGAGCCGCCUUGCCAAUUGAUUCUUGACUUUCAGAUGUGGGUUCAGAGAGAAGGGGCAGAUUAUGGGGGUUAAUUAUUCAUUCUUAGCUAUUGAUGUUGAUUGGCAGCCAUUAUAUAUCAUUUCUUGUAAUCGUUGUUCUCCUUUGCCCUUGGAGUCUAAUUGGAUCGCUUAUGCAUUAUUGGAUAUAUUAACGUAAAGUAAAUUAAAUGUGUGUCGUGUGAAUUAUGGUACUAUUUUAACUCUUACGAUUUUGCUGAAAAAAUUUACUAACCAGUGCUCCAAAAUUCGCCAACUAAUCUACCAGUGAUAUUAUUCGACUCUCUCGUGAUUGUGCUUGUUAAAUCAUUACAAGUAGGGAUUAAAAUAGCUUCUUAUCAAACUAAUUAAUUUCAGACGUCCGAACCAGGAUGGUGCCUUGAUCGAACAUUUAUCUGGAUGGUACCUUGAUCACGAAACUGCAGUUUGACAAUAAUCCCUGCUCACACUAAAAAAAUUGCUCCAACAAAUAUGUAAAUUCAAGAAUAUAGUUACAACUUGGAAGAAAAAUCGAACAAACAAACAUACCUCUCCAAGCAGCACCAGUCUGAUAGCAUGGAGCGCAACCACCGGUGUUUCGUAUUAACAGCCCCCAUUAUUAUAGCUACUAGCUCAAACAUCUGGUCAGCAAAUGCAACAGAAGAAGAAGAGUCCUGCGGUUACACACUUACACUUGGGGGAUGGUUUCCAACAGAUUCUUCAACUACAACAUAAUCACUGAUUUUAAUCAUCCCACUCCUUGAGGGGUUCAUCACUUGCUUGUGUGCGUGGAAGUUCAGAAGGGAGAAAAGUCUGCAUUUACACUUCCAACAUGGGUCCCUAUGAUUCUUGACUUCUCACGCAUUCAUAACCUCUUCUUGAUCGUGCUUCAAUUACUAAAUUAAUGGAAACUCCUGAAACUAAACACCAUAAAAGACAAUAAGUCACAAAAUAUUUUCCUAUUCAAUUUUACAAAUUCUGUUAGAUUUCCUCCUAAGGCGCGCACAGUCAUUUUUGCACUUUAUUCUCUAAUGUUAUUUUUUUUCUCAAUUUAUCCCCUAAACCGUUAUUGAAUUCUAAACUGGCUAGGGGAAUUACUACAUUUAAUUAUUAAGGGUAUAAAUAUCUUUUUGAUAUUACCAUUACACAACACGAGACUCAACUAACGAUUUAGGGCAUAAAAUAAAGAAAAAAAAUUUAUAUGUUAGGAGACAAAGUGCAAAAAUAGAUAUACCUUAGGCGGAGUUUUUGUAAUUAACCCUUUUCUUAAUUGAAGUGUUUGCAACGUUGAUCAUAACAAAUAAAAUUGAUGAAUGGAAUACUAAAUACGUACAGAUGUGAAGUUAUCAACUCAAUUUCCCUUUCCCUUGGGGAAUCGCACUUUUUUUUUUUUUAAAUCUAAAACUGCUUCAAUAGUCAAUUUUUCGAAUCGAGCCUAGUAAGAAAUUUAUUUGGCCUUGUGCUCUCCGUAGUAGUUGGCAGCGUAGACCAUUUGUUUCACAUUGAUGUGAAGAUUUCCUAAGUAGAAAAGCGAAGCCAUGAAUUUUUGGCCUUUCACUUUUUACGUCUCAAUUUAUGACCUUUUGGGCUUCAACAAUCGCGAUCAGAUUCAGAUCCUAAUUAAGGUGGUUUAACUAGAAAUUAAAUGCAAAACACGGUACAUAGAAGACAUUAUUAUUAGUUUCUUUUGCAAGAAACUAGAUGGAGAUAAAAAAGCUGAAUUAUCAAACCUUCUAGAUUUGCAGUUAAAUUGACUAUAAUGAACUUUUAUUAAUCGAAAAAAACAGGUAUAAAGAAGAUCAUAUGCAUAUUUAAUCAGCAUCCUUUUAUCUUCCAGAAGAUCAUAUGCUCCCAAAUGCCCCAUGCAAUUAACUAAUGAGGCAUUAAUUAUAAAUUGUACUCCCUCCCUUUUUUUUAUAACUGACGUUUAAGGUUUUGCACACCAAUUAAGAAAAGUUUUUCAUUGUUUAAAUCUGUACACUACUUUCCUUUUGUACCCUCAUUAAUUGUCCAAUUCACUCAUGUUUUCUCUCACUAAAUGGUGCUGUUUUACUAGGCCAAAAGCAAUGCAAACUAGAGUAGUAAUUAAGAACCCUGUAUUGGAAAAGAGAGAUAAAAGGGUAAAAUUGUGAAAAAAAUAAUUAAUACUGUAUAGGGAUAAUAAGAUGACAGAUAAAAGUACACUAGAGCAAAUUUCUUAAACGUCAGUUAUAAAAAAAAAAGGAAAGGAGUAGUAAGGUGCAGUCAUUUUUGCACCUUUUCCCUCAUUCCUAAAUUAUUAAUGGGGUGCCAAUUUUCUUUUCCAAUAUGGAGCACACCACUAUUAUUUUGAUUGCCAGGAAAGUUGAACCAAGAAAGCUUCAGUGCUUUCCAGAUUUCCAUAAUACGUUUGGGAAAUGCUUAAAUGUACACAUCCGUCCCUAAUCUCACGUCCUUGUAUAAGUUUCUUUUUCUGAAGGAUUCCUUGUAGUAUAAGUUUCAAUUCAAUAGUGAUUGAUUGUACAAUUUAUAAUUAAUGCAUCAAAAGGGUAAUAAUUAUAGAAGAUGUACUGCCUCCUUCCACACACACACACAAAACUCACAUGCUAAUUUUUAUUUUAAAAACAAAAAAAAAAAAAAAAAAAAAGAAGGACGCUGAUCGGUCCUGCAUGCACAUUCUGCCUCUUUGGUCAACUACUCAUUGACAAGCGAAUGGGAACACAAUUUGUAACUUUCUUUGUAAAAUAUUACUGUAGAUUCCCGAUAAUUUCCUUUCCAGUCUGGUAGUCAAAGUAGCUUUCCCCUAAGUAGCUUAAUUUACUAAUCCCCUGGAUCCGCCGCAACAGUCAACAGUCCAUCCCUUUCUUGAAAGGUCAAAAAGCGCGUCUUAAUUUUCUUCUGCUUAACCAGAACAUGUGCCGCCUCUGUCCUUCAUUUUUUGGAAGAUAAAAAAUAUUGCGACUUUAAGCAGUCUACCUCGAAGCUAAGCAAGACAAGUUGCGUACUUUUAUCCUGCAUCUGUUAACUUGUACUUGAUGAUCGAUCAUUCUGUUGUUGCCUUGAGGAAUUGAUAAUCUUCGGACCCAGAUGGAUUUUCCAGUGACGAAAUUGAAAUUUGCUUUCUUGAGAACCAUGCAUGAAUUCUUCUUGUCACCGUCCACAGUUGAGGCUGCCGGCUGCUACCAGCACCUAACCUUUUUAUCUGCCAUGAUUGUCGUUAAUAAACUACAAAAUCCAACAAAGUAUUUUCUUCGAGACUCGGCAAGAAACCUUCGUGGCUAGUCUUUUGCAGUGGGCUUCUGGAUUGUCAUGCGCAGUAGCCAUGCAACUUCUCAAGAAAAUGCUUCCAACGGUCAUUCUUUGUCUUCAUGUCAGCAUCUCACCGUGACUAAUUAACGAGGGCAGCAGAUUCCACGCCGCAGUAUUCCAGCUAGAAAUUUGCAGUAAAAUAGUGGAGUAAUAUCUAAUCCACAAAAAGCAUGAGAAAAAAAAAAAAGAAGAAGAUCACAAUGCAUAUGGUUGCACCAACAGUCUAAUCAAAGCCUGGCUUCUCCAUAUGAAGAAUUUUGACUCAAAAGGCUUCACCAGUUCAUUACAGUAAGCCAAGAGGAACAAAAUGGCCUUAAAAGCUUUAUAUAUGGAACAUUUGACUAUUCACUGCAGCUCAGCAGUAUGGACAGAUAAAGAUGAGAAAUCUUAUGCUUUUCAACUGUAAACUUAAAUACAACAGGAAUUCAUUCUCUUGACAUUUAACCUAUAAACUAAAUGUGCCCCAUCAAUUAAAAUACUAGAAGCCAAAAAUGUGAGGCACAGUUUGUACCUAGCUAGUUUGCCCUAAAAAUCGAGUCUGAAUUCCCAGAAUACUCUAUAUGUUACAAUUUACAGAAGUUUGGGAAAGUCCAUUGCUGGUAUCAUUCCCAUAUCCUACAUGUCCGCCAUCAUGAGUAUCAUUAUGGAAUGCUCCAGAAGGCCACACAACCUUUCUCGAACUCUUUCCACUCAAAGCUCUGGUCAGAGGUUGAGGUGGCAAAUAGUGUUCCGCAACAGAACCCUUCUGCUCUGAAAAGAAUCUAGUUUGGAUCAUGCUGGUUGGAAACAUAUUACAUGCUAGAGUCCUCUGAGGUGGAUACCCUGAUGGAUAUAUGUUGCUAAAUAUUGACGAGAAUGGAUCAAUAUUGCUUGCAUCAGCAUAGUCCACGGUACUGAAAGAGUCCCUUGUACUCUCAGUUGUAAAAGAUGCUUCAUCUGAGCUUGUGAAAAGGGACCAAUCACUUGAUGUAGCAUCUGAGAACUCCCUGCUCAGUGGCUGAGCAUAAGUCUCAGCAGGAUGUCUAUUCCCACUCUCACUCCUGAGACCAGUUCCGUAACUUGAAAAGUUCAUGCACCAAUUAUGAUCUGAAGGAGGGCAAGGGUCAGCAACACGGUGACUCACUCUGCUUUGUUCUAGUCUGGAGGACUUCUGAGCUCUUGAUGGCCAGUGCCUUGGGAUCCCAGCAGCUUGCUGGCGGGUAAUUUUUCUCGUACAGCCCCUAUAUGGCCGCGGGGAUGACCUAACAAAACAGUAUUAGGACUUUGCAACACUUGAUUGAAGAAAGUCAAAAUACGGUUAUACUAGUUGAGCAGAACCUACUGGAAAACAAAAAACUAAGUUCGCAUCAUUGCGAUAAGGACAUUGCAACAUCGCAAGGAAAUCUAGUUUCACCAAGUCAUACACAGUAGGCAUUCAUGCACAAAUGUUAUUAAAUUACUGAAAAAGAAAAUUGACAUUGGCCAUUAACAGGGCAAUCUACAUCAUUUCAGAUAAAUAUUACUUGUUCUUUUGAUGGUAUAAAAUCUGUGCUUCCUAUGAUAGGAAACAAAAUCCAAAGGAUUAUUUGGUCUCCCAAAAAUAUGGUUCAAAAAGACAGCAUUUCGAGAUCUUUUAUAUCAUCUUAACACGGUGGUUAAGAUAACUUGGAGACGCUAAAUAAAAAAAUUUAAUGAUCACCUCAUGUAAAAUAAGAUAUAUGCUCCUUCUGACAUCACCUGAGUCAUUUCUACAGGCUGUACCUGCCAUUUUAGCAUGACAUGGAGGACAGAACACAUAUAAGAUCAGUAGAAGAUCAUGACAAAGUGCAGAAACUAUUUAAGAUGAUAAAAUGAAGAAUACAUGAGACAAUGAGAAGACUGCGACAAAAUAAUGAAGACAUUUAAGAUGGAAGUCAAAAAGUUUGAGAUAAUAAUUUAAAAAAUAAAAAUAUGAAAGAAAGACAGAUACUUCAGAGUGGAGACCUCUAAAUGAUCCAAAAGAUCUAAAGUUGUCCAGUAAAAGCAGAAGUAUAGCACAAAAGAAGAAAAACAGCAUUUAUUCUCUUUAACACAGAUUCGAGGUCAGGAAGUAACAAUUCAGCAUUUGAAUGGUAUAGCUACACAGUAACCUAGGAUUUUGGAGCACCUAAAGCAAUUAUUAGCAAGCAUUCUGAAGAAGGAAUCUUUUUUCUACAACUACUCAAGAAAGGAAGGGAGAGGAGUAUAAAAUUCAAACUUGUCAUUUUCCAAUCAGACGGCAGAACAAAAUCGCAGCUACUUCAGCUCCAUAAUGCAUCAUCCAAUCAUCAUAUCAGUCAAUUGUAUCCGAUACUGCUGAUAAUAAUUACACUAAGAUGAUAGGGAUUUACCUCAGUGUCGUCAAUCCUGAACCAAUUUCCUUGCAGAUCUUUGAUAUAUGCGAUAUAGUGCCCAGAAAAGGAUGCAUUUAGUGUAUCCAGGUGCACAACAACAGCAUAAAGCAUGUAAAGUGGAGGUAUGUCAUCUGUCCCAGUCAUAAAAGGGACCAUAUCUAGCAUAUCCGGGAAAGUGAUACAUUUAUUUAUCUUCCCAUAACGUCCUUCCUGAAUAUUAUCAUAAAAAUUAGACCAAUAAAACUUAAGAAACAAAGCAAUUUAGAUGGAAAGGGACAUAUGUAACCAUAUCCCAGGAUAAGGAAACAAAAACCAAGAUAUCUGAAUGCGAACAGUUCCUUAAUGUUAAGCAUCUUAUGAGCCCACAAUGUUACUAGCUUGCCAGACUCGACCCUUGCACUGGUUUCAUUCCAAGUGUAAUUUCAUUCCUUCUAAUGCUUCAGAUUUAAAAUCAUCAAAGCCAUGAGCUAAACGGCCCUGGAAGUCCAUCAAAGUUGGUGACCAAUUAAAGGGAGGUCACCAGCUCAAGUCAUACCCAUGAUUACCUUCUAUAAAUGAACAAGUCAAGACUACCGCCAGUUUAAUGUGCAAAAAGUCCAGAUCUAAUCUAUUCAGGUACAAUAUCCAUUUCUGUGAGCCAUUUCCACCAGAUGACAGUGCAUUGACUUGAUAAAAAAAAAAAAGCGUACCUGAAAUCUCUUCAACACAAUAGUUAGUAUAUUUGGAGCCUCCUGUAUGCUCAAUUGCUUUCGAGCUCGAACAUAGGCAGCGCACCUGUUUUGGUGAAAAAUUUUAACCACCAGUGAACCACAAGUCAACCACUUCAAUUUUUAACAGUAGAAUCACCAUCAGAAGCAUUACAACCAGGUUGUGAAUCAGAAAUACAAAUUCAACAGACCUGCCACAUCUAUACAUAUUUUCUCCAUCAAGUUCUUCUGGACUUGUAAAUUGUGUUAAUGCAUCUUCCAAAGACUGCACCCAACCAAAUAUCUCCAGUGUCAGAUCCAUUAUGUUCUCUGACCUCUCAGACUCAUGAUGACAUCUUAAACAUUUCACCUGACAGUAAGAAGGUUAAACUUAGCAACUAUUGCAAAUAAUAAAAACAACAGGAAGUAACAAAGAUGCAUGGCAUCCAAAAGUGAGAAAGAUUCUAAUGGAAAAUAGAAGUAAAUAAGGACCUUUGAUCUCAGGCGCCCACCGAAUGUAUGUUGUACAAAAGUUGUUUCCUGCAAUCUGGGAUCAACCACAUUCUCACCGCCUAAUCCUUCCAAGCAUAUCGAUUGCAUUGAUGCAAUAAGAAGCCUGCAUUAAAGAGACAUACCAUGAAGAAGGAUGUAAGGUUAGUACACAUUUUGAACGAUUGUUUGUAUUUUCCUUCAAACAUGAGUUCAUCCUGAGACAAGCCAAGCUAAACAAGCAUCAAUCACUGACCGCAAAAAUUCAUGAGCAUCUUCUUGACUUCCAUCACCAAUCUGGCAAUUGAUACCACGUAUGUGUGAUAGGAUCCUGCUUGGAGAAAUUGGAUCUCCACUUUCUCUUAACUUCAUUACAUGUUGCUCAAGUUCACACAUGAGGCACCAAUCUCUGAUACAAGCUGGUAAUUAGUUAACGGUUAGUGAGAUCGUUAUUCAAAAUCCAAAGAAAAAUACACACACUUACAUACAUCUAGACACAUAUCCAAGUAAAUAUACAAAUGAAGCAGACUCACGCAUGUAUACAUGUGUACAAGACGUAGGCAAAGGUUUCAAAUGGCAAUGAAGAGAAAGAAAUAAAAGUACAAUCACUUACAAGCUCUAGAAUGCAAUCUCUGAAGCAGAAACACAAGGAGAGGCUUUGUGCAGGUCAGACACUGCAAUACAGCAUUGGCAUAACAACUGCACAGUAAAAUGAAAGAAAUCUUGAAAAUACUUGACAAAUAAUAAAAAAUCCUAUGAGAUUUGUUUCAGUACAUUAUUGCAUUAAAAGUCUGUACAUUUCCUAUAUCUAUAAAAUUUUUCUAGAGCUAUUGAUAUGUAAAAGCACAAGAAAAGCAGGAAAAAUUUUGAAGAAAUACCUGUUUCCACAAUUUAUAAGACCUCUUGGAGACAUGUUGAAAACUUCAUACUGAAAGAACUUCACAAAAUCUUCAUACGGAAAUAGCAUCUGUGAAAUAAAAGAAAAAAAUUUAUCCAUAAACUUUCAUGAAUGACUAGGCCCAGAAUACACCAUUUAGAUUCAUCAGUCAAGCAGCUUAAGAACUGGCAAACAAAAUCUUUGCUGAAAUGUUUCAAACAGAUGCAUUACUCCUAUUUAAUAUUUUUGCUCUAUCUGUUUAAAUGAUAAUAGAACUGAUCCUAUAAUUCAGACCUUAACUUUCUUAUGCUGGUCAGAAUUUACUUCUGAAGUCUCUAGUCUCUCAAGUUUUGAAGGCUUCAUGAAGCCAAUCAUCUUCAUAAUUCCCAUGCCAGUAACACCAUUACUUCCUUGUGAAGGGCCAGCAUCCUUUGUUCGAUUAAUUUCUGUUUCAUAACCAAUUGUUAAGUAAACAUCACAGAUCAGCAGGGACAAAUCAGAAAAUGAUGCUUCUUUCAGACUUACUAGACUUAUACGCUGUUACACCCUUAAGAUCCAGAUCUGAACAUGUUUGUUCUCUGGACGCUUUAAUCACUGAUUUUGGUGAUUUAUGGAGCUUUGGAGAUUGAGAUGCACUUCUAGCCUUAUUGCUUCUCUUAUUUGUAGCCCUUUGAGUUGAACAACAUGCCUCUGCUACUUCAUCAUGAGAUGUAGUUUCCUUCUUCUGCAAGUUUUCUCCAUUCAUUGAAUAGGGAGUAUUACAUAAACUCGUUUCAUUAUUUGACGAGUUUGAGGUGGCAUAAUUAUUUCUCAUGUCAGAAAUAUGCUUGCUCUGUCGUCGAAUCAUAUGAUGUUCUUCCUGUGUGCUUCUUGCAUUUGCAUUUGCAUUUCCAUAGCUCACUCCCAUAGGAAUGCUGACAUCAUGGUCUAGCAAAGAAUCACUUUCUCUUGACUGCAACCAAAAGUAAGACCAGUUUUCAGGAUAUAACAAAUAUCUACAUAAAAACUUUAUAAUGUCACAGUUGGCAAGGCUAAGAACCUUGUGUCCCAUAGAAGCUUGCUUCACCGGCAUAUUACAAGACAAGGGUGAACAAGAAACCCCAUUAGGAUUUGCUCUAUCAGAGCAAUCUGGUAGGUGCUCAAGACCAUUAUUUAACGUUUCUCUGUUGCUUUUACAAGAAGGUCGCUUGUCCACAGAUCUUCUCUCUGUCAAAGGGGUCCCAGAUGUAUCCACUUCCGCACAAGCUGUAACAGCUACGGGCAGCAAGGGAGAACAACUAGUAUUCUCUGAAGGAGUUUCUUCAAGCAUAGGUUGGUUGUUAUUGUACUCAAAGGAUUGGAAAUCUACACUGCCAUCAAGUGAUACUCCACCAGGAAACUCAUUGGCUAGGGUGAGUUUAGGAGAUGAAAUGCUGCAAUUGCUAUCCAAUUCCUGGCACUCAUGCUUGUGCACUUCCCUCCAAUGAAUAAUCUGACACUUUCCGGAACUGCAAACACAGUAGCUCAAAAGUUUAGACUAACAAAUAUCAAGUUGACAAAUAACAAUUACUCUUAAGCCUCAGAAGAGAACAGCUAGAUACAUUUUUUAGGAAUAAAACUAAGAACAAUUAGAUAUAUCUUUCCAAAUCCUUUAUUUUAAAUCAAUGUAAUUUUGUCAUGCAUUCUAGCAAAACUUGUUCAGUAAGAAUUAUAGAAUACCGCAGUUAACCACAGUUCACAUACCGAAGAUAAGUUUUAUAUUCCUACAGUAUAUGCAGAUACAAAUUACAUGCAAAUGUGUUCAAAACCAACACUAAGAUCAUACCAGUACCAAACAGACUUGCACCGUUUACAGCGAGUUGUACUUUGACCAAAGCAUCUUGCACACUGAUGAGUUGAAUUGUUUGGCAAGCAUAACACAGGGGCAACAGUAGUAGCAGUCAUUGCUUCAACUCUAAGAGAUUCUUCAGCUGCCUGUUGAGUAAGCAAACUAACCCUCUCUUUUUUUUUCGUUGACUCGCUCCAUUUUCCUAGCAAGAUAUAUGUAACCAGGGGAAGCACAACAAAGACCAGAAACAAAGCUGGUAUAUCAGUUUCCCUUGGCUCAAGCAUGUCCUCACCAAAACAAUCAUGUCCCGUUUUCCUCUAAAACCUCUUUGGCAUGGCAGAUCGCACUUAACUACAUGUAAGAAUUAUAGAAACAACACAGACAUCAGCUAAGUAGACAACAUCAUCAACUUCAUCAUUCAACUCAAUUGACUAAUCUGCUGCACAUCAUUAUAUAAGUGAUUAUCAACCAACCAUCACAGUUAAAGGCUAUGCUAAAUUAUUAGUUCUUUAGACAGAGUAUACAUCUCAUCAACAACAAAAAACAUAGAGGUCCAGUUAUCUCGAAAGCUUCAUGGGCAUGACUCAUCCUUUCUGUGACUAAAUUCUAUGUAACCAAAGUGAACAUCCAGAUAUAUCAAAUUUCUGAAGGUCUUGUUUCAUGUGGGCACAUAACUAACCCUAUUGUCUAUGGAAGACAUGAUCCACGUUCUGAAGUGCCUAAGCAAAUUUGUUACUAGUUCAAUAAAGAAUGCCAGAAUAAAUGAGAGUUUCCAAAUUACGUUUUUGCUUCCAAUUUGGCAGAUGUAAAUUGAUAAGUAGCUCAAUUAGUAUACAGAUCCAACAGGACGACCCUGGCAUUAAUUUUGAUAACACGUUACCAGUCCAAUAACCUGGAACGAAAAGCCAUUAAGAGAAUAUAAUCAGCACGAGGAAGAGUACAUUCUAUUAACUGCUUCAACACUUAUAGCAACUGCAAGACAUCAAACAAACUGUUUGUUUCGACAUUUCUUUGCUUAACUUUAAAAGAACCUUGUAGCUCUCAUUUCUCUCAUGCCGAUGACACAUCCAAUGCAAUUUUAAAUGAAACUACCGCCCUGAAAUAACUAACCAUUGGAUACUAAUGAUUCAAUUCAUUCCACCUUAGUAACUUUCAUGCAUCAACGUAUAGAACUGCAUGAAGAAAAUUUCAAGAAUUGAACUUUAUUAAAUGAAAUUAAAAGAAGAGAUAAUAUGAUCAAUAACGCAAAUCCACAAAUGAUCAGCUGAUGAUUCGCUACAUUUGCUAAUGAAAGAAGCAACACACAAUGAGUGCAAAAUUACUCCAUCAUAACCCUACCAAGAACAAAUUUUUGUCGAAAAAACAAAGAGAAAGGAUGAAAAGAUUCAAAAAGGGAAAAACAAAAGACUCGCCCUAAUAUUACCAAUUAAAAACAUGUAUGACAAUGAGAACACUGGAGGGACAAAAUCCUUUCUUUUUCCACAUUCUCACAUCUAAUUCAAUUAAACCCCCACCUAAAACUCAUCACAUUCUACCAAUUCCUAGUACAAUUUAAAAACAGGAAAGAAAAAUCAAGUACAACAUUGCGUUCCCCAUUGCCCGCCCGGCCCCAGCCACCCCCCGCCCCAAAAAAAACAAAGAACAGCUGAAAUACUCUGCACAGAUAUAAUAAAAAUCAAAUCAUUUCUACCAAAAGCUACAUAAAUUCACCAAACCCAGAUGGAAUCAAAGAUUAAAUUAAAGAAUUGACAAAAAAAAAAAAAGGCUGAACAUAUAUCCGUACGUAAUACACACAAGUGAAUACGAUGGAAUAUAGAAAAGUUGUUGGGUUGGGACUCCUGAGCAUAUACCUUAGUUUUCCCACAACACCAAGAAAAACCCAACAACAUUUCCACCUCCUCUCCUCUUCCUUUUAAUCUUAAACCCACCAAGAAAAAAACAAAAGAUUCCCUCGGUUCCUCAGAUGGUAAGAAACAAAACGGUUACACUUCUCUCAGCUUCUUCUGCUUCUCUUCUUCCUUUCUCUCUGUAAAAGGUUGGCCUUAUUCACAUCACUCUCUCUUGUUCCCUCUAAGACAUGGUAAUAUUCCCCUCUACACACUCGCACAAAACCCACCAGAAUCCCAUCAUACGUGGCACAACCCCAUUAGUUGGAAAGAACCCAGUCGGAGAUUUCAUCAUCUGGAGCGUUAGAUUUGACCGUGUGCAUCCGGGGAAUUAGAAAACGUGAUGCAGAGAAGUACUAGUGCCAGUACACUACUCUCCCUCUUACUACUGCUGCUGCUGCUACUUACUGAUGCAAGAAAAAUUUGUGGAUUAUCUAUGGUGGGGGGCCUUCGCGGUGGGGUCCAUCGGUCAUCAGGUGUUCGGGAUUUCCAAUAAUUUAAGCGGGUGCCACGUGUACGGCCAUGAUUAUGUAAUGACAUUGCAUGAUUUUGGUGUUAAAUGCACAUUGAUUUCGAAAGGAAGUGAAUAAAGUGGGUAAUGAGCGUGAUCCCUCAUGGACUCUGUUUGACCAGUGACGUCUCCCCCCCCCUCCCUCCCGUCUGUGAGAUACUGUCUGAGUGAUGGGUUUUUCACCUUCUUAGGAUUUUUCUUUUCCUUUUUUUUUUUUUGGGGGGUGGCUGUGGGUGAUGGAGGGAGCAUGUGACAAACAUGUAACAGUAGCACUAAAGAUUACAGAGUACGUUUUCUUGUGGAACUAUUCCCAAUAAAUAAGAUGCUCUAUCACUGUUCUAAUCUUCUAUAGUAGUACAUAAUUGCAUGAUGCCUAGCCCCAUUUGGUAAAAAGCAAUUUUAAGGUUUUCAUUUUUUGAUAAUUCUUGGGUCUGUUUGGAUUGUAAGUUAUUUGGGAUUAUUUAGGAUAUUUUUACUGUAGCACUUUUUGUGAUGUGAUGUAUGUGAGAUAAAAAGUUAUUGGGAAGAUAAAAAGGUGUAUUGGAAAUUGUAAAGAUGAUGUAAGCAAAUAAAAUUGGGGAAAUAUGAAACAAUCCAAACAAACCCCUUGAUUCAUUAAUAAGAACAUGAAUGGUUGCCUUAAUUGCUAGACGAGGAUCCAUCACAAAUACUACUCCCUCCGUCCCACUUUAAUAGUCUUGUUUUCCUUUUUGGUCUGUCCCAAAUUGUAGUCCACUUUCCCAUUAAGAAAUGUAGUGAUCUUUCAAAUUGUCUACAAUACCCUUAUUAAAUAUUUUGUUAUUAAUACAUUGUUAUUAAAUACUAACCCACUACAUUGAAUACAUUGAACUUUUUCAAUGCACUCUUCGUGAUUAGCAUAAGGGUAUUUUAGGAAAUUAUUACUCUAAAUUUAUGUUUCCAACCAAAUUAAUUACACUUUCUUAAUCUGUGUGAAAAAAAAACCAAGACUAAGAAAAUGGGACGGAGGGAGUAAUUCUUUUGCUUUUGUUGCUACAUUCAAAUGAAUUUAUGGGAAGAUUUAACGAGGAAUAGGACGGAUUAAUGCAGCAUUUAUGGCUCUUUCUUUUGGCUUUGAAGUAUUUUACAAGUCAGAAACGAGUAAUUGUUGAUUAAUUCAGUACUUUUCAAGGAUUUCUUGCCCCAAAAAAAAAAAAAAGAUGGCAUUUAUUUGACAACUCUUUUGUUGUUCUUUCUUGCACUUUUCUAUGUGAACUGAUCACAUGAUAAUGGUAGGAUUAGAGUGCUAUACAGCCAAAACUCGAGAGUUGUAACGUAUGAAGUGUGAGGUAAAAAGGGACCUCUCGCCCUUGCGGUUACAGACAUCAUCUUUUGUCCUGAUCAUGAGUUACGUUGAAUAGGUUCCAUUUUUCAUGUCACAAUCUUUGAGUUGAGCUUGGCUUUUUUGCUGGUUUUUAAACUUGUUGGCUUUAUCUUUUAGCAAAAACUUAUUUACAGGAAUCACUUUUCCAUCGUGUGAUGUAUACAAUAGUUAGGGGAACUUUCUUUUCGUGGUCAUGCACCAUUUUCGUUCUCAUUUUUCUUAUAUCAUUAUGUAUCAGCUAGUGUAUAUAUCGUACAGUCUAUAAGUAAUUUUAUAGAUCAAGCGAACGCAAUUUUUUUUUUUUUAUCACUUGCACGUGUUUUAAUGCCAGAAGGCAUGAGUUCGUGACUUUCAAAGUUAUGAGCUCCAUUUUUCAUAUGUUUUUAGAAUGUUGUAUUUAGGCUCCAUUUUGUGUCAUAGUUCUCGAUGUGAUCAAUGUUUUGAAAAUCGGAUCAAAUUGGAUGGUUCGAUCGGUCGAGCCGUGAACUGGUCUUGCUUUCGGCCCGAUUCAAUAAAUAAUCAAAAAAAAAUGAAUUAAACUCGUCAAAUUCAGUCAAAAAUCGAUUCAACCGAUAAAAAUCGAUAAAACAGGAGGUUCAACAGGUUUUUAUUAAAUUUGUAUUUCUAAAAUAAAUAUUUUAAUUUUAUUCAAAGUUUUUAAUACUAAAAUAAAUUUAAAAAAUUAUUAAACCUUUGAACCGAAAUUGAAUCGGUUGAACUGAUCAAACCCCGAACCAAAAGGUUUUCCAGUCACUCUCCGUCACAAGUUAAAAAGCAUUGGAUGUUAGAGAGUGGAGACUCAUCUUUUAGCUUAAUCUUUAGUCAUAAUUUUCCAGUUUAUGGUACCUAUAUUCCAUCUUUUUCAGCAACCAAUAUAUUAUUCCAACAAGGAGUAACAGACUGUGGGUAUGCGUUUCCUUUUCUUUCUUUCUUUUUUUUUUUUCAUUUUUGGUCACUGCAUGCAAAUUAAAACAAUAAAUAGGUAAGGAAAUAAUUAAAAAAAUACUUUGCAAUGAUCCAACUUUGAUAAUUUAUGAUGCACGGAGAAGUUAAAAAGUACGAGCAAGCCAUAUAUUAUCACCUUAGAUUGUGGCUUUAAGCUAACAAUUCUUUUGGAAGUCCUUAAAUGAACAACUGUUUUCUUUUUCUUUUUUUGUACCUUGAUUCACAUGGUCCGAUUUUAUGACUACAGCCCUUUUCUUUUGGACAGUAUCUUUUCAUUCCACUCUCCACCCAAAAUUACCAGCGUAUGUGUUCUUAUGCUUCACUAAACCAGUUCUCCACCAUGUAUUUCUAUUAAACAAUGGCCAAAUAAUAAAUUUCUAGUUGAGCUUAACAAUAAUGUCUUGAUCCUGCGUUAUGUUGAAUAGGUUCCAUUUUUUCUUGCCACAAUCUUUGAGUUGAGCUCGGUUUUUUUGUUCGUUUUUAAAACUUAUUGCACAUUGGCUUUAUCUUUUGGCAAAAACUAUUUUACGGAAUCACUUUAGAUCAUGUGGUAUAUAUAUAUAUAUAAUAGUGACGUAAAUUUUCUUUCAUCGCCAUACACACUCGUUUUCAUUUUUCUUGUUCCAUUAUGUAUCAACUAUUGCACAUAUCACAUAUCAUAUGAUCUAUAGAGAAAGCCAACACCAAAAAAAAAAAAAAAAAAAAAAAAUUUAUCGUUUGCAUUCUAAUGCCAGAAGGUAUGAUGAGUUCAUGACUUUCAAAGUUAUGAGCUCCAUUUUUCAUAUGUUUUUAGAAUGUUUUAUUCAGGCUUUAUUUUGUGUCAUGAUUCUCGAUGUUACAGACUCAUAUUUAGCCAUAAUUUUCGAGUUCAUAGUACCUAUAUUCCAUCUUUUUUAGUGACCAAUCUAAUUAUUCCAAGGAGGAGUAACAGAAUGUGGGUAUGCAUUUCCUUUUUUUUUUUUUUAUUUUUGGUCACUGCAUGCAAAUGAAAACAAUAAAUUGCUAAGAAAGUAUUGUUUUUCAAAAAAAAAAAAAAACUACUUUGCAAUGAUUCAACUCAUGAUGCACAGAGAAGCCUUAAAAGUGCGAGCAACCCAAACAUUAUUAUUACCUUAGAUUGUAACAGUGCGAAACCAACUUUGACAAAACAACUUUUUUUUCUUUUUCUUGUUCGUACCCUUGAUUCACAUGGUCCAAUUAUAUGACUGCAGCCCUUUUGGCUACCAUCCAUCUUUUCAUUCCACUCUCCAUUACGUCUCCACCCAAAAUUACUAAUGUAUAUCUUCUCAUGCUUCACUAACCUCUAGUUUUCCACCAUAUGCAUGUGUUUCUAUUAAACAAUGGCCAGAUAAGUCCAUUGAAAAGGACCAAGUUGAUUGCCACAUUAGGUGAUGGAGUCGUUGUACAAGCGACUGAAUCUUUCCUCUUUAAUCCAUUGCUAAUGAUGGGAAGGCAAGUCAUGGGACCAGAGAGUUGAUGCAGACCCUGGGUAUGUUCUAAAAUCUCACCUGAUCACAUUAGUUGACUUGUACUUUGGAUUAACUACUUAAUGCUACCUUAUUGGAGCAAGUAUCAAACAAAUGUUUUACCAAGUCCAAAAGAUUAUGAAAAGAUCGCGGGCUUCUGAUUGAUUAUAUUUACGCGGCUAAAUGUUUCCACCAGAAUCAUGCUUGUUUGGCAGGUAAGGAAAAAUGCGAUGAUUUCCUUUGGUAAAUAUUCGAGAAUUCAAGUCUCGAAAGUGGCCAAAACCAACCCUAUAUAUAUAUAUAUAUAUCAAUGGAGAUAGAAGUUUGGAAAUGAACUAUAUUUUAGGGUACGCAUUAAUGUAUAAUCAACUAUGAUUUGAAAGAGUUGACGAUUGAAGAAAAGAAAAAUUACUGUCAAGCAUGGCCCAAUGAAAAAAUUUUACAUUUUUAAUUCAUGCAAUCGAUUGUAGGAUUAUUAAUCCGUCUAGUUCCAGUUAUUUGCAUACAUGGCUUUCCAUGACAGAAACGGGAGUCUGCAUCAUUUAUUAGAUGGAUGAAAUGAGUUGAGACACAGGAAACUGAAACUUACCUCUAUGCUGUGUGAAUGAUUUCUUCUUCUUAAUAUCACAAAAGAACUAAUAAAUAAACAAUACUACGUUAUAGAAUGUAGUAUUGAAUUGCCAAACGACUGUAGACCUAAAAGAUAAGAUGCGAUUUGGUUGGUUAAUUCUGGGUUCUUGACAAGAUAAUAACCAAGUAAGUUCUCAAAGACAAACACAGAAAAUUGAAAAUAAAAUCAGUCAAAAUAGUAUUACUAGCUCAUUAAAAUUCUGAGACAUCUGGGGGAAAAAAAAGAGAUAGAGCAAGGGAGAGAGAAAAAUACACCAAAGAACACUAAAUUGCGAUGAUUUCAACAAUUUACAGCUGCCAUCACCAUUACUCGCUUUAUUAAGGAAGGCAUACUUUUUUUUUUUGUCGCAACGAUAGGAUUGCUAUAACCUAAUCUAGUCUAAUCUAGGAGAAAGGGGGGACUCCAUCGAAAAUGACCACUGAGAACUGUCACAUAUUGUGACAAUUUUUUUGUGUGAGCCAAGGGUCGAACCCUUGACCUUCCGCACUACUGGACCAAAGGCCCAGUGGCUUAAGGAAGGCAUACUAGCUGUGGGCCUUUCUGAGUAGAGGUUCUUAACAUCCUAAAUAGCCCAUAAGACCAGUGAGAUUCAGAGAAUAAUAACAAUUUCGUCCUUUAUUUCUUGAACUAAUUAAUCUAGUGCCUCAUGUUUACUCUGAACGUUGGUCAUUAAGUGUGGAAAUUUCCAACUCUAUCCCUAAUCUUUCUCCUAGUGAGCUCACUAAUGCCAUUAGAGAGUAUGAUAUUGAAACCAUCAGGAGUCCACUGUGUCAAAAUUAAGACAUAAAGGGGGUUGAAUUGAUUAAGUGGUUUUCAAAAUAUGGAGGAGGAACUGUUACAAUUGUAAGUAACUAAAACUGUCUUUGCCGCGGUAGACUUAGUUACAAUUUCUUCUCAUAUUUUGAUGGGAUCAAUACUUUGUAUGACAAGGCGUGAGGACAAUUUUCAUAGGCAUUUUUAGUUAGGCUUGUUUGAUAACCCAAUUCCGCACUUAAAUUUAACGAAAUCAAAUCUUAACAUAUUCAGACCGUUUGAUAAUAAAAAAUUGAACAUAUGAAUUAAUUAAGUGACACUGAAUUCUUAGGCAAAACUUGUAUCCAAAAUUAAGUGAUAAGUAUUCACUUAUCAUUGAAUAUGAUAUGUACUUAAAUGUAUUAGAUUUAAUACUUAACAAUUUAAUAACUUAAUAGAUUCAGAUUUUAGAUUUCAAAUUUCAAAUUUUAGUUUCAUUAAACGUACCUUUAGUUAUUACUAUAAGAUAGCAAAUUUUUAUUUUGUUUUCCUCUUGGAACCCCAAAACCUCAACAAAAAAAAAAAAAAAAACAAUGCCAUUAGCUGCUUCUAAUCCAGAAGAUCAAUUGAAUAAUUUGAAGUUACUUUCAAAAUUAAAAAGAAAAUAAAAGUCUUUAGUUCCUAUAAUCUUCAUAAGCCCCUAGUCAUGUCGACUUAGUGCAUUAGAUUACUAUUGAACUUUGAUUUGCUUAACGAGCUUAAAGAUUAUAUGCUCAAAUCAACAUUAACUAGCAAUAACACUCACUUGUCAUACAGAAUUGGAGCCAUUUUUUAUAGGGUCUGUCUAAUGAGUGUUCUAUAGACACUCACUAAAAUAUAUUUUAAAUGUCAUAUAUUUUUAAAUUGAAAAUUAAUUAAAAAAAUAAAAACGAAUGAGGAUAGGUAAAAUUAAAUUAAAAAAUUAUAUAAAUGCCCUGUGGGGCCAUUAGAUUAACUCUUUUUUAUAUGUGACUAAAAUGUUUUAAUUUCAAGAAGUUGAAUCGGCACAUCAGUUCUGAACAAAUGCGCUGUUGGUAAAUAUGCAAGCAAUAGAUGAAACCUCGUCCCCAACAAGAAAAGCGUAAAUAAAUAAAUAAAUAAAAUCCACGUUAAACACAUGUUAAGGAUUUAUUGGCAGCAAUCAUAUUUCAACUACCCAAAAGACGAAUACAGCCGCAGCUUGUAAUAAGACUAUGAAUUUUACCCAAGUUAUCGGAAAAAUUCAUCAUCAGUCUCCGAAUUCCGGACUUAGGAAAGAAAUCCAAAGACUUUUACUGACACUUGCCGAGCUAGAAUCCCUGGAGUCGACUCCAUACUUCCGGAGCUAUGAAUAAUAAUAAUGCUUCUGCCUCUCAUCAAAAUUUCUCCCAAGAACAUCUCAAAAGCCCUUUAAUACUUCCCUUCGCCGCCGCCGCCAAGAUGGAGCAACCACCGGAGCCAACUGCCAAAAGAUCGUACUGGAGAUUCAGCAAAGAAGAUUUCUUCCCAGAACCCACAUUCGAGAAUUUCUCCACCUACCGCUCCGCCGUGGCCAAGACGCCUCAGAGGCUGAAAGAUCGCCUUUUGAGCCGCUCCUCAGACGAUACCGAGCUGGUGGUUCUCAAGAAACAGUCAGAGAAUUCAAUGCACCAAUGCCUCACCUGGUGGGAUCUGAUGUGGCUUGGUUUUGGCUCUGUUGUGGGCUCAGGUAUUUUUAGCCUCACUGGCCAAGAAAUUCAUGAUCAUGCUGGCCCCGCUAUUGUUUUGUCCUAUGCAAUUUCUGGGCUUUCUGCUUUGCUUUCAGUAUUUUGUUAUACUGAAUUUUCUGUGGAUAUCCCAACUGCUGGCGGGUCGUUUUCUUUUCUUAGGAUUGAGUUGGGUGAUUUUCUUGCUUAUAUUGCUGCUGGGAAUAUUCUGUUAGAAGCAAUUGUGGGUGCUGCUGGAUUAGGCCGUUCAUGGUCAUCAUAUUUUGCUAGCGUUAUUAGUAGUAAUCCUGAUCUUUUAAGGAUAAAGAUUGAUUCUUUUCCUGAAGGGUUUAAUUUGUUGGACCCUCUUGCUGUUGGGAUUUUGGCACUGUGUAAUGGGAUAGCCAUGUCUGGGUCUAGGAGGACUUCUAUUUUGACAUGGGUGAGUUCCUUAAUCAGCGCAGGCGUGAUUAUUUUUAUUAUCAUUGUUGGUUUUAUUCAUGCCGAUACUUCAAAUUUGGUGCCGUUUUUCCCAUAUGGACCUAAGGGGAUGUUCACUGCUGCUGCUGUUGUGUAUUGGUCUUAUACUGGUUUUGAUAUGGUAGCUACAAUGGCUGAGGAAACCAAGAAGCCCUCAAGGGAUAUACCUUUGGGGUUGGUUGGUUCAAUGUCUAUGAUUACUAUUAUUUAUUGUUUGAUGGCGUUGGCACUGGCAAUGAUGGUGAAAUAUACGGAGGUGGAUGUUAAUGCGGCGUAUUCGGUUGCAUUUGAGAAGAUUGGGAUGAAAUGGGCUAAGUAUUUGGUGGGAAUUUGUGCUCUUAAGGGAAUGACUACAAGUUUGCUUGUGGGAUCUAUGGGGCAGGCUAGGUAUACGACCCAGAUUGCGCGAUCACAUAUGAUUCCACCUUAUUUUGCUCUAGUUCAUCCAAAAACUAGGACACCAAUUUAUGCCACACUUUUGGUGACUACACUUAGUUGCAUUCUUUCUUUGUUCUCAAGUUUGGAUGUCUUGUCAAGCGUGUUUUCAUUCAGCACACUUUUCAUUUUCAUGCUUAUGGCUGUUGCAGUGCUCGUUAGGCGGUAUUAUGUUAAGGAUGUCACUCCAAGGAACGAUCAUGUCAAAUUCCUUGGUUGCCUGUUUGUCAUAUUUGGCUCAUCAAUCGGGGUCACAGUUUUUUGGUGUUUGAACAAGGGUGGAUGGAUUGGGUAUGUUGUGACUGGUGUGUUCUGGUUGAUAGGCACCUUAGGAAUGGCAUUUCUUCCAAGAAAGCGGUCUCCUAAAGUUUGGGGUGUUCCCCUUGUUCCAUGGUUGCCAUCUUUGUCAAUUUUCAUAAAUAUCUUUCUCAUAGGAUCUCUUGGUGUAGUGGCUAUCUGGCGGUUCGUCAUAGCAAGUGCAGUAAUGCUAGUUUACUAUGUUUUAGUUGGUGUACACACAACUUAUGAUGUGUCUCAUCCGGAGGAACCAGAAUUGAAAAUUGAAGAGGGUAAGGCAAAUGAGAAUCAAGGAACCUCGUAGUGGGUAUGAUGCUGUAGAAUUUUACGUGCAUUGUUCAUUGUAGUUCAUAGACUGAUGAUUUGUGUACUCAUCCAUUUGAUUAGAGGCACGUUCAUCCAUUUGAUAUGCAUAACGCAUAGUGCUACAUUUUAGUGCUUAGACUUUGAAGUGUAUAGCCAUGCUUGCUUAAAUUUGUGUACCCUAAAGAAGUCUGUUGUGUAUCCAUUUUCUUAGAAAAUUCUCAUUGUUAAUCACCGAACAAAUCCACUUGUUACAGAUAGCAUCUUGCUGUCUACACCAAAUAGGUGUUGACUGUUCUAUCUGUCAUUGUACUUGGGGAAAUGGAGUGAUAUUAAAACUGAAUUAUUUGAUUAUUCAGGGCGCACGUUGAAUUUCUCUAUGUGAUUAGAUUUUCAAUCCAUAACUCAGGCCAAUUUCAAUUUAAUGGCACCACUUUUGAAUUUCAUGAAUGCUUUAUUUCACUUUUUCAUGAGAGACUCGGACCUUUUAUUGGCCACAAUCAGUGGUGCAGUUAUCAUUUCUUUUCCCUGUGAAGAUGCUUUUCUUUAGUAUGUUUAUUGUGAGGCACUAUGUACUUUUUCUAUGAGAUGAUUUAGCACACAGCGGAAUGUGCUCCAGAAGUGUUGACCUAAUUCUGUGCUUCCAAUUUCCAAAUGUUUAUCAAGUUUCUGAAUUGAAGUAAGGAGCUGGGAUAGAUUAUCCUUCUCUCAGCAGUUGAAAUUAAUGGCGAUGUGCUGAUUUGGCUGUUCUUGCUUGAACUUUUCUUUUUUUGUGACUGUAAGUUCACCUUUUUGGCUUGCUGAAGCUUACCAUUAGAUUACUAACUUGAAAUUACUUGAUAGUAGCCAAUAUCAACUUAAUAGGAAUUAGCUAGAUUCAGUUGUCUCACUUUGCAUCUCUGAAACAAAUUUUGUCAAGCCUGUUCUGCUUAACAAAUUGUAGGAUCAGAAAGUUGUACAUAUCUUUAAAAUUUUGUCCACCCUCACUGAUGAAUUUUAUGCUUAAUGGUAGACAAUAUGCCAAAGCAUUUGGUGGCUUGGUAAUCCAGGAGUAGUGGAUCAACAAGCUCAGUUGUCUGAUGGUCUUGACUCUUGAACUCAUUUUUUAAGUCAGUACACUUACCCUUAGUAAUAUGUUGUCUGGCUCAAGAAACAGUCACAAACAGAGAUAAGGCCAAAUAAAAACACACAUGUAUACGAAGCAUUUUUAUGAUUUCAGAAGGACCUUUCUCCAUUUCACUUUCAAGUGAAAGAAACUUCCCAGUCCAAAUGUGGUCAUUGUGCUGCAAAUGCGGAAUAGGGAGUACAUUUAGUGUUAUUUAUCGAUGAACAAUGUGGUCUUAAUGAUUGUGAAAACCUCAGGCUGCCAUUUCCUUGCGCUGACUUCAUUUAUGCAAAUUGCAAUUGUUAUUAUAACGUUGAGGGUUGUGGUGAGAUGUUCAUUGUGGAACUUUUACAUCCAUGUGGUGAUCAAGGAUUAUAAUGGAUUUCCACCUGCUCUUAGAUGCAAUGCUACAUAUGGCUGAUUGAUGUGAAAUACAGUUGCUACAAACUUGAUAUGUAGUUGUUUGCAUGAUAGAGUAGAUGUUCUUAGUGCCACUUCAUUGACCACACAAGUCUCUUUUAAUAUGUUGCACUAUGACCAUAGUCAAAUUGCUUCAAUUAAUAAUGUCUUGUAUAUCAUGUAUUUCAUAGUAGUUUUUGCCUGUGGCAACACAGAAUGUUGUGUCAUUAGAUUUUACGAAACGUAGAUCCAUCUCGUCAAAGCCACCUGAUGUUAUUUUUUCUUUCCUUGUGAACGUAGUAUUUUCCGGUUUGUCAGGGGAACCUUUCUGCUCUUUUUUCUCUCGUUUGCUUGUGCAUAAAUGAAUCUGUGUAUGGACUUGGCCACUUCAACAUUGGCUCAGCUCUCGAAUUUUUGAGUUCCAACAUUUUCCAGCCCAUCAAUCCGGGUUGAAAGAUGUUUCUUCCCCGUAUCAUGGCUUGCCUCUGCCCCAAGCUGCAGUAUCCCUUAUCAAGCAAGUAGCAGCUAUCUCCUUGUUGGAUAGAGAGAAGACCAACUCCCCCUGCCCGAUUUUUGUCCUAGAUGUGGAAUUAUGGAUUCUGGAAUUGUUGGUGGCAAACUAGUUAUACGCAUGCUUGAUGAAUGAUAAAACGUAAGGAGCCAUCAUUUGUAUGCUGCAUACAGAUUCAAGUUCAAGGAAGGUUGAAAUUAUUGGAAUUGAUUACUAUAGCGUAUGACCAAUUAUUGUGCCAAUCUGCUGUGGAAGUAUGGAGCAUGCAAAGCAGAUAUAUGUACACGUUUAUCUUCUGAGAUGAAAAUUUGCAUUUUAUGCUAGUAGCUAGCAUAGAGAGCAAAUGUAUUGGCAUGUUGAGGGUCAUCAUCACGCGUAGGCUGCCCGCCUGCAGAUAUGUUGAAAAGUGAGUUGAGGGUUAUCCAACUACUCAUUUUUCACCUCAGGAAAAUGGUACUUUUUCUCUGGCCUUUGCCAUCAAAUCUAAUGUCAUUUUGGUGUAGUACUCGUCGGUUGGUAAUCAAGUGGAAAGUAUACGGACUUCUCCCUUUCUCUGAAUGAAACGGCAAAGACCUGCCGUUGCGUUCCAAUCGCUGAUAGGUCAGAGAAUUAUUACUUAUAGUGAAAGAAAGUCCUCCUGUGCUUUUGGUGACCAAAUCAGAGGAGAGAUUUGAGGAUGGGAUGGAGUUCUUAUCCUCAAUUCUUUUCAAACUCAAACAGAACGUGGAAAGAGUUCCAUAAGUACCAGAAAAAGCGGAUUCUUGGGAUUAUUGUCGUAAGACUCCCAUUAUCGUUGCCACCUUUUUCUGGGUUCACUUUGAAGAGCAGGCAAUCCCAAAAUUUCGAAUAAACGUGUUCAAUUGUAACUUCUCUUGGUAAUUUUUCUUGCAAUAGAAGCGAUCCUCCGAAUCGACCCGCAACACAUCCUUGCUCGACAUAUUUUAUUUCCAGUCCACUAUCGUCCCUUAGUGCUAUGCCACCGUUUUCGUCACUGGUUCUAUUUAUUUAUGACUAUAGCAUGAUUGAUUUGUGGAUGUAUCUCUCGAACCAUUCCUUCAAUUUGUACAGCAGCAGCACUGUAGAUAGAUUAAUCUCCCGUUGUUAGAUAGUCGCUGUCCAUCAUUAUCAAGCUAGCGGCUUGAAGCUAGCACCAACGAGAGACCCGUCAAUCCAUUCGCGUACUACAUAUUGGUGGAAUGUUCAUGAAUGUAAUCUCUGCAUGCGAAGCAAAAAAAGAAAAAUUAUUGCAGGUUCCCUCGACUCAUUAUGCGCACGCACGCCCUUUCAGUUUUCAAGCUAACUUGCCACCUCCCAAUCAAUCCCAUCCGAAUGUCUGGCGAGUUCUUUUUCCCUACUUCAGACUUCCUGAAGAGCUGCUAUUUUCAAUAAUAAUAUGUCUUUAUCAAAAGGGGAAUGCGUGCGUGGAUAAGGUUGCAGCAGACUCUAUCCCAACAAGAUGAAUAGUAAAUAAGAGCAUGUAAAAGAAGUCCGCAUGGCAGAAGUUGUCUCCAGUUUUUUGACCGACUCAUGUCGGCCAGGGACCCUAGCCAACAAGCUUCGGCCGUCUCAAAGCUUUUGUUUCUUGGCUCCUCAUUUUGUAGAAGAAUCUUCAGCCCCCUUUGCACCCUACCACGUAGAAUAGAGACUAAAAAUUAGUAAUAGAAGAUGGCAUGCGGUGCCGGCGGUAGCACUUUUUCGGACCCCCAAUUGAAUGCUAGUUUGAAUGGACAUGUUUUUCGUUUAUCUAGUCUUGUAGAGUAGUAUAAAUUAAUAGUAGCCCCAGAAGCCACCCACCCAUCCAUCCAUCCAUGACACUUUAUCAUUGAUCAGAUGAACAACAAUCCCAAUCAGGGUCAGCUGCAGUUGCAGCUUUUUGUUCUUCUGAUUUUAAUCAUGUCUUGCUUUCUCAAGGCACAAGAAAAGGAAUAAUUUGACUAAUUCUACACGGUAAGGGUGUAAACUAAUAAUAAUAAUGCGGCUACUACUACAGUACUGGCCACACGCGCGGCGGCUUUAGACUAUAGUACAGUCAGCUGAAUUUUACAUGGUCAAAAAAAUCGCAAUCUACAAAAUUAUUGGUCUCAAAAUUUUGCACAAUACCGCUGGUUCAGUUUUGGUUCCGGAUUACAAUAAUAAGAAUCAAUCAGACACAACUCAAGUGAUUGGAAGAAGAUUGAUGAUUUUCAUUCCUAUUUCUGACUAGGAAAAUCUUCUGAAAGUCAUUUCUGACAAUUAAAACUUUCUGACAAAACCACCCGUGACCAUGAAAAGAAUCUUUGCUAUUUUUAAUAAACCUUGGAUCGAUCAGUCAUCUUUCAAAUCAACUACUACUAUUAGAGAUCACAAAAAAAAAAAAAAAACUAUGGCUUAAAUCCACAUUCCAAGAAUUAGAGAUCACACAUGGGAAGACACAAAGUAGACAGGAGCCUUAAUACCCUCAAAAGUUUUUUUGUCGCCAGGAAACUUUCAUUGGAUAGAACUUGCACGAGAUGUGAAGGGCCUCGCUGUUCACUGGGACUAGCAUUAGUAUUCACAGAUUUGACUUCAUACCUAAGCAAAAUGAUGGAAUGGAUAAACGAAUCCAUCCAUGUAUAUGAAUUGCUCGUAAUAAUAAUGUGUAUCAAGCCCUGAAAGUAAAGGGUUAUGGAGAAAUGUAGAAAACUGACCAAAUGGAAAAAUGAGUGAUGGAUGAUGGCCAAUUUUGACGAAAUAGCAGACUGGGAAAGUGGUCCAUUCUUUCUUUCUUGUUUAAUUUUUUUUUUUUUUUAAAAAAAUGAUCUAUUCUUCUUUCUAUUAACAACCAAGAAGGAUCUUCGAAGACCUUUCUUUGUCGAAAGCACAGUUCAACUCCAUACAGCGCCACGUGCGGUUGUGAGCAGCUCAUGUAUAUUAAUUAUAUGUCCCAUUUUUGGUCCAAGAUUUUUCUAGACACUUUGAAUUCGCUUUGGUGGGGUGGAAAAUGGAAAAUACAACAACUUUGAUUAACUAUAAUUCAACCAUCAGCUUGACUCAAUCCAAUUUCACACACUCGCCAGCCUUUGAUAAUUGAGAGAUUGUUCUGUGGUCCUGAGUGGGAAUAAAUUCGAAAGUCUUAGGAUUCAUAUUUCAUUCUCAUUUCUGGAUGCCAACUCGAUCUCUUACUAGUGUAUAUUUUUUUCCCUAGUGUAUUGCAUCGUUAUCUGAUCAGGAAAAAAAAAAAAAUUAAUGGGGACGAUGGGUUGGUUGAUAUUUGUUCUAUUUCCGAUCAGCACCGAAAAUUCGAAAGGGAAAGUCCCACUUCUAGAAACGAAAAAGAAAAAGAAAUGCAGGUUGUCAUUUUCACGAUGAGUUGGUUGUGAUUAACUAAACAAUAAAGCAAGAAGGAGGAAAGUUUAUUUGACUGUCUCUCUUAUGAAUAUAUAAAGACGUCCAAUAAAUUAGUCGUAAGAUUUGUGUCAUUCGACGAGCUAUAUAGUCUUUCCAGUCAUCAUCAGAUUAAGAUUGUGAUGGUAUAUAUAGUCUCUUUCUUUUUCCAUUCCUUUUACUUUGAAUUUUUCUAACGGGUAUAUGAUGGAUUCACAAGCUUGAUUAACAUUUAAUUAAACGUGCGCUUUCACAUUAUUGUGGGUACGACUACGCGGUGGAUUCGCAACUUGAUUAACAUUUAAUUACCCGUACGCUUUCACAUUAUUGUGGGUACGUAGUUAUAGAUGGGUCAGUUUCAAACUCCAUUUGAUGCUGCGAUGACUUAUAAAGAACCACUUCUGACACAAGUACUUAUAACAAGCGUACGUGCUUUUAAUUACACAAACUUGGGCUGCUUAAAUUAUGAAAAAUUAAUUAUCAAAUACCAUAGAUGUACUUUUAGUGAUUAAAAAUACCUUUUUUUUUUUUUUUGUAAACUCAUUGCAACCUCAAACGGGCUGUAAUAGAACCGCUGCAUUUAAAUACCGUGCCAAUUUUUUUUUUUAAAAAAACAAAAUUAACGCCUGAAGGCACCAUUCAGACAAAUUUCUUUUUCCACUUGUGUGAAAGAUAUGCCUAACUAUUGACUUACCUGCGGAGAAUAAACGUACUUAUACUUUGCGUCGUGCACUAGCAAAAGAUUGCUUAGUGUCCGUCAAAUCAUGCUAUUACUCACAAGUGGCGUCUCAAAUCAGCUGUGUUUUCCAGUUUCCACUAUGUUUUCUUGCCCAAAAAAAAAAAAAAAGGGGGCUGCGUUUUCCACUGUAUGUUUCUCAAGCCACUUUUAGCAAUACUACUUUGUAAUGACUAGAACGCUUUCGACGAAGGAUACAGUUUGUACCCCAUACAUAUAUGCAAUUUUAAAAUAAUGCAUAUUCAACUUAUACAUCUCUAGAUAGCAAAAUGUGCAUUGAAUCUAAUUGAAAAUUUUGUGAUUCUAGCUACUCCCGUGAGAAGUGAGAAGGCAAACCCUAGUUGAGUUUCAAGGUGAAGCACACUUGUUUUAAGCUAAAAUUUCGAUAUCUUGAUCUUCACUCAUGCAAUUAAAAGAGUUCACUAGUCAAAUGCAACAUGGUCAAUCCACGAGUAUGGAUGUGCCCUAAAGUUGACACCCCAUUGCCUAAAGAUAUGUACGAUUGAUCAUUUCAUUCGCUUAGAAAUCCUUCAGUCCUUGCUUGAAGAUCUUCCCAAUAUAUAAUACUACACCCCAUCCCCCCUGCGGUAAAAUCAAGAAAUUUUUUGUCCUGUUUGAUAAAAAGUAAAUUUUCAAUUUGGUGACCUUGGACGUGAGCCCUCAACUCAGAAAUCACAUCAAAAGAACAAAAAUCUUGAUGCUAUUUGUACGAUCCAAAGUUGUAAUGUAAAAUUAUUGUUGAUGAUACCAUGCAUGAACGCAAAAGCAUAAGAGAUCUUGCGAUAGGCCCCUCUUUAGAGUACUUUAAUCCAAACCAUAAGGGGAUUAUGUAUAACUUUUGAGAUCAUAGGAGGAGGUUAUGUUAAAAAAAAUACUAAACUACAGGGGGUAAAGUGUAAUUUGACCAUUUAGAUAUCAAUCCUAGUCGGAUGUGAUUUUGGGUACCAGUUAUAUUUAUCUGUUUCUAUGAUUGCAUCCUUGUUCCCAACCAUCUUCGCCUGGCUUUUAUAACCGACAUUGAUGUAUUCAAUUUCUUCAUAAUGUGCUGUUGUGAAGAAAUAUUGAGGUCUUUGUAAAUAGAAGUUAUAACAGAAUCGAUCUAGACCACACAUUUUUUUUUUUAAUCUCAAAGUUUGAGAAUUGAGUCCUCAAAGUCUCCUUUUGAAAGCUUGGGCAAAAGUCAAUGCUGCCUUUGGGCUUCUGGCUGGGUUGAUGAUGAUGGAUAAGAAUUACGACGACUUUGUGCCUUCGUUUCCUCUAUUCUAGAUCAGCAUGAACAUUUUGACUCCCCAGCAGCUCUACGGGAGAUGGGGACUACUUGAUCAAGGGGAAAAAAUUGGAGAAAAUCCAGGCUGACAGAAAUGAGCUCUAUGAUUAGAAGUCUCAGUUGUUUUAUGUACAGCAGCAAUCCACGAAGAAAAACCUACUACACAUUUCUAUGGAUUUACACUUAACUAGUACUAGUUCUUUUGGCAAACUACGUGGAAUUUCAAGAAAGAAUGGAAAGAUCUGAAACAUAAAAGGCACAGACAAAUUUCCUUACGAUCUGUUCAUCAGAAAAUCAGAAUCGAUGGUAACUGGAUAUAAAUCUCCAGUAGAUGUUGAAGAUGCAGUAAACGGGACUUCCAUUGAUACAUGCUGGGCACAGCUCUCAUUUGAAUAUGGUACUUCUUGCUGAUCGGAAAUCUCCUGGCCGGGCUCAACCUUGGUGCUCGAGACUCUCAAUUCUGAAAGCAGCUCUUUAUUAACUACUCGUCCUUCCAGCAUGCUAACCACGGUUGACAUGCUAGGCCUAAUGGUCGGUGAGGCAUUGGUGCAAAGAAGGGCUACAUGAAUUGUCAGUAUAACCUCUUCCUUGUUGAAGUUUGAUCCGAGUCUUGGGUCCACUAGUUCCAUUAGUUUCCCUUCCUCCUUCAGCAGAUUAGCCUAAAGAAACAGGAAACAGGAAAAUGGCAUUAGUAUCCUAGCUUACCAAGUGAUGACAGACAAUACAUAAUCUUGUAAGGAUGACGUCGUAAGCUACUAGCACUGAAUGAGAUUUGGUUAUUUUCAUGCCUAACAUAAGUCAGCAUUCAAAAUUAAAGCAACGAUAAAACCCAGAAGAUUAAACGCAAGAGAACAAGAUAACGAAAUUACCCAGUCAAGAAGAUAGAAGCAAUCCUGCUUUGGUUUAAGAUUGGUGUUACUCCUUCCACUGACAAUCUCCAAAAGGACAACUCCGAAGCUAUAAACAUCUGCUUUGUCAGUUAAGUAGCCCCUCAUUGCAUAUUCAGGUGCCAUAUAUCCACUGAAAAGUCAUAAAUAUGGAUUCAGGAUAUGCAUGUAUUGAUAAGUCACAAUACGUACUUGAUAAACUAUUCAAGAAUGAAAGAUGGUUCAUAGCUAAAAUGCACCAUUUACCAAUAAAUGGACAUAUGUUGGCACAGACCCAAAAAGAAAAAAAAGGGAUAAUGAACUUCCUUUUGAAAGAGAAUUAUGCUACAGACUUCCACAAGGAAACAUUGUGCAGGCACUCACAAGGUUCCAGCAAUACGGGUACUUAUGUGGGUGUUUUCUUCUUCAUCGAGCUUGGCCAGACCAAAGUCAGAUAUUUUGGGGUUUAGAUACUUAUCAAGUAGCACGUUGGUGGCCUUGAUAUCUCUGUGGACAAUCUUCAACCUUGAUUCUUCAUGGAGAUAAGCCAAACCCCUUGCUAUACCCACAGAAAUCUUGUGUCUUGUUGGCCAAUCUAAUUCCAACUUGUGAUCUUCAGGACCUGUCGGUAUCCAUGUGCAUCCAAAGAAUGAAAAAUAUAUUAUCUUGAGUGCAGAUGAAAUUUUUACUUGCACAUGAUUUUUGUAGUUGGAUUACAAAUUAGUUUACCAAACAAUGCACGAGCAAGGCUGUUAUUCUCCAUGUACUCGUAUAUAAGUAAUAAUUGGUUUCCCUCAAUGCAGCAUCCAUAGAGCUUCACAAGGUUAGGAUGUUGCAGAGCUGAAAUCAUGCCUAUUUCAUUCACAAACUCACGGUUCCCCUGCUUGGAUUUGGAAGAAAGCUGCUUCACAGCAAUGAUAGUGCCGUCUGCCAGAUGACCCUUUUGUAAAGAUGAAAUCUCAGGUUAGAAUAAAAAAUAUAUACAUAUAUUUUGGAUGUGUCCAUUAUAGCAUAAUUUUGACAAAGUUAAUAUCUUGGGGAAAAUAACCAUGGGUAUGGGUCACCUUGUAGACAGAACCAAAGCCACCCUCUCCAAUUUUAUUAGCUGCAUCAAAAUUAUUUGUAGCAGCUUUAAUUUGUCUUAGAGUGAAUGAUCCAGUAUGUAGGUCUAGUCCCUUUAAAUCUGCCAAAGAAACUUAUCAGUGUGAGCAUCUCAUAGUUGAUGCAUAAAUUCUGAGAAUAUCCAGAAAGAUCAAUAUGCCUGAACUUGAAACCAGCACAUAGACCAGGCUACAGUUGAUCUUGUCUCCCUUAUGCAUAAAUAAAAUGUUUCAUGCUCAAGAGAAAACACAAAUUAUUGUACUUAGAAUAAAAAUGAUUGAUUUACCAUUUUCCAUGGAAUCCCUGCACUGCAGACAGCCUUUCCACCAAAGAAUAACUAGAACCAUUGUGAUCGAAAACAGAACUGCAAGUACAAUUCCAGCUACAGCACCAACAGGAAAGCUAUCUCCAUGUUCUGAUGGUGGAGUAAAAUCUGAAUAUGGAGGGAUAGAGAGAGUGUGUGACUUAUCCAUCUCUUGUGUAAAGGUAAAAGUAAAAUGUUGGCAAUGUUUAAUUUUUGCUCCAUGUUCUUCAAAGGUUUCUGAAGGCUAGCAAAUUUUUUCAGAAACAACGUAAAAGCACAUCAGAAUUGUUCUAGGUAUUUUGUUCUGUGAAGAAGAAUCACAUGAAAACUAAUGCUCAUGCCCAAAUGAAAUUGCCUCUGCAUAGUAAUGGUUAGUGAAAAGAAAACACAUCUAGUGGAAGUGCAUUAUUUAUUACUUUCCAAAGGAGCUCUUAUUGGGUGUCCAUAAAUAAACUAUAACAAGUUAACACCAACUUUAAAAAAUUUAUUACUCCUUGCACGAAAAAUGAAAGCUUUAGAUGAUUUGAAGCUUACCAGGAUCCACAGAAACUGCUGAAAUCAGAGGACCAUAAACUCCCUUAUAGGGAAUACCAGUUGUCCCUUUUCCAGCCCAGAAGAGGCGGAUCGCUAAUGUGUUGUCAGUUACUACUGCUGUAAAAUUUCUAAUAACAGGUCUAUUAACUCCACCAGCCUCGUCCUCAAUAUUGAAAUCUUUCAGCACUAACUUCUCCUGAAAUAAUUACAGAAGUCAUCAAUAAUUAUGCAAGCAAAAAUACAUAAUACCUAAGGUAGAAGUUACCCCAACCAAUUUGCAGAUUUAUACUUCUAGCGAAGCUGCCAGCUUCUCAUUUGUUCUUUUUUUCUCCGACUUCAGAGAUUCCUGAUUCUUUUGAAAAUAUGAAAACUUCUAUACGAAACAAGUAAAAUAGGGUGUAUAGAUACCUGAAUAUAAAUAUCAAAGAUGCGCCUUCCCAGACUACUAUAAGUUCUGUCAUCAGUAAACAUGAUUUCAGCAAAAUGGAGGUUUACUGUGUAGUUCCCAUUGAGCAUACAGAAACCAUAAUAUGUCAGUGAAAGGGGGGAAAGUCGUGCAUCCAUGUAUAAUCCCGAGUUAGUCCCAGAUAUGCUUGCAUUGUUUGUCCAAGUAUAAGAAUCUCUGGGCCGGUCAUCAUCCAAGAAGUUGCCAGUGCUGCUAAAUGCCCAGUUACUCCUACUCUGGAAGAAUUUUGAAGCACCACCUGAAUCUAUAUCGUCGUCGUAACUUGUAUUAUCAUCAACUUUCACUUCUCUUCCACCACAAUUUAUAUGGAGAGAGUACCAGCCUAGUGUAAGCAAUUCAGAAGCUUUUUGUCAUUUGGACAAAAGAAAAAAGAAGUGAAAAACAUACAACCAAAAUGAAUGAAAAGUAUGACUCCACCCAAAAAAAAAAAAAAAUUAGUACUAUCAUAUUUUGAAACUAGUAUCAAGAUAUAUAAAUGAAUGCAACGAUUAAGUAAAGGAACCAAGAACAAAAUAGAUACGGCAAGGAAUAUCAGGGUUACAACGCAACUUAGUAUGCAUGCUUAUUCCAUCAUCUUUCUACUUUGGCCUUACUGCAGUUGCUAGCUUGACUUGUUAAAUGCAUUAAAUCAGGCCAAGAAAAGGAAAAAGCAGUUUAUGCUCAAAAUGAAAAUGUAAUUAAGAAGUGGGGUAGGAACAAUAGCCUGAGCGAAUAAAUACGUAAUAAGAUAUCAGAUCAGAAUAAUAAAUCUAAUUUUGCUCAAGCUGAAGCUUUAACUAAGUCAGCUAAUUUUUUGGUCAAGUGUAAAUGCUAUUACCACUAGAUCCUGAAUUUAUUGAUACUCUUUCAAGGAGAUCAAAAUUCAGGAAUUCUAUAAACUUCAAGUUUUCCUAGAGCUAAGAUGCUCAGGUCUAUUCACACAUCAUUAACAGCCGUUGCAUGCAAUUAGUGUUUGUUUGACUGUCAAAAUGAUUGAAACAUAUCAUUCAGGAAUAAACUCAAAAAUCAAGUGAAUUGAGUCCAAGAAUUUCACCCUUACUUUGUCUAUUUCUUUAGGUCUACAUGUGAUAAUAUUUUUUCACAAUGGAAAAGGUUUAACAGUUAAAUUGUAUCAUAUAAUUUUGCAAUUGAGGCCAUUGUGCUAAUUUAAUUUUCAUAAUGGAUCAAGUCUAAAUUUAGUGGCCUUCUCUACAGAGUUUAAUACUCUAGGUGAUUCACAAUUGAAUAAUGCUUAAAAUCCAGAAGCAGUCAAUCAAUGAUAACUUACUUCGUGGACAGCUGAAGCUCCUUAAGCAUGAGACAAUGCCUCUGAAAAAACAAUGCAGCAAUCCAGUAUUGCGUCAGGUUGAGAUUGGAAUCGUUUAUUAAGAAGAAGAUCAUAUCAAUAUUGUAUUGUUUAUAGAAAUGGAAGUGUCAUUAUAGUUGGACUGAAAACUUACGAUGUAUUGCCUUUUGAAGAGCUUGCAAACAAGUUCCUGAUAAACAAUUAACUUCAAAUGUUAGCUAGUACACAAAAUCUUGAGAUUGGAAAUAUUGUUUUCAGAGUACUAAAUGUAAGCUCACAAGUUUCCUGGUUGAUAGUUGGAUGCUUUAGAACUUCCAGUAAAGUUGUUGUAUGAAAGGUCACUGAAUAAAACUUUGAGACAUGAUCAGUUAUAACCUCUAUGACAGACUGAGUAGAAGAACUAUGCAUACUCAUGGCAAAUAUAUGAUCAAGAAAGCAGUUAAAUAAUGCAUCUUACACAUUGUCUUCUGUUCCUUUUAAGUAAAGUUUGCAUAUCUGUCUUUGUCAUUUAGUUUUCAUUGAGUUGUGGUCUGGAAAGCAGUCUAGUUAUUUUUCAUCUAGUUAAAAUGUCACAAAGUAAAAGCAAAGAAUGACAUCAGAAAACCUUAGCAGUCCUAUUUUCAGUUAUUAAGCUUCUUCAACAUCAGAAGCCAUAUUAGGACACAAUGUCGGACGAGAAGGAAAACAAGAGGAAAUAAAGGUAGAAUUUCUAAGUCAGAAUGGUGAUUAUUGACUGAAACAGAAGUACAUAAUGGAAAAACACAAUUUAUUGAUGAAUGGUCAGAGAGAGGUGAUAAACAACAGAAAACUCAAGCUUUUAUUUUUCUUGGGUAAAAGGUGAGGUAACUAAAGUAGAAACUUAUGGUACACAUGCUUGUACCAGAGAUGGAACUGAAACCAUAAUGCAUUAAACAACGAUGACAUCUUGUACUGUGCAAAUAUAUGAAACUGAACUCACAUACUGUCACCAUCUUUCAGCAUCCAAUCAGGCACUGCUCCACUGAGGAUGUUGCCAGUCAGAUAACUAGUAAAAUCAGCAUUCAAAAAUUAGCAAAUCUUGUUUGUUUCCCACAUUGUACGAGCAUCUUUUCGGAUACACACUAGUUUCAGUAAUAAGAUUUAUCAAUAUAGGAUCAGUGAUCAACAUUCUUACAUAUUAUCCGUUUUUGAUAGACCAAAAAAGGUGCUUGGAAUAGGUCCACUUAGUUUAUUAAAACUGAGAUCCCUGCAAGAGAGAGAUAAAUGAGUAGGUUGUAUACGAGGUACGGAAAAAUAGCCUUUUAAUUUAGCGAUAAUAGUUCUUCUGUAAGGGGCAGCCUCAAACAGAUACCAACGUUUUUCCCCACAUAAUUUGUGGUUGGCCAGCAUUCUACAUCAUGAAUGGUAGUUAAUCAGUUAGGGCACAAGUGGGUCUAUCCUUUUACUUAGAGAUGCAUGUAUUGGUGUACGAUGUCUACGGCACGACAACUCAUUUGUCGCCCAUCGUUAACUAGUUCUUUAUGGAUAUAACCUUAACAUCCAGGGAAAACAGUAAUUUCUAAUUCUACUCAUUGCUAUUUUCAAUAGCUCUUAUUUUGCCUGUUAUCAUCUGAGGCUUACCAAUUUCGCUGGUAUCACAUUUCAAUUAGCCCAAAAGUCGCCCCAAAAAAGAUGGUUCAGACAGUAGAUAACUCGCAAAAUUGGCCAAUUAUAUGGUUUAGCACCUCCCAACUAUUACUUCUUAGCCAGGACAAACUCUUCCAUAGAUUAGGUUGAAAUUCGCAAUCUGUUUGCCUAGCUGUUCAAGAUGAAUGGUAUAGGCUAUAAUACAGCUCUUCUCCUUUAUGUAUCUAUAACUGAUGUUCUUUUUGACAUAACUUUCAACAAACAAAUGCAAGUCAAGAGUUUUCUACUCUUGGGUUCAAUGCAGAUCAAAUCUUUGCAAAUGUGAAAAAUUGCCUUCUAAUCAUGCUCAUCGUGUGGCAGAAAUACUAUAGCAACAGCAACAUAUUGAACUUAACAAGAGGAAAUAAUCUAAAUCUACUCACAAGAGUUUCAAUUUUGUAAAUGAGCCAAGAAACUCUGGUAGCUGCCCGGCAAUAUUGCAACUCCUUAAUAUCCUAUUAAAAACAACUCCACAUCAGGUCAGAGCAAAAUAGUGGGUGUUCUCCCUUGAGAGUGCAACAGAAUUCUGUAAGACUCACAGCGUCUUCAUGUUAGUUGCCCCAAUAAGUGGGGGAAAAGUUGUGUCAUUUCCAUUCAAAUCACUGAUUCUCCUGUUUGUAUUAAUUCAAAGAUGACAAACUAUUAACAGAUUGUAUUGUUUAAACACUAAUUGAACUCCAUAUGAACAAGUAAAAACUUGAACUCACAGGUCAGUUAAUUUUGUCAAGGAAGCAAUGCCAGAUGGUAUUGGCCCACUUAGACCACUAGCCUGAAUCACCCUGUCAUCACAAGAAUUUAGUCGCAGAAAAAUCAACAAAACAUGGUGGAAAAGAACUAGCAAGAAAAAUAUUGCAAUACCAAAGAGGGCUGAAGAUCUCACAAUUUCUCAAGGUUUAUCCAGUUCUGAAUGAAAUUUGGUAUACUUCCUACAAACUGGUUCUCACCAAUGCGACUGCAUUUUCCAAAUAAAUUUCUCAGAAUCAGUACACAGAAUUGUGAAUGGAAAUAUAUCAGAAAAUUCUAAAUCCACUUAUAAAAUGUUCAGAUAGAUGAACUCACAAGUCCUUCAAAGUGGUCAAAUUAGCUAGUGUUGCAGGCAACUCCCCAGUGAAAUUGUUUGAGGUUAAAAGUCUUCAACGACAAGGUUAAAAAUUUCAACCAAAAAAAGGGGAACAUUUAUCAGUUCGUGUAGUCCAUUCAAGUAAAAGAAAAAUAAAACAAUUUGAUUGUUGAACGCAAAGCAGAACAACAGUUGAUCUUUUUGAAGGGUCUUACAUUCUUUCUAUGUGACGCAGAUUCCCAAGAUCUGGAGGAAUAUUUCCAGACAACUGAUUGAAUUCGAGAGUUCUAUUCACAAUUCAUCCAGAAGUUGAAAUAAUCAACUUUGAUCACUCGGUACAGAAAAUAUGCAAUACAUGAUAAGGGAUGAGAAAGAUCAAUAACAAGUCCUUACAAAUUUGCCAAUGUGCUGAUAUUUCCAAGUUCUUUUGGCAAUGGCCCUGAUAUACGGUUUCCAAUCAGAGAACUGCAGUAAACACAUUCACCUACAUUUUAGCCUUCACAAAAGGGGGGUGGGGGUGAUGGAGAGGGGAACCGUUAUUCACAAGGAAAAAUGAAAGGAUAGGAAGUGAGGGGAAGCAUAACAUACAUGUUUACAAGUUGCAUGGAACCCCAUUCCAGUGGUAUUGUACCAUUAAGGUAGUUGCGGGUUAGAUCACUACAAAAUUCACAUCAGUGAAUACAUAAAAAUUUUACCUUUUGGAUAGUUUUGUUUUCUUUUUAAUAUUUUAAUUUAUAGGGAUAUAGGUGCUGUUACAUUUCUCGGAGAUAAGGGAGCUUGACGAAUUCUGGCGGCAAUGUUCCUGGAAGAUUUUGAGCUUUGAGUACUCUGCAUUAUGGAAAAGAUUGUCAUCAAUUGCACUCAAUCAAAUAACAGAACAUACAACAGAGAUGUUUAUACUAUUUUUCUGGGAAUUUGACACUUUCAAUGGGAAACUUCUACAAGUAUAUGAAGAACUGUCCAUAUUACUGCUAAUUAGUUGAGAAAACAUUUCAUUUGUUAGAAGAAUUUGCGGAUUCUAAAUGACUAUGACUGGAUGCAGGGGUUUAAGGAGGAAGGAAGCUUCUCUCUCUCUCUCUCUCUCUCUCUUUUUCAAUUGUUCAACUGAACUCGAUCUCCUGAACAUGGAGUUCAGGGUUUUUCAUUCUUUUUGGUUCAGUCUCUAAGCGGUGGAAUCAAGUACCUCACGGCAUGGUUCUACCCAUUGAGUUAGUUCUUGAGUUCGUAAUUUUUUCCUUUUCUGGGUGUGUUUUUAGAGCUUAAAUGAACUGGUUUAGAGACUUUAGCCUAGUUGCCAAAGUUGAGGCCUUGGAACUAGAGUUCUUGGAUUCAAAUCACCCUUCAUUGGUGUUUUUUUCUAGGUGGCGGUACAAAUUUUUCGACAAAAAUAUGAUUCAUCAAGCGUCAAAUGUUCAGUAUCGAGGUGGUGCAUAACAGUCUAUCAUCCCACUAAACUGUCACAUCACAUAUUUCUUCCAAAUUGAUUAGGCCAAGUCAACGGAGACAAAACCAUCUUCACAUCAGAACCAAUACAAACUAAUGUUCAAAUCUGAACUUAUUCUGUCAUUGUUGAGAGCUAGUCGACCGAAAGUAACACAGGCAAAUUUGUUGAGAAAUUUUUCACUAAUUACUGUCUGAUCAAGUCUAACGAAAUAAGUGCGAGUUUUCGAAGUAAUAAGCAACUCAACUAUUCUAUUUAAACAGAUAAUAAGGCCAAUAUGUAUCAUUACUCCGUUUUCUUAUCAGCAGAGCAGAGAAUUAAUGAUUUGGGUAUGAGAGAAUGAAUGAACUUUACAUGCUGACAACAUGGCACACUGUGUUGUUGACGAAGGAACAAUUACAAGUAACCGCGUUCUCCAAUCCUUUGACGGGAUUAGGAGUAGCCCAGUUCUGUCGUCCACUGCAUGGAUCCACACUGAAAUUCCAGUCCCUCUUUCCCAAUGUCCCCGCAAUUUGCCGCAAAGCUCUCACUACAGCAAACAAACAAAACAAAAACAGAAAAUGACCCUUAGUUCUGCUUAUCUUGUACUACGACAACUUACUGAAUGAAGUAUGUAUGUACCUUCAUCAGCAGGAAGAGUGGCUCCAGAAGGCAGACCUGCAAGGCAAGAGAAUGCAGCUGCUAAAGCAUGCAGAACUGCCCGAGCGAAGAACAUGUUUAUGGCAAGAGAUAGCGCAUGCCAAAGAAGAGAUAGCGCAUGAUCAAGAAAUAAAAUGGUGAUUCAAAAUCUUAUGUAGCUAGUCCCGAUAACUACCAUUUCUCUUGUUAGAAUAACAAUCAGUAGUACUAAUUUAGUAGCUUGUCAGUGCAAUUGGGACAUUAAAUUAAGCGUGGACUUUGUUAGCAUAUAGACUUCGGAAGUAGAUGGGGGUUUGGAGCUAGUACUCGUAGACCUCGAAAGUGCUGCAAUGCUGAAUUGUUUGCCCGUACCAAAUACAGUACAGCUAUGACCAUUCGGACUAAACUGAUUUAUUUCAUAUAAUAUUUGGCUCACAUGAUAAAUAUAUUUUUCAAUCCUUACAGAGUUAGUUCAUCAUCUGCUAUAGUAUAGUAUAGGCUCCAAUUCCCCUUAUAGAAGUUAUAGUUAAUCAUGAUUUAAAUUCAGACCUCAGAUUCAAUACUAUCGAUAAUUUCUUUUCAUACCUUUCCCUUCUGUGACUUUAUUGAGCCCCCCUUUUUCUUCUUUUGUCUAUUCUUGUCAAGUUUGCUCAGAGUUUUCUCUUGAUAAACUUUGGUCAAUAAGCCAGACUGGUCAAACUUCUGACCUUCACAAGCGAUCGCAAAGUAAGGAGCAUGCAUGUUCUGUUUGGUUAACAAGUCUCGUGGAAGAAGAGCAGCGGAAGGAACCAAAUAUAGAGACGUUUUGGACAAUAGAAUUUACCACGUUUUAUACAAAAUCGUCAGAAGUCAUGAAAAUGAUAGAUCAUACAACAACAAACCAACUCGAAACCCCUUUUCAUCUUUCCGUAUUUCGUCCGAAUAGGUGUGAGUUGCUUAUUCAAAUUGGUAAAUUACUCGAGAGAUAUAACUUAAAAGUCAAAACUCCAAAAGAGAAGUUCCUCUUAUUUGGCUUAUCCGUUUACUUGACCAUAGAAGAGGAUGGAAUUUAAGAAACGGGAAAAAGAUACGAAUAUUAAAUUCCAAAUUUUUAAUUUUGAAAAUCUCAACUUUAACUAUUGAAAUAAGAUUCUGUUUGAUGACUCAAUUCAGCACUUAAAUUUAAUAGAUUCAAAUCUUAAUAUGUUCAAAUUGUUUAAUAACCAAAAUUAAAUAUCUCAAUUAAUUAAAUAGCACUGAAUUUCCUAGUCAAAACUUGUUCCUAAAAUUAAGUGAUAAGCUAUUGACUUAUCACUGAACGUGAUAUGCACUCAAAUGUAUUAGAUUUAAUAUUUAAUAAUUUAAUAAUUUAAUGAAUUCAGAUUUCAAUUUUUAAAUUUUAAAUUUCAAUUUUAUCAAACGCACCUGAGACUUCCUCAAACUGAAUACAAUUAAGUACAACAAACAUUCAAAACAACGAGUCUAUGAAUCCUGGUCGAUUUAUUUUUUCCUUGCUUGUUUACUUUCUAUACGCGUAUACAUAUAUAUAUAUAUAUAUAUAUAUAUAUGCCGACACUAUGAGCUAGCUUGUCAGGUUGCUGCCAUGGAAACCAACCUCAUCGUUGACUGCCUGUUUCAUUAUAGUGACAGCUUUACGUACCCUUUCUCGGUCAGCCCUUUUUUUUUUGUUUGUUUGUUUUUUUUUGUUUUAAUGAAGGAAGAGUGCAUAUAUAUAUAUAUAUAUAUAUAUAUAUAUAAUUCGAAGCAGGAUUUGGUAAGACGGAUUUGCAAUGUGUGUGACAAAGGCCAAAAAAGGAGUAUGUUAUGCCAUGACGACGUGUUUGUUUGAUCAGCAAUUGCAAGCUGUUACCAAGCUUGUGAAGUUAAAUCAGUAUGAGCAAUGAAUCAGAAAUCAAAUGGUUUUUCAAAGUGACUUGGGAUGAAUCAUUUUGGUCAAUUGGACUUAAAAUGUGUUCUCAUGAUGAUUUUUUUACUGUGUUAAAUUUCCACGCAUGAGGGGCAUCAAUGUAUCAUGACAAACAUGAUACAAAAGGUCGGUACUGUUGUUUGCAAGAAAAGGUGUAGGACAGUAAAUUACUUUUUCGUUCAUGUAUGUUUGGUUAGCAAAAGGUUGAAAAUUUUGUCUUCACUUUCUCGUAUUUUAUAUCCUUCAAAGUUGCCAGCGAUUUUGAAGGUCUUAUACAACAAUUUUAAUAACUGUCACUAACUUCCCAUUCUCCCUCAAAUUUUUUUCUUCAAAACAGAAAAAAAAUUCAUUUUCAUUUAUCUCAUUUUUCCAUACAAUUUUCCCUCUAUUCAACCAUUUCUUUAGUUUUCCUGAAAUUAAGAAGAAAAUGAAAAAAGAAAAUUGCUGUCCAACAAUCGUACGUACUACUCUAUCAAUUGAACCCUUAAAACUAACCUCACGGGGUAAGCUAUUCCAAAAUAGACUCCAAGACCAAGAGUUAAUGGACAGAAUAACUUUAGGGAUCAAGGAGGCAACAUUCAAUUUGGCUUAAUUAAGGGGAAGUAUAGAAAUUAAUAUUAAUUUUAUAUUCCACAUACCUAAAUCCAACUAAUAGUUUUCAAAAUUGACCUAUCUUCGAAGGGUUAAGUCAUAGUUAACCUAGACUAUAGAGCACUUAUUUGUAAUGCAAAGAUCAAUUCCCUUAUUUACAACAAAUUAAGAAUCACCCUGUUCUCACUAGUGUCAACACACAUUGGUUGGAAAUGACUUUUUCUUUAUGAAUAUACAGAUUUUAUUAUCAGUAAUAUUUUCUUCAAUAAGAUAAAGUUAAUUUGAAAGUCACAAUAUUUAAGGUGAUCGAUUAUGUUGGCAAAUGUUGUUAAAUAAAUUAGCGUAAAAAUUAGUUUUUUUUUUCUAAAUGUAAAAUUGGAAGUUCAGAAAAUAAUAAAAAUUGAAAUGGCCUAUAAAAUGUUAAUUUUUUAUGGCUUUCAUCCAUUACAUGAGUAAAGUAUUGGAUCUUUAUGGAUAUUUUAUCCUGAAUCAUUUAAUUUAUGUUAAAUACAUAAAUAUUUAUAACUAAAAUUGAAAAAGUGUUAUCUUAAUAUUUCUACGGAAGAAAAACUGGUAGGUUUUAUGUUUAACAAAAAUUAAAUAUUUGAGAGUAAAUACAAAUCUGUGUUUGAGAAUAAAUAUUUGUGAUAAAGUAAAUGUUUGAAAAUAAAAUUCAUGUAAAGAGCUAGUACUUUAAAUAGGCAAUACGUAUUUGCCUAUAAACUACGCUCGUUAAAGUUUAUUAAUUGUUAAUUAAUUUGUAAUACUUUGUCAUUCAUUGGACAUGUGGCACAAAGGACAAAUCAGGUACAAAAUUCUAAUUUCACUCUCUAAAAUAAUAUUUAAUCAUUUGGACUGAAUUUCUAAAGGAUUAGUAACCUCAGGGGAGGUCAGUGUAAUUGUUCAAACUACGGGGGAGGUAAGUGUAAAUGUUAGAAACCUCAGGGGAGGUUUCUGAAAUUAUCCCUAAAACAAAUUAUUGGAUGCAUGGAUGCACCCAUGCACGUAGCUUUGGGGUCCAUCUCCACCGACCUGAGCCAAAUCUGGGGACCCUUUUGCUUUUCCAGUUUGGAAUUUUCUGUGGCGGCUUUCCUAUUUUUCCCGUGAGCAUUUUUGAGCUGACGUUUUUUGACCAUAGAAUUGCACUUUCUUUUCAUAAAGAAAAGAUAAAGAUUAAUUAAACUGGAUGCCGUGGAAAGUCAUUUAAUUUAGACUUUUUUUUUCAUAGAUGUAGCAUUUAUCAUCCCCGCUUCAAAUGAAGAAAAAUUGAAGUGAAGAUUAUUUGCCAAGUUUUGACGAUUGUAUUUGCUAUUUGCUAGCAUUUAUCAACCUUUUUCUCCAUGUUUUCGGGAAGAGAAUUACAGGUCUAAAACAUCUAAUUAAUAUGCCAAUUCAAAAAUUUUGCAACAAAUAUGUUUAUAAACAUGCCUGAUAAGGGGUUUAUGAGCCUCUAAAUUAAAUGUCCAUUUUCCUCAAAAGAAAAAAAGGAGAAAACAAAAGGUGCAUGACUUGGAAACCUAUCAAAAUCAACUGGAACUAAUUAUUCGCUUUAUGUUUUCUGAAUAAUCUACUGUUUUUGAAACAUUAAUGGUAAAGGGUGGCGAAAUUUCAAAAUCUUCUUGUGUUUGAAAUAUAAAAGCCCACGAGGCAGGCGUUUUCUUCUGCAUACAUGUGGAAACCAGGAUUCACAUACUGUUCUAGUUCAUAAUUUAGGUUAGGAUCUUAAAUAAAAUAGUUCCCAUAUCAAUAAAGAGAAGUCCAACUACUAAUACAUUUGAAAGAAAAGGAAAGAAAGAUCAAACUCAAAUUGUAGCUAGGAACAUGUCAAAAUUUUACAACUCUAGUUGGAAAAAAUAAAAGGGACCCUGAUUACGGUCAAAAGAAGGUUAAGCUUGAUUAGUACGUACUAUUUUGCUGCAAACAAAAACUUAAAAACAAUUAAACAUAGAAGGUUCUAAAUACUACGGAAAAAGUUGAACUCUUGCAAUAAUCUGAAGAGUAAAAGUUUGCUUUCGAGGUAUCUAGGUCGUACUCCUUUUUUUUUUUUUUUGGAUCAGACACGAUAGUUUCUAUUUUACACCUAUUUCUACUUUAUACUCGGUGAGUUAUAUAACAUCUACCUCCUUCAGUGGGGCACAAAUUAAAAAAAAAAAGAAAAUAUCAUUUGUAUAGCCAUUUUUUUAAUAAUAGCACUCUAACUAUCUUUUGUAUCAUAUAAUCUAAUAAAUAAAAAUUAUAUAAUACAAAUGAUAGUAAGAGUGCUUUUAUUAAGAAAAUGGAGUGCGCGCUAUUAUAAAAAUAAAUAGAAUGCUAUUAAUAUUUGUAAGAAAAAGUUCUUUUAGUAAUAGAAGCACACAAUAAUAGUAUUUACAUAGUAAGGUAUAAGUUAUGACAUACGUAUUUAACAAAUAACAUAAAAGGAUGCAACUGCAAGUGUGAAUUUUUGUGAUGGAAAAACUCACGAGUGGACUAAAUUUCUUGAAACAUUAGGCUUAUAUAUACUUGUUUCUUUGUCAGGGAUUGUAACUAAUCAAAUUACUUGUAAACACAUGUAUUUAUUGACUCUCUAUGAAUUACUAGGAAUAAAAAAGACAUUUUUCUAAAAUUGAACCUAAGAUGAAUAUUUUCUCUUGGUUAGUGAAAGCACAUUUAGUAAUUUGUAGGGAAAACUUUUUUUUUUCCUUAUAACUAUAUGGACACGCUUCUCUCUAAAUGAUUAAGUUUAUUAGUUAUAAGGAAUCAUUUCCAACAUCAUAAUUACCAAAAAAAAAAAAAAAGAAUUGAGACUCAGUAGAGAUUGAUGUAAGAGUUUUAAUUUUUUUUUUUUUUUUUUGGUCUAAGAGGAAUGACCGGUCUUUUCUUUACUAAUUAAUUUCCAACAUCCCAACCACCUCUUCUAUAAAGACUGCGUCCAUCUUAAUUGUUGCACACAUUUUGCAUUAAAAGAAUUCGAUUUUGAUUUGAUCUUCGGCUCUUCUGAUUUGAACUUUCCAAACCCAUAAUCCAUUUUUCUCAAAAAGGGACAAAAUACCUUUUUUUUUUGCCGGUGCUGCAGGCGAAGGGACAUAAACACUUGAUUAUUUUAACUAAGGGAUAAUUUCAGAAACUGUCCUUGGAGUUUGUCAUAAUAUCACCUAGUACCCCUCAAAAUUUUUAAAAUCUCACUUACGUUUACGUCUCUUAGAUUGACUUUUUUUUUUAACAUUUUAGCCCCUUUUGGAGAAAAGUAAGAGAGAUAAAUCUUUCCUUUCAAUACUAUCCUAUUUAUGAAACUUACAUGAACAAUAAAAAUUAAAAUAAGGGUAUAAGUAAACUUGAAAAUAUCCAAAAAUUGCCUAUUUCCUUUUUACAUGAAAAAUUUUUUGGUAAUGUUUUGAUAUUUGGUAAUGAAAAAUUUUUGGUAAAAAUUUUGAUUAAUCAUUUUUAUAAUUUUUUUCUAUAAGUAGGCUUUACAUGCAAAUUCCACAUAUAAAAUUUUUUUAAUAUAAAAUACAAUUUGAAUUACAUCAUGUAUUAAAACAUACUUGCUAAAAAACAUUGCUUGACUUCCUUAAAUCCAUCCUGCAAAAUUCUUCAAGAUGUAAAUUACUUACCAAAAUUCAUUGAAGUGAUUGCCGUUACUAAAUUUAACUUAACCACCAUUUGAAUACAGAGAAAUAUGGACUAAUAUUGAAUAGUCAUUUGGCUAUUUUUAUUAAUAUUUUUUGGGUUAAAAAUUCUCUUUUAUUUUGGAAUUUUUGGUUAAUUAAUUAUUAAGAAUGCAAUGGUAAUAUUAUCAAUUUGUGAUCAUUGAAAGGGAUAUCUAACCUUGUCAAGGUGACAGGAGAGAUAAGUGAGAUUUUAGAAAUCUCGGAAUGCUAAGUGAUAAAGAGAAACAUCGAGGAAGGUUUCCGAAAUUAUCCCUUAAGUUAAAGAAAUUUUCCAAUUCCGCGCCUUUAUUCUUAACCGCUGCCCCCCGCCCACAGGUCAAGGCCCGUUUUCUUUCUUUCUCAAAAAAUCUCACGCCCUCUUCUUGCUUGUGCCUGUGUGCUGUCCUAAAAUACUCUGUUUCUGUUUCUUACUGCUACUUUUCGUUUUAUUACAACGUCUGUUUUCUUCAGAAGUUAUACGUACGUUGUAAUAUUUAGUUUGCUUGUUUUCUUGACAUCUGCAAUUGUACUGGAGAAAGUGCUGCAUAGGUCAACGGAGCCUUCUGUUCUUAAGUACAACAAUGGCUACAUCAAGAAGGACACUUCCUGAGGAGAUACAUGUUAGCAUCGUCUAUUUUUUCCUGGUUCUGCACUUCUUCAGUUGUACUAAUGAUUUAAGAUCCUUCGCUCAAUUAUUGCCUGAAGAAGAAGGUAAGAUGGAACUCCACAAACUUAUAUCUUUGACAAUCAAACAUGCAGCAUCUGUAUGAUUGGACAUCAUUUAAUUUGCUUAAUCUUUCUCUUGUUUUUCACUUCUUAUUUGUUCUUCCGGGGUCAGUGAAGCAUGAUGUUUGUGGGUUUUUUUUUUUGAGAAUUUUAACAUUUAUAGAAUUUUAUUUGACAAAAGUUUUGUUGGUUUAGCAAACAAUUAUGGGUUUAAACGACCAGGAUCAUUCAUAGGUUGCAAGAGAUAGAAACUAGAAAGAAAGCAGUCUUUACGAGGGAUUUUUUUUUCCCACCCUUCUUUGUAGACUGUAGUAUCUUUUAUUUUGGAGGAGGAGUUUCCAGACAUGGCUAUCUUGAAAAGAAAAUGUUACAAGUGCACUACUUGCACAGCACAGGUCCACAUAGCAAGACGUGCCCUUUUAACUUUUCCUUAUUGGCAUACUGUUAUUGAAUUUUCCUUUUUCUGGGUUAGGCAAUGAUAAAAGAAUAAAAAUUCAGGAAAAAUCAACCCAACUAAAAGAUAGAUCGAUUUUGGAAAUCCCCAAAAUCACAUACUGUCCACUCUCAAUGAAUUAUUGAGAUGUCGGCCCAUUCUGGCACGCCAACCUAACUCAUUUGAGGGGCUUAAUCUUACGACUGGUAAUGAAAAUAUCAACAAAAGAUGCCAAGAGUUGAUACUGACCAGUAGCCAAUUGCAUUAUACCAAGGGGCACGCAUGGGCUGUACCCUUGUUAUGCUACUAUUUGUUUUACAGUAUAGCGUGCACUUGCAAUACUUUGUUGUAUGUGUGAAAUUUGCUUUUUGUUUCCUAAAAGUAUAGAUUUUAUUUGUGUGCACCUAAUAUUAUUAAACUGUACAACAGUUUAUAGCAAGGAAUAAACAACCAAACAUAACUGCAGCAAACCAUAAUUGUAUCAUUGUAUUAGUUCUGUAAAUGGUCAUGGGACACCAUUGGCUUGGUCUUAAUCUAGGUGAGCUGGAGUGGGAGCCUUAUGGUUGUUGCAUUGAAUAAGUCAUGUACCCAAAAUUGCAAUUGCACUACUAUAAGUGAAAAAACUGCAGUCCGUCACAUGCAGUAUUUAUUACAACAAGGUUGAAUUGGAAGGGAAGGAUUGGAUAUGGUUAAAUCGGUUCGCAGGAAUGGUCUCUUUGCUGAAUUUCUAUUUUUGGGUUGAUUUAAGUUUAUCUGCCACCAAGCUCUACCAAUCGUGUAUAUAUGCAACAUUUUUCCUCGUUUCAUGAGUUACACAGAUAAUCAAAUUUUCUGCACUGGAAUUGUCGGUCCAAUAUUUAAUUAGGUUCAAAGAUGAACUUAUGAGCAACCGGCCAAAACCUUUGGGAGGAGUUUGGUCAGGCCAUAGAUUGGGACUUUGCCAUGCCUCUUGACAUCUGAGUAUAGAGUGUGUGAAGACUGUUAUGCUGGCUUUGACGUGUCCAAGUCAAAAGUUAAUUUUAGCCGUGAAAGUUUUGGGAGGCGUUUUUAUUUGACAAUUCUAGGUUCACACAGUAGAUCAAGAUAACCACGAAGAUGUUUUUGACAAGCUAAUAGAGAAUUGUCACAAUUUUGAAAUGAAAAGGACAAGUUAACUAGGAAUUUUGCCUGAAAAGAACAAUUAUUUAUCUAAAAAAAGAAAAAAACAAUUCUUACAAAAACUUGCUUCAGUUUCUAUUCUUUUAUGUGUUUUACUGAAAAUGCCCCACAUACUAAAUUAUUCAGCUGGAGUUACUGUUGUUAUUUUACGGUGUUCAAUCGAAGCAAAGCUUUUCCCAAAAAAAAAAAAAAAAACUUGUUAUCGUGAAAUUGACUUCGGGAUGCUCCAAAAAAAGAGAGAAGAAAAGAAGAGUUGAAAUCAUUAUUUAAAUAUAAUUAUGCAUGUUAUUAAUUACACAUUGUGUUUUGAUCGCAAAUUCAUGUUGCAGUGCAAGUUCUUCAAACGAUAUCAUCAAAGCUGCAGAUCACAAACUGGGAUCUUAGCCGGAGCUCUUGUAGUGAGGGUAGCGGUCUCAACCGGACCUUUGGCGAUAGCAUUUAUAGCAAUGUGACCUGCAAUUGCUCUUUUAGUGCCAACACUGUAUGCCAUGUCACAAGCAUGUAUGCUCUUAAUCUUUUUGCUAUUAUCACUCUUGACUCUUGCGCGAAUGUCAGGUUUCUUGAGGUUUAGACGUUCUAUACUAAAUAUCUGCUGUUUAAAUGGAUGGAGGGUGAUUUUGCCCGGUUACGUCUCUCAUGAAUCAGUGACAUAGACAUAGUAAUGUUUUCCUUCUGAUGUCCACAUCUCAAGAUGUCAAAAGUUAAUUUUUUCUACUCCAUACUAAUGUUUCUGAGCUUAUUCCUACUUGGUAUGCAGACUUUUUUUGUUUGCUGUUGUAUUCUCAUACAUGUUUUUUUUUUUCUGCUUUGGGUGACUCAGAGAGCUGAAAGGCCUUAAUUUGACCGGGACUUUGCCUGCAGAAUUUGCAAAUCUCAGUCAUCUUCGGGAAAUGUAAGUUCUUUGUAGCUAGUAAGGAAUUCUGUUGAGAAUGUUAAGUUUGUUAGUUCAACAGAUGGAUGUUGUACAGCAAUGGUUCCUUUGAUUAUUAAUUUACACCUGCAUGGCAGCCCAGGGAAGCAUUCAAUAUGAUUGUUUUCCAUUGAAAAUAGGAGAUGUAAAGGGACUAAAUUUGUGGUCAUUUUAAUUCUCAUAUACCAAAAUCAUUCUCCCCUGAAUGGAGUUCUAAUUGACAGAAUGAUGCCCAAAUUUCUGCGAUUAUUAUCAGCUGGCGAAAAUCAUGUGGCACUUGUAUUGGAAGAUAAGUGAAAAUAAACAUAUGAAACUUGACCACGAGUAAGAUGGACAAAAUUAUUGCGGCCACAUUUUAAAGUAGAAUUAGUUCAUCUAAGAUUCAUAUGACAACUUAGACCAACUUCUCAGGAAACUACCCCGGCUGUCUUUUGUUUGAGUUUCUGUCCACAGACUUACUUUGCUUCUUGUUUUUUCAGAGACCUCUCACGUAACUAUAUCAGUGGAUCAAUUCCACCAAGUUUUGCUCGGCUUCCUCUCACUAAUCUGUAAGUCACUUGUUCCAAAUAAUCCAGGGUCGUUCUGCAUUUUGCUCUAGACUUCUUGGAUACACUAACAAGUCAGUCUACUACAGGUCACUAUUGGGAAACCGGAUUAACGGUACAAUUCCUAGCGAAAUAGGUGAUAUUUCUACUUUGGAAGAGCUGUAAGUGGAGACGAUGAGCAGUGUCUACGCCAUAUUCAAAUAGUUGGGAUACUCAACUGGGCUAUGUUUUUGCAGGGUUUUGGAAGAUAAUCAGCUUGGUGGACCUCUUCCCGCUAAUCUUGGAAGGCUAAGCGGAUUGAGGAGACUGUAAGACUAUCCGAUCAUUUUAGGCAAUCUUACCGUACAUGCAAAAUGAUUGCAAUCUCACGCACUUUUAAGUUAACAAGAAUCUCCCAUUAGAACAAGUUGAAGUUGUAUUUUGUAACUCCGUCCAUGAUAAAUUUAGCAUGAUGGUGUUGUUAAUUAUUACUGUAAAACACAUAAUGGUGGUUCUCAUGCAUCGUUUAUUUCUCAAUUUGUGGUUCUAUAGUCCUACUACUCCUGCUGAGGUUUCAGAAGUGAGACAGCUUCAGCAGUUGAUUAUAAAAGCUUGGAACAAUGCAAUUUUCCAAGAUUGGCAUUCUUUUCUCCUUUCUGCUUAUUUAGACACCAUUUCUUUGCUUUUACAUCAAUGGACUCUAUGUUGUAACAUUAAUUCUCUACCAAAUUCAACUUGAAUUAGUUCUGUUUUUCCCUUCGUCGUAAGCAUAUGUCUACCGAUGAUGAACAUUUCUCUUGCAGCGUGCUUUCUGCCAACAAUUUUACAGGAACAAUACCGGAGACAUUUGGGGAUCUGAAGAAUUUGACAGAUUUGUAAGUCAUUACAUUUAAGCAAUUAAAAAUGUUUCAGGUUUCAUUUGGAUCCUAAAUCUUGUGGGGAUGAUGGUAAAGUAUACUUGUGAUGUGAAGGAACAGUAUUGUUUUUACAUGUCCUCCCCUUCCUUUUUAGUAGAUAUAAAACUCAAUUAAGUGUGCCGAAUUGUAACAGGAAACAAACAAAAACAAAAUAAGAAUUCAUUUUCUUUCAGAGCCCAGCACAAGAAAAUGAUUUUCUGGGGACUCUCAAGUCUUCUUUUCCUCCUAAAUUGAAAAUGAAAUUCCUAAUGGGAUGACUCAAAAUAUUUGAGAGCUUUCUUUGCUGUUUGCAGUAGGAUAGAUGGAAAUGCAAUUUCUGGAAAGAUGCCCGACUUUAUUGGCAAUUGGACAAAACUUAUCAGACUGUGAGUGUUCUUCUUGGCAUCAUCGAUGCAACUUUUCUCCCUGUUCGGAAUAAAUUUAUUUGCUUUUUGGACUAUGGUGAUGCUGUCUUACAUCAAGCGGAACCAAUUGUUCGCAGAGAUAUGCAAGGCACGUUAAUGCAAGGACCAAUUACUCCUGCAAUUUCCCGGUUGACAAAUUUAUCUGAGAUGUGAGACAAUUUCCUGUUUAGACUUUACUAGAUUUUUUACUACAACAUGCUCAAAUGGAUUCUGACAUCUGCUUCUUGAUCACAUAAAUUGUGGUGCUUAGGAGGAUACUCGGCUUGAGUGGUUCAAGUAUUAGAUUUCCCAAUUUGCAAGACCUGGAAAAUAUAAAAACAGUGUGAGUUGGUGGCAGGAUCUAGCUGUGCCUUUGGAAUAGAUAUCUGCUAAUUUUUAUUUUUUUUAAAGGGAUAAUUUUAGAAACGUCCCGGGAGGUUUUUGACAAUUUCAGUGAGCUCUCCUAAAGUUUGGAAAAUUACACCUACCUCUCUUGAUUUGAUAGUUUUAGUAACAAAAUCUUAAAAUAAUAUUGAUUUGGUCAAAUUUUUAAAUGAAUACCCAACAAUGCCCUUGUGUAAUGAGUUUUAAUUUAUUUCCCUAUACAAUUAUAAGAUUAUCUAGUAUAAAAUAUAUUAAAUUUUCAUAUCCGUAUCUACUAUUUGAUAAACAACUAUAUAAUAAUAAUUUUAUCACUAUGAUAGGAUACUUUUGAUGGUACUUUAUUAUGGAUUUAGAUUUAUAAAAUAGAAAAAAAUGUUGAAAUAAUUCAUAUAGAGUUAUGAAUUUUUCGAGUAAUGGGAUUAUCAUAAUUUAGUAGUAGUUUUAGGGCAUUUCUUUUUAUUUAUUGUUAUUUUUAAUACCAAAAAUUAGAAAAACAAAGAUUAGUAAAAACAUUGGACUACAUAUAAGAAAAAUCAUUAAUUCGACAUUUGGUUACGAUAGAAACUAGAGGUAAUAGUGCAGUUAUACAGUGUUUAUUGGCAAAAAAAAAAUUAAAAAAAAAAAAGGAAUACGACGGUAAAAAAUGAAAAAUAAAUUUAACAGUAAUUCUAAGUAUAAGCAUCCCAAGCAAGGGAAUUUCAAUAAAAAUAUUUAAGGAACAAGGGAGGUAUGUGUAAUUUUUAAAACCUUGAGGGAGCUAAAUGACAUUGUUAAAAACCUCAAAGGAGGUUUCUGAAAUUAAACCUUUUUAAAAAUCUGCUAAUUAUUUUGUUCUCAUGAUGCAGAAUAUUAAGAAACUGCUCCAUUUUUGGCCCAAUCCCAGAAUAUAUGGGCAACAAGCGCAAACUAAAAACACUGUAAGUUUGUUUUGCAGGGAGGCAUUUGUGUAGUUUUAUUGAUCUCUGCCAUUGACAUUCUCUAAGUUGAUUAGAAAGUUAAUUGCAUUGCAAGUGCAAUCAUAAAUCUAAGUUAAGACAACAAAAAUAUAUAGCUUUGCAAGUGAUAUAGCUUCACUGUUCCAUUUGUUUGCAGUUAAUUAAAUACACGAAGACAGCAUUAUGAACAUGCUUAUUAGUGUAGGACUAGUUUAUUCUAGAUGAACUUAUUUCACUUCACCAAGACUUGAACCUUUUGUUAUUUAUCUAUUAACUAAAUGAAUGUAGUUUUGCUUUUUGUCCUGCAAUCAAUUUUAGUUCAACAUGAAAAGAAUUGAUAUUGAAUAUCUACUCAACCGUUCACUUGAUUUUAUAUUCUGAAGUUGAAAACAUCAGCCUAAGAACGUUAGUUAAUAUAACCUAUCAAAUUCCCGAUUGAGAAUUCAUUAUGUGGACAGAUUUAGCUUUUUCUCAUAAACAAGCAGUGCUUUCAUGCCUGAAAUUGGCAUUUAGACCUUCUGAUUGAGGUUAAAGCAUACCUUUCCUUUCAAGUAUGGUUUAAGACAAGUUUUGUUCUGUCCAAUUUACAUUCAGAAGAAGUGAUUUAACAUACACAACAGGCCAAGAUUUCUACUUAAAUGGUGGGAGAACCUUGUGACUGACUAGUGUUUCCAGUUGUAAUGACUGAUCUCAACUAUUAUGUCUUUUCUUUUGGGUUCAUUGGGCAAUGCUUUUGCAGGGACCUUAGCUUCAAUAACCUGACUGGUCCAAUCCCAAAUACAUUUCAGAGGUUGAAUUUUGAUAACCUGUAAGUCACUUUACCUAAAUUGCAUUUUGUGCCCAAUUAUCAAAACUUUGAUACUUUUCUUGGAUUUUCAGACAAAUGGGGUUUGCGUACAUCUAAAGCCCUUGCCACACCCAAAAAGCUAAUGCUAUACCAUUUUCUGCAGCCUUCUGGCUUCUAAUGCAUUAAGUGGAGAAAUACCCAGUUGGUUACUGGACAGCAGAGAGAACAUGUUGGUGCUUGUAUACUCGUGUCUUUUGAAAUUCUGAAUGGAUGCAGAAGUUGCAAUUCAAGUGCAUGUAUAUCAUACAUACGGAGAUAUAUAUAUAUAUAUAUCAUAGAUUUCUCACAUUUUGCAUGAUUGUAUUUGCUGGCAGUGACUUGUCUAACAACAAUUUUACUCCAUCGUCCACAACAAGCUGCCAGUCAUCCACUGUGUAAGUGUUUCUUUGCUUUCUUGGCAAGUGGAAUAUUUCACGGUUUUAAUCAAAAACCCCGUACUUCAACAGGAACUUAGCCUCCAGCUCUUCGACAUCAACAAGCAAUUCGUGAGUCCUGAAAUACUAAGUCUUCUUGUUAGAUUUCAUUUUAGUUUGUCAAUAAAAUCAUGUGGAUGACCUUAGCUUCAUACAACACAGAAUUGCGUGGUGUUCGAAGAAGGACCUUCCUUGCUCGGGAAAAUCCCAAUGUAUGUCUUCCAAAGUACCAUUCUGUUCCUUUUUUAUGGAAUCUUGUAUUAUUAAUUUGAAGCUACCUGUAAUCCGUGUGAUUUCAUGAAUGAUUCUUGCUCGCAUAUGCAGAUUAUUCAUUGUUCAUAAAUUGUGGAGGAAGCAGGAUUGGUUUUGAGGGAAAUGAAUAUGAAGAUGACCAAACUAACCGUGGUCCAGCUUAUUUCUUUUCCUCCUCAGAGAAAUGGGCUUAUACAAGCUCAGGAGUGUACAUGGGAAAAGAUGAUGCCAAUUAUGUUACUAGUUCUUCAUCAUCAAAUUUGACUGGUGAAGAGAUAUACAGAACUGCACGCCAGGCCCCCGCUUCACUUAAAUAUUAUGGCCUUUGUCUAAGAAAGGGUAGCUACAAAGUGCGCCUCCACUUUGCCGAAAUAAUGUUUUCAGAUGACAAGAAAUUUAGCAGUCUUGGGAGACGCAUAUUUGAUGUAUCAAUUCAAGUAAGAAAAUACCAGCAGCUAAUUUCUGGGUUUAGCAUAUCACGUAGCUUGAAAUCAGUUUCUUUAAGAACCUUAUUGGGAUAGAAGUUAUACAAACACUUCUGCCGUAUCUUAGUCGAACGUUUUUAAUGCAGGGAAAUGUAGUUCUCAAGGACUUUAAUAUCAUGGAGGAAGCUAAAGGUGUUGGGAUAGGAAUUACCAAGGACUUUAAGGAUGUAAUUGUAAAUGGAAGCACUCUGGAGAUCCACUUAUUCUGGACUGGAAAAGGGACAACAGCAAUUCCUGACAGAGGUGUUUAUGGACCUCUAAUAUCUGCAAUUACUGUGACACCAAGUUAGUUUAUCCUGACUCUUGUUUAUUCUAUAUUUCCUUCUUCAGAAACAUCUCUGAGUCAUCCCUUCUAUCUUCUUCUAGAUUUCGACACUCAUACAGGGCUAUCAGUUGGAGCUAUUAUUGGCAUCGUAGUUGCUUCAUGUGUGGUGGCAUGUUUAAUUUUAGUUUUGCUGCGACUGAAAGGAUAUUUAGGAGGAGACGACACUGAAGAUAAAGGUGAGAUGAUGUGUAAUGUGUUUUUUUCUUUUGACUAUAACAAAAAAUCGAUUGUCAGCUAUCUGGAAAGUGAUCAAACAAUUGAAGUACCAUAAGAUAAGAUGAGAUAAAGAAACGAGUAGGGCCUAAUAGUAAAGAAUCUUUUCUUGUGAGAGCAGGAUCAUUGAAGCGAUGCAUCUGUAUAGAAAAUAGAGCAUUUUUGUAGGAAGUUCAAGAAAACCAACCAAAAACAACUAGGUGUUCCAUUUUUUUUUUUAAAAAAAAAAAUGCCAGCUGACAUACAAUUGAAGUUAGUUUGUUUAUUUAUGUUGUGUUCUGGAGACGAUAGUGUUAGAAAGGGAUGUCCAUGUGUCUUGAAAGUUUGCCCCUGGACAAACAAACAUUGUGGAUAUUUGCCGGUGCUUAUGCUGUAGUUUUACAAUCUAGUUAGCAGCGAGAUAAAAGGUACUUAAAUAUAAGAUUUGAAGUCACAUUAUGGAUGUCGUGGGUUGACGAAAGGGAGAUGAUUAAAAACAUGUUUAAAAUUGCACUUUAAGUUUCUUUAUCUUUCAUUCUGGAAGAGUGAACCUUUAUCGUUUCAUUUCAGAACUUCGAGCUCUGGAUCUACAAACAGGAUAUUUCACUUUGAGACAGAUAAAAGCUGCCACAAAUAACUUUGACCCUGCCAAUAAGAUUGGUGAGGGUGGAUUUGGGCCAGUUUACAAGGUUGUUACUUACAAUUGAACUUCUGAUUGAUUUAGUUUCAUUUGAAUAUUGACAUUGCAAGAACUGGAAAAUUCAUCCUAGCCAUGCUUGUGUUGGACCAAGGACAUAAGGGAAACAAAUGUUGACCCAACUAAUUCCACUAUGAUGUUUUAUCAUGCUUAAAUGAUGCUACUAUUCCCAGGGUUUAUUAACAGAUGGUGCUGUAAUCGCUGUCAAGCAGCUCUCUUCAAAGUCAAGGCAAGGAAAUCGAGAAUUUGUUAAUGAAAUUGGCAUGAUAUCUGCGUUACAGCAUCCUAAUCUUGUGAGGCUUUAUGGCUGUUGCAUAGAAGGCAACCAAUUGUUGCUAAUAUAUGAAUACCUGGAAAACAACUGUCUUGGUCGAGCACUAUUUGGUAAGCAUUUUGGUAUCAUCUUUAUGAGAAAGCAUAGCUUGCAACAUGAUAUUCAAUUUUCAUGCUCUUCUCCCUGGUGCUUUACAUUUUUAGGUCGAACGGAACGGCUGCUAUAUCUUGACUGGCCAACAAGGAAGAAGAUAUGCUUAGGGAUAGCAAGAGGUUUGGCUUAUCUCCAUGAAGAAUCUCGGUUGAAAAUUGUCCACAGAGAUAUCAAGGCUACAAAUGUGCUUCUUGACAAGGAUCUCAAUGCUAAGAUAUCUGAUUUUGGUUUGGCCAAGCUUGACGAAGAGGAGAACACCCAUAUUAGCACACGAAUUGCGGGAACGAUGUGAGUUUUCAUGCCUUUUGCCUUCUCUAAUUUGUAAUUCUUUCUUCAUCUGAUUUUUGUUGGCAGCAAGAUUAUUGACUGGAAUUUUUGUGUGUGAGUGCAUGAUGUGGACAACAGUAAAUUAUUUGGAAAAGAAUACGACGGGAUUUAUUAUCGAAAACAUCUAUUGACUUGUUUUGUUAUCUAUUCUUGCAGAGGUUAUAUGGCUCCUGAAUAUGCUAUGAGGGGUUACUUAACGGACAAAGCAGAUGUUUACAGUUUUGGAAUAGUUGCACUGGAGAUCGUCAGUGGGAAAAGUAACACUAACUACAGGCCCAAAGAGGAGUUUGUGUAUCUACUUGACUGGGUAACCUCUUAUAUCAGCUCUAUCCUCCAGGGGAAAGAUUGCCUUCUUUAGCUCACACUCAAAGUGAUUUAGCAACUUUGAGUUGGUUACUCGAAAACGAUGAUUUGAAUGAACAUGUCUUUUACUAAAAUUAAAUUGGCUGAAAUGAUGGCUUUCUUACUGUUUUGAAUUCCUAAAAUUGAUCAAGAGUAUCAACUAUCAAGGGUACUUAACAACAAUGGUGGUAAUUUGGAGGGGAGGGUGGAAGCAGGAGUGACAAGGAGGAUUUUAUCAGAGUUCCCAGAAUUAGAUAGAGAGGAAACCAGAACUUUGGCUGAAGAUUUUGUUUGCUAGAUUUCAUAAAUUAAUGAUAAGGAUCAUAGCUACCACCUAUCAAUCCAUCAAUGAAUUUGUCAUCAACCCGUAGUCUCAUGAAAAAUAAUCUUGUAGGGUGAAUGAGCAGGAAAGCUAUUUUAGCUUAUGCAUCCAUCCUAUCAGCAAAUGUUGGUGUUAUAUCCUAAUAUUCUGCCUACAUUUCUUUGUUUUUCAAAUUGUUAAUGCCAAUGGCUGAGUUAAUAAUAUAACCUUUUCCUCAUUCUAUGUGGGAACAUGCAGGCUUACGUCCUGCAAGAACAGGGAAAUCUUUUAGACCUUGUGGAUCCAAGUCUUGGUUCAGACUGCCCUGCAGAUGAAGCACUGAGGAUGAUAAACUUGGCAUUACUAUGCACUAACCCAUCUCCUACUCUUCGGCCAACCAUGUCUUCUGCAGUGAGCAUGCUCGAAGGCAAAAUCGCAAUUCAGGCACCACUAAUCAAGCGCACCUCAUUGAAUGAUGACAUGAGGUUCAAAGCCUUUGAGAAAUUAUCACAAGACAGUCAAUCCCAUGUUUCUACAUUCUCCAUUGACAGCAGCCAGAUCCCUAGGACUACUUCAAUGGAUGAUGGACCAUGGAUUGACUCAUCAGCGUCUCUUCCUAGUAAGGAUGAACUGCGUGAUUCUUCUUCAUCUAGCAAGCUUCGACUCUGAUCUUCAAGAUGGUGUCAAACUGUUGAGUAUUUCACGAUGACAAGAUUUAGGAUUGCAAUCUUGCAAAUUUUUUGGUUAUUUGAUGUCAUGCAGAUUCUUCAUGACAUUUUUCAGGUACCUCUGGAGGUGCAGUGUUCUUCUGUAACAAAAUUCAUAUUCUCUUGCAACAAAACUAAUGCGGUUGUGUAAGCAUUGUAAAUAUUUUGGAAUUGGAAUUCUCUAAGAAUUUGUAGUUUGGAAUUGAGAAGUGGAGAAGUGAAGAUGACUAAAAAUUGCGAUUAGUGUGAAAUUAUGACUCUCCCUACGACCAAGAAAAAUGAAGGAUACAGCAAGGCCUUCCUUAAGGUCCUCCCGUUCCGACAAUAUAUCCCCGUGAAACAAAUUGAAUCAAUUAGUAAUGUUUCAUUCAUUUAAUUAGUAUCAUAACUGAAAUGAAAUACUUUUAUAAGAAGAUAGAUUCAUAUGGAUAUGUAUAUAUACACACAUAGGUAUAGAUUUACAGUUAUAUUUCAACAAGAAAGGAAGGAUGGAAAGACUGGAACACAAAAAGCACAGAAUUAUGCGCGUCACAAUCUCUUCAUCAGAUAAUCAGAAUCGAUAUUGAUCGGAUAUAAAUCUGCCGCCGAUGUUGAAGGUGCAGUAAACGGCACUUCCAUUGACACAUGUUGUGCGUAGCUCUCAUCUGAAUUUGGCACUUGUUGCUGAUUGGUGAUCUCCUUGCUGGGCUCAACCUUGUUACUCGAGAAACUCAAUUCUGAAAGGAGCUCUGCAUCAACUGCUCGCCCUUCCAACUUGCUAACCACCGUCGACAUGCCAGGUCUAACGGUUGGUGAGACAUCGGUGCAAAGAAGGGCUAUGUGAAUUGUAAGCAUGACCUCCUCCUCAUUGAAGUUUGAUCCGAGUCUCGGGUCUACCAGUUCCAUUAGUUUCCCUUCCUCCUUCAGCAGCUUAGCCUAAAGAAACCGCAAACUAGGAUUUCAGCAGAUAGAAAUUGUAUCCUUGUAAGCCUGUAUAAUUAUAAUUUUUCUUUCAUGUGAUACAUGAUAAAAAGAUAUUUGCAUCAACAGUUCUCAAAUAACAGCAAGAAAUACCUAAUCUUGUAAGAAUGAGGUCCAAAGCUACUAGCAAUGAAUGAAAACUUCUUAUUUCUCAUGCCUAACAUUACGCUGUAUUCAAAAUGAAGCAUCAAAAAUCCUAGAAGAUAAAUAAAAGCAAGAGAACAGAUAAUGAACCUACCCAGUCAAGAAGAUGGAAGCCAUCCUGCCUUGGUUUGAUACUGGCAUUACUCCUUCCGCUGACAAUCUCCAAAAGGACAACCCCAUAGCUAUAAACAUCUGCUUUGUCAGUUAAGUAGCCCCUCAUUGCAUAUUCAGGUGCCAUAUAUCCACUGAAACAUCAUAAUUAUGGAUUUAGGAUAUGUAUUGACAGGUCAUGACCAAAACGUCCUCCAUAAACUACUCAAGUAUGAAGUGUGGUUCAUAGCUAAUACAUUUCAUUUACCAAUAAAUGGACACAUAUUGGCACAGAACAAAAAUAAAAACAAAAAAAAAGAAUGCUGAACUUCCUUUUGAGAGAGUAUUAUGCUACAGCCUUUCACAAGAAAGUAUCGAGCAUGCACUCACUAGGUUCCAGCAAUACGGGUACUAAUGUGGGUGCUUUCUUCAUCAUCAAGCUUGGCCAGACCAAAGUCAGAUAUCUUGGGGUUUAGAUACUUAUCAAGUAGCACGUUGGUGGCCUUGAUAUCUCUGUGGACAAUCUUCAACCUUGAUUCUUCAUGGAGAUAAGCCAAACCUCUUGCUAUACCCACAGAAAUCUUGUGUCUUGUUGGCCAGUCUAAUUCCAACUUGUGUUCUUCAGGACCUGUCGGUAUCCAUGUGCAUCCAAAGAAUGAAAAAUAAAUUAUCUUGAGUGCAGAUGAAAUUUUUACUUGCACAUGAUUUUUGUAGUUGGAUUGCAAAUUAGUUUACCAAACAAUGCACGAGCAAGGCUGUUAUUCUCCAUGUACUCAUAUACGAGUAAUAAUUGGUUUCCCUCGACGCAGCACCCAUAGAGCUUCACAAGGUUAGGAUGUUGUAGAGCUGAAAUCAUGCCUAUUUCAUUCACAAACUCGCGGUUCCCUUGCUUUGAUUUGGAAGAAAGCUGCUUCACAGCAAUGAUAGUGCCAUCUGCCAGAUGACCCUUUAGUACAGAUGAAAUCUCAGGUUAGAACCCUUAAAAAGAAAAUGAAGAUGCGUCCGUUAUAGUACGGUUAUAAAAAAGUUAGAAUUUUGGGGAAAAUAACCAUGCGUAUAGGUCACCUUGUAGACAGAACCAAAGCCACCUUCUCCAAUUUUAUUGGCUGCAUCAAAAUUAUUUGUAGCAGCUUUAAUUUGUCUUAGAGUGAACGAUCCAGUUUGUAGGUCUAGACCCUUUAAAUCUGCCAAAGGAACUUAUCAGGGAGAGCAUCUCUUAGCUGAUUCAUAAAUUCUGAGAAAAUCCAAAGAAAUCAAUAUCCCCGAACUUGGAACCAGUAGAUAGACCAAGCUACUGCUCAUCAUCUCUCAUUUGGACAUUUCUAAUGGUUAAUAACCCUCAAGGAAAACACAAAUAUAUUGCACUGAGAAUAAAAUAGGAUGACUUACCAUUUUCCACGGUAUCUCUGCACCGCAGACAACCUUUCCACCAAAGAACACAAAUUGUGACAAGAAGCAGAAUUGCAAUUACAAUCGCAGCUACAGCACCAGCUGGUAAGCUUUUUCCAUGUGGUCUAAAGUCUGCAUAUUGGGAGAGAGAGAUUACCCAACCAUCUCUAAUGGGGGAAAAAAAAAAGAAGUAAAAUGCUAGCAAAUUUUCAUUUUUGCUCCAUGUUCUUCAAAGAUUUCUAUAGGCUAGAACUUAUUUUUGGAAACACUAUACGUACACAUCACAACAGGUCUAGGUUUCAUGUUCUGUGAUGAAGAAUCACAUGAAAACUAUAAUCAUCCCCAAAUAAAAUUCCCUCUGCAUAGUAAUGGCUGGUGAAAAGAAAACACAUCUGGUCAUUAGAGCAUUAUUAUUUUCCUUUCCACAGAAGCUCUUAUUGGGUGUGCAUAAAUAAACUAUAAAAUUAGGACCAACUCAAAAAGUUCUAUUUUUCCUCUUGCCAAAAAUAAUAGCUUUUGACGAUUUGAAGCUCACCAGGAUCCACAGAAAUUGCUGAGAUCAGAGGACCAUAAACUCCCCUGACAGGAAUACCAGUUGUCCCUUUUCCAGCCCAGAAGAGGCGGAUUGCCAAAGUGUUGUCAGUUACUACUGCAGUAAAUUUUCUAAUAACAGGUCUAUUAACUCCACCAGCCUCAUCCUCAAUAUUGAAAUCUUUCAGCAUCAAGUUUUCCUGAAUUAAUGACAGAAAUCAGCCAUGGUUAAGCAAGCAGAAAUGUGUAAUAUCUAAGGUAGAAGUAAACCAAUCAAUUUGCACAAGUUCAAACUCUAUACUUCUACCAAGGUCACUAGCCUUUUUUUUUGUCAAUCCAAAAAUUCCUGAUUCUUUUGAAUAAAUCUGCAAACAUAUAUAUAUGAAACAAGUAAAAUACAGUGUGAAGAUACCUGGAUAUAUAUAUCAAAGAUGCGCCUCCCCAGACUACUAUAUGUUCUGUCAUCAGUAAACAUAAUUUCAGCAAAAUGAAGGUUUACCGUGUAAUUCCCAUUUUGCAUACAGAAACCAUAAUAUGUCAGUGAAAGCGGGGAAAGUCGUGCUUCUGUAUAUAAUCCCGAGUUGGUCCCAGAUAUGCUUGUAUUGUUUCUCCAAAUAUAGGAAUCUCUGGGGCGGUCAUCAUCCAAGAAGUUACCGGUGCUGCUAAAUGCCCAGUUACUACGAGACCUAUGGACGAAAUUUGAAGGGCCACCUGGCUCUAUAUCGUCAUCGUAACUUAUAUCAUCAUCAUCUUUCAUUUCUCUUCCACCACAAUUUAUAUGGAGAGAGUACCAACCUAGUAUAAAGCAAUUUCAAAGUUUUUUAUCAUUUGGAACAAAAGAAAGCAAAAUUUGAAAAAGUGCAACUAAAAAGAAAAGUACGAUUCCACCUAAAUGAAACUUGUAUUAUUCAUACUAUGCACUUGUAUCAAUAUAGAAAAAUGAAUGCAAUUGUUAAGCAAAGGAACCAAGAAGAAAACAGAUAGGCAAGGAAUAUCAGCGUUAUAACACCAAGUUAGUACACAUGCAUAUUUCACCAUCUUUCUGAAUUGGUGGUACUCCAGUUGUUUGCUUGACAAGGAAAGGAAAAAGCGAUUUAUGCUGUAAAAUAGAAAUGUAAUAAGAUGUGAAAUGAAAACCAAUAGCCUGAGCAAGUAAAUGUACAAUUAGUUGUCAGAUCAGAAUAAUGAAUCUAAUUUGCUCAAGUUGAAGGCUUUAUAUAUAAGUCAGCUAGUUUUUUGGUGAACUAUAAAUGCUAUACCACCAGAUCCUCAAUGUCUAGACACUCAUUCAAGGAAUUCAAAAUUCAGGAAUCCUUUAAACUUCAAAGUUUCCCGGAGCUAAGAUGUUCCGGUCUAGAAUAUACAUGGUCAAUAGCUGUUGGAUGCAAUUAGUAGCUGUUUGAUUGUCAAAAUGAUUGUAACUUAUCACUCAGGAAUAAACUCAAAAACCAAGUGAAUUGAGUCCAAUAUUUUCACUCCACCUUUGUCAAUUUCUUUAGAUCUACAUCUGAUAAUAACUAUUAGCUCAAGUCUAAACUUAUUGGCCUUCUCUAGAGAGUUCAACACUCUUUCAAGUGAUUCAUAAACUAUUAAAAUCCAAGAUCAGUCAAUCAAGGAUGACUUACUCUCUGGACAGCUGAAGCUCCUUAAGCAUGAGACAAUGCCUCUGAAAAAACAAUGCAAUUAUCCACUAUUAGUUUGCAUCAUGUGGAGAUUCGAGUUGUAUAUUAAGAAGGAGAUUAUGUCCAUUACUUUAUCUACUGGAAUUGGUAGCAUUAUAAAAUAGUUACAUUGAAAACUUACGGUGUGUUGCCUUUUGAGGAGCUUGCAAACAAGUUUCUGAUAACAAUUAGCUUCAAAUGUUAGAUAGCUUACAGAAACUUGAGAUUAGAACUAUUACUUUCAAAGAAAUGAACGUAAGCUCACAAGUUUCCAGUCGGUAGACAAUCUGACGCUCCAGAACUUUUGGUAAAAUUGUUGUAUGAAAGAUCACUGAAUCAAAAUUCACGACAUGAUCAAUAAUCAGUUAAAGAAUGCAUAUACACCUUGUCUUCUGUUCCCUUUAAAGAAAAUUUUCAUUUCAGUCUUUACCAUUUGUAUUUUGCUGAGUAGUUAUAUAAUAAGCACUCUAGUUAUUUCCACCUAGUUAAAAUAUGAUGAUAAGUAAAACCAAACAAAAACAUAGGAAAUCCUUAGCAGUCCUUCAAUUCAGACUCAAAAAUGAUAAUUGUCAGUUAGCAAGCUGCUUCAACAUCAGAAGCCCUAUUAGGUUACAAUGUGGGACAUGAGCAUGAAAACGAAAGGAAAAAGAAGUAGCACUUCUAAACAGAAUAAUAAUCAUUGACUGAAAGAACUAGAUACUGGACAACACAAUUUAUUGAUGAAUGAUCAGAGUGAGAUAACAAACACAAGGGUCUUGCUUUUUGUUUUUCUGCAGUAAAAGGUGAGUUCACUGUAAAAGAAACUUAUGAUACGCAUACUUGAUUAACCACGUGAGAUGCUACCGAAACCAUGCUCCAUUAAACAACCAUGACAUUUUUUACUUCACUAAUCUUUGAAAACGAACUCACAUACGGACUUGGCCUUUUGUCAGCAUCCAGUCCGGCACUGCUCCAGUGAGGAAGUUCCCAGUCAGAUAACUAGAAAAAUCAGCAUUCAUAGAUUAGCAAAUCUUACCUGUUUCCUACAUUGUACAAGCAACUUUUCAGCUAUAGACUAGUUGCAGUAGUAAGACUUAUCAAUCCAGCAACAGUGAUCAACAUUCUUACAUAUUUUCGAUCUUUGGUAGACCAAACAACGUCCUUGGAAUAGGUCCACUUAAUUUAUUAAAACUGAGGUCCCUGCAAAAGAAAGAUAAAUAUGCAGGUUUUAAAAGAAGCAAGGAAAAAUGUUCUUUUAAUCUAGUCAAAGCAGUUCUUCUGUAAGGAGUAGCCUCAAAUACAUAUUUACGUUUUUUACCCAGAUAAUUUUGUGGUUGGCCAGCAUUCCACUUCAUUUAACGCUGUUUCAUCAGUUAAAGCACAAGUAGAUAUAUCCUUUUACUUAAAGGUGCAUGUAUUGGUGUACGAUGUUUAUGGCUCAGCAACUCAUCUGUACUUUUCAUUAGUUCUUUGUGGAUACUACCUUUAACAUUGAGGGAACAUAUUAACUUCUAUUCUUCUCACCAAAGUUCCCAAUAAGUCUAUACUGCCUGUUAUCAAUCUGUCUUGCCUCUUAUCAUCUGUCUUGCCUCUUAUCAUCUGCAAGCUCACCAAUUUCACUGGUAUCUCAUUGCAAUUUGCUCAACAGUCGCCCCAGGAAUGAUGGUUCAAAAGAUAAUAAUAGAUAAUUUGAAAAUUUUGUAAAUUAUUUGCUUUAGCACCUCCCAACUAUUACUUCUUAGCUAGGACAAACUCUACACGGAGCAGGUUGAAAUUCUGAAUCUAUUUGCCCUCCUGGGUGUCCAAUAUGCUGUACAAGAUGAUAUACACUACUGCAGUAGAGCUCUUCUCCUUUAUGUAGAGCUCUUCUUUUUGACAUAACUUGCAACAGACAAAUGCAGGUCAACAGUUUUCUACUAUCGGGUUCAAUGUGGGUCAUAUAUUUGCAAAUGCAAGCACAAUGUAUGCACGUUGUGUGGCAGAAGUUGUAUAGCAACAUCACAUAUUGAACUUGAGAAUAAGGAACUAAAUCUACUCACAAGAGUUUCAAUUUUUUAAAUGAGCCAAGAAACCCUGGUAGCUGCCCAACAAUAUUGCAACUCCUUAAUAUCCUAUAAAAAGACAAACUCCGCAUCAAGUCAGAGCAAAAUAAUGGGUGUUCUCCCUUGAGAGUGCAACAGAAUUUUGUGAGACUCACAGCGUCCUCAUAUUAGUUGCCGCACUAAGUGGGGGAAAAUUUGUGUCAUUUCCGUUCAAAUCACUGAUUCUCCUGUUUGUAUUAAUUCAAAGAGAACAAAACUUCAACAGAUUAUAUUGUUUAAACGCUUACUCAUAGUAAAAAGUACAAAAACAUGAACUCACAGGUCAGUUAAUUUUGUCAAGGAAGCGAUGCCAGAUGGCAUUGGCCCACUUAGACCACUAGCCUGUAUCACUCUGCCAUCACAAGAAAUUAGUUGCACAAUAAUCAACAAAACAUGGUGGAAAAGAAGUUGUAAAGAAAAUUAAAAUGUUGCAAUAUCAAAAAGGGCUCAAGGUCUCACAGUUUCUCAAGGUUUGUCCAGCUCUGAAUGAAAUUAGGUAUACUUCCUAGGAACUGGUUCUCCCCAAUGCGACUGUGUUUUCCAAACAAAUUCAUCAGGAAUCAGUAUCUAAAUUGAAGUCAGAAAUAUAUCAGAAAACUCUGAUCCACUUGUGAAAUGUGAAAGUCAGAAAGAGGAACUCACAAGUCCUUCAAAUUGGUCAACCUAGCUAGCGUUCCAGGCAACUCGCCAGUGAAAUUGUUUGAGGUUAAAUGUCUUACAAUGUCAGGGGUUUAGAACAAUAAAAAAUGAACAUUUGUUAGUUCUUGAUAUCCAUUCCAAUAAAAAAAAAGCAACAUGAUUGUCGAACAUAAAGCAUAACAACUCGAUAUAUUUGAAGGGUCUUACAUUUUUUCUAUGAGAGUGAGAUUCCCAAGCUCUGGAGGAAUAGUUUCAGACAACUGAUUGAAUUCAACAGUUCUAUUCACAAUUCAAACAAAAAAAAAAAAUCAACUUUGAUCACACAGUACAGGAAAAACAGAGUACAUGACGAGGAAUGAGAGAAAUCAAUGACAGAUUCUUACAGAUUGACUAAUGUGCUGAUAUUUCCAAGUUCUUUUGGCAAUGACCCUGAUAUACGGUUUCCAAGCAGGGAACUGCAGUGACCAAACCUAGCCACAUUUUAGCCCUUACAAACGGUGGGGUAAAAAAACCUUUUUCACAGGAAAAAAAAAAGGGGGGGACAGGAAAGAAGUGAAAGAUACAAAACAUACAUGUUUACAAGUUGCAUGGAACCCCAUUCCCGUGGUAUUGUACCAUUAAGGUAGUUGCGUGUUAGAUCACUACAAAAAUUUACAUAGUGACAAUUUGAGUUAGAUAAAGAUUUUAUCUUUUUUCAUGGGUUUGCAUUCUUUUCUUUAAGAUUUUAAUCCACAGUAAUAUAAGGGCAGCCAUAUUCACAUUUCUCGGAGAUACGGGAGCUUGAUCAAUUCUGGCGGCAACGUUCCCGGAAGAUUCUGAGCUUUGAGUAUUCUGCAUUUUGGAAAAGAUAGUCAUUAAUUGGAGUGAAUUACAUAACAGAACAUACAGCAGAGGAGUUUAUAGUUUAUAGUAUCUUCAUGGAAUUUGACACUUUGUUUGGGAAAUUUCUUCAUAUAUAGAGAACUGUCCGUACUAUUAGUGAUUAGUUUUCCUGCUAAAUGACUCCGUUUCGAUUUGGGGAGUUAUUUUUUAACUGGAUUUUUUAUUAAGUGUGUACGAAGGACAAUUUUUUUUUCUUAUUAUUAUUAUAGUAGCAUGCAGACGCUAACUUUGAAAGUAACGCAUACUACAACAAAGAUUUGUUUGGCAUUGUUGUGAUUUUGACAAUCCUUUUUUUUUUUUUUUAAGUUUAACAGAACUAGUUCUGCAGGACAUCACGAUCGUUUAGUUGGUUUCUUUUAUAUACAUAUACAUACAAACAUAUAUAUGUAUACAUACAAACAUAUAUAUAUGUGUGUGUGUGUGUGUGGUAUAGAACUAGGUGGUACGUAUAGAACUUUUUUUAAAAAAAAUUUUUGCCCGGAGCGGAACAUAUGGACUUUAGCUCCAAAAUGCUGUAAAAUCACAUAAUUCUGCAAAAUUUAUCAGGCCAGUCAGCGAAGACAAAAUCAUCUUCACAUCAGAAACCAAAACAAACCAGUGUUCAAAUCUGAAAUAAAAAUACAACCAAUGAAGACGUAUCAGCACUUCAACAGAGGAUUAAUGAUUUGAGUACGAGAGAAUAAACUUUACAUGCUGACAACAUGGCAAACUGUGUGAUUGAAGAAGGAACAAUCACAAGUAACCGCAUUCUGAGUUUCUAUGGGAUUAGGAGUACUCCAGUUUUGCAGUCCACUGCAUGGAUCCACACUGAAAUUCCAGUCCGUCUUCCUUAAUGUCCCAGCAAUUUGCUGCAAAGCUCUCACUACGAGAAACAAACAAACAGAAACAGAAAAUAACCAUUAAGGAUUCUGCUUUUAUCUUUUCCCCAUGCCCAGAGAAGAAAAAAAAUCUUUUGUCCUUAGACUGAAUAUGGUACUGUAUAAGCACCUUCAUCAGGAGGAAGAGUGGUUCCAGAAGCAAGGAGAACUGCCAAAGCAAGGAGAAAUGCUACCCGGGCGAAGAACAUGUUCAGAGCUGUUUAAGGGAAAGAGAAAAGACUAUUGAUUAUGUAAUACCAAAGAAGAGAUAACUGAUGAUCAAGAAAUAAGGACGGUGAUUGAGAAUUUCAUGGACACCAUGGAGACACCAAUUUAUCUUGGAGCUUGACAGUGAAAGCGUGGACUUGGGACUAGUAUACCUCGAAAAUGAUUCUUGAAAGCAGAAUUACAUGCAUGAUUCUUUGAAAUAGAAAAUUUUUUUUUUAAAAAAAAUGAAAGCACAUAUAUGACCUUUCUUUAUAAAUUGUGUUAAUUUCAGAAACCUCCCCGAGAUUCAUCCUAAUUUCACCUGGUACUUUCAAAAAUCUUAAUUACCUCUCCCAUCAAUUAAUAUGAUGUGAUUAGAUGUCCCAAUUAGAGACGUUGAAAUGAUAAGAAGGUUACCCCCCAUGUUUUCCUACUUUUUUAAGCAGCAAAAGGUUGGGAAAAGAUUUAAAAAAAAAUCUAUAAGCAAAAAUAUCUAAAAACAAAUAACAAGAAUGCUAUCUAAAACAUUUUUCUCCCUCUUUGUUGCAAAAAUCUUUACUUUUAAUGUUCGUCCUUGCCACAACCUAUUCAAAAAUCUUUGCUUCUAAUGUUAAUGUUUGUCAUUGUCACAACUGAUCACCUAAAAUUUUUAUUCUAAUUUCCCUUUUUGUGGCAAAAUUUUUGUGUUUCUUUACUACGAAAUCUUUACUCUUAAAUUUCCUCCUUGUUGCAACAAAUCUCUUGAAAUUUUUGUCUUUUUAUAAUGUUUAAUUUCCUCGUUGUUCCUCCUUAUUGCACUUGCACCUUCUCAUAUUCUAAAUUUAAUAUUCCAUGUUAUUUGUCUUUUUUGUCAUAUUUCAAAAUUCAUAAAUCAAUUUGCACAAGGAUAAAAGUGGAAGGAAAAUAUAAUCUCUCUCCUCCAAUGCAUUUUUUAAGAUUACUUUUAUACAUAAAGGGCGACAAUAAUGUUACACAAAUUAUCAUUCAAGGAGAGCCUUGUGAGAUUUCUAAAACUUUAAAGAUACUAGGUGAUAUUACGAUAAACUUCAGGGGAGGUUUCUGAAAUUAACUCCAUCAGUUAUUAUUAUUAUUAUUGGCUGAUAGUUCCCCAUAGUUUAACCCCAUUACAAUUAUGGCAAAUUCUCAAAGAUCUUCAUUUUUUUUCAUGGACAAAAUCUUCAUGAUAUGUUUUGAGAAAUCUUUGCUCAGUAUUUCAAAAGGUGUUUCAAGGAGAGCUCCAAAUGCUUGGAGCAAUCAAAUGGGGCAUAAGUUUUGUUGGGUAUUUACCCCACAGCACGGAGCAAAUGCUCAAGUGUUUUGGGUAUCGGGAGUUUGGCAUUUUCUUUUUUUAACUUUCAACUUUGAGUUUGCUAAUCUUUCAUCCUACCUUUGUUUUUCUGCCCUUCUUGUUAUUUUCUCAUUUUUUAAGAAGAAGUCCAUGAUUUUCUCUUUGGAAAUUGUUUGGGUCAAAUACAAAAUAAAAACAUCCAUGACUUUGUUUCCUUUCUUUUUCUCUUUUCGUUUAAUACCAAGAUAUGUUCAUUUUAUGCUAACGCGACUCUAGGUGAUUAAUAUACGGGUUCAAGCUAUACUUGUUAUAUUAUAAUUUUACUUGUUAGACAAUAAUAAUUUCUUGUACUUCUUCUUAAUUUUACCAAAAUUUUAUAUUUAGUAGUAACCUUUAUAUAUAUAUAUAUAUAUAUAUUGUAAUUUAUAUAAUAUUAUUGUAAUUUUUUUAUUUUUAAAUAUCAAUCAAAAUUUGUAAAGACUUAACCUCACGCCUCAAGGCUUUAAAUGACUUGUUUGGAUUGAUAUAAAAACACCAUACCCAACACUACUGUUGCCUUUUAAAAGCUCGAGCUUCCGCUUGAUCUACUGUGGCCGGCCUCUAACUCAAGUUAGACCUGUAUUUGGUUCUAGAAUUAACGAAAUACUCAAGGCAUAAAGGAGCAUGCUCUGCAUACUUCGUCCAGCAGAUUGGCAUUAAGUAAUAAAUCUCGAGAGGUUUUCCGACAAUGGAGUUUAUGGCAUGCGAAUCAGUCAAAAGUCACGACAACAGAGUAACUUGGCCGAUGGAUGAAUCUCUCCGUCAGUCGCAAUGCCACAGGUAAGCAUGCAUUUAGUAGCAACCUAAUUUCAAAGACUAAUAAAUUAGAUAGCAAUCUGGAAGCGGUUGGUGCCUCCAUUAAAUUGCUGAUUGAAACAGGCAGAGCUCCUGGUACGCCAGCACCAAUGAGGACUACAAAUUAUUACUGGCGAACAAAAUACACCAACUUGAUUGAUUGUAUAUAUGCUCAUCAGUUUGCAUGCAGCUUCCUCUCGUUUUAUUUUGUAUUUAGGGUAAAAUACACUUUAUUCCCUGUGAUUUUUCAUAUAAAUUUCUUGUGAUUUUAAAAACUAUACAUACAUAUAUAACCCCCAGAUAGUUUGAACUAAGGUGUUAAAAUGAUGGAAAUGGACCUCUGUAACGAAAUCCACAGAAAUAUCGAGAUGAUCCUUGUUUAAACACUAAAAUGGUUGAAGUGAUCAAAAUAUAUAAACAUAUAAUAUACAUGACACUUAAACCCCCUACGGUUGGUUUUGUGUUUUACCAUAUAUGUAACCUUCUUAUGAUUUAGUGUUUUACCAACUAAUCCCCUUCUGUAGUUAAUAAAUAAUUUCUAACUUUAUAUACGAGUACUUUUGAUAUUUUAGUUAAUCCCGUCAUGAAAUGCAUAUUCUAUUAUUUUAACACUUUACUCCAAAACAUGAGUAAUUUUGUGUAGCUUUUCAAAUCACAUGAAGUUUUUAUUUAUAUAUCUUCUUUUUUCCCCUCUUUCUUUACUUGAUCUUAGCUCUUGAGACGACUAACAAUUUUAAUUGCAACAUGAUGGUUUUACAAAGCAAUAGAAAAGAAUUUGACCGUGAGCAGUCGAACAAAUAGUCUUUGGUUUUGGUGACUUUGUAUUCCUUUUUUAUUUAUCUCAAAUUGUAGUCCACUUUCCAAUUGAACAAUGUAGUUAUAUUUUAAUUUUUCUAAGAUACCCUUAUUCAAUGUAAGUAAUUGUUACUAUAAACCUACCCCAUUUAAUGAGAGUUGAUUCUUUUUUUUACCAUCAAUUUAAGUUCUCAUAAAGUUGUACCAUAUUUAAUGCGAGGGUAUUUUAGAAAAAUAGCAAUCUAAAUUUACUUUUCCAAUAAAGUUAACUAUUUUUUCUUAAACUGUGUGGAAAAAGAAACAGGACUAUCAAAGUGGAACGGAGGGAGUAGCAUAAACUGAUCAUCAUCAAUCAGAUUUCUCUGAUCACAAGAAUAUCUAUCUAUCAUUCAAAGGUCGUCGUCUGGUUAACUGCAGGACUAGGAUUUGUGUGGAGCUGCAAUUAGUAAUAUUUUGAAAUGCCACUGAAAGAAUCAAAAUGCUUGUAUUGAUUGUAAGAAUAAAGACGAGGCAGAAUGCCGACACCAUGCAUGGCAUUGGCCCCGGCCAGCUUGCGAGCGUGGAAAGCGGGAACCCAAAAUAUCGUUGACUUGCUGUUUUUUUUUUUUCAACAGCCUGAAUCAGACUUUUGUUGUUUUAUAAACCUAAUCCCAGAAUUAACCUCAAAAGCCGGCAACUCUUGAGGCAAUCCCAGGGACUUAUAUCCCAACCCAAACCCAACCCCAACCCCGAUGUGGGACAAAUGUACCUAUAGGGGGGACCUGCUGCUAAGUGGGAUACUACCACCCAAUACCCUUUCAACCCUGAGGCAAUUUGUCUUUUUUCAACAGCCUGAAUCAGACUUUUGUUGUUUUAUAAACCUAAUCCCAGAAUUAACCUCAAAAGCUAAGUUGACUUGCUGUUUGAGGCCUGUAAAAGAGAAUUAUUUUGAGAUUUCAGGAUCCCGGAAUUUACUACUGUGACAGCUGAUGUAGGAUUCCACCUUUUUUUUUUUUUUUUCCCUUUACGUAUAAAUAGAUUUUAAACAAUUCCUCGUUAAUUUUUAAUGGAAUAAAAUUCCCUCCCCAAUAUAAAACCAUAAUAUUCAUCACUAAAAUAUGUUUACCAAUUUGUUUGUAAUAAAAACCUUACAACCAGACUAGAAUAUUUGUGUUUACUCAUCAUAGUUCGCAAGGAUUAGAUGUCCCUUUCUAUUCAUUUUCUUCUUCUUUUAAGAGCUAGAAUUAACGUAAUUGCAUUCCCUUUUUUUUUUUUUUUUUUCAACUUCCCACCUGUCCUCACAACCUUUUCCACCCUUAAUUGCUAGCUAGAUCUAAGAGUUCUAAACUUCAGGGUGGUAGACUAGAGAGAACUCUAAGAGUUCUAGCCAAUUCUAAAUCUCUUUUUUGCAUUUUCUUUUGCAAAAUUAACGCCAACAUAAUUUCGUUCAACAUCUCAUUUUAUUCCACAAUAAAAUUUGUAAUUUUAUUCCUAAAACAUGGCUUCAAUAUGGAUAUUACACAAGUACCACCAGUAAUGUCAAAAGAACAUCCUAAUUUUGAGCGGUAAUGUUGUUAUUAUUUAUAUUUAAUGGGCAAAAUGGCUCUCAACCUGCUCUUUCCAUCUCCCUUGAGCUUCUUCCAUCCUGAGAGAUUUGUACAACAUAAAACUCCAUAUCUUUUCUUAGGUUUAUAGAGAAAAGGAGGUUUUUUUUGUUUGUAAUGAAUAAAAACUACAACUCCACUAAUGAGGAGGUUGUGCAAAUUGGUAAACUGUUAAUGUAAAAUCUACAAUUAUUUUUUGUUCCCACAACAACAGGAAGCGAUUUAAAUAUGUACUAUCAAAAUAUUUCGGCAGUCGCAGAUGACAAUUUCCUCAUGACUCGUCGUCCAGAAAACCAGUCUCUAGACUGAUGGGGUAUAAAUCAGAAGCAGAUGUUGAAGACGCAGUAAAUGGCAGGUCGCUUGACGUGCUCUGCGGCUGGCUCUCAUCGAAAGUUGAUAGCAGGUAUUGCUCAUCACUGAUUUCCUUCACACUGGCACUCCAUGCACUCCCGUCUAGAAUCGACUUUUGAUCCUCUACUCUUCCUUCUAGCAUGCUCACCACUGUUGACAUACUAGGCCUAACGGCCGGAGAUAUACUGGUGCAAAGCAGGGCUAUUUCAAUUGUCAACAUGAUCUCAUUUUCGUUGACGUCUGGUCCCAAUCUGGAAUCAACUAGUUCCAUCAAUUUCAUUUCCUUCUUCAAGAGAUGAGCCUACAUCAAAGAAAGAACAUGCUGGAAUAUCAGCGCAAACUUAUUGAGCUUAUAAGAAAUGAGAGGGCUGUCCUGCAGAUGGCUUAAAUUCUUCUGAUGCAUCAAAAUAUCUAGCACACAAAAGCAUCAAACUAAAGCAUAUUCAUAUUAGAUGUCAGGAAGGAGGAGCCUCAGGUCUUACCGUUGCUGUACACCACAUACUUAAGCAAACCAAUUAAAAAAAAAAAAAAAAAAAGCACGAAGAUGAAGAAUUCUUAAAUCAGGAAAUUCUAACAGGUAACUCGAGAGGGAAAGAAAAUGCAGUUACCCAGUCGAGAAGAUUCAAGUACUCCUCCUCCUCCUUUGGUUUAAAACCAGCGUUGCUCUUUCCGCUGACAAUUUCCAGAAGAACAACUCCAAAGCUAUAGACAUCUGCUUUGUCAGUUAAGUAGCCUCUCAUUGCAUAUUCAGGUGCCAUAUAUCCACUGAAAAAUAACCCAUCUAACGUCAGCAAAUCAAAUCAAGACCAUGUUCUCCCAUAAAAGAAAAUGAAAAAAAAAAACUGUAAACAGAUUGAUAUGUAUCUGGGGCACCCAUAGGACUCCAAUCAUAAUAAGCCCUUCCCAAAAGAGAAUUGCAUGCUUGGACUCACAAGGUUCCAGCAACGCGGGUACUUAUAUGGGUGUCUUCGUCUUCAUGAAGCCUCGCCAGGCCAAAGUCUGAUAUCUUAGGAUUUAGCUCCUUAUCAAGUAGCACAUUGCUGGCUUUGAUGUCUCUAUGGACAAUCUUCAACCUCGAUUCUCCAUGGAGAUAGGCCAAACCUCUUGCUAUACCAACACAGAUCUUACGCCUUGUUGGCCAAUCUAAUUCCAACUGGUGCUCUUCAAGACCUGUAAGUUGAGAGGUGUGCCAUUGUUAUGGAAAAAACAGCAUUACCCACACUUACAUGCUAUAACAUAGAAGGAAAAGAUUUGGGAAAAUAUUUCUGUUUUUCUCAAGAAUUUACAAUGAUAUGCCAACUAUACUCACAUAGGAAUGCAAGUUACACAGAACCUAGACACUAUUUGAAUUUGAUAACUAAUCUAAUCUAAUUAAUUCUAUUCUUAUUGACCUUUAGUAUGAAAUUCAAAUGCAUAUCAAAUAAUAUCUACACACAACUCAUUCCAAUACAUGUGCAUAUUUUGAUUUUGAAGGUGCGAUUACCAAAGCGUAUACAAAAACAAAUGCAAUUUUAGCUUACCAAACAAUGCACGACCAAGGCUGUUAUUUUCCAUGUACUCGUAUACAAGCAACAAUUGGUCUCCCUCGACGCAGCAUCCAUAGAGCUUUACGAGAUUAGGGUGUUGUACAGCAGAAAUCACACCUAUUUCAUUCAGAAAUUCUCGGUUUCCUUGGGUCGAUUUGGAAGAAAGCUGCUUUACCGCAAUUAUGGUUCCGUCAGACAGAUUUCCCUUCAAUUAAGAUGUGAUGUCACAACAAAUGUAAUAUCAGAUGUCUAGAAUGCACUUGAGCACAAGUUUCUCUACAUGAAGAAUUUGGGAAGUAUGCCAUGGUUUGAGUUACCUUGUAGACAGAACCAAAACCACCUUUUCCAAUUAUAUUGGAAGAAUCAAAGUUGUUUGUUGCGUACUUGAUUUGUCUCAGGGUGAAUGAUCCUGUUUGUUGAUCUAGACCUCUUACAUCUGCCAAAUAAACUGAGAUGAGUUAGAGCAAAUUCACUACACAUUUGAAAUUUGACACACAAUUUUUGUUAUAAAAGCAGGAAAAUGAAUACAUCUCAACUUCCAAGAACUUAUUUCCCCUGAGAUCCCGUAUCCCAUGCAAGGAUACCUGUCUACCAUCGAAUAGAAUGAAUUACUAAAGAAGUGUGUGAAAUUUUAAAACCGUUAUCACUGUGAAUACAGUCAUUAGGAGAACAAAAGGCCCGGUAAUUUGGCAAAGUUUAUUAGAUAUGGCUAUUUGUCCUUGGCUGUAGUUAAAAGUUUAUAUUUAGGCUUGAACAGAGUGUGUUUACCUUCACUAAUAUUUGAAACUUUCUACACAUUGAUAGCACAAUUUGGAAGUCAUUGCAGUACUACUUUGGUAAUUUUUCUACCGUUCUACGUCCUCUGGUUAGUAACUCAAGAUUCCAUUUCCUUGGAAUGGUCACUACAAUCUUCUAGCAUUCGAAAGCUUGUGGCGUAUUUAGUAUAUGCAUGGAAGAUUUUAGAUAAAAGGACUAAUUUGACGAAAUUUGAAGUUCAAUUAAAACUUCCGGACAAAAUUCAAGGACUCAUAGAGUAACUUAUCUGCUAAUGCCGGAAAUUCUUAAGCUAGGGUUACAUUUCCAGUUUCGCGUCCGAUAUUAAUCUGCUUGAACAAAAGCUUAUUUUACCUUGCUGCGUUGUUUGACUGGGUUGCAUGCGGAAUUUCCACCCAAGUAUGGCUAGAACCAGAGAUACGGUAAACAGAACUGCAAGUACAAUCCCAACUAUGGCACCUACGGAUAAGCCAUGUUCUGAUGGUACUGGAAAAUUUGAAUGGGGAAAAGGAAAAUAAAUGAAGAUAAUAAGAAGUUGAAAUAAGAUAAAUAACAUGGUCCCAAGAUUUAGGGGAGUGAGAUUUUCAAAUCAGAUUUGUUCAGAUGAAAUGAAAAAACAUUCUAUUGUUCUCCACGAUUUCUUGAGAGUUCCGAAACAAAUAUUUGUGAAACACUCACAAAUCUAACAAAAGAAAUAAUGGCUCUGUUUCGAGUCUUGAAUUUUCAAUCUAGAAGCUUUAUAAGGUUUGAAGCUUACCGUGAUCCACAGAAAUGGCAGAUAUUAGAGGACCAUACACUCCCUUGUCGGGGAUAUCGGUCGUUCCUUUUCCAGCCCAGUAGAAGCGGAUCUCUAAUGUACUGUCACUAACUACAGCAGGAAUAUUUAGAACUACAGGCUCAUUGACGCCACCUAUUGUGUUGUUCUCAAUAUUGAAGUCUUUCCGGAUCAACUUUCCCUGGAAAAACAUCAACCAAUUCCCAAUGAAGGUGCAAACUUGAAUUUUCAUGAAAUACCUAAUUGUAGCUUAUAAGUUCAUCAUCUCUGCGUCGAUUACUUGCUUUGAAAAUCUAAAACUCAUUCCAGACAGUACAUGAAGCAAAAAAAAUACCUGAAUGUGUAUAUCAAAUAUGCGCCUUCCGAGGCUGCGGUAUGUUCCAUCAUUAGUAAUCUUGAUUUCAGCAAAGUGGAGCUUUACCAUGUAGUUUCCAUUUAGCAGACAGAACCCAUAAUACGUCAGUGAAAGAGGAGAAAGUCUUGCUUCCGAGUAUAAAUUAUUUGCGUCAUUCCCUGAAAAUCUUGAACCAUUACUCAGGACAUAGGUCAGAGACUCGUUAUCCAUGAAGUGACCAGUGCUGCUAAAUCCCCAAUUCGUUCCACUCUGGUAGAAUUUUGAAGGCCCUCCAGGCUGUGAAUCGUCUUCGUAGCUUGUAUCACCGGUUUUUACUUCUCCUCCACCACAAUUUAUAUGUAAAGAGGACCAGUCUGGAGAAACCAACGGAAAUAUUCGUUACCAACUACAAACUAGGAAAUUUUAAUGAAAAGAUAGCAGAGGCAUCAAAAAGAAUGAUUAGAUCCUGAAAGAAGCAACAUUUUUUGGUCAGUGAAUACACCUAUCGUUACUCUUACAUAUAGAUUCGAUAAACGGACAACCAUUUAAAUCACAAUGGUAGCUUGAGUCAUGGUCCAAGCUCAGUAUGCCUCAGUAGUCAUGAAGAGACUUGCCUCAGUUUUAAUUCUCAAGAACUAAAUAGGAUAGAUGGAAGCAAUUUAUUAUCAAGUAAAUAAAGUAUGUCACAGAGUACUAAACAGGAUAGAUGGACCGCGAAUGCAUGCCCAAACAAUCCAAAUGAUAUGAAAUUAAUUAAACCCACUUUGCUGACAUUGGAAACUCCGCAAGCAUGGGAACGUGAUCCUGAAAAUCAAUACAAUGUUAGAAAUAAUCAGCAUGACAUGGAGUAUGUGGUAUUUCAGAAUUUAAUUAAUCAGGAAACAAACCUCCGUCGCAUUUUAAGCAUUUAGCAAAUCUACAUAGUGCGGGACUUACGAUUUGUUGUUCUUCCAAGAGCUAGCGAAUAAAUUCCUGAUAAAGAUUUACUGCACUUGUCAAUUAAAUACAGAAAACUUGGUCGGACAAUUGUUACUUCAAUAAAGAAGUAAAUAUAAUCUCACAAGUUCGUGGCUUGGCAACUCGAGGAUUCUGAAUUUGAAGGAGUAAAAUUGUUGUAUGAAAGGUCUCUGGAUACAACAUCAAAACCCUAGAAAUUAUAACAUGCAACAUACAAUAAACAGAAGAACUAUUUUAUUCCCGUAAGAAGAUACAACCAGGUUUGCAAGUGAAGAAAUUUUAUUUAUUCUAUCAUAGCACUUGUCAUUUUUUUACUUUUCUUGGUGUCUUUGAAGUGAAAAUUCGAUUUCGGAAAGGCAUGGACUAUAUUAAUUUGCUAGAACAUUUCCGUUGUAAGACCAACUUACCUAUACACUCUGCUAUUGAGCAUCCCGUCAGGAAUAGAUCCUAUGAUGUUGUUUCCUGUGAGGUACCUAUCAAAACCAACAUUCAUGGAUUAGAAAGCUAGCAAUAAACAUUCUAAAACUUCAAAUGAACUUAUGGGCGCUAUCCACAUCUGGGUCAUAUCUUGCAGGACAAAAGACUGAGGAGCAAAUUUUAAUCUACCAUAAAGUUCUCUCCUCUAUCAUCUUUUGAACUCUUGCCACUACCUUCCCAAAACCCAAGGAAAGAAUUAACCAAAGGACAGGACUUCCAAGGCAUUUUCCACCACAAUUAAAGUAGUAUCCGUUAAAUGGAGUCCAGCGUUGUCUACUUAGGUCAGGCUCUCGUUUCGUUCUGUCUUUUGGUUCUUAACAUGGCUGAAUUAGCAGACUAACUAAAGAAAAAGUGAACACAUUUAUAAUCAAGGUUCAGCACUUAAUUUCCUUACAUGAAAACCGUGUUUGAAGUGUCUAAGUUUCUUGGAAUUUGUCCACUAAUUUUGUUAAAACUGACGUCCCUGCAAAAGAAACACAAGCAGUAAGUAGCAGAAUUGGUAUUGUUGAUGUUCUUUUGUUCAUCAGGGAUGCUCUCAAAUCAACACAAGUGACCUGACCUUCUACCCACCUGGUUGUAGUAACCUGUACAUUCUGUUUGCCUAGUUCUCCUUCUGUGUGUCUACUCUAAAUGUUUUGGGUAAAUCACAGUGGCCUACGUUCAGCUUUACCAUUAGCUCAUUACCCUUUAAAUAUUCGACAUGGAAAAUGACCCAGACAAAAAAAUUAAGCGGAAUGCCAUUGUAAUUUAGAAGUAGGAAGUAUUACAAAAUUAUUCCGUGUCAUCACCAAUAGGACAAAGGAGAGGUUAUUACAAUUCUCAAGAACCCCCUAGGGUAGGUUUCGGUCAUCAAGUUGGCUGCUUUUUUAACUAGACUCAAGCAUCAUUUGCAUCUCGUUUACUUUUUGUUUCCCGUACUGGGAUCAAGGUUGGAAAACGGUGAGGCAAACACUCCAAAUUUUAACUACGCAAAAACAGAUCAUCAAUCAUUUUCCAGAAAUUGAAGCAAUUUGCCAAGCGCAGAAAACCAGUACCCAGCAGAAGUUUUGGGGCUUACUGAGUAGUAGACCCAACAACUUUUCAAGAUGCAAGGAGGUAAAAUAAAUAGUGCAUUGGAUCUCUCUUGAGAUAUUGAUUAACAUUCUGUGCAGCUAUCCUAUCAUCCUUGAAUCGCUUACUGUCGCAUCAUCAAUUCCUGCCCCAAAUCUGGGCAGCAAAUUCAUAGAUCAUCAUGCUACCUUACACAAUGAAGUUAUUAUCCUUAACAAAUUGAUAAAAACAUCUUUUUGGACACUGUUACAAAGCUGUAAUCUUAACUUUGUGAUGCAUCAAUAUCUAAGGUUCAAAAACAAACACUAACCGUAUGCAACUAGCAUUUAGAGGUCCAACAAUAGUAUCAUAUCCUGACAGGGCAGUCAAUAGUAGCCAGUUCUGAGGAACGAUCAACUUUGUGCUAGCGAAAGACCAUAACAGGGCUUUGCAUGUUAUGAAGGAGAAGUCUCUGAGAUUGAUGCAAGCACAAGUUUUUGAAAAUUGAAGAAAUAAAUAUCUAAAUCUACUCACAAGACUUUCAAGUGUGCCAGGGAGCCAAGAUAGUCUGGUAACUGCCCUGCUAUAUUGCAACUCCUCAAUAUCCUACAUAGCCAAUUGUAAAACAAGUUAGAGCCACUGAAUAUUUGUUACCCUUGAGAGGGAAAUGCAAAGUCAGAUAACUCACAGCCUCGUCAUAUUAGUCGCAUUGCUAAAGAGAGGAAAAGCAGUCUCAUUUCCACUCAAAUCACUAAUUCUCCUGUUCGUGUUUUACAAAAAGAACAAUAGAGCCAAGAUAUCAACCAAUUGUAUCAUUGAUUCCUUUACUCUACUUCAUAAAAAUGCAAAUCAAGAAAUAAGAAAAACUUACAAAUCAGUUAAAUUUGUUAAAGAAGCAAUGCCAGGUGGGAUUGGCCCACUUAAACCACUACCCUGGAUCACUCUGCCAUGAUUAGGUAUUUUAGUUGAAGAACGAUAAAAUGAAACAUUUAGCGGGAUUUGCAGGGUGAAAAAAUGAAUUUAAAUAGUUACAGGUGGUCAAGGUCUUACAAAUUCUGUAUACUUUUCCAGUUUUCGAUGAAAUUAGGAAUACUUCCCGUCAAGUUGCAGUCACCAAUCCGACUACAAUUUUUUUUUUUAAGAAGUUAAAUGAAUCAGUUUUAAAACAGAAGUAGAACGUGCUGCACAUUCAGAAUCCUCUGGUUGGACUGAAAUUGAAAGUGAGGAACUCACAACAUGGUCAAGGCGGUCAACUUAGCCAAUGUCACAGGCAACUCCCCACUCCAAUUAUUCGAGGUAAGAGUUCUUGAAUGUCACACCCAAAUCAAUUAAAAAUAAAGGAAAAUAGAAAAGCAAAAGACUACAGAUUCUCUUCACCUGAUAACUAGAAUACACAAAAGAAAUCAAAAGCAGAUGAUACCCAAUAUAUGAUACAAAUUACGUGGGAAUGACUCAAAAGGGCUUACAGUUUUUUUAAGCGUGUAAGAUUCCCAAGCUCUGGAGGUAUAGGUCCAGACAACUGAUUGAAGUCCAAAGUUCUACAGAAAGUUUAAGAUACAAGAAACAGAUUAGUCAUAAGCUGAAUAAAGAAUUGGGAUAUGUUUGUAAAGAAAAUACAAGGGUCUAUGAGGUUCCUUACAGAUUCACAAGUGUGCUGAUGUUUCCAAGUUCUUUUGGUAUUAUUCCUGAUAUGCGGUUACCAUAGAGGGACCUAUAAUAAAACCAUAAACUUGCACGUCAGUACUGAAUACUGAGACAUACAUAAAUUUCCAACAACAAAUGCAGAAUAAUAGAACAGGAGAGCAAAUCUUACAUGUUCACAAGCUGCAUGGUACCCCAUAUUGGAGGGAUAUUACCAGAAAGGCAGUUCCGAGAAACGUCACUAGAUUGAAAUAGCAAAGAUUGAAGAUAAAUACACACUCUAGCGAGUUAAUUUGUUCCAUUUUUUGACUUGAGCCUUCCUCAAAUAUUUGGUAGUCAUUUCUCAUAGGAAAAGGUGAACACUUACAACUCACGGAGGUAAGGGAGUUUGACCAAUUCUGCUGGCAGUGUUCCCGGAAGACUCAGUGAUUUCAAUACUCUGUACCUCAGACGAAAGAGCAAGAAGAAAAAAUAAAAAUCGGAUUUUUUUUUAUUUUUUGGAUUUUUCAUGUAGAGAAUAACAUGGGCAAAGAAAAAUGUUCUUCUCAUGUAGACACUACAGAUUUUCUUGAUAUGCCUUGUUCUUUCUUUGGCACAAGACGCCAGGUAUACAUUCCAUGAUUUUUGUACAUGCCUAAGGAAGGGGUACUUACAUACUACUGACAUGACAGGUCGUGUUAUUUUCAAAGGAACAAUCACAAGUAACCGCAUUCGCAAAUUCAGGUAGGGCAGCAUCAUUUCUCCAGUUUGAUUGUCCACUACAGGGAUCUACGCUGAAAUCCCAAUCAGUCUUCCCUAAUGUUUUUGCAAUUUCCUUCAAAACUUCCACUAGAAGAAACCAACAUCCAAAAAACAGACAAUGAUCAGCUGGUAUGAUACGUUAAGUCAAAGUAGAGAUCAAGAAUUGAAGUCGUGUUUCUCGUCCACGCCCUAAACUUCAUACUCGUGUACUAUAUAUGUAUAUACCUUCAUCUGAUACCAAUGUGGCUCCAGAGGCAAGCAUUACCAGCAAGAAGAAGAAUAUUGCUGCAGCAGCAGAAGCAUCUGAGAAUCCAGGAUGGCACCGGAGAAACAUCUUGUUGUGUGCCAUCUAGAAGAAGUUCCGCGUCCUCAAGAAGUAGUUACUGUAGAGUAUUACAAUAUUUCAAGUAAGAAGACUGACAAAAUUGUACGGAAUUCAGCAGCGCGUCAAGUCAACUGGAACCAAAGGACAGCAACUGGAACCAUGAAAAUGAAGCAUAAAAUUAAGUGAUAAUUUCAGAAACCUCACCCGAGGUUUUUGAGCAUUUCACUAGCCUCCCCUAAAGUUUGUACUUGGUCUAACAAACAGUCUUUGGUUUAUGGUGACUUUGUUCAGAUGCUGUAUGAAUGGAUAGAGUUUUACUCUGGACUAAUAAAAGUCUUGGCAUUUAUAUUCGCCUGAACUCUCCAUUAUCAUGUGGGGCAUUUGAGAACAAGCUGCAUUUUUUUCCUGUUCUUGGUCCAUUUAUGAAUGCUCUUUUUCUCUUCUUGGUUAGUCUCUCUCUCUGCGUAUAUAUUAUAUGUGCGUUAAAUUUUACAAAAUCUACCUCUACCUCAUGCUGAAUUACCUUAGAGUCCGCAAACAAAUAAAUAGUUCAUGCUUGCAAAGUUUUAAUUCGAUUAAUAUAGCACUAUAUAUGUUUUCAUGACUUCUGCAGAAAGUGGCAUUUUGCGUCUGGCUACCUGAGUGGUACGUAUUAUUCUUCCUUUCAUGAACUUUGUUUCCAAUCAUCGUUACUAUGCAAAUACCCAAAUAAUUGCAUGGAAAGACUAAGCAUAAUAUACCCAUCUUUUUCACCAUAUACUCCGCACAUUUAUCAAGAAACCAAGAUUAGUUCACACACACAUCAAUUUUAAUUUACUUUUGAUGAAUUACAAUAGUAUAAACUGAUCAUCAUCAAUCAGAUUGCUCUGAUCACAAGAAUAUCUAUCAUUCAUAGGUCUGGAAAGUGGAAACACGGACGAAGACGGCAAAAGUAACCCAAAAUAUCGUUGACUUGCUGUUUCAGGUCUGUAAAAGAGAAUUAUUUUGAGAUUUCAGGAUCCCACAUUUUGCCGUGCGAGUUGAUGUAGUAUUCCACCUUUUUUUUUCCUUAACGUAUAAAUAGAUUUUAAACAAUUCCUCGUUAAUAUUUAAUGGAAUAAAACCUCAGCGAAGCAAGAAAAAAUUCUCAGUAGGAGUAAAAACAAUACUAAAAUUUUUGACCUGCUCUUUUUCUAGUUUUUUAAGCAAAAAAAUAUUGACCAAUAAGUUGAAAUGAAAAACUUUUUUUAAACUUACUUCAAAUGGGAUUUUGUGGCUCACGUAUCCUGUUAGAAUAUUAGUUCACGAACCAAUUUAGAGAACUACGUAAUUCUUUCACUUCUUUCAUAAGAAAACUCCGAAAGCACAUUUGAAAUUAUAUCAAAAUUUUAUGAGUACUAUAAGAAUUUAAGGGGGGCAGUGAGGUCCGUGUCCCUAGUGCCCCAACCUUAGAGCCUGUUUGGAACCUUGAUUUUUUACUAAAUUUGUAUAAAACUAGUUUUUUAACAACUUUUGCUACAGGAACUCCAAAAAAUUUAUCAAAGUUUUUAACCUACACACCCAUCUAAUACACAAAAAAUUUUCCUUCAAUUUUUCUUCUUUUCCCUCCCUCAUCCAACCCACCAUGUCCUCCGGCGCCAGCCACCGCCUCCAUCACCGCUCCCGGCGCCGGUCAACAAUUCCGGCACUGCCUUCCUCUUUUUUUUUUUCUCUCCCUCUCCUUCACCUCCUCUCCUUCUCUCGUCCUCCCAUCCCCUCUUCCCCUCUCCGUCCCCCGACCAGAUCCUAAAAAUGGAGGGGGAGGGGGGUUGCGAUCUAGUUGCGCGACCAGAUCGCAGCUAAGGAAGAGGUAAGGUGACAGGAGAAAAGGGAGGAGAAGGGGUGACGGGCAAAAGUUAAAAAAAAAAAAAUCCAUGGCUUCCAUUACUCUGGCGUAUGGCUGUUGAGAGCGACGGGGAUGAUGGAGAAAAGGGGGUGGCGGGCAGAGUGGGGUGGUGGGCAGAGGGGGUUGACAGGGCAGAGAGAGAAGAGGGGUGGCAGGGGAGAGGGGAGGAGAAGGGGUGACGGGCAAAAGGGUGACAGGAGAGGGAGAAGGAGGGGUGGUAGGCAGAGGGGGGUGACGUGGGAGGGAGAAGAGGAGUGGCAGGGAAGGAAGAGGAAGGGGCAGAGGAGCGACGGGAGAGGGAGGGGGGAGGGGUGGCGGGGGAGAGGGGAGGAAAAGGGGUGGCAGGGAGAGGGGGUGGCGGGGGAGGGAGAAGAGGAGUCGCAGGGGAAGGAAGGGGAAGGGGAAAGAAGGAAAAGAAAAAAGAAAAAAAGAAAAAAAGAAAAAAGAAAAGAAAGAAAAGAAAAAGGAAAAAAAGUUUUUCAUCUCACAAAAGUUUUUCUAUAACUUCCACAGUGAUCUACAAUAAAGUUUUAUACAAACACUCAAAAAACUCAUCUUCCAAACAGGCCCUUAAAUCCACCACUGGAAUAAAAUUCCCUCAUAAAACCAUAAUAUUCAUCACUCAAAACAUGUUUACCAAUUUGUUUGUAAUAAAAACCUUACAACCAGAAUAGAAUAUUUGUGUUUACUCAUCAUAGUUCGCAUGGAUUAGAUGUCUCUUUCUAUUCAUUUUCCUCUUCUUUUAAGCGUUAGAAUUAACGUAAUUGCAUUCCCUUUUUUUUUUUUUACUUCCCACCUGUCCUCACAACCUUUUCCACCCUUAAUUUUUUUUUUCCUAACGAUAAUAAUUGUCCACCCUUAAUUGCUAGAUCUAAGAGUUCUAAACUUCAGGGUAGUAGAUAGAACUCUAAGAGUUCUAGCUAAUUCUAAUUCUCUUCUCUGCAUUUUCUUUUGCAAAAUUAACACUAACAUAAUUUCAUUCAACAUCUCAUUUUAUUCCAUAAAUUUGUAAUUUUAUGCCUAAAACAAGGCCUCAAUAUGGAUAUUACACAAGUACCAUCAGUAAUGUCAAAAGAACAUCCUAAUUUUGAGCAAUAAUAUGUUGUUAUUCGUUAUUUAAUGGGCAAAAUGCCUCUCAACCUGCUCAUUCCAUCACCCUUGAGUAGUGCUGUUAUUCGAAUCGGACAGCUUGCGAGCCAGGCUCGACCCGGCUCGUGAAGGCUCGAACUCGGCUCGUUUAUUAGAAUAAACGAGUCGAGUUCGAGCCUAAAGACUGCUCGUUAAUUAAACGAGCCGAGCGCGGGCUACCCGAAAGGCUCGAAUUUGAGGGAUAAAAAUGCCAAUUCAUUAAUUAUGGCUAUUUCAGUAAAAUACUUCCAUCUAUUUCCAGAGUCAAACUCCUGAAUCCCUAAUCCUUCAUUCGCUCAUUCUUCUUCCGCCUUCACCUCUGGGCUUUUGCCUUCUCUUCGGCUCUGCUCUCUUCCGUCCAGACUUUGGCCCGUCAAGCGUCAACCCUAAAUCACCAAUUCAUCCUUCGGUAAUAGCUCUAGCAGGGAGCAUCAGCAAUCGCUCUUCAGAGGAGCUGACUUGUCGCACCAGCCCACCGCCUUGGUUGUGCAAACACCAGCCGCCACCUGGUGAACCCGUGUAUUUUUCUGUACUUGAUUUCUGAUUUUGGAGUUACGUACAUAUAGAGCUGAGAUCCAAAAAAAAAUUAAGGUGCAUUAUCUUCUUCUAUUUGGUAAUUAGGAUUUAGGGAUUUUGGUAUUUUGCUAAAAUAUUGUGCUUUUGAGGCGUUAUUGGGAUGUGGGUUUUGUCUGAUACUCUCUAUAUUCGUGUGGAAGCUGACAAAUGAUGCAAUGGGCUUCUGCGCGGACUUUUUAGAUUGUGGAGAGAGGUAGUAUUUUGAAGAUUUGACAAAACCUUUCCAUGGAGGGGUUGCUAAAGAAACCAAAAAGAAACUUUGAAAAUGACAUGAAAAAAAAUAUGCUGCCUAUAGAUAGUGGAUGUUGACUAGUUUAUGUUUGACUGGUUGAAUCUUUUAAAAACUUUUGUCCAUUACAAUACAUUAGUUUCUUUGUUAAUCAGUUUAUCCAAUUUUUCAUAAACUCUUAUUUCUACCACAUGACCAACCAGCUGCUGCUGUCCUUUGGUAUUCUACUUCAUUUUUUUAGCUCAGUAGCUCUUAUUUUUAGAAAAUAUCAUGACUUUUACAUUUUUAUUCUGUAGGAUCAAUCGGAUGUUGUCGAGACAUUUUACGUGUCAUGAAGUUGAGCUUCCUCAAAAUGAAGGCUAAAUUUUAGAAAUUGCUACUGCUGUUGCUCUGUAGCUCUUAUUGUUCGCUGUCUUUUAGACUUGAUUAUUGCUUUGAUGUUUGUUGUAAGUGAACAAAAUAUGAGUACUUGACUACUUGUGAAUUCUCAUCAGCAACCAUGGCUGAGGUACUAUGAAUGCCAAAGUGAAUUCUCAUCAAUUUAGAGGAGUAAUUUUCACAUUUCUAAGUUGCUGGACAUUCAUACCAAGUCAAACACGGCUCUUUUGACUGUUGGACUGAUAGAAAAUUACAUAUGUUUUCUUUUGGUGGGACUGCUUGAUCUUUUCUCUUUUGCUAAAUUGGAUUAAAUCCAUAAUCCCCACUCAGCAACAAAUAUGUAUGCCAAAUUUGCAUCUUCUGAAUGGUUACAGACUUGCAGUGAACAGAUGGCUGCUAUGGUAAAUAUUUCGAGCUCGACUCGAUUGUGUUAAACGAGUUGAGCUCGAGCCGAGCUCGAGCUAAAUAUAGAGCUAACGAGCUCGAACUCGAGCUAGUUAUUCGACUCGACAAUGUUAUCGAGCCAGCUCGAAAUUCGUACAAAUCGAGCUCGAACCACUACUACUCGGGCUCGGCUCGACUCGAAUAACAGCUCUACCCUUGAGCUUCUUCCAUCCUAUUUAACAUCCUGAGAGAUUUGUAUAACAUAAAACUUCAUGUCUUUUGUUAGGUUUGUGGAGAAUUAGAAUUAACCUAAACUACAAAGCACUUAGUUGUGAAGCAAUGAAGAAAUUCCGUGGAAAAAGACCGUAGUUUGGGCCACUGGUGACGACGCUGUCUUCGUGACUUUUCAAAAGCAAGUAGGACAACCAUCCGUACCUUUUCUGGUUAAAGGGAAAUAGUCUCGACUCUGAAGUCCAUUCCACUGGACGGUGUUUUGCCUCUUGGCCCGGUAGGUAAAGAUUCGGCCUUUGGAGUCAGGGACUUAGGCCAACCGGUAACUUGGGCUUGAAUGGAUCAAGAACUAGCUUUCCCAAUGUUGGAGGCCUGAAAAUUGCAAAUUACUGUGAGUAGCAUACUGCUGUGCCUUUGAAUAGAGAUCCGAUGAUUCUCUUUCAAUCUUAUUUAUGUCAUUCAAAUGAUGCAGAAUAUUAAGAAAUUGUUCAAUUUUUGGCCCAAUCCCAGAAUAUACAGGCAACGUGCUCAAGCUAAAGGCACUGUAAGUUUGUUUUGCAUGGUGGCAUUUGUGCAAUUUUGUUGAACUAUGUCACUGAUCAUCUCUGACCUGAUUAGAAAGCUGAUUACAUUGCAAGUGAUAUAGCUUUUUUUUUUAUACAAAAAAGUUUGACUGGAUUCGGCUCCGAUCAUCACAACGGAUCAACACAUUUGAGCACACGAUUUUCUGUGAGUAAGUGACCCAUUCUUACCGAUCAGAGCCUAACUUGUGCUGGCGCAAGUGAUACAGCAUCAUUGUUCAAUUUGUUUCCAACGAUUUAAAUAUAUUAUGUGCUAGCUUAUAGCAUAGGGCUAGUUUAUUCCAGCUGAAAUUAUUUUACUUCAUUAAGACUUGAGCCUUUUGCUACUUGUAUGUAUACCAAUUGAAUGUGGUUUUCAUUUUUUGCUCUAUGAUCAGUUCAAAUACAAAAAUGAAAAGCAUUGGAGUAGAAGAUCUGCUAUUGCUUCUGGUUUUGGGUUUGCUGGGCAAUGCUUUCACAGGGACCUUGGCUACAAUAGUCCAAUCCCAAAUACUUUUCAAAGUUCGAACUUCAAUAACCUGUAAGUCACUUAUUCUAAAUUGAGUUUUGUUUGCAAUAUGUGAAACAUGUUAUUCUUUUCUUGAAUAAUCGGAUAAUGGCCUAUACUAUGGAACAAGCUAAAUGCCGUUCUGUUUUGUGCAGCUUUCUGGCUUCUAAUGCAUUAAGCGGAGAUAUACCCAUUUGGGUACUGGACAGCAGACAGAACAUGCAUGUUGGUACACAUAUCCUCUUUUCUCCAAAAGUUGAAUGGACGCAAAUGUUGCAAACAAGUUUGCAUAAAUAUCAUACACAUGCAUGCACGCGCACAAACCGGACAUUUAUUGCAUUUGAACUAUUUGAAUAUGCUGGCACUGUGUAAGCGUUUCUUUGCUUUCUUCCUGGGUGGAAUAUUUUAGGGUUUAUAUCAGAAAUCUUGUACUUCAACAGGAACUUAUCCUCCAGCUAUUUGACUUCAACGAGCAACUCGUCAGUCCUGAAAUACUAAGUCUCUUUGUUACAUUCAUUUUGGUUUGUUCAUGAUCAUGUGGAUGACCUUGGCUGUAUGUGUCACGGAAUUGCUUGGUGGAUCUAAAGGACCUUGCAUACUUGGAAAAUCCAAUUUAUGUGUUGCCAACCUAUACGGCAUCUUGUAUUAUUGAGAGCCACCUAUGAUCUGUAUGAUUUCAUGUGAUCUUUCCUCAACCAUGCAGAUCAUUAUGGCUGUUAUGGGUGUAGCGUUGGUGAGGCCUUAUGGCUGUUGCAUAGAUUUGUAGCUACUAUAUGAAUACCUGGCAAAAUGGCUGUCUUUCUGGAGCAAUAUUUGGUAAGCAUUUUGGUAUCAUCUUUAUGAGAAAGCAUAGCUUGCAAUAUGAUAUUUCACUUUCACAUUCUUUUCCCUGUUGCCUUACAUUAUUAGGUCGAAUGGAACAGUGCCUAUAUCUAAACUGGCCGACAAAGAAGAAGAUAUGCUUAGGAUAGCAAGAGGCUUGGCAUAUCUUAAUGAAUAAUCUCAGGUUGAAAAUUGCCCACAGAGACAUAAUGGCUACAAAUGUACUUCUUGACAAGGAUCUCAAUGCUAAAAUAUCUGAUUUUGGAUUGGCCAAGCUGAUGAAGUGGAGAACACAUAUAUUAGCACUUGAAUUGGCGGAACAAUGUCAGCUUUUGAGCCUAUUUCCUUCUUUUAUUCGUAAUUUUUUCUUCAUCUGAUCUUUCGUUGAUAACAACAAAAAUUGACUGAAAUUUUUGUAUUUCAUUGCAGGAGGUGGGUAAUAGUACAUAGUUAGGCAAAACACAUGAUGACAUUUAUCCAUGGAAAAGAUCUUAUGAUUUGUAUUAUAAAUUAUUCCAGCAGAGGUUAAUGGCUCAUGAAUAUGCUAUGAAGGGUUACUUAACGGAUAAAGCAGAUGUUUACAGGUUUGGAGUAGUUGCCCAGGAGAUCUUCAUUGGGAAAAGAACACAAACACUUGAUUGGGUAAGCUCGUAUAUCAGCUCUAUCCAUCAGGCAAAAAUUACCUUCUGUAGCUUAAAUUAGCAAAUUGGAGUUGAUUACUUGAAACCUAUGGAAUGAAUGAACAUGUCUCUUCCUAAAAGUGGGUUGGCUGAAAUAGCAUCUUACUUGAGCUUCCUAAAAAUUGAUCAAGUAUGAAGAGUAGCGCGAGUGUCUGUCAACAUUGGUGGGUAAUAUUUAGGAGAGGAUGGAAGCAGGAGGGACAGCAAGUAUAAACUAAUGAAUUUUAUCAAAAAUUUUUGUAGUCAAUACCAUCAAAAUUACAAAAUGGGAAAUUAGAGUUUUGGCUGAAGAUUGUGUUUACAGGACCUAAGAACUCAAUGAUUGGGAUCAUAGAUACCAUUCAUCAAUCCCUCCAUGAAUUCGUUCUCCUCUCUUGGAAAGAAAUCUCGUAGACUGAUUUAGCAGGAAAUAUAGCUUAGCUUAGUCACUCUUAUCAUAGCAGGAAAUGUUCUACCUAUCAUAGAGUUGUUCUUGGCUUGUGCAUUCUUAUCAUAGCUGCAAAUAUUCUACCAAAUAUAGAGUUGAGUGUCUAUUCUUAACAUUCUACUAGCGAAUUUCUUUGUUACUCAAUCCGUUGGUGGUAAUGGAUGAGUUACUAAGUUUCCGUUGUUCCAUGUGGCAACGUGACGUCCUGCAAGAACGAGGAAAUCUUUUAGAGCUUGUGGAUCCAAGUCUUGGUUCAAACUACAGUACAGAUGAAGCACUGAGGAUGUUAAAUUUGGCGUUAUGAUGUACUAAUCCAUCUCCUACUUUACAGCCAUCCAUGUCUUCUGCAGUGAGUAUGCUCGAAGGCAGAAUUGCAGUUCAGGCACCACUAAUCAAAUGCACCUCAUUGAAUGAGGACAUUAGGGUCAAGCCCUUGAGAAAUUAUCACAAGACAGUCAAAUCCAUGUUUCUAAACUCUCCAUUGACAGUCAGUUCGCUCGGACUACUUCAACAGAUGACGGACCAUGGACUGACAGACCAGUGUCUCUUCCUAGUGAGAAUGAAAUGCGCAAUUUUUCUUCAUCUAACAAGCUUCUUUCGUGGUGUUGAUGAUGUCGAACUUUGAGUAACUUAUGAGGAUGAGAUUUAGGAUUGCAGGAUCGCAAACUUUUAUUAUUUAGUGCCAUACAGAUUCUGUCAUUGACAUUUUUUUAGGUACCUUUGGAGUUCCUGUGCUCUUUGUAACAAAAUUCAUAUUCUUUCUUUCAGUCUGAGUAUGUAUGUGUUCAUCAAUUUUCUCCUUGCAAUGUAUCUGAAUCACCGCACGUCCUGAAACCUAUGGCACUAAAACCCACUUCCAUUUUGUUAAGCACAAAAUGACUGGCCUAUAUCCAAAAUAAUCCCACCCAAAAUCAAGGUUCUUAAUUGCUACUCCAAUCCUGGUUUCAUAGCAGAGUACCUCCAUCCGCAGGACUCCUAGAGCCGGAAAAAAAAAAGAAGGCUGCUCAGAAACUCAAGGAACAACUGGACUUGGAAUUCGGGCAGUUCCAAAUCAAUCGUAAUUAGAUACGUGUGCCAAUCCCAGGUUAUGGCCUGACACCCAAUUGCGGUAUUGCAAAAAUAUUUAUUUUAGAACUGUAAUAUGCUUUAGAUUCCUAUGAGACCUGCCAGGCUCGUCGUGUGGUAUGGAGCAUGGGGGCUGGACAGUCCAAAACUUAUCAGCUAGUGUUGAGAUGUGUGUCACUCUGCAACGUAAUUUAUCCUGAAUUUCUGAAUUGAAGUCGAUCAGAGAAUCCCAACCAUCAGAUAAGAAACCAAUCUUGGUUAAUGAGCCAACCAAUCUGGACUGUCCAAUGACCAUCUAAUUAUCACCCGAAGAAGAUUGAGGUCCUUCCACCUAAGCAAAUUCUGUUGACUAUAAAAGUGGCCUCAUGCAGCAUACCCGUUGAUUCAUUUCUAACAGGAUUUUCCCUCGUCACUUUUAUUUCAUUUUCAUUAUUUAGAUCAAAUACAAAGACUCUUUCAUUUCAUUACUUCUUUGGAGAAACAAUCAAUGGAUGACUCGAACAUUCAAGAAAAUAUUGAUGACAUUGAUGGUAAUCAUGGGACGUUCAAAGGUCCUAGUGAUUCAUUUGGAUAUGUCAAUGAACGUGGUCGAGAAUCAGACAACUUUUUCAUCAACUUGAUGAGGCAUUCUUUGCUGCUUGGAGCUGAAAAAUUGUUGAUGGCCCGAAAGUCACCAGGACCAUUUCUAUCCUCUCAACUGGAGUCGUGCAGUAUUAACGAGGACAAGAAUGACUUAGUCAGGAAAUGGAAAGGAAAAGGUGCCAUGCAAUUGGAUGAAAAGGUACGUUGGAAGUCCGAGUGCUCUCCGCUUCAAUCAAGUUCAAGUUCAAGUUCAUCAAAUCCGGGAAUUGAAAGCAGUAACAUGUAUGUUCAAUUUCCAAAGAUGAUUGAAUGUCCUUCGAGUUUCUAUAACAACUUUCCACUGGAUUUUGUAGCUUUUCUAAGAAUCCUGACAGUACUGAUACUUGAACUCGGUGGUGCUCAACUUAGUUUGUUCACAAGCGUCUUCACAUUACCUAUUCAGAUAUUCAACUUUUGGCUCACAAUGCUAACGUUGCCAUUUCGUGCUCUAGCUCUAACUAGAGAGCAUUUAAUGAAAAAGCUGUUGACAUUGCGGAGUUACUUUUGGUUUAGUUUGAUGUACUUUAUAUGUGAUCGGUUGAAGUUGCAACAGUCAAUGCUGAAAGUGGCUGUAAGAUUUUGUUGGGCAUUUUUCUGGUCAGUUUACGUGUAUCUGAUCCUGGUUGGAUUGCUAAUCAUGGGAUUCGUGAUUGGCGGCAUAACCAUGAGACAUUUGGUCGUAGAAUCCAUACAGACAACUGAAAAUCUGAACUUUGACUACACCACAAGUAGUCCGGUUGCUUUUGUUCCCGUUACAUCCUCUCCUGUCACUGGCGCGUCCCCUGGCUUGAUUUCUGAAGACAGGAUGCUGUUUUCCAAGAGUGCUGGAGGGCGCACCAUCCCUUACAAUCACAAGCUACAGCUUACUGUGUUGCUGACAAUGCCCGAGUCAGAGUACAACAGAAACCUUGGGAUAUUCCAGGUAUGACGACUUAUGUAAUAUAGGCAAUUGAUUCUAUUGACAAUGCAUGAAUAGUUUUGGAUAUUGUUGCCUUCUAAGACAAAAAAUUAUUUGUCUAAGUACGGAACAAAAAUGAUGAUUUCCCUUAUGGAUUUGACUGCUUUACCUGUUAAUACAAACAUUCAUUGCAUUGACACAAAAAUAGAAUUAUCUCUUCAGUUAAGUACGAUCUGCUGCUCAUACAUCUGCCAUAUUGUAACGACAAAGCUAGGUGACUCUCAAAGUUCUGAAGAAGUUGAACCAGAAAAUUGUGCAAACUUCUCCGCCCAGAAUGUCCCUUUCAUGGGGGUUAUAUAAAUACUUAUGGUUCUCAGCUUUGUUAAUGUAGGUGAGGGUACAGUGCUUGUCUUCAGAUGGUAAGGUGACUGCACGUUCAAGCUAUCCCACCAUGCUACAAUUCAAAAGUCAACCAAUAAGAUUUGUUGGGACCAUAUUUAAAAGUCCCCUUCUUCUUGCUGGUUUUCAAUCAGAAAUCCAACACUUGAAAAUAGGCGUCAUGUACUUUACAGAGGGAUAUGAGCCAACUGCUUGCUUUAAGGUGAUAAUUGAACAGAGAGCAGAAUAUGAAGCAGGCUUUGGUAUCCCAGAAAUAUAUGCUGCAUCACUGCACAUCGAAUCUGAGCUUCCCCAGAUCAAAAGGAUGAUACGGUAUUGGAGGAGAUCUGUAUUUGUAUGGAUCAGCAUUAUAACAUUCCUGACCGAGUUAAUUAUUGCUCUGAUCUUUUGUCGGCCAGUUAUUUUUCCGGGAAGAUCAACAAUAAAGGUGGUCGGUGCUAGAAGUAAAGUCUCUCAUGGUAUAAAAGCAUUUGAGCCAUUGGCUGUCUCAGAAAGAAGUACCACCACCACCACCACUUCUUGUUGAACCUGCUACUUUGCUUCUGAUAGUUACAUCAUAGUUUUUCUGAUAUAUUGACUGCUUUGUACCACUGAAAUCUUCCCAGAAAUAUUUAAAUGCAUCAUGAGAAUUAUAGUAUCACUUUUUGCAGGCCACAGGGCAAAUCAUGUCUUACGUACAUUCUUUUUCUUUCAAGAAGGAUUGUAAUACUCGUCCUUACUGUGCCUACUUAACCGUUGUCUCCUACAUUCGAAUAUACAGUCUUCAGUCUGUUCUUCUGCUCCCUCAAAUUAAAUGCAGCCUCAGUUGAACCCUUUACUGAUAUCUUGUUGGAAAAGGAAAGGAAGUUCAUGUCCUUGCAAAGCCAUUUCUGCCAUUUCUGUCAUAGAUUUAUUGUCAAAUGAAGAAAGCAAGUCAUGAUAUAUAUAUAUUUCUCCUCCCGGUCCUGGUGAAUGUUCAACUGAACAUUGCUAUAAGAAUAGUUAAGAAGGUUUUCCUAUGCCCACUGGACAAGAUUUUUUUCAGUCAGAACAUGAGAGCAGGAGGACUGCAGCAGCCAGCUACUGCUUUUGUCAUUGUACUUUUGUCCAUGGAUUGAUGGAAAAUAUGAAUGAUACAAAUUUCUCUUUUCUUCGUCAUUAAGAUCAAUUAUAGGAAAGGGUUGCAUUUCUUAUAAGCAUACCCCGAUAGCAAGGAGAAACGGAAAAAAAAAGUUUUUUUAAUUUUUCCAAACACAAGGAAAACUAACCUUCCAAGCAGACCCCAGACCCCAGACCCCAAAGCAUACAACUUUACCUACAAUAAUUGAAAACAAGAAAUCUGAAAGUUCUCGAGCCAUCAUCUCCAUAUAAACAAGGAGAAACAUACAAAGUAAUAAACACAUUAGGAUGAAGGUCAAUCUUGGCAUUCCAAAGGACAAUCAUUCACAAUGAGAUAUAUACAAUUUUCUACACAAGUAUUUAUUCCUGUAUUUCCUCCUCCCUCCUAAUUCCUUUUUUUUUCCUUUUUCUUCUUUGGCUUUUUUAAAGAGGGUUCAAGGAGGGAGAGGGGGGGGGGGGUUAGGGCAUUGUGAUGAGGCUGUGCUUCUAGAAGAAAGGACAAUCUGGAGUCUUUACAAACUUCGGUAAACCUAUCAGAAACUUUACAACUCGAUUCCACUAUUCAACUGAACAGAGAAGGUCGGCCUGCAAACAUCACCCAAAGGAGUUUCAACUUUGACAACUAUCCCUGAGCUGCCAACGUUUCCAUUCCACUUGGACCUGCCAAGCUACAUAGAGGAUGAAAAGAAUUUCAAGUCAGAGGAGUAAUUAUGGAAUACAAGGAGAAAACGGAAAGCAGAAUCUAGUGACGGUAAAACAAUCUGCUUCAUUAGCAAACACCAUAUCUAGUGACGUUCUUAAAGCAAACAGCAAAAACAAGCAUCUUUUAAAAGAUAACAACACUGCUGCAGCAUGUCUUAUUAUUCAGCAUAGUAAGCCUGCGCUGUUCACAGGGAUCUCACGGCAGAAAUUAUAGAGUACAAGAGUUCAAAUUUUGGUUUGGAUGCAAGAAAAUUCAAAUCCAAAAAGAAGAACAGAUAGAUUCCUUAAAACUAAAUGAUAUAUUUGGUCAUGAGCUCCGAAAAUUUGAGGUAAAAACUUUAAAUUCUAUCCUCAAUAGACUCCAAAACUAGAUGUGUGCUCUCUAAUAUGAUUGCGCUUAGCUAAGCACACAUCAGUCAAUUUCCUCAGUCACACUCUAAUUCACAGGUCCCCUCUUCCUAACACAAGCCUCAGCCCAUUACCAAUUACUCUUAAGCUAUAGAAAACCUAUCAAGCGUCAACAAUGUAAUACAAGAAAGCCAAAGUUUAUCUGUAAAAUAGGGACAACUUACAGAAACUGAUGCAAAUGCAGAAGGACGAUCAACAAGUGCGCAGCCACAGAUGAGGCUUAGUUCCUCCUUCAGACUGUGUGUAAAUUCCGCUCGCAAUCCAGGAUUGCUUCCACCAAAUGUAGGGCACAAACUGUACAUUUGGCAUUUUAUGAAUAGGCAAAAAAAAAAUUUCACAAACCAUUCUUGCAUGUUAAAUAUUGAAUGAACCAAAAAUAAAUAGGAACCAGAAAAGAACAUAUCCAUAAGUUAAAUAACAAGAAUGUAAUUUUGUCAAUAUCCCAAUGACAGUGAAAAUUUUCACUCAAAACAUACAUAGAGCUAGGCACAAGAAGUGUAGUAGAUAAAAAUUUACCUGAACUGGAUAGUUGGUCUGACCAUGAGCCCAGAUCUCUUCCAAGCUAAAGACUGCGCCAGGCCCAGGGAGAAUGACUUAUCAGGCCACUGCACCAUAGGUGUAAUGCAUGUCCCCCGCUUAUUCUGGAUAAAUCCAACCAUUUAUUAGCUUCCUAAACCAAGCUGUAACUUGGCUAAGUUCCAAAAGAGAGGAUUAUAAUCAAACAGAAAAAGCUUGUCCAGGCAUUUUCUACUCUCACCAACUCACCAACUCACCUUACAAGAGAAACUGAACCUCAUCUCUCCUGGAUAUUGACCCUGAGCUUGAAGAAGACCUCCACAAAGAGGCAGAAAAGCACUGGUAGAUAUGCCCUCGCCAGAUAUAUAGGUUAUUUGGCCAUUCGGAAACUGUAGGUCCAUGAAUGACUAUAGAGAGAGAGAGAGAGAGAGAGAGAGUCAAUAAGCUACUCUGCAGAAAGAAAACCCAUUUCUUGAAAUACUGGAAGUGCAUCAUGCAGAAAUAUUUGCACCAGAGGUGCAGUUAAUACCCAUCAAUCAAGCUGCAUGGAAAAUGAAGCAAGAUAAUUGCAUUUUGAGAACAAGCAAUAAUACUUAGUCCUUACUUCUCCUUCUAGAGCUCAGAUUUCAGUUUCCCGAGUUAAAAGCAAAAAUGAGAGAAUGAAAUUAACAGACUGAAAAAGACAACGAAAGCACAUUCAUGAACUUUUGGUACGAGCACUCUCUUAAAUUUUUCAUAAUAUUCAGCUUUCUCCCUUCUUCAUAUCUUCCGUGGGAUGCAUUUGACAGUACCAAUUAAUUAUACCAGCCAAAGCGAGCCAGAUACAGAAUAGUUAAAGAGUACGACACAAAUUACAGAAUCAUACUUACACAGGCCAAAGGAUUGAGACAUAUCAUUGACAUCAAGAGCCACCUCCUAUGCUUAGACCACAUCGCUGGACAUAGUGAAUGCAUUCCAUUCUGCCCAUAGCCCAUAAGAAACCAACUUAAUUUAGAUAAAACCAGAAAAAAAAAAAAGGCAAAGCUUAAAGAGCAUAUGAAGCAGAUAAAGUCCAACUGAAGUGCAAAAAACAAUUUCAUUAAAACACAUGGAUAAUUAGAAGGCAAAAUUUAAAGUCUUAUUAAAGAUGAUUCACGUGAAAGUUAAUAUGAGGAACGUCUAAUAGUAAAACAACUGUGAAGACAAGUUGGUUAGAUAACAAGCAAAUCAAGAUGCCCUAUACAAGUUAAAUAUCAGCUUCAAAUUUCCAUUAAAGAAAGUUGGCCACUACUGAGAAUGCACAAUGAGCUGAAGCAAUAUGCACACUCCCAUCCUUCCCUGCCCGACCAAUCCUCUCUCUUGCACACAAAAAUAGACAUACACAGCAAAUAAGGAGCAUCACAUCAAGAGAUGAACAGCAUCUCCAAACAAAGUUUAAGUUUACCUUCCAUACACGUUCUACAUAACUCCAUGAAGUUAUCAAUAGGUCAAACAUUCUAUAACUGCAUAAAGUAAUCAUCUUUACACUUUACAUAUAAUCUACAAGUCAUAAAUGGGAAGCAAGCUUUAGAACAUUUGCCAAAAUUCCCCAUUAAACAGCUCUUAAGUAGACAGAAUAGACAACAAUGCAACCACGUUAAAAAGCUUAUCAACUGCAAACAUGUGGUGGAAAUAAAUUUUAGAAGUUGAUCCAACAUUUAUGACAUCAUGGUGGCAACUGAUUUUAGAUGUUGAUCACAACAUCUAAAACUUCCUGUUCAGGUCCUGCAACAUUAAUUUUGCUCUCGCAAGGAAACCAGACUUUAAUCCAUACACAACAGAAUGUACAAAGAUAUUAAACUUACCUUCCUGUCAUAGCCAUACCAAAGCAAGUGUUGCUUUGACAAGUGAACUGGCAAAAGAAGUGUUGAAUCACGAACAAAAAGAACUGGACCGAGCUGGACGAGGAACAGCGAAUUAUCGUUUCGAGAUGUAGAACUACUUUGUGAUGCCUCAACUCUCCACAAGUCCCCCCUCGCCACCAAAGAGCUUUCUACACUUCGUGUCCUACUUUCAUAUGUCGACGUAACAUUAAUGGUACCCUACAUAAAAUAAUUUGCCCAUCAAACAGAGUAAAUGGAGUGGAAUCAUACAUAUCAGCUCAGUUUUUUUUUACAAUUUUGGUCUCAUUGUGACAAGAAACAAGGUUCCAAACCUAUUAUAACCUACCUAAGAAAAAUCAGAGUCUAGAAUCUGGCUUGUAGGAAUAUAGAGAAAAAGCUAAAAUAAAACUGAAUGUCUUUUGACCUGAAUCAAUAUCACAGAUUCAGGCUUUUCUUUUUCCCAUUUUUGUCUUUCAACAACUGCAAUCACCGUAUCGUUGAUGUAUGUUAGAAUGUAAAUAUGAAAGCAGCCACAUCACAAGCAAUUGCUUUCAAGCAUCACAUUUUGUCAGAUUACCAUUAAAGAUUGGCAUUAAUUAGCCAUUUAGAAUCUACUAAAUGACUGAAUAAUGAGCUAACCACAAACUGCCAGAUAACAAAGCUGAAAAAUUCAAGGACAGCCUCGCAAGAGAGAGAGUUAUUUAUCAAUAAAUUUGUAUCCUUUUUUAUAAUAAAGAGAGCUAUGCCAGAAGCAAGUUACAUAAUUAGAUUUCUCUAAGCUAGAGCACCGAAAUAAACAUCAUCUUACUUAUAUUAAGAGUCAAAAACUUAUGCUCCAUUAGAUUUAUCUCAAUCAAAUGUUACAUACUUGUCAACUACAAGAACAAAGACUUAGGUUUUGUUCAAUGUGCUGAUAGGCACAGCAAAGACAAUAUGCCCUAAAGUACAAUAUGAAGCACUUGUGUCUAUUUUUAACGAUAAAGUCAUCCCACUGAACACAACACAAUUACCCAAAACUCCCGUUUACAUGCUACAGUUGAGCUCAAUCUGUUCAGAAAUUAAAUUGGAUUCAUUAAUUACAGGCUUGGCAUGCACUAUAGUAUUCUAUAAACACUUGUAACUCUUUUAUCUGUUCAAGUUGUACCUGUGAUCUACCAAAGAGUUUUGAUGCCUUCACAUUAAGACCAGCAUUUUCUUCAUCUGUACACCCCUCAGCAACCAGUUUAGUUUCCGUGAACCCAUAGUCCCUAAACCGUUUGGCCACUGAUGCCAAAUCUUCUUGUAAACUAAUACCCAUAUCAUUCCUCUGGCUAUUAGCCUCUGUCUGCAAUGACACCACCACAUUCUCUUCAUGCCGAAAUGGGACUGGCAACCUCCUGAAAAACUGUUGAACCAUGCCGUUAACACAAGCACCAAAAUCCACCCCAGCCUGACCUAUCCUAUUCCCAAUAUCGAAAAUCGCAGAAACCCCAUUAAUGGCUGAAUUGUCCACAGCAAGUCCAAAAUCCCUUUUCACAAAAUUCUGAGCUGCAAACUCCAUAUCAAAAAGCUUAGGCGGCUGCGAAUUUGGCCAUGGAAAUGACGGCGGAGUGAUAUGAGACUGUAUCAAGCCAGUAAAACCCUGAGCUAACCUAUCAGCUAAAUCCUGACCAUGCCUUUGAACCUCUUCCCAUGCAUCGAAUGAUCUCUCCACGGACAUCAUUUCCGCAGUUCAAAUAUCCAGUUACUUAUAACCUAAUAAUUCACCAAACAGAUUAUAUAGCUAAAAACCAAGCCUCCGCCAAUACUUCAGCAACCCAAAAUUAUUUAACCGAAACGAACAAAUCAUAAUUCUCACACUCAGAUCAGUAUCCCAAAACCAACUAAAUAAGCCAAAAUCCUAAAUUUCGAAUACCAGCCGCAGAGCUGAGCCAAGGAUAUCCGAUUCACAGCUUAGAACUGGAACAAAUGCAAAAGAACCCAGAAUUCUUUUAGCUCGCUGGGUAUUAAUUCCUACUCUCGGAUUGGAAAAUUAGGGUUUCUGACUGAAACUAGGGUAUAGAUUUCUUCACUUUUCGGGUAGCUUGCCGAGCUGGAAAAAAUUGUGUGCAGUAAAAAUAAUUUUGCGAAUUGGAUAAUUUUUUUAAGAGGAACGAGAAUCGAGGACGAGAGAGGUUUCCAAAUCGAUCCAAAUGCUGAAGAUUUGAAGAUAAGAGCUGUGACGACUGACGAGUUCAAGACUGUUAACUGAUUUUUUUUUUUUUUCUUUUCUGAGGAACGCUUUAUUUUGGGAUUUUGUUUAUCAGUAUUUAUUUUUAUUAUUUUGGAUAUGCUCCUCUUUCAUGCCACGUUGGUGGUGAUCCUUGCUUGCACUUCUAGAGUCUCGAGAAGAGAGAUUUGUGAGAUAUCAUUAUUAUUAUUUUUUUUUUUUCUCGGCUGUAUCAAAGAAUAAAGAUUUCGUCUUCUAUUGAGAGCGAAAGUUUGGCGUUUGGGCCCAGAAGGUCAAAGGACCUAAUGACCAAUUUCCCACUUUUUUAUUAUUUUUUUCUUUCCCCUUUUUUUUUGGGAUAUUUUGUCCUGUUUUUGUCGAGGAGACGUGGAGGACGGUGCCCAAAGGUUUAUACAUAAUUUUUUAAAAACAAUUUUUUCAUAUAUAUUGAUACAGUGAUGAUAUACAAACGAAUAUAAUUCUAAAAAAUCACAUCUACACAAUAUAUUAAAAACAACUUCAAAUAUAUAAAAAAAAUUUAAAAAUAAAAUCUACACCCUCUUCUUCUUCCAAUAUACAAGAAAGGGGAGGGGAAGGCAGGAGGAAGCAGAGAGAGGAUGGUAGCCAACGGUGGUAUUAAUUUUUAAAAAAUAUUUUAAGAAUUCUUAAACUUUAAAAAUAUCACAAAAUAUAUUCUAAAAACACCACUAAAAAUAUUUAGAGUAACAUUUUUUUAUAUACAUUAUUAUAAUAAAAUAUUUUAAAAACAUCCCAAAAAACAACUCUUCCAAACAAAGCAAAUUUGUCUUUAUAAUUAGAUAAUAUUGCACUCACCAUCUUUGUAGUUUUUUUAUUUGUGUCUUUAUCCCACUAAGUCAACAUAAUUAAAAACAAAAAAAAAAAAAACCAAUACCACCCGUCACACUUGAUCAAAACCAGCCUAUAAAAACUCAACUUUUCACACUUGAUCAUUUUCCUGUCUUUUUUUUUUUUAUUUCAUGGAAACCCACUGUUAAAGAAUCCUUUUUAUCAACGGAAAAGUAAUUAAAGAAUAACAAAAUCAUUACUACUAUUAUCUUAGACAGCAACGGCAUGACCUUUCUAUUGAAUUGGAUGUUGGCUUGCCGACUGGAAUUGCAUUCACACUCAAUAAACUGGCAUCCUAACAUUCCUGGUCUUCAUAGCAUUAUUAUUAUUUUUAGGGUUAAUUACAUUUACCUCUCCUGAGGUUUGACCAUAUUACCAAUCAAUUCCUGUAAUUUGUCCAAAUAACGAUCUCACCCUUUGAAUGAUCAAACAUUUAACAAAAACCUCCCUUAAUGCCCAAAAUGCCCUUAUUGAGGCCAUGUUGCAUUAAAAAAAGAAUAUAUUUUUAUUUUAUUAACUCUGAAGCAAUCCAAAAAAAUAGAAAAAAGUUUUUGCUUAUUAUUUUAUAAAAACCAUAUCUUUGCUUCCAUAAAUAGUUUUGAAGCAAUAAUUAUUUUAAAUCUUAAAAAUGAAUAUUAAAAAUUAGAUAAAUUGAAAGAAAAAUAAAAAAAGAAGAAAUUAUUUUAAUUCCAAGAGUAUGGUUCAAAUUAAGAAAAACAUGUCUUGUGCUAUCCGCAACAUGAUUUGAACCACAAAUUAAUCAAAUUUUUGUUUUAAAGAAAAAAAAAAUUGGGUGAAUUUAGCUCGUAUCAUCACCACGGAUCAAAACAUGCCUUCGACAAGCUUUAGUCGGCUUCAGCCAAACUACGGCCCACUUGCUUCAACAAAUAGUCGCAUAGCAUCCCCAAACAUAUCUUCAACAGAGAAUGUCUGUGUUGGAGCUCUUGGGCCCCCGCGGGCUGUAACUUGCAACUCCCUGAUUUAUUGGACCCCUAACAGCUCUAAAUGGACAGUUAGAGAGAGCAAUUAGACACACAUAAAUUACAAAUUUUUAAUUAAAUAACUUCAUUAUCAGUUCUUGAAUUUUCAUAUAUCUGAAAGAACUUUUUUCGAUUCAUAGGGAAAUUUAAAGCCUUACAAGACCUUUUUUUUUGGAGUGACAAGUGUUUUGGAUAGAAGAUCAUUUUAAAUAUUAUUGAAAAAAAUUAUUGUAAUUUUUUUUUAUGGCGUUAUAUAUGUAAAAUAAAAAUAAUAAUAAAAAGUUUAUGAUACAGUCAAAUAAUUUUUGGAGAAAAUAUCAAUUUUUAACCGAACACGACCCGAAUCCGCUUUGCUGAUUGGCUUCCUAAUUUUUUUUUUUUUUUUUUUAAGUUAGUGUUUAGCUUCUAAAGAUAUACUCAACAUCAUCAUCAUCAUCAUCAUCCAGCCUUUGGACACCAAAAUGUCGCAAUCUUGAAAUUGAGUGAAUAAGUCACUGAAGAAACACAGUACAGAAGAAGCCCGACUAGCUUGAACCAUUGGAAUAUAUAAAAAUUCAUAAGAUAAUUUGACAUUCAAAGCUUCCAAUUGCAGACAAGAAAGAAAAAGCCACCAACCCUUUCUCCUUGAGGGCUUGCUUUCAAGCUUACCAGCGAUGCAAAGUCACUUCACAGCUCAACAAUCAUGUUGUAGGCUUUUGACGAGAGAACCCAGGAUGACUGCAAACUAGCUCCCCUAAAAACCUCGACUCCGAUCCUUUUCUGACCUUCAGGAUGCAUUAAAGGACUGCCCUUUUAUUCGCCCUCCUGAUGCAUACAUUCAUCUGCAUAAAUCAAGAAAUGAGCAAAACGAAGACCUGUUUUCAACAUCUGUUUGCUAUACAUUCAUGCCAACAAACCUGGUUUUUGAGCUCCCAAGGGUAAGCUCAAGAUCAUCUGAGCCACAAUCUUCAUGGAUCCUCUCUCCUUCCCAUGGCUUCACCAGACCACCUUUAAUGCUUCUAAAUGCAAACUCAUCGGAAAUUACUUCAGCCAUGGGAACAUCAGAGCCUGCAGGUAUGGCGGGCGAGCAGGUCCCACUUUGCCCUGGAGUGCACAUGUGAGAGCCAGUGUGUCUUAGCGACUCGAAUUUGAAGGCAAAUGGAUUGGCGGAGACAAGGCUGAAUGUAGGUGAAGUUGGUCCGCCUUGUGGAAUUUGCAUUCCAGCAAACCAUUCUGAAUCAGGAGGGGCCUGACGUCCAGGACUGGGAGGUGUAGAUAACGGAAGGAAGGAGCUGUGAGAGCCCCAGCUAGCACGAGCAGAGGAAUCAUCCCAGUCCGUCUUCAAUCGAGGAGUCCGGGCAGUAGGGGAGCUCAGGGGAGGGGUAACAGGUGCACUUAUGGACCCACCAUGGCAAAGGAGUUGGAAUUUGGUGGAGGAUGUCGAGGAGGAGGAAGACGAGAGGUUCUUAAGCCAUGGGAUGAGGGAAUUUCCAUCACCAUUGAUAUUUGCAGCAUAUGGGGAAGAAGCUGGACUUGGGAAGGAAGAAGAAGCAGGGCUUGGGUUGUAUGACGUUCCAGGGCUUGGGUGAUAAGAUGAACACGGGCUUGCUGAUGUUGAUCCACCCAUGAUAUCCAUUCUGUCCACCGGCCUGCAUCCCUGUAAAUUAGAAAAAUGGUCACUGGAAGGCUAUGUGAGUGCAAAAGGAUUUCAAAUAAAGAAUUAAAUUCAAUCACCCAUAUUUUUAUUCAUCUAACCUACAAAACAUAGGAGAAAGCUUUUGGCGUCCUGUUAGUAUCUCUCGACAUUACUGUUUUUCCCUUCAUCAUAUCAUAGUAACAGAACAAAAUGACAUACUACUUAAUCUUGAUCUCUUUGCCACUAUACUGUAGACACAAUGAGCAGCUGACAUUUUAUCCAGCAUUAUAGGAACAUAAUUGAUAUUAUGCCACAUGCAUCGUAUUGAACUCCCCUAGUCUCUCCUGUACGAUAAGCAUUGCACUUCUUUGAUACCCUAUUUUCGAUAUUUUUCUUUUAGAACACAGUUCAAUAUGAAGCGACUGAUGCAUUUUCAAACUCUCUUCAAGACACCGUCUUCCACUUUCUUUGUUCACUCGGCAAGAUUUAUGAUAUCCAAGCAUUAAUAAAACAGGUAUUACCACCCAGCUGAUCCAACUCGUAUGGUCUAUCACAGCACAAUAACUGUCCUUAGCUAAAGUGAAAUAUGUCAAGGAAAGCCUUUACCAAAGGUAUAUAUUUCCUGCAGCUGCAUAUGGAGAGCUGGUAAACAUAUUCUACCCUAUUUUCUGCACCAAGUGUUUACCCUAUUUGCAAGUGUAUCAAGAUCAAGAACAAGCGGUUUUUUGACUUUUUGUCUCAAAUGCAAGUAAACUUCAUUGUGAAAUUGCACCAAUCUUUCUCUUAUUAACUUCAAUCACAACAAAUUUCUUUAACCCUUUUGACUGCCCAUUCAGACUAGAAUGAUCAGUUCAGCUGAAUUAUUAGUAAGAGAUAGCCAAUUGCAAUGCUAGCAGGUCCUCAGAUUUCAAAGCAUACAUACAAAUUUAUUAAACAGUGUCUCACAUUCCAACCAACCUUCCCACCAACCCCCCAAAAAGGCCUUGUGGAGAAACCAAUAGGAAAGGAUUCUAGAACUCGUUCAUUUUUUGUAUUUAUGUGUAACCUAAUAUUACGUACGACUACCAUCUUCACUGUUUCUGAAUCCUAGUUAUUGUACUUGUGCCAUAUUACAAUUGUGAAAAGAAUCAGUACAAUUCCCACAAAAACAGUAAGAACCGAAAAUAAUGCAACUGUCCUCGAAAGCAAGUAUCGUACUAGCAACUUCGAGUCCUUCACGAGAACAGCAAGAGAUCUAAAGCAAGAAGCCCAAUUUAAUACUACUUUUAGCAACUACUGGAAAAGGGCUUCUGUCGCAAGUGAAGAAAGUAAAGACUAGUACACUACCACCAGAAAAAGAUGUUUGAACCAAAUCCGCCAAAGGUUAAAAGAGAAUGAGAUGAGAUGAGAGAGAGCCUCAAAAGCACAUUAUUACCAGACCUCCUUGUGACCCCUGAGAGGCCCACAGCUACAUGGGAAUCCCCAGGCUAAAUUUUAGCAAAACUAAAGGGACAUUUGUUUUCCAAGAUCCCAAUGCUACACUCUAUAAACUAGCACUUGCUAACUGAUAAAACAAAGAUAAGAGAUUUAGUUUAACAAAAGUUACUAAAAUAAAGAGUUAAAGAUUUGGAUUUUUGAGCUCAGAAAGAAUAUGGAUUUUCUAAAAAGAAAAAACCAUGUUGGGAAUCUUUGAAACUUACUGGUCAACAACAAACAAAAGCAACAGAGCUGGUGUAAUGUCUGUCUGCUAAGCAGCUGUGGCGCCCAGUUCUUACAGUGCAGACAGGAUCUAAGGCAACGUAGACUAGGGAGGAGGAAACAGCAGAAAAAAGGACGAAUACGAGAAUCUAAUUCUACCAGACAGUAAAAACAAAGAAACAAAAGUAAAAAGUGAUACUACUAAUCAUCCAACAUUAGCAAACACCUGAUGGGUCAGAACUCAGAUGAUCUCCACACUAAUCUUUAUCAGUAAUACUACUUUUUUUUUUUUUACAGUGGCAGUAAGUAAACCAAUUGCCACCGGCGUGCGUUAGCAUAACAGAACAAUUCUUUGCAGUAACAAAGGAGAGCGUGCGCUUACGCCAUAUGUGCUAAAAAAGGAGUGAUGACGCGGCAGAGAAAGGAAAAGCCGUUCUAACGGCCCAAAAACAAACCCGCUAAAAUGCGCCUGCCGCCAGGGCAGUUGGAGGUGUGGUGGUAGACAGCUGGCCAUUAGCACUCGUAGACCAGGAAAGAAAAAGAGGAAAAAAAGAAAUGGGAGAUCAGGAAGCUCAUCUGCUUGAUACAAUUCUAGAAUUUCUUGUUCCUCAAUUAUCACCGAAAAUAAGAAAAAAAAUGGAAAAAGAAAUUAACAUGAACUGGGAAGUUGAACGUGGAUAAGGGGGGGAGGGUGCGUACUUUCCGGUAAGUGGUGCCGUCGGGCUCGACAGUCCAGCCGGCCUCAUUGCAGAGGGCUUUGAGGACCUCAUUAUUGUCGCAAUGCUUUGGGAGUUUGUAGUUCCCGUACAUUCUCAAGCCGGCGAAUAUAUUGGCCGCGAUAGCUCUCCUCCUCCUCUCCCUCCUCUUGUUGUUCUCCCUCUCCUUCCACGUCGGCAGCCUCGUCCCCGACGUCAUCUUCCCCACCCCAAACCACCACUGCCACUGAAAAAAAAAAAAGAGCCCAAAAAUCCCAAAUAAAAAUGAAAACAAAAAAAAUCACUACUAUCAACAAAGUGAACUUCUCACUUUAUAGAUGAUCGUGAUUGGUGAUCCGAGGUGGGAUGAAAAGGGAUGAGAGGAAGGUCGAAGAGGAUGAAGUAAACUGUGUAGUACAGCGGGAAUGAAGGUGGGAAGGAGGAGGAGCAGGCUGCGAAGGUGGCAGAGCUUUAUGCAUAUGCUAUUAGCCUAGAAGUAGUAGUAGUAAAAUACUACUACUAUUAUGCUAUGCUAUGCUACGCUUAGGAGGUGAUGAUGAGUCUAUUUGGUUGGACUCGUGGACUGAGGAAGAAAUGGCGGAGUGUUUGAUUGAAAGGGGGAUAGAUUGGCGAAAGUGCCCUUUUACUGCCCUCCCAUCAUGGGAAGACGGACGAAAUGUGGAAGCUGAAAAGUGUAAAAGAGACUAAUGAAUGGAAUGAAUCAAUCCAUGUGCUUUGAUUUUUUUUUUUGACUAUUGUCUAUUGAUAAUGCCAAUGGGGUAUGCUUUGAAAUGAAACACACAUUUUCAGUUCGUGUUCUUUUCUCUUUUUCAGCGGCUAAUUCUGACCACAGUGAGUCUUUGAUUCUCAUUGACCACGUUUGGAGCAAAACAAAAAUUUUUUUUUUCUUAGGAACAAAUUGGUUUUACUUUGUAUUUAUUUUAUAUAUAUAGUCUUUCAAUCUAAUCUUGUGAAGCAAAAAAGUUAAAACAAUUGAACAACGGACAUUUAAUUACUUUGAUAGUGUAUUAUUUGAAAUAAUUACUGUAAUAUUUUUUGUGAUGUGAUGUAUGUGAGAUAAAAAGGUGAUUGGGAAUAUAAAAAAGUAAGUUGGGAAAUGUAUUUAUGAUACAAGCGAAAUAUUAUUAUUUGAGAUAAUUUGGGUAUCCAAACACUCUCAAAAGUUAAAACUAUUUGUUUGAAAUCAUCUGGGACUAUACAAUUAGGGGUACUUACUUGUUGGUUAAACAUUAUUAAUUGAUUGUAUAGUAAGAUUGCACGCUAAAGGGUGUUUGGAGAACCUUAUAAAGUUUACAACUUCACGUACCAAAGCUUCACAUGUACACAUGUAGAUGACCUUUAAUUGUUCAACCUCCAGUUACUGCUUUGAAAAGUAUAUAUAGGAGAUUAGCGUGUUUCUAAGCAUAAAAUUACAUGGAAAGUUAUUUAAAUAGGUCUGGUCUUGUAAACUUACAUAAGUUAAAUGUUUGUAUUUUUUUUUUUCUAGACGACACAUAUAACAGUCAUGAAAACAGUGUAUAACAACCUAUAGCAAUUGUGCUGCUGUAAGAUCAAAUCUUGCCAAAUUUUGAGCAGCAACAUAUCAGUGAAGGUUAUUAGUUCCGAGAGUAUUGGGGGUUAGGACACCUUUGGUAGCAAAGGCCCUCCCUGCCCUUUUCACACCAAAUCCCACAUCGAUUCUUUAAGGGGGUUAAGGGUUAGAUUAUUAGUUUCCUGGGUGGGCUCAAGAGUUGCUGGCUUUUGAGGUAAACAUCUGAAAUUCAGAGUUAUUAAUUUAAUUCUGAUUUCUUCGUUGAAAUGAAACAUAUCAGUGAAGGUGUGGUCCAGGUCAAUUUGAAUUCUUCAAUUGACACUAUUGUGUUUACUUGCUCUUUUACCAUCAAGUAUAAUGCAUUAAAGAACUUUACAUCCAUUAUCCACAGUCUAUUCAUAUAAUAAUAAUGUCCCGUAAAUUACAACAAUAGGAUAAGUUAAAAAGAUGAGAGUUACUGUUGGGUUUGGGAAAAUAACCAGCCUGUGAAAUAAAAUUCAAAUUCAAUAAAAUAAACGAUCGAUGAGAUAAAAUCCAACGUAACAGUUACUAGAGUUUGUUUGAAUAAUAGAUUAUUUGUACAAAUUUAUUAUAUGCGUGCGUGAUAAAUAUAUUUUUUAAUUAUUUUUUAUCUCAUAUACAUCACAUAAAAGAAAAAUGCUACAUUAUUUUACUUUUUAAAAUUAUUCCAAAUAAUUUGCUAUCCAAACAUAUUCAAUUUGUUACAAUAUUUUAUUUUUUAAAAUUAUCCUAAAUAAUCUACUAUCCAAGCAUACAUAUUCAAUAUUGAUACUUGUUCUCAUGAUGCAUGCUUGUGUUUGUAGGAUCUUAUCCUCAUUAUGCAUAUGCAAAUUAGUAGUUUGUGUAAAGUAGGGAAAAAAAUGAGAGAGAGAGAAACUUUAAUAGCGCUUGGAUGGUAGAAUGAAGAAUGUGGAGACUAGGCACUAUAUGGAGUAUGAUGAAGUCAAAAAAGGAGCAAUAAUUUAUCUACCAUCAAAAAUGGCAUUUUAGGAGGCAUCCGAUGAACUUCUCCUUUUCUGAGUUUAGAUUUUAUUUUUUGUUGUUGUCCCCAAUCCAAAAUAAACAUGAAAGCAACAAUUAGGCAGACGUCGACAUGGGUAAGUGGAUGAACGGGACCACUUGCGGCCUGCGGGAGGCGUGACUCGCUGACUUCAGGUGACGUAAGAUCCCCACUUGGCACCAUGCUGUGGCUUUUCUCGUAACCGUUCUGUCUCUCUCUCCACGGAGAAAAUAAAUACUCCUACUUGUAGAUUAGUACAUAAAACAAGGAAAAAAAAAAAAAAAAGUGUCACGUGGCAAAGGUCGGCGCACGUGUUUGCAAAGACAAUCAAUUUCUCUGCUCCACUGGAUCUUUAGCAGAGAUGGUGAGAGUGAAGUAGGCAAUAGCCUCCGGCAUAGGGUUUGAUAACUACGCGGCGGAGGUGCAAAAUAAAUGGUACCUCAAGCCUCGAUUAUUAUCUUAUUAGUCUUGUUAAAAAAUCUCCCCCUUUUUUUUUUUACUAUAAAAUUAACAAAAAAUAUAUAUAUUUUUUGCUUCGGUUAUAUUAAAGAUUGCAUCAAUUUUAAUUUUAAUAAACAGUUUCCAGUGUCAUUGAAUUGAAUCAUUCAAAUCAAUAUCUAUAUCUAAAUAAUAUGUUUAUUCCAAAGGUAUAUCCUACUGCUACUGACGUUUUUUCUCGAUGAACAUAUUUAUUCAAAGGAAUAAUUAAACUGAAUUCAAAGAUUACCGGGACUUCAACCUGGACCAUUAGAUUUAAAUCUUAUCCACGUUUAUAUAUCAUUCUAAAAUCUAAAUACCAUUAUUUAACUUUCUGAGUGUAAAAAAGUUCUUUAUUUUGUACACUCAAUUUAUUUUUAGCACCUACUUUUACGUUUUCUUUUGAGGUGAAAAACUAAAAAAAAAACAAAAACAAAAGAGACGGUAUGUGUGCAUUUAAAUUUUGAUUUUGAAAUGAAAAGCAAGCCAAUAAACUUGAAAUUAACACUUAUUAGAAUCUUGUCUUCCUACUAGUUUCAAAUAAUUGGGGUAAUACUCCUGAUAUUAAGGUUAAAUUUGAAUCAUCACUUACAUUUUGCAGUACUUAACCGUGUAGUAAUUGAAAAGAUGAGUGUGUUUAGAUAAUAGAUUAUUUGGGAUCUUUUUUGAAAAAAUACUACUACUAUCUCAUUUUUUUUAUGUAAUAUAUAAGAUAAGAUAAAAAGAUAAUUAAAAAAAUAUAAUUAUAAUACAAAUAAAUAAAUCUAUACAAAUAAUUAACUAUCCAAACAAACUCUAAUUCGAAUAUUCAACAUAUUCAUAUCAUUUCUCUGUCAAAUAAUUAUUUCCAAUUGUCGUUCUACACCAACUCACCAAGAUGUGUGUCAUACAUGGCCUGAAAAGGACACCGGACAGCGGAGGCAAGGGGGUUGCGCCGACCGCUUCCUAGGACGGCAUGCGGUUCUGCAAAUUCACGUGACUCCCGCAUGGGGCAAUGGCCCAUCACUCAUGGCCUCAGUUUUUUUUUUUUUCGUUUGUGGAUAAAAGGCCCAUUACUUUUCUAAAUUGCUGAAAUGAAAUGAGAGAGGAGGACCAAGUGUCGUAAUAAUUCCGGACAAAGCUACCAAUACCAUGUCGAGCUGAUUGAUUUCACCUAUCAUCACCCACCCCAUGUAACAGCUUAACAGUUUCGUAUUAGGCAAUGAUAGUAUAAUGAACUCUGUCUGCGGUUUUAGACUGCUCCAAUUGAACCAUACUAUUCAGUAGAUCAUUGGACAAGAGAAUAUGUGAUUAUUUGCGAGUAUCUGCAAUUUGAUUAUAAUUUGCGCUAAAUUAUCAUACAUACAGCCCAGAUAGGAAAGACAAAAAUAUAAUGCUUUAUGUUGACUUGUUUUAACGGGUGGGAUUGAAUAAUAAGAAGAGGUGAAAUGGUCAAAAGAGGAUUUGAGAAGAAACUCCAAAUACUAUCAAAUUAGUUGCUUUUGUUUUUUUUGAGGUAAAAGCUGAAUUGGGGAAAGGUUCAGGUCGUUCUGACCAGUGAAAAUGAGGAAAUCACAAGUGAAACAUUAGAGAGUAAAAAACCUGGGAACCCCUAAAUUAUUGUCGUUGUUUACUUUUGAUCCCUCAUCUAAAUUUUAUUUUCGAUUGGCUUUUGAACAAAUCCUGUGAAAAAGAAAAAAGUGAAGGGUUACCUCUUUUGAGGGUUUCUGAUGCUGGUCCCGAAGGUUUAAUUUGAAUGAACAAAAAUGCCCUUUAAAUCCGAUCAAAUUUUUGCCUAAAAUUACUAAAAGUUCUUAAAGUGUACAACGGCAAUAGUUUAGAGGCUUCCCAUAUCUUUUACCUAACAUUAGAAGCAGUGUAAAAAUUUUGUGAAAAGCAUGUGAAUUCUAUUAUUAAAAAAAAUUAAUUUUUAUAUACACUAACGCGCGGUAUAUUAUUAGUGUUGGUUGGCUAGACGUUAAGAUUAACUCAUUAUAAAAUAGAAGAAUUACACAACACGACUGUACUGCUUGCUAGGUAGUCUCAUUGAGAGGCCAUUUUCGUACCAGAGCAUCACAGAGUGAGGGACCCGGACCAAAAAGGGCGAACUGGGCUCAGGUUAUAGACUGAUAUGCCCGACACCCACAAGGCACUGCCAAUUGCCUCCAAUCCUAAUCAUAACAACAACAAUAAUCAUGGCAGCAUUUGAUAAUAAUCAUGCAGGUUGCACCUGUUGCUGUUCUUCCACCGAAAUAACCCACUUACGCUUAUCGCACUAACCUUGGAUUUGGAUCAUAAGUUGAACUUGUCACCAACUCAAUAUUCUUUUGGUCUCCAGAGUCGCCCCUUUAAAACUCAAUAAGACCAUUUAGGCUGUUCUUUGUAUAUAAACCCUGGUCAAUCAUAUUACCUGUAAAAAAAUGCUCGAGUUCCCAAUUGCAAGGAAGUGGUCAAGGGGACAGGACAUAAUAAACCAACGUCGUAGGGUCCAUUGCCACUACUGAAGUGCGCUCCUCAAAUCAUUUUUACCCUUUUCUUGAAAAGUUCGGAAAAGAGGUGGCGAAUGGUAACGAGUCAAAAACCUUCUAUAGUCGAGAAAUUUGAUUAGAACAUAAAAUUAGUUCAAGGUUUCAGCAUACACUCUAAUAAAUCCAUGAACUUGGCACUUUAGUUGCUCUGAAGGCAUGCUUGUACAUGACCAGAUAUGCUUCCUGGUGCAACAAGGUCUGUGAGAUUAGUUUAGUAUCCUAUACAAUUAUCAGAGCUGCUUGAAAGGCUUGUGCAGAUAUGGGUUCUGGAAAAAAGGCCUCUAAGACACAACAGUUUGACUAAGGUUUACAGCCUCCUUCAGCAAUCGCCUGACAGUAGCUUUUAUUUCAUCAGGCACCACCAAUUGUGGAGGACCUGACUCCAAAGCAUACGAGGUAAUGAUCCUCAUUACAACCGCCAUAUCUAGAUUGUUGUCAUUGCUUCUCCAAAUACUCUGAUUAACAAACUUGCAUGAUUGUUUUAACACGCAUUUGUCACAAACCUGAGACAAGCACAUGAUACUUGAGAAGCCAAACAGUGAGGUAGAAACAAGAAAGAAGAGGAAUAUGCCUUCAUAAAAUUUAAAUGGUUUACAAAACAAAGUACAAAAGAAGAUCGACUCACAGUGUUUUCCUGAAUUUUGAAGAAUCUGCGCAAUCUUUUAGCGGAAAAGACAAUCUUCUUACCAGGAGAAGGGCAACCGAAAAGGGCCAGCUUUUUCAAGUCGCUGCCUGACAUCCAUCUGAGAAACCAAUUCACAAGAUUAAGAUGGAGAAGAUGCAAGCUAGGAAACUCAAUACGUUGAAAAUGCUUCACUAAUCUCUGUGAGGUAUAAAACUUGUAUCAUAACUCAACUGUGUCGAUAUAAUUCAGAACAAGCUAGAACAAGAACUUAUUAGAAAGACCAAGCAAUGGUAGACUGUUUCACUCCAAAUCUGCUAUUCAGGGGAAUAUGCAACAUACAGAGAAUUGCACCGGUGAUUUAGCAAUCUACUCCACUCUGUAAUACUACAAAUAUUGAGCACAACUUAAAAAGGUUACUUGUUGCUUCACGUCAAGGUCACAAAAAAUUUCUCCCCCUCAGUCACCACGUCGCCUGACUUGAUGAUUUUAUUCUGUUUUUGAAUGCAAUGACUUGUUAAAAUGAAAAUAGUCAAGCAUAACUGCAGACUUGAGCACAAAUGGCCAUUAAAUUGUGUGAUCUUCACAUGUAGCACAUAAUUGAAUUUGCAAUGAAUUUCAAUGCACCCUCAAUGUUCUUGCAACAAUGUCCCUAACCACUCUACUUGAUUUGAAAAUAAAAAGCCUGAUGUCCAUCCCCUUGUUUGCUUGCUAACUCACUUCUAUUUACAUUUUUCUCUUUUUGCUUUCUCAAAGAUUAGUUGCAAACAGGACAGAUAGGAUUAAUGGCAGGGCAGUAGUAGGCAAAAGCCCAAAAAAUGAAGGGACACAAGCUGGUAACCUAGCAACAGAAUUUCAUCAAAACAUUUGUUGUUCACAAAAAAAGAAAAGAAAAAAAGAACAGGGCAGUAUUUCCACGCCCUCAUUACAGUUCAGGCAUAAAAAAUUGGAACCGAGGGAAGAGGAAGAUGUCAAGAAAUGAAAUAGGCAACCUUCUUGUCCACAGGCUUGAAGAAGGCAAGGUUCCAUUGGAUAUCAAUUCUUAAGCGUUGUAUAGCUAAUCCUAAGUGUGAGAUAAAAAGUUAGUAUCUUUUUUCUAUUUCCCUCUUAAUAGUUAAUACAUUCAAAUAAAUAACCUAAAGAAAGCAGAACAUUCAUUAGUCCAUGCGAAAAAUACCACUCCUACAAUUGCAUUAACAUGACUACAAGUAACUCACUGUCGCAAAUUAUAAUCUAAGUAUACUGGACAAAGCAUAUUACUGGAAAACUCAUCCUAUUAUUCUCAUAAUCAGAUCGAAGAAUUCAAAAGAUCACAUCUGAUAUCUAAAAUCAACCACUUAAUCUAUCUCUGUGUGUGUGUAUUAGUGCUUGAGUAUACAAAUGCAAGGAAUUCACAGACAAUCUAGGAUGCCAAGAAACGAUCCAAUUAUCUUUCUGCCUUGUGACAAGAAUAAAAAUCCUUACUUUGCAAUCUCCUGAUUAUCCAUGCCAAACUGCUCAGCUGCAAACUUGAUAAAAUCUCGAGCAUAACUAUUCUCGAAACAACUAAUAUCAAGCCUAUUCCUAGGCAAGAAAUUCGAAUCCUUAAAGUACCCAUUAUUGUAUAAAUGCGUCACAAACAUUUCCAUGUCAGGAGAAAGCUCCUUAUAAACCUCCGGAUCCUCCAUUCUCAAUUCUUUCAAAUCCUUCAUCUUUUUUCCAUCAUCCCUCCCAAACUUAUUAGCGAACAACGAUGAUAAAGAUGAACCCCCAGAUUUUUCCUCGUAGUUUGACAACCCUUCAUUCUUAUGCACCCCCUCUUUCUUCUUGUGCUCCUUAUUCUUCAAAUUCUCCUUCUCAUCCUUCUUUUUCUGCUUCAAGCCCCUCAAUUCCUCCUCCAAUUUCUUCAAUCUCUUCUUGAGCUCUCCAUUUUCACCUUCACUUUCAGUUCCAAUAUCUUCUGGGGUCUUUUUUAAGAGUCCAACAGCUUCUUUGAAGUAAACAUUCAAAGCUUUUCUUGAUUUCUUAUUUUCUCCAACAGCAUUCUCAGAGCUAAUUGGUUCUGCGUCUUCUAGGGGUUUGAAAUAAGACGAAAGUGAAAAGGGUCUGGGGGAGAUCAAAUGCGGUGAUGCAAAAGGGUUCAGCGGAUGGUUUUCGAGUUUAAGGAGCGUUUCGGAAUGAUAGGAACGGAGGAUUUGGCGCAAGAUCAUUCUCUGCUCUGGUUGUCCGAGAACUGAGAAGAAUAGGAAAAGUAGAAGAUUAGAGGGUUUUAGGGAGAUUUAAUCGAAUUUUCACUUUUUCAUCUAUGGAUCGAAAUGGACGACUAUGGGCCUGGGCCUUGAAAUUGGGAAUGUGUGAUGGAUCACAGAGCAGUUCCUCUUGAAAAUGGACUGCAUCAUGCAUAUGCGAUGAUUCAACCAUAGAGUUUUUUUUUUCCUGUCAAUACAGUAUAUUAUCAUACACUGACAGGGAGGGGUGAACCUGAGAAAUCCAAGAGUAAUUCACAGGAGAUUGAACUAUCACUGGAUCAAAGGGAUGCAUUAUGUAUCUGUCUGAAUUUUUUAACUAGAGCCACUUUGAAUGUGGCAAAUUGUUUGCCUCCCACUCCAUCAAACUUUAAUGUAUUGAAGCCUGAUACUAACAAGUUGAGAUAAUGACUUUUAUUGGUUUUCGUCGGGACUAGUAUGAACUAAUCUGCGAAGCUCGCUAAAUGCUUGACGCUUCUAAGUUUCAUCAGAUGUUACUCAUCUUGUUGCUUCUAAUGAUUCAUAGUCUAGCUGCUCGUGAUCGAGUCAAAGCUCGACUCAAGUCCAAUCAAUAUUGAAUUCGUGUCGAAUUCGAACUCAAAAAUACUCAAUUCGUUAACUCUCGAGUCGUCUCGAUUUUAUAUAUAUAAUUUUAAUAGUGAAUUACAUAUAUAUAUAUAUAUAAUAUUUUAUUAUUUCUUAAAAAAUUACUAUUUUAUUUAUUUUUUAAAAAGUAAAAUAAUUAUCUUUUUAAACUUGAGUUCGGGAAUGAUUUUGCUCGAAUUUGAAGUCAAGUUUGAACUUAAGUUUUAAGUUGAAAAUUCAUCGAAUUCAAACUCAAAUUUGAUAAAAUAAGUCGAGAUUUGAUUUGAUUAAGUUAAAACUUGACUUGAUUCAUUUACAACCCUAUUUGCUGCUUCAAAAGAAAAGGAAAAAAAAAAAAAAAAAGAGACUCGUCUUUUAUAUCAAAGUGGUAGAAGAUUUUAUAAUUAAACACUUCCUUAAUCGCACUAACAAUUAAUUAAAUAAUGAAUAAGAUGUCAAAUUUAGCAUUAUAUUCUCCUCCAAAGAUCUCAUAAUAAUCCAAUAAAUCAUGCCCAUGAAUGAUUGCCACCAAGUCCCCCACCAGCACCGCCAAAGUCAGGACAAAUCGUCCAUUCGUACGAUAAAAGUCACGAAACGUGUGCUGUUUUCCUCACUAAUUGCGUUGCCAAUUCCGCUAAACGCCGAAAGUCCCACCUCGUCACCACCCGCCGGCCCAUCCACAGCACAACCCACCGGCCUCCAUAAUUUUCCGUAUACCCAUACACUACAUUUCCCAUCCACUCCAUCGAUCGUUCCACAUUCCCGCACCCGAAAAACAAGUACAAAAGUAACAAAAAACAAAAACGAAACCCUCUCUCUAAAAACUUGGCAGUUUCCCAUGUCAAUACCAAACAAUCCCUUCCUUGACCCCUUCUCAGCAUCAUCAUCAUCAUCGCUCCGGAUUAAACUUAACGACGUCGUUAGCAAACAUGCCUCCACCUCCGCCGUCUUCUCCUGCCUCCGCUACUAAGUCCUCCGCCUCCACCUCCACUCCCGCUCCCACUCUCCCUCCGCUCUCCUCCGCUUCUUCCUCCGCCUCCUCUGCUUCCGACAUGUUCAACUUCAAUUAUCUCUGGAUUCCUCUUUUAAUCGCACUCUCCAAGGACCUCACUGCAGCGGCUUCAGCUAAUGAUAACCUCAUUUCGGAUGACUCGACGACGACGAGUAUUCUUUUACCGAGUGAGAAUCGGACUGUUAUUAACACGCCCCGACUCAGUCCGAGUUGUCCAGCUCCUGACCCUAAGCUGAACUAUCGUCCGGUCAUCGGAAUUCUUAGUCAUCCCGGAGAUGGAGCCUCAGGACGGCUUAAUAAUGCCACAAAUGCUUCUUACAUUGCCGCUUCUUACGUUAAGUUUGUGGAAUCCGCAGGGGCUAGAGUUAUUCCCCUCAUCUAUAACGAACCUCUUGAGGUUCUCGAAAUGGUAAUUUAUACCUAAUUGUUGCCUGCUUUGCCUUAAAGAUGAAUGUGUAAUUCUCUUUAGUCACUAGCAUUUCGUCUGUUUUUCAAUUAAAUUCUUUUGUGCCCCUGGGAAAGUCGUUUUUUUUUUUUUGGGGUAAUGGCAAGAAAGAAGGGAGGUUGAUUUUGAUUCUUGUUAGAUAGUUUUGGCGUUAUUUUUGCUUUUGUACUUCAAACUUCAAAGUUUUAAGAAGUUGGAAUAAUAUUAGUCGACGCAAGCAAGAGUGCUGCUUUUGUAAUCUAUUUCUACUAGUACAAGUUAGUAUUUACAAUACCGGGUUUACUGAUUGAUAAAGAUUAUUAAUAUUCUUUCUUUAAGCUGGGGUUUUUGCUUUGUGGAUAAUUAGAUGUUUGGUGUUGAAACUUGCCAUUUUGAAAUGUGUAGUUCUGAUAUUGAUACUUUAGCUUUCAGUCACUGCACUUCUUUCAGUUGAGCUUUGUUAAUUAUGCAGAGUGUGGGGCUUUUGUCCUCAAAGGCAUUCCUGUGCUUUCUUUGAAAGGUAAAUGGUUCCUUUGAAAUUGAAGCAUGUAGAGCUGAAGUAGCAUGUAAGCAGCAUAAGAUGAUGAUGUUGAAAAUUAGACGUUUAUUAGCUUUUUAUCAGAAAUAACCUAUCCAGAAUCUGAUUCUAAAGCUUUUUUUUUUUUUAAAUUUAAUAUCUUCAGCUGUUUUCCUGAUAUAGAGUUUUGCUGCGUUCUGCAGAAACUCAGUCUAGUUAAUGGAGUGCUUUUCACUGGUGGCUGGGCUAAAAGUGGUCUCUACUUUGAUGUUGUAGGGACUGUGUUUAAGGUGAAUGACUUUCUUUCAUCUAUGAAGACAUGCUACCUUUUCUGUGUGUGAAUUAUUCAUGUACAGUGAAGUGCAAGUGCAGCAGUUUGGUUGUCUUUGUCCUUUUGAAUGAUGCCACGAUAGAGGACACAUAAGCAUACACAUUUCUAUUAUGAAAAUGUACUACAGAUAGUUUCUGUUAAUUAUUUCCCAUCUGCAUUUGAAAAGGUCAUAUUUCACAUUUAUUCAGUGAUUGUAGCUUUCCUAGUGAAGUUACUGAUUUAAAAUUUCAACUUGUAUAGAUUGAGGAAGCGGUAUGAUUGUUGUUGUCAAUAUCUUGGUCUCUGCUAAUCAACUGUUCUUUGGUAUGAUUUUUGCAGAGAGUUUUGGAGAAAAACGAUGCAGGAGACCAUUUUCCAUUGGUUGCUAUCUGCUUAGGUUUUGAACUUUUGACAAUGAUCAUCAGUAAGGUACUCCUUCAUUUCAAUGGCCUUUUGAACAACCUGGUGGAUUAAUUAUUUCUGAAAUGAACAGCUUGAAGGCCCAAACCUCCCUCGGUCACCUCCUUCUUACAAGUCAUUUCCUAUACCUUCUCUAUUUGAGAAAUUUGGAAUCUCUAAAUGCUACUUUCCACAAGAUCCUGCCAUUAGAAGUUUACGUUGUAUAACUAUGCUAUGAUAAGAUCUGCAUGGUUUUAACAUACCAUAUGAAUCUUUCCCUUUCGUAGGUUAUGAUACAUUGACAUUUUCUCUUGUUGAUAAUAGGACAAUGAUAUUCUUGAGCAAUUUAGUGCUGCCGAUCAAGCAUCUACGCUCCAAUUUGUGGGGAGCAUUAAUCUCGAAGGAACUGUAUUUCAGAGGUAAAUAUGGUGGAGAACAUUGAAAUAACAUUUGCUGAGGUUUAUUUUUUGUGCUAGUUGAUGUUCUUUAAAGUUUUGAGUUAUAUUGUUUCAUACAUGAUUUGAUUAUAUAAUUAAAUAACCAUUCAAGAGUCUAUCGCAUUGUUCCAAUCAAUAAAGCUGUGUUAUUGAGAUGUUAUUAAUGAAUUGCUGAAACACUUUUCUUUUAACAUCAGUAAAAUUAACAUAGUGACCUAGGAUGCUUGUGUAAGAGCAUGAUAUCUAUGGUUUAACGUGAGAUGGAGUUAGUGUAGUUGCUACAAGGAUAACGUUUUCAUUUUAUAGGGCUUUUGCGAAUUUUCAAUGGAUGUGUAUCUUUAAACUGUUUCCAACCUAACAAUAUUUUGAAUUUUUAAUUAUGUUAGUUACUGGAGCUAUGAAUUCAAGUUCCUUUUUAUUUUGUCCUGCAGGUUUCCUCCAGAUUUGCUAAAGAAGCUCAGUACAGAUUGCCUUGUGAUGCAAAACCAUCAUGUAUGUGAAUCUUUUGUUUCAUGUUACCUUAACCUGAUUAGGGGCGAUUAAGUGCAUGUGCUGGUUCUACAGAAACGUCUGUAACCCCCACUUAUGUUUUAGUACAUAACAAUUUGAUUUGGGGAUUGAUUGUCUUACUUAUAUUGAAUAUGGAUAUAUUUGGAUUGGGUAUGGCUUUACACAAUGUGUGUGCUAAAUUAAAAUAUUUCAACACCCCAGAAGUUCCUAAAUUCCAGAUCUUCUUGUUCGAAGUGUCCUUAAGGAUUGAUUUUUUAUUUUAAAGUUUAAAUCCAGAUUUAGAAUAGUUCCAUUCCUCAAGUCUUGAAAAUCCACGCCUGGUGCACUGGAUGUUCCAUUCGUAGGAUCUUAAUUUCCUUAAAGAUAAAAUCCACAAGUUUUAUUAGAACUAGCAUGGGCAAAUAUCAUUCCCAUUGCAUAAAUUUUUCUGAAUGCAGUGUUGUUAAAUUGUUUUCAACUAAUUAUGCUCAAUUUUUUGAGGAUGUUAGCUUAGUACCUAAUAACCAAAAUUUCCAGGCCCUAUUGACUUACUGUAUUUGGUAUGGCGAUGUGCAGUUUUAACCCCGAUCCUCAUAAUCUCAUAUUUUAUACUCAAUGCUGCAGAACUACCACUGUAGGGGUGUGUAUUAUGCCAUUCUUAAUAGGCCCAUAUAUUUAAACACCAAGUAGAGCUGGUUAACUGUGUAUUUGCCUGUGUAACAGUAUGGUAUAUCACCUGAGACGUUUAGAAAGACUGCUGCUUUAUGUAACUUCUUCCAGAUUCUGACAACAAGCGCAGAUGAGAACGAUAAGGUAAUUUAUGUAUUCAUCUUUUGUUGGUCGAUUGCCCCUUCUACUUACAAACAAGUUUUCCUUUCCUGAUAAUGUGCCAGGUUUAUGUUUCUACCGUCAAAGCAAAUGACUAUCCAUGACUAUCCAGUCACAGCAUUUCAGUGGCACCCAGAGGUAUAAUCUGUCUAUGUUAGAGGUUUAGCAUUAGCUUACAUUGGCUACUUAUGUUUCAGGUUUUAGAAACUUGAGUAAUGAUUAUAUGCAUUUUGGGUUGUGAAGUUUCUUUUAUCCACACAUAAUUAGAUGUCAUUGUUAUGCAAGGCUGAGGAUCAAUGUCACAUUUUGGGUUGUGAAGUUUCUUUUAUGUACACAUAAUUUGGGUUGUGAAGUCUCUUUUUUUUUUUUUUUUGAAUAAUAAAUUUUAGCUAUCAUAUCUUUUCCAUACAUUUCUGGAUAUCCCACAUACACACACAGCAUGCAGAUAAAUGGGAUGCAGCUGCUGAAUUCUGAACCCAAAUACCUACCUUUGUUGCAGAAAAAUGCAUUUGAAUGGGGGUUAUCAAUGAUUCCACACUCGGAAGAUGCAAUUCAAGUGACUCAAUAUGUGGCCAAUUUUUUUGUUAGGUAGGGACAGUUAACGUUAUCCUGUUAUAUAUGCAAAAUCUUUGAGCUAAUGCCUCAAAAUUCUUUUGGCCUUUUUCAUAGCUUUGAGUUUCUUUAUGUGCAGUGAGGCCAGGAAGUCCUUAAACAGGCCACCAGCUCGUAAAGUUCUUGACAACCUCAUCUACAAUUACACACCAACCUAUUGUGGUAAAGCCGGGUGAGUUGAUUGCAGUUGAGACUGCAGUAGGAUCAAUGUCUGUUUUCUUCUUGUUUUACGCAAAAAAAAGAGAAGAUGGUGAAAGACUUGUACUAACGUGAUGUCAUUUGUUCGUUCUCAUUGCAGGAGAGGAUACGAUGAAGUCUACAUUUUCACUUGACUUUUGUUCAUGGCCUCGUCCAACAAAAGUCUUGAGGAUUUGUGUACCAAGUGUAAAUGAUCAUGAACUAGAUAAUUUAAUGUAUAAAGGACACGCAUUAAAGUUUAUUGAAAUGGUGAACGGGCUUUUAAUUAAAUGGUUUAUUGAAAUGCACUCUUAAAGGUCUUCCUGCUUUUGCUGGUUGUUAGUAUUCUCAUGCUAGUUGAGGUUUGGAGCUUCCAAUCCUCAGAAUUGAGCUCAAUUUCUCACUGUUACAAGGCACAUUUUCCUGUCAAAGAAAAGGGUCCCUUUGCCCUUCACAGGGCCCCUUUGGAAAUUUUUGAUUAUUUCCAAAUAUGUGUGAAAACUCAAUAGAAACGUAAACAAAAACACAUGAAAUUUAAGCUGAUCAAAUCAAAUGUUCAUCAUAUCCUGAUUUGAUCGUCGAGCUUCUUUUUUUUUUUUUCCCUCUCUCUCCCCCCUUGGAAGCUUACUCAAUGCUCUGUGUGAGAGGAUGCAACAUGAAGGUUAAAGAAAAUGCAGAAAAAUCUUACAGCGUAUUGAUGAGCCAAUUUUUUUUUUUUUACCGACAAUAUUCCAAAAAAAUUGUUAUGUAUUAUGUGAAUAUAUUUUUUAAUUAUUUUUUUUUAUCUCAUGCAUACCAUACCAAAUCGAUACAGUAUGUUUUUUACAAAUAGAGCACGUGCGAUGUGGAAAAUCACGUGACAAUAGGCCCCAAAAGCCAGGAAAAGACUCCGCUAACCAGCAAACCCACUAACUUACCCUCCAUCAUACUGGCGGGAAAAUUGGGUGCUUUUUUAUGUUCUCUGCGGAGGGAAAAUUGUUUAUCGGAUUCGGUUCAUCACUUCCCCUUUUCGGGUGCGAGAUCCGACUGCCCCACGCCGACCCGAACAUGGCAGAAAUUGAAACCCUGGGUAUCCUCGACGAGAUACAGUCCCUCGUCUCCGAUAAGCUUCAAGUGGUAUCUCUCGUACUAUCAACUUGUGUAUUUCCUUACUGUAAAGGUUCAAUGGAGGGUUUUUUUCCUUCUGUUUUCUCGAGAAUGAGUUUAGGGGUUAUGCUCAGAUUUUCUUUCCUUGUAUUUCUGGUAAGAUGGUGGAAAUUGAAACGAAGAAUAGCGAAGUUUUUUUUCUAAAUCUUACGUAGUUUAAAUUUAAUUGUUCUUGGCUGUGUUUUAUUUUAGGUGUCAUACAAAUGGCUGAGUCGAAAUUUUUUGGUGUCCUCAAACGACGCAAAAAGGUACCGAGUUUUCAGAUUUUAUAUUUUGAUGAUUUGUCGUUUCGAAAUUUCUCCCUUGUUGUCUAAAGUUAGUUUCUUUGUUGUUUGUCGACUUGUCAUCUGUAGGCUGCUUCAGGAUUUUGUUGAGAAGCGUGGGACCGGAGUAGAGGUAGUUUAUACUUUGUCUGGCUGGUUGAAAACUGAUCCUUCCGUUUAUCAUAUCAGGCUUGUGUCCAAGCCUAAACUUACAGGUUCGUUUACCGAUGAAUCUUGAGUUUCAAUUUGGCAAAUUGUGUUGUAUGCCCGUGUAUUGACUCUGAGAUUUGUUCCCACUUUGCUACAUUGCUUCCUUUCAGCUUUCUAAAUUUGUAUUCCAGAUAUUUUCUUUGCUGGUUAGCCUGAAAACUGCUUGUCCUCUGUAUCUCGUGAGUUCUAAACGUAUAAUGUGCUCUAGUGCUCUAUUUGUGAUUGCAUCAACAUGUGUAUGCCAAGCUAGAAAAUCUUGCACGCUUCCUUGCAUGAUAUCUUGUUAGAGAUUUCUGAUGAGAAAACUUCACCAUUGUUGUAGUUUUUUCCUGUUACCUGAUUGUGAUUUGUUCUUAUGUGUCUGGCUUCAUCAUUUCCUCUAAAUUGUACUGGAUAUGCAGUAGAGUGACAUUCAUGCUGAAUGUUGGCAUAUCUGUGGUUACGGCAAAAUGCUGUUUUGGACCAUUGGUGUUAAGCUCUGCGUAUCUUCUAGGAUGUGGAAGAUAAUGCAUCCUCCAGAUUUUGAAUUUUUACUUUUGUUUGCUUACAUAUUUGGAUGACUGUACUUUGUGGAUGUUGGUUUGUAAUGCGUCCCAAGAAUAAUUAGUUGAGUGAACCAACAAAAACAUUGGGUUGUUGGGACAUUGCAAAUAGCUGUUGAUUUAAAAUUGAGAAGCAACUGUUAUUUAUGUCAUACAUUGCAUUAUGUUUCGGGGGAUCAAGUUUGGCGCAAUCGAUCUGAUAUAAACCCUUCUAUGAGCUAUCUCAAGAAUGACAUAUCAGUAGUUGGUUAUUUUGAACACUUGACCACUACUUAUAAUGCAGUUUAUGGCUUGUUAUAGGCUAUUUCCAACAGAAUGCUUAUACUGCCUGCAUUCUUUAAAAUGCUGUUUAACGAAGCUAGCAUCCAAGAUGUAAUUCAUGUUUUAAGCUAUCCUUCUAUUUUUGGAACUUCCAUGUUGAAAUGAGCAUUGCAUUUUUUUUUAAUCUUUUUCCUGUAAUUUGUAGAAGUAAAGCAAGAAUUUGAUGAGAAUUGCUCAGUUCAAAUCUAUAGCGUGCAAGCUUGCUUACCAAAAGACCCAGCAGUCCUUUGGAAUGCUGAAUUUGUCCAAGCAGAAGAGCUCUUUAAGCAGCCCCAUGAAGUUAAUAAUUGUCUGCGAGAUAACAGGUAAAUUCAGCAUGUCUUAGGCAAUCUAAAUGCAGCUAAUUUGACAGAGUUAAACCUGUCUUGGCUCCUACAUUUCUUUGUGGUUGGUGCUACUACAGAUUUUGUGGAAUACUAAAUUCCUUUGUCAAGAGAAAUGCUGAAGAAGCAAAUGGAACCACAAGUGUGCUACCAGUGAAAACUACCGGGACCUCAGGGUCAUCUGGAUACACCUUGGCCAACCAGAGUCCAACAAUUCCACAACCGCAGCAGAAAAAGAUUCAGGGAACAAGCCCUAAUGUCACAUUGCAAUCCCCCAAUGUGGUCAAAGAUGUUAAAAAUGAGAGUAAGCCUGCUGAGAACAAACUGAAAGUUCCUCAAUUGACUGUUAAUACGAAAAAAGGAGAGACUGAUAAGAACUCUUCUGGAACUGGAGGCGCAUUGGCUAAUAUGUGGGGUCGUGCAUCUGCAAAGUCCAAAGCUGAGUGCGCCUCUGCAAAAACUAAUGGCAUAUCAAAUUCUGCAGGUUUGUUCCUUUGACUUUUAUCCACUUUCACUGCUGGCUGUUUCCUGAAUUUAGGAGUUCAUUAGUUACUGUGAAACUAUUAGCAAUUGCAGAUGCACAAAUAUGUGCUCGUGAAGAAAUAGAGCAUGAAAGCAGUGAUGAUGAAGGUCAAGGUGUCAAUGUCAGGCGGUCGUACAAUGGCGAAGUUGGUCGGAAGAGGAGGGUUGUUUUUGACUUCUCAGACGAAGAAGACGAAUUCAAAGAUGCUGUCAAUCUAGCAUCCCCAGAUCCUCCAAAGAAGAAAUCAAUGCUGGAUUCAAAACGAAGCUCUUAUUCUUCAGACAUUGAGAAGAGCAAGUUGAAUUUUGAGGAAGAGAAGGAAGAUAAACCAAAUUUCAAGCAUAGAAAAGAAACCGACAGAAAAUCAAAGGAAGAGAAUCUAGCGUUCGGCAACCACAACAACAUGAACUCUUCUUCUUCAGAGAAGGUUAUAAACCAAGUGCCUGCUGUUGACACAAUUGCGAAGGAUAAAACAAGGGAUGCUGCUCCAAAUUCACCUAAAAGGAAAAAAGUACUAAAAACAAGGAUUGAUGAGCGUGGAAGAGAAGGUGCAAUUAUGAUAAAUCACACCUCUUACUUCUCGAAACAGAUAAACUACUCCUUUUUCAGAUAUUUUCAUUUGCUUCCUGCCUACUGAAAGAGACUUUAUCAAUGAGGUCAUAAAUGAGACAAGAAGUGUUGAAAGUAGCCUUAGGCUUACGCAUCUUUCCACAUAUGGGCAUACAUAGUUACUUUUAGUGAUGCUUUGUUCUGUUUAUCCAAUGGUUGUCGAAGUGAAUUUAGCUUUUUUGCAUGCUCUGUGGCAUUCUGUUUGUUAUAGUUUGCCGUGUUUAUAUUAUUUGACUCAUUUGAAUUGUGGAUGCAGUAACUGAGGUUGUUUGGGAGGGUGAGGAGGAGACAAAGCCUGAGAGUGACACGACAAAGAAGGCUGACAACAUUCCAGCCAGCAACAAUUCUAACAGGUGAACAUACUGUAACUUGUACUGGAUUCUUUUUAAUUUACCAUGUAAAUCACCUUGCCCCAGACUAGCAUGAAUUUAGAUGUAGUUCUGCCCACAAUAUAUGUGCAAGUAUGAGGCGAUGACUGGUUCUCUAAUUUUGCAUGGGUGCUUUGUGGUCAUUACUGGCUGAUUGGUGUCUCCCCAUUUAUAUGACAUCUCAGUCGGAUAAAUACUUUAGGAUGCCGAUUUUUGCAUAAUUAGAUAUGUAUGCCUCUUCCAUCUCAAAUGCCAAACCUUUCAUCUUUCUUUUGUUAUUUGUUUCUCCUUUUUGUUUCUGAGUACAAUCUAGCGUUCUAUAUUUGCUAUUUCUGAAGAGAAAACUACUGGACAAUGUUAGAAUAGAGCUUGGAGUUUUAUGCUUUUUGUCAACUAUCAAGUUGCUGGCAGUUCUGAGGCAUUAUAUUGUAGCAGACAUCCACACAUGUAUGACUGUGUAUGUUUGGUGUUUUACAGAUAAUCAGCUCAAAAACUGCUUCAUUCUGGCUGUCAUUAAUGUUCCAUUUCUCCUAAUUCAGAUUUAUAAGCUACUUAUACUGUUGGGUUUAUUUCCAGACCAUCUGCUGUUAAGAAGUCACCAGCUGUAACUGCUAAUGCUCCAUUAAACCAAGUUGGCAAAACAGGAAGUAAGAAAGCAGGGAACAAGGAUCCUAAACAAGGGAAUAUUCUGUCUUUUUUCAAGAGGGUUUAAGGAGAUUGCUCUAGAAACUGCUGCAAUUGUCUGGUUCUUUGAGUUAUGCUCCUAUGUUGAUAAAAUCAUGGCGUUUGUCGUGCUCGCGCAUGCUUUCUUGUCAGGAUAAUCCUUUGUUCAUGGUUUUCUCUUCAAAUGUUUGUAUAGUUCUGCUACCUCUUCUUGGCUGUGCUUAGACUUCAUAAGAAUAGUUUCUUGAUUAGUUGAUAGGAACUUUAACCCAUCUUGGUGAACAAUGAGAUUUUCAGUUUUCAAAGCUAAUCAGGAAAGACAGUUAGGGAGUUUGGUGGCUUACCAUUUUGAACAAGAAAUGUUACGAAAUGCUCAUACACGCAUGUUCACCAGCUCAAGCUUUUUUAAGGGCACUUCUCCUGGCUUUUACUUUGCUGUUGGCAUGUUAUGGGGAAGGCAGAGGUAUUUAAAUAUUGUACUUGCGUAGAACGGUGAGUUGAAAAUUGGCAUUCAUGUUAACAUACCCAAGCUAUUAAGACUCGCCCAUCGCAGACCACAACCCCCAAAAAUAAAUAAAGUGUAAAAGAUGAAUCAUACUGCACUUUAAAGCAGGGAAACAUGAUGCUUUGCUUUUCUUCGUGUUUGAAUCUAUAACAAACGAGGAAGAAGCGAGGUGAAAAAGGAGGAUGGUGUGAGUAAACAAACUUGUGUAAUAUCAUGAGGGAGAUUUACACGAUCUACAUUGAAAUCAAUGAAUGUGGAAGUUUGACAUCAGGAAAUCCUUCAUUUUUUUUAACCUUCUUGUAUUAAGUUGGUUGGUUCGCUCAGAACAUACUUCGGGAGUUCAUAUUUUGCACCUGUAAAACAGAUUAGCAAGAAAAAUGAGCCAGUGAAUACAGAAAUCAGAAAAGAGAAAGGAGGAGGAGGAGGAGGGCAGCAAGACAAAUGGAGACGAGCUCAGAAAAUUUGAAGAGCACCAGUCUUAUUUCUACCAAUAAAAGCAAAAGGGACGUAGCAGAAUUUGUUGGGUCGAAAAAAUAGCAGAAUAGGACCUCUCUCAUCAUAGCACACCGUCAUAUCAGGAUUUUGGAUGAUGACUCCAGCACUGUCGAUGAUUGCCUGAGCUAGGUUUAUGUCUGCCUCAGCAGCAGCUCGAAGUGCAUCCCAAAUUUCUAGAAUGAGUACACAAGUAGUUUACGUACAGUAAAUUCCCACAGAAUUGGAUAGGAUAAGAGGAUCAUGAGUGGAGCAGCUAAUAUUGCCUCUGCUAAAUCAACAGAAUCUUCAAAAUUAAGUUGAAAUACAAGUGAUUUUUCAAUUAGGUCUAGUACCUUUUCUUCCACCAUAGUGAGGAGCAGUGUCCCAAAACUCUUCUCUCAACUGCACUAGCUGACUGUUCGUUAUUGGUUGUGGAUGUUUCCAAGGUUUUGGCUUUCGAAUCUUUUUCGCGGAUCCUGUAAAGACCAAAGAGUAAACGAACGUGUUCAGCUUCACAACUACCAUACCUGGGCUUCAGAUAGAUUGGCAAACAUAUGGUAAAAAAUCAGAAUCCCAACUUUCACAUGCUAAUAGACUUGUAGAGAUGUAUGCGUGUGCACAGACAUCUGCAGAUCAGCAUUACACAAGAAUCAACAAGAGUGAAAAGACAAAUUGCGCGACAGCGCCCAGUGAUUUGCACAUACACCAAGUCUUGAAGAUCUGUGUCUACUUGGUUCCUUUGCUCACAGGACACAAAUUCAGUUUUUUCUAGCUUUCUGUUAUUAGAUUACAGCAUAUGCAACUUCGCCAGGAAGGUCUAAAAUCUAAAAGGGGGUAAGCCAAAGUACGCAUAAUUUACAUUUACAUCAUUCAUUGGGGUUUUGGGACUAGAAUGGUCUGUCUUAAUCCUAAUUCUCCUCCAUUUCGGUUGCAUUUGAAAUGUUGAAUACUCCUUAAACUCCUUCAAAGAAGAUGCAUACCACUUGGAAGGAAAGGAGGCUUUAGUACUGAGGAUCAAUUAGUACAGCAUCUAUGGGGACUCUAAGCAACAGUAGAACAACAUAGUACCAAUUGCCAAAGCAACCUAGAGGAAGUUGAUCUUUGGAUGAAUAGAGACUCUUUUCAGCCAAUAGUAGCACCGCCACCACCACCCCACCCCAACCCAAACACACACACAAAAACCCAUUCCCAAUCAGAUACGAAGCCUUCAAAAUUAGAUCAGAAUUCGCCUUACCCUGUUAAAGUCUGGACAAGCUUAUUUUAUACAAUUUGAAAGAAAGAAGCUUCUUUUCCAAAUAAUCAAGCAAACCUACGAAGACAAAUGGAGCAUGAAAGUCCAUAAGCAGAUUUUGUUCUUUCUUUUCUUGAAUUUUGGUUGAUACAGACUGUCAAUCAUAAAUUCAUCCAAACAUUUCUCUCAGUUAAAAUCCCUUGCACCUACAAAAAUACACAUGCAUGCAUGCAAACAGAUUUAUACAUGUCCUAUGUCACAAGUUAAAACAGAUGCCCUGAGUUCUUCUCAACCAGGCACAUUUCAAAGUAGACAGACCAGAAUUUUCCAUCAUAAAAAACAAUAUGAAACAGUAUGCCUGUACCAUGACCUUAAAAAGAUGAAAACUUGCAAAGACUCACCAUCUCCUUUGGCCUGUGAUGAUCCAGCACACCCCAUCCUUGUUCACUAUACAGUCAGAAACAGUCCCCAGAUCCCAGAAAAAAUCACCAACAAGUCAUAGUCAGUUUAGAUGUGUAUCAGAGAAAAUUUGUGGUGAAUGCAUGCCAUGGGGGAGGGGAGUUGUUCACUACUUCUUCUUUUUUAUUUUUGAUACUAAAUUGAGUCAUAUGCGUAUGAAAGAGUCCAAAGUCAAAUUGAACUUUGGUCACUUUUUUGCAGUUUUCUGCUUAGCUUUGUGACUCUUCCUGUCAUGAAAAAUACUACAAAAAUAAUUCAAGUACACUGACUAGUUAACGCCUUCCAUUUUGCACCACCCCUCAUGAAAGAAAUGAUCAUCAAAUUUGGUAAAGGAGGAAAAAAAGAGAAAUAAAGUGUAGUUUACCCAUUGCUUAAUGUCCAAAGUGGUUGGCUGUCAUGUUUCAUUCCCCGUGAGGAGAGUGAGAGAGAGACAGCCAAAAAAAAAAAAAAAAAAAAAGUUUGUGGGAUGAUCGGAUGAGCUCUGUUGUUGUCUCCAUUAUAUUUAUUCGUCCCACUUCGAACUGCGCUUUGCCUCACCGACUGGGAGUUCUUAGUUGCUACAUAAAAAUCUGGAGGGGAUAAGAACACAUUAUUAUUAUUGUUAGUUUUUAAUUCAAUUAUUUUUGGAUUCCAGAUUAAAAUUCACUUUUAUCUUCUUCUCUCUUUUGUACCCUCUAAUGUACCAAUCAAGAGGAAAAGGGAAUGGCAAAAACCAACAAGCAAAAGCUGCUUUUCUUUUCUACACAUUAUACAUUAUUACAACUGGUAUUUAUUAGUAAAAUAUUCGUCUUUUAAUACUCAAAGUCUCCUACUUUUGGACUUCAUGGACAUGACACAUGAGAAUAUUAAUGAUUUUUUUUUUGUCGGCAACGAUAUAUUUGUAUAAUCUACUCUAUUCUAAUUUAAAGGGGAGGGGGAGUCUAACGAAGCUGUAGUAGAGGGUUAGUGGGUAUACAGACCCAACUAAAUCAAUGAAGUGUUCUGAUACAAUUUUUAAAUUUUUUUCGUUACACAUGAGAUUUGAACCCUCACCUACAGUACAAGGAGGGCUCCCUGGUGGUCAGGGAGCCAUUGGCCCAGUGGUUGAGAAUUUUAAUGAUCCCUUAAUUUCCUUUUGAAAAAGUCGUGUAGCUAAUUGUGGGAACAACUUUGAAAUUUUGAAUGGCCAAUGUGAGAGCAAGUCACUCCGCCUGCCUUAGAGCUAGAGGGUCUUCCUCCUCCACUCAUUCUAUAUUAUUUUAUACUCCCCCUCCGCACCAUUAUUAUAAUUAUUUUUGGAAAAUCCAACUUUUUUAUGGAUAUACGUGUGUUUGGUUAGGAGAUUAUUUUAAAUAUAUUUUUUAAAAGAAUAUUGUAAUAUUUUUUGUAAUAUAAUUAAUAUACACGAGAUAAAAAGAUGAUUGAAAAAAAUAAAAAUAUAGUUAAAAAAUAUAUUUAUGAUACAAUCGAAUAAUAUCUGAUAAAUAAAAAGCUAUCCAAAGUAAUCAUUAAUAUUAUGUUUGGAUGAAGUGAAAUUGGUGAAUUUAUAAAUGUAUCCUUUGAAUGUAAAAUUUUCUUUAUUAAAUGUGUAUUGAAAUUUUAAAAAAUUACUUUUUUAAAUAGUAAGAUUGAAAAGUACAUGUGUUAAAUUUAAGAUGGUAACUCUUAUUUUGCAAUAUUAAUAAGGUAAAAACAAGACAACCUAACGAUAGGAUAGGACGGAGGAGUAUUAACUUUUUCAUUCUUUUGUUACCCAAAAAAAAAAAAUUCAUUCUUUAUUUUCUUUAGGGUGCUAAGCCUACCUUGUACCCUCAAUUCAACAGUCGAUAGUAGCAAAAAUACUUCUAAAAUUGAUCCUCCCCCUCUUAGACGGUAGACACUUCAUUUUUCAACAACACUUUUGAGUCCCUUUCCGACGAUUUACAAAACCAAGUCCUUACAUGCAAUUUUCUUUCUAUACUUUGGUGCGGUGAACGUUCUGCCACCAUUCAUCCUUGUCUUUUGUUGGCUCCCAAGAUAGAAUCAUGCUACGCAAGGGACAAAAGCCAAACAGGCUCAAGAAACGCUCAAAAAAACCUUUGUUUUCUUUGUUUCUCUAAGAAGUUGAAGGGCAGGCGGAACUAUAGACAUUCCAACACCAAUACAUAAUUGCUUGACCAAUUAGAGACGGUAGUAGUAGUUCUAAACUACAAGGACUGAGACACUUUAGCAAGCAACCUACCCAAAACGAAAUGUAUCCCCAUAAUUGCUCCUCAUGCUGUAAGGACCGUACUUGGGAUCACCAUAGUUGACUGCCUUGCUUUCAACAGGUUUUGAAUAUUCCACCCCGCUUGAUCCAAAAACCUCUCCACUUUUAUCCCUUUGUCGAUGUUUUGUUCUUUCCUUCUGACCUUUAGACCUCACUUGAACUUGAGGAGGAACCUCGCCUGAUGCAUAAUAUUCAGCAUAUUCUUGUCGUCUAGAGGAUCUGUGCUUGGUUGGCAAUGACGGAUCUUUCAUGCUGCUCGAUCGGAUCUUAGGAGGCUUCACUUCUGAAUAUCUAUCACUAACAUUUGGUGUGUAAGCCUGCCUGGUUUCUGACACAGGGGCAAGAGUUCUCUGCUUUUGAACUAACUGGGGCUGGGGCUCAGCUUCAUCUUCAGGCAUGAUCAAAGAAUCCUUCAAUGGAGUGAGGCCCUUUCUAGCACUGCGGCGCCUAAACCUGAAGGGCAUGAGGUACGUUAAGAUGCCACUAAAUGCCUCGAAUGCAAUCUUUGGUAGAUCUCCAAUGAGCUGUCCAAAAGAUGGCCAAGCAGCUUCCUGGUUCUCUUUCACAAGUUCCACCGCAGGGGCAGAUUUUUCUCUCUUUUGUUGGUCUGCAUGAGUUUCAAACCCCGUAUUUGCUUGCUGCAAUGCAGAUGUUGUUUCAGGUUAGGCUAUACAUUUAGAGUGAAACUAAUGCAUGACCAUAUCCAGCUUUUUGGUACCAAAGGAAAUCAACCUCUAAUCCGGUGGAAAUCUACUUGCAGGAAUGCAAAUCAGAAUGAUAAAGCUGAAACUGACAAAUCAACAAAAAAACUAUACCAUUCUGGAGGAGGAGGAUGAACCAAACCCCUGUUGGAGCAUGCAUGAAAUGUAUCCAAUCAAGACUGCACCAAUAACCAUCAAAAUAUCUGCACAAGAACGAAAUACAUCAGAAAAGGGCUUGCUCAUUCAAGAAUGAUUAGUACUAUAUCAUUUUAGAACUUUUGAGGACUUUAGUGGCCGGUUUCUUAUAUUCCCACAUGCAGGCAACAUUUCAAUAGCCUAAAGUACGACAAAGUAACUUGCUUUCUCUUCUUCAUUCUUCUUUCUCCCCUGCCCCAGCCAACACACAUCAUUCUGAUGUAGCCUGUUAAGGUCAACUAAUAGGUCAACUCAGUGAUCAAAUAUGAAAUUACAGUAAGACUGAUUUCCCUUCAUCAAACCACAUAAGAACCCUGACCUUGUCAGUUGGACACUCACUACAGUACCAAAAAGGCUCAAGAAAGGCAAGUAAUUCAUAGACUAAUUUGAGUGAUUUAUCGGUAGUCAUACAAUUUUUGUGUGUCAUAUUUGUUGGACUUAUUAAGACAAGAUCAAUAGAUAUCUCUAAGUCCAUUGGAGUAGUAAAAGUCAGACAAAGCCAAUUCAAUGAUGAACAUGAAUGAGAAAUUUUGAUGAGAAGUUUACUCAAUUAUCGACUGAUAACAGCAAUUGCAUCUGCCAAAACUAAUAACUUCCUAGAGGCUAAUGCACUAUCAAAAUAUAUACUCAAACUGUGCAUGAUUUGUGUAUUAAUCCUCCACAUAAAUAUUGUUUAGCUAUCAUAAAUAAGAAAUCAAUUUCAAAUUGCUAAAACAGACCUCCGACUAAAGUCAUUGCUAUCCUAGAGGAGCCCCCCAGUGAAACUAACAAUGAAGAUUGGCCUAUUAUCCAUCUGAAUAAUUAAAAACAAAAAAAAGUAAACCAUAAUGCUGUUAACAUGACUCCAUUAAAAUAUCCAUCUAUGACCAUCCCAUAAAAUUCACAUCAAGUUAUUGAUAAAUGAGACAAGAGAAGCGCCAAAAAUAAAAAUCAAUUACAAUCAAGCAGACAGAGAGAAAUCCAACCUGUAGCUGAAACAGAGCUGUACUGAUAAUCACAAUCUUCUCGGUCAAGAGAUAUUUGUCGAAGGGCAGCAUUUCCUCUGUCAACAACCAGUAAUGAACAGGUUGAGUGAACAUAUAUCACAUCAAAAUCAGAUGAGAACUUCGCAUCUUCACUUGGCCCAUCCCUGAAUCCUGCAACAUUUGAUUUUCCUCCAGCGAUUGUCGUUACACCUGAAAUGAAUUUAAAAUUCUAGAGUUGCUGAUUGAGGUUCUCGAGGCUAAAUAACCAUUUCAAUAAGCAAUAGAUCAAUCUCAUGCUGUUAAUUGUACACACCAGAUUCUCCUAUCUUUCUAAUGGCAAGGUUUGCUGUAUCAGCAACAUAUACAUUUCCUUUAUCAUCCAUGGUGAUUCCUCUUGGAUGAUUAAACCGAGCAUCACUUGGUUUUCCAUCCACAUGCCCUGUGUAACCUUGAAAUGACCCUGCAACCAAUCUUGCCCUGCUAUCUGCAUUAUUCACCCAUUCAUAGACAGCAAAUCAGAUACUCAGGCAUCACAAAAACCAGCAAUCUCACCAUUUGGAGAGAGAAAGAAGCAGAAACAAGGUUACAUUGGGAUAAUGGGGGAGUUAUCCGAACAAUGUUGCUCUUAUCUGCAUCCACAGCAAACAGUUCGCCUUCUUGUGACACGCGGAUUUUGUAAGGCAUGACCCCAAGCUCGUUCCCCUGUACAACAGUUUCUACUAAGUAGCCAUCUUCAAACUGAAGCACAUUCCCAUCUGUAACCAUAAAUGAAUGGUUAUACAAGCCAAAUGUAGACACAUAUACCAAACUACCCCCAUAUAAGAAAACUGAAAUUAAUUAUAAGCAAAGCAGUUUGCACUUUUAGUUAAUCAGAAAACCGCAAAAUACAUUACCUCUCACAUCGAAAACAAAAGAAGCAACGUGUACAGCUACGCAUACACAAACAUGUUACAACAUCCUUGUUCAUUCUUUCUUUCCUUUUCCCCUCUCAUGUUUUGUUCAACUCAAAGAUGGUGCAUGAAUAAGAACUUUAACCUCAAACACCAAAAAGAGAAGUAAAAUUAGGAUUGAAAUUAUAACUAGGAGAAAUUACCAGAUUGGGGCAAUUUAGAGGAAGACCUGGUCCAUUUGAGGACGGAUGAAACAUGUUUUAUCAGGGGCCCUGAGCCAAAAAUAAAACAAUAAAGCUGAAUUAUCAAGUGCCAGUACACAACACAUACAUGUUUUUUAAACAGAAGAUCAACAUUAGCGUUUUGGUUCAUAAUAAGUGAAACGUGACAUGGGCAAAAAUAAUAAUACUAAUACUAACAGUAAUAAGAAAACAAUAAUGUUAGGGAAAGGGGGCAGAUGGGGGACUUGAGGAAGUAAGAAAAGUAGUACCAGCAGGGAUAGCAGCAUCAGCUUGAAAUUGAACAUAAGCCACCAACAGAGUUAAGAAAAUCAGAAAGAAAAAUGAACCCUUCAUCCUUUCCUCAGAUAGCAUAAAAUAAAUCUUCCGUUUCUUUUGAGGCUGUAUUAUCUGUGUUAUCCCUUUUUUGUUUUUCUUUGCUUUUCAAAUAGAUCAGAAGAAGAAGCAGAGGAUGGUGUUAUCUCUGGGAGAAACUUCCGUGGAAGUAAAUCAAGAAAGAAAUGGGGGUCUGUCUAGUCCCAGCAAAACAGACAGAUUGGAAGAAAACAUGUUCGUUGUUUUGCAGCAAACCUGAGCAGCUGGAUGGAUUCUUCAGACCCUCCUUCCUCCUCCUGCUGCUGCUGCUCAGUUCAGUACUUUCUUUAAGCAGGCAGCCUUUUGACACUCUACUUUCACACUUCCAUUUUUCACAAGCUUUUCCAAUUACCACAACUUUGUGGAUUUAUUUUCUAAAAUGUUCAUAAAUACUAGUCAGUGUACUAGAAUUUUACUAUUUUCUUUUUCCCGGAGGCCGGGGCCUGGGGGCCCACAUUCACGUAAUUGUAAAAGAAUUUUUACUGGGCGGGGAAUGGAGAUUAGUACUUUAGUUUAGUGGAAACUGGGAAAAGUACUCUGAUUGGGCAGUUCAACUUCAGGGGCAGGAGAGAAGGUAACAGCGGGAACGUGCAGUGUUUUUUGUUGUGCGGGGUCGGUCUUCUUACCACUCUCAAAUUGUUAAGCCAGUGCCAAAUGCCAAGGCCGUACUUGUUUGGAAUUGGGCCAGGCUCCAGUCCACCGGAAUACAAUUUUGAAUGAUUGGCAAUGGGCAUUCACGAGUUCGAAAAUCUCCUAUCUCUGCUACAAUACAAUAGAAGAGUUGUAGAAGAGUUGUAAAAAAAAAAUAAUAAUAAUAAUAAUAGAAGAGUUGUAGUGGUGCAAAUGUAUAAUUUGACCAAAAUAUGUUUGUAUAGUACCUUCUUUUGUGUUAGUAUAGACGUUAACAUUUAUGGUGAAAUUGAAAAAUUGAAAGUGACAAUUGGGUAGAUCUCAAACCUUCCCAAACAAGACCAAGCUUCAUAAAACCGCUCAGUUUUGGUUUAAGUGGCCACCAAAAAAGAACUAAAUCCCUCUUUGAACCGUAGGUCAGGGAUUCCAACCCUACUUACAGUGGAAGAAAAAUUCAAAGGUGGUAUAGAUUAGGUUUGUAUACUUUAAACUUCUCCCCCUCUCUUAAAAUAGAAUAGAUUAUUAGACUUUAGUCUCCCCAAUUUUGUAGAAUAUGAUAAAUUAUGUUACAAGAAUGUUAUCGUUGCAAUGCAAAAAAACUGAACUUCGUAUCUCCAACGCUAGAGGCCCAAUACUUCUCUAACUAUAUGUAAAAUUUGGACUGGGAUCUUGCGCAAGGCCUUGCAAAUAGGAAAUAGGAAGCAUUUAUUUGUUGGGCUUGGGCAAGAUUAACUAUCCAAUAUGAUGAAAUCAUCUGACAAUUAACCUGACUGCCGAAGUACCAGUGUAAAAGGAAUUUGUCAAUUUUGGGACCAAUUCUAAUUAUUGGCUGUUUGGGAAUGAGAAUUACAACAAAAAUCUGAUCAAAUGGUACAACUCUGAAUAUCUCGAAAUACGAGGGACGUGGCGCAUAAUUUCACUCUAAUCCAUGUGAUACGUGUCAUUAAAUGAUUGGACAAGCUCCGUGGAGGCCCUGCCACGUCGGCACCCAUUUUAUAUCGCCAAAGUAGACCUCUAACGCAAGAGAAACGGAGACUGCUUCAGAUGAAACAUCCAUCAUCUCUGCAGCUUCAGUAACAAACGGAUCUCAAAAUCUUCUUCUCAAUUUCUUCCCAAGGUUGGUCUUCAAUCUCAAUCUCUUUUCGCUAAUUAUUGGUUUUCUGUGAUCGUUUUUUCUGUUUUCCGAUCUUGUUCAGUGGUUUAGUUAAUUAUUUUAUUAAACCGUGCAAUUGUUUUGGAAUUGUUCGAUUCGGAUCCGUAUAUUCAACAGCUGAAUUUAGGGAAUUUUUAUGUUUACGUACGAAAUGAUUUUGCAUUAAUUUUUUUUUUCUCUGGAAAAUUUGAUACUUGAUAGAUCUGAUGAAUCUGAUGAAUCGAUACAGUAAUAGUGCUGUUUUUAGGCCGCAUAGCGGGCUUGUAUCGUAAAAUUUGGUUCUGAUUUCGGUCUUGUUUAUGUCGUUUCUUAUGUGUAAAAUUUAUGUAAAAAUCAGCCUUUUGUUCUUGCUAAUACAGGUUAUGCCUGGGUCAAUUUAUUACAGACCUUUAAGAUGUAGGGCGAACUUAGAACAUUUUCGUUCCUUUUUUUUUUCUUUUCUUCUUUUGGAUGUUAAAUUAUUAAUUUCCUAUGUGUUGGGGGGCUUUCACAUUAGUAGCCCGUACGUUUCAUUUGGAGUUUUCACUUGGCAUGCUUUAAGUUACAAGCUGCAAUUUUUUCUUUUUGGCCUGGGGCAUCUUGGAAGCUAGUGAUUUUUUGAGUGUUUUUAUCGUGUUAUUAAGCAAUUUCAGUUGAUUUUGAGUCUGAGAUGGGAUGUUGCCUUUGUUGGUAGUAAGCUGGAGAGAAGUUUUGCUGCUGUUUUCAAUUGACUACAUUUAGCAUAUUAAAAUUUCUAGUUUUUUUUUUCCUUCUAAUGAUUUUGAAAAAUUCAACAUAUGCCUACUUUGGAGUGUUGACUUUUCCUGAUUUUGUUGAUUCCAAAAACUGUCUAUUGGUUUCUGCGUUGAACUACUCGGUUGUUAGGAUUGAGUUCUUGUUCCUGUGGAAUAUGCUUUUGAUUGAAAAUUUCUUUUUUGUAGGCUGAGUUGGUGCAUUUCAUCGUGAUAAGAUGGGGGGAGGAUUCAGGGUGCUUCAUCUUGUUAGACCUUUUCUCUCCUUUCUACCCGAAGUUCAGAGUGCUGAUAGGAAAAUCCCAUUCAGAGAGAAGGUUAUCUAUACGGUGAUCUCCCUUUUCAUAUUUUUGGUAUGCAGCCAGCUUCCGCUGUAUGGCAUACAUUCGACAACUGGGGCAGAUCCAUUCUACUGGAUGCGUGUUAUUCUUGCCUCUAACCGUGGGACUGUGAUGGAGCUUGGGAUCACUCCUAUCGUCACCUCUGGACUGGUUAUGCAACUGUUGGCUGGUUCAAAGAUCAUUGAAGUAGAUAACAAUGUACGCGAGGAUCGAGCACUUUUGUAAGUCUUGUUGGAUUGAGUUUUUGAUGUUAUAAUUGAAUUUCUCAAAAUACAUAGACAGAAUAUGUUGUACACAAACACUUGUUUCCUUUGCUGGAUGAUUAUAGGCUAUUAGGAAAUAUGGAGGAUUUGUUUAUGUCCUUGAUUUCAUAAAUUUGCUCAGUUUAUUUGAUGAUUUUUCUGACAAGUUUUCCUUUUUGGACUUCCAGAAAUGGUGCACAGAAGUUAUUGGGGAUCCUUAUUGCUGUUGGUGAAGCGGUUGCCUAUGUUCUCUCAGGGAUGUAUGGAAGCGUUAGCCAACUUGGAGUUGGAAAUGCAAUUCUUAUAAUUCUCCAACUCUGCUUUGCUGGUAUUAUUGUGAUUUGUCUAGAUGAACUUCUCCAAAAAGGAUAUGGUCUAGGCUCUGGGAUUUCACUUUUCAUUGCCACCAACAUUUGGUAAGUUUCUCUAAACUGUUGUUUGCAUUUAGCUAUCAUGUGCUCCUAAGAUGGAUGAUCGAACUGACCUUUGGUUGCUUUGACAGUGAAAACAUCAUUUGGAAAGCUUUUAGCCCAACCACAAUUAACAGUGGUCGUGGAGCUGAAUUCGAAGGCGCUGUAAUUGCUCUAUUCCAUUUGCUAAUAACUCGAACAGACAAGGUUCGUGCACUUCGUGAAGCAUUCUAUCGGCAGAAUCUUCCGAAUGUGACCAACUUGCUUGCCACAGUCUUGAUCUUUCUUAUUGUGAUCUACUUCCAAGGCUUCCGUGUGGUUUUGCCAGUGAGGUCUAAGAAUGCCCGUGGACAGCAGGGUUCAUAUCCAAUCAAGCUGUUCUAUACUUCCAAUAUGCCCAUUAUUCUACAAUCUGCUCUUGUGUCCAAUCUCUACUUCAUUUCUCAGGUAUGGCCUUUUUUGCAACUAGGCUCUAGUUGACUAAGAUUUGUUAUUUUUUUAACACAUAAUGAGCCUCUUGCUUCUUGUUGUUCCAGUUACUGUACAGGAGGUACAGUGGAAAUUUCCUAGUGAACCUUUUGGGGAAGUGGAAGGAAUCAGAAUAUUCUGGCCAAACAGUCCCUGUUGGAGGCCUUGCUUAUUAUAUUACUGCUCCAUCAAGGUGAAUUACUGUGGCUCAUGAUCAUUGGAUCUCCCUGCCUAGUCUCGUAUUACUAUAAUCUACAUUCUAUCCAUCAACACGCGUUGAUGGUUUUUGCAUUUUUCUUCCUACUUUUACAUGUUUAACUGAAUCUGUUGUCAUUUUUGCAGCUUGGCAGAUAUGGCAGCCAAUCCAUUUCAUGCACUUUUUUACAUUGUUUUUAUGCUGUCAGCAUGUGCAUUGUUCUCAAAAACCUGGAUUGAAGUGUCAGGAUCCUCUGCUAGAGAUGUGGCCAAGCAGCUUAAGGUAUGAUUCACAAGGAAAUUCAUUUUAUCUGCAUAACCAAUGUUAUUUGUUUACUGCUAUUAUUGCCAGAAACUAUUUGGAAAGAAGUGCUUCGCCUGAGAAUUCAUAUGAUGAAUAAGUGCUCAUAAGAAUUGAUACUUUUUUCUUUUGUUUGUCCCAAGUAAUCUGUAAUAUGUGGAGGAUUGCACAGCCAUUCUGGAGUCUUUCAUGUUGCCUGUUGUGCAGUUCAUAAACCAUUUUUAAGCUGGUGGUAACAGACUUGGAAAAUAAAGAAAGCAAAAGGAAGAAAAGGAGGACGAUCUUAAAGAUGUUUCUUUUGGAAAGGAACUGCUUUCAUAAUGCAAUGCCUGAAUAUGAAACAAUUUUAUAUCUGAUUUGUAUUUGAAAAUUUGUUUCAGGAACAACAAAUGGUGAUGCCUGGGCAUCGUGAAUCCAAUCUACAGAAGGAGCUGAACCGUUACAUACCUACAGCAGCAGCUUUUGGUGGCAUAUGUAUUGGUGCACUCACUGUUUUGGCAGAUUUCAUGGGGGCAAUUGGUUCGGGAACAGGGAUUUUGCUUGCUGUUACGAUCAUAUACCAGUAUUUUGAGACAUUUGAGAAGGAAAAGGCUAGUGAACUUGGUUUCUUUGGCUUCUAAGCCUUGAUAGGAUCUUGAAUGGUCCGUGGUGUUGUGAUUGCAUUGCUCCCAAGUCCUUUCUAAUAUGAGCUAAGAGACACGGUGGAUCUUGUCAACACCUCAAGUUUCAGAAAAACGAGAAUCUAGUUAGCUUUUCAAGGAAAGAUAGUUGCAAGUGGGAGGAGCCUGAGAAUUUUUGUUGCACGUCUUAGUGGUAGUGUUAAAAGGACUAGAUUUUAUUUUUAAUCACUUUCAGAAAACUAAUUUUGGAAUUUUCUCGUUUUUGUUGUUGCAAUUGCCGUGCAAUGUCGUAAAGCAGUAACAUUCCUUCUAUUUUUCGGCCCAUACUGAUGCUAUUAACUAGCCACUGACUUGAAAUUCUUUCUUGAAGCAUUCUGCUGCUUCUGUUUUAGAUCGUUUAUUGGUUGGGACUGGAAGCUGACAGUUGAAACUUGAAAGAAUGUGCAGAAGCCAGGCUUCGAGCGUAAAUAAAUUGUAAAUUCCCAAAUACGGACUAAUGCAACUCGAAGUCAGCAGCAUCGGGAUUUAUCGUCGCUGUCUUGCAGUUUAGCUUCAAACUUUUCAUGCUGCCGUCUUAUCAUUCUUCUUCGAUUGAAGUUAGCUUUUAUCGUUCGUUUUUUCUCAUUGAAUGUUUUUCUUUUAUGGUUAUGUUCAAAGGAUUAGAUGGACGUAGUUACCGGCUUGUAAUCUUUGUGGUCGUAGGAUGGGGUAAACAUGCAUCUCGUCAUUCUCGGUUAUUGCACCAACAAUACCCCAUGGUUAUUACAUUACAUGGCUCCAGUGCCGCUUCCCCUUGUUUUCCAGACUAUAGGCGUUCAAUCUCAUAUGCCCUGUGGCAAACAUUUCAAUUGUAAUCGUGAAUAUGAAAUGUGAUAGCAUAACAUUCAUGCUUUUUUUUUUGUUAUUAAAUAAAGAAAAAAAGUGCUUAUAUUUCAGUUCAAAGGCUCACUAUGAACAUAAUAUCCGAACUCAAAAUCGUUGACAUAUAUACUUUUGCUGAAGAAUAUGUUAACGACUGCUGUACUGAAAAAUCCCUCAGGUCACAAAUGGCUAAUGUCGCUGGCCCAGCAAACCAAUAUUUGAUAUAUGGGCUUGGGUCGGAGUGGAGUCGGUGUUUGGUUUAACCAAGGAAAUGGCCAUGUGCAAAAUAGACCCUUUGGUAGGUGGUGGAGUAUAUCAUAUGCUCAUUUAUGGCAUGAUAUUGUAGAUAGGGGUGCACGCGAACCAAGCUACUCGCGAGUAGGCUCGAACUCGGUCAGAGUAGCUUGGUCAACGACUUGGCUCAAACUCGAGUUGACCGAGUUCGAGCCGAGUUUCGAGUAGCUCGAAUGAAAAUCGAGUCGAGUUUCGAGUCAAAAAUCCCCGACUCGAGGCUUGUCGAGCUACUCGUCGAGUCGGGAUUAUUUAAAUAAUAUAUUUAUAAUUUAAAUAAUAUAUAUGUAUUAUAAUUAUAAAAUGAUCAUUAUGUGUAUAAGUUAUAUGGAAUUUACAAAAUACCCUUCGUUAUUGAGCCUUAUCGAGUCGAGUUUCGAGCUACUCGCGAGUACAUCGAGUCGAGUUUCGAGUAUCAAUUUUUUUGACUCGAUCGAGCUCGAGCCUAGGGAUAUAUGAGUCGAGUCGAGCUCGAGUAUAGCACUACUCGAGCUCGACUCGGCUCGAUUACAUCUCUAAUUGUAGAUGAUGGGGUCUCCUCUUUUUUCUUUUUUCUUUUUAAAAAAAAAAAAUUUCUUAGUAUGAUUCAAUUUCUGGCAACCAAUUAAUUCUGGCAAAUUUAUACUGCCAUUAUAAUUCAAUUUUAGCACACGUUUUAUUUUGUUUGCUGGGUCUCUAUUGGUUCUCAAAAACCAGAAAGGAUUUAUUUGUGUCCUUAAUAAUUUCAUAUAUUUGCUUGUUUUAUGUGAUUUUUUUUUAUGGAGUGUUAUUGGCCACAUUUUUUUCUUCUCUUGAAAAGUAUCCUGCCGCAUUUAAUACUCAUUUCACUAUGAAGCAAAGUCAGUUACGAAACUGUUCCUAAUUUCUUCACACGUAGCUAAAUGAAAAUAAAAGAAAGGAAAAAAAAAAAAGAAAUAGUUGUGGACGCCUCAGCGUCCCAUACUGGUAAAGUCGGUGCCCCCGUUUACAAUUGCGGCCGCCCCCUCGUCGAGAUCAUCAACAGGCGACAAUGGAAUCCCCAAAGCUGCAAAGCAUCACACACAACAAGAUCAUAAGUUCGCAUUUAUUUGCAAUGGUUCACUGGACAAACUGACGGUUCUUUUUGCUGGUAUUAUGGUACUCCUCUGUCCCACCACUUUAAUAGUAUCGAUUUUCUUCUCACACAAUUAUAAGAAAUAUAGUUAAUUUUAUAUAAAAAGUAAAUCUAGCCAAGUAUUUUUUUAAAAAUACCUUAUAUUAAUACUAAAAGUAUCACUAAUCAUUAUACUUUUAUAUUGAUUACGAUAGGAAUACGAUGAUACAAUGCACCGUUCAAAACAUAUGUCCAAGCAAUUAUUGAUGAAAAAGAUAUUGAUUGUAUUAAAUAAGGUAAGCUAUAUUCAGUACUCAUAAUGAAAUAUAUUAAAUAAGGGUAUUUUAGACAAGAAGUUAAAAGUUAGAUAUAUUCUUCAAUUGGAAGUCAUAUUAUAAUUUGGGACGAAUGAAAAGAAAAACAAGACAUUCAAAAUAGGACAGAAGGAGUAAUUCGCAAUAAUGUAUCUUGACACUUACUAAUAAUUAUGGAGACCUCCUUUAUAACGUCUAAUAAUACUCAACCUUUCUCACGCGUUAAUAACGCUACUAGUAUUAAGAACUAUUCUGACUACUAAACAGAUUUUUGAAUAAUUUUGCAAAGACUUUUCUAGAGGCUAAUAAAAGAAAGAUAAUUGCAAGUAGAAAAUUUUUACUAAAAGUUCAACCUCACAAGCAACACCAAACAGGAUUUACGUUAACAUUUAUUAUUGCUGAUGGGCAUGUAGAAAGAUUGAUUUUUUCUCACAAACAAGGAAAAAUCGUCCAAAACGUCCCUCAUAUUUUAUAAAAUGACUUUUUUCGUCCCUCACUUUUAAAAGUGUAAUUUUAUGUCCCUUACAUAUUCACAUCGGUCAAAUUUAGUCCCUAACUAGGUUUUCGAUCAUUUUUUGGCCGGAAUCCAUCACGUGCAAGGCACGUGAUCAUUUUUUAAGGGUAAAUUUGUCAAAUUAUAUUUUACAUAAUCUAAUCUAUAGUCCUCCAUAUUUUAUAAAACAAAUUUUUCGUCCCUCACAUUUCAUAAAAUGGUUUUUUCAUCCCUCACAUUACACAAAAUGAAUUUCUCCAUCCCUCAAAUUUCAAAAAAUGAAUAUUUCCAUCCCUUACUAAUUAUGUGUGUAAGGGAAACCCUAAAAAAAAAAAUAUGUGUGUGAAUACAUUUUUAUUUAAACACAUGUAUAUAUCUAUUUGAUUUUGCUUAAUAAUACGAAUAGCAUAAAUAUAUGUAUGUGUCUAUUUGAUUUCACUUAACAAUAUGAAUACCAUAUAUUAUACGUGAUCAUUUGAUUUUAUCCGGUAUUAGCUAGUAACAAAUCUUGCAUUCAUUGUCAAGUUGGCCAAUAAAGCUAUUUUCGGUCAAAAUACAAUAAGAAUAUGCAAAUUAAGGUUCUAUUGGUAAAUAUUAGUCAUAAUCAUACAAAAAGAGAAGAUAGCUCACAAGUUUGGCCCAAUUACAUACAUGUGUUUAUGCUAUUAUUAUUAAGCAAAAUCAAAUAGACAUAUACACGUGUUUAAAAAAAAUGUAUUCACACACAUAAUUAGUGAGAAAUGAAAAAUUCAUUUUUUGAAAUGUGAGGGAUAGAGAAAUUCAUUUUGUGAAAUGUGAGGGAUGAAAAAAAAUUAUUUUAUAAAAUGUGAGGGACGAAAAAAUUUAUUUUAUAAAAUGUGGAGGACUAUAGAUCAAAUUAUGUAAAAUAUAAUUUGACAAAUUCACCCUUAAAAAAUGAUCACGUGCCUUGCACAUGAUGGAUUCCGGCCAAAAAAUAAUCGAAAACCUAGUUAAGGACUAAAUUUGACCGAUGUAAAUAUGUAAGGGACAUAAAAUUACACUUUUAAAAGUGAGAGACGAAAAAAGUUAUUUUACAAAAUGUAAGGGACGUUUUGGACGAUUUUCCCGCGAACAAAUAUGAAAGAAUACGGGAUCAUAACUUCAAUAGAUUCUUUCUUGCAAGUAAACUCAUGGGAAAUGCCGAGAAUGAGGUCAUUAUUGGCAUUCCAGAUUGAAGUUGUUCUUGUCAAAGUUUUUAAGAGCUUUCAAAGUCAUUAGUCAUGUUACCGAAGGGAAAUGUCGUGAUAAUUUCUUUUCCUGAGAUUGCAAGAAACGACCCCAUUAUCUUUUCUUGCGUGUUGUGGUCUGCAAUUAACCAAGUGGUGCAUGUUGCAGAGUGCAGACCUAAGAAUAAGUAGUAGUAUUCCUGCUGUCCUGCGUUGUUUUAAUCGCAUGUUCCAACACACAUGAAGCAGCGUGAUUAUGACUAGUUACCAAAGAAUUUGACAUGGUAAGCCACGCUUGAUACAUACUUAAUUUCAAGAUAUUAUAAGUGUUCGUUCUCUGCCAUGCAUACGAGAUUAUGACUCAAAAACUACGUAUUACAUUAAAAGUCUCUAUGUGGAUAUAUAAUUACAAUAUCUUGGAGUCACCCCUUAUUAUAGAAGUGAAUCAGCUACAAGUAAUUGACAUGAAGACAAAAAAGUGAAAAACAAAAAAUGUGGGCACACUGUAUCUUGCCAAUUUUACGAGUAAUUAAAAGUGACGAGAAAAUAUCCCUCAACCCCUCAUCUUUUCCAACUUCUCUCUACCGCUCAUUUUCUCUGAAUCUCUUCCUCUUCGGGAGGGAGGCCACAAUAGGUUUCAUUUUUAUUAUUUUCCAAAUAAAGUCUCUCCUAAAGUUUUGUAGUGGAAGAUCUCUGUUUCUCCUGAGGAGUUCCUAGUGAGAUUUUGUGUUAUUUUUCCUUGUUUUGCUGUUUCAAUUUGAAUUUUACUUCAGAUCUGAAUUUCAUUUCAGAUUUGAGUCUAUGUCGGUAGAUCUCGUCAUCUUUAUUGGAGUUUAAAACUGUUAAUUAAUAGAUUGGACAAUUGCAACGUGCACAGCGUGGGCUAUAGUGAUUUAUUCUAUGAGGAGAUGAUUUUAGAUCGAUGGUACUUUUUAGAUCUGUUCUUAAUUUUUUUGGUCUUUUGUACGUGCUAAAUUACAGAUCUACAAUUUUAGUGCGUAUUUUAUCUGUCAUUAGGACAGCUAUGUAUAUCAAUUGUGCUGAACGAUUUCCAACAAUCAAUUAAUGAAAUAUAUUUUGUUAUAAAACCAAGUGACAGAGAAAAUUAAAAGGUUUCCAUCUAUGAUACUAACCUGAAGUACACUACUAUGUUCGCAAGAAUCAUCGGUAGGGAUGACAAAAGGCGAAUCCAAUAUUAAAAGCAUGGCAUCCAUCCCUGAUUCCUCCAGCAGAUAUUAUCUGUAAACUUCUAUUUCGGCUGGCUUGGAAUGAUUCCACCAUUUUUUUUUUAUGCGAUUCAAUGUAUUCCCGUGGCAUUAGACAGCAGAAUGAGAGGAGGAUACUUCUGCACAUUGCAUGAACUAGUAGCUAAUUUGGAAUCAAAUUCAAAUUGGUCCAGAAACAACAAAAUUCCUAGAAUUUCCAGAAUAAAAUACCUCGAUCCUUCAUUGCUGCAAUUGUUAAGGAUAACCUACCUUUUUGGCUGCACUUUUUUUUUUGGGGGUACGAAAAAAAUUUAGGUGGAUUGGAUAGGAAAAAUUUUGGCUGCACCAUUGUGCUAAAAUAGUCUUGGUAUACUUUUACUGUACAUUGUAUAUGGUAUUUAUGCUAAACCAUUUCGUACUUAAAAAAACCUACUAGGUUUGGCAUGAAAUAACGAGAAAAUUCUUACCAAAAAGAAAAAAAAAAAACGUAAUAACAAGAACAUAUUGAAACGUAAUCCACUCAUUUCAAAAGAGUUUGGCCAAUUCAUUUUCUAAAUGUACAAAAUACCCUCUUUUUAAUUUUCUUUUGCCAUGAAAAGGCAGCCGCUGCUGUCUUCCUUCAGUACAUAGAUAAUUUCAAGGGACCCCUCUUACAAAAUCCCUACAUCCAAAAACGGGAAAAAAAAAAAGGAAGAAAAACAUGAACUAAUCCAAAAUGAAAUUUUUUUCUUUUUUCUUUCUUUUCUUUUGGAUAACGCUAGUGUGUUUGGAUAGAAUAUUAUUUGAAAUAAUUAUUAUAAUACUUUUUAUAAUAUAAUAUAUAUAAAAUAAAAAAAUAAUUAAAAAUAUAAAAAAUAUAUUUAUAAUACAAACUAUAUAUAUUUAUUAUUUUGUAAAUUUGAGCCAUCCAAAUUUGCACUCUCCACCAACAGUCAUGCAAAGGCACCAAGAUUGCCUCUACUUCAAUAGCUUGAUGCUGGGAUGGCAGAAGAUUCCACAUGUCCACCUUCUAUUCAUAAAUGCAAUAAAAAAUCAAAGAUUGGGCGUUGCAUAAGAGUUAUUGAUGCGAGUGAUAGCACAAUAGGAUACCGCCAGAAAACGCCGGUCUUCGUCCUCGCGAAAGUGACACUGUCCACCCUUCUUUGUGCAAUGCGUCCAUCUGUAUGAACCCGCGUUCUCCAGCCGGUUUUUCAAAUUGACAAAAAUAUCCUCGCAGUGUUAAAGCUUGGAGAUUCUAUGCUUAGUAAAGAAAAAAAAUAGACAAUUUAGGAGUUUUCUUUCUUUCUUUUUUUAAAAAAAGUACUGAUGUAUAUGAACAAAAAAUAAUUAAAAAAUAUAUUUACAAUAAACAUAAAAUUUUUUCUGCAAAAAAUCAUAAUUCAAACAAGAUUAACUUAUUAUGACUGUCAUCGUAUUUUUAUUCUUUUGUAAAUAGAGAACUUGGCCGGUUAAUAAGUCUUCUUCUUCUUUUAUUUUUAAAUUCCUCUUUUGCUCUAUAUUAUUAUUAUUAUAUUUUUUUACGAAGCACAAAUCAUUCUAAUAAUAUUCAAAAGGUAAUUGAUGAUUUUUAUGCUUAUUAAAAACGAUUUACCGUCACCAUAACAUCCAUAAGUUUCUUUUUUUAAGUAAUCUGGCUAUAUAACCUUUUCCUUUUUGUGUUAAAAGAGGGUAGCUUACUUGUGGUACUUCAACUCCUUUAGAGUUUAUUCUAUUCUCUUUUGAUGAGGAUGGGGAAGCAGAAAAGAAAGAAAGAAAGAAGGCCACGAUUGAGAGGAAAAAUAAAUUCACAAUGAGCUUUGACCACUAAUUAAUUAUGGGAAAAAAAAAUUAGACCCUUCAUCUCUAACUUCUUACUAUAUCCUUCUUUGUCUUUUCAUUGCCUCGACUCCUAAAGUAAAGAUCCAAAACCUCCAAACCAAACAUUUAUGUGCUACUACUGGAAACCAGAGCAAAAUCGUCAAAUAAAGCUUAACAAGAAUUGACCAGACGCUGCAGCAAUAGUUUUGGUUCCCAAUGCUUUAAUAGCUAGCUGUUGGAGAAUUCCCCCAGUCCCCGCUUUGUUGUCCAUGUUCGUCUUUUUCUACUUGUCUCUCUUCCCUCCCCCAGAUUCACCUCAUUUUUCUCCUCCUCCUCCGCCUUUCCUUUUCUUCAAACUCUCUCUCGUCGAUUCUCUACGCUCCCCAAAACAGUACAAAAAACCGUUCUCCAAUCUCACUCCCACUCCCACCAACCCAUUCAUUUCUUCCUCUUCAAAGUUCAACCAAUCAGUGAAAUAACUCGAUGUUUUUUUGAUCAAAAUAAUCAAAUCUCAGGUCCAAAAAGUAGCCUUUCUUUGCUUCAAUGCUUGGUCUCUUCUGAUGCUAGCCCACGAGUCUUCCUUGAAGGUACGUUGUUUUUUACACUUAUCAUCCCCCGUAAACUUCCAUUAAAGCCCGUAUCUUUUCGCUCCUUUAUUGCUCUCUCUGCAUUCCUUAGCUGGAUGUAUUAAUUCUGUAACCGCCAUUUAGUCAUUUAAUUCCAGAAAAUGACAAAAAGGUCAGUUUUUCUUUUUGUUUUUUUUUUGGGUCUGUGCAGGUCCCAAAUUUAGCUUCUUUUCUUGAUUGUCUUUCUGUUCAGGCACUACUAGUCUUUCUUUUAUACGUCCUUCUAUGAGUUUCAUUCAAGUAUUAAGCUAAGCUUGUUUAUCGGGUUCGUAUAGGGAGUAAUCAGAAGGCGAUUAUUGUGUUUUCUGGAUUCUUGAGACCUCGGAAGAUGAGAUUUAGCCUGGGAUGAAGAGGAAGUGAAGGUUUCCGGUGCUGACCACUAAAAUAUUCAUCAAGGUGUGUUUUUCUGAAGGCCCAAUAAAAAAAAUAUUUUUUUUUGGGGCUCUGAUUAUUUCUACUCAAAUGUUAAGUUUGUCUGAACGCGUCUGUAGAUAUUCGUAAACUUUGUGCUCAAUGCUCUGCACGAGUCUUUGUCUUAAUUUGUAUAGUUAACUUAACUCUUCCCUGUUAACGACCCCACCGUCACUAAGAGUGGAGUUUAGGGGGUCACGUGUUUUGCACGUGAGCGAGCUUUAUGGUUCUCAAUCCCCCCCCCCUCCCGGGCCUUAUUGUGGGGUCCACAGCGUCCAGGCGAAAUUGUCCUUGCGGGAUUUUUUUUCUUAUAAUGUUUUUCUCCCGUUGAUUAUUAUUACCAGUAACUUUUUUCCGGUUGGCUCAAAUCUUGAGAAAAGGUAAAGGUUGGGGGGAUCUUCAGGGCCGUUGGAUGGUGAAGUGAAUUUAGUGACAAAAGAUUUGCUGCAGUGAAAUGAUAAAUGGGAAGGGCCCACGUGAUCUUCUUGCAGCAGCAGCAGUAGGAGGAGGAGGAGUAGGGUGACGUGUGAGAGAUGAGGGUAACAGGUCAGAUUUCGUUUGUGGAUGGGUGUUGACACCUGUACGUGACUAAUGCUGAGUAGGAUUUCUUCACCUUUUUAUGGGUUAAAUAAAAUAAAAAGUUAUUGGACCCAAUGCCAUCGAAUGGUCAGUAAAGUGUGUUUCUUUGGCUUUGUUUGUACACCCCUUUUCUAGUCUUGCAAACCAUUGCAAAGUGUGUUUGUUACUGUUUAAGUAGCAUGGUGCUGUUAUCGUAUGCAUCGUGGUGGCAGCUUUUUAAUCUGCAAUAAUGAAAUCAAGAAAGUUAUAGUAGUAAGUUGAUGCAUUGGCUUUUCCAUGAAAUCUUUUUUUUUUUUUUGGGGGGGGGGGGGGGGGGGUUGUAAAUUUCUGCUUGCUGCUUUUAUCAGUUAAAUGGGCACUAAGCUUAAUUUAAGUUGAUAAGCCUUAAGUAAUUUACUGCUAAAAAGAUCAAGGCGGAUACUUCAGGCAAGUUGCACUGUUAUGGAUUAUACGUUGUUGUAACUACAUACAGAUUUCUUAGUUGUUAGGCAACUGCAGUCCAAACCUGGUAUUAACUUCCCCUAGUCAUGAUUCUGAGUGGGGGUUGGGGGAGGGGGAUGGGGAGAAGGAAAGUUCAGUCUUCAAAAUGUCUUUAUAUGGCAAGAUUUUAGCUGGCUGAAGCAGGGAAAACUAAUUCUCCCUGGAUGUGUUAGGUAGGUUGAAGACUGAAGAUAUUCUUUAUGCAGAAUAGGAACCUAAAGUACUAUAAGUAUCUCGUCAAAGCUUGCUGUGUUAUAAAAUAUUUGGCAACUGAUUCUCGUUGCUGAGUUUCAACCUUUUGCAGCAAGGUGUCUUUUUGUGGUGUGUUGAUGUGGGGGGGGGGGGAUGGAUGAUCUUUUUUAAUCACGUAAUUAUGUUCAACGGUUAUAUGUAAUACUUUUCUGAUAUUAGCAUUUUUUUUCAGUUUGUUGAAUGUAUUUUGAUUCUCAAUGUUCUCUUCUUUGUAAGGCUCUUUAUUCUUUGGCUGUUUCUGCAGCAAUAUACCUUGAUGGGGCAUCUCACCAGACCCCUGCAGCUUAGGAAUUAUAAAAAAGUUUGAACUCUGAGCCGUUGGAUGCUUCCUUUAAGCGCGUUUCAGAAUAUUAGUUUAUUCACCUUAUUGUGAUUCCUCUGCUGCUACUGUUCGUACUUUUUUUACCCCACCUUUAGAUCCACUUUUUGAUUAUGUCGAAAGAAUGAAAAUCAGAAGCACUCAAAUGCAAAACAAAAAGAAAUUCCUUGUUCUUUAAAGGUCUCGGUUCAAGAGCUAAAGCUCGAUGCUUUUUUCCUUUGUUGAAACAAGCUCAUCAUUGUUACACUAGUUAUCAUCGUGAUCAUAUUCUUAUUCUCCCUUUAUCUGUAUAUAUAAAUCUUGACAUGGUUGCCUGAACUCUUCAUUUACAUAAUAGCAUAUCUUUGUAUCAUUGUCAUUAUAAUUUGCAACUCUUUUCCAGAUGGAUUCGGUGGACAGGUCUGCAGUUACCCCAAAUAAGAGCAAGAGUAGAUUGGCGCGCACGUUUGCUAAGGUUUUGCACAUUCGAGCAGUAACUGGGAUAGCUCCAGAUGAUGGAAUCCAGAAGAUUAAUUCCCCUGAAAAUGUUAAGAGUAAUUUGGUAAAGAACAAAAGCCAUUUGCAGCCAUUUGAUGAUGAGGAUGAGAAGCUAUGCAGUAGAGCGGCUACAGAGGCAUUUGUAGCCAAGCUUUUUGCCAGUGUCUCAUCUGUUAAAGCAGCGUACGCCCAGCUUCAAUAUGCUCAGUCUCCUUACGAUCCUGAUGGAAUUCAGACAGCAGAUGAGAUGGUGGUAUCAGAGUUGAAGAAUGUGUCAGAACUGAAGCAAUGUUACUUGAAGAAGCAAAUCGAUGAAUCUUCCCCUGAAACCACUCAGAUCUUGGCCGAAAUUCAGGAGCAGAAGAGCUUGCUGAAAACAUACGAAAUAAUGGGAAAGAAACUAGAUUCGCAGCUCAAACUGAAGGACUCCGAGCUCACAUUUCUCAGAGAGAAACUGGAGGAAGCCAAUAAAGAGAACAAGUUGCUAGAGAAGAGAUUGAAUUCAAGCGGGCAGUUAUCAUCAGCUCUUGAUAACGUUCACUUGUCAAGCUUAAGCCCCAGUCACUUUAUUACAUUUGUUCGGCAGACAAUUAAGUCUAUUCGGAGCUUUGUUCGGUUGCUCAUCAGUGAGAUGGAAUCUGCAGAGUGGGAUCUAGAUGCUGCUGCCAGUUCAAUUGAGCCUGGCGUUGCCUUUUGGAAAAACAGCCAUAAAUGCUAUGCAUUCGAGUCAUUUGUCUGCCGAGAAAUGUUUGAUGGUUUCAAUCAGCCCGACUACUCAAUUUCAAAGGAAUCUUUGCCUGAGCAGAAGAAACGGCGACGGGUAUUCUUUGAAGGAUUCAGGGAAUUGAAGUCUGUGAAACCAAUGGAUUACCUAGCUUGGAAGCCUAAAUCCGCAUUUGCAAAGUUCUGUCGCGCUAAAUACUUGACACUGAUUCAUCCCAAGAUGGAAACAUCUCUUUUCGGCAAUUUGGACCAGAGAAAUUUAGCGAAUGCAGGGGAAUACCCAGAGACAACGUUUUUUGCUGCGUUUGCAGAGAUGGCGAAGCGCAUUUGGCUACUACAUUGCCUUGCCUUAUCUUUCAAACCGGAAGCCUCAAUCUUUCAAGUGAACAAGAGGAGUAGAUUCUCAGAAGUUUACAUGGAAAGCGUGAGCGAGGAAGCAUUCCUGUCAUCUGAUGGUUCGCCGGAAUCCGAGCCUCGGGUGGCUUUUACCGUAUUUCCAGGGUUUAGGAUAGGCAAAACUGCUGUUCAGUGUCAGGUUUAUCUUUGCUAGUAGAUAUGCAUGGAUGGGGAUCAAGGCAUUUACGCGCCAUCUUGGUCGACCCCAUUAGCGUCAAAAGCCUGAUCUGGAGGCCACCGGCUUCAAUAUUUUUUAUUUUGCACUGUUAGAUUUUGUAGAUUUGACAGGGCCAUGGCUGGUUAUGGGUUCUUUUUGUCCCCCCCUUUAAUCUGGAAAGGAAAGCGCGUUGACUGUUUGGUAUGGGACCAAAGUUGGUGAAUCUUCGCUCUGUUUUGGUAAUAUAAUACUAUGAUAUAUGUUCCUAAGCUUGCUCAUGUCAAGAAUUAGCUGUAUGCUAUUAUAUUAUAGUAUUCCUCUACUUAGGACUCUGUCUGCUUUAUUUGUCGGUACAAUGAAUUGGCCAAAGGACCGGACAAUCAGAGAAACUCCAAUUUACCCGACAAUUGACAAUCAUCCUAUUUGACCAACAAAUUAGUGAUACGCCAAUUAAAUUCCUGAGCGAGCUUGGCUCAAGUUUUCAACGGAUUCUUCUUCUUGCUCCCCAGUCCACGGCCAGCGGUGAAUUACUGGAUUUUUCUUACGGGUUAUGGGGUGCCCAAUCUGUUUAUUCUCAGCCCGUUUCAAGUUGUGAUUCCCACGAGACACCCCCAAUGGGGGAAAAAGGGAAAAGAAAGAAAGGCCCAUCCAACUUUACUCGAUUAACAGAUUACCUUUUAGAUUGGGUUAAAAUUAUGUUAUAAGUGAUAAUCCUAAUUCAAAUAUCUUUGAGGUCAUGCCCUUGAAGGAUUUGACUACCAAAUUGAAGGAUUUCAAAUUCAACCAAAAAAAGACCUCAACGAAAUGGUUUAUAGAAUCAUAUGCAUUGAAUCCGCGAAAGCCUCAAUUUCUUUUCUCAUACACCAGUAUAACAUUGGCCAUGGUUUAAGAAGCAUUUAAGGAGCUAAAGAAAGCAUUUGCCUCGGAAUUCAUGCUUAUAAUGCAAAAUACUGAAAUAGCACUUAUCAGUAAUGCGUCUCUUUUUUGGUUGGUUUUCUCAAAUGAAAACUAGUACGUGUAGCAUUUUUCUGAAGCAUAUUAGAGCAAAGAAGAUCUUUGAUUUGUGGGUUCGGUUUUUUAGAACACAAUCAAGAAUGAGUAAUACGUCUAAAGACGUAGAUAUAAAAUUUUACGUAUAAAAUCUAAUGAGUAAUACGUAUAAAAUUCCUUUUCUACAUAUGUUUCUUCGAAAUUUUUUAGUUCAAGAAUGAAAAAAUUGCAUCUUGUACAAACAUCAUUCAAACUCCUCAUUUUUUUUUGGAGUUGAGUUUGGAGAACUCUAACUCGAACUUGAACUUGGAGAUAAUGGUGGGUUGGUUGUUGAUGUUGAAUCAUCACUAUUUUCUUUUUCAUUUGUUGAAUUUUCUUCUUUUUCAUGAUGCCAAACAAACUGCUUCACAAUCUUUUUCACAUUCCAAUUCCAGACAGCAUUUUCAUCAAAUACAACAUCUCGACUAUUAAUGAUUUUUUCGUCUUCAAAUUAAACAAUCUAUAACCUUUAGACUUGGAACUAUAACCAACAAAAAAAUAUUUUUUUACUUAUUUUAUCAAAUUUGUACCUCUUUUCUUUUGAAAUUUGAGCAUAGCAAAUGUUCCCAAAAACCUUCAAGUGUUUCAUCAAUAGUUUCUUUUCACUCCAUGCUUCAAUUGGAGUUUAAUUCCACAUGGCUUUUGUAGGAUUUCGAUUGAACAAAUAUACAACUGUAUAAAUGGUUUCAACCCAAAAUUUCUUUGGCAAAUCUUUGUCAUGGAACAUAAAUUUUGCCAUCUUGUAUAGUUGAAAAUCUCUUAAAUUUUUUUAAUUUUAGGACAUGAACUAAGUCAGUGAAACUUUAAUUCUGACACCAAUUUUGUAGGAUAUUAGCUUUGAUACCAAUUUUAUUGAUAUGUGGAGGAAUAUUCCUCAAGAUGACUUGUUAUCAGAUUUCCCCACCUAUUCUUUCUUAGGAUAGUUUCCAGCUAUAACAGGAAGUGCCACGGGCUUCCCUUAGCAUAUUUUACAUAUUUUGUUGCAACGAUUGCCUGGAUAUAUAAAUAUAAAAAGAGUUGGAUUAGCUCCUUUAAUUAAUUUAUGCAAAUAUUUUGUUGCAAUAAUUACGUGGAUAUAUAAAUAUAGGAAUAAUUGCAGAAACCUCUCCUGAAAUUUUUGACAAUUGCACUCACCUCUUCUGAGAUUUGAAAAAUAGUACUAACCUCCCCUAAAUUUAAGAUUUUGAUAGCAAGUUCAACCCAUGUUAGAGAAAAUGUUAUAAAAAGUCUUUUUGGAAGUGAGAUAAUACUGUUGUUUCAUUUGUACCCUUUUUGCCUCUUGUGAGGUAGUAUUAGUAAAAUAAUGAAAAAAUAUUAAGAGAUAAAAACAAUUAGUGAAACUCAGAGGAUAUAUGUGCCAAGAGAACAAGGGCAGUAGUAAAAUUUGGAAUAAACAACAAACAUGUGUUCAGAAAUAUGAGGUUCUAAAGCAUAUAAAGAGACUGUUUAUCAAGUAAGAAAAUUUACGUUUGAUCAAUACAAGAAAGUUUCUUAAUAUAUCGAUCUCAUACUAUGUACCAUAAUUCAUACACAGUUAUAUUCUCUCAUGAUCGACACAACAAUUUUAUCAUAUUAUAACUAAUAUCACAACUUUGUAUAUUAAGUUGAGAUGAUAAAGGAUUGCUUAACUAUCAUCUUUUAAUUGUCACAGAUUUUUAAUAAAAAAAUUCUUAGAUUUUGUAUUGAUUUUUGCUUUCUUUCUCCUUUUGUUUCAUGAAUGCAUAAGAUGAAAUAAAUUUAACCAAAACUACCAAAACUUAUUUUUUUAUGGAGCCUUAUCUGGAGAUUUCUUUCUCCUACAUUUUCUUGUUUCUGUUUCUCUUCUAUGUAGAAAAUAUAUGAUUUGCAUUGUCCUCUCAAGUGUUGUCAAUUACAAAAUGGUACCAUGAUGGAGCAUCAAAAUGACACCAUUUUGUAAGUGCACUUACAUUGUCUAAUAAAGUAAAAAAUAAUCAUUAAUCUUGUUUAACUAGUUAUUUUGAACUUGUUUAUUGUCUUAAUUUUUUUUGCCCCAAAUUUAUUUACUAACAACCUUAAACUCUUAAGGUAUAAAUGUAAAUUCAUCCUAUCUUAUGUCAUCUAUAGACCCCAAAUUCAUAUUAGGGGAGGUUAGUGCUUUUUUUCAAAUCUCAAGAGAAGUAAGUGCAACUAUCAAAAAGGUCAAUGGAGGUUUCUGCAAUUAUCCCAUGAUUAUAAAAAGAGUUGGGUUAGAUCAUUUAGUUAAUUUAUAUUUCAUAGCAUCCUAUAUCAUAUAAAGAGAUGGAUCCUGGACACAUCCCACAACCAGAAUAGAACAUUCCAAUCUCACAACCAGAAUAGAACAUUCCAGUUACAGUGAUGACAACUGAGGGGCAAGAGAUAACGUUUCACUUGAACUUGUUCAACUUUGCUGGAGUUGAAUAUUUCUUGUUAUGGCAGAAUGUUUCUUGAACACGAGAGCCUAUUGUACUGUGAAUGCCACUAUGAUGUCUACUUACCAUUUCAUAGCAAAUCGUGUCAAUAUCUCUGGAGAAUGCACUGGUGAGAUGCAUCUAAUAAAUCAAACCAUUGGUAAUGCUCAAGAGUCACAUGUAAUGUACGGAGCCAUCAUUCGUUGGAGGAAUGAGGCUUUUAUUUGGUUAAUGUUCGAGACAGCUAAUUGGUUCAUUAUGCUUGCUCAUGCCAAUUAUGUUUACAUUCAACCUUCUCUUCUAAGUCCUAUGCUGCCAUAUAAUAUGUCAUGUGAAACGAGCAAUAUGGAGACUCUUCAUACUUUUGUUUGAUUGUAUUUAUCUUGCCAAUUGAAGCGUAAAACAUGUAAGUUAGUGAUUGUCACCAGUUUCUAUUUAAUGAUGCACCUACCAACAUGACUCAUUUUCACUUGAAUUUCUGCAACUUCCACAAAAUUAUUUUUUUUAAAAAAGCAACCAAAAAACCGAUACCGUCGCAUUACAAUGAUAAAAAUAUAUUUUUCCGUAAUAUAUCAUGAUGAUAUUAAGAAAUUAAGAUGAAAAUCAAAUAAGAGAAUGCGAAUAUUGAAGCGUGCACUUGUGUACACCGAUGUCUUUUUAUUUCAAAGUCUCCAUACUACUAGCGUUUGUUUUUCUUUUGCCUUUUGACUAGUGUAAGGCCUUCAUUUAUAUUCUAAAAUACUCAUAAGACCUUUAUUUAUAUUCUAAAAUACUCCAUAUGGAGCUAAGUACUAUAUUUUUCAAAAAAAUUAAGAUUCAAUUGAGUACAUAGAAAAAGAAAAGUAGAAUUGAUAAGAAAUUAAGAAUGGACCAGGAAAGAACUAAUAGUGAGUUAAGAAAGUGGGCCAAGAAAGGACGUAGACCGAAAAAAAAACUCCUUUCUUUAUUCAGUAUUAUGCGAGUUUAAUGAGUUUCAUAGAAUAUUUAGAUUUUUUUGAAAACAUUUUAUAGCUUUGCUCUAAACCAAAGGUAGGGAAACCUUAAAGAGUUCCUCAAUUUAUUAGCAAGUUUCAACAAAUCAUUAAGAGGAUCACCUAUUCAUCGUAGCCAAAUUUAUUUUUAAAAAUGAAGGCUCCAAAUGUUUGAGAGUUAAGAGGCAUCCAAAAUGUAUUUAGAAAACUAGGCUCUGAAAAUUUAAUUAGAAAACUCACAAAUCACAAUCUUCAGGAAUUUUAAGACAAGUUUGGGAGACAUCUACAUGGACCACACUCUUAACAAUUUUCCUAUGCCAACUCAAUGCUUAGUAGGCUUUUUCCAAGCUUAACAUGAUCGUUAGGCUUGCCAUCGGUGUCUAUAGUAUAUAUAUAUAUAUAUAUAUCCGUCCCCGUGUGGCUCUAGAACAUUGCGAUUAUCUUCUUGGUCAGUUUGAGGGACAAUUGCAGCAUGGCAGAUUUGACCUUGACGGAUUGGAGAUAUGGGUGCUGGAAGAUUACCGAAGAUCUGCGUGGAUCCUAAAGCAUCGUAUGAGUUUCACAGAAAUUAAUCGAUUGGCUUAGCUUACGCCUAAUGAAUCAAACCAUUAGUGAUGUUCAAGAGUCACAUGUAAUGUACAGAACCAUCAUUAUUUGGAAAAAUGAGGCCUUUAUUUGGUCAAUGUUUGAGAGAGCUGAUUGGUUCAUUAUUCUUGCUCAUACCAAUUAUGUAUACAUUCAACCUGCUCCUCAAACUCCUACGCUUCCUGCUCCUGUUACUCCUCCUCUUAUAAUUCCUAUACCUGACCUCUUGUUAGGAGCAGGAGGGGUGAUGCCAAUCAUGUUUACAUUCAACCUGCUUAUCCAACUCUUGGAGAAUUUUAAACCAUCAUAUCUACAUUUUUAGCAAAUUAUAUCAAUACACUCUCAACAAAUCAUUUCAAUUUUACUGGAGAAUGCACCGGUGAAUCACGCCUAAUGAACCAAAUCAUUGGCGAUGUUGAAGAGUCACAUGUAAUGUACAGAUUCAUCAUUCGUUCAAAAUAUAAGGCCUUUAUUUGGUUAAUGUUUGAGAGAGCUGAUUGGUUCAUUAUGCUUGCUCAUGCCAAUUAUGUCUACAUUAAACCUGUUUCUCCAACUCCUAUGCUUCUUGCUCCUGCUGCUCCUCAUUCUAUGAUUCCUGUACCUGGCCUUCUGCUAGGAGCAGGAGAAGUUGAUGCUAAUCAUGUCUAUAUUCAACUUGUUCUUCCAACUCUUGGAUAAUUUCAAAUCAUCAUGUCUACAUUCUUAGCAAAUCAUGCCAAUUUCACUGAAGACUGCACCGGUGAGUCACACUAAUAAAUCAAAUCAUUGGUGACGUACAAGAGUCACAUGUAAUGUACAGAACCAUCAUUCAUUGGAGAAAUGAUGUCUUUAUUUGGUCAAUAUUUGAUAAAGAUGAUUGGUUCAUAAUGCUUGCUCAUGCCAAUCAUGUUAACAUUCAACCUGCUCCUCCAACUCCUAUGCUUCCUACUCCUGCUGCUACUCCUCCUAUAAUUCCUGUACCUAGCCACUUGUUAGGAGCAGGAGGGGUUGAUGCCAAUCAUGUCUUCAUUCAACCCCCUCCUACAAUUCUUGGAGAAUUUCAAACCAUCAUGUCUACAUUUUUAUCAAAUCAUGUCAAUUUCAUUGAAGAAUGCACCGGUGAGUCGUACAUAAUGAAUAAAAUCAUUAGUGAUAUGCAAGAGUCACAUGUAAUGUACAGAGCCAUCAUUCGUUGGAGAAAUGAGACCUUUAUUCAGUCAAUAUUUGAGAGAGUUGAUUGGUUCAUUAUCCUUGCUCAUGCUAAUUAUGUCUAUAUUCAACUUGCUUCUUCAACUUCAAUGCUUCAUGCUCCUGCUGCUCCUCCUCCUAUGAUUCCUAUAUUUGAUCUCCUGUUAGUAGUAGGAGGGGCUGAUGCCAAUCAUAUAUACAUUGAACCUGCUUCUCCAAAUCUUGGAGAAUUUCAAACCAUCAUUUCUACAUUCUUAGCAAAUCAUGUCAAUUUCACUAAAGAAUGCACCAGUGAGUCACACCUAAUGAAUCAAACCAUUGGUGAUGUUCAAGAUUUACAUGUAAUGUACAGAGCCAUCAUUCGUUGGAGAAAUGAGACCUUUAUUUGGUUAAUGUUUGAGAGAGUUGAUUGGUUCAUUAUGCUUGCUCAUGCCAAUCAUAUCUACAUGCAACCUGCUCUUCCAACUUCUAUGCUUCCUUCUCCUACUGCUCCUCUUCCUAUGAUUCAUGUACCUGGUCUCCUGUUAGGAGUAGGAGAGGCUGAUGCCAAUCAUGUAUAUAUUCAACAUGCUCUUCCAACUGCUAGAGAAUUUCAAACUAUCAUGUCUACAUUUUUUGCAAAUCAUGUCAAUUUUGCUUGAGAAUGUACCGUUGAGUCACACCUAAUGAAUCAAAUCAUUGGUGAUGCUCAAGAGUCACAUGUAAUGUAUAGAACCAUCAUUCGUUGGAGAAAUGAGGUCUUUAUUUGGUCAAUAUUUGAGAAAGAUGAUUGGUUCAUAAUGCUUGCUCAUGCCAAUCAUGUCUACAUUCAAUCUGCUCCUCCAAUUUCUACUCCUGCUGCUACUCCUCAUACGAUUUCUGUACCUAACCUCCUGUUAGGAGCAGGAAGGGUUGAUGCCAAUCAUGUCUACAUUCAAACUGCUCCUUCAAUUCAUGGAGAAUUUCAAACCAUCAUGUUUACAUUCUUAGUAAAUCAUAUCAAUACAUUCUUAGCAAAUCAUUUCAAUUUCACUAGAGAAUGCACUGCUAAGUCUCGCCUAAUGAAUCAAACCAUUGAUGAUGUUCAAGAGUCAUAUGUAAUGUACAGAGCCAUCGUUCGUUGGAAAAAUAAGGCAUUUAUUUGGUCAAUAUUUGAGAUAACUGAUUGGUUCAUUGUGCUCGUUCUUGACACUUAUGUCUACAUUCAACAUGCUCCUCCAACUCCUAUGCUUCCUGCUCCUGCAGCUCAAUCUCCUAUGAUUCCUGUAUCCUAAUAGGGGUGAUGUUAUUCAUGUCUACAUUUAACUUGCUCCUCCAACUCUUGAAAAAUUUUAAACCAUCAUGUUUAAUUUUUAGCAAAUCAUGUCAAUUUCACUGAAGAACUCAUCGGUGAGUCACACUAAUGAAUCAAAUCAGUAGUGACGUACAAGAGUCACAUGUAAUGUACAGAACCAUCAUUCAUUGGAGAAAUGAGCCCUUUAUUUGGUCAAUAUUUGAGAGAGUUGAUUGGUUCAUUAUGCUUGCUCAUGCCAAUCAUAUCUACAUUCAAUCUGCUCCUCCAACUUUAUGCUUUCUACUCUUGUUGCUCCUUUUCCUAUUAGGAGUAGGAAGGGUUGAUGCCAAUCAUGUCUACAUUCAACCUGUUUCUCCAACUCUUAUGCUUCCUACUCCUGCUGCUCUUCCUCCUAUGAUUCCUAUACCGGGCCUCCUGUUAGGAGUAGGAGGGACUGAUGCCAAUCAUUUCUACAUUGAAACUGCUUCUUCAACUUUUGGAGAAUUUCAAACCAUCAAGUCUACAUUCUUAGCAAAUCAUGUCAAUUUCACUGAAUAAUGCAUCGAUGAGUCACACCUAAUGAAUCAAAUCAUUGGUGAUAUUCAAGAGUCACGUGUAAUGUAUAGAGCCAUUAUUCAUUAGAGAAAUGAGACCUUUAUUUGGUCAACAUUUAAGAGAGCUAAUUGGUUCAUUAUACUUGCUCAUGCCAAUCAUGUUUACAUUCAACGUGCUCCUCCAACUCCUAUGUUUCCGGCUCCUGCUGCUCCCCCUCCUAUGAUUCCUGUACCUGGCCUCCUGGUAGAAGCAGUAGGAACUGGUGCCAAUCAUAUCAACAUUCAACCUGCUCCUUUAAUUUCUGAAGAAUUUCAAACCACCAUAUCUAAAUUCUUAGCAAAUCAUGUCAAUUUCACUGGAGAAUGCACCGAUGAGUCAUACCUAAUGAAUCAAACUAUUGGUGAUGUUCAAGAGUCACAUGUAAUGUACAGAACCAUCAUUUGUUGAAAAAAAUGAGGUCUUUAUAGGUCAAUAUUUGAGAGAGGUGAUUGGUUCAUUAUACUUGCACAUACCAAUAACGUCUACAUUCAACAUGCUUCUCUAAAUCCUAUGCAUUCAGCUCCUGCUGCUCCUCCACCUACGAUUCCUAUACCUGACCUCUUAUUAGGAGUAUGAGGGGCUGAUACCAAUCAUGUCUACGUUGAACAUGCUUCUCCAACUCCUGAAAAAUUUCAAAUCAUCAUGUCUACAUUCUUAGCAAAUCAUAUCAAUACAUUCUAAGCAAAUCAUUUCAAUUUCACUGGCGAAUGCACCGGUGAGUUAUGCCUAAUGAAUCAAAACAUUGGUGAUGUUCAAGAGUCACAUGUAAUGUAUAGAGCCAUCAUUCGUCUGAGAAAUGAGACCUUUAUUUGGCCAAUGUUAGAGAGGGUUGAUUGGUUCAUUAUGCUUGCUCAUGCCAAUCAUAUUUACAUUCAACAUGCUCCUUCAACUCUUAUGCUUCCUACUCCUGUUGCUCUUUCUCCUAUGAAUCCUGUACCCACCCUCCUGUUAGGAGCAGGAAGGGUUGAUGCCGAUCAUGUCUACAUUCAACCUGAUUCUCCAACUCUACUGCUUCCUGCUCCUGCUGCACCUUCUCCUAUGAUUCUUGGACCUGACCUCCUGUUAGGAGCAGGAGGAACUGAUGCCAAUCAUGUCUACAUUCAACCCGUUCCUCCAACUCUCAGAGAAUUGCAAACCAUCAUGUCUACAUUUUUAGCAAAUCAUGUCAAUUUUGCUGAAAAAUGCACCGGCGAGUCAUACCUAAUGAAUCAAUUAAUUAGUGAUGUUCAAGAGUCACAUGUAAUGUACAGAACCAUCAUUUAUUGGAGAAAUGAUGCCUUUAUUUGUUCAAUGUUUCAGAGAACCGAUUGGUUCAUUAUGUUUGCUCAUGCCAAUCAUGUCUACAUUCAACGUGCUCCUCCAACUCCUAUAUUUCCUGCUCCUGCUGCUCCCCUUCCCAUGAUUCUUGUACCUGGCCUCUUGUUAGACGCAGUAGGGGUUGAUGCCAAUCAUAUCUACAUUCAACCCACUCCUUCAAUUUCAGGAGAAUUUCAAAUCAUCAUGUCUAUAUUCUUAACAAAUCAGGUCAAUUUCACGGGAGAAUGCACCGGUGAGUCACACCUAAUAAAUCAAACUAUUGGUGAUGUUCAAGAGUCACAUGUAAUGUACAGAGCCAUCAUUCGUUAAAAAAAUGAGACUUUAUUGGUCAAUAUUUGAGAGAGGUGAUUGGUUCAUUAUACUUGUACAUGCCAAUCAUGUCUACAUUCAACCUGCUCCUCCAAAUACUAUGCUUUCAACUCCUGCUGCUUCUCCUCAUAUGAUUCCUAUACCUGGCCUCCUGUUAGGAGCAUGAGGGGCUGAUACCAAUCAAGUCUACAUUGAACAUGCUUCUCCAAUUCCUGAAAAAUUUCAAACCAUCGUGUCUACAUUUUUAGCAAAUCAUAUCAAUACAUUCUAAGCAAUCAUUUCAAUUUCAUUGGAGAAUGCACCGAUGAGUUACGCCUAAUGAAUAAAACCAUUGGUGAUGUUCAAGAGUCACAUGUAAUGUACAGAGCCAUCAAUUAUUGGAGAAAUUAUACCUUUAUUUGGCCAAUGUUUGAGAGAGUUGAUUGGUUGAUUAUGCUUGCUCAUGCCAAUCAUAUCUACAUUUAACCUGCUCCUCCAACUCUUAUGCUUCAUACUCCUGUUGCUCUUCCUCCUAUGAAUCCUGUACCCACCCUCCUGUUAGGAGUAGGAAGGGUUGAUGCCAAUCACGUCUACAUUCAACCUGUUCCUCCAACUCUUAUGCUUCCUGCUCCUGCUGCUCCUCCUCCUAUGAUUCAUAUACCGGGCCUCUUGUUAAGAGCAGGAGGGACUGAUGCCAAUCAUGUCUGCAUUGAAACUGCUUCUUCAACUCUUGGAAAAUUUCAAACCAUCAAGUCUACAUUCUUAGCAAAUCAUGUCAAUUUCACUGAAUAAUGCACCGGUGAGUCACAUCUAAUGAAUCAAAUCAUUGGUAAUAUUCAAGAGUCACGUGUAAUGUAUAGAGCCAUUAUUCGUUGGAGAAAUGAGACCUUUAUUUGGUCAAUAUUUAACAGAGCUAAUUGGUUUAUUAUACUUGCUCGUGCCAAUAAUGUUUACAUUCAACGUGCUCCUCCAACUCCUAUGUUUCCUGCUCCUGCUGCUACCCCUCCUAUGAUUCCUAUACCUGACCUCCAUUUAGGAGCAGGAGGGGCUGAUACCAAUCAUGUCUACAUUAAACAUGCUUCUCCAACUUCUGAAAAAUUUCAAACCAUCAUGUCUAUAUUCUUAGCAAAUCACAUCAAUAAAUUCUAAGCAAAUCAUUUCAAUUUCACUGGAGAAUGCAUCGGUGAGUUAUGCCUAAUGAAUAAAACCAUUGGUGAUGUUCAAGAGUCACUUGUAAUGUACAGAGCCAUCAUUCGUUGGAGAAAUGAGACCUUUAUUUGGCCAAUGUUAGAGAGAAUUGAUUGGUUUAUUAUGCUUGCUCAUGCCAAUAAUAUCUACAUUCAACCUGCUCCUUCAACUCUUAUGCUUCCUACUCCUGUAGUUUUUCCUCCUAUGAUUCAUGUACUCACACUCCUGUUAGAAACAUGAUGGGUUGAUGCCAAUCAUGUCUACAUUCAACCUGAUUCUCCAACUUCAUUGCUUAUUACUCCUGCUGCUCCUCCUCCUAUGAUUCCUGUACCUGACCUCCGGUUAGGAGCAGGAGGAAUUGAUGCCAAUCAUGUCUACAUUCAACCUGCUCCUCCAACACUUGGAGAAUUUCAAACCAUCAUGUCUACAUUUUUAGCAAAUCAUGUCAAUUUUGCUGAAAAAUGCACCGGUGAGUCACACCUAAUGAAUCAAUUAAUUGGUGAUGUUCAAGAGUCACAUGUAAUGUACAGAGCCAUCAAUUAUUGGAUAAAUUAUACCUUUAUUUGGCCAAUGUUUGAGAGAGUUGAUUGGUUGAUUAUGCUUGCUCAUGCCAAUCAUAUCUACAUUUAACCUGCUCCUCCAACUCUUAUGCUUCCUACUCCUGUUGCUCCUCCUCCUAUGAAUCCUGUACCCACCCUUCUAUUAGGAGUAGGAAGAGUUGAUGCCAAUCACGUCUGCAUUCAACCUGUUCCUCCAACUCUUAUGCUUCCUGCUCCUGCUGCUCCUCCUCCUAUGAUUCAUAUACCGGGCCUCUUGUUAUGAGCAGGAGGGACUGAUGCAAAUCAUAUCGGCAUUGAAACUGCUUCUUCAACUCUUGGAGAAUUUCAAACCAUCAAAUCUACAUUCUUAGCAAAUCAUGUCAAUUUCACUGAAUAAUGCACAUGUGAGUCACAUCUAAUGAAUCAAAUCAUUGGUAAUAUUCAAGAGUCACGUGUAAUGUAUAGAGCCAUUAUUCGUGGGAGAAAUGAGACCUUUAUUUGGUCAAUAUUUAAGAGGGCUAAUUGGUUCAUUAUACUUGCUCAUGCCAAUCAUGUUUAUAUUCAACGUGCUCCUCCAACUCCUAGGUUUCCUGCUCCUGCUGCUACCGCUCCUAUGAUUUCUAUACCUGGCCUGCUUUUAGGAGCAGGAGGGGCUGAUACCAAUCAUGUCUACAUUGAACAUGCUUCUCCAACUCCUGAAAAAUUUCAAACCAUCAUGUCUACAUUCUUAGCAAAUCAUAUCAAUACAUUCUAAGCAAAUCAUUUCAAUUUCACUGGAUAAUGCACCGGUGAGUUAUGUCUAAUGAAUCAAACCAUUGGUGAUGUUCAAGAGUCACAUGUAAUGUAAAGAUCCAUCAUUCGUUGGAGAAAUGAGAUCUUUAUUUGGCCAAUGUUAGAGAGAGUUGAUUGGUUCAUUAUGCUUGCUCAUGCCAAUAAUAUCAACAUUCAACCUGCUCCUCCAACUUUUAUGCUUCUUACGCCUGUUGCUCUUCCUCCUAUGAUUCCUGUACCCACCCUCCUGUUAGAAGCAGGAAGGGUUGAUGCCAAUCAUGUCUACAUUCAACCUGAUUCUCCAACUUUAUUGCUUCUUGAUCCGGCUGCUCCUCCUCCUAUAAUUCCUGUACCUGACCUCCUGUUAGGAGCAGGAGGAACUGAUGCCAAUCAUGUCUACAUUCAACCUGCUCCUCCAACUCUUGGAGAAUUUCAAACCAUCAUGUCUACAUUUUUAGCAAAUCAUGUCAAUUUUGCUGAAAAAUACACUGGCGAGUCAUACCUAAAGAAUCAAUUAAUUGGUGAUGUUCAAGAGUCACAUGUAAUGUACAGAGCCAUCAUUUAUUGGAGAAAUGAUGCCUUUAUUUGGAAAAUGUUUCAGAGAACUGAUUGGUUCAUUAUGUUUGCUCAUGCCAAUCAUGUCUACAUUCAACGUGCUUCUUCAACUCCUAUGUUUCCUGCUCCUGCUGCUCCCCCUCCUAUGAUUCCUGUACCUGGUCUCCUGUUAGAAGCAGUAGGGGUUGAUGCCAAUCAUAUCUACAUUCAACCUAUUCUUUCAAUUCCAGGAGAAUUUCAAACAAUCAUGUCUACAUUCUUAGCAAAUCGUGUCAAUUUAACUGGAGAAUGCACCGGUGAGUCACACCUAAUGAAUCAAACUAUUGGUGAUAUUCAAGAGUCACAUGUAAUGUACAGAGCCAUAAUUCGCUAAAAAAAUGAGACCUUUAUUGGUCAAUAUUUGAGAGAGGUGAUUGGUUCAUUAUACUUGCACAUGCCAAUCAUGUCUACAUUCAACCUGCUCCUCCAAAUCCUAUGCUCUCAGCUCCUGCUGCUCCUCCUACUAUGAUUCCUAUACUUGGCCUCCUGUUGGGAGCAGGAGGGGUUGAUACCAAUCUUGUCUACAUUGAACAUGCUUCUCCAAUUCCUGAAAAAUUUCAAACCAUCAUGUCAACAUUUUUAGCAAAUUAUAUCAAUACAUUCUAAGUAAUUAUUUCAAUUUCACUGGAGAAUGCACCGAUGAAUUACGCCUGAUGAAUCAAACCAUUGGUGAUAUUCAAGCGUCACAUGCAAUGUACAGAGCCAUCAUUCGUUGGAGAAAUUAUACCUUUAUUUGGCCAAUGUUUGAGAGAGUUGAUUGAUUUAUUAUACUUGCUCGUGACAAUCAUAUCUACAUUUAACCUGCUUCUCCAACUCUUAUGCUUCCUACUCAUGUUGUUCGUCCUCCUAUGAAUCCUGUACCCACCCUCCUGUUAAGAGUAGGAAGGGUUGAUGCCAAUCACGUCUACAUUCAAUCUGUUCCUCCAACUCUUAUGCUUCCUGCUCCUGCUGCUGCUCCUCCUAUGAUUCAUAUACCGGGUCUCCUGUUAGGAGUAGGAGGGACUGAUGCCAAUCAUGUCUGCAUUGAAACUGCUACUUCAACUCUUGGAGAAUUUCAAACCAUCAAGUCUACAUUCUUAGCAAAUCAUGUCAAUUUCACUGAAUAAUGCACUGGUGAGUCACAUCUAAUGAAUCAAAUCAUUGGUGAUAUUCAAGAGUUACGUGUAAUGUAUAGAACCAUUAUUCGUUGGAGAAAUGAGACCUUUAUUUGGUCAAUAUUUAAGAGAGCUAAUUGGUUCAUUAUAUACUUGAUCAUGCCAAUCAUGUUUACAUUCAACGUGCUCCUCCAACUUCUAUGUUUCCUGCUCCUGCUGCUCCCCCUCCUAUGAUUCCUGUACCUGACCUUCUGGUAGAAGCAGUAGGAGCCGAUGCCAAUCAUAUCUACAUUCAACCUGCUCUUCCAAUUUUUGGAGAAUUUCAAACCAUUAUAUCUACAUUCUUAGCAAAUCAUGUCAAUUUCACUAGAGAAUGCACCGGUGAGUCACACCUAAUGAAUCAAACUGUUGGUGAUAUUCAAGAGUCAUAUGUAAUGUACAGAGCCAUCAUUCGUUGAAAAAAUGAGCCCUUUAUUGGUCAAUAUUUGAGAGAGGUGAUUGAUUCGUUAUACUUGCACAUGCCAAUCAUGUCUGCAUGCAACAUGCUCCUCCAAAUCCUAUGCUUUCAGCUCCUGCUGCUCCUCCUCCUAUGAUUCCUAUACCUGGCCUCCUUUUAGGAGCAUGAGGGACUGAUACCAAUCAUGUCUACAUUGAACAUGCUUCUCCAACUCCUGAAAAAUUUGAAACCAUCAUGUUUACAUUCUUAGCAAAUCAUAUCAAUACAUUCUAAGCAAAUCAUUUCGAUUUCACUGGAGAGUGCACCGGUGAGUUAUGCCUAAUGAAUCAAACCAUUUGUGAUGUUCAAGAGUCACAUGUAAUGUACAGAUCCAUCAUUCAUUGGAGAAAUGACACCUUUAUUUUGCCAAUGUUAGAGAGAGUUGAUUGGUUCAUUAUGCUUGCACAUGCUAAUAAUAUCUACAUUCAACCUGAUUCUCCAAUUCUUAUGUUUCCUACUCCUGUUGCUCUUCCUCCUAUGAUUCCUGUAUCCAUCCUCCUGUUAGAAGUAGAAAGGGUUGAUGCCAAUCAUGUCUACAUUCAACCUGAUUCUCCAACUCAAUUGCUUCCUACUCCUGCUGCUGCUCCUCCUAUGAUUUCUGAACCUGACCUCCUGUCAGGAGCAGGAGGAACUGAUGCCAAUCAUGUCUACAUUCAACCUGCUCCUCUAACUCCUGAAGAAUUUCAAACCAUCAUGUCUACAUUUUUAGCAAAUCAUGUCAAUUUUACUGAAAAAUGCACCGGCGAGUCAUACCUAAUCAAUUAAUUGGUGAUGUUCAAAAGUCACACGUGAUGUACAGAGCCAUCAUUUAUUAGAGAAAUGAUGUCUUUAUUUUAUCAAUGUUUGAGUGAACUGAUUGGUUCAUUAUGCUUGCUCAUGCCAAUCAUGUCUACAUUCAACGUGCUACUCCAACUCCUAUGUUUCCUGCUCCUGCUGCUCCCCCUCCUAUGAUUUCUGUACCUGGCCUCCUGUUAGAAGUAGUAGGGGCUGAUGCUAAUCAUAUCUACAUUCAACCUACUCCUUUAAUUCUUGAAAAAUUUCAAACCAUCAUAUUUACAUUCUUAGCAAAUUAUGUCAAUUUCACUGGAGAAUGCACUGGUGAGUCACACCUAAUGAAUCAAACUACUGGUGAUGUUCAAGAGUCACAUGUAAUGUACAGAGCCAUCAUUCGUUGAAAAAAAAUGAGACCUUUAUUGGUCAAUAUUUGAGAGAGGUGAUUGGUUCAUUAUACUUGCACAUGCCAAUCAUGUCUACAUUCAACCUGCUCCUCCAAAUCCUAUGCUUUCAGCUCCUGAUGCUGCUCCUCCUAUGAUUCCUAAAUCUGGCCUCCUGUUAGGAGCAGUUGGGGCUGAUACCAAUCUUGUCUACAUUGAACAUGCUUCUCCAAUUUCUGAAAAAUUUCAAACCAUCAUGUCUACAUUAUUAGCAAAUUAUAUCAAUACAUUCUAAGCAAUCAUUUCAAUUUCACUGGAGAAUGCAUCGGUGAGUUACGCCUAAUGAAUCAAACCAUUAGUGAUGUUCAAGAGUCACAUGUAAUGUACAGAGCCAUCAUUCGUUGGAGAAAUUAUACCUUUAUUUGGCCAAUGUUUGAGAGAGUUGAUUGGUUCAUUAUGCUUGCUCAUGCCAAUCAUAUUUACAUUUAACCUGCUCCUCCAACUCUUAUGCUUCCUACUCCUGUUGCUCGUCCUCCUAUGAAUCCUGUACCCACCCUCCUGUUAGGAGUAGGAAAGGUUGAUGCCAAUCAUGUCUACAUUCAACCUGUUCCUCCAACUCUUAUGCUUCCUGCUCCUGCUGCUCCUCCUCCUAUGAUUCCUAUACCGGACCUCCUGUUAGGAGCAGGAGGGACUGAUGCCAAUCAUGUCUCCAUUGAAACUGCUUCUUCAACUCUUGGAGAAUUUCAAACCAUCAAGCCUACAUUCUUAGCAAAUCAAGUCAAUUUUACUGAAUAAUGUACCGGUGAGUCACAUCUAAUGAAUCAAAUCAUUGGUGAUAUUCAAGAGUCACGUAUAAUGUAUAGAGCCAUUAUUCUUUGGAGAAAUGAGACCUUUAUUUGGUCUAUAUUUAAGAGAGCUAAUUGGUUCAUUAUACUUGCUCAUGCCAAUCAUGUUUACAUUCAACGUGUUUCUCCAGCUCCUAUGUUUCCUGCUCCUGCUGCUGCUCCUCCUAUGAUUCCUGUACCUGGCCUCCUGGUAGAAGCAGUAGGGCUUGAUGCCAAUCAUAUCUAUAUUCAAUCUGCUCCUCCAAUUUCUGAAGAAUUUUAAACCAUUAUAUCUACAUUCUUAGCAAAUCAUGUCAAUUUCACUGGAGAAUGCACCGGUGAGUUACACCUAAUGAAUCAAAUUAUUGGUGAUGUUCAAGAGUCACAAGUAAUGUACAGAGCCAUCAUUCGUUGAAAAAAUGAGGCCUUUAUUGGUCAAUAUUUGAGAGAGAUGAUUGGUUCAUUAUACUUGCACAUGCCAAUCAUGUCUACAUUCAACCUGCUCCUCCAAAUUCUAUACUUUCAGCUCCUGCUGCUCCUCCUCCUAUGAUUCCUAUACCUGACCUCCUAUUAGGAGCAUGAGGGGUUGAUACCAAUCAUGUCUACAUUGAACAUGUUUCUCCAACUCCUGAAAAAUUUCAAACCAUCAUGUCUAAAUUCUUAGCAAAUCAUAUCAAUACAUUCUAAGCAAAUCAUUUCAAUUUCACUGGAGAAUGCAUCGGUGAGUUACGCCUAAUGAAUCAAAUCGUUGGUGAUGUUCAAGAGUCACAUGUAAUGUACAGAGCCAUCAUUCGUUGGAGAAAUGAAACCUUUAUUUGGCCAAUAUUUGGGAGAGUUGAUUGGUUCAUUAUACUUGUUCAUGCCAAUUAUGUGUACAUUCAAUCUGCUCCUGUUACUCCUUUGUUUCCUAUUCCUACUGUUCCUCCUCCUAUGAUUCCUGUACCUGGUCUCCUGUUAGGAGCAGAAGAGGCUAAUGCCAAUCAUGUCUACAUUCAACCUGCUUCUCUAACUCUUGGAGAAUUUCAAACUAUCAUAUCUACAUUUUUAGCAAACCAACAAACCAUGUCAAUUUCACUAGAGAAUGCACCGGUGAGUCACACCUAAUGAAUCAAACCAUUGGUGAUGUUCAAGAUCACAUGUAAUGUAUAGAGCCAUCAUUCGUUGGAGAAAUGAGGCCUUUAUUUGGUCAAUGUUUGAGAGAGUUGAAUAGUUCAUUAUACUUGCUAAUGCCAAUCAUGUCUACAUUCAACCUGAUCCUCCAACUCUUAUGCUUCCUGCUCCUACUGCUUCUCCUUCUAUGAUUCCUGUACCUGACCUCCUAUUAGGAGCAGGAGGGACUGAUGCCAAUCAUGUCUACAUUCAACUUGUUCCUCCAACUCCUGGAGAAUUUCAAACCAUCAUGUCUACAUUUAUAGCAAAUCAUGUCAAUUUUGCUAGAAAAUGUACCGGCGAGUCAUACCUAAUGAAUCAAUUAAUUGGUGAUGUUCAAGAGUCACAUGUAAUGUACAGAGCCAUCAUUCAUUGGAGAAAUGAUGUCUUUAUUUGGUCAAUGUUUGAGAUAACUGAUUGGUUCAUUAUGCUUGCUCAUGCCAAUCAUGUCUACAUUCAAUUUGCUCCUCCAAAUCCUAUGCUUCCUGCUCCUGCUCCUGCUCCUCUUAUGAUUUUUGUACCUGGCCUCCUGUUAGGAGUUGGAGGGGCUGUUGCUAAUCAUGUCUACAUUCGACCUGCUCCUCCAACUCCUAUGCUUCCUGCUCCUGCUGCUCCUUCUUCAAGUUCAACUCUGAUCAAGGUAUAGUGUUUUUAAGUUUUGCCUCUUUCUUGUCUUGUUUGGUGUUAUCUCCAGUAAGUCAGCACAUGUAAGUACAUAAUGUAAAUGUACUUGUAGUGUAUGAUGCAAAGAAUUGUUAAUCUGCUUAUUCCAUAUGCAAAUGCAAAGAAUUGUCAAUCUGCUUAUUACAUAUGCAAACGUGUGCUUUAUCUUCAUUUUUUUUUCUUUAGUCCACAAUCUGCUUAUUAAAUUUACAAACGUUGCCUUUAUCUUCAAUUUUUUUUCUUUGGUCCGCACAUGUGAGUGUAUAAUCCAAAUGUACUUGAAAGCGUAGAAUUGUGAGUGUGCUUAUUACAUAUGCAAAUGUUACCUUUAUCUCUAUUUUUUCCCUUUGGUUUUUUCAAAAAUUCUUUGACGGUUUCAUCAACUUUACAUUAUGUUCGAGUCUUACUUUUUAGUUGUUGCAUAAUGCGAUGGCAGUUAGAGCUUUGUUUAAUUACUAAUAUAGCUUGUUACUGUUAUACUGUAGAGAUUAAUUAUGUCCUAAUUCUUACCAAAUCUUUGUUAUUUCUGCAUUUAUAUCAUUCUGCAUGUUUGACAAAAGCUCUGUUGCAUCUGUAUAAUGUUAUCAGUUUAUUAUCGUAGGCUAUGUCACCAAAUCAAUUCUAUAUCCAUGUUUAUUGAUAUGUGGAUGAAUGUGACUCAAGUUGACUUGUUACCAGAUUUCUCCAUCUAUUCUUUUUUGGGAUAGUUUCCAGCUGUACUUGGCCUCCUGUUAGGAGCAGGAGGGGCUGAUGCCAAUCAUGUUUACAUUCAACCUGCUCCUCCAACUCCUAUGCUUCCUGCUCCUGCUGCUCCUUCUCUUAUGAUUCCUAUACCUGGUCUCUUGUUAUGAGCAGGAGAGGUUGAUGACAAUGAUGGACAGGAUUUCUUUAACCGGGCAGGUGACGAAAAUUUAGGAUGGGAGAAUCCAGAUAAUGCUAGUGCAUUUGAAUGAGCUGAAUGAGAUGGAAAAUAACCAAGGCUUGUUCAGUGAGGUGGGAGACCCUUACUUAUCACAUGGCUCAAACAGUGCGAUGAGUGGAUCCCAUGGCUGAAGCUCCAAUGUGAUUGCUUGAAUCUGAGAGUGUUGCAUGACAGCUGAAUGAAUUACUGUAAGUGUAUAGUGUUGCGGUCUAUGUAAUUGUUGAGCCACAGAACCGGAUCACUCAUAUCUAGAUAUCUAGUAGUUUACAUUACUUACUAGUGGAUUGUCGUGGAUAUCUACCACUAGUUUGUCAAUAUCCUGUAUAGUGAAUGGUAAUUGGGAUUUCUCUUACAUGUAAAAAGAGGGAGUUUAGUUUACGGACAGUGUUUUUGAUUCCCUAUGGACACCAUGAGUAGGUGAACAAUUUUGUGAAUUCAAUUGUAUAUGCUAUUGGUCAAGGUUAGUUUCAAGUUCAACUCUGAUUGUGUGAGACAGAAUACGGUCCAAAUAAUUUUUGUGACUAUGUUACCCUUAUAAGUCAAUUAUACCCUUUCGUUUCUUCUAUAACGUGUAGUGAUUGCAAUGAUGUUUAGGUCUUUGACAAUUAUAUACUAAAAUGAAACUAGACAUUUUUUCUGGUACGUGUUAUCCAAGUUGGCUGCCCAUGGUCAUACAGUGCUUUUCCACCAUCAUCCUAUUAGUAUUAUUUAAUUCUCCCAAAAAUAACUAUUCUCUUAACUCAAAUCUCUCUAAAUACAUAACCAAUUAAUAAAAGCAUGAAAGCUCCCAUUAGAAAGUUGAUUCAAGAUUCAAGUUAAUUUUCCUCAAUCCUUUGGAUUUGAACCUCCAGUGGUGUGUUUAAAUCUAAUAUUCUUUAUAACUAUUUUAAUAGCUGCAUGAAGUAAUGUAUAUGGCUGAAGAUGUUUUUGUAUUAAAUUAAAAGCCUAGUAUAGAAAAGUCAGUGCUUUGAAUACCUUAGUAAUUAAUUAUCAAAAACUGGACCUUAUUGUUAGUUGCAUGCAUAAAUUGAACUUAUAUUCCAUAGUUUCCCAAAAGGGAAAAAAAAGAGAAACUUAUACUCUUUAGAAUAGCUGCUUAAGCGCAAUCAUCUAGUUACAUAUAAUUGCACUAUCAAGUUUGUGUAGUCAUGUUUGAUUGAUGAAUAGGUUUAGUACUUGCAGUUGCACUACUUUAAUAUUGCUAAAUCGAUGAUCAUUAAUCUUAAUUGUUUUUAGUUCAGGAUUAAAUUACAUUAAUCGAAAUGGGAUAUGCACAAGUUUGGUGUAUGUUUGUAUAUCGCUAAAAAGUUUCAACUUAUUCAAGUCAAUUUGUAUUGUCAAAUUUCUCUUUUCAAUGUUCCAUUGGUUUCUCAACUAUGAAAUUGCAUCUCCGAGAUGGUUGCAACUUGCAAUCUGUAAUGUGUUAGAAGUAAAUAUCUUGCACUCAAAUAAACCCUCUAAUUUAUGGAUGCUUAGGACGUAUUUUAUCUACGAAAAUAAGAAAAUUUCAAAUUAGCCGUCUGCCAAUAGCUUUCUUCCUAUUUGGUUUGCUAAUAAAUCAGUUUUGUUUGGGUGAUAACUGCUACUGAAAUAUGAGAUGCCAUUUUAAUUAUUCUUGGUGACCAGGUUCAAUGCCUUGAUUGUCUAAUUGUUUAGUUUGGGAAUCAUGUUGGUUUUCCAAGUUAUUACUCAAAUAACGAUACUUUUCAAAUAGCUCUCGACCAAUGAAGCAAUUGAAAGAAUGCACUUCAUGAAUGCAGUUUUAACAAACAAUGCAUUAACUAAGUAUGACUUUUAGUUUUUGAAAAGAGAUUUUAACACACUCACUAUUCGGUAAGUCUUUUAAAAAAGCAGCACUCCUUGGAAUUUUAUUUGAAUUUUCAAUCCCAUAUAUGAGUCUUGUGCAUGCAAGUUAAAUUGUUUCAAAAAAUUUGGAACUAUUUUCUGUAAAAUGCAAUAAAUGUAUGGCCUUAUUUGGCAAGCAAGUUUUUUGCCAAGUUUGUGUGCUACAAGUUUUUUAACAAUUUUAACUACAGUAGCUUCAAAUUCAAAAAACUUCUCAAAGUUUUUAAACUAUAUACUUCAAAAUAUCUAAAAAUUUACACACUUCAAAAUUUUUUCCUACAACUUGUACAAUAAGUUACAGUAAAGUUUUAGAUAAACAUCCAAAAAAAUUAUUUGCAAAACUUCCUACUAACUCUCAAAUUUAGUACCUUAGUACACUCUUAUUGCUUUACAAGCUUCACCAAUCUAUGAAUACUCUGCUUCAUUCUUUAUAUGCACAAAUUCUUUUAUAGCUUCCAUCUGAGCAACAUCAUGCAUCGCGUGAUGCCCCAACAAACUAGUACUACAUACAUAUGAAUGCUGUUUUGUACAUUGGAUUUAAAUGUCAAAAUUUUUAACAAUCGAUUUUUUAUUUUGUUUGUGGAUCUUAAACUCAUAAUUAGUACGUUGCAACUUGGAUAUAAAUGUCAAAAUUUUCAACAAUUGAUUUCCGAUUUUGUUUGUAGAUCUUAAACUCAUAAGUGAUUGUAAGUGUAAUUAAGGUCAUUUAGCAAAAUAAUGUAUCAUGUGUAAUUAGCAAAUCAUAUCUUUACAUAAAUAUGCAAUUUUAUUGGUAAAUAUGUAAUUUGAUUUUAUUUUGUAUUAUUCUUUAUAUACUUAUAUACUUGAUUUGAUUAAGUUAAGAUUUGAUUUGCUUAUCUUAACAAGUCAUACAUUUCUUGUAAGACUCUAUUUCCUUCUCGUACUCAUUGCAGUUAUUGCAGUUGGGUCCGUUAUGUGCAACACUUAAAUAUACAAAAAGUUUUCCCAAAUCCUUUUGUAGUAACUGCUUUUUUAACUGUUGAGAAGCAUAUGCUGCCAUAUAAUAUAUCAUGUGAAAAUGAGCAACAUGGAGACCCUUCUUACUCUUGUUUGAUUUUAUUUAGUCCUGCUGACUGAAGUGUAAAUGUAAAGUAUGCAAGUUAGUGAUCGCCACCGGUUUCGGUUUAAUGAAGCACCUACCAACAUGACUCCCUUUCCCUUGAAUUUCUGCAUGAUACCUUCAACUUCCACAAAAAAUUUUUUUUAAAAAAGCAACCGAAAAACCAAUACCAUCACAUUAUGAUUAUAAAAAUAUAUUUUCCGGCAAUAUAUCAUGAAUUGAUGAUAUGAAGAAAUUAAGGCAAAAAUCAAAUAAUAGAAUGCAAAUAUUGAAGCGGCAAGGUCUUUCUUUUAUUUUCAAAGUCUCCAUACUAGUACUACCUUUUGUUUUUCUUUUGCCUUUUGACUAGAGUAAGGCCUUCCUUUAUAUCCUAAAGUACUCCAUAAGCCCUUUAUUUAUAUUCUAAAAUACUCCAUAUGCUGUUGAGGUCUAGUAUAUUUUUCAGAAAAUUAAGAUUCAAUAGAAAAAGAAAGUAGAAUUGAUAAGAAAUUAAGAAUGGACCCGGAAAUAAUUGACAGUGAGUUAAGAAAGUGGGCCGAGAAAGGACGCCAACCCCCUCCCUCCUGAAAAAAAACUGCAUUCGUCAUUAAGUAUUCUGCAAGUUUAAUGAGUUUCAUAGAUUAUUUAGAUAUUUUAGUUAAAACAUUUUAUGGCUUUACUCUAAAACAAAGGUAGGGAAACCUUAAAGGGUUCCUCAAUUUAUUAGCAACGUUCAAAACAUAUCAUUAAAAGGAUCACCUUUGCCAAAUUUUUAAAAUUGAAGGCUCCAAAUCUAUAUCUAUAUAAAUUUGAGAAAGAGUUUUUAGCAACAAGCCUUCAUACACUUUCCCACUCUCAAUCCCAUUUUUCUAGCAUUUCACAUUUAAUUUAUUUCAUAAAAUAUAUCAUAUCCACGUUUGAAACACACGGCUAUGUUUCCAUCAAAUAAGAAGUUGACUCCAACUAACACUUCUCCCUUCACAUACCUUCCCACUCCAAUUAAUACCCCUCUAAUUAACAAAUUUACUCUGAUUAAAACUCCUCCAACCCAAUAAUAAAAGAUAACAACAUAAUUUUACCAAAAAUAGCAAUUUACCAUCUCUUUCAAUUUCCUUUUGUUUUCAAUCUCUUUCAACUUCCUUUUGGUAUCGAUCUUAGCCCUCAACUUAAUUGCAAAGGAGGAAACAUUUGCAGUCACACCAAUGGUAAAAAUUAUCUCAAUCAAUUAAUUAAUGAACAAUUAUCGACAUUUUAUUUUGAAUUAAUAAUUGUAAUCUAUAUGUUUUUUGAAUGGUUUUAGGUUAAAUAUUUUCGGAUACUUGCUUACAUUCAAAGCAUUAACAUAGACAAUAUAUUCCAUGAGUUAUGCAAAAAUUAUGGACAAUCAUGUCAAUCUCAUUUUUCAAAAAUGGCGUGUAUCUAUUGUAACGAUGCAGUUACAUUUUUUCAAAAAUGGUGUACAUCUCAUUUUAAUUAAAUUUUUUUAUUGUAUAUCACAAUUUUUUCUUAACAGAUACAAUUUUAACAUACAAGUUAGAGAUUCCAGUGAUAAGCUAUACCUCACUCUUCAAGAUAGAUAGGCACGAUUCAUAUUUCGUUGUGAUGCUUCUUAUUUUAGAGAUUUAAAAGGAAAAGUAUAAAUUAUUUAUACAUAUGUAUUUUUAUACAAUAUUAUUUACAAACUUUUUAAAACAAAUGAUAAUUCUGAAUUCUGUAUACUCUUAAUUGUUAGAAAAUGGAGGUACAUUAUUCGACCAACACAUUAAUUCAUGCAAAAAUUGUGUAUUCUCAUUUAUAGUACGAAUUCCACAAAAUUCAACAAAAUUAAUUAAACCCCAAAUACUAACAUUCGUACUUAGUGUAAAAAAUGUUUCCACCUUCAUAAAAGAUUAUCAAAUCAAAGGCAAAAUAUUUGUAAGUAUUUCAUUUACUUAUAAAAUUAAAUAUUCAGUUACAUUUAAUUGAACCCUUAUGUCGCUCAAUUUAUGAUAUAGAUUUUUACUUUUUUUUUUCAGGAUCCUACUUCCAUCAAUGUGGUAGUUUAUAAAUAAUGGGGAUAUUUUUAUCAUAUAUUGAACUAUUGCUAUAAAAUCUCAUCUUUUUAACCAUACUUUCAUGUGCCCUAAAUUAUACGAACAAUUACAUAAAUUUCUUACUCUUUUUAAAUUCCUCCAUCGAUUAUAAUUUCUUCGAAAAAUAUGAUCUGUUGUGCAUAGCAUGGGUGUUUAAACUAGUGUUUGAGAGUUUGAGAGGCAUCCAAAAUGUAAACUAGGCUUUGAAAAUUUAAUUAGAAAACUCACAAAUCACAAUCUUCGAGAAUUUACUCCCCGUCUUAAGACAAGUUUGAGAGGCAUUCACAUGGGCCAUCCUCUUAACAAGUUUCCUAUACCAACCCAAUGCUUAGUAGGCUUUUUCCAAGCCCAACAUGAUCGUUAGGCUUCCCAUCGGUGUCUAUAUAUAUAUAUAUAUAUAUAUAUAUCCGUCCUCAAUCAAGCACUGCUAUCUGUGAAACAGUUACGUCUCGGACAAGUUUGUUCUACACGCCAACACGGGAUUCUCAAUGCCAAUUUUCUAGUGACAAUUCAGUACCACUUUUAUAUCUAUGCCAAGUGUCCUGUUUAUUUAAUUUAUUAUGUGUUAUUUAUUUAAAUUUCUUCUACCAUCAUGUGAUAAGUGAGAUUGACACUGAAUUUGACACCGAGUAGUGGUAUAGAGGAUCCCAACUGUUUUCCAAUCAGCUCUUUCUCUUCCCCACGUUACAGUAUAAACAAUAGAUGGUUAUACUGUACCGUGGGAACAGAAAGAGCUGAUUGGAAAACGUGAGUAUGAUACAAUCAAAAAUUUUCUUUAUAAACAAUAGAUGGUCAUCCAAAGAGUAGUUCCCCCCCUCCCCCAACACAAUUCGAAGCAUUAAGGCGACUUUUGGUUUCAAUUUUGCAUACAGGUCCACAGUUGAAGGAGGCACCUAUCCUUCUACUAGUUUUUUGGGUUACUUUCCGAAGAUAUGGUCUCAUAUGUUUCACCGUGACAUUCCUUUUCCAACUCGAAGAAUUCCAAGAUCGCUUGAUGUUGCUCGAUUAUCUCUGACUUAGGUAAGGUGCUGAAGGAGGGAGAAUGGGGCAAUCUUGAUGAAACUUUAAGCUUUCUUGAUAAACAAACGGUUGACAUUGUGGGUUCUUCCAAUGGCCUCCUCCUCUGUUUCGCAUCCAACCACGUUGAUUUUCGCCAAAAGGGGAAUAUGGAUUAUAUCGUACGCAAUCCGGUGACAAGGGAAUUCCGCAGCCUUCCAAGACCUCACAAGGCUUACCGCCAUGUUGCUGUUGCUUUCAUUUGCAAAGGAAGCAAUGCAACCCCUUUGGACGGGAUCGAGUAUGAAGUUAUACGAGCAGGAAUCCUACAACCUUGGAAGUUGACUCGAACACUGGAGAUAGAGACAUUUUCUUCUGUUACAAAUAGAUGGACUGCGGCUUCUUUGGAAUCUUCCUCACCCUUUGCUUUACUUGUGGCUAACAGACCUGCAAUUGUGGUUGGGGAAGUGAUAUUCUGGGGUGGAAUGUCGAGUACUGUUUUGGCUUAUGAUUGUGCAAUGGAAACCGUACAAUUGAUUGAACUUCCCCGUAUGGCUCUAGAACCUUGCGAUUAUCUUCUUGGUCAAUCUGAGGGACAAUUGCAGCAUGGCAGAUUUGACCUUGAUGGAUUGGAGAUAUGGGUGCUGGAAGAUUACCGAAGAUCUGAGUGGAUCCUAAAGCAUCGUGUGAGUUUCACAGAAGUAAAUCAUUUGGCUCGUUCCCCAGGUUGGCUCGCCCCUCUUCGGCUUCAUGGUUUUCACCCCAAUAAAUCUGAGCUGCUCUUUAUUACUUGGUCUGGACACCCAUUUUGGAUUGAUUUUAUGAAUUACACAUUGACAGAAACUGGAGGUGGUUUAAUCAUUGACCAGUAUCCAUUUCAGUUCUUCCCAUAUGAGUGGCCCCUUUCGUGCUCUGAUGGCCAGUGAUUUGAUGUCUCUCAGAUCGUACCAGUGAAUCGGCCUUCUCACCUUACUUCAGUACUUACUACCUGCUUUGGUAAUUUGGAUGGGGUGGAAGUCCCUGGGAUGGCAUUUUUGUUUUUGACGGCCUUGCAUGAUUUCAAUGGCUCGAGUCUUGCCUUGAUGUUUGCCUCUGCCAUUCAUAAAGUUUAGUUUAUUAGUGCAUGGUUUCGGUGGUAAGUUUGCCCUUUGCCAGGUUUUUCAUAACUUACUUGGAUGCACAGAGGAGGAGUAGAUUAGUAUUCUAUCUUACUUGGAAGAAAAAGAAGAAGCAGAGGAAAUUGGUCCAGAAACUGAUCAAAUCACUUUUAUGCUGCCUGCAACAAGAGUAUUUUCUACCAUUUAGACUAGACUGUUUUAUGAUUUCAUUCUGUGAGGGAGGCCUACCUCAUCGAAAAUUUUGUUGAGAACUUCUUAUGUUACCAUGUACUUUUAGGAAUUGGCAUUAGGUUACUGAAAUUUUGUCAUUACUCCCUCAAUCAUUUAAACAUUAAAGGAAAGAAAUUGGAACCGGAGGCUCCACAAUGUUGUCAAAUUUGGUGCCCAAUUGAGACUUUUGAUGUCUUUGGUGGGUCAAAACGAAAAAAAUUUUGCUAUAAGCUUAUAAGUUUUCAUGAAAUCAUCAAAUUGUCAGUCGAUUUCAAGCUGAAUAUGUGAGGUGCUCAAUAUUGCAAAAUGCUUUGGACCCUGAAAGGAGACAAGACAAGUAAUCCAUCCCCCCCCUUCAUUUUGAUCUGUAAACGAGAAAGACAACACAGAAAGGCCACAAAGCUUAAAAAGAAAGAAUUGUUCCAGAGAUUGAUAAGUCACUGCUAUAUAUGUAUAUAUUGACUUCCACUUCCAAGGGAGUAUAGGUGCAAUGGCCCAGACAGAAAUUAAGAAGUUUAUCAAACACAUGGGCGGUUUUUAGGCAUGGAGGAGUAGCCGCCGCCAACGUCGACCAAGAUUCCAAUUCUACAAUUUAAACUUUCAUCAUUCAUCUUCUGACCAUUCACCUGUUAGAGAAUUAUAACUCUUUCAUGAUGAGUUCAUAGUGGGAAUGGAAGUCUGCCUCAUUUAGAACCUGUUGAGCACACGAUCCCAUUAUUAAACUGCAAAACCUACAUUAAACUCACACAUCAAGAAGUUUUUGAGUACAAAAUCAAAGGAGGAACAUCAAGUUGGCAAGAAAAAAAAAUCUUGGCAUAGAUCACGAUUCUUGUGUUAUGGGCAGGAUUUAAUAAUUUCCAAGCGUCAAAGAUUUUUUUUUUUUUAAUCUAAAGAAAGAAAGUUUGAUUCUCAUUUGCUCCAUCCAGCGGUUUCCCUUCGAAAAACUUGAAGCAGAAAAGCACCUUUGAUCAGUUGGUCAGGAAAUUAGUACUUUUAGCCAGCUCCAUGUUUCACUGCUUUUACUUUAUCUGAAUUUGACCCAAAAAAAAUUAAUAAAAGAUUGGUACUUUAGUUGACAAAAAUGCCAUGAAGUCACAUUACUUUAUUAUUGCUAGUGUUUACGUAAUUAAUACGGUCAGCUUUUGUUCAUCUGAGCAGUGGCCACUGGUUAAGUGAGAAAUCAGAAAUUUCCAAUAGCACAAGUACCAAAGGAAAACAACGAAUGUUUGGCAAGCAGAUCCCAAUAAAAUCAUGCAUUUGACUAGUUUAGAAAUGUCAUAUUGUCUCAUUUUCAUUUCUCUGAAUCACCACACCAUGAUCUAUACAUUCAUUCUGUGUCUACAUGUUUAUAACCUAUAUAUCUGUAUAUAUAACUCAAAACUGAGUUAAAAAAAGGGAAAAAAAAAAAACUUACGGAAUUGUUUGGGAAAUGUAUUAACUAAUGACUAUAUCCUCAAACACACAGCAUAGAAAACUUUGCAGGAGUAGAAGAAAGAAAGAAAAACCAAGAAAUGAAUUAUUUCAGUGGCCUAUUCCAGGACUUGGUACAGACUGCAAAUUCCGUUCAAUAUGGGCAGGGGCCGCAGCGAAGUGUUUCUCAUUGAAAGGAUUUGCUGAGUGACCUUUAUUACUUGGAGUAGAAGGUGGAACGCAACCCUCGGGAAGGGGAAGGGCCCUCAAUGCCAAACUUUCCUCCAGAGCAGAUCCCACCUCUUUCUUUUCACUAUUUAGGAGCUUCCUUGAUUCUGUACGCUGCACCAAACAACAUAUACAAAUAAUAACCAAAACUUGCAAUCUUGCAUGGAGCUUAGCCAUGUAGUGCAAGAAAGAGUUGCAAGAAAGCAAAAUUUAGCAAGGCUUUGGCUAAGCUGUGAGCAAGAGAAGUAGGGAGUCGGAGUGAUGAGAUUUCUUGGGAAUGGAAUGGUUAUCCAUGGUUUUAUAUGUGAAGAAACGGGUAGAGGGGUUGAAUGAGGAGUCAGUCAAGAGGAUUUGAGUUUUUGCCUUUUUGGAGGAGGAAUAUUUGCUUUGUGUUCUACUAUUACGGUGUACUUCCAAUUGCCUCGUGGAAGUUGAGUAGGUAUGGAUGAACUAAGCCGCCGGCCCUGGUUUCUUUGGACUUUUCUGUUUGAUUUCGUCCUUUGCCUUCUUUUACGGUUUUACCUUGUGCUAUUUGAUUUGGUAUUGUCCUGUUUUCACUUUUCACUACGGCUGGCCGCUGACCAUAUAUAAAGAAUCGUUCCUUGACUUCCUUCCUGUAAACUACUGUACUUUGUAUAGUCUAUUGUAGCUGGUUCUAAUUUGUUUCCACUUUCUAUGAAAUUUUCAAGUUAAUUACAUCACCUACGGCUACUACUACUAUUUGUCUGCCACCAUAUGAUCUGCUGGCCUGAAGUAAGUUUAUAACCAUCAUAUUUAAGGUUUUGCAUGUAGCCCUUUUGGAUGGACUAACAUGCUUGGUCCAGACUUAAUUAUAUUCUUAAUUGUAGGUUAUCAAGAAUUAUUAACUUAAUUUUAUGAAUUCAUGUACUAUACAUUGACAGUGUAUACACUUUCAUUAUUAGAUGCACGACACAUAUUCCGAAAUUGAAUUUAAAACUCAAAUUUUGCAUGUGUGUCAUAUAUCCAACCGUGAUAGUGUAUAUACAUCGUCAAUGUAUAUAAAAUUUACUCUAAUUUUAUGCCAGAGAAGUACGAGUUUGAACGAUUGCUCCAAGACAAGAAUUUGAAUUCUAAUUAACUUAAUCGUGCUCAAGUUUUUGGCCAUAAAGCCUCAACUCCUAAUGCGAAACAACCACAGAUCACACAACCAAAGAAAAGAACUAAAUGUCACCCUGUUGUCGACAAGGGAUUUAGGUACACGAGACAUUUGAGGAAGACAAAAAUAGGUCCGGAGAAAGAAAAGCAACGCUAAAGUGAGAGAUAAAUGUGGUUGACAUUUCAGUGAUGAUAUCAAACGAAGAGACAAAUACUACAGUCCAUGGUAAACCCUCGUGCUCAGGUUACUUAUAGCUGGAAAUUUAAAAAGAUUGUUCUGGGAAUGAAGACAUGGUGAGGACUGCAGAACUGAGAUUUUACACAACGGAAAAAUGUUACAAACUGGAUUGACUUCAUAUAGAGUUCAAAAGGGAGAAAUUGAUCUUGUAGGAAGAAUCUUUUGUCCUAAGCAAUUUGAGGUGAUUAACCAGCACGUGACAGCUGAUUGUCCUCAUAGACAUCUUAAUCAAGAUUAGUCAAAGAAAAAGAUUUUACUAAUCCCCGUGAAUUAGUGGAGGCAAAAAGUACCUAUAGUCCAAAAUUGCAUUCUACAAGCCCUUAAAACUGCCGUCCAUGAGGCUGAAGCAGUAAUCUGACAUGUCUUUGAAGUUAACAAGUUAACAUAUCAAUUAAAUUAACUCUUCUGCAAUCAUCUCAGAUAAGACAAUUUACAACUUUUCUUGCGAAUGGUUACGCAUUCAGAAAUCAGCUUGAUUAAAUAACUAAAUCCAGAUUAAAAAAAAUGGUUGAAUCAGCAUUAUACAAAAGACACUGGACAAAACAUUUUCAUUCAACUCCGAUAAUUGUCGAAAGGAAUUUGUCAUCCAAAGCUUGUUAUUUUUGUACCAUUUUGUCUCUGGUUGCCUUCAGAUAAAGCCCAAAUGGCAUUUGGGACAUCUGGAGGCUCGAAAGAGCCGGAUUUAUUAUAUGUGGAAAGGUAAAACUAUUCAAACAUCAAAGGAGAUUAAAACCCAAAAGAGUGCAAAAGUUGCAGGCAGAGUACGAAGAACAAAACAACUAUUGGCUAUGUACACUUUCUCUCAUGCAUAGCCAUAUUUAGCAAUGGAAAUUUUCGUAACGGCAAUUCUUUUAUACUUGUGAUAUGAAAAAUAAAAAACUGCUUAUGGAUAAGUUAAUUUGAUGUUUCAAUGUUACAUUUGCUGGAGAAAUCAGAUUUUAGUGCUCUUCUAGCAGGGGAUCUACAGAGAUUAAUACAUCUUUUCAAAACAAUCAUUAGCAAGGAAAGAAUCUCAAACAAUUUACAGAAUAUCGAAAAUCCAAAAACAUACUGAUUAAUUCUAAUUACUGACAAAUAGAACUUUGGAUAUACACUUCUGAAGCGCUGGUGUAUGUUGCUGUUGCCUUACGAUAGACACUCCUGAAACGCCGGUGUAUGUUGGGAGACUUCUGCACCCUUCCAAGGCCUCACAAGGCCUACGGCUAUGUUGCUGUUGCCUUUAUCUGCCAAAAAAACGACUCUGCAUCUCGGGAUGAGGUUCAAUAUGAAGUUAUACAAGCAAAAGUGCUAAACGCUGCUGCCUCUGGAUCGACUACAAUCAUAUCAUGUGAAAUCCUGUCACAAGAGAAUUCCACACCCUUCCAAAGUGUCACAAGGCCUAUGGUUAUGUUGUUGCUGCCUUUAUCUUCAAAGGAAACAACGCAGCAUCUCUGGAUGAGCUUCAGUAUGAAGUUAUACGAGCAGAAGUGCUAAGCCCAGCUGCUUCUGGAUCGACUACAUUGCUGGAGAUAGACACAUUUAAUUCUGUUGCAAACAUUUAAUCUUGCAGACUAAGCUUGAGUUGUAUGCAUAAACUAAUGCAAGUAAGAAGCAGAACUGGGGAGAUAGAUUGCUUGGAAUAUCAGAAAACAUUAGAAAAGGGAGAAACUUGAGAAGUUCCUGUCAAGUGAAGAAUCCAAAUUUGGCAACCUCCAGCAUCCUUCUCCUUUGCUGAAAUAUAAACCAACAUAAUUAUCAUCAUUCUGGGGAUAUCAAGAAUCGGAAAAAUGAUAUAGCGAUUCUCUCAUUUCAUUUAUUGAGCAGAAAAGAAAGUUUCUGGUGUUAGCAUUGGCUCAACAAUCAAAAAGUCACAUGGAAGAAAAAGCAUAUUCCUGAAACAAGCCUUUUGACUGUUGCAACUCCACAGCUUCUAACAUAUUAUGUUUCUGUGUCCCUACUAAUAUCUUGUUAUUUCUUCUUCAUCUUUAUUUUCUACUAGAUGCAGCAUGCAUUCACUUUACAGUAAUUGGCCAUGAAAGUCUUAAAUGCUUUACAGAAAUUGGCCAUGAAAGGCUAGCAUGAUGGCAAGAUUAAGAUCAUGGAAUUUCAAUAGAACAGAAAUGUAUAAUUGCAGACAAAGUGGAACACUCACUACACUCUGUAUUACACCUCAUGCUGUCAGCAAUAAAAAUACAAACACUGCUAAGGUAUGCUGAAAAUUUAUACAAACAUGGAACACUGCAAUCUACUGCUUUACUUAAUUCCAAGAAACAUAACUUUCCUAUUUCUCAUGUUUGGACUACUAACAUCACAAGUAAGAACAAGGGAAAUGAUAUCUUACAAGACAUGGGCUGAAAGUUUGAGCAGUCAAUAAAUCCAUUAGAGCUUGAUGGUCAAUCAGAAAUACUGUACACAACCAACUCUAAAGGACUGAAAGAGCAUCAUCUGUUCCUUUUAACAAAGAAUCAAUAAACUGGCAGGUGUUUGACAGCCCAUCUUUGUUCAACACCACAGAUAUCACCAUGCUCCAUGUGGUCAUAUCAGAAAACUUUCCCUUCACCAAACUACUUAAAACCUUCCACAGCCUAUCUGUAUCCUCUCCUCGAAUUAACCCAUCAACUAAUUUACAUAUACUUGAAGAGCGAGGAAGAUAACCUUUGAAGACCAUCUCAUCCAAAAUAAGUGCUGCUUCCUUCAAUUGCAUUCCAUCACAAAGGCCAUCAAAGAGUUCCCUAUAAGUCACCACAUCCGGAAAGCACUUCCUUCUCGGCAUAUCUUCAAAUAACUCGUUAGCUUCUUUUAGCUUCCCCGCCAUGCAAAGCCCACCAAUAAUCACAUUGUAACUAAUUACAUCUGGCUUACACCCCUUUGCUUCCAUCUCAUUUAAUAUUCCAAAUGCAGAAUCGAAGUCCUUCUCCAUACAGUAUCCAUGUAUCAUUGCAUUGUAUGUUGCUGUGUUCAUUGUGCAGUUAUUUAUUCUCAUUUCAUCUAACAAUCCAAAAACAUCCUCCCGACGACCAACCUUGAAUAGUGCAGAAAUCAAGGUAGCAUACACUGUAGAAUCCAAUUCCACCUUUUUCCUCAUCAUCUCCUUCUUAAGCUUAAUAGCGGAAUCAACCACAUUACUCUUGCAAAGCCCUUUAAGCAACACAACAUACACAAAUGCAUUAGGCUUCAAUUUGAAGUCCCUCUCCAUCAUUCUCUUCAAUCUAAAAGCAUCAUCUAAGUGUGCAUUCGCACAGAACCCAUUAAUCAAAGUCCCAAAUGUCACCACACUCGGCAGAAUACCUCUCUUAAGCAUUCCAUCAAACAAAUUCAACGCAUUACCCAAAUCCCCUUGCCUGCAGCAAGCUUUAAUGAGUAUACCAUACGUACAAGCAUCCGGGCAAGCGCACUUCUCAACACCCACAAAAACUUCCCUCAUUUUCUCAAAUUCCCUGCAAAUUGACAGACUAUUUAACAAAGAAUUCACUGAGUUGAUUGUUCUUUGGCAACGAAAAGAUGGAAUUUCAUCAAACAUCUGGAGGGCUUUUUGGGGCAAACGAGCUCUGCCGUAAAAUGUAAUAAUGUUACAAAAAAUUAUCUCUUUCGGGAUUAUUCUAGUGUCCUGUCUUAAUUUCUGGAUUAUUUGUUCUAAUUCAUCAAACAUUUUGGCUCUACCCAACUUUGAGAUAAUGAGAUCGUAGGACAGAGGAGAGUAGCGGAAGGGCUUGGAGCUUGGGUUAGGAUCAUUUGGGUUGGGGUUGAGGAAGAGUUGGAAGGCAAGUUUAGGGUCUUUUUGCAGGCGAAGGAGAGAAGAAAGUCUGAAAGGAGAGAUUUUAUUGAGUUUUUCCAUUUAAACGCAACGGCUACGGAAGUUGGCAAAUAAAUGGGAGUUUGGUUCCCGCCUGAAGAUGAUGGAUCAAAAGGCAUUUCUAAGGCCACUAUUUGGGCCGGAGCGGAAAAUACUGGCCCAUGGAUUUUGUUUCUUAAAUUUUUUUCGGGGUGGGAUUUGGGCCAUGUUACUCCAUUAAUUUUCUGUAUUAUCAGCUAAAUCGAGAAUAAAGAAAAAUCCAGUGAAAUUGUGUAUCGUCAAAUGACAAUUUGAAACUUUUAUUUGACAUUUUGAUGUAGAGAUCCCAAAAAUUAUGAAUAUCAAGGAGCUAAGCCAAUUGUAUAAGCAAAAUAAACUGUGUAGAUGCUUUCUCUUAACACAAAUUGCUUUUUGUCGUAGAAAAGAUUUCAACACAGAUAAAAGCUAAUGUGGGGGGUUUUUUUUUUUUUUCUUGGAUACGACAAUUAGGUAUAGAUUAUGAUUUUCGUCAUAGGAAACUUUCAAUAUUAAUUACUAAAAUAGCUUUAUCUCAAUUAAGACCUGAUUUUUGUAAUUGGUCCAUCCAAAAUUACUUUCUCGUAAAUCAAAAUUUGUACCCGGCCACUUGAAUAAUACGUGAGAUUCCCUAGAAAAAUAUUUGAGAUGUUAGAGUUGGAAAGGAAUUGGAUCAAUCAAUGAAGCUCAAAGAAUCAAAAAAAAAAAAAAAUAAAGGCCAUGAACAGCUGGUUGAAAAAGAAUGAAGUCACAAAUCAAAAUGAGAUGAUAAAAAUGGUUCAACCAGGAAAAAUUAAUUAUUACCGGUCUAAUUCUCGAAGAGCCCGGAAUAACAAGUACAAGAAUUCAAAGCAAAAUGUUGGCAUUAAAAACUUAAAGGUGACAAGAUCUGCAUGGAAAAGGAAUCGAAGGGCGAAGGGUGUAGUUCAAGGUAAAACCGACAGAGGAAAAGUUAAUUAGGAGUAGCUUUCAAUUUUAAAUGAAGCCUGCGUUUUGCAGUAAUUCUAAAGUCAAGAAAAGCAGAUCUAUUUGACUGCUGCUUUAGCAGCACGACCUUCAGACAGAAAUUCUCUCUGUUAUCUGAGACAGUGGCUGCUGCUGAAUUGUCGUUGUUUUACUAUUCAAAUUUUGCCAAGGUCAGUGAAAGUGCACUAGACUGUCACCCAAAAAAAAAAGAAAAGUGAAUUAGACCAACAAUAGUUAGUCAUUUUUCCUUAAUAAAAAAUAAAGGUAUUAGAGAUAUACCUGUAAUUUCACUAUAUAUUCAAGUCGACUCUCGAACUAAUAAAUUAAAUUUUUCUUUGUUUAAGUUGAUUUGAGUUCGAUAGUUCCACUAGAUUGAUUCGAUUUCGAGUCGAGUUUUGACUGAGUCGGCUCGUGAACAUUCGUGAGUGACUUGAUUCGUUUGCAAUCCUAUUAAUUCUUGUAGCAUGUUCUUGUUAUACCAGUGUACAUUGAUUUCUAGUGAUAACGAGACUGCAAUGCACAUUGUUAUGUACUGAUUAACAUUAAUCUAUAGCUUAUAUAAAAUGUUAAAAAAGACACGAAAAUGUUCUUGGCAUUUGGAUCAGAAAUUUGAGUGUGUUUCAUGCGGUGAGCUCUAGUGAUAACGAGACUGCAGUUCUCGCUUUGGUCUAUUAAAUAUUUCUAGUGCACCCUGUACUUAUCAAUGUACAUCAAUUUCACACGAAAAUCAUAAUUCAUAUGUGACAUGUUCGUCUUUGGUUCAUUCACUUCCCUUGCCACGAAACAAAAAAAAAGAAAUUAAUGUUUAAAAACCCCAAAAGCAGAUGGGAAUUACAACCAUCCAAUCGGUUUAGAAUUGAUGCGAUUCACAAAUAAUGAAACUAAGCAGCAAAGGAAAAGUGUUGCCAGAUGAGAUUUAGACAGCUUAUGUUGUAAUUAACUAGCCCAUAUGAUCAAUGUGGAUGUGAUUAUGGAUAAAGAGAUCAUCGAACGGAGUGCUUCUCAUUCAUGCAUCAUUGCAGUUCACUUGUUCAAUAAGGAGGUGAGCAACACAGCACAUUGUUCAAUGUCGGAAAACUUUUGUUAAUUCUGAAAGAAGGCACAGGUUGUACAAGUUACAGAUCUCAAAAACUCUUUUCCCACCUCCAACUUCUUGAUGAUUGGCUGGAAGUGGAACCAGAUUUCUGCAUUCGCUGAAGGUUCGAUACCAGCAUCAGGUGAAGAAACAUUGAUCAGCUCUCCUAAAAAUAACUCAUCAUGUUGCUAGAUAUCCAGAAUGUAUAUAAUUCAAGAACGCCAAAUAGCCUGCAAAAGCAACAAGAAAUCUACCUCACUGAUUAAUCACGGCUGGACUUCCCUUCAGUAAUAACUAGCAAUGCAAGCGUAUAUAUCUGACUUUCCUAAGCAAUGGAAAAAUCAUAACUGCACGGGAUAUACCUUGAAACAAGCACUAAUGCAGUUUCUGAACCAACGUGCCAUCGGGGCUUUCUUCAGUUUCUUUAACUUUCCCAGCGAUUCAAUCUUGGAGAAGUGAUUGUUGUAGGGUGGAGAAGAUAAAAAGAAGGCCCUUGUGGGAAUCAAUGGAGACCAUAAACCACUCUGCUCAUAAUCAAAGUCGAAUUCUGAAGCAUCAAAGUACUUCCCCAAAAGCCUGUCUGAUAAGCUUUUGGAAACCAUUUGGAUGUAGACUUCUGAGCUACCACCAUCCGGGAAGAAAGUGUGUGCCAAUUCCUGGGGCGAGUCUAAUGAGGAUGAUGAUGAUGGCUCUGCAGAAUUGGCCAUAAAGUUGAUAUAAUCUGAUGUGGAGAAACGAUGGUAGGACGGAAAUGGUCUCUAGGAUUCAGAGAAAGGUUUUUGAAAAGAGAAAAUGCAAAUCAUGGGAAUAAUGAGUGUUACGGGUGGGGCGUUUGUAAUUCAGAACUUUGAGUGGUUGAAAACAUAUUGCUUUUCAAGUUGCUGAUAAACUUUCAUGGACUUCAGGGCAAGAUACCUUUUUUCUUUGGGUUGGGAUGAUAUCCUUGGGGCUAAUGCCUAAUGUUCAUGUGGGUAGAACCUUUUGAUAUAUGCAAAAGAAAUUGGUUUGCAUUUCAAAUAAAAGUUUGCUUAUUAACUUCUGAAGAAUUUUAACCAUAAAUUGCUGGAUACUCUACAAUUAUACCUCUUAAAGCCCAAAUCUCUUUUCUGCCCGCGCAUGAAUAUUGGAAUGUACAACUUUUAUUGGACAUUCACAUUAUUAGUCGUGUAUUUCACGUUUUUUCCAGAGAAAAUUUGAUAAUACUGCUAAAAUGUAUCACAAAUCUAAAAUUAACCGAUAACCUAUACAUAAUUGCAAAAGCAAAACGAGAUUACUGAUAAAUGCAUUUAUACAACAAUAUAUACAUUCGUCAAAUUGAUGGAAAAUGGUGGUUUUAGAAUAUAGAAAUCCGUUAUUUUUUUUCCUUUUUUUGGGAGGCCUAUGCAACAUUUGGGAGUCUCAUUGGCAAAUCUUGAAAAUAGUUAUUAUAACACUUUUUUAUGAAGUGAUGUAUGUGACAUAAAAAGGUGAUUGAAAAUAGGGAUAAUUGCAGAAACCUCCCUUGAGGUUUCUAAUAUUUGCACUGACCUCCCCUGUGAUUUGAAAAAUUUUACUAACCUCCCUUGAGGUUACUAAUCCUUUACAAAUUCAGUCCAAACGAUUAAAAUAUUAUAUUUAGGGAGUGAAAUUAUAAUUUUUUACCAAAUUUGUCCUUUGUACUACAUGUCCAAUGAAUGACAAAGUACUACAAAUCAAUUAACAAUUAAUAAACUUUAAGAAGUAUAGUUUAUAGGCAAAUACACAUUACCUAUUUAAAGUACCAGCUGUUUAUGAGUAUUUUACUUUUAAACAUUUAAUUUAAUACAAAUAUUUACGCUCAAAUACAGAUUUAUAUUUACUUUCAAAUAUUUAAUUUUUGUUAAAUACAAAAACUACCAAUCUCUCUUCCGUAAAAAUAUUAAUAUAACACUUUUUCAAUUUUAGUUACAAACAUUUAUGUAUUUAACAUAAAUUAAAUGAUUCGGAAUAAAAUGCCCAUAAAGAGCCAAUACUUUACUUAUAUAAUAGAUGAAAGCCAUAAAGAAUUAAUACUUUAUGGGCCAUUUCUUUUUUUUUCAUAUUUAAUUUAUAUUAAAUAAAUAACUUACCGAUUUGCUUUUUGCAAGAAUAUUACUAUAAUACUUUUUGAAUUUUACUUACAAAUAUUGAUAUAUUUGUCAUAAAUUAAAUGUUUGAAAGUAAAAUACCCGUAAAAAACCGGUACUUUAAAUGAGUAAUGCGUGUUUGCUCAUAAAGAGUCGGUAACUAUUUAAAGUAUUGGUUCUUUAUAGGUAUUUUACUUUCAAACAUUUAAUAUAAUACAAAUAUUUAGGCUCAAAUACAGAUUUGUAUUUACUUUCAAAUAUUUAAUUUUUGUUAAAUACAAAACCUACCAAUCUCUCUUCCGUAAAAAUAUUAAUAUAACACUUUUUCAAUUUUAGUUACAAACAUUAUGUAUUUAACAUAAAUAAAAUGAAUAAAAUGCACAUAAAGAGCGAAUACUUUACUCAUGUAAUGGAUGAAAGCCAUAAAAAUUAAUACUUUACGAGUCAUUUCUUUUUUUAAAACAAUAUUUAAUUUUUAUUAAAUAAAUAACCUACCGAUUUUAUUUUUGCAAGAAUAUUACUGUAACACUUUUUGAAUUUUACUUACAAAUAUUGAUAUAUUUAUCAGAAAUUAAAUGUUUGAAAGUAAAAUACCUGUAAAGUGCCGGUAUUUUAAAUGAGUAAUGCGUGUUUACCCAUAAAUUAUACUCCUUAAAGUUUAUUAAUUGUUAAUUGAUUUAUAGUACUUUAUCAUUCAUUGGACAUGUAGCACAAAGGGCAAAUAUGGUACAAAAUUCUAAUUUCACUCCCUAAAAUAAUAUUUUAAUCGUUUGGACUAAAUUUGCAAAGGAUUAGAAACCUCAGGGGAGGUCAGUGUAAUUUUUCAAACCACAAAAGAGGUUAGUGCAAAUGUCAGAAAGCUCAGGGGAGGUUUCUGCAAUUAUUCCUUAAAAAUAUAAAAAAGUAAAUUAAAAAAUAUAUUUACGAUGCAAUCAAAAAAUUUGUUGAAAAAAUUUUGCUAUCGAAACAUAUCCAAGAGCUUCACCUUUGAUCCAAAGUUUAGGCCCAAAGUAACCCAAAAGCUAGCCCAUUUUGCGCCGUCAUAUCCAUCCUCAUCAGCAGAAACGACUGUCAAUCAAAACCAACCUCCCGCUCUUUUAACUCUCACCGCUUCAACCCCUAAUCACUUCAUUCAAUUUCAAAACCUCAAAAUCCCAAAUUCAAUUGGUUUCCACAAAUUAUUUAAAAUCUUUGCUGGAUAAAAUGAAGGAAGAAGAAAUUGAGAAGCUGAGGGGAGUAGUUCGGGACUGCGUCAGCAAGCAUUUGUACUCAUCGGCGAUCUUUUUCGCCGAUAAAGUAGCUGCCUUUACCGCCGACCCCGCCGACAUUUAUAUGCAGGCUCAGGCCCUUUACCUCGGUCGCCAUUAUCGACGUGCUUUUCAUCUCCUCAACGCCUCUCAAAUCGUCCUCCGUGACCUCCGCUUCCGAUACCUCGCCGCCAAAUGCCUCGUGAGUUAUUCCUUUCCGUCCUCCCCCGCCAAUAGUAUGAUUCUUUUCUGCUGCUAAAUAGGUUCUUAUGAAUUGGUUUUUGGGAUUUUCUGAUAAUUAGGAUUUUUCUUAAAAAUCAUUUCAGGGUAGCGAAAUUAUCCAUUUUUUAAGCUUUUUGUAAUGGAGAAUUUCAGAUGUAUCGUCUGAUAAGUAGAGAUUUUGAGCUCGCUGUUGAUUCACACAUGCCUUAAUUUACGCUGAGAGCUGAGUGGGGUUGCGAAAUGUUAGAUAGUAUUACUUAGCGAGCAAAUGAUUAUCAUGCUAUAGAAAUGAAAGGAUAAUCUAUUUUUUCUACAGAAUGUGAUUCUUGGUGGAUCUAUGCCAGCUUUUGAUGAGCUUUGAUCUUUCUAUACUAAGGGUUGGGAGUUUUUGGUUUGUAAAUCAAUUGCACCCACGUAUGUAGUGGGUUAUUGCAGCUUCUGUAUGGAUUUAGAAUUUUAGAUAGAUCAAAGCAGCUCAGCUGUAGUAUUUGAAGUUCAAAACAAAAAAAAAUCACCUGAUAGGUAGAAAGAACAGCAUAUCUGAAGUCAUUUUGUCCUGCAGAACAUGAAUAAUUGAAGUUUAAUGAGAUUUAGAAAGUUUUAACAAAUCAGCAAUCUGUGUAGUCGUUUUGUUGAUAGCAACUGAAUUGCUUAGUACAGUAUUGCCUUAGGCCCAGUUGUUAUCAAAGAUCGAAUAUGUAGAACUGGCAAGCAGUUAAAGGCCAACAACUGAUUCAUAUUUCAACAUUGUGUUACAGCCUUUUGUUUGUCCAGGAUUAUUAUAUGCAGGAUCCUCGGGAAUUUAUUUAUUUUUCUAAUUUUAGAUUCUUGUUGGAAUUUCUUUCAAUCAUAUUUGAUCAGGAAGAACUGAAAGAGUGGGACCAGUGCCUCCUGAUGCUUGGCGAUGCCAAAGUUGAUGAGCAUGGAAAUAUUACAGACACAAGAGAUCUCAACAUUAUGUAUUUGGACAAGGAUGGAGAAGAUCGGGAAAUCAAUGUAAGUUGUCCACUCCAAUAAAACAUGUAAAAAAAAAUUCCUACCAAAUCUUCCAGGAGGGAGUGUGAAUCUUUUUAAGUUAUCCCUCACUGUUUCCUGCUACUUUUAAUCCGUAAAUGAAACUUGAUAUAAAAAGAAACCUCUAUUGGUAUGUGCUCAAUAUAUUUACAGAACUUACAUAUGGUGGCAGAUUUUAGCAGCAAUUUGCUUUUUAAGAGGUAAAGCAUAUGAAGCAUUGGAAAAUCGUGCACAGGCUCGCUUGUGGUGAGUUAGUAUUCAUGUCAUAGUUGUUACACUAUUUUUGACUGCUGCAUUUGUAUUGAGAGUGUAGCUUUCAUUAAUGUCUUAUGUUAAUUUAGAUUUUUGGUUUGAGAAUGGUACGAUGUUUUACAUGUAUAACUUCUGCCUUCCCAUUUCCUUUCACGCAUCUUGUUGUUCCCUUUCCUGGUAUUUCCACUCCCACUCUCUUGAGUUUAUUUAACUAUUGGUACUCUGUGGGUCAAUCACAUUGUUGUACUCUGGUGUUGAUGUUUAAAGGUACAAAGCAGCUAUCAAGGCUGAUCCUCUGUGCUACGAGGUAAGACUGAUUUUUUUUUUCGACAUUUGAUCUAGUUAUUCUUGUCAAUAUUAUCUGAAAUUUUUCCUUGAGGAUGUCAAAAAUGAUCUUAAGCUCCUUUAGUGGGCCUUUGGAGUAAUAGGAAGCUGGGAUCCUAAAAUUCGAUCAGUUUUCAUGGUUGUUGAUUGUCUUGGAACCUUGUAGACUGCGAUAUGGCUACAAGUGUCAGAUAAUAAACAACUAAAACUUUGUAGCUCUGAGGUCCUUAAUGCGUGCUUGUCAAAGAUGAAGACACGGGAGGAUACUAAGGAGAGGGUUUGCUAGUAUGUGUUUUACAAUGGGUGAUACAUUUGAUUUUGAACCUUAUCAAGGAUUGAAUUGUAACAUUUCCAAGUGGUAGAUUUACUAUAGAGCAGUUUCCCCAUUAAUCUGACUAGGUCAUGCCUCCUCCUCGUCUUUAUGUAUCUCCUUUUACUCUCAUCCGUCUCUCCUCACUCAGGUUUUUCUGCAUUCAGGCAUUGGAAUGUCUUACAGAAAAUCAUAUGCUCACUUGUGAGGAAGGUGAGAAGUGAUGGAACUUUUCAUGCUUUUCAGGGACCAAAAGAAUUUCAAGCAUUUGUUGUCUAUCUUGUGAUAUUUUUGUUGAAUAUUUGGUUGAUUUACUGUGGAAUCUCUUCUUCUGUGUCUAAAUCCUCUGGAUUUCCUGGUUGCGAUAAAAAUAAACAAUGAUAUUUUUUCAUGUUAAAUUGCAGAGACAAGAUUACUGUCAUCACUGAAUUGUGGUUCUGUAGAUGGCUGGCUUUCUUCAUUCUACACAUGUUUGAUGAAGAAGGUAAUAAUGUCCCAGUGGACAGGAUUAUAUUGAUGCGGUGGUUGCUUCUUCAUAUUCAUUUUUAUCAAGCUACGAACUUUUUUAUGUCUUCUACUUGUUCUAGAUGCAUGUAUCUUCCUAGUGUCCUCUUUUGUGAAUUAAACAUAUUUUCCUUUUCAUGUUAUUGUCCAGUAUGAUAAGAAAAACGUAAUAGAAACCAAAUUUAGAGAACUAGAACAGGAAGACGCUGAUGCAAACUCCUCAGAGAAAACCUUCUUGUGUACACUGAGAAACAAUACCGACCUUUUGGCCUGUAAAGCUGAGUACUACCAUCAGUGUGGUGAAUACCAGAAGUGCUUCCAGCUUACCUCAGUGUAAGCUUGCAUUUUUGUUGAAAACAGAAUUGUUCAAACUCUUUACAACCGAACUGCUGGAUUGAGACUUUGUUUUGUUCCAUAUGAUGUAAACCAGAUUGCUUGAAAAGGACCCUUUCCACAUGAAGUGUACACAAAUACACUUAGCAGCAGCUAUGGAGCUUGGGCAUUCAAAUGAGCUAUAUCUUAUGGCAUGCAAUUUAGUCAAGGACUAUCCUCAGAAGUGAGAAUUCAGAACUUCUUUCAUUUGUUUGAAAACCUUGUUAUCUGAAUUUCCUGUGAAAUGGAAGACUUAAGACUAACGUUUAAUAUAUCUCCUUUGUAAUCUGUGAUUUGAAUUUGGUCUAUUCUGCUAGUGGACAACUGAGAAUAGAACGGAUAAAUGAUUGAUGCAUCAUUGAAUCUUCCGACUUUAGCACAUACUUAGGCAUUUAUGCUUCGAAUAGAAGAGCAUUCAGAGAGUUAUAAAAUGUUUGAAGAUCUCAGUUUUCUUAGGGUCUCAUGCCCACCUCCCUGGAUAAAUAAAAGCACAUAUUCAUGAUUUAUACUUAACGAUGAUAGGUGCUAAAUCAUUCUCAUAUAUUUUGAGGUACCAACUUUUUUGAUUGUGACUGAAUGAAGUGCAUAUUGCUGUUUGUGUGUCAAGGAGAGUAUUUUUGAGAAUUCUUUCCUGUGGUUCAUUUUCUGAAUUUGAUCUAUUCAUCAUAGACGGAAUGGAACAUUUUUCUAAUUUGAAUCUGAUAUAAUUAGGUAGAGGCUAAGUAUAUGAAUAAUGGCAGCAAUCAGCAUUUUGAUGGCUUGUAAUUAUCUUCUCUUCAGAGAAAUUAUUUUUCUCUUUUUUGUAUUUGAGACAACUGGUUGAAAAUCAUUGUAUGAACCUUUUUGUCUUCCUUUGAUGUUCAUUUCCACUUCAUCUUUACAGCUGAUUGACUAAUUUGGAUACCUCUCUGUAGGGCCCUGUCAUGGUUUGCUGUAGGUUGCUACUACUAUUGCAUCAAGAAGUUUGAUCAGUCACGUCGCUAUUUCAGGUACAGACUAGUGGUAGUAGAAGACUCAGGUUGUGGUUCUUAUUAUUAUUAUUUUUUUAAAGUAACUGAUGUAUGCUAUAGAGGGUAGUGUUCAGUGGUUUCAGUGUAUAAUGGAUGAAUACUUGGAAUAGAUUCUACUGCAUAACAUAUCUCCUGGAAUAUUAUACAAGUAACUCUACUAUUGAAUAAGCUUGGUAUGUCACUGUUUAAACCCAUGAGGCGCCUUGGUAUGCCACUGUUUAAACUGAUGUGGCAGGAGUUGCUCAACAUCCUUAACUUGUAAGACUAACAGUCUACUUUGUUCUUCCUCUUCUUUCUUUCUUUAUCUUUUUAUUUUUUAAGUAGAAGAGAAACUAGUUGGCUGCAACUGAAGCUGCCCAAACCAUUUAUUUGCUUAGCUUAUGCAGCAGAUCAAAUUGGCUGCAGUGUAUGAAUUUUUGUUUGAUUCCUAUUUAGUUCUGUCAUUUUUGCAGCAAGGCAACAAGUUUAGAUGGGUCUUUUGCCCCUGCUUGGAUAGGUUAUGGGAAUGCUUAUGCUGCUCAAGAAGAAGGAGAUCAAGCAAUGUCUGCUUAUCGCACUGCUGCACGUUUAUUUCCUGGGUAAAUCUCUCUUUCUUAAGUUCAAUAUGAACUGUCUGCCAAAUUUUUGUGAUCUGUAUGUUAACUGAAUUUUUUUGCCAGAUCAUUUGGAGGAGUUUUUUUCAAUGUGGAGUCUAUAUUAGCUGAACCUGUUUGCAGCACAAUUCAUUUUUAAAAGUUAUUUUGAUGUUGAGUCUUUUCUUAGAGGAGCUAAUCUUCUCUAAUUACUCCCAAGAGUAGCUUCUGUCAGUCAUUUCAAUUUUCACAAGCUUUAUUGGUUGUUCCACAGAGUUGUAUGAAAAUGAUUCAGUAGUUACAAGUGCACUUCACAUUUUUGACACUGAUGAAAAUACUUUGAAGCUGUGCAUUAUGAGGGCCCUCUUAUUACUUAUGGAGUAUUAAUUGUCUUUUACAGGUUGAAUGUUGAUAUUCUCUUAUUCCAGGUGCCAUCUGCCUACUAUGUAUAUUGGGAUGGAAUACAUGCGAACUCACAGUUUCAAACUGGCUGAGCAGGUGAUCACGAGUUCUGCUGAGUUGGAGAGUGUGUAUCACAUCUCUUUGCCGAUUUUGCAAUUUUUUUAAGGGAAAAGACAAACCCAACUUCAAUGUUUUGGCAGGCAAUCUUUAUAUUCGGUAUUCUGAUAGGAUUUUGUUUUCAGUUUUUUAUGCAGGCUAGGGCAAUAUGGCCUUCAGAUCCACUUGUCUACAAUGAACUUGGAGUUGUUGCCUAUAAUAUGAAGGAGUAAGAAGCAAUUCCCUGAAAAAUUGUUUUUCCGCUAAUGAGUAUUUUUGCUGUAGUACCUCUUUCCCUCUUGAUGGUUGUAGUUCGUUGCACUUUUUAUAAAAUUGUUAGCCUGUUUGUUUAUUACUAGUCACAGUAUUAGGAUAUAGAACAUUAGCUACUGAAAAGCAAUAUAGUUUGUCUAGGUUUUUUAAGCAUGGUGAUUUGGUCACUGCUACACAUUUCAGUUGGUUUUAGACUAUCUGGCCUAAAAUUUGAUACUGGAAUCUCCCUGAACAGAUUAAUACAGUUUAAUUUGGUACAAUCAUCUUAGUUUUAGCACAUUUGCUAAUUGCGAAAUUCGAGGAUGAAAGGGAAGAUGAGGAUCCCCAAGCUAGGUGGAGUUUAGAUACAACAGUGUGAUGAUAGUAAAAAUUGAUAAUAUUUUGGGAAAAGAAUAACUAGCAAGAUAUCCAAUUUCAUAUUAAGGGAAUUAUUUAGCUUCUUUACAUCCAUUUAACUUGGACCUAAAAUAUUCGGUACGUCCUGGUUUAUAAAUUUCUUUGACUUGUCAAUUUGUUAAUCAUAUCUUUGAAUCUUACUAAGUCUCUACUUACUUUCUCAUCCCAUUGUCCUUCAGGUACGACAAGGCUGUGUGGUGGUUUGAGAGGACAUUAGGUCUCAUUGCAUCCACUUUAAGUGAGACAUGGGAACCAACCGUUGUCAAUCUUGCUCAUGCACUAAGAAAACUAAAGUAUGUCUAUUUUAUUUUGAGUUUAUAGGUGCAUCUUUGAGUACUCUUAGAAAUAAAAUAUAUUUUAUUGAAGACUGAACGAAAAGCAAAAGCCUUGUUUAAACUAACUAAUGUAACCUAUUCCGUAUCAGGAGGUACAAUGAAGCAGUAACAUACUAUGAAAAAGCUCUUGCGUUGUCAACAAGAAGUUUGAGUACGUAUGCUGGUCUUGCAUACACUUACCACCUGCAGGUAAUUAACUUCGCUGAGGUUUGCUUUGCCUCCUGUUGUAUCUAUGGAACAAGCAUGUUUUAAAUAUUUCGCUGAUAAUGCAAUCUUUCUGCAGAACAACUUUACUGCUGCAAUUGCCUAUUAUCACAAGGUAUACUAUUUUUGCUCUAGCCCUUGCUUGCAAGAACCAUUAGAAUGACAAUCAAAACAUGACUAUAUUUCCCUGAAUUUUACAAACGCAUUGUUCUUUAGUCAUAAUAAAAUCCAUGGAGAGGCCACUGAAAAGAUGGUGUCGACCAUUUUGAUUAUUCUGUUUCCCUGGUUCUCAUUCAGUCUCACCUCCCCACUUUCUCAAACAGGCGUUAAGGCUAAAACCAGACGACCAAUUCUGCACAGAAAUGUUGACCCUGGCCCUUGUUGACGAAAGCCACCUUGGUACAAGCAACAAUUCUGAUUUUCACCGCAGCGAGCUGCUCUUUUAGGAAUAGGGAUAUUUUUUUUCUGCUGUAGUUUGUAUGUAGUUGUCAAUCUCAUUGGUAACACCCUAUUUGAGUAGGUCAACACUCAAGUAAUUCUGUGUUGUUGUACCGAAUUAGAUGUAGUAUACUUUCUUUUUUUUUUUCCCCCAUUUUUCCCUCUCUAAGCGUUCAACUGUACUUCUAUAAUUUCACUUAAAAAUCUUUCGUAGAAUUUGUUUCUUGCCUAAUCUCAACAGUCUGAAUUCUUUUGAUAUCUACGGAGCUGAAGUAAGACGUCUUCAAUCAGCAGUUUCUACAGACCGUAGGGUUAAGCUUUUCUACCUUCACCUCCAGGAACAUGCCACGGGAACUUCAAGGGCCAAAUUUCGAUUCUACAGACGUAGUUUCUGGUGGAGUGAACACUUUCUAUUAUACUGCAGGUGGCUGUCAAAACGACAGAGUUGAUUUGUAUUCGGCUUUUAUAAGCAUCCAUGCUUAUGAUGAGAUAUUUUUAGAGCUUCGAUAUUUUUAGAGCUUCAAUUAGCGUUCGAUUUCGUAUUAAAGCAGCGUAGCAAUAAUGACAAAAGUUGAAUAAAUCACAGCAGUCUUGAUGAACAACACGGAUGGCCCUUCCUUCCAAGUAAAUCAAAAGAUGCACUGACGGUCCUUUUUUUUUUUUCUUGAAAUUUAUGGGAAAAAGGAAAUUGUUGGACUUCUGCCUUUGGUCCAGAAAGGAUGCUAAUUGUGAAAAGGACAGCCAUGGCCUGAAGACGCUGAGAUGUUGGCGGAGUCAGAGACAUCCGAUCGCUUAAGCAACCCGGCGAAUAGCUCCGCAGGAUCAUAGUAAACUUCCACGUCUUCUGCCCUCAAUGAUUCAUCAACCUGCCAUAAAUAUUCAAAGAAAAAUACCAAAUCAAUUGUUGAUAUUACAUCACUACUUUUUUCACUAAUUAAGUUCGUGCAAUAUUAAUUGCAUGGAGACAAUCUAUUUUUGUCCAGUUGUGGCUGUUAUUGGCAAAACAAACGGAAAAAUGAUGUGGGAGGGGGUACCGCGCGAGGCGCUUUGCUUACCUUCAUGACUGCGAGGCCGUAGAACUGGACCAUCUCCCCAGUAGGGGCAUGGCCUUUGAAAGGUCCUUCAAAGUAGCCCCAGUGCCUGAAUUUGAAGGUGACCACUGGGGGUCCGGAAUAAACACUGAUUACUUCCCAUGCAAAUCCACGAGGAAAGGCUGAGCGGAAUGCAUCAUGAGAAGAUUCAAAGCUCUCUUCUUCUGCUUUGUAGUACUUGAAUUCCUCUGGCAUUGAACUCUUUAACAACGCAUUGUAGCUCCCCAGCUUUAGUGUUUCUUCCCCUGAUAAUCCCUCUUUUCCUGCCCUCCCAAACCAAAUUAUUAGCCCAUAUGAUAAUACCACUACUUUUCAUGUUGCAGUAAAAAACUCAGGAUUAUUUAGAUUGUACAGGGAUUUUAAUCCUGAACGCCUAAGGUUAGGUUGUAACUUGUAAGUAAGAUUCUCGACAAUUAGCCUUUAACAAAUGAUAAUAGAAAAUACUAAUUAGUUUGAUCAACUUCAUAUUAGAGAUUGGUGGGAUAUUAGCUGUAACGCUUAUAACCUAUUCUAUUCUACUCUAAAGAAAAGAAGGUUCCUACUCAGAUAUGAGGAGUUGAGUUAAAAAGGAAAGAUCCAUCCAAACCAAAGAGGUGUACUAUAUAUUCUUUGGAUUUUUUUUUUUUGAAUAUCCAAAUAGACAAGAAAGUAGCCUUUGGUGUUUAAGACGUGGUUAAAUCACAUAAUCAACAAUCCCUUGGUUUUUUAAGUCCCCCAUUCAAGAAAAGACUGGAUACAAAAACACGAGAACAUGUGUGCUGCGUGGAAAACAUUAGCUGAUCGACAUCUCGCAUGAUUCAUGAUGGUGAUAAAUGACUACUGAAACAUAUAGCAUCCAGAUGAGGGGAAAAAAGAAAUCAUCGAGGGUUGCCUUAGAGUUGUUUAUGUGAUAAUUUGUCCUACCAUUGACGAUAAGCUUGAAUUUCUCAGGAUUUAUGGUCCUGAAAUCUUGUAUACGAGUCUUGUGAGACAGCUCCAUCUCCCAUGACUUUACAGCAUUUUGAACUACCUCUUCUAGGGACCCUUUUGGCCAUUCCUGCAAACCAUGUUGAUAAACAUGUAAACGUUGGAGCAGGGUUUACUCAUUUUGAUACCAGCAGAUUAAUACAUGAAAGAGAAAAGCGGGGUUUGAAAAAGAUGAGAAAUUCCAAGCACCUUAGUUCGGCCUUCUUCAAAAACCUUGUUGACAGAAUCGUAAAUUGGAGGGCCACCAUGUCUCCACUCAAAGUUUUGUCCUUCUUCGUGUAGGAAAGACCUAUACUUAUCAGCUGCAACUGCUUUGUCGGUGGCCAUGGGAAGAAGUUCUUGCAGCACAGAUUUUACUAUAUGCCUGUAGUUAUAGGACUACUUCACAGAAUUCAUAUAAAAUGGCACGGUGAGGUUUGGUAUAAAUACUAUUAAAUAGGCAAUUAGUUGAGGAGGUUGCUUUGAUGACUUUCCUUCUUAUUCUUGUUCUUACCGCAAUUAGUUAGUCACGUACUAAACUGCAAAUUAAUUAACUGUAAUGCAGGUUUUAAACGAGGGCCGUUUACUUUCUUGGAACUGGCUUACCAAUGGUGUAAAUUAAAAAGGUCGCAAGAACUGAUGUAGUGAUCAUAUAUUGUUAACCUCGAGAGGAAUCAUGAAUUCGAUAUAAUCAGUUAUAGUAAUUGUUUUCCAUGAAUAACGAUAGCAAGAUAGCCAAAAAAAAAAAAAAGUUUACUUCGGGUGCUGAGUUUUAGCAUAUUUUGGGGUAAUUCUACCGCAGGUUGUGUUCACUGUUCAACUAGCCGUACACCGACUUCUUCUGCAAUUGAAUGUACGACACCAGCAAAAACAAGAUAUAGAAAUUACAUUCUGUCUUUGUGUAGAAUACAGUAAAUAACUACACACCAAAAUGCGGCAGUUAUCAAGUCAAUGUCAUGGAAGGCUUUUGAGAAGAUUGAAACAAAUUAAAUUAGCAGACAUGCAUUACAGAUAAAUCAAUGUGUAUAGAACAUUAUUAUGAAUGAAUAUGAGCAGAAGCAGAUACCGUCCAUUCGUUAGUAAUUUCGGAAAAUAUUUGCGGGUUUUCCUACAAAUUCUUUAUUUGUUUAUUCCCAUUCCUAGAAAUGCUGGUUCGAAGGAUAAUAAGAUUGCCAAAAAUUAGGUUGUCUUUGGAUUGGCAGAUUGAACGAAGAAUUUAAAAUCUUUUCUACUUUGUCUAAGUUAUCUGUAUCUAUAUAAAUUACACAGGAGGGAUUCCGAUUAGGAACCAUUCUAGACCUCCAAACUCUUAAUUCUUUUUUUUUUUAAAUAUAAAUUUUCUAUUUAUUUUAUUCGUAAAAUGUAAUGAGUUAGUUUCAAAAUCCUGAUUGUAGACUAUAUUCUCAUCAUUUCAAAACUUAAAUUAUUUCCAAACUCUCAAUUCCUUUUUUGUAGAUUUUUAAAUUUAUUUUAAUUCCUAAAAUGUAAUGAGUUGAUUUCAAAAUCUUGAUUGUAGAUAUAUUCUCAUCAUUUCAAAAAUUUGAAUUAUUUCCAAACUCUCAAUUCCUUUUUUGUAGAUUUUUUAAAUUUAUUUUAAUUCCUAAAGUGUAAUGAGUUGAUUUCAAUAUCUUGAUUGUAGACUAUAUUCUCAUCAUUUCAAAAAUUUGAAUUAUUUCCAAACUUUCAAUUCCUUUUUUGUAGAUUUUCUAUUUAUUUUAAUUCUUAAAAUAUAAUGAAUUUAUUUCAAAAUCUUGAUUGUAGACUAUAUUCUUGUCAUUUCCAAAUUUAAAUUAUUUCUAAACACUCAAUUCCUUUUUUGUAGAUUUUUUAUUUACUUUAAUUCCUAAAAUGUAAUGAGUUGAUUUCAAGACAUUGAUUAUAGACUAUAUUCUUAUCAUUUCUAAAUUUAAAUUAUUUCAUAUCCUAACACCUUGAUGAUACACGCAACUUUUAACAUUUGAGAGGAAUAAGGAACAUUCUGGUCCGCAUACAUUUUUCAUUAUGUCUUAUCUUAAUCUUAAUUUUUUAUUGUGAAUUCUUUUUUCUUUAUCUUCAAAAUCUACUUUGGUUUCUAUAUCUAUUAUUUGCGUUUUCAGAUUAUGAGAUUAUCUAGACAAAUGCUGGAUUUUACAUAUUAUCACCUCUAUUUCUAUACAUUUAUAAAUUCUUCAUCUAGUUUUUAUUAUAGACUCUUUGGAAAAGGUCCUAAAUAGUACUCUCUUUCUCCAGAAAUAUGCUAUCCAAAAAUUAAAAAAAAAAACAAUUUACAAUCUAAAGACCUAGCAAGUACAUGAAAUAAUGGCGAAAAAGGAAUGGGUUAGUGGUAUAGGAGAAUAGGGUUUUAGAUUUGAGACCUCCUACUUAUACUAAAAAAAAGUAUGUGAAAUAAUAAAAAUUAAAAAUAAAACUUCAUUUUAAACCAUUAUGAUUGAAGCAACUUAUACAAUUAUUAGGUUAAAAAUGGCUAUAAAUUUAGUAAAUGAACGACUAAUAUACAAUUUUUUGAUUUUGUUAUGGGAAGUAACAUAUGCAAUUUCCAUUCAAGAUAAAAAUAUAAAAAUAUAGUCAACCAAUGGUCUAAAUUUGGUUGCAUAAGAAAUAGAUUGAACCCUUUACCACUUUUAUCUAAAAAGAUUAUUUGUGAUAGAGUACAAUAAAUUAAAAAAAAAAAGAGUUCUUCGCUAAAAGAAAAAAUUAAUUCUUAUUCUUACGUCAAGUGAAAUACCAAUACAAGAUUAUAUAGUAUUUUUUCUUAAGAAUUUGUGGCAAUCUUCAAGUUUAUAUAUGUAAUUAAUUUUGAUAAAAUUAGCGGAUAGGAAAGGUGUGAGAAGGGGUGGAAGAGUAAAAAAAAGUUGUGAUAAAUUUAAUUUUUAUACAUUAUAGUGAAUUGAUGGCACAUGUUGUUUUCUUUUCAUGAAAAUUAAACUGUAAAAGUACUUUUAUCAAUUUUUUAUAUACUGUGCAUACUUCUAUUUGUCAUACUCUAUGUCUUGAUUUAAAAGUUUGCUCACCUCUAUUCAUCAAUGUUCUACUACUUAAGUUGCAUAUAUUUAAAGCAUUACAUUCUUGGUUUACAAAUAUGAGGCUAGGUUGAAAAUUGUAAAAUGAUGUACCAUUUAACAUUUUUAGGCCAAAUAAACAAACAAGUUUUUUGAAAUUUUAAAAAUUAUAUUAAAUAGAGCCUUCAUAAUUAUUUUUUAUUCUUAAAUAUAUUCGAUAUUAUGAUUGAGAAAUGAGUUUAACAUUUUGGCAAAUACUUUUUGAAAUUUUUUUGAAUGUUGGACAUGAUGGUUGAGAAAUGAAUUGCCAAUUAGCAAAUAUAAUUUGGUUAUAGAUCUAUUACAAUUUAAUAUCAUAUGUUUUAUGUGUUAUACCACUUUUUUUUAAACGAAUGUUUGUACUAGGUAGACGGUAGCUAAUUUUUUUUUAGUAAGGAAAGGAUGGGAUUUAUAAAGCUAGAAAGGGGAAGAAGCAGCUAAAAAUUGUUUGACAUUUCAUAGAUUAAAUUAUAUUGUAUUAAAUUUAUUUUUUCAUAACAUUCUUUAUGAUCAUGUGUAGCACGGAUUUUUAGACUAGUAUGGAUAAUUUUGGAGGUAUUUGGAUUCUUAAUCUACAAAUUGUUCUAACUUUUAAAUAAUUGGUGAAUUAUAAACUCAAACACCUCCUAAGUAAUGAAAACAAUCUAGAGAAAUUUAAAAAUAUUUUAAAUAUUUUAUCAAAUCCCUCAAUAUAUUAUAGAAUUGGAACCUGUCAAAUGAAUUUUAGGGUACGGAUAAUAUAAGAAACCUCCCUUGAGGUUUUUCCUUAUAUCACUUCGCACCCCUAAAGUUUUUACGUUCUCUAAUAAUUGUAAAAAUUCUAUAUUAACCCUCACUUGAUAUAUAAUUCACAUAUCAAAUAAAUGGAGUUAAAAAAUUUUUAAAAAUAAAAGUCACUUUCUUCUCUUUUUCUUUUCUUCAACAUUCUCUUUUACUCAUUUUUUUCGGAUGAUUAUUUGAUAAAAAUUUGUAAAUUAUAAGAAAUUGAAUUUUGUUUAUCUUUUACUUUUUAUUAUCAUGAUAGAGUAGAGUCUGGUUUAUUUGCUUAUUUUGGGUUGAUUUUUAUAAUGAUUAAUACAAUUUAAAGGUUUGGACAAGGAUUGAGAAGAAGUUGAAAAAAAAAAAACAUAAAGUUCAUAAGAAAUCGGCAUUGAGCAUGCACAGUUAAAUUAGUCAAGUAUAUCUCUUUGCAAAUAUCAUUUUUAUAUUUCAAAUGUAUAUUUUUAUGGACUCUAACAUUAUGAUGUGGUAGUACUAUUAGAUAUUGUUUUUUGAGAUGAUAGUUUUCUUGAAAUAAACAAAGCGAUUGAGGAGUAUUUUUAUUUAGUAAGUAGAAGGGUAGUUUAGAAUUUUUUAAAAUUUUGUUACACAAAUAACAAAAAUAAGGAAAGUAAAUGAUAUUUUUAAAACUUUAGCGAUGCUAGGUGAUAUUAAGAGAAAUCCUCAGGGGAGGUUUCUAAUAGUAUUGUCCCUUGGAGGUAUCAUAUGCAUAUGCAUGAUGGAAUAUACUCGUCAUGAUAUACCUUUUUCUUUUUUCAUUAGACUGUUUCUGCAGCACAAAGGAAAGGUACUUAAUUCAUUUUAUAGUGCAUCAUAUCACAAUCAAUGGUGGAAUAGUUUGCCCGAAACCUAAUUAAGAAUCUUUUGACGAACGAUAGCCUCUUGUAUGGCUUCAAUGGGGGCUCGAUGAUAGACUCUGAUAAUUUCAAGAACAGAAGUUGUUGGUACUCAGACCACGAUCUUCGUCAAAUAUAAGGAUGGGAAUGAAGAUCAAGGACCAAUAAAUUUCAGUGCAUGGGACCAGAAAGAAAGAUUGAGACGUGGCUCAAAUCUGAAGAGUGGAAAUGUUGCUUCUCAAAUAAAAAAAAAAAAAAAAGGUGCACGGAUGUCGACUUCUCAAAUAUUAAUUUCUUGACCGGGCAACGUUGAAUAUUUUGCAUAUGUCGGACAAAAAAUAAAUGGAGUAAAAGAUGUGGGGACUCUUAUUGCCUGCAGAAAUUGUUGUUAAUAAUGGAGUUAUUUAUAGUGUUCGGUAGAACAGCUAAUUUUCCUUUCCCAUAGUAAUUACUCCCUCCGUCUCACUUUGAUAGUCCCAUAUUUUUUUUUUUUACACAGUUUAAAAAAAAGUAGUUAACUUUGUUGGAAAAGUAAAUCUAGAUUGCUAUUUUUCUAAAAUACCCUUACAUUAAAUAUGGUACAACUUUAUGGGAACUUGAAUUGAUGAUAAAAAAAGAACCAACUCUCAUUAAAUGGGGUAGGUUUAUAGUAACAACAACUUACAUUGAAUAAGGAUAUUUUAGGAAAAUUAAAAUACAACUACAUUCUUCAAUUGAAAAGUGGACUACAAUUUGAGACAGACGAAAAAGAAAAACAGGACUAUCAAAGUGGGACGGAGGGAGUAUUAACUCUAUGUGUUCAUUGCAUCGGACAUGUCUGAGGUCUCUUAUCUGGCUUUGGGAAUAUGGACUAGCGGUAGCGUUCUGCUUCACUGACUGAAGUGCUGCAAGGAAGGAGCAUCUGCUUCCCGUAUGAUGACCUUCUUGUACCCUGCUUCUCACGCUGAUUCCAUGCCAAUGCAAUGUGCCCAGAGUUCCGCUGCUGUGUUGCUGGCUAUCCAAUGUUGGCUGAGAAUCUUCCAAGCCAAUUCUCCAUUUCAUCUCUCAAAGAGUACCCCCGGCCCCUGCUCUUCUUUCCAAUUCAUGGCCAUUGUAUUUGCAACAAAAUUAGGUCAAAGCCAAAAAAUGGUCCAACUUAUAAAUAAGAAUAGUAAGCAAAACUGGAGAUCCACACCAAUCAUGUAGAAAGUUAACUUCUGGCAUGUAGAUUACAUUUCAUAUCACUGUUUCAACAAAUUUCGAAAUUGUAUGCGCGAAAGAACCAAAAAUUCUUUUUGCUCAUAUGGCCCUGAAAGUUGAAGGCAAAAAAAAAGUGUCAAAAAAGUACAUUCUUGAAAGUUUCAGUUAAAUCAAUUCAUUCUUUCUUUCCCCUUGCUACAUCAACAAGAUACUGAUCCAGAUGGUUGCCAAAUGUUUUUGUGGAGAAUGAUUGAGCAAUGUGAAGUCGAGCUUCUCUACCCAUUCCCUCUGCCAUCUCGGGUUUCUGAAUGAGUUUUGCCAUAGCCAAAGAGAAAUCUCGUGGACUGGGGUCACAAAGGAAGCCUGUCACACCAUUCUUGAUUGUCUCAACAGGACCACCACUGUUGCAAGCAAUAACUGGUUUACAGGAUGCCAUUGCUUCCAGAGGAACAAUGCCAAAAUGCUCAUCCUGCAUCAUUAUGUUAUCUCUGGUCAAGAAGUUUUAUGCAAAUCCAGCCCCUUUUACAAGAGCCUAGAUGUUGCCUUACCUUUGGUGUAUAAAGAACGCACAAACACUCAGACAAAAGUGCAUUUCUUUCUGAUGUGGAGCAAGACGUGAUGAAGUUGACUCGAUCAGAGAUACCUUCCCUUUGAGCUAAGUCUUUAAGUUCCUCCAAAUAAUCAACAUUCUCUCUAAGGCGUUUAUCAUAUCCACCUGCAGAAAGACGUUGCAUAGAAUCCAUAUGAAUGGGUUGUGCACGCAGAAAAUUCAGUAUUUUGUCACUUUUAUAAAUCUUAGACAUGCUUGCGCACAAUAUUUCACAGGGUUGAUGCCAGCAGCUUGCCAUGGUCUUUCAUAGUGAAACCUUUACAGACCUCCCAUUAAUUUGCAUCUUGGACAUUAAAUUGUAUUAUUUCUUAUAGAAAACUUUAAAGUUUGUCCUUUGAAUGCACACCAUGUACCAUAAUUGCCUAUCGAAAUAACAAUCAAUUUAAUAACAAGCUCUCAAAAUAUACCACAGCUUUUUAGGGAACCUGCCACGCAAAUUUUUCUAGCUUCCUUGUGUGUGAGGGUGGAUCACAGGGAAAUAAAAUUGUCUACUUCAGCAAAUAGACAGUGAGAUCUAAUAGGUUAAUCUGCCAAUAAUCAUGACACAAUAUGCUUCCACAAAAGUCGAAGCAUGAUAAAUUUGCUAGCUGUCAAGAGUCAAUAAUUGGUUUUGCAUGACCCAUACAUAAAAAGGAGCUACUAUGAUGCAAAACAAUUCCUGACUGCCUCUCAUUUACCAUCCCUUUGUUUUACACUUUUAAAUGUUAAGGGAUAUUGACCUUCAUCUUUUGCCUUUAGAAUCUUCUGGAGGGCUUGAUUUCAUUACAAAUAAUGCCACCAACUACAUAUUCUUGGCCAAAGGUUUAUAUAUUAGCUUGGCUGAGACAGAGAGGUCAUAAUAGCUUAUCUUCUAUAACAUCAACCAAACAUAUGACAUCAAUACAAAAUAAAAUGCAAGUAUAUGACCAAAAUCAAUGCCGUAUUGCAAUUAUUGGUUCAUCAUUGCCACAAACGCAAAAUUGCUUCAUGAACCCAGGUAUAAAACAUUACCUAUCUGAAUAGCCGAAAAAGCUACAAAAAGCACCACAUUUAAGUUUAGACCAAUAAAGAAGAAAAGAUGACUUGCCUGCAAUAGUCAAUGAAGCACCAUCCAGAAUGGCUCCUUGUAGUUCAUCACAUGCAAGGUUCUGAAGCAUAGCAAAGGCAGAUAUUGCUAAUUCUAUGUUCUUCUUCCUUUCAAACCGAUUGAUCGAGAGAAAAUUCAACCUAGAGAAACAAAAACCUUAGGUUCCCAAAUCCCAGAGAUAUUUUAAUAAGGAAAGCAGAAAUGCAAAUACAACUAUGAGAGAGUAAACGUAGAAAUUAUAAUAUGGCAUUCAUGUUGUAGAACCUAGGAAUAAAAGAUACCAAGAGAGGAAGCAUUGUUGUUACUUAAUAGCAUUAGGCUCCUUAAACUGAUCCAAAUUGACUGCAGGGUAAAGUACAGCUGGUCUAAUUCCGAAUGCAUUAAGCCCCUUGAAUGUCCUUGCAAAUGUAGAUGCAGUAAAUUUGCUGUUAACAAGAAUUAGGUCUGCGAUACCUACAGUUCCACAAGGUAUUCAGUGGAGACUCAAUAUACUUCCACAUUGGGGUAAAGAAAACGAAGCACAGACUAUCAAUGCAAAAGAGGUGACAUAAAUAUAAAUGGUAUGGAUAGAGAGAGCAAGAGAGACAGGGAGGAGGGAUUACCAGUUGUUUUUUCUUCUAGAAGGUCAAUAGGUAUCCGAUAUAUCCUCCUAAGAAGAGUAGUGUGUUGGGCUAGCAAGAGAUCAGGAAAAUGGCAGUAAAAUACAACCUAGAAGGGAAAAAACGAAGGGGAAAUAUAAAAAAAAAAAAAAAACCAACUAACUUUAUUUCCUUCUGAGAUAUCCCAAAAUAAUAUCAGUGAAAACAAAAUUUUACCUUUGUUGAUUUCUUCAACUUCAACAGUGGAAUGACAACAGAUACCUGAUCUACAAGUAUAACAUCGAACGAUCGCCAGAACAGCAUCAUACAAACAGCAACAAAAAUGCAACGGAUAUAUGCACAUACUGCAUGAAGACGAUAGAAAAUAUGCCGGGGGAGAAAAGAACCAUAUACAGUAACUGAGAAGAUCCCUGGAAAGUAAUUACUGCACUCUUAGCCUUUAUAUUUAUCAAAAAUAUUCAUAAAGUCUAUGCCCAGGACCAAGGAAAUAUCAGCAAUACAAAUAUUAGAACAAUUCCCCAUUUUACCAGACAAAGUCUCCUCAAAACAGCGUGUUUUAUCAUGAUGUGACGUAAAAACAUGAACUUUAUGCCCAUGAGAUGCAAGCUCCACAGCUGCAUCAACAAUUAAUCUUUCAGCUCCUCCUAAAAACCAAGAAAAUGGUUAUUAUAAAAAGUUCAAGGGAAAAAAUAUAUUAAGGAAGACAGAAUUAGAAGGCAAAAUUGCAGUCCAGCACCAUAAACACGUACAAAAACCAGACUAGAAAUUUUAUGUAUCUUUUCAAGUCUUUGAAGAUGUAAAUGAAUCCAUAUGAGCACAUUCCAGGAGCACUAUCUCUGCCUAAUUAUGACCCACUGGAGAAAGUUUCACCAUGGAUUAAGUGCAAAACAUUCAAAAUAAGAAGUACAUCAACCCUUUGUUUGUGAACCCAUUCUAUACAGAUGCUACAGAUUUAUUCUCUCACUAAAACCCCCAGUAUUUCUCUAAAGUAUAUCUCACAUAAAGUGUCAACUGUUCAAAUUAAAUGAAAUAGUGGACUUUUUUCUUGGUUUAUCAACAGAUGCAUCCAUUCAGACUUACAUGUCAUCCAAUUUCAGGAGCUAAGACAUUCAUGAAUUCUUACCUAGAUGCCACUGCUAAACAAAGAAAAUUACCAUCCUAGGUCUGCAGACAAGCUAGAGAUGGAAAAAAAAAAUCAUAAUACAACAUGUUAAAACCAAUGAUAAAGGCAAAAAAAGAGGUCAUUGUACUAUUGCCGAUUUUGACAACCAAUAAGCGCUAAACAAACCACUUGAUCAUAAGUUGGAUGAGAAUUACAUACAUAAGCAGAAAGUCAUUUCAAUAUAGUUACCAAUUCCAAGAUCAGGGUGGAUGAUAGCCACAUUCAACUUUGAGCUCCCUGAUUUCUCCAUCUCUAUUUAUCCAGACUACACAAAUGAAACCAAAGAACGGGUCAUAAAAAAAUGGAUGCAUUCAUCAGGACAAGCAAUACAAUCCAAGCUAAGCCCUAUCUCGCAGCAUUUUGGUGUCCUUAAAAUUCCAUUUCUUGCUGCUAUCAAAAGAAUACCCUUCCCAUUCCCAAAAGAGCAUGUCAUAAAGUAACUUCUUUAGAAGAUUAAAUAAAUCGGAUAUAGCAUCGCUAAUUUCCUCAUCUCACCAAAGCAAGACAUCACAGCCAUAAAUACAAUUAUGGAUGGUAUUAGAAGGGGUUAAGAUGCUUUCUACGCAUGUUCAUGACACCUAAAGAUUGAAUUUUGUCCAGUCUGUUUCGUUCCUAGACAAUCUAACAGCAGCUGUGAAAUGAAAUGUGGAUGGAAAACUAGUCAAUUCUAAGCUUUUCGACACUCAAAAAUACCGCACAUUAUACGUGAAUAUUCUCCCAAAUGACCGAAUGAAAGUAAGUUCACAAAAAGGGCUCAGAAGAAUUAAGAUUCUUUUAAUGGGUUAGGUCUCUGAAGCCUAUAACAGCAAACAAACAAUCCCCCGCACUUUUAAUUCGGGAAAGAUUGAGAACAUGUAUAUACAUCGAGCUUUCAGACCACCAUAAAGCAACAAAAAUGAAAAAAGAAAAGCAGAACAAUAAGCAUCAAGGAUAGCUAAAAAUCUACCAAAUUGGAAAGAAAAAUAACAAGAAAAAUUUACACACUUAAGCAUCAUAAGAUGAUAAAAAUCCGACCUGACAAUCAGACAGAAGUCCGGACAAGGAAAAGUCAAACCACAAGAAAAAAGUUAGUGCGAAAUGCAAGUACCUGAAUUGAAUCUGUUUUGCGGGUUCAAACUGCUAUUUGGAGUCAGUCACCACACACAUGUAUAUGCAUACAUGCUGGCAAGACGAGAAGACGACGAAGAACAAGGCAACAGAGCAAGAGGAGGAAGAGAGAGAUGGCACCCACCUAAUUUUGGAGUGAAAAUUUGUUUUCCUUUUUCUUCCUUUUUUUUUCUUCUUUUCUUUUUCUGUUUUUGGGAGAAAAGGCUCACUUAGAAAAUUGGAGGAAUCUGGAGGCGUGAUCUAGAACCAUGAUAGCUGAGCAACAAGCCUGAACGUGGAACAGAGGCGUGGUCUUCUGACCAUCCAUGAGAGGGGUGAGAUAGUCAUUUUGAUCUAACUUCAACAGGCUUGGGCUAAGGGAUUGAAGAGCCUUACAAGCCCAUUUUUAAUGCCUCAUAGGCUUGGGCUAAAUCUUUCUAAUUAGGACCACUGGACAGGAAAAGAUUGAAACUCCUUAGUGGCCCAUUUUGGAUACACCGGUCACUGGUGUAGUCAUCACUCAUGCCUAGACUGUGAGGAGUGAGAACUGAGAACCUGAUGGUAGAUAGAAUCAUAGAAGUAUUGAAAGAAACGAAGAAUUACAGAAGAAGAAGAUGACUAUACCAGUACCAGUGGGAGAAGAAGUGGGGCCCAAGCUGGUUCGAUUUCUUUACUUCAUUGGCGCUGGAUGUAAGUACAUGCACUUCCCUGUGCUUCUAUAAAAUAUUUUGAUUUUGUGUAUUUCGUUUUUUUUUUCUGUUUUUUUUUACUAAAUUCAAGAAAGAAAUUUUUUUGUUUUGGUUCAGUUGUAUGCACUGCAGCUAUUAACAAGUGGAGGGAUUUGGAAAGGAAGGCUAAUAUUCAGAAACAGCAAAAAGAGCUGUUGGAAAAUCCAUCACCAAAUUCACAUGGAGUACAAAGUGCUGUGGAGUAGACUUAGGAAUCAAAUAAUACAUGCUCUUCAAGGUUCUUGAGGACCCUUUUAUCAUAACAAUUGGAUCUUUGUCAUAUGUAUUGAAUUGGAGAAAUCUAGGUGAUUUUGCUUUAUGAAUUGGAUGAUAUAAUUUUUUGGUGAUCGAGUAUUAUUAGACUAUCCCGUAAUAUAAGGGUGUGAUUCUAUGGGGAUAAUUUGUCGAAUUAUAUUCUUGCAGUAGUCACAGAGGUCAUCACAUAAAUAAUAUGGACACUGAACAUCUUUAGUUUCCUUUCCUGUGAGUUGUAUUCUUCAAUCUAAGAUGGUGCUCUGAUGAUUCAGUCGAAAGAAAUGCCCUUGAAUUAUAACUCAGGAAUAUAAUUAAUCAAUAGAAUGUCGUGUUGCUGCGUCAGGUCUCCACUCGUUGUGGUAUAGUUCUAUUUCUUUUCAUCGUAUUUUCCUUUGCUUCCCUGUUAGUCUGUUGCCUUGCAGUUUUGGAGCUUUGCUCACUUCUGUUGGUUUGUGUAAUCCCGUUUAGAAGGAGCAUUCUUAUCUGUAGGACCAAUGAACAUUUGACGGACUGUCAUUUAAGGUUCUUAUCGUAACUAGAAGGAUUAGUGGCUACCAGAGGCUAGGGAAUCAUGAUAGCUUCAAAUAAAAAGUUGGACAAUGAGAGUGCGAAUGUAAAGCUAUACUGCAUCAGGACAGAUAUAGAAUGGGCCAAGAAUUUGAUCUUUUGACUACUCAUUUACGUACUAAAUUAAAGGACGUUUAAUGUUAAGAAUUGAAUUGAAGUUUAAGACUGAUUGACAAUAAUGAUGGACAAGAAAACUUUCAGACUAGUAUAAAAUCCUUUUUAUUCUCUGUGCAGCAGGAGUGUAGCUUUUUUCUUCAUCAUUCUUUUAAAGUGUCAUACUGUAAUUCCUCUGGUUUUACCCUGCAAAGGUGCCGUCUUUGAUCAGGGGCUAGAAUUAUCUUAAGUAGCCACUGUUUGUCCUUCCACUUGUGUCUUGUUGAAAAACUUAUUUCCAUGAUUACCAUGAGUGUUGAUCACAUAUUGUAAGGCAGCUGUGCUCACCCUUUUUUUUUUUUUAAUCCACACGAUUAUCUGUUGUAUAUGCAUUUAUGUUUAGAUGUGGAUGGUCAAUGUUACUCGUCAUCGAUUCUCUGCAUUUCCCUUUGUUGAAACAACCUUGUAAUAAAACUGUUGUCAUGGGAUGGGAGAAUAGUAGACUAGCACAGAGCUUACCUGGUUAACCUAUUUGACAGAAUCACCUCCUUAAGAAGGUUAAGGAAAUAGUUGUAACGUAGAUUGUCAUGUCAAAAUAAGAUUGGAUCAUUUUACUGAAUAUAGCUAUUCAUAGAGUAGGGCACGGCUUUACGUGUAAGAGCAAUGGUAGUUGGAUUUAAAUGGGGUUUCUUUGGACUUGCUAAUUCUUAAUAGGAUUCCCUUUUUCUUGGUCUUCGAUUAUGUACUGAUUUUCCUGUGAGUAUGGAUUCAUUUACUGCAUUAAUGGAUAACAUGACAUGAUACUAGAAUCUACAAGUAUUUUGGGUGUUUAAGUAAACCCAACUCUUUUUUAGGACUCUGGUUAGGCAAUUGGAAUGGGUUAGGAUGCUUAUUGCUGCUGAAGGACUUCGAAGUGCAUCAAAUUGAUGUUCUUUUGGCUGAGCUAGGAUUUUGCAUAGCUGGAAUGAUCUCUUAAGCUCCUUUUAUAUUGAUGACAAUGGGAAGACAGACAUAUAACUUUUGUAGGAUUUGCUAAAGUUGAGCUGGAAUAGCUAGCAAGCGUCAAAUAUUACAGCAAAUCUCAAACCAAACAAGCUUGACUUCAUAAAAAGAUGUUCAAGAUUGCAGAAAAGAUAAAUUUUUAAAGCAAUGCUGAAUGACAUUUAGCAUUCUAUCUACAGUACUCUAAAAGAGGGUAGGCCAUCUAUCGACUGUGUAACAAUAAGUACUGUCUUUGAGCAAGAUUUUUCUUUGAAGAACCUUGGUACUUCAUCAGACUCCUAAUAGAAAGUUAAAGUAUGAGUUCGAAUUGUAGCAACUUGUUCCAACAAAGACAGUAGUGCCUAAAUUGCACUAAAAUUCUCGUGGAGUCCAUCAACAAAUCCCAGCUUCCAAGUGUUGUGCUUUUGUCCUUGGCCUUUCGAAGGUCAUGCGAGACAAUGUAAAAUACUUAUGACGUCUAGUGAUGCAUAUAUUGUGAAUGGACUUAUUAUUCUUCUUUGUUUUGCUCCCCAAGUUGGAAAAGCGACCGCCUUGUUCACAUGAAGUUUGCAGGUUUGUGCUAUUUUGUUGCUUGGACUUGUUUGUGGAUCAAAAAAUAGUGCAGCAGAAGAUUAGGCCUUGCUUCAAGCAUCUUAGCCGAACUUUGGGGAAUCCGGGAUGGCCUUGAAGUUGCCUUUUCUGUCAAUCCAACAUGCUUAGAAGUGGAAGUUGAUUGCUCUGAUCUUAUCUAUCUCAUAAAAAAAAAAUAAAAGUGAUCCUAGUAUUGCUGAUAGCAGGUUCCUCUUUUCAUAGUUCCAGGAACUCAAAACUUCCCUACAUCUUUCAGAAGGCAAAUACAAGUGCUGAUAGACUAGCCAGAAUGCGAGGCAAUCUAGACUCUUAAAGUUCUGUGGUUUUUGAUGUUUGUCCUCGUGAUUUAGUUUCUGAUAUUCAGGAAGAUUUGAGGGAAUUUAUGUUUUAGGAUCCCUGUUUUUACCAAAAAUGGAAAAUGUCAACGUAGGUGUAGGAUUAAGCGAGGGAAUUUCACUUGAGAGGCUGGAGUUUCGUCAUAGUUGGUGGACUGAGCGGCCAGUGAGCACAAAAUCGGGCCACUAGAUGCAAGAGAAUUAAUUAGUCUGAGCCAACUUUAUUGACCUUUUGACUUCAACUUCCCAUAUUCAUUUCAUGUGCCACUAGAGCCCAUCGUUUCACUUCCAUUUGCCCUAAAUAUUCACUGCAACUCCAGAAGAGCCCGUUCGGCUUGAAUUUUUUGGGAGUUUUUUUUUUGGAGAAAAAUUAUUUUAGCACUUUUUUGGACGUGCGUAUAUGAAGUAAAAAAAAAAUGAUUAAAAAUCUCAAGCAUUACAUGAUGAAAGCUUGGCAGGUUGUGAAGCUAGCUGUAUGCUGUAGCUGCCAUGAAGACUGCAGAACCAACCACUCAUAUUCUUCCAGGUAACCCCCAUGCACGCUCCUCCCCUUCAGCAAUGAUCAACCGACCACCGUUUCCACCCCCCAUUACUCCACAAUAAAACCUCCCCUGUAUCUUUUUCCUCCGGGCACCUUAUUUCCAUAGCUAAUACUACAGAAAAGAAAAUAACAAAACCCCGAAUCAAAUGAGCUUCCAACGGUUUUAUGAGACCUGGUUCGAGCAGCUCCACCAGCUUAUGAACCAACUCAACCGAGCACCGCGUCAGCCAACGGCGGAGGAAGAGAACCACGAGCUGGUUCAGAAGGUUAUGUCCCACUACUCCGAGUAUUACCGAGUUAAAUCAAUCGUUGCCAAGCAAGAUAUCCUGUCAGUCUUCGCUGCACCGUGGGCCACAACCCUUGAGCGAUCCCUCCAUUGGAUUGCCGGCUGGCGGCCCACCACCGCCUUCCACCUUAUUUAUACUGAGGCCAGCAUCCGUUUCGAGUCACAAAUCUUUGAUAUCCUACGUGGGCUUCGUAAUGGGGAUCUCGGCGACCUCUCCCCAGCCCAGUUCCGCCGUGUAAGUGAGCUUCAAUGCGAAACUGUCCGGGAAGAAAAUGCUAUCACUGAUGAACUCUCUGAAUGGCAGGCAUGCAACUGAUGAGUUUUCUUUCUUUCUUUCCUUCUUUUUUAAUGGUUCGAUUUCUUUUCUUUCCUGCCCAAAAAAAAAAAUUCUUUUCUUUCCCCACUUUCAUGUACUUUCUUUCGGGUGAAGUAGUUGCAAUUUUUUAAGAUUUUACUCAAAACUAUCUCUAAUUUCAAUUUUUUCAGCAUUGGCUUGUAACAUUUCCCAUGAGAAGAAUUUUGAUGAUUCAUGCAUCAGCUGAGCAACCUUGAGUAAAUAAAGUAAUCCCCUUUAAUCAUGUAUGCUACAAAUAAAUGCAUCCCACAUAUAGCUUCGAUAUUUCACUGUAAAUUUCAAUGCUCGAGAAUACUGAACGGGCAUCAGUUUGUUAAUCAUGAUAUAUCAAAUAAAUUCUCCCCCAAAUGAUUUUACAGUUGAAGGCAGCUUAUCUUGUAUUCAGCUUUAUUUUGUUGUUUAGAUGCUUAUUCCUUACAUUUUCUGCAUUGGAAGAAUUAAAUUCCUUAUCUUGAAGGCAACUUAUAUUGGUUAGUUUUCUAUUUUGAAAGCAUCAUCCUUUAAAAUUGCCUGUUUCAUCUCCCUACUUUCUGUCCCAAAAAAAAAAAAAAUCCUUACCUUCUUCAUAGGUGGAAUUAGUUUUAUUUUCCUUUCCCUUAAACUUCUAGAAAAGGACUUUAUAGACGUAUUAAUGGAUAGAUGUGUGGACUGGUGUUAGGAUGGGGCAAGUGAUUUCGUGGGAAUGCGUAGCCAUGGUGAUGGUGGAAAGAUGGAAGUGCUGGUGAGAGUGGUGGAAAAGGCUGAUCAGCUGCGGCUGAAGACUAUUGAGAAAUUGGUUGAGCUGUUCACCCCACGACAAGCUGCAGAGUUCUUGAUUGCGGCCGCCCACCUCCAGUUUGGUGUCCGAGCAUUGGGUGCCACUUAUGAUCGUCGACUCUAAUGUUAUUGUUGCAGAAGUAUUGCAUCAAUAAAAUUAGUCCUAUCUAUCAAUAAAUUUGAAGCAUCUAUCUAUCUCUUGACAAUAUUUGAGUUCAAAAAAUCCAUCUCUUGACAAUAUUGAAGGAAAUCAAAACCAAACUUUAUUUAGUAAUUGCCAAACCGCAGUAUGGUUUUUUGUUUGUGUCCGAGUCUGUGAGUGUUUAUAUUGGUUUUGAUAGUUACCUUUUAGUUAGUUUAGAUUGGAAGUCCUAGUUUAACCAGCAGUUAUUAUUUGUUUCCUUUCUUUGUGUCUAAUUAAAUUGGCAAUUGAAAUCUUGACUGUACCAGAAUUUAGGAUCUGUUUGGCAGGGGAGUUUUUUGUCAAGUUUGUCUCCUAUAAGUUUUUUAACAACUUUUUAGUUAUAAUAAUCUCAAAAAACUCUCCAAAUUUUUUAAACUACACACUUCAAAAUAACCAAAAUACAUUAAAAAAAAAUUUCCCUUCGGUCUUUUUUCUUCCACCUCAACCCAUCACCGCGAACCGGCGCCGACAAUCUCUUCUGGGGCCAAUCACCUCUCUUUUUUCUUUUUUUUUUUUCCUCUUUCUCUUCUCCCUCUUCCUCUCCUCCCCUCUCCAAAGGGAGAAGAUGGGGAUAAAGGCUGUGGGGGAGAGAAAAAGCAAAAAAAAAAAAAAUAUUUUGUUUCUGCUGCUUGUUCUGGCGUUCGAGGAAGAGGUGGCAGGGAAGGGAGAGAGGGAGAGCGAAGGGAGAAGAAGAAAAGAGGAAAGAAAAAAAAAAGAAAAAGAAAAGACAAAAAAAGUUUUCUAUCUUAAAAAAAUUUUUUACAACUUAUACAGUAAGUUAUAAUAAAAUUUUAAAUAAACAUCUAAAAAACUUAUUUGUCAAACAGGGCCUUAGUUUCCUUUAAGUCCAAUAGUUGAAGUCCGAAUUCGAGAUUUUUGAAGAGUUUAGUUGAAUCUUAAAAAGUGAAUUGAAGAAAGCCUUGAGAACUUGUUGAGUUGAGUUAUGAGAUAGGGGAAAACCUCUCAGAAAUGUUAUUUGUGAGUUCUUGUAAGCGAACUGUUACGAUUUGAUAUUGUUAUUAUUGAGUAUUAGAGUUAAUAAAAUUAUUAUUGAGUAUUUGUUUGUGUGUUUUUUCUCUUCUUCUUUUCUCAUAUUUUUUAUAUAUGUUAAAAUGACUUCCAUUGUUCAUGAUUUUUUGUGCUAAUAAGCAGUAUUAGAACUUUGAGUUUUAAUUAUGGGGCUUAUUUGCAAAAUUAAUGCACAAAAAUAGAAGAUUUAUUGUUGAAAAUUAGGACACAAAAUUGGUCCUAAUUGAGUCAAGUUUAAAAUUUUGAAAUAUGGAUCUGUAUUAUUUACAAUAUUAUGCUAUUUUUACCUUUGAUGACAACAAUGAAUUUGAAAUUUAGAGUAUGACAAUGAAGGUGUUUUUUCCAAACUAUAAGAAUUUGGGAUAUUGUUCAAAAAGGGUUCAUGAAACUUGCAAAAAGCAUAGAAUUAUCCAACAAUACAAUUAAAUAGUUGGAGAAAAUUGACAAUUAGACCACAAGACACUUCAUUAUCUCACUACCAAAGUCUAGUUGCAUGUAUUCAAAAAAAUUCAUGCAUAUAAAAAUGGCAAGGGAGAUUUGAAAAUUUUUGAUGAAUUCUAAUUGAAGUGCACUUGAAGAUAAAGAAACCGUGUUCCAAAAAAAAAAUUGCAAGUGGUUGAAAAAGAAAGUGAAAUUAUUAGUGAAAUUAAUGAUAUGAUUGAAGAUCGUGAUGAAGUAGAAAUUCUUGAUUUUGUGGGAGUUGACGGAAUUAUUUGAAAAAGAAAAUCAACUAAUUGAGUUUGUAGAAAACAAUUAUAGAAUGAACGAUUUAGUUGACGAUUGUGGCAGUGCUAAGAUUGAUAUGGCUGUCAAUGUGAACCAAACAAAACAAAAUUAUGGGGGUGUUGAAAAAUUUAGUGAUGGUAACUAUGAUUUUGUGAUUUUGGAAGAUUUUAUUAGCGAUAAGGAUGAAUUAAGUUUUGAAACAUUCAAUCAGACAUGGGCGAACAUGUUUGAAUUUUUUGAUAAAGGUGAUCAAAUCAAGAAAUUAUUCAAGAAGUACAAGUUUCUCCAUUGCCACGUGUAAAAAUGAAAUUGAAAACCAAAUAUAAUUUGGCAUUUCACGUUGUUUCUAUAACCACAUGAUGAGUUUGGUUUAAGAGAGAUAAUAAAAUUAUGACUUGAUAUUAUUAUUAUUAUUAAGUUUUAAGUUAAUAAAAUUAUUAUUGAAUAUUUGUUUGUCUAAGUCCAUUCUUUUUGAUAUUUUAGUUAGCUUUGUGAGAGCUCCAAUUCAACACUUUUCUUUGAAAUUGCGGUCUUAGGAUUUUUUCUCUCUUUUUUCUAUAGUAGGGGUGACGUGUCACGUAGAGGUUUCGUGCAUGCAUGCAUGGCAACACCUGUGUGCUGAUGAAGUGAUGAGUGCUCAUCAUUCGCCAUUUGCCAACAGAAAAUUCUGCAGAUGACACGAACCACCGACUCAGGGGUCAGCUUAAUUACUCAACUUGCCAGUUCCCACAUGACAGGAUUAACUUGUCUCGCUCGAAUUUUUUGUGGUUGAGAUAGAUGGCUCUGGUAAUCAGGUUCUGCUGCUUCAUCUCAUAUAUAAAAGAAAGCACCAGAAAUAUCAGGGUAGGAUGUCUGGCAUUUUCAACCUUUUUCUUUCCUUCGAACAAAAUAGCCCAGUCUUGAAUUGAAUAUUGUGAAUUCUGGCAGCGUAUAGGAGAUUAGAAAGGUUAAAGGUUCCAACGCAUAUCUGGCUUCCACUUAUGGUUUGUGAAAAGACCAUCUUGAUUCUUGAUACGGUUAGAAAUGGCAGAUGCUUUUUCUAACACGUAGAAAUCUAUUGCUAGAUACAUGAUGCAUCAAUUAGCAGAUUAACACUACAAUCUUCUCCCUAGAAGAUUAUUGUGUCAACUGUAUAUAAGGAAUCUCGAGAAAGACAUUGUUGUGUGGCGUAUCAAUUUGCCCAUACUUGUGCACACAGCCGCUUGGUCCUUCCCAAGACGACGCAGCAGUAUUUUACUUCACAUAGUUAUCAGAUGCAAAGUCCAAACGCGCAUAGCCGCUAUUUUUUUUUUUCUUGGAAGAGUAAGCGGGAGGUCUCGAAUUCUCCGGACUUCUCAUUUAUCCUUCCUUCCUUCCGUCCGUCGUAUCAUCAAAUCUAUUUCUUCUCCGGGCAUACACUUGAAACCCCAUAAAAGCAAACCCGCAUGGCGUUCUUAUAUAUUCCCUGAAGCAGUGCCUAAACCUUUUUGAGAUAUGUUUGAGCUUUAAUCGUGCGUUUCUGAGAUUUCUCUUAAUAUCACUUGGCAUUUCUAAGAUUUUCAAAAUAUCACUUAUCUCCCUUACUUUUGUUAUUUGUGUAACAAAAUUUUUAAAAAUCCUAAACUACUCUUUCACUUGUUAAAUAAAAAUAUUUUUAAACUACUUUGUUCGCUUUAAGAAAACUAUCACCUCAAAAACAAUUUCUUGUAGUACUACCACAUCACAAUGUUAUACCCCAUCAAAAUAUAAAUUUAAAAAAUAAAAAGGUAUUUUGGUUUGUGUAAUAGUUACUAGGGGAGGUAAAUGAUAUUUCUAAAACCUUAAGAGUACUGAGUGAUAUUAAGAGAAAUCUCAAGAAAGGUUUCUGAUAUUAUCCCAAAAAAAAAAAAAGAGAGAAAGAUGUUAAGUGAUGCAAGAAAAGAAAAGAAGGAAAAUAUUUUAAAGCUAUUUGAGAGUUAGUUAGGUAAGAAAUGGUAUGAUUUGAAAUAUAUAUAUAUAUAUACACACGUCAAUAAAAAUUUGUUUGAUACACAUUUGAAGAUAAAAUGGACAUUUUGAAAUUUUUUGUUAGGCUCUCUCAACUGUCCUUCAUUUUCUGACCACAUUUGGGCAGAAAAUUUUAUCAACUAAAGCAGCAAGAGAUCAUCCAUCCAAAUCAUUUGGUUUCCUUUAUUUUCUAUCUCUCAAAGAGUCCCAAACAUCAGAAAGAAGGUCUUUUGUUUCACUUUUCUUUCUUUUCUUAUCAAAUCCGAAUUCCCAAACUAGCUAUUAGUGUUCUGCUAAUGCUAUUACUGAUUGGAUUUGAGUGACACAAAUUUGAAGGGUUAGAGUACAAUUAAAAUUUAAGAUGCAGGGCGAGAAUGGUGUAUAAAUUCAAAAGUGCAAUAUAAGGUUUCUCCAUCUAUAAAUGUGCAGACUUGUAAAUAUAUGAAGACAUAAGUAGCAAUAAUGGAAAUAAAUGUGUACGCAUGAGCGCAAACAUACAGGUCAAUGAAACAGGCAAGUGUACAUAGAUGUCCCUAGAAAAUAAUGCUAACGUAUGUAGAUGUAUUCUCUUUAGCUGUGCUGCGAUUGCAAGAUUUUUGACUUGAUAAUUGCAUCAAUUUCGCCCUUGGACAACUAUAUAUUUACUAAAGCAGUAAAUCUAACCAGAUAUUAAUUGAUUGGCAAUGCUUAUGGCACUAGUUCAUCAUAACAUUGAAAGAAUUUUAACCCCUCAAACGGUAUAUACACAUCUCUGCACAUUCUUGCUUAAAGAAAAUUAAGAGUACUUCAAAUAUUCAACCAUUCAUUCAUGAUCAUAUGACAAUGAAAACCAUAUGACCUAGAUCGUUUUGCGAAUGUGAAAAUUGUUUUUUAUCUGCCGAUGCAAUUAACAAUUCACACCAGAAAUAGGGAACAGAAGCAUGGUCAGAAAGGAGAAUAUCUAUGUUUUCAAAUUUGGACCGGGUAUCGACUCGAUCGAGUUCAGGGGUCAAUGGAUUUGAUCGGGUUCGAUUGGAAGUUGAACCGGAUGAUGUCAUAAAUAAAAAUUAUUUAAAAAUUAAAAUAUUAUAUGUAAAAUACUUAAGAGCAUGUUAAUAUUAACAAAGGUAUAUUCAUAUGUAUUUGAUGUUUCAAAUAUAUUUAACAAGAAAAAUACAAAGAAAUUAGAACAAUCAAGUAGCAAUUUAUAUUAUUUAAUGAACAUUAACAAGUUUAGAAUUAAAAGUAUGGACUUAAUUGAAAAAUAGCACCAAAAUUUAAGACAAAUUUAUAAAGUGUGAAAUAUUUGAGGUAUAUUAAUAAUUUUUAACAAUCUAGGGGUCAAAAAAUAAUAUUAAAAAUGCUUUGACCUUUACAAAAAAAAGGAACUUUGAUAGCCAUCGAUUUUUCCCGGUUCUUCAGUUUUUUCUGGUCAAACCCGAUUUUUUAUCAAGUUUGACAGAGUUUUUAUUUAUCCAGUUUUUAAGAAUAACUCGGACCGGACAGUUGGCUGGUUCCCAUUUGGAUCGACCGGUCUGGUCCAAGUUUAAAAACAAAGGAGAAUAUGCAUUUUCCCAAACCACAAAGCCUGCGUUAUAGUUUCCACCAAAAAGAUACAUAGGAGCAUAACACUAACGAGCCAGUGAAGUCAUUAUUGCUUGCAUGCAAUUCCUUAGUUCUCACUUCUCAGCACAACAUUAGCGCACAAGGGUACACUUUCAUCGCAUUUUUCUCCAAAAAAAUCACAACCUAUAAAUGGACAAAACUCUAUUUCUAUGUUCAUUGCUUUUGGAUUUUGUAGCUUUCUCGUUUCCCAUGUUUUUUUUUUGCCCCGGGAGAACCCCCCGCGCCGGGGAGGGGGGGGGGGUUGGGGUUUAUGUGUGUGUUGAAGAAACGGGGUUAAAUUGAGCAUGCUUAUGGUAGGAUUUUACUACCAGAAAAGAGGAGAGAAUACAGAAAUUUGUUCAUAUGCAGGUUUGAACAAUGAAUCAGUUGGACUAGACUUGUGCCUUGAGAUAUUUUGAGUCCUUGACUUCGUAGUUUCUAUACGCAAAUCUCAGAACCGCCAGUUUUCUGUAUACGACUUUGUAGUUUGAAAAGUAUUCACUCUCGGUAUACAGAGUACACAUGACGGUCAACUUCCAAGUUCCAACUUCCAACUACUUAAAUUCAGAAAUUAUUUCCCUUGGCUCUUUUACCUAUUUUUGUUUCCCUUUAUAGUGUACACAUGCCAUUUGUUCAUUUAACUUUCUUCUCGCAUCCACUCCCGGCUAAUUUUAUUGGAUGACAAAUCAUCACUUAAACUAUCGAGUGCAAACGAAUCUAAUCAAAUCGAGCACUUUAGUAUUUAAACUUGUUCAAUUAUUUUAACGAAUUUUGUAGUUGUCGAAUCGAAUAUAAACAAAUUUUUUAUCGAAUUCAAACUUUUUAAAUUUAACUUAACUACUCAGAGAAUUAAUUUUGAAUAAAUUUUUACCAAGUCAAAUCGACGUCAGUUGGUACAUUUUUUAAUCCAUUUAAACUGAAUCUAUUUACUUCAUCCCACCUAUAAAAGCCAAAAAAAAAAUGAAAGUAAAAGAAGAUAACACAAGACAAGACUAAUUAACAAUUCAUUAUUGCAAAAAAAAAAAGAAUAAAUACAAGAGAAUAAUUUUUUUUUAAAAAAAAAAGACUUUUUAAUCAAGUAAACUGAAUAAAUUCUCGAGUUGCCUUUUCCGCAAAGAAACAUCGAAAUAAAUACAAGUGCCAGUACCAGUAGUUAAAUAACUUACUGCAAUUUUGGAUAUGGACUCAACUUACUAGUAUUUAAAAAUUAAAAUACUCAGUCAAAGUAGAACAGCACGCUUUUUCUUUGUCCCCGCAAUAAAUAAACAAACAAUCCUCAUUCUAACCUCACAUCGAAUUCCACUCACCCAAAUCGCCGUCCAAUGAAAUUCGUGUCCAAUAGGCUAAUAAUUGUCUGGUUACUCGGGCGUCACACUCGAACAGAAUCACCAUCACCGUCACUCUAGACUAGCUUCCCGACCAAUUUCCCCCUUUUUUUUUAUUUCACAAAUAAAUAAAACACGCGCUUUUUCUCCUUUUUCGAUUCGACGAAUCCAUCAAUAGUAAAAGAGAAGAAGAAGAGGAGAGAUGUCACUGCGAAGAAAUUUUCUGUCCCGACGCAUUUCGAAUCGAUCCUUCUCGCUUUCUUCUAAAUCAGUGAAAGAGCUGAAGAAUUUUGAUAGUAUAAAUCGCGAUCGUAUUUAUGACGUCAAUAAUAGUAACAAUGUUAUGAGAAGUGGAGAUGGUGAAGGGGAGGAUCUUCAAAGCGCUGCCGUUUGGGGUAGUGGAGAGAUGGCUCCGACGCCGUCUCGGUGGUCGAGUAUGCUGCCGGAGCUGUUAGGUGAGAUUAUACAGCGGGUGGAGGCUAGUGAAGAUGUGUGGCCGCGCCGCCAAAACGUCGUCGCUUGUGGAUGCGUUUGUAAGGGCUGGAGAGAGAUUACAAAAGAUGUUGUGGCGUCAUCCUCUCGUCAGCCUGACGGCGCUGCCAAAAUUACCUUUCCUUCCUGCCUCAAAAAGGUCCAAACUCUGGUUUUAAUUGCGCAUUUAUUGGGAUUGUGUAGGUGUUGGUUUUCAAUUUGUCUCUUGAUAUGAUUUUGUUGGAAUUUUUUUUUUGUCUUUUAAUGUUGCAAUUUCCUUGCCUUUUAGAUGAGUUUUUAAGGUUCUUAGUGUAGAAUUUAUUGGAACUAGUUCUGGUUUUUUGGGAAUUUCGUUCGUCAGAGCCAAAAUUUGCAUCUUUUAGUAUGUUAUUUGCAAUGGAUGAGGUCAACUCAAAAAGAAUAUGCGGGUUAAUGGUUCGAGCCGAGUUAUUACUUUCUUGCGCUGCCCUCUUUUGUUUAGGGAGUAGGUGCUAAAUAUGAGCUGAAAUUGAGCUUGUACGAACUUCUUUUGUUAAACCAAUCUAGAAGAAGGUUUAGUGUCCGUCAACUUCAAGGUUGGCCCAAUAAGCAUAAAACUUGAUAAUUAAAGAUAGAUUAACUAAGUUGCUUGAGCUCAAUUGGAUUCAAAUCGAUGAAAUAUUGUGUGAGUUUGGCAUGUAUGGUGAUCAAGCCAAGCAUGAUCUCAAAUUUAAGCUUGUUAAAAAAUUCAUUCAAGCUCGAACGAAAUAGUAUUUGGCUCGAUUAAGCUUUUCUUAACAUCUAUGGCUGUGCGUUCUCAGCUUUUGAUGUCUCAAGCCUUUCUCAUGAUGUUGGUUUUUGAUGGAGACUUGGGAGCUAGAAUGCUCUCCAUUCAUUACUGUCGGUUGGAGUCCAUGUUUCUAAAAAAGAGUGUUUUUUUUUUCUUGGUUACCAAUUCUAUGUAGUGUUAUUUCGUGUGCAGCCGGGGCCGCGUGAUGCUCCACUUCAAUGUCUUAUAAAACGCGACAAGAAGAAUGGGACAUUUCGCCUUUACCUUGCUCUUUCACCAUGUAAGCGAUGCGUGUACAAUUAUGCAAAAUAUUUUCUGAUGCUCUUGCUUGUUCUUGAUUGACUCUUUUAUAGCAAGGUUGUUGUCAAACUUGUUUGACUAGUAAAAGCUUGAAUUUUGAGGUUAUAUUCUGUAAUGCAGAAUUAACUCUAUUGCAGUGGAACAUACCUUUGUUAUUAGGCAAGUCAACUUGGCAUUUUUGAUCACCUGUCUGUUUUGCUGGAUGAAGGAGGUUUGAUUUGGGAGGACUUGAUUUUGAUUGAAAAGUUUAGAUUUUGAUUCUGUGGCAACAUUUGUUUAAUGGAAUGGACUUUUGCUUUGUGAUUUUCAUUAGGAAAUGACUUUAUCCUGAUUGUCAACAAUUUGCUUCUGUUGUUUACUGGAGCUGCAUCAUAUUAGAGCUCACAGUUCUUCACUUUGAUUUACCUUUAUCAGGUUUCAUGUCUAGUACACAUUCCUUAAUGGUGCUGCUGUACCAAAUAACUGGUAGAACUUUACUAUGAUUGCGUUCGAGAUUACCUUACUGUCUUCUUGUAAAUGGGAAUUAUUUGCAUUUCAGUUCUUCAUCAGACUACUGGUUCAUGCUUUCUUUUCAAAAUUUUGAGUUACAAGUAGUUAAGAAUGGGUAUUUCCAGUUUUUUCAAAAACAAGUUUUUCAAAUACGAUGCUACAGUAAUACAAAAAAAAAAUGGCUCAAAAAACAUUUCAUUCGUACAAUAUAUCAAAUAUUUCAAUAAAUAUUUAUAGUAAAAGUUUUUGAUAUACACUGUUACAAUAAAAUUUUUCAAAAACACUCCCAAAAACAGCUAAUCCAAACGGAUUUAGAGGUUGUUUGUCGUUUAAUUUGUGUUAGUAGUUCCCAAGUUUUGUGAGUUUUUUGAGCAUUAAGUUGACCAGAUUUCUUUUUGCGGGUUUCCAAAGUCAUAUUAUCAUCUGAUCUUUAUAUUAAUUUGCUAUUUGGCAGCAUUCAUGGAUGAGGGAAAGUUUCUCUUAGCAGCAAGACGAUAUGGAAAGGGUACCCACUCUGAGUACAUAAUAUCUCUUGAUCCUGAUGAUUUUUCUCAAGGAAGUAAUGCCUAUGUUGGAAAACUGAGGUUAGCUUUUUUGUUUGAUCUUCAAAAACUUUUGGGUGAAGUUGAGACAUUUGUUUCCUUUUUGGUGAAGUCUGUAGGUCUUGCAUUUGCAUUUCUUACUCCAUACUGGGUAAUUCUUGUUUGUUUGCAUGUCAGGUAUUCCUAGGACCAGAUCUAUUUUUCCCUUUCAUAUCCUUUUUUAUGAUGCUCUAAUCCAAUUUUCGGGUAUCAUAGAUGAGAAUGAAGUCAGAGACUGUGUGCAUCAAGGAAAUUAUUUAUAUCUAAAACUGACCGGUGAGGCUGAGAGGGUCUUUCUUUGAUCAGAGCAAAAUAUUCACCAAGAUUCUAUGUGCAGGUCAGAUUUCCUAGGCACCAAUUUUACCAUUUAUGAUAGCCAACCUCCACACAAUGGAGCUAAACCAUCAAGCAGCAGGGCUGGCCGUCGUUUUGCCAGCAAGCAGAUAAGCCCCCAAGUACCAGCGGGUAAUUUUGAAAUUGGAGAAGUAUCAUAUAAGUUCAACCUCCUGAAAUCAAGAGGUCCAAGAAGGAUGGUAUGUGCACUGAAGUGCCCUUGGUCAGAGGACAUUUCUGUCGACAAAGUAAAUGGUGAUUCAAAAACAGAGAGUUCUUUGUCUGCUAUUUCGAGCUAUACUGUUUUGAGAAACAAAGCUCCCAGAUGGCACGAGCACUUGCAAUGUUGGUGUUUGAAUUUUCAUGGUAGGGUAACAGUUGCAUCAGUUAAGAAUUUUCAACUCGUUGCAACAGUGGAUCAAAGCCAGCCAGAUGGAAAAGGGGACGAGGAGACAGUUCUUCUCCAGUUUGGCAAGGUGGGAGAUGAUAUUUUCACCAUGGACUAUAGGCAGCCUUUGUCAGCCUUCCAGGCAUUUGCCAUUUGCCUUACCAGUUUUGGCACUAAACUGGCCUGCGAGUAAGAAUGGCGGCCGCCAUGUCCACGAGACUAAUUUCCGUUGCCGUUUAUGAGGAGCUCUCUUUUGAUAUGCUUCGUCUUUAAAGUAUCUUCAGAUAAUUCUGAUUUGCCUUUCCCAAGUCAAUGCACGUCAUAAUAUUGUAUAGAUAAGUUAGUCAAAGGUGGAUUUUUUAGUAUCUGAUGAUCAUCAUGUACUGAUCUUAAUAACUAUUUGAAAUUUCAAAGCUUUAAUGUUUCUUAUAUGCAAAUUGUAGAAUGGCUUUGUUGCGAUGCCAUAUACCUGCUUGCCUUCAUCCUUAAGCUCGCCCUACUUGUAUAUUUGGACUAAAAAUGUCGCCCAACCGCAUGAGGUGGGAAAUAGGUUUUAUAGGGGGUGGGGGAAACGGUGGAGAUGAAAGGUGGAGGGGGAGAGGAGAAGACAGGAAGGGGAAAAGGAGGAUGGUGGUGUGGAAGGAAGGUGGCAGAUGGUGGUAUGGGGAAGAGAUAGCAGAAGGGGUGACGUGUGGGGGCGGGGGGAUGGUCGUGGUUGUUUGUGACUAUGGUGACUGAAGUGGUUGACAUGGAGGUGGGUGACGCGUGAUGGGUGAUGGAGUUCUAUAAAUAUUUCUCACACACGUUAAAUACAUAAAAAAAUUGUACAAUAAAUUAUAUUUUCUCCGUUCCACCUUAAUAGUCUCUGUGUUCAUUGCAUCGGAGGGAGUAUUAUUCAAACUACCUUGCACAUGCACGCGAGCACGCCCGCUCACACACGUAUACAGAGGCUCAAGCGGAGGGAUUGCCUGAGCUCGAAAUUGGAAGAGUUUCCGUUUUUCGGUUUCUUAAUUAUUGCACUUGUUUCUUGAUUCAUUUUGUGGGAUGAGAUGUUGGAUGAUUACAAUAAUGUUAUAUAUGCAAAAAAUAAAAUGACUGCAUGGAGCGGAGAAGAAUGAUUUUCAUCUUACCCUUCCAUUAUUGCUUGAAUAAUACUCCAACUUUACUGAAUUUAAGUAGGUACACAAUUAUUCGCGACUUUUUCAAUUGUUUGUGGCUAAGAAAAGCGUUCUCGUCCUCGAAUUGUAAACUCAUCUUAGUAGUCCCAAGUUUCCUAAAACUGUAUGAAAUUGACCUUUUUUCUUUUAUUUAUUUCAUUUUCAUAUAUAUUAGUAAAGCUACAUUUAUUUCCAAAUUCAAGUUGAGGAGAUCUAAAUUGUGACAACCGUAUUGCUCGAAUACACACACCUAGAAAAAUUCUUUUCGUCGGGCAUGAAGAUUCUGUUAUGGAUUUUACCUAUACCAAUCUUUUUUAUAAAGUGUGAAAUGCUAUCAUUUAGUAGCAACUUCAACCUUUUGUUAAAGCCCCUACAAUUUCGUCUAUCAACAUUCUUCAUGUUUAUUUUUCAUUCAAUCAUCUAUAUUUACAAAUCACGCAUGUAUUUGAAAAAGAAACAUGUAAUGACAUUCAGUUUUAAGUACUACUUCAUUUCUCUUGAGGUAAAAAGGUUGUCUUCAACCAACUUGUCAUACAAAUAGUUACUCUACAUUUCUAUUAAUUUCACUCUUGCAUGGUUCGCGUUUCCAAUACUUUUUAACAUAUUCCACCAGGAAACCAAACUCGGUGCAACUCCCAAUAGAAACCCCAAAAAUGAAGAAAACUUUUUGGCCAGCAUUCAAAAUACUAAAUACUUGGUAAAACCUUUAUCAGUUUUUCAUAGCUAAUUGGUUGUAACACAGUUUUGACCUUUGCAUUUAACAUAUAAGCCCGUGCAUAGCACAGGUAAAAAUGCUAGUAGAAUCAUAUCCGUGACCAAUACUCAUGCAAAGCAUCAUAACUGUGAAAAAUAGGCAAAUAUAGCAAAUACAAGACAAAGAUUCACAUUUGACAAGGAAGAGCCACAUCCAUUAGCCGUAGUUUCAAGAGACACAAGUCACAACAGUAGUUAAAAGGGCUGCCAAAGUAAAAACGGAAAGGGGUGGGGAGGUUUCAUUUACACCACUAUUCUUAGGCCUCAAACGACAAUCACAUUGCAGAACACUGGCUUCUUCCAUUCCCAUUGUUUUAUUUCUUUCCUCGAAGUUUCACACCCAGAGCCCUCUCCAGUUUAGAGAUAAUCUGCUGAUUUGGAAUAGCCUUCCCUGAUUCGUACUCCUGGAUGACUUGUGGCUUCUCAUUUAUCAGCUGUAGACAGGAAACAAUAGAUUAAAAUGAUUGCUUCUCAUUUAUCUCCACAUCACAUAAUUGACUCAGGGUAAUAAAUGUUUACAUCUGGUUGCCAUCUAUCUAAGUGGUGUGAUAAUCUUAAGUCAAUCUGUGUAAACAAAAGAGAUACCUGUGCAAGUUGAGCUUGAUUAAGUUUCUUCUCCUGUCGAGCUUGCAUGAUUGCUUUCUUCAACUCAGUUGGUACCUUCUGAUCUGAAAAAAAAAAUGAAAUCAUAAGAUCACAUCAAGAUGACAAAUGGCUUUCCGAAACAUAUAGUAUCAGCAUAUCAGCAUACAUCAAUUUCUACAAAAAAAAGCUUGUGCAGGACUGCCUACAUUGUGCCUCAAUGCUGUAACAAAUUUCCCCCAAAAGGGGAAAAAAAACAGAUAAGAAAGGAGAAGAGAAAUGAAAACAAUAAUCUCCCAAAGUCCCUUUAACACCAAGCCCAGCAAUUUUACUUCACAGGAUCUCAUGCACAUCCUAAUGAAGGUUCCUGUAUCUUAUGCAAAACUAAUAACACCUUCAUACAGUAAAAUGAAGAGAAAAUUAAAAUCUAGUAGUUCCCAGCAGUAUGUUCAGCUCUGAAGCAUAUAAAAAAAUCUGUAGGGUGCUUAAAAAAGUGAGAUAAGAUCCUACUCACGAGCCAAAUUUUCAGUGUCUUCAUCCAGUUUCCUUGUAUUCAAAGAUGUGCUGCUAGAGGCAGCCUUGUUUGUUCCUGCACUAGCUGCAAUACAAAAUAAAGCAAUUGAGUGCAUGUAUAACAAAUUUGCUACACAAAUACAAAAUUUAACAACUGCCAAAGCUUCAUUAUCUGAUAAAUAAGCACCAAAAUUACGAAAAGUUAGAGAGUAUCCCAGUAACACAUACAUUUACUAUCAAAACUCCUAUUCCGCAUUAUCUGGCCUUAACAUCUAGAAGAGCCCCACCAUUCACUAAAGAAGUUACUUCAUCAACACAUUUAAGUAUUACAUAUUUCAGAAGUCCAAAGCCACAUCACCACAAAACACAACGUCCACGAAUGCUCAACCAUACACAUCCGUGAACUACAUAAUACAAUCAGGAAUCAGAUAUCAACUGAAUGUUGAUUACCAUUUCAGAAACAAAAUUCCACACAAGAUAAAAGCAUAAACACUUACAUGAAUAAACCCUAAUAGAACAAUAAAUGGAAUUAACACAAAAAUAUGGAUUAAACAUCGAUAAAUCAAUGUAUAGAAAUCAAACAUCCAUCUUAACAACAAACUAAUACUCAUACAAAUUCCCGAUUCACCAGUAAUCGAAGCUCAAAGUUAGACAGACAGGAAAAAUGGAAAAACAAUUUGUAGAAUAAAAAAAAAAAAUCAAAACCCUAGAUGAGAUGCCAAACCAUAUCCGCAUGCAGAAAAUACAAAUUAAAAAAGAAGAAUAGGCAGAAUAAAAAACACUAGCGUAUUGGAUAAUACCUUUCUUGAUGGUUUCGACCUCGGCGCCGGAUCGACGGGCGGCGUUGACUGCUUUCUCAUCCUUGCGUGCGGCGGCGGUAGGGGCCUUCUUGCGGAUCACCACCGGCUCCCAGUCUUGUGUGAUUCCGGCCAUCUUCGCUCUCAAAAUUUUAUGUCGGAGACUUCUUCGAGGAUUAUGCGAUUGUUUAGUGCGUGUUUCUAAGCGUCAAUGACUGUGCGAGAGGGGUGACUGUCCUCUUCUUAUUGGUUUAGAUAUUGGAGCGUUUGGUUGAGGAGAUAUUUCAGUAUUUGGGUACCUAUCAGCAGGAAUGGAAUAGUUCGCGUCCAAAUUAGGGGUUGUCUGCUUACGUAAGAUAUUUGGGUAACGCCGAAUCUCAUAUAAUCUUUACCUAUGAGCUAAAAUUUUAAAGACUUCUUGGAAUUGCGAUGGUGCUUUUACAGAUAGUUUACUUUUCAAAAACACUUUUGGAGACAAAAGCAAUGCUAACGUGUUUGGUGAGCUAAAAUUUUAAAGACUACUUUGAAAUUGCGGUGCUUUUACAGAUAAUUUAGGCUUUGUUUGGCAGAUAAGUUUUUUUUAUCAAAGCCUGCUACACGUUUUUUAAAAAUUUUAGUUACAGUGACAUCAAAAAACUUCUCAAAAUUUUUAAACUUAUAUACUUGAAAAUAUUUAAAAAAAACACACUUAAAAUUUUUUUUUUAAAACUUCUGCAUUAAAUUACAGUAAAAUUUUAGACAAAUACAAAAAAAAACUCACUUACCAAACGGAACCUUACUUUUCAAAAACAUUUUUGGAGACAAAAGCAACGCUAACAUGUUUGGUGAGCAUCAUUCUUUGAAUUUAAUAGUAGAACUUUUGGCCACUAAAGUAUUUUUGGUAUAAAAUCAAAAUUGGUUCUUUUAGAGUAAUUUUUAUAUAUCAAAAAAAAUUUUUAAAAAUGACUUUAACAAGUUUAUUACUCUCUCUGUCCCAAUAUUAUGGUCAUUUUUUUAGAAAUUCAACUUUUUUAUGGAGGCAUAGUAAUCAUUAUAUCUAAAUGAGAUGACACUGGUGAAUUUAGAUAUUUAUCCUCUGAAUUAAAAAUAAUCUCUUGGUAGAUGUGUAUUAGUAUUUUAAAAAGUUAAUUUUUCAAAUGGUAAGAUUGAAAAGCAUGUCUUAAAUUUGAAAUUGUGAUUGUUAUUUUGAAACAUCAAUAAAGUAAAAAUAUGGCAAUAACAAUAGGACAGAGAGAGUAUAGAUUUUGAACUAAGGCACCGUUUGGAUUGAAGGACAAGAAAGGAAAGGAUCGAGGCGGAAAGAAAAGGAAAGAACUCUAGUGGAAAAUAAAGGAGAGGAGAGUAAAGAAAAUCUGAAUCCAUCCGCCUCGUUUGGAUUACGAAAGGAAAGGAAAGGAGGGGAGAGUACACGUCUAUUUCUAGGGUAUACGUACAAUUAAGUAUAUAUCUAAGCAAUAUUCCACUUUGUGACUGUUCGAUUUUCUUGAUUAUAACUGAUGUUGCACUUGACAUGAAAAUUAAACCCCAAAAUGUCAUCCAAGACCAUCAAAAUUAAACCUCAAAAUGUCAUCAAUUUUUUCUGGGUUCGUGUUUGAUGAAAAUACAAAUUCUUGGGCUUUGUUGUAGUACCCCGGUUGAAAAUUUUGACGCACCUUUUGAUUGAUUGCUGAGGAAAUGCAAUGCAUACGAGUCUCACACCUGAUGGUGAAAGAAGCAGUUGAAUCCUUUUUGAAGGGAAUGCAUACUGAACUGUAUAUUGGCAGUUCAAUAGCCUGCUGCACUCUCCAUUUUACUGUCAUGAUUAUGAACUCGAGGGUUUCCUUUGCUAACUUAAUUAAGACAGUACCAAUCAAACGAAGAAAAGCCAAGGUCAAAAAUCUAGGAGGGGAAGGAGAUGGUUGUCCUAUAAAUAUUUUUAAACCAUUCCCAUUUCGGAUUACAAUGAAAAACAGGGGAGAUGAAGAGGAACAGGUAAUCAAUAAGAGCUCUGCACUAGAAAUUUGGGAAGUUAAAAAUUGGGGAAAAUGUAGUUUCAUGUCACUACAGAGCAUCUUAUGAUCUCAUAAUUGACCAUAUGCACUCUAUUAAAUAACAGAAACCAAGAUGAAUUGCAAGCAAGAAAGUAGAUGAACUGAAUCUUCAAAAAACUCCAGAAAUUAGCAUGUCAGCUGUAUUAUAAACUGGAAUUGACAAACUUUCUUUUGAUGGCCAAAGAAACUGAUGGUGGCUUGAAUAGAUAGGUAGCAUGUAUUGCAACUUUCAACCUGAAUAAAUUGUCCAGCAAGGGACAAUUUCUCUGGCUUGUUGGUGCUCCAGCUAAAGUACUGCUAAAACUUCUAGACAUCUAAAAAAGUAGCUUCAUUAGUCUCUAGGAAUGAUGCACUCUCUCCCUCUCUCUAUAUCCUGAUUUAUGCUUCUCUAAGUAGCUACGUAAAAGUGGGCUAGCAAUUUAAAAGGAUAAUUUUUGUAUAAAGGAUGACCAUGUCCUUGUCUGAUUGCUUUUCUGCUUCUUUUGAAAAUAAACACUUUAUUUGGCAAAGAAAACAUCGAGAAGUUCCAUUCAUGUGCAACAUGAAACACAAACAUGGAGACGCAUCAACAUUCACAAGGUCAACCUGGAACCAGAUAAUCCAUACUAAAUGCUACAUGCUUCAGAGUGAAACAUAAAGUAGCCAACUUACAGGCUAUCCACUACAACAAUGGUCAGAAUUCUGAAGAACAUGAUUAUUAGUUAAUGUGGUUUGAGAUCUAAGGAAGCCUAACUUUAACCUAUCCAUUAUCAAUUACUGAAAAAUUCUCCCCAGUACAUUCUUCAUCUGCAAAAUAGUUCACAAUGCAAAUAUUUAACAAACUUAAAAGAGCCAGACCGACCUUGGACAAAACAGUGGAUGCCAGCAUGCAGUAGAGAACUCAUCCAUCAUUGACCAGUCCAGCUUCUGUAUGUUCUAGAGUCUCUGGAAUUGUCUGGCAGAAAACUUCAGGACUAUCAGAUGCCUCAGCUCCAGAGGAAGAAAUCUGCGGCAUACAACACCUUAAUUCAAUAAAAAGUUCAUCUGUUGUCUGGACAGCAUCGACAUUGCUAAGAAACCAACAAUGUUUAACAAACCUUAGCAUCUGCUGAUUCACCACCAUUAUUUGGCAAAAUUUCAGUGCAAACACACUCCUUUGGCAGAUAUUCUCCACCUUUGCUAACAUUCACAAGGGCUUCCUUAGUUUCCAGAGAAACUGAAACAUCAUUAGUUCCUUUGCCAACAUUUGCCUGUUAAACAUUCCAAAGAAAUGUAUCAAUAAGCUGAUGUCCACCAGGACUCUUUCACAUGCAAAUUCCAUGACAACACAGCAUAAAGUACACGUCUCGCACUCAACCUGCCCUGAGUUACUAGCAUCCAAUUGACUGUCCUGAUUUUCAUGGACAACAGAACUACCCUCAGUUCCUUUACAAACUUUUUCCUGAAACAUGUUCACAAGGUUACAGAGUUCAACUAAUAUCCAACAGGGCAUCAUUAUGCAUGACAACGAAACAUAAAGUACCUGCGCUUUGCAUUUGUCCUGGCCCUCAACGUCACCCUGGCGUGAAUUCUGCAAACAUAUUUCACGCUUUUCGCUCAAUGCUGAGACAAUGGUGGGAAGCCUAGCAAGGUCCCAUCCAAGAACCUUGCAAAUUACCUGCCCAUAAGCCCUAUGAGCUCUCCUCUUCUUCGUCUUGGCUAUUGAAAUCGAAUGCUGAACAAGAGCAACACAAUCCUUAAACUUCUUUCCGGCUAACUUUUUCCCCAAACCACCGCAAACUAAGCAAUUAAAUUCCCCAUUAUAAUAAUUCUUCUCGUAAUACUCCCUCAACUCCCUAUCCUCUGUAAAUACUUUAAAGAAAAACCUAUACUCUUCCUCCUCCAGCGAAUCAUCAUCAUCAUCAUCCUCACUAUCCUCCUUAUCAUCAUCAUCACCAGACUUAAAAAAUUCUUCAGUUAUCUGCAAAGCCUUAAAUUGAGCCUGACUGGCUGCAAGUUUGGCUUUUUCUGCAGAGGAGGGUAGAAGGGUCUGCGGACUCGACUGCGGCCAGCUUGUUCCCCAGCCGGAGGUGGUGGCCGGAGGUGAAUUAGAAGUGGGAUUGCAAGGCCAUUCUUUUCCGGAAGCUGGAGAAGGCAAUAGAGUUGGGUUAUGGGAUUCUUGCAAUUGUUUUCUAUCGGAGUUCUUUCUGCCUUUUCUGCUUGCAGGUUUAAUUCCUUCUUGCCUCUUGAAUUGUAUGGGAUUGUAGGGGUGAUGGAGAAGGCCAGAUGGUGUGGGCUGUUGGGUUGGUCUAGUAGGCGGCCCCUGGUGCCAUAACGAGUGGAGGUAAAUCACCUCGUCUAUCAAUCUUCUUUCAUAGUCUGGAUCCAUUGCUUGCAGAACAUGAAGGACUGAAAAUUGGAAUUGUUGAUGAAAAAACUAGGAUUUUAAUCGAUUUCCAAAUGGGCGGAAGUGAAGCGAUGUUCGGUGGAACGGCGGUUACAGGAAGCCGAAGCACCACUCUCUGACAGACAUGGCAUACGCCAUAGAGUUUACGGAGUUUAGCAAUUCACGUUUUUCUGGUUUUAUUCCUUAUUCAAUUGUUUUGUUCUUUCUAUCCAUGUCAUUUUUGUUUUAAUCUUUAUCGUUCAAUUUUUUUGCUUGAUUGAUACUUUCUUUUUCUUUUUUUUUAAAAACCAAUAUUUGCUUGAUUGAUGCUUGGAUUGAAAAGAAAAAAAAAAAACUAAUGUUAAAGUGCUACUAACACACAAUUCACCAAUUUUUGGACCUUGUGAGAUACAAUUAAAAUAAAAAAUUACUGUAACACUUUUUAUUUGAACGGGAGAUUAUUUGAAAUAAUUACUAUAAUAUUUUUUAUGAUAUAAUGUAUAUGAGAUAAAAAAAUAAAAAAAUUGUAUUUAUGAUGCAAGAAAUUUUUUUUUUCCCAAAUCAUGGUUAUCUAAACAUACUCAAUGAGUCAAGCACUAAAAAAUUUUUGAGAACAUUUUGGUAAAUUACGAGAUUUUGUCUUAGUGUUUGAGCUUUGAAAUGACAAUAUGUCACAUGAAACAUUCUAGUACAUAAUAUAUUCACACUAGAAAUGGAUAAUUGCAAUUAAAAGUAAAUUAAACAAUGAAGAUCCCAAAAAAAAAAAAAAACAGGCGAGCUUCUGUGAUUCAUUUCACAAAUAAACUCUUCAUAAUUUCAUAUCAAUAUGCAUUAUUCGAAAUUUACAUACUCAAAAAGUAACACUAAUAAUAAGACUAAAAUUACUAAUUAAUUAAUUAAGAAACCAAAUGGGAUGGUUUAAAGAAAAAUUACUUGCUUAUAAGACCAAAAUGAACCGGGACUGUUCGGCCACAGGACCAGCCGGUUUACCGAAAACAUCAUUGGUCUUUCCCGGUUUCCUAAGCAUUUUUCCGGGAAAGUAGUUUCGGGCGUGCCGUCCCAGUCCGCCAAUACAUUGAUGCCCGUCGUCCUCAAUUUCUUUCACUUCCUCACAGUUACUAAAAGCCCUAGCUCCACAACAAUUUCCCCAUCCCCAUUAUUUUCCUCAAAAAUGGCGUCUUCUUCGUCGGCGAAGAUGAUAGCGGAGUACGCCAAGUCUGGACGAUCGUCGUGCAAGAAAUGCUCGAAAACAAUCUCCGCAAGUGCCUUAAGGCUUGGUUUAGUUACCAGAGACGCUCGAGGCUUCGACAUGACCAAAUGGCAUCAUUUGCAUUGUCUGCCUUUGAGUUCCCAUUCCGGUGCAUCGCCGGAGUCCAUCAAAGGAUUUUCAUCGCUCAAGGUAGUACAGCAUUUUAAUUUCUUCCGAAGGAUUUCUCCAUUAUUUUUUUUAUUUAAGAAGAUUUUAGUUUAGUAGCAAAAUAGUAGGCUAUACUGGGAAGUGGAAAUUACUGUUUGAAACUAACAGUUAAACUUUUGAAUAUUAGAAAACCGAGUAUGAGUAGAAUCUUGUUACCGUGAAAUUAGAAAUUUUCUUUUAAAAAAGAUGGCUUUUUUUUUUGGCUGCUGGAUUUGAAGUUGAGAGAAUCUGUGGGGUCGACUUCAUUUUAUUUGGUUAUUUUUGUGGUUGUGGCUAUGCAGAGCAGUGAUCAAGAAGAACUAAAGAAAUUGAUGAAGGAAAGUGUUCAGGCUCUAGACAAGGUAUAUUAUUUGUGAAAUGUUGCACCACAGAUAGUCUUUUACUCUUAUAAGCUCCUCUUUGCACCUUGAUGCUAUGGUUAUCUGUUCAAUAUGCAAUGCGAAAUUCAGCAUAAGAUGAAGAGGAUUAUGCGUGAUCUCCUCUACUAAUGCCUUAAGUGGAGUCUGUCUUCGUUACGACUUGUGGUGGACAAUGACUUCUCUCACAUCUAGUUAGAAUAUUCUGCAACUUGAGAUAAUGCUUCAUGAGCCUGUUAGGACCCUUCUUAGUCAAGCAUUUGUUUUGUGGAUCCUUCAUGGUUUUUUGGUAUUGUUCAUUACAUUCUUCACAGGUCUUUUGAGUUCUUGCUUUGGACAGUGAAACUGCCCUGUGGCAUUGUGAAGUACUCCUGAAAUUCAAACAUUUAGUUUCUAGCAAUGUUACCAAUUCAUGGCUUAUGCAACUAUAUGCUAUAAAACUGUAAGGCAAUAUGCUACUGUGAUAAUGAAGCAACUUGCAUGUUAUAAACUUGUAUUUAGAAACUAUUUAAGCUUAUCGGUGCAGGUAUUCAAUUGUAAUUAACAUGUGGUCCUCAGUAUGAGCUCUCUAUAUAACUCAUAAUAGCUGUUUGACAUUUCAGGUUUUGGAUGGAGAAAAAGAUUCUAUUACUGAAACCAAGGAAUUCAAGGUAAGAUUUCUAAUGUUAAUCGCUUGCCAUAUGUUAAUAAUCUUAAAGGCCUUAAUGCCCUCCACUUUCAAUAGGUUCUCAGACGAGAUGAUGAAGAUGAGAGUUAUGAGAUGGAGAAACAAAAAGUGAAGAAGAAAAAGGUACCUUCUCAGAUGAACUGGAGGCUCUUUAAUUUUGUGGUUGUUGUAGAUAUGGUGACAGUGGUAUUGUUGGUUUCAUUUUAUUGUACUAGCAUAUUUGAUACCUUCCAACCACGGACACCACAUUCAUGACUUAUUCAGCACCACAUUUAAAAUAACAUGGAUAAAUGCUGCUUUCUGGUUCUCCUUAUAUCACGCACGGACCUUCAGUGUUACACCAUGUGAUUCAUUCUGCUACUUGUCCUCGAUAUAUUUACUUCCUUGUGCACCAAAGAUGUACUUCUCAGUAGUAUUUGCCCACAUUUAUUUUUUUGCUUUUUUUAACUACCGCUUGCAUCCAAUUCCCGUUAGCUAUCUGAGUCUGACAAGGGCAGCAAGCUGGAGAUCACAUUUUCUGCUACUGAGAUCAAGGAAAAGUACAAGGUAUGCUCAAAUUUUAGGCAACUGGUUCAGAGCUGCUGAAUUAUUCUAGAUUUAGGGAAUAAUAAGUAGAAUUACCUCUGUUCCAGCAACUGGUCUUCUUUUUUCUAAUCAUGCAUCCUCCCUAUUCAUAUCGUUUUGAAAUUCAGGACGCUGCAUUGCUGCCCCAGUGGAAAGCAUUCCAAACUAUCAUAUUUCUUGAACGGGUGAGUAGGAAUCAUGGAAUAUCACUUGUGAAGAUGACAGAACCCUGUAAGACUUAUUCAUGCUAUAGCUGGCUUAUUUUACAUAGAUAAUUAUUAAGAUUUUAUUCGUGCUACACAUUCAUCUUUAAAGUACAUCUCUGUUGCUCCACUUUGUGAAAUUAAACUUUCUGUUAUAUCGGAAGUCCUUGUUUGUUCUGGAGUUCCUUACUGCAGUGCAUCAUUUGAUAAAUCUCAUAUUAAAUUCUUAGGUUGAUGGUCUUCAUGAUUCAACGAAGAUUGCUGCAUUUGAUUUUGAUGGUUGUCUUGCCAAGACAGCAGUGAACAAGUAUGUCAUAUUUCCCAUCUUUUAUAUGCAUAAAAAAAUUUCAUUAGAACUCUUGUGCAAUAAAGUUAGGAAGUUGAAUUUGGCCUGCUAAAAUAGCAACAAUUCCAUAGUUAAACUUUGUUGGGUGAAGCUAACCUUUCUGAAUGAAAUUCCUUUUUGUUUCUGAUUUAUUGUCUUUUAAAAGUAUCCAAUCCACAAGUAAUAUAUCUAUUUAGAUUCCCAUAUUUUGACUUUUGCAUUUUCUUGAACGAAAGAUGUCACAUGAAAUAAAAGUCUAGAUUAGUAUAAUAGUCAAACUUUGUUGCUGUAUAUUGCGUGAGGAACCAUUGCCUUCUAACAAGGUAUUAUUGUUGUGAUAUUCAUGAAUAAUAGUGUGAAGAUGUUUAAAAUCUAUUGACUUGGUUGUUAGCAUUUUUAGUGCUUACAAUCAGGACUACACGGACAUAUUUAAGUUUUCUAAUCUGCAAGCUAGCCCUUUUUCUUUCAUUAAACUUCUAAAACAUCAAGCUCAAAUUAAAAUAAAGUUUGGAACAUAGAUGCUCUGUAAGUGAAUACGACAUCUAGCUAAGUGGCUGAGCAGUAAGUGGUGCUACUGGAAUGGAAACAACAACUGAGAAAUCUGGAUUGCUCUUAUAUCAGAGGUAGUGAAUAUACUAUAGUAAAGUUAGCAACAUGUUUUGCAGCUUUUGAUUGUUGUUUGGAUUGGAUUUGUCAUAUGUGUCAAACUUACAGGGGAUCUUUAUUUGAAGCGUAAUUGGAAGAACUUGACAUUUACUUUUUCUUUUAGAAUAGGUGCAGAUGCAUGGUCUCUUAUGUAUCCUUCAAUACCAGAGAAGCUGCAGAGAUUAUAUGAUGAAGGCUACAAGCUGGUGUGACUCUUUUUCUUGUUUAAUCUUUAAUCUUUCUUUACUAGUUUGUGAAUUAUGAAAUUCGUGGUGCUGCUGAUCAAGUUGACUAUAGUUUCUGUCUUUGACUAUUUUGUUUUCCUCUCUUACUGAAUUAUCUUCAUUUUUACUAGGUUAUUUUCACUAAUGAAUCUAAUAUUGAGCGCUGGAAGAAGAAGAGACAGGUUGCAGUGGACUCGAAAAUUGGGCGAAUUGAAAGCUUCAUAAAGCUUGUAAAAGUUCCAAUUCAGGUUGGUUUGGCUUGGUGUCAAAUCUAUCAAUGGAGUAACUUAAAUGGAUUGUUACUUUUUUCUUGGUAGACCAUCAUUGUUUGCGAGGAGGCAUGUGGUUAUUUUCUACUUGAAACUUAGCUUCUUUUACAAUCAAGUAGUAAAAUAAAUUCCAAAAUCAACUGUAUGCCUGGAAUGUCAAACAUUUGUAAUAGAAGGAUGCAUGAGGUGUUCAACAUGACUGUAUUCUAAUGAAAAAUGGCUGGAAUUAGAUUUGUGAAGACAUUUACCAACAAAUUUCAUGCUAAUGUUUGUCAUCCAGUAUUUCUUUUUUGUAAUGGUUUAUUGUUUGUUUAGUUUUCUGGAAAAAGAACUAAACAAAAAAGUUGAUAUUGUAGACUACCACCAUGAUAAACUUUUUGAGUCUGCUGUGUCUACUAAAGAGUAAUUCCUUUUCUUGUGGAAACCUACUCAAUUCUUCAUUGCACAAAUCCAUAUGCAGGUUUUUAUUGCUUGUGGACUAAGUAACUGUCAACCAGAGGAUGCCUAUCGCAAACCAAAAACUGGGAUGUGGCAUAUCAUGGAGAAGCACUUCAAUUCCGGUCUUCUAAUUGACAUGGAUCAGUUAUUGUCCUUCCACUCUUUCCUGCCAAUUCUGGAUUUAUUGGCCAUAUGGCUUUUCAUUGAGUGACUUGAUAGUCUAAAUUAUACUUGCUACGAGAACUUGCACAAUUGGUUUGUUGAAUUUUAUUUUUUAUUUUUUAUAGCUCCUUUUAUGUCGGUGAUGCUGCUGGAAGACCAAAUGAUCAUAGUGAUGCUGAUAUCAAAUUUGCAGAGGUAGUGAGCGUAUUUGACUUUUGAACCUCCAAGCAGCUAGAUAGCUCAUAACUGGAUGCUACUUAUUAUUAAGAUGAUCUGUUGCGCUACUUAUGAUUUCUUGCUUGAUUGCUUGAUCAGUCAUUCAACCUUGUGUAUCCAAAGUAUAGUUGAAAUAUCGCACAUUGUUUUGCGGCUGGAUGAUCUUUCAGUUGUCUUUAGUCAUUACUGAUUCCUUGUUUGACAUGCAUAAUUUUAUCAGUCUUUAUUUAACAAACAUAAUAUCCUUAUUUUAAUGCUAGUGUCUUCAUUACUUCACCUGUGGUACUCUUGGGUAAAGUCACUUCCUCUUCACCCUCUUUUGUGAUUUGGUAAAGUUUAUGAAAAUUGGAUUGAUGGGCUGGUUUUAUGUAUAUUGCAGGCCAUUGGAUUAAAAUUCUAUCUACCGGAGCAGUACUUCAACAGUUAAAAUCUGGCAUCUAACAGUGUACUUGUGACUUUAUGCAACUGAAGGACAUAAUUCGAGUAACUCAUUCUGUAGAUAGUGAAGAGCAGAUGGUCCAAUGGGAGAACAUUGUAGUUAUUGACCUCAUUGUGAACAGUUUAUUGUGACCUUUAUGGUGAUUAUGUUGCAUCUAAUUUUCUUCCUUUUGGAGUCGUGUUUCGCCUUCCUUUGGAUAAGUAGCACUGAAAGAUUCAUCCUACCAAUGGUUCUGAGCAUCCCUUUAGGAACACCAGUAAGCAGGAAUAACAGCAUAGUUUCUGAAGGAUUAGCAAGCAAUUUUUAGCUUAUUGUAAUGUUUUGCGUGCUAACAACUCAAUGCAUUUGAAGCCCUGCAAAUCAACAGUUACAUGAUAGGAGAUUGCUUGCUAAACUGAAAUCCACUCGUACAUUAGUGUCCAUAAACUCUAAAAAAGAGAGAGAGAGAGAAGAGGGGGGGGGGGAGGUGAAAGUUUCUGAUCCCUUAUUUUGGUUUCAUAAUAAUGCAGCGUGAAGGUGUCUUAUCGAUACUAUAUCCAAUCAUCCAUAAUGGAAUAAUUGAAAAACAUCAACGGACAAACUAAACGGUAAACAGUGAUACAUUUUUUUUUAUAUGCUUCACUAACCUAGGAUAGAGCAAAUCUCGAGCAGAGGGUUUGAAUUGCCACUGCUCGAUUACAGUAUGGACCAUAUACUCAGACAAUAGUUGAUACAUCCCUAUCCAGAGGCUUCUUCAGAUGUGAUUCAAAGUAAAGAUUAAGAAAGGCAUACUUGGUGUUAAGUUUUGCAAGGACAGCUCAAAGUAUUGAGGCUUCGAGUCAAGCUCUGCAGAGGUAAGAAAUCAUGCAAGCAUGAAGUACUAGCUGCAGACUGAAGCUGCAAAAAUAGCCAUUGAUGUUUUGGCGAUAUUCAUACUCCCAGACCCGUCAAAAUACCUACAUAUCACUUCUUCCUACCAAUCUCUCCUUCUAUGAUGGCAUGUCUUGUCAAAACAAUCUCUUUGACUAGGUUUCUGUAAGUGAAUGGUCUAACAGCAGCUCGUAAGAACAAACCAGGCGGUACUUUACUCUUUUUGAUCCUUUUCCUGAAAGGACCGUAACCGAGAUUCUUCCAUUCUGCUGGACUGACCUUUGCUCUUGUCCGCCUCAUUGCCAAUUCAUCCCCAUCUUCUUCAACUGUCCCAUUCCCCCUCCUUUCCAUUGCUCUAAUCUGCUUUUCAUAGAUUUUGUUAGAUAUCUCUAAGCCUCGUUUUGCAAGCUUUUCCAUUGCUUCGUUACUGCUCAAUGCCUUCUUAAAUUCCGCAUCCCAGUAGUUUGGAUCCUCUUCAGGACCGAAAUCCUCUUCUUCCUCCUUGAUUCCCAACUCAUCAUCUCCAGCAUCCUCUACAUCCAAAAUUGCAUCAUCGUCUUCACCAUCCUCCACUUCACUCCUUCCAUCAUUUUCGUCGCCAUCAUCCUCAAUCCAGUCCAUUAUCUGACCUUCCUCAUCAUUAUCACCAUGAUCGCCAUUCUCAUCAUCUGGGGCGUCACAACCCAACUCCAUUUCCUCCAAUUUCACCUUCCACUCCUUAGUAUAUGGAUGCAACAGAGGCACUGGAUGGUUGUUCAAUAAAAACUCCAAGCACUUCGACUUCUUCUCAUCACUCACCUUCUCAUAAGCAUUCACAACAUCAUCUACAAACGCCUUUGGAUUCGCCUUCACUAUUCUACAUAAUCCACCAAAAUAAGUACAGAAUUCCACCCUCCCAUCAUCAUUCACCAACUGGAACAAAAAAUCCCCCUCAGUCUGUGGAUCAAGCAACGGUGUCAAUUCCUUAAAAAAGUCAUCUUGAGGCUCAAAUCUACACUGAUAAACUGGCCUCUUCACAUAAAUUAUAUCAGGCCUCAUCCACGCUGCACACUGUGUAAUCAUGGACCUUGCCUUAUUUCCGAGCCUUCCCAUCAAAUUCCACUUAUCCAACCUCUGAUCCCCGGCUUCAAGAACCACCUCGCUUACCAAAGUCCACUGUUGCCAAGGCAACUCCGAAACCCUCCACCUAGGAUGCCUGACAAACACCCAAAAAUUCCUGAACUUAACAUUUUUAUCCAUUGCAUCUAAUCUAGUUUGAAAUUCUCGAGCCAUUUCAAACUGCUCGAUCUUCUCCCACUCUUCUUGAUUGCGAACUUCACCAAUCAAAGUUACACACUCAUCGGUAAUCCGUCCAUGAAUUGGCUCACCCAAAACCACCCCACGCCAAGAAUAAGGUCCAAAUUCACCAUACUUGUACCAAUCGUACGGGUGCCUAAGAUUUGGAUCAUCUUUUUCCAUAAACCUAACCAUUCUAUCAUAUCCUAGACCAAUCAUCUCAAGCUGCUCUUCCGAUAAAUUGUCCGGGUAAUUCUUGUUAGGGUUCUUCAGUCUGUAAAACAAGCUCUCUGCCAGUUUCCUGCUUUUCCGGCGAGCGUUUCGCUUAGCCUGUCGACGGACUUCAGCGUUACCCUCGAUGCGCCCAGUGGAGGUACCUCCGGGCUUCCCUUUGCUCCGUCCGGCAAAGGACCGGACGUCCCUCUGGUGGGUGGCAUUUUGGCGGGAAAAUUGUGGGGUGGGGUUUUGGCAAUGGAUUUUAAGGGAUUUUGCGGUUCCAGAAGAGGGAUAAAUUGGAGCAAUCUUUCUGUGAAGAGGGUUUAAGAACUUGGAAAAUGAUGAUGAGGGUUGAAAGUUGAAGGGGGGAGGGUUUAGGGCUUUAGCAAAUGGGAGGUUUUGGGUCUGCAUUUUCAGGAUCUGGUGGAGUGAGGCAAGUUGGAUAAGGCUAACAAUUUUACCGGUUAAAACUCAAAACACUUGACUUCUCAAGUGAUGAAUAAUGUAUUCGACUUUUCUUGUUACAAGUAUGAGAAAGUUGCUUACUAUUUACCGAGAUAAAAUGUUUUGACUAAAAUUUUCAUACGGUGUAUACUGAUGGAUAUAAAUGCAUAUUAUAUAUAUAUGUAAAAUUCGAUAUUAAAAUUCAAAUUGAAUACAUUGAUAGUGUCAGAAAAAAAGAUUAAUUCAAAAUGUUUUAUAUAUUGACUUAUUGAGAGUGAAUGCUUUACCUCUUGAAUAUUUGAUACAAAUAUAUUCAUCAAUCUUAGAUACUUAUGAUCCAAUUAUAUGCUAAAAUUUUUUGAUUAUGAGGUUUUUUAGGAUCUAAUUGCACACUAAGUUGGUCUUGGCCAUAAGGGGAAUUUCGUAAAUCCACAAAACAUCGUAAUUGGAUGCUUCUAUUGCUUCCAUAUCCUAUGAUUUUUAGUCCAAAUUCUACUUUCUUUUAUGAACUUUAUGACAAUUAUCAUAGUACCACUUGGAUAUUUGAACAAUAAAAGUGCACUCCUUCAACCAAAAAAAAAAAAAAAAAAAAAAAGAACAAUAAAAGUGCAUUAAGAACUCAUUGAAACUUGAUCCUAUCUAAUCAAAUUGAACAUGAACAAUAUUUUAUAUUCGAUACAUCUUUUUAACUCAAUUCAAUUUGCAUCAAUUUUGAAAUUUACAUACAAAAAUUUAAAUUACUCUAGCUUGACACUUCUGACUCGAAAAAAUUCGUGGGAGUUUGAUUCAAUAAAUAAACAAACUAAAUUUAAACACAAUUUUAACUUCUUUGAAAUAAUCAAACGACGAUGAAUAUUAGAAUUUAGUUCAUCUAUUUCACUUACUUGAUGAAGAUUAGAGAGCGUUUGAUAUCAAUAAAUGUUGACUCACUUGCUAUGAAAGGAUGACUUCUUCACAAAAUGUAUGUAUGUAUUUUGAUGUUCACAUCCGUAGCUGCCUACUAACUGUACAAGUUUCGGUAUGCAAAGACGUUUCUUCAAUUGCCACGCUUUCUAAUAUUCUUCCUUCUCCCCGGUCGAUUGCCUCACAUCCCAACUGUCAAUUUUCACCAUCGUCCGAUCAAAUUCACCAAUCCGCUCCGCUCCUUUCCAAACCACCGAUGUCGCGACGCUACCACACGACGGAGCUGGGCAGCAUAGCCUGCGAAGACUUAUCGGAGGUUGGGGCAGGUAAAGAAGGCUGGCUGGUGAGCGAUCCCGAUCUUUUAACUGCUCUUGACACCCAUUCUUUAGCCCUUGCCAACCGCUCAAUUGUCCUUGUUCUCCACUGGUCCGACGACGCCGAUCCCUCUUCUUACCGCCUCAAAAUUGUCCCUGAACUCUCCCCGAUCGCGGCCGAGUACAUCUCCGCUAUUGAGUGGCUGGUGUUUGAUGACGUUAGGGUGCUUGCUAUUGGAACUUCUUCAGGUUUUCUUUUAAUCUAUUCUCUCCAAGGCGAUCUCAUUCACAAACAGGUUAAAUUCUUACUCUACUUUUUGGUAUGAAUUCAUUUAUGAACCACUGCAAUUAUGGGUAUGGAGCUGAUUGGCGAGGAAUCGUUGUGGGAUUAUCGAAAUUGAGUGAGGUUUGGAACUAUGUGUAUUAGUUUGUGGAAACAAUGGAGGAAAAUGAGCAAAGUUGGGAGCUUUAUGUAGUAUUAUUUUGUGCAGAAAAGUGGAAGUGAGUAAAGUUUUCAACAUUUUUUUUAUGCGAGUGGCCCCUUUAAAUUUAUUUGGUAGAAUUGAGUCAAGGAAUUGUUGAAUUAGCUUAUUUGACGCAAAAUUGUUGAGGGAUUCUAUUGAAAUGGAGUAAAGUUUGGAACUUUGUAGUGAGUUGAACAAAAUGGAUUGUUGAAUUAACAACUUGGGGGAAAACAUGGGAAGAUAUUGAGUUUAGACAAUAGUGCGAGGUACAUUUAGCUGGGAUGUUCUUCUUUCUUUUUAUUUUAGAGAGCUCAUCGCAGAGAGAUUAUAGUUACAAGAUAGAUGUCUUCCUUUUUCAGUUAUUUCAUUUUUUUUCUAUUGACACUUAAAAGUUUCCUGAUCAGGAGAAUGUACUGAUUUCUUUUGUGUCAGUGGAAUUUAAGUCGGUUUAUUAACGAUCACAUAAUUGUUCUUCAGCUUGUGAACAAUGCCAAGAUUAUCAAGUUAAGAGUUCGUGGAACUAACAAGGACCUGUCGGAAGAUACAUCUUCCGAGGAGGUUUGUGUUGUUAUGCGAGCAACAGUUGCUCGAUUUGAUGGAUCUGACAUUCAGGUAUAUGCAAAUAAGUCAGCAUUUUGCUCAUAUCUAGUUUAUUGGACGUCAUCUGUUGUACAAAAAACCUGUUUUGUAGAAGAAAGGAUAGAUCUGCUAAAAUGCUUUAUACUUUUUAAAUGUUAAAAAUAGUAAAUAUGUAGUUAAUUCUUCCCUUGAGAGCUGAGAGGAAAUUAAAGAAAAUCUCAAAAGAAUUAGGAGGAAUAGCAUUUGCAUGAUGAGAAAGAGUCAUCAAGUCAAAUAGAUAAAAAUAAGUAAACUAGUAAACUUAAUAGCAGUUUCCAGUCUGAUGCUUGGUUUGAACUGGUGGAGUUAUCAUUGAGGUCUUCAAAGUUGCUACAAGUGCUUUUGCCUUGUAUAAAUAUUUAACAAUUUCCGUGCUAACCUUUUUCUUAUCGUUGAGUCCUUAAAUGAAACUUUUAAUGUUUUUGAAUCUAACACGCUGUUUUACACCUUGAUGAUGAAUAUCUGCAGAGUAUGCUGCAUCGGUGGUUUCGAGAAAGACAGUUGAAUUUCUGGGAUCAGAGUUACAUGAGGAGAGAUCAAGAAUAUUCUGGAGCUUCAUUUGGAAGGCUUCCUUAUCAGCUAUGGAAUGUUAGCAAGUAUGGAUUGUGUGCUGAUGCUGCUAUCACUGGCAUCAUGCCUCCUCCUCUAAUGGAACCUCAGGUACUUACACUUGUCAUCUGAAACCUCUUUAGUUCCUCUUUGCAAUUAGCCAUUCUGGUUGAGUAAGACUUUUUGUACAACAAAUCUAGUGCUCUUCUUAGUGAACUGAGGGAUAUCAUCACCUUUGGAGCUUUGCAUGCUCUAUUUGUCAUAGUUUGCUUUCUUUAGUGGAAGUGCCUGUGUAGCUUAGUGCUAUUCUUUUGUAUAGGUUGACUUUUGGCAACUUUCUGAAUGUUAAUCUGGUUUUUGAAUUCAGCUGCUUUUAUUGUUGGACAGUCAAGUCAACGUUAUUAUUGUGCAGUCACAGUUGGAGAUGAUGCGGUGAUUUCAGCAUACAGGUUAGACUGCUUGAAGAUUGGUUAUAAGAUUCUUGUAAUAUUGCUUUUGGUCUUCAAUUUUUUUUUAAUCCUUGGAUUGCUGUGAUGUUUUAUGCCUCUUCAUGUCUUCUCACUGUUGAAUAUACUUUGUCAAGACUUUCGGAGGACAGAAGCAGAUCAAUAGUUGGAGCUAUUCUGUCAAAAGUUGUGCCUGCAACAUUUUCAACUAUAUCUUCUAUCUCAAAAAUGAUUUGGCGAAGUGAUACAACAACAAAGAAACAAGAGGAAAAACCCCAACCGCUUGCUCGAGGUUGUAUAGUGCUUUUAGUUGUUGAACGUUGUCUUAUAUCAUGCUCAUAUUGGAUUUAGGCUAUUGUUUUCAUUACCUUUCAGCUUUUCACUUGGCAUUCUGACAAAAGUUUUUCUGAUUUUUUAGGGCUUCCUUUGCUUUUCCUGCAAAAGUGUUUCUGAAGUUAUAUCAUUUAGUUCAUAUCAUGGGAUGCAAUCUUACAGUUACUGCAUAUUAGUAUAUGUUUUAUUACAAAACCCUCAGUGGAGGGCUUUCUAGACUGAUGUUAUCGAUGUUUUCAGUAAGGUAUUGGUCUGCUUCCAUUUUCUAUCUGAGUUGAACUCUGCAUGACUCGUAUCUUGAAUUCAUUCAAUUUGGCAGCUUCUCCUCUUACUUGUUUGAAGGAUUACCCAAGGAAGGGAGAAAAACUCACAUUAUCACCUAGUGGUACUCUGGCUGCAAUAACUGAUUCCCUUGGUCGUAUAUUGCUUUUGGACACGCAGGCACUUGUUGUUGUGCGACUAUGGAAGGUUUGCUUCUAGCAACGAGCUAUUUUAUCUUUAAUAACACGCCGUUUCCGGUGAUUUACUUUGACAUCUUGCAGGGAUAUCGAGAUGCAAGCUGCUUGUUUGUUGAGAUGCUUGCCAAGAAGAAUUCCGCAACCGUAGGAUCUGCUGGGUAUCAAUAUGAGAAGAGUGAUUAUUGCCUUUGUUUAGCCAUCCAUGCACCACGUAAAGGGAUAGUCGAGGUAAUUUCUGGUGCAUACUCUUCAGAUUAUGUCAAUGAUUCUCUGUACUCAUCAUUCUUUGGAAUCUAAACGUAGUAGGCUUUCUUUCAUUUUACGCAGGAGUUUUCUAGGUCCAUUGCGCUGCACGCUUGUCAUUUUAGUCGGACCUUUCUUUCUAGGAUCAUACGCACUGUUAACAAUUUCCUGAUAUUGUGGUUUAACUAUCUGGACAUUGUCAUGAAUUACCAUGUGGGGCUUACCUUUUGCUAUUUUAAUAGUUGAAGAUUAAUAAAUUAGCCAAGGUUUGUUUGAGUGCUCGUCAUAAUAGGCCAGAACAAAUGUUGUUUUCCCAGUCAGCUAAGUUUGAUGGUUGUCUUUUUUUCUCUCAAAAAUAAUGUGACUUGCAUAGAAAUAGGUAAAUUUUGUGAUUAAGUCAUUUGAACUCUUGCUUGCAGGUUUGGCAGAUGAGAACUGGACCUCGUCUUUUAACCAUUCCAUGCGCCAAAGGUAGCAAGAUUUUGCAACCUACCUAUAGAUUUGUUUCAUCAAUUUCAUCAUCAUCUUACGUGCCAUUGGAAGUUUUCUUUUUGAACGGAGACUCUGGUCAAUUAUCUGUAUUGAACCGAUCCCUUAACUGAGUCUUAAUGCGACCCCCCCCCUGAUUAUUUAUAUCAUAAGCUCAUUGUAUGGAAUUCAUUGCAAUAUGUCUGACAACACCAAAUGUUUUUAAAUUUGGUGCAUACAAACAGGCCCUUUUAUUGGGUACUUCUAAGAUUCAAUGUUACAUCAGUAGAUUACAAUCCGGGUCUAAGCAGACGCUUCUUUGGGUAUCCUUGCUCUCGUCAGAAACCACAACCAAAAUCUUUUGUGGGUGUCUACAAUUUCAGGGGGGGAAGUCUAUCAUGCAUUUAAAAAAUCUUUUUUACUGGCUUUGAUGUAAACGGUUUGUGACUUCCACUAUGGCUUCUUUUUGUUUGGUUUAUCUAGGACAACACUUCUAAAGUAGUAUAGUUUAAUACAUCAUUAUCUGCUUGGGAAUUGUGACCUUGUGAUGAAAACAGGGUGAAUUGCUAGAUGAUUUGGACUUCUAAGCCGCCAACAAAGCAAGAACAGAAAUGCAGGAAGGAAAAAAAGAUAAUAAUAAGACGAAAGGCAGUUGAACAUAAUGGUCCAACCCGAUAGAUCAGUAUUCUUCACCCUACAGAAAAGAAAACAUACAGUACUGGAUCUGAUUAGGGGCCUAAAGAAAAUGAAAAAAAAAAAAAUGCCUCGUCUUAUUCAUUGAAUAGGUGAAGUCUGAGAUGUCAAACUGCUUUAUAUGUACAUGUACUUUUCCUGCUUUUAUUCAGGGCUUUCAAUCCUUCAACGAAACAAUGCCUUGACAAAGUGGCUGUCGUCCAUACAUACAAGGCGACAUGAACAAUAAAGUUGAACUUUAUUCAUUCAAGUUGAUGACCAUUCUUAGAACCGUUUUGGAUAGGUGUGAGGGUUAUUAUUUUACUACUCGAGCAACUUGGUCAUACCUCCCACUAUCUUGGUUCAUCCAGAAGCUUGAUGGAAGCAUUCCAUUUAUUAUUCCCCUUUAAGUUUAAGACGGCGAGCAACCAACUGGCCCCCAGGCCACGCAAAGCUAAUAUCUACACAUUAAACCAUUAUUAUACGAAUCCAUUACUAUAUCCUAUUGAACAGCCAUUACAGUCUUGCCCCUUAAGUAAUUUAUAGUCUGUUUUUCCUCCGACACCAACGCUCGAGUUGUUGUACACUGAACCUUCUAAAGAAACAGGAAAACGAAACUGGCCGUGCAAGUCCCUGCUGAUGACCGCUCAGUUGCGGUUGUUGACUUCUUGUUGUUGGUGUGUUAGUGCGUGUUUCUUUUUUCCCCACUAUUUGUAGAACAAUGGAAUCACAUUGCGACAGAAAAUCCACUACUAUCAUAAUUCCUGCUUCCAAAUCUUCUAUUCUUUGUACAAAUCUAGUUUUUACUCCUCUCUUCUGUCCCUUCUUUGUACGGUUGUCACGUCCUUUUUUAUAAUCCAAACACAAAUAAACUGAUAAUAAUUGGUUGAUAAGUUUAAUCAAAAUCAAUUAAAAGAGAUAAUUCUAAACUUUUUUAUUUUCUUUUUUAACAAAAAAAAGUCUUGUUGGUCGUAAAAAUAAAAAUCAACUAAAACUCUUCUUUAUUUUUUACACCAAAUCAUUUUUUUUCUUCAACCCUAACAAGGACUUUGAUUCACUCAUUAUAUCUUUAAUCUUGCAACAAAAAUAACGAGCCCUCACGAUUUUUGUGAGUAAUUGUGGGUGUAAACGACAUAAUCCAACAUGAUUGACAGAGUUAAAGGCAAUGAUAUCGUAGGGAUUUGGUGAGCAAUUGAAUCAAAAGAAUAAAUAGUUCGAGAAUCAAUUGAUGGAUGUAAUGUUGCAGACUAGCAGUCUUCUUUUUCAUGUAAACUAGUGUUGAAGGAAUUCUGAUUAGGGAACCACCACUUGAUUUAUCCAAAGAAAAAAAAAGUUUUGAGUUAUCGGAAUUGCUUUAUUUAUCCAAAGAAAAAAAGUUUUGAGUUAUUGGAUGAAUUGGUUUUGAAUAAACUUAUCAAUCGAUUAUUAUUGAUUUGUUUGAUUUUGGAUUAUCAAAAAAUUAGAGGCAAUGUGACAGCUAUAUAAAAAAAGGACAGAGGAGACAGAAACUAAUUUGGGAACAGAAGAUUCUAAACGCAUAAUUCCAGCUUAGGAAAGCAUGUUUGACUAGGAAUUAAAUGCCACACAUGUAACAAAAAGACCUCAUAAUCCUAGGCAAAUGCCUCCACACAUCGCUUGGUAGUCCGUUGAUUCGGCUUUCCAGGGUGAACAAGAUAAAAUAGAAAAGAAUCUAUUGGCGUUCGGUGUAUUAAGAAAUUGACUGAUUUGCUAUAAAAGAGCCGUCCGGAGAUGAAUGGAUUUUCGUCAUCUUCUUUAUUCAUGAUUUGAACGAUUGAAUCCUACUCAGGGCUGUUUCCCCAUUGAUUACAAGAUUUAUUUUGGAGCAAAGACCAGAACUUUGUUUCCCAAUUCAAAACAACGUUCGAGGUUUAGUACUAAGGCAAGUAAGAUACUACCAUGUAGCUGCUGCAACAUAGUAAUCAUCUAGCUGUGAUUAACUACCCCUCUAAAUUUACCUUUAAGAGUAGAGCUCCAAUCCCCCAACCACCAUUCCGUCAAUCAUGGCUUUUAAUUUCUCUUUCCUCUUUCACCUUAUCGUCUCUCUUUUCUUCCUUCUCAACCACCCUAUCUUCUCCUUUGCAAACAAUCUCCACAAAACAAAGCCUCUUUUCAAUUCACAACUCUUCUCUGAAGACAAUGGGAAUGCUCCAACCCCUGCUCCAACAACCUAUUUUGAAGUCACAAAGCCUAUACAACUGCCCAAGACUAAGCCUUGCUCCUAUUUGAUUCUUCAACAUGAUUUUGGCUUCACCUAUGGCAAGCCACCAGUUUUUGCAAAUUACACUCCACCCUCCAACUGCCCUUCUCAGAAAUUUUCAAAAAUUGUUUUUGAAUGGAAGGCCUCCAGCAAAGGGAGGCAAUUCGAUAGAAUUUUUGGAGUUUGGCUUGGUGGUGUGGAGAUUUUGAGGAGUUGUACUGCUGAACCAAGAGCUACUGGGAUUGUUUGGACUGUUGAGAAGGACAUCACUAGGUAUUAUUCUUUGCUUAUGACUAAUCAGACCCUUGCUGUUUAUCUGGGCAAUCUUGUUGACAAGACUUAUACUGGUAUUUACCAUGUGAAUAUUAGUGUGCAUUUUUAUCCCGCUGAGGAAAAUUAUGGUUUUAGUGGGCUGAAUAUAGAUGAUUCUGCUAAUUCUGUGGCUGAUCUGAUAUUGCCCAUAUCAAGAAAUUUGCCAUUGAAUGAUGGGUUAUGGUUUGAAAUUCAGAAUUCUACCGAUGUGGAGUCUAAGGAGUUUCGUAUUCCACCAAAUGUGUACAGGGCUGUCUUGGAAGUUUAUGUUUCAUUUCAUGAAAAUGAUGAAUUUUGGUACGGAAAUUUUCCAAAUGAGUACAUUGCUGCCAAUAACCUUACAGGUUACGCAGGAAAUGGUCCUUUUAGAGAGGUUCUUGUGAGUUUAGAUGAUGUUUUGGCUGGUUCUAUCUGGCCAUUUACAGUGGUUUAUACUGGGGGUAUUGAUCCCCUGUUGUGGAGACCUAUUACCGGAAUUGGAUCGUUUGACCUGCCUACCUAUGACAUUGAGAUUACUCCUUUUUUGGGCAAGAUAUUGGAUGGAAAGACUCAUAAACUUGGCUUUAGUGUUGCGAAUGCUUUGAAUGUCUGGUACAUAGAUGCAAAUUUGCAUCUUUGGUUGGACAAAAAGAGUGCGAAGACAGAAGGCGAGCUGUUAAGUCACGAUAGCCCGCCCCUAACCUUUUCCUUCGCAGCGAAUUUCACAGGUUUGGAUGGAUCAUUCUUCAUAAAUGCCAGUAGGACUAUAACAUCAGAAGGAUGGGUGAAGUCAUCAUCAUACGGUACUAUCAUCACCAAGGCAACUCAAGACUUGAAAUACAGGAACUCUAUGGUUCUGGGAAACGAGGCUAAUAGGCAGAUUGUAAAUCAGACAAUUGAGUACAAUGACAUGGUUUCUGCUAGGACUCUGUCUUCAGUAAAGUCGAUCAAAUCCCUGAAACAUUUUCCUUUUUACUUGUAUACAGAUGUUACGGAUCGAGCAAAUGGAACAUAUGUUUCUGUGUCAAAUGUAGCUCUGGGUUUUGACGAGAAAAAGAUUAAGAAAUCUGACCAGGGAUUGUCCGUCAGCUGUCUCGAAAACAUACAGAAGGGAAACAGUAGCAUGCUUGUAAAGGGGAAUUUGGUAAUUAGCGGAUUGGGUACUACAAACCAAGCCUACAGCUACAAGGAUAAUGAAUUCUGCUAUCUCAGGAAUGUAGGCAGCUCAAAUUACACCAUUCUUUACGACAAAGUUAGCAACAUUUGCAGUAAAAGGCAAAAGCAUCAUCUGUUUAAUCGGUUCUUGCCUUCGUAGAUGGUGAUUUUGAAGGCAUUUCUUCUCAAGAGGUAUCUCUCAUUGAAAGUUGGCGAUGAGGGUUGCUAUUUUCAUUGUCUGAUCGGUUCCUUGAUUAGUUUACAUCUCUGAGCAAUUCUAGAUGCUGGUCCCACAUCUCUGAGCAUCUAGGAACAGCAAUUCCCGGAUGCUUUAAACAGCGAAUUCUUGCUCUUCUUAGAUUUGUUCAAUUCAGCUUAAUGCAAAACGAACAAUGUAGGCCGGCCAUUUUGCAUUUUUAGACUUUCAAGCAUGAUCCUUCGUUCUUUUAGCAAUUUAAGCCAGACAAGUCAGUUAACCGUGGCCCCAUUAGCAUCUGAUUAUGAAAAACAACUUUUUAAAAAAAAAAAAAAGAUCACAAAAAAUUAAAAAGGAAAAGGUCUAUACAAGCACACAUGAAACAUAGAAUUUAUAACUAAAAUAUCCACCGAUAAGCAUUUUGAAGCGACUAAAAUCCAGUGACUUGUAUGUGCAAUAUCCUAAACAGCAGAAACCACUAUCCCAGACGCCAAAACAAAUAGAGGGUUCUUCACUUGAUCUGCUAGAAAAAAAGAAAAAUUUACAAAAGAGACCGACAUCCAAUAAUGUCAGCAAUGCAAAUUGUAAUUCUAUUUUCUUGCACAAGACGAAGCCCCAGAAUCAUCACCCAUUUAAGGAAUGGGACCAAAAAUUGAUGAUGUAUUUUCCUUAAUCCGGGUCCCACGUUGUCCACCACGCCCACCAACCAUACCAUUCUUGAAACUGACAAAACCGCAAACUUUACUCUUUCCAGUGGUGACUUCGUCAGAGAUCACAACUUUACCUUCUUCGCUAUCUCCAUUUUUUGAGAAGAAUUUCCGGAGAUUUUCAGAGGUGGUUUUAGGCCGAAGGGAUGGGUUGCAAUCGAGGAUAGAGAGGAUGGUGUGGAGGAUAAAGGGGUGGAGAACAGCAGCCACCUCAAGGACUUGAAGGAGUUGGGAUGGACUCAAGAACUGAAGAGUGUUGUGAAUGCAUUCUCCUUCUUGUUUCUGAAAAGUCAUCAAAGUAUCAACUUCGUUGGUUUUCUUGAGAUUAGGCUUUGGAUUAGCGGUAGAAUUAGAAGAAAUGUUGAUUUUGGGAGAAGAAACAGGAGAAUUAGGAAGGCAGGGAUGGGAGACACUGAGCUUGGAAGAGAAUACAAGUAUUCUACUUUUGUGAGAGUACAACUGCUUUGAGAGUCUGAUUUGGCUCAUGUUUUUGUCUUUAAAUGCUACUGGCGAGAAUUGAAGAGUGGAAGGUAUAAGGAUGGGCAAGCUCAGCCUUGUCAGGGAAGAUUAACCGCGGUGGUUAAGAAAAAGGACAGAGUAGAAAAAGAGUUGCAGGUAGGAUUCAAUUGCCCAACUUCAAAAGGGCAUUGACUGAACAGUACUACACACUGACCAGGUAGGAAGAGCCCACAAGAACAGGGCGUUCUACCUCCCCGCCUCGAGUUCUUGGUUUUUGCGUUGCGUGGAGUGGGGUGUUUAGAAUCGGAAAAAAAUUUUUUUUUUUGGUCCCUUUUUUUAGAAGUAAAAGACAGGAGCUCGGGGGCAGGUUGAAUUGGAUGAUAGGGUUAAAAACAAAAAUAUUUCUUGUAAUAAAUCUAAUAUAUAGAAAAGUCUCCCGUAAUUUUAAAAUAUACAACACGAUACUCCGUACUUUGAACUAAAUUAUAAAUGUGACGAAAUCCGUUAAAUUUAAUGGAAUUAGACGAAAUGACCAAAAUGUUUUGAUAUAAUUAAGCAAAAGAUAGUUCAAAAAAAUCAUUUGUUUUAUUCUUUAGAUAAAGAGAAUUAAGGGUUAAGGGGUACAAUAGGUAUAUUUGUUAAAGAUUAUGUACAAAUUUUUUUUUUAGAUUCCAAUAAGUCAUUUUCGUUAAGUUUAACGGAUUCCGUCACUUUUACAAUUUAGUUCAAAGUACGGGAUGUCAUGUUGUAUAUUUUGAAAUCAUGGGAGCUUUUCUAUAUAUUAAGUUUAUCACAGGGAGUUUUUUUGUAUUUUAUCUUUAGAUGAUAAGAUGGAAGAGAUUGUAAAUACUCACUUACAUAGAAGAAAGAAAGAACUCAUUGUGAUGGAUUAUUUGCAAUUGCACCUAUAAGUGUAAACUUAUAUAAAACAAUUAGCAGUCGGAGAAAAUGCAUUUUUUGUCCUCAAAAGGUUGGGAUUAGACCAAAUUGAUCUUUGAUAAUUCAGCCAAAACAAAACUAAUCUCUAAAGUAUUCAAUAUCAAUUAAGUUAAUUUUAAAUGUUUUGAUCCAAAUAAAUAUAGCUCCAACAGUAUAUUUAUUGACCAAUAUUAUUGGUUUCUAAUGUUUUGUAGAACCUAACCUAUAAGAAUUAUAGAGAAUUUAUAGAAAAAUCACAAAAAUUUUAAAAAUUUCAAGAAAUUAAAAUAAGUGUGAGAUAUUCACUUUUGAUCAAGUGCAAUUGGUAGAUAUGUAAAUUUGUAUUUUAGUGCAUAAAAGUAUACAAAAGUGCAUGUACAAUUUUAAUGCUUAAUUUAUUUUACUAAAAAAAGUACACAGGAAAAACAAAUAUAGAACAUGUAACGCAUGUCUUAUUUGGGUAUUCAAUUGAAUUGCUUAGAUUAGCUUAUACUUAUUUUUUUAAUUUUUUAUGAAUUUUCUACUUUUAAAUGAUUUUUAUAUAUUUUGUUUGUAUUUUUAUAAAUAUAACUAAAUUUUCUUAGAUUUUAUAAACCAUUAGGAACCAAUUUUGUCAACUAAUAUGCUUUAGGGACUACAUUCAUGUAGAUCGAUCAAAACAUCAGAGACUUAUUCAAUCAAAAUUGAAUAUUUCAGGGAUUAAAAGCUAAAUAUUGAUAACCGAUGUGGUACAACGAGGAUGAAAAAUACGUUGUUUCCAAUUAGCGGUUAAAGACACUUCUUUUGAUUUUUUUUUUUUUUUUGGGGAUUUCGAUUCUUCUAUUUAUAAGAGGUGGGUUAGGUUUGAAUUUGAUAGUCUGCACAUGUUUGAAAUUUUAAAGCUAAAGUUAUUUUUCUUUUCUAAAUUCGGUGGAUAGUUGAUAGUAUUAAAAUUUUAUUAUGCAUUCAUCCCAUUUUAUUAUGUGUUUAUCUUGUGUUCUAGAGUUAUCACGAUACCAAAAAAAAUUAUUUCCUUGGGUCACGUUAGGAGACGUCGACUCUGUUUGGAUUAUUCAAUUUUUUAAAAAUAAAAUUUUCAUAUAUAAUGUUACAGUAAUAUAAAAAUAAAAAUAACUCCAAAAACACUAUAUGUAUAAAAUAAAUAAAAAAUAACUCCAAAUAUAUAAAAAAAAAUACACCAUUACCUAUCACUCUCCACCACCACGGCCACCACCUUACCGCCACCACCCCCACACCCACACCCACAAUCCUCUCUCUCUCUCUCUCUCUCUCUCUCUCUAUCAAUCCAUCUUUCCUCCCUCUCUCCUUCUCCUCCUAUUUUUAGAGUGGUGGCUCAAGUCGCACCACUCACGAGCGAGAGAGGGGCUUGCGGUUGGGGGAAAGGAGGGGGGGAGAAGGGAGGAGGGGGGAGAAAUAGAGAGGAGAAGGAGAGGAAGAGAAAGGAAAGGGGGGAGGAAAAGGCAGGGGAUGGUGGUAGGUCGUGUAAAAUUUUAAAAAAAUAUCUCAAAAAAAUUGUAAGUUAUAAAAAUAUUUAAAAAUAUGUUUUAAAAAUACCUUUAAAAACAAUCCAAAAAAUAUCAACAAUAUAAGUUUUUCAUAUACACAAUUACAGUAAAACUAGUAUGAAUACCCGUGCUACACACGGUGCUGACAUUAUUGAAAAAAAUAAAAUGGUGAACAAAUAAAGGUGAAAAAAUUGAACCAAUAAAAUUUAAAUGUAAUAUCUGUUUAACAAUAGCUUGAAAUAUAAUAGAAUGUAUAUAUCAUUCAAGAACUGUCUUUUUUCGAAAGAUGGAUCCUGAAAAAAAAAUUAAAAUUUAUAUUAAAAAAGGGAAUGAUAUAUUUCUACAAAUGAAUGUAAUUGAAUGUUGUUAAAAUGAAAUAUUUACAAAUACUAAGCAUUCGAUUUGAUAAUCUUUCUUGAAGGUGCGAACACUCUUCACACCAAUCCACUUUUAGUACGAAAGUCAAAAUUGAUGAUUUAAUUAACUAUGUUGAAUUUUGUGAAGUAUGUACUACAAAUGAAAUGCACGAUCUUUGAUGAUAUAAAAAAACUGCAUAUUUAUCAUGAUCACGCAAAAGUAUUGGUGAUGCGGAUGGCUGUCGAACUUGAAGAGAGACAAUAUUUUUAUUUCUUUGAUCUAGAAAAAAAAUAUAUUAAAUCAAAAACAAAUAGUUUUUGUAUUUAUUUUAUGUGUAGUAAGUGAUACAUUGUAUGAGAAUUGUUAACAAAAAAAAUACAAUAGUUAAAAUAGAAGUAGCAUCAAUAGAAUUUAAUACAAUUGUAUUGUAAUUAAAUGAAAAUUACGCACUAAUAGAAUUGUUAUUAGCACCCAUAGUUAAUGAAGUAAUCCCUAUAUAAAUAUAUUUUGGUACAUGUAGACCCCCUAAAUCCCGCAAAACCAACCACCACUUAUUAAAAAUAAACCAAUAAAUGCACUAAAAUGCCUCCCAUCUAUAUCUCAAAUUGCACUUUAACCCACGAAUUUUGUGCGAAAUUAUCCCUCUAAUUGCUUUUGUCCUUUUCGAUUUUUUCACAUAUCGCUAAUUGCUUCAUUCCCUCUGCUAUUACUUGUAUAUUUAAAAUCAUUUUUUAAUAUUAAAUAAAAAGGAAUGUAUUAGUUUAUAAUAUGUUUAUAAUGUAGAUAAAUUAUUAAAUUUGGAAGAGGGCGCAUGUUCUUAUAGGCUUCUUUUCUUUUCUUUUUUUUUGGGAAAAUGAGUUUGUUCUUGUAUGUUUUUUUUUUAAAUUUUUUGGAUACAGAAUUGUUUUUCAAAGAUUUUGGUUCGUAGUCCCUACUAUGUUUAAACCAUUUUUUUAUAUCCAAUUCAAUAUUGUCUUUUAAUUUGGCAGCCUUUAUAAUUUUUAAUUUAUUCUUUUGGUUUAAGUUCAGUUAGAAUUCAGAAAUUUUCAAAUACCAAGAGAAAUCAGAUUUUUUUAAAAAAUCACCAUCUUGAGUCAGGUAGAGCGUCGAAAUAUGAGUCAGGAUUAUUUCCUUUAUGCAGUUAGUUUCCUGAUAUCUGGAAUGAUAUACAAUUAUGUCCCUUGGUUUUUUUUUUUUUAUAUAGAUAUCGUUAGGUCUUUGGCAUCACUGCUGAACAAAAUCCAAGCUUAGAAGGACGCGUUUUUUCUAAUUCAGUGGAUGAAAAAAUACAAAAAUACAAAAAAUGAAGAUAAUAUUGUGGUUCAAACUCUAAAAAGUAUGACACCAUCCUUCAAGAAGUUUCAUGUCUUCUUUAGUAUCUCAAAAAGAUGCAACACAUAACAGUUAUUUGAAUGCUAAUAAACUCUCUUUCUACCAAUUUUGAAACCCCACCCAUUAAAAGUGAAGUGAAAAUUAUUGCAGUCAAUGCAAAGAAAAAAUGAUAAAGAAAAGAAAGGCUAGAAUGCAAUUUGCCAAAAGGAUUUCUGACGAAAUUAAAAAUUAAUCCAAUUUUAAUAAUGGGCGUAUAGUGCCUUAGUUAUUAGUAGUAUCUGAAUUAUUUUUUUCUAAUUAUAAACCAUUUUUAAUUAUUUUUUAUUAUCAAAAAAUAUUUUUUUUAUUUCAUGCACGAUCAUUUUUGGAAUAAAAUUAUGAAAAUAACUAUCGUAACACCUUUUUUAUGUGAUAAAUGUGCAAUAAAAAAUAAUUAAAAAAAUUUCAGUAAUACAAACAAAUAAAAUUUUAUAAUAUACAAUUUAUGUUAGAAAUAGUAAAACCCUCAAUCAUGAACCUAUACCAUCCGCAAUUAUAUAAGCAAACAAUACCUUAUGUUAGAAAUGUGAUUGUGAUUUUGUGUUUAUACUUUAUCCCACUAUUGACUAUCUAUGCUUUACAGUGUAACAAUAAGCAAACAACCUUUCAUAGGAUUUUGUAAAAAAUUUUCAAAAAUAAUGGAUGAUCAGAAAAUCAAUGCAAUAUCAUUCAUGACAAAAAGCAAAGCAAAAGCAAAACAUACUUAAAAGGCAGAGGGAACCGACCUGGAAAAUUAAGUUGGCAAAAAUAUACUUCCAAUUCUCCGCAAGAAAGUUGAGUUCUGCUAAAGUCUUUGCACAUAAUAUCUUCCACUACUGCUCAUAAAAGAAAUAAAAUCAAUACAUUUACAAAAUGAAUAGAGAACCAAAAACAAAUAAGAAACUGAGGGAGAGUGGGAGUGAGAUAGUGGAAAUAGAGAAUUUGUAGGAGUGGUUAUAGGAUGAAUUAAGAUAGUGGGAUAGUGGGAAUAUUGAUGGGUAAUAAGGUGAGUUAUAAUCCACUACAUUUUAUGUAUUAAAAUAAAUACAAAAAUCUAGAAAAAAGAAUGAGAAGUUUAGAAGUCAUUGAGAGGGUUUCUACUAAAAACCCCUUCCUAAAUACAUAUAGAUAUAUAUAGACUUUUGACAAACACCACAAAAAACAGUUAAUCCAAACAGAGCAUAUGUUGUUUAUAAAACAUAAAGGGCAUGCUUGUCUUUUCACAUAAGUUGAAAAACAAAUAUGUAAGUGCCAAUCGUAAUUAAUAAAAAAGAUGAAUUAUAAAUUUAUAAUUACUCAAUAGAAGACUAAAAGAAGGGAUGGAAAAAUAGAAGGCUCCAAUUUUCACAACCAUUAUCCAGUACACCGAGGUGCAGCCUAUCUCUAUGCGCCUCAUUUAUCAGUAUUCAGAUUUGAGUCAUUUGACGCAGUGCAACAAAGGUGGAUAAGGAGCAGAGGAAGAGCGAGGGAACGAACAAAAAAGAACAAGUCUUUUUUGCCUUCCUUCCUGAAUGGGAUUCUCUACAUCAACAAGGCCAGUUCUCUCUUUCCCUCUUGGCUUCUCUUUCAUUUACCUCUUUUACAUGUACUAAUUUAUACUACCAAUUGUGACAAUUUGCAGUUUCUCUUUGCUGCAGUUUCUAUUUUAGUCGCUAUUGCAAUCUGGGUCUUGCCUGGAAAUCUUCUAGCUUGUUUGUCCAGUUGGGUUUCAUUCCAAAUGGUUCAAUCAAACCCACAAAAAUUUCUCCCUGUAAAUUCCCUCGGGCAUGCCUUUCUUCCCCUUCUUCAGGUAUACUUUCUUUUUACCUUGCCUACUAGUCUAGAACUGUUUAUGCUAUGUAUUUGUUGUUAGAUGUUGUUGAUGGACUAUCACAUUGCUAAGAUACUGGCAUUCUGUCAUUGCAUUUUGAAUUUAGCUUUGUUAGAAGUUUUCUGGAUAAAAGAUUUUUUUCUUCUCGUUUUUUGGAGGAGGGAUGACAGACUAAUGAGUAUUGGCGAACAAUUUAAGGACUUAAAAUCUUAUGGGGACCUUUUAGCUGAUGGAUGCAGCAUAAUUGGGGUAAAAAAUUAUAACUUUUGGGCAUUUGGGGCUUGGAAGAACGAGUGAGUAAAGAUACAAUAGGGAUGGGGGAUUAUGUUGUUCACUUUCUGGUUGUGAACUAGGAGGAUUUGUGCUAAAAAGUGAACAGUUUUGCAUCUGAAUUUGUCUAUUGUUCUCUUUUUAUGGAAGUUCGAAAAUAUUGGAGUUUCCCUAAGAACUGGCUAUUGCAAUAUUAUAUGGCUGGUAGAAAUCUCAAGAAAUUGAUUAUUGGAUUAUUGAACACAAAAAUGUUACACUUUCUGAUGCUUUAGCCCAAGCUGAAGCUGAGGCUGAUUUCUUCCACAUCCUGCAUCAUAAAUAUUUAUCUGAUCGAUCUUGAAAAUUGGAAAUUUGUGGAAGUUAGUUUGUUAGAUUCAUCAGAUUCGUCGAUACGAAAUGUGUAUGCUGGGUAUAGACCUCAUGAUUAGGUUAUUGUUGGAAGUGUAAAUUAUUAACAAUGUUAUAAGGUAGUUUUGGAUUUUGUGCUGCCUUUUCCUUGUGUUGUGUUGAAAAUGGCCGUUAAUUUGCUUUUAUGCUUCGAAGGUGACUUGAAAUUCUGUUUCUUAGCCUAGGAUUACAAUUGACAGAUACGUAUUGAAUUGUUGGCUUAGUGGUUUUGCUUCGCCUGUCUGUUGAUGUUGAGCCCUUUAUUGAUAUGGUGACCACUAGAUCUUUUUCAUUUCCUUCCUCUUAUUCAUUUGCAUAUGGUUGUUUUCAAUUUCCUGAGAUCAGCAUAUGCGGAGGAUUUCUUCUUUUGGAUGACGAAGGUUUUAUGUCUCGGCAUACUGAGAGAUUUUCACACACCUAUACAUACACAUGAUGUCUCCCAUCUGUCAAUCUAUUCAGCAGACUAUUGCAUCGCUAAAUUAAUAUGAAUAUUGCGAUCCAGAUCCUCUUUUGGUAAAGGCUGCAAGAGGAGACCCUGUAAAUCGUCCUCCUGCAUGGAUGAUGCGGCAAGCUGGAAGGUAUAUGGCUGCUUACAGGAAGCUUGCUGAGAAAUACCCAUCUUUCAGAGAGAGGUCAGAGACAACUGAUCUCAUUGUGGAAAUUUCUUUGCAGCCUUGGGAAGCUUUCCAUCCAGAUGGAGUUAUUAUUUUCUCUGACAUACUUACCCCGCUACCUGCUUUUGGUGUCCCAUUUGACAUAGAAGAGGUGCGCGGUCCAGUUAUUCACUCUCCUCUUCAUCAUGAGGAGGAUUUGAAAGCACUACAUCCAAUUGACUUGGACAAACUACAGUUUGUCGGGGAGUCCUUACAAAUUUUGCGCAGAGAGGUACUCUUGUAUUUCACCAAAUGUAUCAUAAGAAUGCUGUUCUUAGUAGCUUUCAGCUUGCUCCUUUUAGCAUAGCAUGCAAUGCUUUUAUCUUCUAUUUGUUUUCAAGACUUUAUCAAUCUUUUUGAAUUAGGUCGGGGAGCAAGCUGCAGUUUUAGGUUUUGUGGGAGCUCCUUGGACAAUUGCUACAUAUAUUGUGGAGGGGGGCACAACUCGCACUUAUACAAAGAUAAAGAGCAUGUGCCAUACAGCACCACAUGUUUUGAGGGCUCUUCUCUCUCAUUUGACUGUAGCAAUAGCUGAAUACAUUGUUUUCCAGGUUCAGUCUGGAGCUCAUUGUGUUCAGAUAUUUGAUUCCUGGGGUGGACAAUUGCCACCUCAUAUGUGGGAUAGUUGGUCAAAACCUUAUAUUGACAAGGUAACUUUGAUGAUUUUUCUAGUAAAUGUACUUGUUAUCCAAUUAUUCUGUUAUCUAGCCAUAGAGUCUUUCCUGUAGACCACAAAGGUGGUUGUUGAUUCAUGAUCUCAUUGACGUUUUUGAUAAACAUACUGUCUCAUUUUGUGAGACUUAUUUAAUUCAACAUAUUAACGUACAGCCUCCAAUAAAGCUUCAUAUUUUUGCUGUGUAAUAGCCUUGAUAAAGUUAUGCUUGAGAUCUCUUGGACUAAGAAUGUAUCAGUAAGUUUAAAACUGAUAUGCAUUUCCUGGUUUGGUUCAUUUUUAUAUGAUUAACGAUAGUAUGCAAUGCUGGUCAGCUUUAGUGAUAAGUUCAUCGAAUUUCAAAAACACUUUUAUAAUGGCAAAAUUAUGAAUUACUGUCGGCUGAAUUUACCUUUUUACUUUUCUUUGGGAGGGGUUUGGGAGCCAGUUCAGAACAAUUUCUUUCUUUUUUCCCUUUAAAACAUCUUUUAUUCCUGCAUGCAGAUAGUAAGCACAGUGAGAACAAAAUGCCCUCAAACACCGCUAGUGCUCUACAUUAACGGGAAUGGUGGAAUUCUUGAACGAAUGAAACUAACUGGCGUUGAUGUUAUUGGGCUUGACUGGACUGUUGAUAUGGAAGAUGGAAGGAAACGGCUAGGAAAUGAUAUUGGUAUACAGGGAAAUGUAGAUCCUGCAGUAUUGUUUAGUCCUCUUUCUGCUGUGGCUGAUGAAAUUAAAAGGUACGUAAUGUAAGUCCUCCUUCUGCUGUGACUGAUGAAAUUAAAAGGUACAUAAUGUACCUUAAAUUGGAUCUACACAAGUUAAUUUAGCCGCUGAUCAGUUGGGGAAUAAAUUCUCCUCCAACUGCAGUUAAUUAAUUGGUUAGCCCAUUAUAGAACUUUCCGUUGCUGUAUUAAGCAUCUCAAUUACAUAUGGUUGAAGAGGGCUUGACCUAAACUUGCAUCUGGGGCAAAAGGUGAGACUAAAUAAAAUGGUGAAAAAACAGUUAUCUCACAUGAGGCCAAGGCGUUUUAGAAAAUUGAGCAGAUUGGUUUCCUUUUAAAACUGAUUACUAAGCUGGUUCUGUUCCUUCGACAGGGUUGUUAAGUCUGCAGGGCCUAGGCAUCACAUUCUUAAUUUGGGCCAUGGUGUUCUUGUUGGGACACCUGAGGAAGCUGUUGCCCACUUUUUCAAUGUUGCAAGGAGCUUAAAGAUCGAUGAGAAAACUGUGGAGCAUGAAAAUAACGCACCUAAAACUGUAGUAGGAAGAUAGAAAUUCUGUGAAGCAGCGUAGAAGAGCACGAGCCUUUAACUUUUGCCUGCCUUUCCUUGCAGAAGUGGUGCCAUGCGUGCAGGUUUCAGCUAAUAUGUUAUGUUAGAUGAUGUUUAGGAGACAAUUCUUCGGAUUGGUUCUUGUGCUAUCCUGAUAAUACUCUUUUUAGCUUGUAGUAUCAGAAAAUUUUCGCUUCGAAUCUAAACUUUCGGCAUCUCUACUUAUGGUUUUGUCUCACGAUCCAAAUGGGGAUCAUUUUGGGUGGUCAAUGUUGUCGAUACAAUAGGGCGGAAAGAAUCAGCUACCCAAUUUAAUGGAUGGUGGUAGAUUUCCCUGGAACGCCUUUGGCCUUCAACUCUAUUUUCAUUUGAUGAAAAGGUUAUGGGUUCAAUAUUAAGGCUGAUCCUUUUGCAAGCAUAAUGAAUGUCAUCAUAAUGUGGCAGAAAAGAGAUAUUAUUCUAAUCAUCUUCUAAUCCACCUUUACACCCAAUUAGGGGGCCAAAGCCAACUUUAAUAGCUAAGGUACUUUUCAAAAGUUAAAGUCAGAUAGUGAUUUUACCUAUGUUUGAAUACGGGUGGCAUGGAUGAUUGGAAUGUAAGGAAGCUAGUCAAAUAGUUAAAGUCAGAUAGUCACAUUCAACCACAGACAGGAACAUCCAUUCAAGAAUUGCGCAAAAGGCACAGAAUGAAUGGUUGGAAUAUAAGGAAGCUAAGAACCAAGAGAAAAGGGUGAGCAUGCUGGAAAUAUCAGGAGCAGAAAGAACAGCAGCAACAGAGGAAGGAGGGUACUGGUGUCAUUCAUCUAAGAAUUGCAUCAAAACAGAAGACGGGAGGAUGGGAGACGGGUUUUGGUAUAGUAGCAGAGGAUGAUAGCAAACAGAUACUAGCUGAGAAUGGGCCACAAAAGAAACUAAUGAAGGCAACACUCUCAGGAAUCAUGUAGUGGCCAUCAAGCUAGCAUUAUGUAAGGCAAGAGAGCAGCACUGGGAGAAGAUUGCGGUCAAAAUGAAACAGAAGCAAUUGCUGAAGAUGAUAUAGACCAGCAAAUCCAAGGACAUGAUAGUGUACUCUCAUCUGGAGGAUAUAAAAAAAUUUGUGCUCAUUCGUUUUGUCGACUAGUCAAAUUGAGGAAAGAGUUGAUUAUAUAAUGUUUAAGCAUCCUUUAACCAUAUCUUUUGAUGAGGAGUGGCUCCACUCUUAGUACCAAUAUGCUCUUGUAUAGUCUCAAAUUGGCCCUUUGCUCAACAAUUGUAUAGUUUAUCAAAUUUCAAUAAUAUUAUCUACGCUUUCUGAAAAAAAAUAAAAUAAAAUUACGGGUGACAUGGACAGGAGCAUUCUCUAGAACAAGACAAAAAGAAGAUUAGGUUAAAAUAGCCAUGUCAUAUUAUUACCAUCAUCUUAAGAGGAUUGAUUAAAGUGGUGAGAUUUUUACCACUUCAAAAUCAACAUUGCUCUUAAAUUGAAAUUUUCAUUUGCUUUAAUAUCUAUAUUAAACUCAUUUUCUAAAUCUUUUUUUUUUCUUUUGGUGGUCCAUAGCAUAGAAAAAGCUGAAAAAAUUAUCCACACCAACAAGAUUAGUUGACUAAGCACCUGUGUGCAUAAGCAUUUGUCCUCUUAUAUCCAUGGUUUGCCAUCAUGGUCGUUGUUGUGUCGUGAUCAUUAUUAUUGUUUCACACUCAUACGUAUGUUAUAUAGCAUAUAAGAGUUUUCAAAUUUUUUAAAAAAAUUAAUGAAAAUAGAAAAUACAACAAGAAGCACAAUUAUCAAAUUAGAUUUGCUAAAUACCUACAUUAUCAUAUAUGUACUCAAUAAUUAUUUACAUAAAGGGAUACUGUUGUAGUCAUGAAUCAAAAGCAUUAAAAGUACAUGAUUUUAGUACCAAAAGCAUCUUCUAUUUCUAUUUUAUGAGACAUCAAAGCUUAAAUAUAAGAUUAAAAUCAUUAUAUCUUAUAUAGCACAAUAAGAAUCCUACUCUGAUGAUAAUAUAAUAAGAAUUCUAGUACACGAAAGAAGUAAUACCGUAUAAUUCAAUACAACAAAAGAAACAGAUAAUCAUCAAAUAAUAUUAUAGAAUGCAAAGGCAAAAAAAAAAAAAAAAGCAAGAAUUUUCACCAUAUUUGAUCAACUCUAUUGGCCAAAUGAAUGACCUCAACUUCCUUAAAACCAAAAUAAAUAAAUAAAUAAAUAACAAUAAUAAACAUCCGAAACAGGUCUAUCGGUGAAUAAUAACAAUGAAAUAAUAACAACGAUGAAUAUCCGAAACAAUACUAACAACAAAACUUUUUUUGCUUGAUUUUUGAUUCAAAAUCGUGUAUAAUUUGACGGGUUCCAAUUAAUAUAUGAUGAUUUGAGUUAACUCAGUCAGUAUCGACCAAGUUAUAUUGAGUCAUAUCUAAAACAGGUUCACUUGCAAAUCAUGUGUCGGUAUCGUAUUGGAAGGUCCGUUCCGGUGAAUACUGCUUAUAUCCUGCACCUAAACACCACAAACUUAUAAAACCCUUAGCUUACCAACAAACCUUAGCUAAAAUGAAAACAAAUCAUAAAGUUCUAUGGUCUAUAUCACAAAUCAUAAGGUUCUAUGGUCUAUAAAGCCCCUCCCCGCCCACCCCCCCCUACAAACUCACCCCCACUUUGGUCUAUAUCAUAAAACAGGUAAAAGAUUCUCUAAACUUAAAAUCUACUUAGGGCGAAUAGGAUGUUUUAUGGCGAGCUUCCUUACAAUUAUUUCGCUUCAAGAGAACAGUAGCACUUUUUGGAUGUUUUUGGAUUGUAAAUUAUUUAAGAUAUUUUUACUGUAGCACUUUUUAUGAUGUGAUGUAUGUGAGAAAAAAGAUAAUUCAAAAGAAAAAAAGGUACAUUGAAAAUUGUAAUGGUGAUAUAAGCAAAUAUAUUUGGACAAAUAAUCUCCUGUCCAAACACACACACAAUUCAAGAGAACAGUAGACUUGGUUAUCAUGUAAUACUUCAAGAGAAUUGUUUUUACUUAUGUAAUGAGUUCUUUUUUUGAGAUUUGGAAAGUUUGAAUUGAUAACAUCUUAUUAACAGUUUGCUAGUUUUAUAAUGUUAUUGGUGAAGAAAUAUAUUAAAAAGAAUAUUUUUUCAGUUAGUUGAAAUUUAGCUUUAAUUGCUUCUCUCUAAACCAAAUUCUCUCCUUAUUAAGAGUAUCUACUUCUUAUAUAGGAGGGAGAUCUCUUAUGGCUUUCUUUUUCUCUUUUGCAUGUAGUAAAGUCCCUUUUAAGAUAUUUUAGUGAGAGUUUUUUUUUUCUCUAUUUGGAUCUUUUAGUGAUAAUUUUCUUCUCUAUUAGCAUCUUCUUGUGAGUGUUUUUUUUUUAGUAUUUAUUUUUUGGUAUUUUAUUUGUUAGGUUUGAGUUUUUUCCUAAAUGUUUUACCAAAUUUUGAAUUUCUUGGAUUUGUUUUGUCAAAUUUUUAUCUGAUUUCUUUAAAUAUAUAUAUAUAUAUUUGUAGCUUUGAAGUGUAAUCUUGUUAAAUUUUCAGAUUUAUUAUGAUUUUUGUUAAUUCUUCCAAAUCUAUUUGCAUCUGUUGCAUGUUUUGUUAUGUUUGCUGCUAUUAGUACAAAUCUUCUAAAAUAAAAAAGACAUUAUGAUUUUCUCUUAAAAAAGGAAUAAAUUUUUGAAUUAGGUAGCAAGUAAGAAUGAAUGCACAGCUUAUAAUUUGAAUGGAAAUUCAGUGUUUUCUAGGGUCUGUUUGUUUCGGGUGAAAAUGUUUUCCAGGAAAAUAUUUUCCUAAUUUCCCGUGUUUGGUUGCACAAAAGUUACUGAAAACAUUUUCCUAUGUAAAAUAUUUUCACUCAUCUUAUGGAAAACAACUUCCCUUCCAAACUUACUGAAGUUGUUUUCCGAAAUGCAUGCAUCCCGCUUGUAGUAUAUUCCAAACUUACUGAAAACAUCUUGUAGUAUGUUCUUUUUUUUUUUGCUGUAAAUAGGAGGAUUCGAACCCAAAACCUCCUCCUUACACUCCCUCCCCCGUACCACCCAACCUAACCCUCCCCCUAGUAUAUUCAAAAUAAAAAAAAACCUCAUCCUACUCAUCAUAUGCUAGUAAUUAAUUAUGUAUAAUAGGGACAUUCUUUUCUAGAGAAAUUUUCAGCAUUGAAAGUGCAAGAUAUAUGUCACAAUAAGCAUUGCAUGUGAUUGAUAUUUGACACUAAAUGGCCAGCAAUUUGUUUAUUGCUUAAGGAGAUAUUUUUUAUUCAUAUAUACAUUUCUCUAAGAUUUUUUAAAUUUAAACAAUGAGAUAAAUUUUCUUAUUUUGCAUGAGAAGAAGUAUGUAGUUAUAAUGUGUAGAAAGUAAAAAUAGAGAUAAAGUGAAAAUAUUUCAAAAGUUAAACAAACACCAGAAAAAUGAAGUAAGAAAAUAUUUUCAAUAAGCUAACCAAACACCUGAAAAUGAUGAAAGGGAAAUGAUUUUCAUGGAAAAUUACUUCCACGGAAAAUAUUUUCCCAAGGAAAACAUUUUACUUCCAACCAAACAGACCCCUAAUGAUGUAACCUUACAUUUACAAGCCUAUAAACACAGACAAGAAUGGGUUAAGUUUCGAAAACAGCCAUUAUGGGAAAUCCCAAACUUUAUUUACCAAUUAGCAGGAGAGACGACUUUUUACCUGGCUUUCAAGAAACUAUUUUGUUGCACGGUAACAUUUAUCUAAUUCAGUGGACAGUAAUUUUUAAAGAGCUGAUAUAUAGUUUAUGAUUGUAAAAUAGAUUCAGAACAAAAUUAACUACUCCCUACUUUAUGGUUCAAGUAAUGGCUAAUACAAGAUUUUACGAGUCGAAAGAAAAGAAACUCGUGGAGACUCCAAGUCCAUUCCCCCCAACUAUUAGUGGACUUUUUACUCUUGCUGUAAUCUUCAUUUUACUUUUUCUUCUUUUACUAAGGUAAGUAGGAUUUGAAUUCUCUGCAAUCACAACGAAAAAAAAAAAUUCAAGACUACAUUGCUUUCUUCUUUUACUAGCUAAGAUAACUAGGAUUCACAGUGGAAUAAAAUUCAUAACAUCGUUUUUUUUUUCAAUAUUUUGAGAGGUUUAAUAUUUUCUUUCUUGCACUCCAAUUCUGCCUAAUUAAUGCCCCAUUUAGGGUCGCCGUGGAUUUACAAAAAAAAAUGCACUUUUAAAUACUAAAAAUACUUUUAGGAUGCUUAGUAACUAAUUUUUUCGUAACUCAAGGAACUUAAUUUUUGAUAACUUAAAAGCACUUUUGUUAAAAGAACUCGUGUCAAAAGUUCUUUUUUUUUAUAAGUGAGCGCAUUCCAAAACGAGACCUAGUAGCCAUUCUCAAAGUUAAAAAAAAAAUGAAAUGAAGAAAUCGAAACAUAAAUUUUUUGGGGUUACCAAGCCGUACAGAUAAACAUAAUUGGAUAGAAUUUAAACUGUAUGGAGAAUUAAUUAGUGUACCAAUUUAAACAGUUCCCAGUGGACCUGGCUGAUAUAUUUUUGGAUAAUAUUUGCCAUACCAGAGAAACAUGUCAUCAUUUAUGUCCCAUUAGAAAAUAUGAAAGUUCCAAUUAUUAUGACAACCUGAUACCAGAUAUUGAGGACUUGCUAUAAUUACUCAUGACAAAAGUCCAAACACUCUAUCCAAUUGUGUGUGCUUUGAGUGCAAUACAGCUCCAAGCAUGGAACACUGUAGUGAUAUUACAAUUUUUAGUGUAAACAAUUUGAAACAAAACAUUCUUUUCACUGUCAGGUUCGAGAUUUAAAUUUUGUACCUGACAACUGGAGGGAGGGAGGCCAUUCUGUUGUGCAUUUCGGAAACUGGAAAUCUGUUAACUCGAGCAGAACUUCCCGAUUUCCUGCUUGAUUUUAAUGCUCAAGGUGUUAACAAUUUUUUAUGCUGAUUUUGAUGGUAGAUCAAGGGCUUGUGAGUAUGGUCACGAGGAAAAAUUAAAAAUAGCAGGAAUAUGUCGCCUGGUCUGGUACGAAGAAUGCCAAAUGAUCCCAGAUCAUGAUACAACCAACGUACGUGAUAUGACAGGCUAACCAUAACAACCAGGCAAAAGCUUUUCUAAUUAUUGCUGCUGUCUUAUGAUUUUGCUACAAGGAGUCUUAGAAUUUUAUCUGCGAUUGCAUACCAUAAACUAUGAGAAGAGGUUAAUGCGUGGCAUAGGUUUCUUGCCUCAGAAGAGAAAGUUUCAUGUAGCUUAUGGGGUUGUGAUAAUUUUUUUUAACCGUGGAAGACAACAAUUGAACCUGACUAAUUGUUAUGAUCAUGAUUCCAAAGAAAAUAUUAAUUUAGCUUUUCUUUUCCCUCUCUCAAAAGAUUUUCUAGGCUUUUCUUGCUAAUUACAAUUUUGUGGCAACACAAAAAAAAAAAGAAAGAAAAAUUCAUGACACUAGAGGAAUACUAUGUAUAAAAAGAAAAAGCAAUUGAGCCACAAAAACGUUUUAUUGAUUUUUUUUUUCCAAUUUGACAUUGCUUCAUUACUCACCUUGAAAUUCAUAUCUACCACGUCUAGUUAUAAAAAAAAAAAACAGCUUGUGUAUGUGAUAAGCCGAGCGUUCUUCCAUUUUGUUCUACUACAUACGUGAGAAAUGUGAACUAAUCAACUUGUUUGGCACUUGAGUAUUUUGUCAAGUUUGUUUGCUACAAGUAUUUUAAAAACUUUAACUACUACAGUAACCUCAAAAAAUUUCCCAAAGUUUUUAAACUAUACACUUCAAAAUAUUCAAAAAUUUAUACACUUCAAAAAUUUCUUAAAAAACUUCUACAUAAGGUAUAGUAAAGUUUUAGACAAACACCUAAAAAAACUCACGUGCCAAACGGGGUGAACAUUAUGAAGUGAGCCAUUCAAGAAAAGGAAUACGUGCCAGAAAUUACUAGAUGGAAUAAAUAAUGAAAGAGGAGUUGCCGGUUCAAAUGAUUAUACUCUUCUAAACCACCUACUAAAACCCAAAAUUCUAGCCAAGUAAGCUAACAAAUAGGGAUUGUUUGAUUUAACUGGGAAUCGUAAUCGUGAGAGAGAGAAUAAAUAAAUAAAUAAAUAAAUAUAUAUAUAUAUAUAUAUAUAUAUAUAUAUAUAUAUAUAUAGCAAGUAGAAUGGAAGAGGGGUCAGUGCGGUUAGGGUCUGGUACUAUUCGCUCUAAUUGUUCAUUAUUAUAUUAGGAUAGAAGUGAUGUAUAUGAAUAAAAUAUUUGACAUAUUCAAUAUAACAUUAUAAUGUAUUUGUACAUAAAAAAUUUAAAUAUACACACACACACAUAUAUAUAUAUAUAUAUAUAUAACGAUCGGGACGAAUCCGCACAAAACACAAUUGGAGUGAGUUCUUGUCUAGUAGAAUGGAUUCACCACAAGUAACAAAAAAUUCUGCACAACAAUUCCUUUAAGAAUCAAGACCAGUUUUAUUCUCCAUGUGCUAAAACCACAAUGCAUGAGUAUCAUUCCCUCGCCAUUGUUUCAAGAAACUCUCAGAAUUCGCAUAAUCAUUUCUUCAACAGAAACUACUCAGAUUUCGAUCAGUAAAAGAUUUAGAUAAUGAUUAUAUAUUGGUACCUUUAUUCCAUUCUUGACAGUUGCAAACUUCAAAUCCCCAACCCAAAACCCCAAGGUAAAACAGGCCAAAGCAACUCUUCAAGUGGAGUUUAGCUGGAUUUUUUAGGUUACUGCUAACUCAUGAAAACAUACAAACAAGGGAAAAUACUUCAUUCCUUAUGUCAUGCACUUCAAGGACGAGAAAAAGUCCCUCUCAUGCAUUUCAAGGCAACAAUCUCGUGUUUAAGAACGAAAGUCCCCCUCAAAAUAAAAUCAACAAAGAAAACAUGAGAGAGAAAAAGACCGAAAAGGCCUUAUGUCUUGCGUAUAGGGGUACUUAACCCUGAGUUGUUGAACUUGAAUGGAUAUGUCAACACCGGAAGUCUACAUCCUUUGAUGAUCAACUCAAAAUGUUAGCUCUUGCAUGCACAGUGUAUCAUUUAUGGAGGGCAAGAAAUUCUGAAUGGAUAUCUCAAAACUACUCUUUGUCUACUGUACAAAUUAUGUCUAAUAUCAUUACUAAGCUUUGAGGAGUGGCUGGGACUUGGACAAGUGUGGCUAGACCCAAGACUAAGUGGGACUUGGUGAUGGAAUGGAGGAUUACCCAUGAAUGCUUUGACAGUGUUUAGCUCAUGUACUGUAUAAUUGUAGUCUCUUGUAGUUAGCUAUGGAGGUAUACUUUUGCAUCUAUUCAGGCUUCUUUGCCUAAGCUGUACAAACUUAAAUGCUGCUCUAUCAAUAAAAUUCAUCUCUUUUGCUCCCAAAAAAAAAGGACCUAAGAUGUUGAAAAGGAUGCACAAUUGAACAUCGGAUAUGACUUGAAACGUGGGAUUGUAAGAGUAAUAGUACGAGAAUUGCUUGGAGUUUCCACUAUAUUAGAUAUUACAGCUUCGAGCUGAAUAGGCUGCGCAUAGUUCUUAACCACAAAAUUUCAUCAUUUCUUCAGGACUUUUGGCAAUAACUUCAUAGACUCAACAUAGCUAUAGGUGUUGAGUUGUUGAGUAAUAGAAUUUUCGUUCUCUUCUUAAAAAGACAAAAAGGACAAUAUGAUUCAGGUCUAGAUUAUAAUGACGUACAGCAAAAACCAAAGAAAAUGACACUCCUGCUAAUUUGAACUAAGAAUGGAAGAUUGUUAAACAGGGAGACAAGUAGAAGAACUGGAUUUCAUCUUUCAUUCAUUUUUUUUUUUUUUUGCAAACUUCUAAUCUACACCAUCAAACAUGCAUCUAAUAGAAGCACUUGAUAUAUUUGUAAAUGUAUUCUUUUUUUUAAGAAAAACAUAAACCUACGUACAGUGUGCACAUUAAUUAUAUUAAUAGUUAGCCCUAUCAUAAUUAAUGGCAAGCACAGGAUAGUGCAGAAUCAUAGAAGAGACGAGGCUGACAAAAGGAAAAGAUUUAAUUUUAGAAAACCACCAAAAAGAAAAGAGUGUGGGAAAUAAAGGAACAAAAUAAAACAUAGAAGCGUUGCAUGAGUGCCUAUUCGUGUUUGCCUGGGAAAGAGGUAAAACAAGAAGAAGCCUAAAUUCUUGUUAAUUUGAAUGUAAAUGCUGAUAGCCCUUUAAUUUGUUGGUUAUUCUAGUAUACAACCCUGCCUUACUCCCAAGUCCAACGAGCUAGCAUGCAAAUUAGGGUUUUGUAAUGAGGCAAUGAAUCCCAGAUUUUCAAGAAAGAAAUCAGAUUAGCCUAACCAGUUCGAACCUCAUUCAUUUUUGGGCUCUUUCACACAAUAAUCCAGAUAAAUUCUGCUCAAAAUAGUUGCAUUACCAAGCAGUAUAAGACAUAAUACUGGAAUAAAAGUAUAUGUGACACUUAAACACAUUAAUUUUUGUAGAUAAAGAUCUGGGAAUAUAGUACUAGCCCAUCUCUAUAUUAUCACAAGAACAUAGCAUACUCAAUCUCUUAAAGCAGCAAAACUUAUAUGAAUUUACUUUACCACAAAUAGCAAUCAAGAAGACUGCAUCUGAAAAUUGGAGCUUUCAUUGUUUGGCUUCAUGGGAAUACUUUUCCUCUUCUUCUUCUUCUUGUACGGGAUACCACGAGCCUUAGCUUGGGAAUCUCUUACCUCGCGAAGAUAAACACGAAUGGCGCCACUAGCAAAAGGGUUUUUAUCAGGUAAACCACCAUUUUCUUCGUAGGCAGCUCUGAGGCGUCCAAUGAGUGCAUCAAGGCUUCCCCAAGCUUGCCUGAGUGGACAAGUGCACGGCCCUGCUGGCUCAGGAUGGCCGAAAAACACGCAACCUUGCAAGUGCACCUUAGUCUUCCCAAACUGGUCGAGAUAUCUCAGAAAAUCUAACACAUGGUUGAAGUUGCACUGCGACAACGGAACUGGAGGCCUCUGAUUCCUCAAAUACUGCCCAAAAGUGUUCCAAUCGCGACGUUUUUGAGACUCGUACCUGCUCAAUUGGCCUUGAGCUGGUUGCUGCUGUUGAUCAGGAUGAUCAUGAGUUGCUGGUGCUUGUACCGCUGAAGCUGAUGAUCUUGAUGAUGAUGAUGAUGAUCCUUCUCCUAAUUCUAUAAUUCCUGGGUGACCAUGGCUACUAGACAUCAUGUUUGAUGCACAAAAUUUUUUUUUUUUUUGGGGAAUUAAGGAGCUUAAUUUGAGAAGGUUUUGUGUAUGGGAAAGACUAAAGAGAGAAAUGCAAGUGGAGUUAGAUGCAGAUCAAAUCAUGGGACUACUGAGGAGACAUGGUAUGGGACCAAGGAGAGUGCUUUAGCUCUUCUUUUUCUUCCUACAUCGCAUUAUUUUCUUCCUUUAAUGGUACUAUUAGUAUUAAGAAUGAUUUUUUAUAUUUUCCAUUAUUUUUAUAAUUGUACUGGCAUCAUCAGAGCAAUCAUUGUCAGGCAUAUUAGCAAAAUUUGGCACUAUGAUUUGAACCCUUAGUGACUAGGUGGCCACCGCAAGUAACUCAAGUUAGUAGAUUAGAUUUAGAGCUUGCCAUGGUUAAUUCUAGAUGGUUAAUUAUGCUGCAAUACAAGUGGUGAUUGAGAUCGUGUCACAAAAUCAAAAGUACAUAAUUAUUCGUUAGUGCAAAUGUUUAAAGUGGUGAAAAAAGUCGUCAUCUUGUUAAUUAACUAAGAUUUUAAGGUUCAGUCAUCGAGUAAUUCAAUUUCCAACUGGCUUCCUAUUAGUUUUUAAUUGCUGGAGUAGUGAUUAACAUAGUUGUGAUAUAAGAUUUGGUUCGAUUGAAAAUCCAAGACCGACCUCCAUUAAUUAGUAGGUCGAAACGCGAAAAAUGAAAAUUUUUUUUUUUUUGUUUCUGUUUUGGAGGUCAGUAGCUAGUUACAUUAUUAUUAAUUAGAAAGAGAAUUGUAAGAUUGACAUGGGAGUAUUAAUUGCCCGCACGAAAUAGUAUGGAAAAGUAUCUAGAACCUUUAACAAGUUGAGAAAAUGAAAUAAUUAAGUUUUUCUUCUAUUGUUCAAUUUACAAAGUGAAAUUCUCCGUUCUUCUCAAAUGAUGCACCGAAAAUGAAAGAAGGAAAGAGACUAAACAGGCAAUUGUAAUAUAUAUAGCUGUGACUGCUUUUGUUGUAUUUUAGUGAUCAUAGAUAAUAGUUGUUUAGAUGGAACAAACGAUUGAUAAUAUUUAUAGUAAACCUUGUGAUAAUUAGAUGAACGGUAGCUGGAAGGUUUCAUAAUUUCACUGAAGAUUUGUCCUACAAUUGGAAGGUUGGGCUUAAAAAUAAUACCACUAGUAUUCUUUGCAAGUGUCAACUUGGUUAGACUAUCAUAUACUUUUGCAGACACUACUCACGUCUCUCUCUCUCUCUCUCUCUAUAUAUAUAUAUAUAUACACACACACACACACACACAUAAAACUUUCUUUUUGGGUGUGUUUUGGCCAGCAGAGGGGGAAAUUAAAGAAAAGGGGUCUAAAACACUUUCUUGAAUGUCACUCUAGCUUGUUUUUAACCAUUUUAGUUAAAACCCUUUUGGAAUUUGACGCUAUGGGUUAAAUGGUAGGCAUAUUUCUUAAUCUUAGCUGAUUUGGUUGACUCCCAAAGAUUUUGCACUAUAUAAUAAGGAGAUCCCACUCUAUAAAAAUCACUAAGCCAAACGAGCAUCAUUAGCACCCCCUAUCACAGUAUAACACACAAAAGUGACAAGCCAAAUUGCUGCCACUUGUGUAUACAAGGAUCGAUCCCAGUCUUAAAAAGUGACUGGUAGGGCUGUUACCCUAGCAAUUUUUCCUAGGUAUCGAUUGUCAACAUAGUCGUUGCCAUCACCAACGACUGGUGAUAAUGCUAAGAGAUAAUAAUGUAAUCCAAUGGUACGUACCGUUGUUAGUGACGUUUUUGUUGUUGCUUGACGGCUUUCUGCUUUCUGAUUAGUUUGCUUUUUGGAGUUUCUGUCUGGAAAGGAACACAUAAGAUUUGAAAUUUCUUGCGUACCCUUACUAGCUGUCCCCUGAAUUCAAGCUAAUUGCUUGUCAAUUCCAUUUUGGGUGCAUGCAUGCAUUUGUAUAAUGGCCCUUCACACUACCUCGUAGGGUCCAUUUUCUUUUCCCCAUUUUUUUCUUGAAGAAGAAAAAUCCCUCCCUUAUUUUUCUCUUAUUUUUCAAUUGGCAAUUUCUGAAAUAGCAAGAUUAGAACAAAUUAAUCUGAGAUGUGAAUAUGAUAUUGCAGAGUCGAGUUAUAAAAUUGAACUUCUUUAAUUUCCUCAAACAGGAUUAGCCUCCGUUUCACAUGGUAAUAUGUGAAACAAAAGCAUUCUGCAAUUUACUUCAGUAGUUAUGAACGGGUCACUAGCUAGCUCAUGAACCACCUCAGUCAAUUAGUAAACUUUUCUUGAUGCACGUGUACCAGACCGGACUCAAUAGUAUGAUAUUUGAGAAGUUUGAGUUUUGUAUGAAUUCGCCUACCCGCUGCGUACGUACGUACGAGUGAAUAAUUAAUUGGUAAAGCUGAUCUACCCAAAAUUUCAUUAUAAUUACGUCGUCAACAAAUUCAGCACAACUGAAAAAACAAGUCUUAAUGUGAAUCAUAUGUCAAUACAAUAUGAAAAACAAUGGUAUAAAAUAAUACCUCGCACCUCAAAAAUCAACCUAUCAUGUACACAAAACGAAGCCACGCUACGCCUUCAGUCUGGUGGUCAAAGUUUUUGGUCGCGUGGGAGGUCAAAGGUUCAACCCCUUUCUUCGAUUGAAUCUCUACUCACAAAAUGAGAAUAUGCUAGAUCAGGUUAUAAGAAUCCUAUCAUUACGACAGAAAAAACAAAAAUGUACACAAAAUGAGAUUCACAAUUUUUCUGUAGAUUACAAUCUUCGCUCUCUAACAAGUUCAAACUUAUAUGCAUCAGCGCUUCAACUUAGGUCCUUAUUCCAUGUUUUUUCGUAUAUCUUCAAAUUAAAUUUCCGUCUGAUGCUAUACACCACCAUUUGCCAGUUACUACUGUAUCUGCAAACUAAUAGGCAAGAUGUGAAAAGAAAGCUCCCUUGUCUAGCUUUCUUAACAACCACCCAAAAGGCGGAAAAGAUUAAGAGUUAAGGAGCUUCAAUCUGCUUAACCACUGGUGCCUUAAUUAAUUAGAGAAUCAGUGCAUACUGAAAAAGUGUGCUAAUUUGUUGAUGUCCACUUCAAAGAUCCACUGGCUACGGACUGUUUGAGUCUUGUUCAUUUUGCUGAUUUUGGUAAUUACUUCCGCCUUUUGAACCGCAUAAACAUGUUACUACUAUUGUGUAUUUUCUGGACUACUCUUUCACACAUUCUCUCAAUAUAUUUAUAUACGUAGCGAUCACCACUGAAUACUGAUGUUAUAGGAAGGUAUUUUUCGAGGGGUUGAGACAAACGAAAGAGCAAGAAUUUAUUUGUAGGAGAUUCUACCGUCUUUUUUAUGUAUCAUACCCUCGUCUUAAAUUUUCUGUUGAAUUGUAGAAUAAGUGGUUUUAAUUUUAGAUUAUCAUCAUCAUCAUUGAAAGAUAUCAAUUGAUAGAAUAUUUUCCAGAGAGACAAUACAAUUCUCCUUUAUUUUGAUCUAAAAUUAGGGGUUCAAAAUCUCAUCAACUUUACAAAAAUGCUUACCUAUCAUGUCUAACUCUAAAGCACCCUAACUACAGCCAUGGCAAAGUGCAGAUGCCCUAACCCAAAAAAAAAAAAAAAAGGGAGAGAGAGAGAGAGAGAGGUGGUUGAAACUUGAAAGCAAACUGAUGCUUCACAAAUGAGAAAACAAGGAUCUGUCACUGCCAGACACAUUAACAUUUGGAAGCAUUCAUAUUCUCAACUACAUAUCAUCCCAAGUAUCAAUUGUCGAAAAUCAUCCGGUCAUCACACGUAGAUCAACAGUAAAAGAAACUAGUAGAACGGAAAUAUGAAAGAGUAAAUUAUCUGAGGUUCCAGGUUUCACCGUUGAAUGAAUUUUGGUUACUAUAUAUUAGUUCAUCUUUAUCGUGUGUUAGUUUCCUAUUUGAUGAUUACUAGAUCUCAAGAUUUUAACAAAACACUAAUAAACCAAGGAAGUCUUUGGCCAAAUUUGACAAACUUUUAAUUUGCAUUAGAACUGGGAAAAGUAAAGGUUCACUUAAUCGGUCUAAGAGGACAAUUAACAUUCUAAAACUUGGUGGAGAGAAACUAAAGGGUGAAAAACUUAAAGUCUUUUCCUAGUGGUAUUCAAAAUGGGGCUAAAUUUCACUUUGAUCCCUUAAAUUAUAGAUGCAUUCCUAUUUUGGUUCUUAAAUUUGAUUUUUGGAUACUUUAUCCUCAAAAGUAUGAAAUUCAUCCACUUUAAUUCUUAAACUUUCAACUUUUGAUACUUUACUCUCUCUCUCUUUUUUCCAAGGGAUCAAAUUGGUGAAAAAAAAGGGAGUGCUCGGGUUGUUGUAACAGGGCUUUGGGCCGGGCAUCCCUCUCACAUGUUUAAAUACGAGCUUUGACGACUCAUCAAAUCCCUGUAAACUGUUUGAAGGAUCAUAGAUACUUUACUCUCUAAAAUUAGAGGGAGUACCCGUGCAUCACGCAGGCGUUUGGUGAUGUGGUUAAAAAAGAUUUUUCAUUGGACAAAUAAUAGUAUAUUUUGGAAAGAAAUAGUCAUCAAAUAUGACAAAAUUAAUAAUAGUACAUUCUAAUUGUAGCACACACUUGUACACUUCACUUUAUUAAUGCUUUUACAAUUUUAUUAUUUCCAAAAGAUCUCUACAAAUGUCAAUUGAAUUUCGCUCGAGAGAAGACAUAAGUUGUUUCAAAUGAAGGAAUACCCUCCAAUGGCUAGUUAUAGCAAUGUGUUAAUUGUACAACAUGUUAAUAUGUUUUGUGUUUAUUGCACAACAGAAACAACACUUCAAUUAAAUAUGUCUAUAACACCAUUUCACUAAUUACACCAACACAUAAGCUUAUAUGAGUUGUAGUCGAUGUAAAAAUGGUUGCAAAAUAAUUCCAUAUUUCAAAAACACCCAAAUGUUUCCAGAAAUCAAAGCUUUAAAUGUACCAAAAUAAGGGUAUUUUGGUAAAUAUAUCUAAAUACAUGUUGCUCUCAAUUGUACCAAAAGUUUUAAAAAACUACACAACGUUCCACAUUCUCAAAAAGCACCUAUCCAUAUGGUUGAAAUUCAAAUCCUCUUUAACCACAAAUCAUUUUAUAUAGUAUAAGGAUAUGAUAUUCAUCCUAUGGAUUUAUCAUAACUGACGGAAUAGUAAACAAGUGAUGAUCAAAGUUUAAAAACUGAAGUGUGAUAGAUUUUGUACUUUAAAAGAUAAGGUGUCCAAAUUUGAAAUUUAAUAACUAAAGUAGAAGUGCAUCUAUGGUUUAAAGAUCCAAAGUAAAAUUUAGCCUUCAACAUAGUAAUUUUUAAUUCAUUAUUGCCUAUGUUAGUUAUGCAAUUAAAUAAGUAAAAUACAUUGUUAACCCUUUUCUACAUGAGUAAGAGAGAUAGUUAUACAUGUUAGCGUGAGUUUUUGCAGUUUGUUCGAUGUGUAUAAUGAAAAAUGAAGGACGAAAAUCACAUAAUUUAGCAUCUUUAAAAUGGUUUACACAUCUUAUGAACAUGUUUCAUAUAUGAGCUUUACGCACAUAUGCAAAAGUACAUAAACCAUGUGUUGAAUUUUCCCAUAUAUUCUUUUUUCUUUUAUUUUCUUUUUUUUGGCAAGAUAUAAGCCAUAAGGAAUUAAUAGCAUAUGCAACAUUGUGGUCUUCAUUAUGCUUACUUUGAAACAGUUGGGGUUAAGGAACAUGUUUCAAACUUUUCAUCACAUCACACCACGCUAUCACAAAUAGUUUUGGACGAGGUGAAUUCCGAGUAACUUCUAGAUUACCAGCAAAAGCACCUGGGAGGAUCUUUGGUAAAGAACCACAAUCACGAAACGAAUCAUACUUUAUUUUGCUUUAACCUGAGUAGUCAACCUGAUUUGAUCUCAAGUCCACAUCUUUUCUUUCAAGUUUUUGGUUCACUUCACUUAAACAAUAUUUCGCUAUUGAUCAACAGAAACCGCUGAAGAAGACAAACCUUAAACUAAGUAUGAAGUUUUGCCAUCUUUAUUUGUUAAGAUGAAAGACUAUCUCAUGGGAAUUACUAGGAAAAUGGAGGGGAAGACAUCCAACUGUAACAGACAUCGGCUGAACUUUUACAGGAAAACUUGGUACGAUUGCAAGCAAGGGGUUGUAAACCCCUAACUUUGCACCUAAAAGGACCUUAAAUUAUGGCCCUCUUAGCUAGUGGCCAACUCAGCUUAGAGUGUCACUCUGUUUGUGUGUCAAUGACAAUAGUACUUCCUAGUACUUUUUUUCUUUCUUUCUUUCUUUUUUUUUUUUUUUGGGUAAAAACCUCGAAUGGGAUGCCAGUCAUUAUUUCAUUAAUAUUUUAAAACAAAUUAAAUUGGAGGGGGGACUGUAGGCUGAUCUCCCAUACAAAAAGCGAAUGCGGCUUGCUAGUACUUGCCCCAUGUUUUUUUUUUCUUCCAAGCGUGGCAACCUCAAAACCAGGAUUUAUUUUCAUAAUAAUUAAUAAAGAAAAUAUGUCAAAUUUUUUAUGAAAAUUAAAUUAUCGAUUUCAAAACUAAUAUUCAAUAGCACGUGGAUUAGUUAAUUCAAUUAAUUCGAUGCAUAAAUUUUCAUGGGAUUCAGUAAACAUAAUAUAAAUUCCAUCGUUGCAAGAUCAUCUAUAUAAUUCGGCGAAGAAUGAACUAAUAGUGGGAUUUUCUGAUAAGCUUAUAGAAUCCAUUUGUGAAAGACAAUUCAGCUACUAGAAGGGGUUUAAAAUCCCUAUUUGAAUUUUAGGUGUCUGUACAUUCAAUUUACUCUACGGAUAGAGGAAUACAUAGGGCUGAACACAGUAAAAUAAGAAAUUGAAAGGUUUCAUUGAAAUUGAACUCCCAUCGAAAAUUCAUAGGGUAAAAAAUAAAAUAAAAUCUUGGUAAAACCUAUAGGUAGAGAUGUACGCAAGUCGAACUGCUCGCGAGUAGUUUGGUCAAUGGCUUGAUUUGAACUCGGUCAAACCGAGUUCGAACCGAGUCUCGAACUACUCGAGUACACAUUCGAGUCGAGUUCGAGUCAGAAUUUUGCAGCUCGUGGCUCGACGAGUAGCUCGUUAAGCCAUAUAAUUUAAAUAAUAUAUAUGUAUUAUAAUUAUAAAAUGAUCGUUAUGGAUAUAAUUUAUACUGAAUUUACAAGUAAAGUGUAGAGUCAAAAAGCUUGAUUACUUUAGCCAAGCCUUAUCGAGUCGAGUCUCGAGCUUUUAAAGAUUUCCUCGAGUCAAACUUGAGUUUGAGAUUUUUCUACUCGAUCGAGCUCGAAUUCAAAUUAUUUAUAGGUCGAGUCGAGCUCAAGUAUAACAAUACUCUAGCUCGACUCGGCUCGAUUACAUACCUACCUAUAGGUCACCAAUCAAAAAUUCAAUAACGGACGGGACCAAUAACAGUUGUCAAUGAAAGUUUUUGGAUUGAAGGGAAUACAGCACAUUGAGGAUGAAUACACUUGUUUCUUUGCCCGAAUAUGGUCAUGAAAAUUGGCAUGUCGACGAUUUCUAAUCCGCCUAAUACUUUAUGUGAAGCCCAAUUAUGAGAUUGUCAAUUAGUCCCCAAUCACUACAAGUGCUUGCUCACUAAAGGCCCUUGAGGUCCAUGAGGAACGAAACCUUGUUUGAGCCAAGUCCAAGCAAAACUGAGAGAAGUCUGAUUUUUUAAUAUUCAAACGAUUUCGUUCUAAGAUGCAACACAAUAUUAUCUUAUAAUACAGAAUUUGUACCUUGUAACCCAUCACUAUUUAAAAAAGAAAUAUGUCCAGUUUUUUAUAUGAAAAUAGGAAACAAAAGAGCACAACCUCUUUUUUUUUUUUUUUUUAACAAACCAAUAUCUUAAGAACUGAAAACCAGAUUAAUUCCGGAUCAAGCUUCUUCUUCUUUUUUUUUCGAUUUAGCAUAUCAAUGAUCAAUCACUAUUUUAAAGAGGAAACCGGAGAUAAUGAAAUAAUGUAAUGUAUUGUAAUGGGAAACAAAGAAUCGAGCCUUGACAAAUUGCUACGGAAGGUUUGAUUCAACCACAAGAUUUCAAGGCAGAUCAACCCUUGUAUAUCCCUUGCCAAAAACAGAAAUAUCUAGCAUUAGCUGCAACUGCGAGUUGGUUGAAGACAACUACCCUAUUUAUUUCCACUUCAAUCGCUUUUUGAUAAAGCAUUAAUUAGCAAAACAUAUUCCUUUGAUUACUGUACAAAUGCCUCCCAAAAUUAGUAAGUACGGAGCCAUCAAGAAACAAGGUAUUCAUUUCGGUUUAAUCAUCCAAGAAAUCAGACUUGGCAAAUCAAAAAUUUUUCACAACGGACCUUCGAGUCCUACAUAAUACAUGUACUAGUUGAGAAAACCAUUAUUAAUAAUUGCAGAGGGCAAUUAACAUUUUUUUUUCUAUUCUUAUUCCUUUGUUAAUGGGACAUGCAUAACACUAUACUCCUCAAUUGUUCAACAAUGGAAGAGCAUGCAUUAUCCCACUAACCCCAAUUACAAUAUAAAACCACAAAAACCUACAGCAACUCCCCCUGUUGGCUUUUCUUUAAAAAGCAACAAAGUUAAUUUAUUCAGAGUGAAUAUUUAACGUAUGCAGUAGAAGUGUUCACGUCUCUGAUGAAAGUCCCAAGCACUGGCACGAGCAAACACUUCUUCGUAUCUUCCUUGUAAACAAACCCUUUACAUCUGCAAUCCUUGCUGCACUUAUCUCUGCAAGCUUCAACUUUAAUCGGACCUUCUCCAUCACCAGUAGAUUCCCUAUUCAAGAAAUGCUCCGCCGCAGCAAUCUUGUAAUAAUCCACCUUAGCCUUGGCCGCACACGGCUUCAGUUUUGGUGGUUGACAAUCUUCGCUCCACCCCAGAAGACCAUUUGGACUAGGACACGCCACACACAUUCCCAUUUGGCACAAACCGAAGGAACCACAUUUUGAUGGCAACCCGCAUUCUCUAACGUAGUAACUCGAGAAAAAUGCAAAUGUCUCUGACCAUCUCAGAUACGGGACUUUAUCAAAAUAAGUAAACACUUUCACGUUGCCAUCAGAUUGAAGCCUCAAGAAUGAGAGUGUUGCAUUAUAAUUCACCUUUCGGAGAAUUACUGUGUUAGCAGAACCAACAGGGAAUGACUGAAGCAGCCGCCUCCCGCUCGGCGUUGGACUUGGAGUUGGUGGUGAUUUUGAAUCCUCAAAUGUUUGAAGAAGCAGCUCCCAGCCUGCAGAUUUAGGGUCUUCAUCUAUGGGGGUGGUAUUAAAUCUUACAGAACUAUAUGCGCUUCCUUGCCAGCCAUUAUAGUUGACAAGCUGGCCAGAGUUGUUUAAAUACAAGCUGAAGCCUGAAUUAUCAAGCACAAGGCUAUACCUUCCAUCCCUUCCAUCAGCUUCAGACGUACGGCUAACAAGCCGGCCAUUUUUCUUGACAGACAUGCCGACCAGUAAUGUAUCGACUGGAUGAUCAAAGCUUUGCCAAAUGAACUUUCCCUUUUUAUCAUACAGCACAAGGUUGCCAUUGGGCAACAGUUUAAUGCCCGUGACGCCCUUGUUAGCUGUGUUGGUCUGCCAGGCGACAGUGCCAUCAACGUCCGCGAGGACUAAGUUUCCAUCGCGGCCGAAGGAAAGAGUGGCAUUUUCUUUAACGGGGUGGUUGCGGUUGGCAUCCCAAACCCAGCGCAUUAGGUCUUCGUCGCGUGGGAUGCCGGCACGCAUGCCCAAGAUGAAUUCCCCUGGGGUGGUGUUGUAGAAACAUAGACUGAAUGGGAAUGCAAAGAAGUCGUUGGAAAUAACGCGAUACCCUGCAUCGUAUUCGGUUAUGUAAUCUCCGAAUUCACCUUCGUUUAUGAUCUUGAAGGUUGCAUUAGCUGGCACUUGAGCUACAGUGCUAGCAGUGAAGAAGUAGAGAAUGAGAAGACUGCUUAAGCAGACUGAAAAUGAAAAGCUCCAAGAAGACAUUAAUUGGGAUUCUUUUUGUGUAGAAUGCCAAUGGAGAGGAAAAGAAAAGGAUUGAGAUUUGUGGGACAAAAGUGUAGUCUCAUGUUUUGGUAUUUAUAGUUCUUCUCCGGAAAGUUUUACCUUCAUCGGAAGCUAUUGGCGCGUUGAAAAGUCAAAUUGAAGGAUAAGAUUUGAAUAGUCAAUGUUGACAACUGCCAAGCGCAAGCCAGAUCACUACAGUUCUAUUAUACGGCAUCCUCUACAGUUGUUGUCUGUAGACUCUGUACCGCUAAAGUGUGUAGAACGACGAAAUUUCUUCCGCAGCCCUAGUCAACAUAGCUAGAUACGGGGAACUAAGAUGUGAGUAUUUAAUUAGUGUUCAAUCUAACCUUGGUCUCAUUCUAGCUGAAUAGCUUGCCCCUUUGGCAAUUAAAUAGGGUGGGAUUGUACAUUUUGUCAACUAAUUAAAUAUAUAUGGCCUGAAAAAUUAAAGUAAGCAUUUUGUCCUUAUUAGUUCAACAAGUUUCUAGAGAUGUUGUUGAUUAAGAGCAUACAUGUAUAUUUAAUUACGACCUUCUCUCUUCAAAUCUUAUGAUCGCAGGGGUUGCAAUGUAAAUAAAAAUUCAAUCUAAAUAAUGUCGAGUUCUCCUUAGGCCCGUCCCCUUCCCCUUAGUGUAGGAUAGAUUAGAUUUAUUGUCUCCGGCAAAAAAAAAAAAAAAGAGUUCUCUUGACAUCCUACUGUAUCGCAACGGAUCUUCUGUCCCAUAUCCUGUGCCACUCUCUGUCCCACUUUUUAUUAUAUUGCUAUUGCUCCUUCACAAACAUCAUAUUUUAAUUCUUUUUUAUUUUCUUAUGAUCCAAUAACUAUUAAUUGAGUAAAAAAUAAAUAUAACAGUUUCAAAAAACUAAUAUAUAAUAGAAAGUAAAAAAAUACAGCAGAAAAUUCAUAAAAAGUCUCAUUUUUUAUGCAUUUUGAUUUUUUGAGUUUGUUAAAUUUUGUGUAUUAUUCAAUUAAUAGUUAUUGGAUCAUAAGAAAAUAAAAAAGAAUUAAAACAUGAUGUUUGUGAAGGAGAAAUAGCAAUAUAAUAAAAAGUGGGACAGAGAGUGGCACAGGAUAUGGGACAGAAGAUCCGUUGCCUGUAUCGCAUUAAGGUCUUUUUUUUUUUUUUUUUUUUGGUUCUUUUUGGAAGUUUAACAUACAUCAUCCCAUUAUCAUUAUGUUCCCAUUCCUAUAUGCUUUUCAAGCAAACCAACGUACAAAAACUGCAAUGCAUAGUCUAAAUGGACCACCAAUGAGCUGUAAUAUAACAAGGAAAGGAGGAAAUAUUGAUUGAGCUUUGAGCACAACGAUUCAGACGAGGACCCAGUCGGGCAACCGCGAAUGGUCUUUGAGAUCAAUUACGAUGACGAUAACGAAAUGGGAUAAUGCAUGCAUGGACUCUGGCGGUCUGGCCUGUCCCACUUAUCCACACCCUUGUUUCUGCAUACAUGAUUGACGAUGGCUUCUCAACGAUACGCUACUUACUGCUAUCUGAUAUCUGCAUCAAAUGAUACUCAAAUUUUAUUUCAUUUCCACAGCAAAUGAUGACAAAAUUUUCCCUUUUUAAGUACAAGUUGCAUUUCGACUUACUUGAGAAUGACAGAUUUGAUGUCUCAGAGAAAAUUAUUGUAGAAAUAAGAAUUGUGUGUGAAAUAAUGUCGGUGCACAAAAAAAUCAAUUUGUUUUUGAAAUUUUUUUCAACAGCUUAAGAAUUUUUAAAUUUAAGAUUUUGGAUUAAAUAUUUUAUUUUAACCGCAAAUGGACCGUUGGUCAACGGUCAUGAUUUGAAGGUGCAGAAAAAAAUAAAUUUUUUUUAAUUCUAUUGUCGCGCACAAAAUUUGCGGCGAACAAAAAAUUUUUUUUUCUUCUUAAAAGCCGCAUGCUAAAUUUGACGCGAAAUUUGUAGACUGUUGAUCCAUUUGAUCAACGGCUGGAAAAUUGCCGCAGAUUCAUCUGAUUUUUUUAUUUUUUGAAACCGAACGUCUGAUGUAUGGCAAGGAAAUACGUACACAAGGCCACUUGGGAUCCUCGGUGACAUGUUUUCUAUGUCAAUCCAAUGUCACCUAAAAUAUUGUGCCAAGUGUCCUGUUAUUAUUUACACUUAUGUUAAACCAAACCAAGCUGAAGUAUUAGAAAAUUAAAGUAUAAAUAAUAACGGGACACUUUGCGCAAUACUAUAGGUGGCAUUGGAUUGGCAUAGAAAAACAUGUCACCGAGGAUUCCAAGUGAACAAGGCAAGGCUUUCAGGGCAAUGCGGUGUAAGAAAAAUCAACAAAUUCAUGAUUCUGAGAAAAAACCAAACCGUCAAGGUAUAGGAAAGCAACGGCAAGCAAAAUUGUGUGCUGCGAAGGUCAUAGCCCAAGGUAAUUGGUGGAAUUGUGGGGGAAAUGACAUAUGCAAUGUUGGGACUAUUUACUUCUAAUUAUUAACAGAAUGAGUUGGGGUUGAGCCCUUUUCCUCAUUUCUUUUUUGUCAAAGAAAAUGGUCAGCCAUUCCUCAACGAUGGAUGAAUAAAGGAGGAAAAUGUCAGCAUCAUACGGAUAAAUAAAAAGCCUCUGAUUAUUGCAUAUUAAAACAACGCAAUUAAGGAGGAGCCCAGAAUAUAGCGCUGUAACAUUUCCACCAUUAAUUGGCAUCUGCUAAUUAAUUAAUUGAUUUGAGGCAUUGCUGAAUACGUUAAUACUCUAUCUCGGAAGAGAGGAGCGCUUGGAAACUUUUUAAAGUUAAUUACAUCUGAUAAUUAAGCAUGUGGCCACAUUAGACGGGCGUGGUAGGCAGUACAAGUCUCUUUUAUCAUUUGCGGCGACUCUUAAAUUAGAAAUCAAUCCCAACCAACGUCACUUUUGUGAUAUUUUCGAGUUUUCACAAUACACUGAGAAAUUCGCCAAUUAACAGCAUGUCAUAUUUUAUAUAUAAAUAUAUAUAUAUAUAAGUAUGAUAGUAUAUAGGAACCUCGUGAAUUUGUAAAUACUUUUUUUUUCCUUUUUUAUUAAAUUAUAGUAAGAGAUAGUAUAAAUUUCGAUUAUAAAAAUUAGACUUGACCUAAUUACUCCAUCAUUUUUUUUUUUGUAUUAAAGAAGAAGAAGAAGAAGAAGAAGAAGAAGAAGAAGAAGAAGAAGAAGAAGAAGAAGAAGAAGAAGAAGAAGAAGGAGAGAGACCCAUCCCGAGUGCUGCUAUAUAGCAUCAAUCAUGAACGACUUUAAGUGGCGGUGGAGGCCGGAGGAGCCAUAAUUGAUGCAUCAAAGUAUGGCAGGUACGCGCAUUGAAGCUCUCAUAAUGAACCAAACCAACCUCUCUUCUAAGGCUGAAACCCAAAUCCGAAGAAACGUAGGUUUCCAGAAAACUAUUAAUGCGAAGGAAAAAACGUUUUUGACAACUUGAACGGAGAAAAACAGCAAUAUCAUAUCUUGGAAGAGCAUUGCAAUUUUAAUUAGAUUCGUAUAGAAAAGCAUUAUUGAUCCAGAAAAUAGAAUAUAAAUAAGGCAUACAAGUACACAUGCAUGCGUUCCGGUUUAAUCUAUCAGAAGGGCCCUCCCAAAAAAAAAACAAAAUACUGGUCUGGGCAGCAUCAAUUUAUAGUAAAUACACCAUCCAAGUCUUACAAUCAAAACAGAACACAAUACAACAUUAACCAUGGCCACCACCACUGCAUUAAGGUUCGGUGGGGUGGCUAAUUUGCCACAAUUAAAUGUGGUAUUGUUUAAAAAAUUCAGACGGGUGUGUAGUACAGCCGUCUGGUCCGGUGACGGUUCAGUCCCUUCGGAAUUAUCCCAAAAUCUCUUCGGGCCCUUCUUUCUCCCUAGUAUAGGAAAACUCACUAUUUGACGUAUGCACCAGUGGUGUUGACAUCUUUAACGAGAGUCAAAAGCACUGGCACAAGCACACGCUUUGAAGUAUCUUGCUUGUAGACAUAUCCUUUGCAAUUGCGAUCAUUGGUGCACUUGUCUCUGCAUGCUCCAAAUUCCAUCACAACUUCUUGACUAUCCGGAGACCACUGGUAAUUCAAGGAGGAUUGCACCCCAUCGAGCUUGUAAUAUGUUGCCUUAGGUUUCUUCCCACACGAGCUCAACUUUGGUGGUUGACAGUUUUCUGUCCAUGCCAAGAGCCCCUUUGGUGUAGGACAUGCCACACACAUCCCAUUUUGGCACAAGCCAAAAUUACCACAUUUUGAUGGCAAAGCACAUUUUUCUGUUUCAAAAUUAUACUCCGAAAGAAAGUGUAGGUCUCCAGCCAUCUAUCAAAUCUGACAUUGUCAUAGUAGGUAUAACUGUAUAAGCCUUCACAUUGCCAUCAGAUUCAAUCCUCAGAAAAGAGUAUGUUGCAUUGUAAUUUAUUGUACUGAGCUCUUGAGCUGCAUGGGUUUUGACAAAAGUCCAUUCCUAUUAAGUGGCAUGUCAUAUCCCUGGUCAUUGUGACUGUGGAAUCCUAAUUCCUAACCAAAGAACUGCUUAAUAAUUCUAACAAUGUCUGACAGCCCCAACAAAGCUAUGUACCUGGUCCAUCUUCAAAUGGGCUUAGCAGGUUGUAGAUAAAUGGAUCCGCUGCCUCACAAGUUUCAUUUAAAUUCAUUUCACAGGUUUUUUUUUUUUUUUUUGAUAAGUGGGAGGUCUCUGGAUUUCUCAUUUAUAUUUUUUCCCUCCUACCAUCUGCCCAUCUCUUUCCCCUUCCAUGUUAGAGUAAAAUGGUCUUUUCAACUUGAGGUAUCAAACUUUGGUUUGAGGAAAGGAAAAUGAAUGGUUUAUAAACUUGGACUCAUUGGCUAUUCAAUAAAUUGGAUAAACCAUUCUAGAUCAGUGGAUUUGGAUUUCGACUAAAAGUUAGUUGAGACAGUUCUUGAACUCAGGUUGUGACACAACUUUUGUUACGCCAUAUUUUAAUUUAAUCACAUCAUAUAUGCAACUUAAUGCAGGUUUGCAAAAAAUUAUUAUAGGCAAAAACUUUUUUUAUCAACUUUAAUUGAGAAAAAUAAGAAUAUCAUGUGUAGGAAGAGCUACAAUGCUCGAUUGGUAUAGAAAAACAUUAUUGAUCUAGAAAAUAUUAGAUAAGACAUAUAAGUAGACAUGCGUGCAUUCCGGUUUAAUCUAUCAAAAGGGCCUCAUAGAAUAAGAAAAGAAAAGCAAAACACGAAUCUGGGCUGCUUGGAUUUAUUGCAAAUACGAUACAAGUCUUGCGAUCAAACCAGAAGAACCAUAAUUAAUACAAUAUUGCAGAAGCUCAACAAGAAGCUUCUUUAUUCGGCACAUAAAACUCUCAAAGCAUACUUAAUGCUAUGCUAACAAUUAUCCAAACCAAGUUUUAACUUUUAAUAGUUUUUUUUCCUUAAGUUAAGGCUUUCCAUAAAAUCAAUAUUUGACAUAGGCACUAGUGGUGUUGACGUCUUUGACGAGAGUCAAAAGCACCGGCAUAAGCAAGCACUUUGAACUAUCUUGCUUGUAGACAAAUCCUUUGCAAUUGCAAUCAUUGGUGCACUUGUCUCUGCAUGCUCCAAAUUCCAUUUCGACUUCUUGACUAUCAGAAGACCACUGGUGGUUCAAGAAGGAUUGCACCCCAUCAAGCUUGAAAUAUUUUGCCUUAGGUUUCUUCCCACACGAGCCCAACUUUGGUGGUUGACAAUUUUCUGUCCAUGCCAAGAGCCCUUUUGGUGUAGGACAUGCCACACACAUCCCAUUUUGGCACAAUCCAAAAUUACCACAUUUUGUUGGCAAAGCACAUUCUGUUGCCAAAUUACUUGGAAAGAAAGUAUAGGUCUGCAUCCAUCUAUCAAAUCUGACUUUGUCAUUGUAAGUAUAAGCCUUGACAUUGCCAUCAGUUUCAAGCCUCAGAAAAGAGUAUGUUGCGUUGUAAUUUAUUUUACUGAGUUGUUGAAUCCCAUCAACCUGUGGUUUUGGCGCUGGCGAUUCGAAUAUUUCAAAGAUAAGGUUCCAAGCUGUUGGAGUAGGCUCCCACGUCGAAGGUUGGGUGUUAAACCUUACAGUACUUCCAAAAUUCCCCGGCCAACCAUUGUAGCGAACUUGUUGGCCAGCGUUGUUUAGAUACAAGAGGAGGCCAUCAUCUCCAAGCACUAAGCUGUACUUUCGAUCGGAGCCAUCAACAUCAGAAGUUCGACUGACAAGCUUGUUUACGCCACUCCCGCGAAGGGACUGCCCAACUAGUAACGAAUCAACUGGAUAAUCAAAGCUUUGCCAAAUGAACUUUCCCUUUGUAUCAUACAGCACAAGGUUGCCAUUCUGGAGUAAUUUGAUGCCCGUGACACCCUUGUUAGCCGUGUUGGUUUGCCACACAAGGCCGCCGUCAGAGUCGGCUAGGACCAAGUUUCCAUCCCGGCCGAAAGAAAGGGUGGCGUUUUCUUUCACGGGGUGGUUGCGGUUGGCGUCCCAAACCCAUCGCAUUAGGCCCUCGUCAUCUGGGAUGCCAACACGAAUGCCAAGCACGAAAGAAGUUGGGGUGGUGUUGUAGAAACACAGUCUGAAGGGGAAUGUGUAGAAAUCAUAGACAUCAUUGGUUAUGAUGCGAUAAGUUGCCCCAUACUCAGCUGUGGGUACGAAAUUUUGGAAUUCUCCCAGUGGACCUGUGUUGACAAUUUUGAAGGUAUUGUUUGUUGGCACUUGAGCUCUGGUGCUAAUGGCCAAGAAACAGAGGAGGAGGAGAAUGCUAAGACAGGGUGAAAAUGGAAAGGUACGACGAGCCAUUGGAAUUCUUUUUGUGCAAUAAGGAAUAAAGGGCAAGCUAAUCAGUUGGAAAUGGAAUGAGAGAUAUGAAGUGGGUUGUAACCAUUUGGUAUUUAUAGAUUUUUUUUAUUGGUUUUUCUGCAUACAAUUGUUGAAAUUUGAAAACUGAUCAAAAAAAUAUUGAAAAUUGAAAUUUGAAUUUCAACGUCAAAGUUGGUAACCUGCAAACAAGAUUGAGCAUCCAUCUAGUAACAUAGUAUUACAUAAUUUUGUUCUAUGUCGUUUUGGUUGUCAAAUGAUUAUAAUGUACAACACAAUUUUUUAUAAGGGAAAACGAAACAAAUAAUCCCUUACAUAUUACUUAUUUAAUCAUUCACAUACAUAAAAAUGCAAAUUCAUCCUUUAAAUAUAUAAGGGAUAAUUUUAGAAACCUCCCUGAGGUUUCUAAUAAUUUCACAAAGCUCCCCUUAAUAUUUCAAAAUUACACAUACCUCCCCUAUUGCUGUAAAAGUACUCUACUACCCCUAUAUAGGAUACUUAAUGACUUUUUCUUUUUGGAAAUUUCAGAAAUUUCAAGAAAAACUAAAAUUGACUUGUUUUUUCUCUCUCUCUCUCUCUCUACCUUACUCUUUCUUCCAUUUCCUUUUUUGCUAAAUUCCUACCACUCAUUCCUCUCUACCUAAUAUUCUUCCUCCAAUUCACGACCAAAUUCUAUCUAUUAUCCCUUACCCGUAUUUAUCCCCCUCCUUCCCUUUUUCUUCUUCUUCUUUUAUCUCUAUUCUCAUCUCUUUUUUGCAAAUAUGAUCAAGUUCAUCCUUUUUAUCCUUUUAAUUCUAAGUGUAAUGGGUUUGAUUUUUCUGCGUCUAUUUAUUUUAUCCAAUGUUAGUUGAUUAUGGGUGAUAAAACUUAGUGAUGUCAAAAGUCAAGAAUUUGAGGGAUGGAUGUGCUUUAGAAAUGGGUUGUCGAAAAAAAAAAGAAGGCUGCAAAAAGAGAAAGACGAGAGAUCUGUGCUAUUGAUUGUUGAUGAAGUGUUAGUUUUGGGUAAAAGUUUGAGACUGAGUUUUAUCCAAUUUAGCACCAAGUGACGGAUUUAAUUAACUUGUGUAGUAAAUGUAGCCAUGUAGGGGUUGGGUUAUUGGACAUAAAUUAGGCUAUAGUGUUUUAAGUGCUAGAAUUAUUGAAAUUUAUUUUGAUUUAAAUUGGGGUGUUUGCUUGGCUUUUGGGGUGGAGUUGUUUGGAAUAAGGCAAUCAUCAUAGUUGAAUUUUUCUCCAAACUUUUAUUUUUGGUAGAAAGAGUUUGUUGGCUCUGGUGUUAGAAGAAAAGCAAUCAACAGAGCUCUUUUAUUUUUCCUUUUUAUCUUUUUGACAAAAAGGGUAGUUUAGGAUAUUUGAAGGAAUUGGUAGCCUAUUGGACAUAUUUUGAAGCAUAAAUAGUGAAAGCAAGGUAGGUGUGUGUAAUUUUUGAAACCUAAGGGGAGCUUCUUGUAAUUGUUAGAGACCUCAAGGGAGGUUUAUGAAAUUAUCCCAAUAUAUAAAUUGCAUCAUGUUUGUCUGAAAAUUCAUUUUAGGAAAUUCUUUUUUUACCUGAAAACGCCAUGUGGCUACCAAAUGAAAUAUUUCAAAGAUAAAAAAGACAUUACAUACUCAUGAUUUAUCCAUUUUUUUUUGCCUUUUUUCCUCCUCUGUUUUUGCUUCACCAACAUUCAAACAGCAAAUCCUAGAUCCACCACCAUAGUCCGCAAUUUCCAGAUAACAAACACUAUCAAAUAUUGUUUAAUAUCCAGAAAUUGUAAAUUACGGAGAUUUUGCUACAAAAGCCUCAUUGCUGCCGCUAUAACAAGACAAACGCCGCUAUAGUUUGAUAAGCAUACAGAAUAGAGGAUUUGUAUGCUAAUUAAUUUUCUUUUUGUUUUCUGAAAAAGGAAUAAUAUUAAUCAUUCGAUCAUGCAAUUCUAAUAGUGCUUAAAUAAUUAGAUUAGAUUGUGGUGCGAUUGGUAUAUGUCAGGAAUGAAUUUGCAUCAUUUUGAUAAUGAGCGAUUAAAUAACUACAAAUGCGACUACUUGUAUUUUUUUUUUUUACAAUAUCGCAACACAUCAUCUGUCCCGCUUUUUAUUUCACUCCAUAUCUCAGCUUUUAUUAUAGUGUCAUUUUUCUUUCACAAACAUCUUAUUCUACUUCUUUUUUAUUUCCUUAAGUUCCAAUAACUACUAACAUAUUGUAAAACACAAAUUUAAUCAUACAAAAAAAAAACAAAAUAUCACUAAAAAAAUGAGAUUUUUAUGAUUUUUUUUGUUGUACUUUUUGUUUUUCUAUUAAGGAAAAUGAUCGGUUUCAUUCUUCACAUUUCACAAAAAUAUUCUUUUCAUCCCUCACUUAAAAACCGAAGCAAUAUCGCCCUUGACAUUUAAAAACUGAAGUUCUUACAUCCCUGAACCCAAAUUUCAAUGUGAAUCAAACUACCAAUCAACUUGAUUACAAAUUUUGGGGAUGUAAUUGGUAGAUCACUUGGUUAACUCACCUUGAUAUUCAUGUAAAAUUUAACGAACCCAAAAAUAAAAAAUAAAAAAUUAUAACAUAAAAAAGAAAUAUUAAUCUUUCCUACAUUAUCAUUAUAUACACUGACGGUGACGGUUUUAUGUACCGCCAUAUCAUUUCAAUUUAAAUUUAAACACCAAAUUUUAUAUUUAUGAUACGCAUCUAGAUUCGCAAGCGGAUAUACAAACGGUGUAUGAAAAGAUUUAUCCAAAAAAAAAACUCUACUAUUCCAAGACAAAGAAUGGCCUUUUAUGUUAUAAUUUUUAUUUUUUUUUUGGUUUAAUAAAUGUCAUGUGAAUAUGAUGAAAUUGACUGGGUGAUUUAUCAAUUCUAUUUCCAAAAUUUAUUACUAGGUUAUUGAAUGGUUUGAUUCAGAUUCAAAAUUAGGUUCAGGGAUGUAAUAGUUUUAAUUUUUAAAUGUCAGGGACGAAUUUGCUUCAUUUUAAAAGUAAAGGACGAAAAGAAUAUUUUUGCGAAAUGUGAAGGAUGAAAUAGGUCAUUUUUCCUUUCUAUUGUAUUAUACUUUUUAAUAUGUUGAAUUUUGUGUUUUACCCUUUAGUAGUCAUUGAAACUUUAGGAAAUAAAAUAAAAUAUUUGUAAAGGAGGAAUGACAAAAUAAUUAAAGAUGUGACAUACGAUAAAAGAGGUAGGAUACAGUGGGUCAUAAUAUGCAAAAAAUGGCAAGUAUUAAGCUACUAAAAAUAAAUGGUAGAAAGAAAGUCCACUUUUGGAAGUUUGAAGUCAAUAUAGCAGCUGAGUCAAAAAAAAAAAAGUCAAUAUAGCAGCCUGUAGAUGUGCUGCAAUCCCCUUAGAACCGGGCUCCGUGUCGUCUUCACCCUUCACUAAUUAGCAACUUGAGCACAUUGCAGACAAACCUUUCCUCUUUGCCUUUGGGGUUAGAAGAUGGGAAAACGCGUCUGCUUCUUCUAUACUUUUGGGCUGUAACGCAGCAGCAUUUAGCAACUGUAAUGAAGUUAAUAAAGUUUAACAGAAGGAUAACAUCAAGGUUUUAGACAAUUAUCCUAGAUCCAAACCUUCCAAUUGCCUGAACCAUAAAGGACUUUAACAUCUUUGGCUCCCGGUUUGAGUGCGCUAGGCUCAAAGAUUGGCGAAGAACGUUUGGCACGGUUAAAUUGAAAACCAGCAUUAAAUGGUGACAGUCCAUUUUGUAUCCUUCCAUUUUUUUUUGUUUGGAUCCAUUUUGGUUCUCUUUUGCAUGGGCGCAAUCUGUAGCAAUAGAUGCUGAUGCAGAUCAGCAGAUGGAUGCUUCCAGUUCCAUAUGGGAUGAAUUGUGAUCAAAGUAUUAAUCUAUCCUUAUGGCUUUGUUUCAUGUUUACCUGCUUGGCAAUGAGAAAAGCCAUGCACGGCUUUCUUUAUUUGUUGAGAGACUGAUCACAUCAAAACCAAGAGAUUCAUCACCUCAAACCGCGCAUGAUUUUUAAUUUAUCAAGUCAGUCAAGAAUUGUGUGGUAGCUUUGUGGGCUGGGAAAGUGGGAAUGCGCCAGAAUUUGCAGAUUGGUUGUGGUCCUGUGGAGUGGACCUGCGCGCAUUGCUAGCUUUGAGUGAUUGGAAAAGUCGGGCGAAUGGAUAAAUAUUGAAUACAUGCAUGCAUGAUAUAAAGUCAUUAGCAACCAAUGUCAAAUAGUCAUUGCAGAAGACUUGUGGGUUCCUCUUUGAUGUCUUGGACCAUUUCGAUAUGUGUUCUUUGAACAUAAUUGUGUGCUUAUCAUUAAUGGCAUGAUGGUAUAAUCUUUCUUUCCUGUCUCUUUUUGUUAUGCGCGCAAGAAUGAUCAACAUCGACAAGUUUGCUUGCGGUUGGUUGUUAGAUGCACGAUUUUGAUUUACUUAUUUGUUUUUGGUAAAUAAAAGUUUGAUUUUAAAGGAGAGGAACAUAGUUCAGGCUAAGGCUCUGUUUGGUAUGAUAUAAAGUAUUUUCCUUAAGAAAAUAUUUUCCAUGGAAGUUCUUUUCUGGGAAAAUAUUCACAUUUUUCAAUGUUUUCUGAUGUUUGGUUGAAAUUUUUAACUACAUUUUUAUUAUCAAAAUUCAACUCCUUCCGCCACUCGCUUUUCUCUUCCACUGCUGGAAACCGAUCUUCCUAAUUCCUACCACUAAAAAUAGCAGAACCGCUCAAAAUGGAAUAAUCCAAGUCAGGCAUAAGGACAAUUCGUUGACUCAUAACUAUUGGCGCCAUAAAAGACAUUACCAAGCUAGACAUAUCAAGACCAUGAAAUGGCUGGUGAUUAAGGUCAAUCAAUGAAAGUGAAAGAACAGGCAUAAAUAUCUUCUCAAGUUGAAGAAAUAGGCUCUGUUCUUUUUCAUAUGAUUAGUGCUCUUAUUGACUCGUAUAUGAAAUUUGGUUUAAAGAUCAUAUACUAGCGCUCAAACCACAACCUCAAAGGCAUUAAAAUCCAGGCAAAUUUGAGCUAAAGAUACAUAAUUUUGAUUAAGAAAACAGUGUAAAGAAAAUUAAAAUGACUGAAGAAAGACAGUGGGAAUUGAUAAUAAUCCAAAUUGUUAACAAAUUCGUAGUGUUUGCGUCACCAGUAAAUUCAUCAGCAUCAAAAGCACAAUGUCAAAGAGAUCAGAGUGAGUAGGGUGAGGCCUUUUUUUUUUUUUGAAUAUGCUACAAGCUUUGAAAGUUUGACAAAUACCUUUAAUAGGCGGCCACAUGCGUUUAUAAAAACAAUUUCGAUAAGUCCGGAAGGGAAGUUAUUUUUCACAAGAUGAACAAAAAUCUUUUACACAGUAAAAUAUUUUCAUUAACUUUUGUGCAACCAAAUAAGGGAAAUUAGGAAAAUAUUUUCCUGAAAAAGAUUUCACUUGAAACAAAUGGACCCGAAAUGAUACUCAUAUACAAUAUUUGUUUAAGACCUGUCUGAAUGAAUCAAUGGGUAUGAAAAGCCGAAUCUGAGGGUUUCAUCAUUAGCUAUUUUGCUAGUUAUUCAACUUGAUUAUCCCUUUGUCCUAAUUUUUUUUAUGAAACAAAAUCAAAACAGAAGCAAAAAAAAUUAGUAAAUAAAUUAAAGGGACACGUAUCUCUCUCACCACCUUCUGUUCCCCUUCCCUCUGUCCCCUCAAAAUCGCCUCAAAGCUAUGUACCUAGUUCGUAUCUAUAUCGCUUUAAAUGGAUUUGUGGCCACACAAGUUUCAUUUCAUUCCAUUUCAGAAUAAAAUAAUCUUUUUUAACUUUUGUUGUAGUACCAUAUUUUAAUGCAAUCGGAUCAUAUCUAAUCUUUAAUUAUAUUAUCUUUCCAGCUAAAGGAUAAACUUGCGAGAAAUAGAAUUUGUGAGAGGACUCGUCGUUUAAUUAAAUUUGGCAAGACCAACUUGUGCAGUGAUAUUUGGGAGGAUGAUCCAAGAAAGAGAAUAUAUUAUUAAAGAUAUUCCAAUGAAAGAUACGUUAGGAGAGGCAAGUGUUACCUUUACACAAAAUGAAGUCCCAGAUUUUAAAAAAUUGCUCAGCAAAAACGAACUAAAAUAUUCAUAAACAUGCAAAGAUAAUGUAAGUUUGCAGAAAAUUAUUAUAGGAAAAGAUGCUUUUUUGUCAGCUUUAAUUGAGGAAAAUAAGAAUAUCAUAAGUAGGAAGAGCUACAAUGCUCGAUUCUAUUAUACAAGCAUUGUUGAUCUAGAAAAUGUUGGAUAAGACAUAAAAGAAGGCAUGGGUGCAUUCCGGCUCAAUCUAUCAAAAGGGCCCUCACAGAACAAGGAAAGAAAAAGCAAAAUACCAAUCUGGGCAGCUUGGAUUUAUUGCAAACAGGAUACAAGUCUUACGAUCAAACCAGAAGAGCCAUAAUCAAUACAAUAUUGCAGAAGCUCAACACGAAGCUUCUUUAUUCGGUGCAUAAAACUCUCAAAUCAUACUUGAUGCUAUGCUCACAAUUACCCAAACCAAGUUUUAACUUUUAAUAGUUUUAUUUUUUUUUUCUCUCAAGUUAAAGGAUUUCCACAAAAUCAAUAUUUGACAUACGCACUGGUGGUGUUGACAUCUUUGGCGAGAGUCAAAAGCAGUGGCAUAAGCAAGCACUUCGAAGUGUCUUGCUUGUAGACAAAUCCCUUGCAAUUGCAAUCAUUGGUGCACUUGUCUCUGCAUGCUCCAAAUUCCAUUUCCACUUCUUGACUAUCAGAAGACCACUGGUGGUUCAAGAAGGAUUGCACCCCAUCAAGCUUGAAAUAUUUUGCCUUUGGUUUCUUCCCACACGAGCCCAACUUUGGUGGUUGACAAUUUUCUGUCCAUGCCAAGAGCCCUUUUGGUGUAGGACAUGCCACACACAUCCCAUUUUGGCACAAUCCAAAAUUACCACAUUUUGUCGGCAAAGCACAUGCUGUUGCAAGAUCACUUGGAAAGAAAGUAUAGGUCUGCAUCCAUCUAUCAAAUCUGACUUUGUCAUAGUAAGUAUAAGCCUUGACAUUGCCGUCAGUUUCAAGCCUCAGAAAAGAGUACGUUGCAUUGUAAUUUAGUUUACUGAGUUGUUGAAUCCCGUCAACCUGUGGUUUUGGUGCUGGCGAUUCGAAUAUUUCAAAGAUAAGGUUCCAAGCUAUUGGAGUAGGCUCCCACGUCGAAGGUUGGGUGUUAAACCUUACAGUACUUCCAAAAUUCCCCGGCCAACCAUUGUAGCGAACUUGUUGGCCAGCGUUGUUUAGAUACAAGAGGAGGCCAUCAUCUCCAAGCACUAAGCUGUACUUUCGAUCGGAGCCAUCAACAUCAGAAGUUCGACUGACAAGCUUGUUUACGCCACUCUCGCGAAGGGACUGCCCAACUAGUAACGAAUCAACUGGAUAAUCAAAGCUUUGCCAAAUGAACUUUCCCUUUGUAUCAUACAGCACAAGGUUGCCAUUCUGGAGUAAUUUGAUGCCCGUGACACCCUUGUUAGCCGUGUUGGUUUGCCACACUAGGCCGCCGUCAGAGUCGGCUAGGACCAAGUUUCCAUCCCGGCCGAAAGAAAGGGUGGCGUUUUCUUUCACGGGGUGGUUGCGGUUGGCAUCCCAAACCCACCGCAUUAGGCCCUCGUCAUCUGGGAUGCCAACACGAAUGCCUAGUACGAAAGAAGUUGGGGUGGUGUUGUAGAAACACAGUCUGAAGGGGAAUGUGUAGAAAUCAUAGACAUCAUUGGUUAUGAUGCGAUAAGUUGCCCCAUAUUCAGCUGUGGGUACGAAAUUUUGGAAUUCUCCCAGUGGACCUGUGUUGACAAUUUUGAAGGUAUUGUUAGCUGGCACUUGAGCUCUGGUGCCAAUGGCCAAGAAACAGAGGAGGAGAAUGCUAAGACAGGGUGAAAAUGGAAAGGUACAACGAGCCAUUGGAAUUCUUUUUGUGUAAUAAGGAAUAAAUUGGAAAUGGAAUGAGAGAUACCGACAGGGUUGUAACCGUUUGGUAUUUAUAGAUUUCUUUAAGCUCUGCUUUUCACAAGAAGUUUUUUGAUGCAUUGAAUGGUCGACUAAGAGUUGGUUCUUUCUCUAUUUAUUUUGUUGUAUUCAAUUAUUGAAACCUGAAAAUUGAAUUUCAAAGUCAAAGUUGGUAACCUGCAUGCAUAGGAGAAUGUGCAUCCAGUAACAUGGUACUGCAUAUACCCUACGUUCUAUGCCCCAUCAGUUUUUGGCAGUGUACAACUCAGGAAAUACCGGUAGUAAGAAACAAUCUCAAACUCCGAAGUGUAAUCGCAGCAAGUUCUAACUAAUACACGUAGGUUACUGGAAAAUCAGGGCGAAGACAAAUUUAAACUUUAGAUAGGUUUGUAGUUCGUUGAAUUUAAUGUUUAUGUAAGGAUGUUAGAUAUAUUUGGCUCUGCAUAAUUUUCUCACUCGUAAGAUUUAUGUUUACUUUGCUUCAUAUUUGAGAUCGGAUUCCAAACUAUCUGUCAUUUCCUAAAAGUAUAUAGGGUUAAUUCAAGAAAAUCCCCUCGAACUUCUUUCUUUUCUCACUUUGUCCCCUUGAAGGUUGAUCAAUUGAACCAAUAUACCUCCUAUUCUUUCACAAUAUUCUCAAUCAUCUGUAAAUUUUAUCGGAUAACCCAUUUUGUGUUUGAUUGAAUUAUGUGCACUCACGUGUCUAAGUGAAUUAACCAAUACAUAUUCAAAAAAAAAAAAAAAAAGUCUCUACUAUUUUGUAUGCCAAAAAUAUUCCUCGACCAAAUAGAAACACAUGCAAAUACUAGGUGAUUUAGAGCUGUCAUCUUCCCCAAGUAAACUUCCUAAAUAUUUGUAAUGACAAAUUUAAAGACCUUAAAAACCCUAAAAAUCCAAUUACCUGAAACAAGAGUGGCCAAAGGUCUAUAUAUGGUACAUAAUAGGCGGCAUUGGUUCUGAAUGAUUUUAGUUACAAGUAGUUGCAAUGGAUCUUCUGUGCCACUCUAUGUUACACUCUAUAUCCCACUUUUUAUUAUAUUACUGUUUUUCCUUCAAAAACAUCAUAUUUGUAGUUCUUUUUUGUUUCCUUGAAAUUCAAUAACUAUUAAUUGAGUACAAAAUAUAUACAACAAUCUCAAAAAAGUAAUAUAUAAUACAAAUUAAAAAUAUAGUAGAAGAUUCAUAAAAAAAUCUCAUUUUUUAUGCAUUUUGAAUUUUGAGUUUAUUAAAUUUUGUGUGUUACUCAAUUAAUGAUUAUUGAAUUUUAAAGAUAAAAAAAGAAUUAAAAUAUAAUGUCUAUAAAGAAGAAAUAGUAAUAUUAUAAAAAAUGAGAGAGAGUAUGUGACACAAAAAGUGGGACAAAAGAUGCGUUGCGCAAGUAGUUAGAUUUCUAGGUUUUUUAAAUUUGUCAAUAGAGAAAUUUAAGAAGUUUGCCUAAGGAACAUGACAUCUCCAUAUCGUCUACUUUUUGCGUGCGUUUCUAUUCGACCAAGAGGUAUUUUAUGCAUGCAAAAUGGCAUAAACGGCAUAAACUUCUUUGAAAUAAUUCGGUCAAUUGACAUGAUCAUUGAGCUGCACAUGAUUCAAUCAGUUGCAUUUGAUUGGGAAUACUAUGAUAGAAUAAAGGAUGCAUUAAUUCAAUUGAACUUUUAAGGGGGGCGAGGAGAGAAAAGAAGUAAGUUCAAGAGGAUUUAUUGGAAUUAACCCAAGUAUGUUAAACUGAAAGUCCAGUUUUACAAGUUUGAAGUUCCAGAGAGCAGCCAAUCUAACCACUAAACUUGGCGCAGUGGCCAUCAGGAAGGGUUUUAAGUUUUUCCUUAAACUAUAGGUACGGGUUUAAAUCUCGCCUGUAGUAAAAAAAAUUCAAGUGUUGUGUCAAGCAUUCUCUUGAUCUAGUAAGAUCUGUGUACCUGUUAAUUCCAAAUACAGUUUUUUUAAACUCCUCCUUUCCUCUAGUUUAAAAUAUAUAGAUUAUACAAUAGAUAUCAUCAUCUUCUAAAAAAAAGAGCAGCCAAUCACACCAUGUGCUGUCAUCCUCUUUGGUUCGGGAUCCACCUCGUCUUGAGUGAGCGAGGCCCCCUCAGCUUGCAGACAAAUCUUUCCUCUUCUGCCUUGAUGUGAAAACGCGUCUACUUUCUUUGCACUUUUGGGCUGUAGAAUAAUUAGGAACAUUUCUAGCAAUCGUGAUGAAGUAGAUAAAGUUUAACAACUAGAUAAGAUCACGGUUUUAGACCAAUUAUCCUAGCAGGUUGAUAGUUAUGAGUCUUAUGACGGGGAGGCUCCUUGGUUGAGAGUUUACACCCUUCCCCUCUUUACAACAACAACAAUAAAUCUUCCACUUCCCCGUGGUAAAGAGACUGUUAAGCUUAUUUCUCCAGCUUCUAAUUUAAGCAAUUAACAACACAAUAAUUAAAACUUCAGAUUGAUUAGGUUUUCAUGUCCUUUCUAAAAUUUUUAAAUGCACUUGAGUUGAGUAUCUUCCUUACAGAAUGAAAAAAAAUCGUAGCUUUAGUGGCCUAAGUGGAAUCGGGCUGAACGGUUGUUAGGAAAAUUAUUCGAUCUGAUUUUGUAUAUUUUCACAAUAUGUAACUUGCAUUGCAUACGGUGUAAUUCACUUUUAAUAACGUGUAAUUAUAAAACAAAAUUUUAUAAGCUCCAUAUAUAAUGCAAAAAAUUAUGUAUAAAAUGCAAUCUAAACCUUACUCUUUUUUUGACCAAAUUUUGACCAUGAAUCUUUAGAAAUGAUUGCUUUCCUGCAACUGUCGUUGCCCCUCGGACCACAGGUACCUAGCAAUUUUGUACAUUUUACACACGAUAUAACUUUAUUUGUACACGACGUAACUUUGUUUGCACAACGUAUAACUUUGAAACAAAUUUUUGUGAACUCCACACACGACGUUAAAAACGAGGUACAAGAAGUGAUCUGGACCAUAUAAUUUUUUUGAACCAAAUCUUGACCGUGAACAACUCAGAUGGAUCGCUCCUGCCCCUCAUCCUUGCCCCUCCUCCAGCCUAAGUGCCUUACAGUACAUGCAAUGCAGCAGCCCACCCCCUAAGACCGUCGUCUAUGCUUGAAUUGACUGCCCCGAUGGCUUUAGGACGGGCUCCCAGAAUAGAUUCGUUUACUUGCACAAAAAGUAGUGUACAAAACGAAGAUAACAUAUCCAUUCAUGACAAUUGACAUAUACCCUGCGUCAGAAAUGAUAUCAAGGGCCUAAGCAUUAAAUUUUUGGGCAAAUUGGAAGUGAUAAAGGAUAAAGAUUUAUUGUCUGCAGUCCACAUCAUCAAGCAUAGAUGAAGUACGCCAUAACAGAAUAUACUUUAUCUUACUAUGAUAAAAGUGUUACACGGAUCUAACCAGUUCACUUAAUGCAGAUGGUGAGGGAGGAUCUCCCUGUCUGUCACUAUAAGUAGGCUUGGAGUUCGAUUCCAAAGAGUCCACAAAUCGACUGGGAUUUGACUACCUCCCGUUCCCUUGCAAGUGAUUCCAUGGUUGUUAAAAUCGCGAUCCGGAUCGUAGGAUCGAUCCUACGAUCCGAAAAGGUAAAAUUGAUCCGGAUCGCAUUCAGAAUCGCAAAUUUCUUGAAUCUAUAUAGGAUCGAGGUAGGAUCGCAUAGAAUCCUACGAUCCUACUUCGAUCCUACAAAUUUUUGCUAAUUUGUGGAAUACAAGGUUCAUUUUGCAAGUAAAAAUGAACAUUUGGGGUAGGCUUGUAAGUUCACACUCAAUUGCAGGCCUUAGUUGCAAUGUUUUAACAAAUUUUGCCUCAAAGUCAAAAGAUUCCGUCAAAAAGCUUCGGCCCUUCUUCAUCUUCUCCUCAAGUAGAGCUUUGACGUUUCUCUUCUCCUCUCCGCUGCCCAAAUCAAAUCCCUAAUUUUAACCAUCAAACCACCUCAAGCUUCGGCUACAGCUCUUACCAAGAACCCACAAGACAAAUCGCUGCGGCUUCUACCAGGAACCCACAAGCUACAGCCGACAGCUAUUGCAGAAAAGGUUCAUUUUCUGCAUUGGGUGAAAAGCUGAGCAGCAAAAUCAUCAUCUUCCUCUCUCAUACUCAUACUACUUUGUAAGCGUUUAAACAUGAGUGCAAUAGUGACUAAUUAAUGGCGUGUGAAAUUAGGAUGGAAAUGUACAAAUUUUACCUUUUCUCAAGCUUUUUUCGUUUACAUUGUAGGAAAUUAUAUGAUACCAGGAAUUCUAUUCUGUUGGAUGGUGCUCCUAUUUUUUUUUUCUCAAUAAUUGAAAUUUGUAUUUGGCAACUUUAAUUAGUGAAACCACAGGAAGUUUUAAAUACUUGAAUUAAAUGAUGAAAUGAAAUCUAAUGCCAGAACUUUUUCUGCCCAUUUAAUAUUUGAGCUUUAUAUAUAUAUAUAUUAAGUUUUUGUAAUGAAUGUUCAAUAUUUGAUCGUUAACACAUUCAAUUCACACCUAUUAUGUAUAUGCACUUCUAACACGCAUAACCUUUUUUUAUAUUCAUAUAUAUACCUUUUUUGAUUAAUAUUACUUUUCUAAAAAUUUCAUUCUUCAACUACGUACAUAUUUUUCAUUAAUUCGAAAUUGUAAACAUAUUAUUGAUCUUUUGUGAUUGGCAAUUGGCAAUCAAAACAUUCUUGAAAUGCUGUCGGCUGUAACUUCUUCAUCUUUUUAUUACUUGUCAGAUAGUAAGUAAAAAAUGCUAUAUAUUGAUGAGUAACUUAUUUAUUUGAUAUCUUUUAGGAUGUACAAAAUGGUAUAUGAAUUUCAAUUUCAUUAAUUUAGUAAAUUUAGGAGCUUUUGGUGGGAUCUUACGAUACGAUUCGAUCCUACGAUCCGAUUUUGUGAAACUAAAAUCGAUCCUACGUGGAAUCCCGAUUUUACAAACCUUGAGUGAUUCUUGAAUUUAUAAAAAAAAAAAAAAAAAAAAACCAAUGGUAAUCCACGUGAGUUUAUUCAACAAACAUAUCUGCGAGUUCUUUAAAUUUCUAGAGUUAAGAAGUUAGAACCAAAAUAAUUUCAGGGCAUCCGGUAAUAAGCAACCCACUCAUAUUUUGUGUGGAUAAGUAGGUUGUCCCACAUCUAUCAUCCUGGAUUGCUCAAAUGCAUGAACUAAUAUCCAAGAGAGUUCAAGACGCCAAGUUGUGGAUAUAUGGGCACGCAUUUCAGACUCCAAAUUCUCAUCCAUAACAUGGCUCCCAUAGAAGAAGACAGGAGAUAUUAACACUGAUCAUGGCUCUCGCAAGUCUAGUUGCUCAUAAUAUAGCAUCUGAACGUAUAAUUUUGUACUCCAUAAUCAAGACACGAGCAGAACUUAACAAGGUAUCCAUUCACAGGUAGCAUGUAAACAUUUAUUUUCUCAAAGAGUAAAUAAAAGAGCAAACAAACAAAUAAGAAUAAAGUAAAAAUGACUUAAUCCGCAUUGAAAUUAAGAGAAAAUGUUAAGAAAAAGCACAAGCAAAAAGGAUUACGGGCUUGCAUUUUGCUCAACAAGGUAGGGCUCUAGCAUGGCACAAGGUUCUUAGAAUGCAACGAUGCAAGUUUUACCCACACAGAACUUGACCAGAUUUCAAUCCCACUGUAGCAUGCAAUAUCAUCCCCGGUCCCCAUUCCACCAACAAUAUGUAUAACUACCAUAUACAAUGAAAGACAGAAAACUUAAAAGACCAAUAUGAAUGAUUUACAUGGCAACAAAGAAACGACACCGAAGGUCAAUUUCAAGCAAAGCAAGACAGCGCUAGGAUUCAGAAUCAAAAGGCAGCACCAGACCAUGCAUCUUAAUUUAUUGUACAUAUAUAAAGCAAUUAGAAGAAAUAACCAGAAAAGCUAAUCUGGUUACCUCCUCCAUCAGUUGGCUCUUCGAAAAAAACUUCACUGAAUCUGCAGCACUCUGUCUGGGCUUUCAACCAUACGCAAAGAAAUAAAUGGGACAAAAAAAAAUGUACAGAUAUAGACCUAAAUGAGAAACUUCGUGUUCUAGGCAAGUAACAAUAUAGAAUGACGUUCGUCAUCUAGCAAUCAAAGUACAAAUCAGCGGCAUGAGAAGACACAAAGCUCAUUGAUAAUUUCAGUGUUAUGAACUUAUGAUAUCUCUAUUAGACAACUAUGACUCAUUUAUUUUCUGCAGCAAAUUUAUAUAGUUUAGGGAGGCAAUGAGUACAAAUGGAUUGACCCUGUAGAGUCCUUUCUAGACCGAAGUUAAUGAUUCUAGACAUAACCAACUCACACGUUACUUCUUUUUAUCCAAAUUUAACCAUCACUCAAGCUCAAAUAUUAAAAGAACCCAGAAUCCCAUCCAUAAUCAAUGAGAAACAAUAAUCCACCUUCAAAUUGCAAUAAAAAAUAAAGUAUCUGAAACUUGGCACUUCCUAGAAUCCACUGGACGUAAUAAAGCAGAAAAAUUUUUGAAAAAAGUCAACACUGAAAGAAGAUUAAUUAUCUAAGUACCUGUUACUCCCUUGUCUAAGGCAGUGACAUCAGGGUGCGUCUUCUGAUCUUUGCAACAUGAGUAAUUGAUAGAGAGUAGCCAUGCUGUAAGUGACAACCAUUGACCCAAAAACAUUGAUCCUUCCUGAUCUACUACAAGCAACUUCUGCCUCUUAAAAAUUACCCUGGCUCAAUGAAAAUCAGGACAGACUUCAGUCUCAGAUUCUUUCAGCAGCCCAAACCUCCUCAACAUUUUACUCAAAUUUUUCUCUGAUGGAAGGCGAUCUCAUGUUGAAAAGGUGAAUAUAAUUUCGGCUGGUGAUGCUUUAAGCUUUUCCAUGUCAACAUCCUCUGACUGUUCAUCUGAUGAUAUUUCAUAAUUUCCAGUAGAAUAUCUCUUUCUAGGGUGCAACCUCCAGCCAGAUUUAUGGAGAGAGAGAGAGAGAGAGAGAGAGAGAGAGAGAGCACUAAUCAUAGAAGAAUCAUGACUAGACAACUCGAUGAGAUAUUCUGCAUCCAGUAUAAUUAGCUUGUCUAGUCACACCUUCACUGAGAUGAAAUCAAAAGAUGCAGAGAAUUUAAUUGAUUACAAUUUGUAUAUUAUAAAGAGCAGCUAUUUAAAGCAAUAUCCUGCUGAAAACACAAAAUAUACAGAUAGAUGUUAUGGUAAUUCCAGCAACUGAUCCUAGAAGCUAAAAGGCAGAAUGGCAGCAAAAGAAAUUAAAUAAGACAAUCAAGAACUACAAAAUGAUCUUGAAACUUUGCAAUUGGCCAAUUCAACUUUGUUCAGAAAUUUAAUAAAGUGAUACAGUCAUACCAACCUAUUCACACAACAGCAAACAAAAAUCCACUGGUUCCCUGCCUAAACCACAACAAAAUUAUCCUACAAUAGGAAUACUAUUGCUGCUUAGCGCCGCUUUAAACCAGAACGGCUGUGCAACUCCAAGAGCUGCUCCAAAGAUGCCAAAGACCACCCAUCAUCUAUCUGAGCAAAGACUUUCUGAUUGAGGGAGUCAAUGAUAAUGUUAAUGUUACCAAAACCAUAUAUUUGGUGACCAUCUUGCAUUCUUCCUGGUUUUGGCUUGAAGAGCAAACCAUUCUGCUGUGCAUGCACUUCAAUAACUUCUUUCAAACUCAACUCAAGUCCAAUACUUCCUUGCAGCUGAGAAGCUCUUUCUUGAGCCUGAGCAGCAGCUUUCUCAAACUGCCUUUGCUCACGCACCCUAAGAUAGGAUAUAUUCUCUCUCAAACCAGGUUGAACCACUUCCAUGCCUUCAGCAGCUUUGUUCAUCAUGUCAAGGCCAACACUCAGUCUAUGACGAACGUGCUCAUUAGCUAAAAGUUCAGGUGGGAAUAGAUCCUUCCAGCCUAAGUACCAGUUUGUCACUUCCUCAAAAUUUGGACUGGAACAUAACCAGUGAUACAAAACUUCUUGCCACUUGUUGAAAAAAAUAUCCAUUAUGUGAAUCAUGUGAUGGAUGGGGAUAGUCGCUGCCCAGGUCCGAACCCAAUAGAACUGAUCAAGAUUCUGGUUUGCAGGGUUUAUUUGGAACUCAUGCAUGACAGUCAACAAUUUGGGAAUUAUAUGGCGAACCAUCAGUUUUUCCCAACUGGCUGAAUCAAACACUGUCUUCCAAGGUGAAAGAAUGUAGUAUGCUGACAUAUCACUGGGAUGCCAAGCAUGCAAAACACUUUCCAAUCUAUCACGAAUUGUGUGGUAGCAGGCCUCUAACCUGUGUCCCAAUAAAGGAAGCCAUGGAUGAACCCAAGAAUGGAUAGGAAUGGUUUCUCGACGUGGAUCCCAAGAGUCCACAGCAGCUGAUAAUUUUGGCAUGACAAUUUCGUCCAGAAUUUUCUGAACAACAAGAGUUGGCAGCAAUUUUUCCCAAGAAUCCAGAAAUCGAAGCAUUGGCUCGGGAUCUCUUGCCUGCCAAGUAUUGGUGCCAGAUAUUCUAACAGCAGGAAACACAACUUCCAUAAUCAGUUGUGUGUAAGGAGAUGAACUGUUAGCGAAAUUUAAAGAGUCUUCUUGCAAAAGGGACUUCCAUUGGGAUACCAUUUCUCUCCCAUGUGUUGGAUUCUGAAGAGGGUCCCAACCCUGAAAUACUCUGAUAAACAAGGGCUGGGCAUAUGAACAUGCAAUGCAUGAUAAAUUGCAAAGUUUAUAUUCUUCUCCGUGUCGUUUCUGCAUGUCCACAAACAACUUAGCCAAAGAAUCUAGGGUCAGUGUUCCCGAAGAGCUCUGCUCCCCUAUCUGCUCCAAUAUGUUAAGUAUAUCUCCCAUGUUAUCAAGCUCCUGCUUCUCCUUAGAUGCUUGGUUUUGGAGUUUCUCCCUCUCUUUCUGCAAACUUACAACUGUCUCCCGCUCGUUUCUUAAGUCUCGAUCUAUCUUCUGUAUAUCUAAUUCAGCUAAAUCCACAAUCAGUUUAAUAUUGUGCUGAAGCUCAGGCAUUGGUAUGUCAUUCUCUCUUGCUUUCUCUUCAGCAUUUAGAUUUUCCAAGUUGGUCAAGACACGAACCUGAGGCCCCCUCAUGUCGAAAACUUUCUGCACAACUUCAAGGCUCUGCUCUUGCUUCUUCGCCAACAACUCCUCAGCUGUAACAUAAACCUUCUUCUUAAUCCGUGCUUGCUUGGACCAGAGCUUCUCUUUCAACUGAACCACACCAGGCUGAACAGAAGAAGUCACAACCUUCUCUUCUAGUUCCUUCAGCACUGGCAGAUUAGUCUCUUUGUAGUCAUUAAAACCCAUCCCCAUAUUCUUUGGUCGCAAUUUAGCCUGAAUUGGAGACACAAUACCUUGCUCAUUUUUACCCAACCCCCCUCCUUUGUAACCCAUCUUCUCCAACAAUCUCAACCCAAUACCCUUCGUGUGCUUCUCAAAGGAACCCACAUCGCCUGGCUCGAGUUCCUUCCUCCCCGGUCGAGAAGACUUCUUAGCUAACAUCGAUUUCUCCUUUUCCCUCUCGCGUCUCAAUUGAGCUCCUUCUUUGAUCUUUUUCCCAAAAGCACUUGGUAAAAAGUCGUCAUCAUCAUUUUUACUACCAUCCUCCAUCAACAUAGUUGUUUCCUUUGAUGAAGAAGAACUCGCACCAAAACCAAGCCCAGCUGGGACUCGAUCAGCUUCCCCCUCAUCAUCUAGCUUCUCCUCCUCUAAAUUUCGAUCAAUUUCCUGAUUGGGCAUAACAGUACCAGUAGACACAAAAUUGACAGGCUUACUAAAGUCAGGUUUCGAGGAAAGCCCCUUAUCCUUCCUCCUUUUCCUCGAAGACCCUAAACCCCCAUAAUCAUCAGAAUCACUAUCCCCAGAAGCAAAAACACCAUACAAGACAUCAUCUUUCGUCUGCGUGUGCUUUUCUCUACGUUUUCUAUAAUAAAACUCUCCACCAAUCCAUUGCCCAUCCUCGAAAUCAUUCUCCAUGCCAAACUUCUCCAUUUCUUGAUAUUCAUCCAUUUUUUCUUUUUAUUUUUCCUUCAGCUAGCAAAUAAAUAAACGAAAACCUAGAAUUAAAAUCAAACCCAAACACAAAUUUUUUUAAAAAAAAAAAACCUGAAACAAGUUGGACUGGGGACUGGGGGAAAAGGCAAAAGGCCCAGAAUUAAAGAUAAACGAUAAACAAACGUCAGUAGAAAAAUCCCAAAUUCAGCUCUUGAAAACUCAUAAAUCUGCGCAAUUUAAGAACAUAAUCAAGUAAAACAACAAAUAACCAGGAUAUAUCAAUUGUAUUACCUCAACAAAUUGCCUUCUUAAUCUCGAGAGGUCUUUGCGACCGGCGGAAAGCUUUGCAGCGCUGAGCCAGAGAAGCGGGAAUUUGUAAUUCGUGAAUUUUAAGGUUUUUGCUGGUCAAUCCGAAUACCAUCCGCACAGAAAGAAGCCAAUAAGCUCAAUAAAUGCUCAACAAAAUUGUCUUACGAAGACAGUAAAUGGGCUUUGUACUGCCCUUUGCAGCUUCAAUUAGGCUUGCUUCAAUUAGGCUUCUUAGAGCCAAUCUGGAUGAUAUGCGAUGAUUGCUUAUUAGACCAAACAUAAGGUACCAAAAGCCCAAUAACGAAAAUGUUUGUGUGUCUGUCGAUUAAGAGGCUAGUUAGACCGGGCUCAUUUGGACUAGGCAGUCCAGCCCGCUAAGGAGGACUCCGUCUCUUUAAGAAAUCACAUUACGGCACAAGUAAUAAUUUUCUAGUACUUAGUAUACAAUCAAAACCUAACCCUCAAGCUUAUUGCACUUUGACAAUCUCCAUUGUCAUGCUUCAAUCACUCAUUAGCUAGGUUUUUCUUUCGCUUUGCAUCAAUUCCCUGGGAUCUAAUUGGAUGCAAAUUAUAGGGAAAUCCCACAUUUUUUAAGUCAGUCUGACAAAACCAUCUAUUUUUUAUAUUUUGUUUGUCUCAGAGUUGACUGAAAAUAUUUUCUUUUUUUUUUUAACUUGAGGUAGAUAUCAGCUCGCUUGUUUUCCUUGUUUUUCUUCUCCAAAUUUAGAAAUCCAGGUCAAUGCUACUACGAAUAAGACCUCAAUAAGAGGUUUGUUUGGACAGUGAAAUUAUUUCAAAUAAUAUUUCGCUUGCAUUAUAAACACAUUUUUCAGUCCACCUUUUUAUAUUCACAAUCACUUUUUUGUUUCACAUAUAUCGCAUCAUAGAAAGCGCUACAGUAAUUAUUCCAAAUAAUAUUUCAAAUAAUACUAUAUCCAAACAAACCUUCAUCUUGAAGAAAUAAAGAAAAAAAGAAAGAAAGUUGAUAGUAUCAUCGUGGGUCAUCAAAGCAACAAUCGGUAAUUUAUUGGUGCCGACAACCAUGGGCCGACCCAAGCGUGUCAGGUUUCCUAGUUUGCCGCGGAUCCGACACUUUAGCUAGUUUUAUAUAUUUCUCCUGAAUAUCCUUGAAUCAAGAGAAAACUUUGACCAUAGGAAGAUUGUGAUUGGGUAAAACAAUUCUAUGUUUUUUUUUUUUUUUUGGGAAAGAAUUCUAUGUUUUGUUCACCACAAGAAAAAAGAAAGAAGAAUCAAAGAGUGUGUAUUUUUCAUGCUUUCAUACCAUGCCUAUCAACUGUCUUCCCCGGAGGGGCCCAAAAAAAAAGGAGUAAAAAAGUGUGUAAUUUCAUGCUUCAUACUUGCCCAUGCCCAGAAAAACAGAAGACAAAGGAUCUGUUUCAUGCCUAUCAACUGUCUUGGCCGGAGGUUAAAAAACAAAUGUGUUUGGAUAAUAAAUUAUUUGAGAUAAUUUGGUGAAAAAAUACUAUAGCACUUUUUUGAUAUGAUGUAUGUAAAAUAAAAAAAAAUGAUUGAAAAAUAUAUUGAUGAUACAAGCAAGUCAGUGUGUGUAAAUAAGGUGAAAAUAAUGUGUAAUUUAAACACAAAAAAAAAAAGCGUCUUGUGUUCAUGCCAUAAUUGAGAGCACAGUCUAGCUUUCAUAUGAACAUGUGCAUUAGCUUGAUAAGAGCACGUUCGGACUGGACUUUUUUUUUUUUUUUUUUGAAAAAUGUGGGCAGGUUUUACAAGAAAAUAGCAUUAAAAAGCAACUUUUUUGAGUUGCGAUGAAUAUAAAGUUCUUUUUUUUAUCUUGCGCAAAAAAAAAAGAUUGAAAAAUUUAUAAGAAAAAUAUUUUCAAAAAGUCAAACAAAAAAAAGUCUCACAAAGCUAGCAAUUCAAAGACACUCAGCCGACAGCUUGAAAGAGAGAGCUAGUGAUGGGAUUCCCUCCACGCAACACGCAACACAAUCUCACAUUCCUCUCACUCUUUUACGACGGUUUAUUACUUUCAACUCUGGUUUAGUACUCUUGGUCAAAUAAGCUAUAAAGACUUUGAAUUUAAGAAGGGGAAAAAAAAAUAGACUACUGAGUUUGUUUAAAGGGAGAGAAAAAAUGUGCCAAGAAGGGAUGCAAAAAAAAAAAAAAAAAAAAAAAGGUGUUUCGAAUUGAUAAGUCUGGUCAAAACUCAAAUAUCAGUUGCACGACUGAUCAUGAUGUAAAAGAGCAAAAUGCAGUCAAUAACUGCGAGAGCUUAUCAUCUUCCCUCUUCUCCACGCCAUGUGGUAAAUUGACAAGGCUGGAAUUCGUACACGCCACCCACCGUAGAAGUUUCCGAUGUGUCGCCGUCUAUCAUUUUCUCCACUGCUGCCCUGCCCCACCGAGAAAAAGUCAAUUCCAAACAAAGGAAACAUCAAAUGUACCUAGUCACAUUUCUUUUCUUUGUCCCAAUAAUUUGGUUAAUUUAUUAAUUCAUUUCUCCCCAUUAUUGUCUUAUUUUAGUACUUCUUAUAAGUUAUAAUAUACUACUACUUGCUAUGGCAAUUUAUUUAUUAUUUAUUAUUUAUUGGUCAAACUGAAGUGCAUUAAUAAUGGAAUAAAAAUGUUGAUUUAUUGUUGGGUGCCAAAAUAAGGAAUUCAUCAUGGUUUUUGCUGGCUCGUUUUGGACCAUGAGCUCUCUCCUCAGGUCAAUUUUUGCAUGCUAAAUAUCCAAUAGACAGGUUCGAAUAUGCUCAAACACCGCCAUACAUACGGCAAUCUUAGACUUGAAGCUUGAAAAUUAUUCGACUUGUAAAAUACGAUCUUUCUUUAUUUUAUAGUCAUCAUCAUCGUUGUCUUCUUUUUCUUUUUUUUUUUUCAAGUAAAAGAUCAUGGAUGCAAUAUUUUCAAUAUAUUAUUCCUUCCACCUUUCUAUCCAUCCAACCAAAUCCUCUCUCUCGGAUACUUUUAUAGUCAAGCAACACUUUUGGAAUAUGAUUUUUCCUACAACACUUUUUAGAGUUGAAAAUUUGCACCUUUAGAAUAACUACAUGGAACGUUGGAAGUCAACUUCCAUGUUAGGGUUGAUUCCAAGUCUCUAGCUUGAAUUUUUAGUGUUCCUGUUUUUCUUCUUCUUCUUCUUUUUUUAAAAAAAAAUGACAGAUCAUAAACGUAAAAUUUUUUACUCAUCGUCCCUCCUAUCUUAUCAUCCAUUCAAUCGAUCCUCUCCUUCUUUACUACUUCCUCCCUUUUUUUAUAAUUGACGUUUAAGAAAUCUACUCUAGGGUACUUUUAUCUGUCGUUUUAUUUUCUCCAUACAGUAUUAAUUAUUUUUUCACAAUUUUAUCCUUUUAUCUCUCUUUUCUAAUAUAGGGUUCUUAAUUACUACUCUAGUUUGGUGGGAGUUAGUUUGCAUUGCUUUUGGCAUAGUAAAACAGCAUCAUUUAGUACUUUAGUGAGAGAAAAUAUGGGUGAAUUGGACAAUUAAUGAGGGUACAAAAGGAAAGUAGUAUACAGAUUUAAGCAAUGAAAAACUUUUCUUAAUUGAUGUGCAAAACCUUAAACGUCAGUUAUAAAAAAAGGGAGGGAGUAUAUAUAUAAUCAAGCAAGACUUUUAGAAUAUGAUUUUUCCUACAACAUUUUUUUAGGGUUGUAAAAUUGCAGUUUUAGAAUAACCUCAGGGAACGUUGGAAGUCAACUUCCAUGUUGGGGAUUCCAAGUCUUUUGGCUUGAAUUAGUGUUCAUAUAUUUUGUCAUAUGUCAUAACCCACACGUAGUUAGAAAUAAUUUCAUAACCGGCGGUCAGAACAAUUCACUCUACUUAUCAACCACCCUAACUCCUAGUUCAACAUGUUGUUAAAAAAUUGUUAAUUAAAAAUAUCAUAGACUCGUUUAGUCAAUAAAAUGAAGCAACGAGACCUUUAAUUAUUGAAAAUAUAAAUUAAAUAAAAAGCUUUAGCCGGCAUUUUUUUAUCCUUAUUUUUGACAUGGGGGAAAGAGUUAAAAGUUCGCGUUGAAACUUGAACCUUUCGUUAGAUAAGCGCAUAAGCACGUAAAACUGAAUUGCUGUAUUGGGUUCGGGGAUCGAAGAGUCAAGAAUGCCCAAAAUCAAGGUGGUCCAAAUCUAGAAAUCUGAUGAUGGAAGUUUAAGGGUGACUGCAAAGGUGUGGUGUUUUCACCUUACUAGGCCAGCAAGGAAAAUAAUACUCCGGUCGAAACAAAAGGUUGACAGAAUAUUGAUAAAAAAAAAAAUAAAUGUGUUUAUUUAAUGAACAGGCACCCGUUAAGAUAUACUUCAGGUAUAUAAUUAUGUAAUAUAAUAAUAAAUAUUAACGUGUACAUGUAUAUAUAUGUAUGAUAUAUUGGAUAUAAUUUAAACGUAUUAAUGGGUGUCCAGAAAACUCAAAAUAAAUCACUAAUAUGGGUUUACGUGACUAACAAAAUUAUUGCAUGACAUGAUCCAAUCCUACAUGUUGAAUUUAUGUGUGAUAUGAGUAUAUGACAUGACUAAAAUUGGCACUCGCAUGUCUUCCUUUCCUUCUCGAACUUUUGCGCAAAAUUUCAACAGAACCUAUACUAGGAAUAGGAUGUGAUUUUCAAAAUCAAAGCUAAUCUAAGAGCAUCCACAAUGCUAUUACACCUUGUGGAGUGUAAUCCACAUGCCACGUCAGCAUUUCACUUUCUCCUCUUUUAUUACACUUUCACUCAUAAUGGAUUACACUCCAUAAGGUGUAAUAGCAUGGAUCCACAAUUAAAUCAAAUAUUUAUUUUAAUAAUGCAUAACUCAUAUCUCAUAAAUAAAUAAAGUAAUUUUUAAAAAUAAUUUUGUUAUUUUUAAAAAAUAAAGUACUAACUUUAAUUAAAUUUUUUACAUUAAAUUUAAUGGGAUAUGUUUUAAAAAAAGUGUUGUGUGUUUAUAUGGAAGGCUAAAAUCUAACCGUUGGAAAGCUAAAAUGUGUUGUGUGCUGGCAAAUUUACCGUUGAAGCAAAAAUUGGAUGUACCUAUUGGUGGCUAGAAUUAUUUUACAUUUAAUCAUGGGUCUCACCUUUUAAUGGAUUACAUGCAUCGGAGCCGUGUCAUGGAGCGGUGUAAUGGCCCUCCAUUUCACCCGCGCUGCUAUUGCUCUAAGAGGCAACUCGAUGGAUGGAGUGUGUUAGAUUAUUUAAGACAAUUUUUUUUGAAAAAGAUACCGUAACACUUUUUAAUAUAAUAUAUGUAAAAUAAAAAAAUAUUAAAAAUUUAUUGAUAAUGCAAACAAAUAAAAACUUUUAUAUAACAAAAAGCACCAUCCAAAGACUCCAAACAACUAUUUGAGAAAAACAAAUGAACAGAUGUGGGCCAAACAACUAUUUGAGAAAGACUCCAAACAACUAUUUGAGAAAAACAAAUGAACAGAUGUGGGCCAAAAGUCUUUUCAGCUAAGCAUAGCUUUAAACCAUUCCAACGCCAAAUUUAAUUGCCCAACAAACCAUAAACUAUAGGUAAAGGAACCCACUGAACGUUAUAUGAAGUGAAAAAAAUAAGCAAUCGCUUUUGCAAUGACCUUCCCCGGGUGCGAGAAGGAAGCAAAAGCAAUUGAUUGGGGAGCAUAUUGUUAUAACUGGUGCAGGCAGGUAUUCCAGUUUAUGCCAUAAUUUUAGUUAUUUUCUUUGUCCAAAAAAAGGACAAAGUGAACGAUAAAAGAAACCAAUAAGACAAAAAGAAGAUCGGUUGGGGUUUAGUUCUUGUGGCACCAGAUCAUGAUGCAUACUUGUGUUUCAGAUAGAUUCUGCUGGAGAAUGCAAUUGAAUAAUCAAGGCUCUUAAUGAAUUGAUUGAUCCCACUUGGACUAAAGAUUUCAGCGAUAAAUCCUGUCUGCCUGGAGUGGUUACCCAAUAAAUGAUUUGUUGCUUUGAGUGAAGCGUGCGGUCAUGAAUCAAGAUGAUGAUGGUUGCAGUUGUUUUUCAUUGAGGAGCUUUAACUGAGGAAACUCGACUUCUUCGAGCUACUAAUCUCAUGACAAUGACAUGUUUCAGGCUGCCAAAAAGAUUAUUGUAGCGAUUUGAUAUAUGUGAGGGAAAAUGUGAUCACGGAAAAUGAUAAUAUUUUCUGACGGAAACAAACAAUCCAAACAUGGCCUUGAUCUGCUUUCUUUUAGAAGAGCUGAAACUGAAAGAGAUGGUGGCCAGGUAAGAUUCGAAAACUCGUACAACUUGUGCAUUUCGUUUGAAGUUUUGGUACUUUUUUUUUUAAAGGAUACAUUUAUUUUUUAAAAAUACUUUUAGGGUGUUUUCGUAAGUUGAGGGGCUCAAUUUUUGGCAAUCUAAAAAUAUUUUUACUUGUGCCUUCUUUAUAAUCUACUGUAAUCUCAAAUGGUGGGACCAUUAGCGUCGACCAUUAACACUUUUUUCACAAAAUUAUCUUAGAUAAUUUACAAUUCAAACACAAAUAAUAUUUUUAUAAUCUAAUUUAUUUUAAUUUAGGCGGAAGGUGAAUCUAAAGAAAUUAUAUAUACGGGGUUAAUAGAUAUAUAAACCUAUUAAAUCAAAGAAAUGUUCUGAUGCGUCUUUUUAAUUUUUUUCGCCGCGACUAAAAUAUCUCUUUUGUGGCCACUUUCAGCUCAGUGGUUCUUUGCAAUUACAUCUCAGUUUGUAUAUAUUAGCAAAGAACUAGUAGAUGACACGAAAGGGUAUUGAUUUAUUUAUACAUAUUUAUUGAUGAGCAGGGAAAUGGGGUGCUUGAUUGAUUUACGUAUUUGGUAGGUCAUACUAUUCGAAAGCUACAGGUCGUAAUUGUAGACCUUGAAAUGUGUGGACUUUGAACCAAUCACGAAACCAGUGGGAUCUACCAUUCAUCAAAUUUACAGAGAAAAUUGGACAACAAUUACGGUUUUCACUCCCACGAUUUUCUAGUCUAGAGGAUCUCAUUCGUGAUUGAGGAAUGCUGUGACCAAGAAAUGAAAGAUAACUAACUAGUAGUACAAAAUUACUACCACAAAACUCGGAGAUAUGCUGUAAUCAAAUCAAUUGAUGUAUUCUCUAACUCAAAUUGUUACAACGCCUAAGAGUGAAAAUUAAAAGCACAAAACCUUCACAUUGGCCAUUUCUAGCUGCAAAAUUUGAAGCAUCUUAUUCUCCAGUAGCGGAGAUAUCAUCAAUUACUACCAAAAACUAAAGAAUACAAAAUCUGACCAUCUUUGGAGAAAAAAUCAAGAAUCUUUCUUGGCCGAGGAAGGCAUAUUCCUUGUUAGGAGUAUUGGAACGUUGAACGGCAAACUAGACAGUACAAAAAGCUACCAGAUAGAAGAAAAAGAGUGAAGCAAGCAAAUAGACAGACGUGUAUUUGACUUUGCGGGUCUGAUGGAAGUUCUUCUUUUGAGUUCAGGCGGAGAGUGAGCCAAUUUGCUUGCUUGCUGGCUUUGGUGGAGGCUGCACUUGAACUUAAAGAUCCGGCCAACAAGUUGGUAGAAAUUUGAAGGGGACAUUUUAUUUAAAAAAAAAACAAAACAAAAAGUUAGAAAUUUUUUAAGGAAAUAGAAGAUCUAUUUCGCUGCAUUUUCCUGUUUUUAUUCCUUCUCAGUCUAUAAAUAGCUAACAAAUUAAAGGGGACAUUUUAUUAAAAAACAAAAUGUUAGAAAAAUUUCAAGGAAAUGGAAGAACUAUUUCACUGCAUCUUCCUUUUUUAAUUCCUUCUCAGUUCUCAGUCUAUAAAUAGCUAACAUUUGCAUAAGCAGCUUUGUACAUCAACUCUCUUGCCCCCCAUCUCUGAGCUCUUCCCCAAAGUCCUCUUCCAAAUUCUCAGGUCUUCCUUUUUUCAGGUACCUCUUACCUUACUCUGACACUACAUUUCAGUUUCUGGGCUUAACCAAAAAUGAGAUGCUGGAUUCACACACACAUAUACACAUACUCACGCACACGGAGCCAUUGAUAUAUUUUGGCUGCAUUUUGUUUGUUUCCUAAUUGGACGGUGACGAAUAGCCGAAAGUUAGCUGAUUUGCAUUUGUUUUCAUAUGGCCCCUACUAUCUGCGUUCAUGAGUCAUGAUCAGAUUUUUGUGGUCAACUUCAUGCUAUCCAAAUCAAUUUACUUUUCUGCUCACUUCACUGCAGGGACUGCCAUUUGUACUUAUCAAAUUGAGAGUGGUUGAGACCUGGGAGUGAGAUUAUGGCUCCUGAUAGGAAUUUAGAGAAGUUGGCAUCGAUUGAUGCCCAGUUAAGGCUUUUGGUGCCUGCCAAAGUGUCUGAUGAUGACAAGCUUGUUGAAUAUGAUGCUUUGCUUUUAGACCGGUUCCUUGACAUUCUUCAGUACUUACACGGCGAGGACCUUAAAGAAACGGUAUGCAUAUAGAUUUUAUUUUUCCAGCUUGUAUUUAGGUGAUUUUGAUCAAGAUCCAAUUUUGGUUAUGAUGAAAAAAAUCUGAUCUUUAUAUUGACAAUCCAUAUAAUAAGUCAGUUGGAAUUUUUUUUUUCGGUCUUUUUUCAGUUUUUAGAUGGGGCAUUGUUUGUUUUCGAUGAUUCCAAUGUGAGGGAAGUACUAUCAGAAUUUUGAAAAACCCAGGUUAUGUUUAAUGAUCAAGAUUGUGUUUUUAUGGCAAUUUUGGUUGUUUAAUCUGUUCCUCGGAAGAAAAUUGCUAUAGACAUUAAACGAGAAGUUCCGAUUUCAAUCUUAGUAUACCAUUCAGUCAUUCACCAGUGAGUCAUUAUCACUUGAAGUGUCAAGUGUAUGGCCCUUCUGUAAUUUGGCUUCCGUAAUGUUUAGAUCCUUUAAGCCUUUGUGCAUAUUUGUAUCUCGUAGUGAAUUGCUCUGUUCAUUAGCUUAAACAAUCUGCAGAGUCUGCAAGGUCUGCUCAAUGUAGUUUGUUCUGUUCUUUUAAUCUCAUUAUUAUAGGUUCAAGAAUGUUAUGAACUUUCCGCCGAAUAUGAAGGCAGGAAGGAUCCAAAGAAGCUGGAAGAGCUUGGUCAUGUUUUAACCAGCUUGGAUCCUGGGGAUUCCAUUGUCAUCGCAAAAGCUUUUUCUCACAUGCUUAACUUAGCCAAUUUGGCUGAGGAGGUUCAGAUAGCAUAUCGAAGGAGGAACAAGUUGAAGAAAGGUGAUUUUGCUGAUGAAAACUCAGCAAUUACUGAAUCAGACAUAGAGGAAACUCUGAAAAGACUUGUAUUGGAUUUGAAGAAGUCUCCUCAAGAGGUCUUUGAUGCAUUGAAAAAUCAGACUGUGGAUCUUGUCCUUACUGCUCACCCUACUCAAUCUGUUCGGAGGUCAUUGCUUCAAAAGCAUGGAAGGUUUGUCCUAUAACUGCUCUCCUGUUAUUUUCUAUCCACAAGCUUACGAGUAUAAUUCUCUUAGUUUCUUUUCCUUUUCCUACUCUAAUACUCUUAUGUCAGGAUACGCAAUUGUUUGGCUCAGUUAUAUGCCAAAGACAUCACGCCAGAUGAUAAGCAGGAGCUUGAUGAGGCCUUGCAGAGGGAGGUAAUGUUAGCUCUUAUUUUGUGCCUGAUGGAGUUUUGACAUCCAUGCUCUGCACUAGACAUUUUCCAAACUAUCUGACAAUAUUACUGCAUCUUCUCAGUCAAGAACAAAUUCCUCUGGUUUUGCAUCGUCCAGUGUAUCUUUCAUAUCCAUUUUUCUGCCAAAAUUAUGCAACCCAUUAGUUACUAGAUCUGACGUAGCUAAAAGCAUUCAAAUUCCUUGGGCGAUUAGCAAGAAAAGGUCUCUACUGGAUAUAGAUUGAUCUUCAGAAUAGUAACUUUGAUGUUGUCAAAUCGACUUCACAGCUUCUUUCCCUUCUGUUUCUUGUUUCUGAACUGGUUACAGCUACUUAUUUUCUUCUAUUAAUCUGUCACUGAUUUCUCUGCUUGUACUAUUGCAACUUUAUAUCAUUUCUCAUCAACGAUUAGGAUCAGAUGCUCACUCAAUCCCCUAUUAUCCUGUGACAUUCAAUAAUAUCAUGACGCAAGCAUCCUGUAUAUAAAGCCCUUCACAUUUAACUUACUUUUUCUUUGUCUGAUUUCAACAAACCUUCAGAUGGUCACGUAUAUGAGAGCUGUUCCAGUAUAUUUACUCUGAUACUGAAAUAUUCUGGUUUCCAUGUUUUUUCUUUUUGUCAAAGACUCGAACCUCGUUUUCAUACUUGCUCUGAAAAUGAUCUAAGCUUCUUUUCUUUCCAGUCUUAAGGUAGACUCCAUUGUGAUCACUGAAAACUGAUAAUUGAUCGGAGAGAAUGGUUGACCACUCACAUUUGUUUCUGUGCAAUGUUUUCAAACAGAUUCAAGCUGCUUUCCGGACGGAUGAGAUCCGAAGGACUCCUCCAACACCACAAGAUGAGAUGAGAGCCGGAAUGAGCUACUUUCAUGAAACAAUUUGGAAGGGUGUUCCAAAAUUUCUACGACGUGUUGACACAGCUCUUAAAAACAUUGGGAUUAAUGAACGUGUUCCUUACAAUGCCCCUCUCAUUCAAUUCUCUUCUUGGAUGGGUGGUGAUCGUGAUGGUAUAAAGUUUCUCCCAAAAAACCAGCUUAUUCAAAUGGCUAAUGCAUUGUGCUGCACACACAGGAAAAGACACUUAAUUGGACUGCUUAAUGCUUCUUCAUGAGUUCUGUAAUGAAAUGUUAUACAGAUGGGCAUUUGCUAUGUCAGCCUUUAAAAUAAAAUAAAAAAGAUGAUAUUAACCUUUUAAAGUUAUAAAAAUUUCUGAGGUUGUCUAAUUUUCUGAUGCCUUGGCCUAAGAAAUAGAAUACGGAAGAAGAAGGUGUUGGCCACAUUUUUUGUUUAUUCAUGCAUAGCCAUCCCACCAGGUUUGUUGAUUGAGAUUUUAUUGUUUUUAAUGCAGGUAAUCCGAGGGUAACUCCUGAGGUGACAAGGGAUGUUUGCUUAUUAGCUAGAAUGAUGGCUGCUAACUUGUACUACUCCCGGAUAGAGGAUCUCAUGUUUGAGGUUUUUAUUAUCCAGUUCACCUUUUUGAAUCCUUUUGAUUGUUUUUCCAUUGUCUUAUGAAACAUAUGUGCUUGUACUAGUUUUUCGCAUCAUGACUUAUGUGCUUGUACUAGUUUUUUACAUUAUAAUUUUUUUGUCAGUUGUCAAUGUGGCGUUGCAGCGAUGAGCUUCGUGUUCAAGCUGACAUACUUCACCAAUCUUUAAAGAGAGAUGCAAAGCACUACAUAGGUGAGUAGGGAAGUAACUCCUAGAAUUUGCUGUAGACGUUUAUUCAAUAAGGACCAUUCGUUCUGCCAAACAACCUUUUGAAACUGAGUUUGAGGUUCAAGUAUAAUAACCAUCCCUUUUAUUCUCAUAAAACAAAAAUGCAUCAGAACCAUUGUCGCUAUUUCGUAACUGCUCAAACCAUCAUUUGGUCUCUAGUUGUAGGACAAUGAAUAAGAAGGCUAUGUGUCUUAAAAUUAAACUUUCUGCUUCAAGAUUUAUGAACAUUGAAUUUAACAUGGCAGAAUUCUGGAAACACGUUCCACCAAAUGAACCAUAUCGUGUUAUACUUGCUGAUGUGAGGGAUAAGUUGUAUCAGACACGCGAGCGCUCUCGACAUAUGUUAGCUCAUGGAACUUCUGAUAUUCCAGAGGAGGGAACCUAUACCAAUGUUGAGCAGGUAGUACUUCUGAAGUUAACUGCUAAGCACCUAAAGUUUUGAAUCACACUGUUGCCUAUUAUCUAUAUUUUUUCUUCUAGUUUGAUCUCUGAGUCUAUUUGGCACUAUAUGUGAUUGCUGAUCAACAGAAGUUCCCCCCUCACUCGCCCCCCCCCCUCCCCGGCUAACCACCACCACAAAAAGCAAAAUAAAUCCAAAAAAAAGAGAGAAAAUCUCAUACCUGUCGCCUUACUGAUAGAAAGAUUGUGCUAUCGUGUAGUUUUUGGAGCCUCUGGAACUGUGUUAUAGAUCUCUUUGUGCUUGUGGGGACCAACCCAUUGCUGAUGGAAGCCUUCUGGAUUUUCUGAGACAAGUUUCUACAUUUGGGCUAUCACUUGUGAGACUGGACAUAAGACAAGAGUCAGACCGCCACACUGAUGUUUUAGACGCCAUUACAAAUCACUUGGAAAUUGGUUCGUACAAAGAAUGGUCAGAAGAACGCAGGCAGGAGUGGCUUCUGUCUGAAUUAAGUGGCAAACGACCUCUUUUUGGACCUGACCUUCCAAAAACUGAAGAAAUUGCUGAUGUUUUGGAUACUUUCCAUGUCCUGGCAGAACUACCAUCAGAUUGCUUUGGUGCAUAUAUCAUCUCAAUGGCUACAGCACCUUCUGAUGUUCUAGCAGUUGAACUUCUACAGCGUGAAUGCCAUGUGAAGAUUCCUUUAAGAGUUGUUCCACUUUUUGAGAAACUGGACGAUCUGGAGGCUGCUCCUGCUGCUGUUGCACGACUUUUCUCUAUCGAUUGGUACAGAAACCGGAUUAAUGGUAAACAGGAAGUAAUGAUUGGAUACUCAGAUUCUGGCAAAGAUGCUGGACGACUUUCAGCAGCUUGGCAGUUAUACAAGGCUCAAGAGGAACUCAUAAAAGUAGCCAAGGAAUAUGGUGUGAAGCUAACAAUGUUCCAUGGUCGAGGUGGGACUGUUGGACGAGGAGGUGGACCCACCCAUCUUGCUAUAUUAUCUCAACCUCCUGAUACAAUUCAUGGAUCCCUUCGUGUUACGGUUCAGGGAGAAGUUAUUGAGCAAUCAUUUGGUGAGGAGCACCUGUGUUUUAGAACCCUCCAGAGAUUCACUGCUGCCACCCUUGAGCAUGGGAUGCAUCCCCCAGUCUCUCCAAAACCUGAAUGGCGUGCACUAAUGGAUGAAAUUACUGUAAUUGCUACAGAGGAGUACCGUUCUAUUGUUUUCAAAGAACCUCGUUUUGUCGAGUAUUUCCGCCUUGUACGUACUUCAUGCAGAAUUCGUGCACCAUGCACCUCCUCAUUAAUAUCUGCAUUUUAUCUGCUCUUUUUGGUGAAAUUUUUGUUGAAUUUGAUUUUUUUUUCCCUCUACCCAUGAUUAGGCAACACCAGAGCUGGAGUAUGGUCGUAUGAAUAUUGGUAGCCGUCCUUCAAAACGGAAACCAAGUGGAGGCAUUGAAUCACUUAGAGCUAUUCCAUGGAUCUUUGCAUGGACGCAAACCAGAUUUCAUCUGCCAGUUUGGCUUGGCGUUGGAGCAGCUUUCAGAUAUGCAAUCAAGAAGGACAUUAAGAACCUUCAAAUGUUGAAAGAGAUGUACAACGAGUGGCCUUUCUUUAGAGUCACUAUCGAUUUAGUUGAGAUGGUGUUUGCCAAGGGUGAGCCUGGUAUUGCUGCUCUUUAUGAUAAGCUCCUAGUUUCAGAAGACUUGUGGGCAUUUGGAGAGCGCUUGAGGACAAACUAUGAGCAAACAAAAACACUUCUGCUUCAGGUACUACGGGAAAUUUUUACGGCUAAUUUUUGCUUAAAGUCCCGUUGGAGUUGGAGUUAUUUAGGGAAAUUUUGGGAAAUGAAUUCUAAAGAAAAAGUCAGAUCAAAUCAUUGAAUGGUUUUCAUAAGUAAAGACAACAUGCUGUUUUGCUUUUUGCAGAUUGCAGGACACAAGGAUCUUCUUGAAGGAGACCCCUACUUGAAGCAGCAGCUUCGCUUGCGCGAUUCGUACAUCACAACUCUGAAUCUUCUUCAGGCUUAUACUCUUAAACGAAUUCGCGAUCCAAACUACCAUGUGGAGCUCAGACCUCAUAUAUCCAAGGAGUAUAUGGAAUCAAAACUUGCUGCUGAAUAUAUUCAGCUGAAUCCAACAAGUGAAUAUGCCCCUGGCUUGGAGGACACUCUCAUCUUGACAAUGAAGGGAAUUGCUGCUGGACUGCAGAACACCGGUUAAACUUAUUUUGUUUUCCUUUCUAACCAUUGUAAGAGAUGUGCUUUCCCUAAAAAACCAGCAGGUAUAAGCAGAGUAACCUUCAAUUGCCUUCCAUGGUUGCCCGGGCUGUAUGGUUAAUUUGAAUAAUUUGUAUCAUCAGUUUGUUGUGCUUAUACAAUUUUCGAACUUGAACAAUCUUCACGUAUCCUCUACUUAGCUGUUGUGACGCAUAAAGCACAUAAGUUUACCCAAUAGGUUCUCAUUCUUGCUUGGCUUGGCAUGUUCAACCAUCUAUCCUUUCGCGUGGCGUAGCGGCAGGAGACGAACUGUGGAUUGAACUCUAUCGACUUCGUCCAGUUUGGUCCAAUCUUGCAGAAAUAACAAUUAACGAUGUAUAAGUUGUCACAAAUCUAAUUUCAAUAGCUGAAGGGUGUGAUAUCUGGAUUAAUCCAUCUUUUUUUUUUUUCUCUUUUGAGGAAAUUAAUCCAGCUUCUGCAGUAACAAGGACCUGAUCAAGAAUCUGAAUCCUACGGGACUCAGCCCACUUAGGAAACUGCUGCUUUUAUAUUCCCCAGAUGAUUUCCAAGUUUCAACAAACAUAAGUCGGUUCAAAGUUUUAGGUGAAAUAAAUUAAUAUGAUCAAGGGAAAGAACACCAAAAGAAAAAAAAACAUAAGAAAUUUACUCGGAUGAAUAUCUUACAGAAGUGCUUGAGCCACCCAAUAUUAGCAUCUCUAACAACCACGAACUUGUGAAAGCAUCAAGAAACUGGAUAAAGACAAAAUACAAGCAAAAAUAGACGAAAUUUUACACAAGAAACACGUUAAUUUCAGGUAUCAGCCCUCUUAUUAGCAGGAAUCCACUGGCCAUUCUCGUAUUCCUGAUGAAUUCUGAGGCUGCCAAACGGAUACAGAAACUCAUCCCCUGAACUCUCGAAAUACACGUAGUAUUUGUAGCCAGCUCUACCCGAGAUUCUUCCAACCCACCAACCAUCAUUAUCAAAAGCGUCCACUUUUUCAAGAACAUGAAACUCCGAGACAUUUAUCUGAGGAGGUAAAGGCCUGACUGUUGAAGCUUCAACAACCUCCUUGAGCAACUCUUUUUCAUUAUCUUCUUUGAGUAAAGUUUUGUACUCCACCAGGAACUUGUUUUUACCCCGUUUGGCAAUAAUCUUGGCCUCGUAGUAGGAACCCAAGAACCCAUCUUCGUUGCAGCAUAUCUCCACUGAAUCACCUACCCUGAUGGCCAUUCUUCAAGUCCUUUUCCCUUCCCUUGAAUUGAUCAACUAUUCAAGAUUGAAUUUUUGGAAAAAUUCUGGCAAGAAUGACUGAAUUACUCUCGAAUGGAGGGAGUUUUUUUUUUUUUUUUUUUAGUACAGUGAAAACAACGGAGGAAGUCUUGUUUUAUCAUGGCUAAGCAGUUUUCCUGUUCCUAGACGGACAACGCGCAGUAGUCACUGUAUUUGGAUUUAGGAAACCGAGAAAAGGUAGCACUUGAUCACGUGGGAUGCAUUAUUCCUUGAUGUGAUAAAUGAUGGGGCAAAUUAUCCAUUAGUCACUAAACUUUUUAAAUAGUGUAGUUUUGACCAUUUAAUCUUCAAAAUUAAUGUAUUUACCCACUAAAAUAUCAAAAGUUUAAUUAUUGGAGAAUUCCAUCCUUUUUUUACAGUUAAGUCUAUCAAAUUUGGUUAUAUCUCAUGGCUCGUACGAAUUUUAGACAUAAAAAAUUUAAUGUUGAAAACAGACAAAAUGACUUACACUUUUGAUAGUUUAAUGGAUAAACGGAUACUUCAAAAGUCAAAUAGCCAAAAUCUUAUUAUUCAAAAUAUUUAGUGAAUAUCUUGGUAAUUUACUCUAAAUGAAACAGUGGGUUGUCGGGCUCGGCAGUGCCCAUUAUCCUAUAAAAGUUUUCCAUAUUCUAAUUGGAACCAUACAAUUUUUAAAAAGGAAAAUCUCAACUAUGAAUUUGAUCAAUUACACCUAAACAAUUGUUGAUAAUCUUUUCCUAUACCUACUAACGUAGGUGCUAUUUAGCUUGAAGAGGCACUCUAAGUUCUUAUAGGGGAAAAAUUUUUAAUUAAUAAAUAGGCACUCUGAAUUUUAACAAGGAAAAAAAUAUACAAUCAAUGAAGAGGCACUAAGAAUUCUUACAAGGGAAAACAAUUUAUUUAAUCUCGUAAUUACUUAACUAGUGCCCAACAUAUCAUUAACAUAUCUAGUCUACGCGCGAAUGCGAAUUUUCAAUUGAGUUCCAAUUACAGACGUGGCGCGCUGAUAUUGGCUAAUUAAUGAUCGUUCGACUCGUGCGAAUUUCCAAUUGAUGGUCGUCCAUUCCCACGCAUGAAUUCUUUCGUUUGCUCAUACGUUUACCAAUCCUUUUGUUUCUUUGUUUCCACUAAAAUCUACACCCACGUGGCUUUGAUUUUUUUUCCUUUUGCAUUUUUUUUAUUGGAUUGGAAGUGCUUGUUAACAUAUUAUAUGCCCAUGGUUUUCAAUUGAUUUUAAUUGCUGACAUGGCACUCUCCCAUUGAUUGAUUGGUGGUAGUCAUCCAAUUGAUUUCAAAUUGAUGAGGUGUUGCCUUGUGAUUGGUCAAUUGAUGGUCCUCCCAAUUGUGUAUGAAAAUGGUGAUGUGGUGAUUGGAUGAGAGGUGGUAGUCGUUUAAUUACAUGUAGGAUUGUCCUAAAAUUUGGUCUUUUUUUUGCCUCAACAAAUCACAUUAACAAAAAUUUGGGCUUCUAAUUUUUGUUGUCCACCAAAUCACCUCUAAUUACCUAUUCUUAGCAAUUAAUUGUUAAUAAGUAAUUAAUAAUGCAAUGUUUUUUAUCAUCCAACAAAUCAUGUUUAAUUAACAAUUUUUUUCCAAUUAUUAACAAAAAAAUGACUUCUUUUUUGUGGUUGUCCAAAAAACCACAUUUAAUUAUCAAUCUUUUUCAAAUGUUAUAAAAAAAAGUCCUCUUUUAUUUUGGGUUAUCCAACAAAUCAUGUUUAAUUAUAAAUUUUUUGCCAUUAGUUUUUCAUUAAUUAAUUAAUAAUUUCACUUUUUUAGCGCCUAACAAAUCACAUUUUAUUACCAGCUUUUUUGUCAGUUGAUGGUACUCCUCCAGUUGACUUCAAAUUGACGAGAUGUCAUUUUGUGAAUGGUCAAUUGGUGGUAGUCCUCCUAAUUGCAUAUGAAAAUGGUGAUGCAGCAAGUUUUUAUUGCAUAAGAGGUGGCAAUCCUUUAAUUGCAUAUAGGAUGGUACUAAAAUUUGGCCUCUGUUUUUUUUUUUACCCAACAAAUCACAUUAACAAAAAAUUGGACUCCUUUUUUUGUUGUCCACCAAAUCACGUCUAAUUAUCAAUUUUUUGCAAUUAAUUGUUAAUAACUAAUUAAUAAUGUCAUAUGUUUGGUCAUCCAACAAACCGUGCUUAAUUAACAAUUUUUUGCAAUUAUUAAAAAAUUUUUGACUUUUUUUUGUGGUUGCCCAUAAAACCACAAUAAAUUAUUAAAUUUUUUUCAAAUGUUAUAAAAAAAUGUCCUCUUUUAUUUUGGAUUGUUCAACAAAUCAUGUUCAAUUAUAGAAUUUUUUGUAGUUAAUUGUUCAUUAAUUAAAUAAUACUUUCACUUUUUUAUUGCCCAACAAAUCACAUUUAGUUACCAACGUUUUACAAUUAUUAAAAGUUUGUUUAGGUUUCCAAAUAAAUCACAAUUAAUUAUCAAAUUUUUGUAACAACAUAUAUUAUUAAUUAUUAACAUACAUAUAAGGGGGAAGCCAUGCUGUGAGAACCUGUAUUUCCCUAAUGUGUAUUGGGUUCACUUUCUUUUGAUUGGCAAACCGAACAUGUAUAUUCGUAAUGAAUGGUUUUUGAUAUGCCGCUUUGGCUUGAAAAUGUUACAUUUCAAUGUGUGUAUGUUUGAUUGAUAUUUGGUUGAAUUUCGGAUCAACUCGUAUUUCAAACGGCAAAAGAAAAAAAUUUGGCUACUCUCGGCCUAGUAUCUGGAUUCUGACGUGGCCGGUACUGUUCAUCAUCGGUUUCGAUUUUCAUUUUUUUUUGUGAUUUUGACUUGUUUACGCGCGUGAGUAUGUUCCGGAACGUAUUAGAUCGACGUGAACUAAUUCGUAGUUCUGGCGAGAGUUGGGCAGGCAGUCCGCUAACCCCUUUGGUUCGCCUUAGGGGAAAGUGGGGCUGUUACAAGUGGUAUCAGAGCCACUUCGCGUGGUCUCUGCGCGGAGUGAGACUGGGCCAAGUGGUGUUGUGAUCCUAAUUUCAUGAAUAUGUCUAAGUGCUCGUUUGAGCGUAAGUUAUGAACUGGGCAUGUGAUAAGUGUACGAAUCAUUAUCAUGGGACUCGAGGAAGUUAGGUAUGUUUGUCGGGUAGUAAUCUUUAAUAAGGAUGGUUUACUCUUGGGACCGGCCGGCUCGAGAUGUGAAUUAUCUUAGACAAGAUUCUUGCGCCCGGAUACGAAAGAUAUGAGGGCCUAGAUUAGAAAGGAUUUGGUGAACUAGAAAGGCGAUUCUAUGGAACUUCGUGUGAUUUGUUCGGGUGUGGUUAAGCGUGAUCGACCUUGAUUAAGAUAUAAAUAUUUGGACGAAACCCUAGAAGGGGAAAAGCUUUUCGUGAGUUCUUUUGCACUUGUGACCUAGGUGUCUAUAGCACUUUUGGAGGACUCUUUUGUUUCAUGGAAUGACUUCGUAUGUACUUGACUGACUGUUCCGUAUAAUUGCUUAACCUGGUUAUGUGAUCUAUGUAUACGUGUUAUGUGUUUAAAUGCUCUUCGCGGUAAUUGUUUGAGUUACUUAUUCUUGUUUCAUUGUUCCUGUCUGGUGCUACGGAAAGGAGGGUUAGGUGCCCUUUAACAGUAUAUUUAUUUGGUGACCUAGAUUGACUUAGAUUGAUGGAAGGCACUCGGAGUGGUCGAGACCGUGGACGCAGAACUAGACAACCCACACCAGUUACGGGUACGGGAGAAAUCUCUACUGGACCCAAUCCUGAACCACAAGUAGACCCGAAUGUGCAAAUAGCUGCUGCUAUGCAGCAAAUGACAAACCUACUAGCACAAGUAGUGCAACAAUAGGGCCAGAACCCAAACCCUAACCCCCGAGAACCCUGGUAACCACAUCGAGAGCGAAGAUAGAGCUCUCAAACGAUUCCAAAAGUUCGCUUCGCCAAAGUUUGUUGGGGGACCCGACCCAGACGUUGCCGAAAGAUGGCUUGAAAAGAUGGUGGAUAUAUUUGCAGCCCUACACUACCCUGACGAACGGCAGGUGACUUUUACCGUGUUUCAACUUGAGGGGGCAACCCGUUCCUGGUGGAACGUAAUUCGGCAGAAGUGGGAACGAGAACAGACACGUAGGACUUGGGUGAAGUUCAUCAGAGAAUUCAAUGCGAAGUUUUUCCCUCCUCUAGUUCAGGAGAGGAAGGAAGACGAGUUCAUUCGACUCCGCCAAGGAGCUCAAAUUGUGGCGGAAUAUGAGAGCCAAUUCACCCGCCUAUCCAAAUUUGCGUCCGAACUUAUCAUGACCGAGCAACGAAGAAUACGGCGAUUUGUCCAGGGCCUGAACCUAGAAAUCCAGAAGGACCUCGCGGCAACCCAAAUUAACGCCUUCAGCGAAGCAGUGGAGAAGGCACAACGAGUAGAGAAUGCUAGGCUACAGGUGAAAAACUUCCAGGCGAAAAAGAGGGAAUUUCCUGGAAGUAGUUCGGGGCAGGGGGAUGAAAGUACCCCUCCCAAGUUUGGGCGGGGAACGGGAGGAGUAAGGAUGCCGGGAAUGUCACAAGAGAGCCCGUCAAGAGGAGGCUCGGCUUCUACCACACGCGAACCCUGCGGGUAUUGCGGAAAAUUAAACCACUCGGAGGACAACUGCUGGAAGAAAGGAGGAAAAUGCUUGCGCUGUGGAAGUGCCGAACAUCAAAUUGCUAACUGUCCAACUCGCCUGCUUGAGCGGAGAGGGACUCUGCCACCAACCACGACCCACCCUGACCAGUCAAAGGGAGACAAGAAUGGAUCGAAAGUGUCCUCUCGGAUGUACUCUUUAGAACAACAUCAAGUUUUUGACCCAUUAGAGGACGUGGAAAAUAAGAAUUUACUGAACCUGGCCAGUGAAGGGGGUACAGAUUUGUUAGCCAAGUAUAAUGCUCAAUUUAAUCCCGGAAUAGUCAAUGAUAAGGAAUUUCGAGGACGAAAUUCUUUUAAGGGGGAGAGAGUGUGAGAACCCGUAUUUCCCUAAUGUGUAUUGGGUUCACUUUCUUUUGAUUGGCAAACCGAACAUGUAUAUUCGUAAUGAAUGGUUUUUGAUAUGUCGCUUUGGCUUGAAAAUGUUACAUUUUAAUGUGUGUAUGUUUGGUUGAUAUUUGGUUGAAUUUCGGAUCAACUCGUAUUUUAAACGGCAAAAGAAAAAAAUUUGGCUACUCUCGGCCUAGUAUCUGGAUUCUGACGUGGCCGGUACUGUUCAUCAUCGGCUUCGAUUUUCUUUUUUUUUUUGUGAUUUUGACUUGUUUACGCGCCUGAGUAUAUUCCGGAACGUAUUAGAUCGACGUGAACUAAUCCGUAGUCCUGGCGAGAGUUGGGCAGGCAGUCCGCUAACUCCUUUGGUUCCUUUUAGGGGAAAGUGGGGCUGUUACAAGUGGUAUCAGAGCAAUACGGGUUCUCACACUCUCUCCCCCUUAAAAGAAUUUCAUCCUCGAAAUUACUUAUCAUUGACUACUCCGGGAUUAAAUUGAGUAUUAUACUUGGCUAACAAAUCUGUACCCCUUUCACUGGUCAGGUUCAAUAAAUUCUUACCUUCCACGUCCUCUAAUGGGUCAAAGACUUGAUGUUGUUCUAAGGAGUACACCCGAGAGGACAUUUUCGAUCCAUCCUUGUCUCCCUUUGACUGGUCAGGGUGGGUCGUGGUUGGUGGCAGAGUCCCUCUCCGCUCAAGCAGGCGAGUUGGACAGUUAGCAAUCUGAUGUUCGUCACUUUCACAGCGCAAGCAUUUUCCUCCUUUCUUCCAGCAGUUGUCCUCCGAGUGGUUUAAUUUUCCGCAAUACCCGCAGGGUCCGCGUGUGGUAGAAGCCGAGCCUCCUCUUGACGGGCUCUCUUGUGACACUCCCGGCAUCCUUACUCCUCCCGUUCCCCGCCCAAACUUGGGAGGGGUACUUUCAUCCCCCUGCCCCGAACUACUUCCAGGAAAUCCCCUCUUUUUCGCCUGAAAGUUUUUCACCUGGAGCCUAGCAUUCUUUACUCGUUGUGCCUUCUCCACUGCUUCGUUGAAGGCGUUAAUUUGGGCUGCCGCGAGGUCCUUCUGGAUUUCUACGUUCAGGCCCUGGACAAAUCGCUGUAUUUUUCGUUGCUCGGUCAUGAUAAGUUCGGACGCAAAUUUGGAUAGGCGGGUGAAUUGGCUCUCAUAUUCCGCCACAAUUUGAGCUCCUUGGCGGAGUCGAAUGAACUCGUCUUCCUUCAUCUCCUGAACUAGAGGAGGGAAAAACUUCGCAUUGAAUUCUCUGAUGAACUUCACCCAAGUCCUAGGUGUCUGUUCUCGUUCCCACUUCUGCCGAAUUACGUUCCACCAGGAACGGGCUGCCCCCUCAAGUUGAAACACGGCAAAAGUCACCUGCCGUUCGUCAGGGUAGUGUAGUGCUGCAAAUAUAUCCACUAUCUUUUCAAGCCAUCUUUCGGGAACGUCUGGGUCGGGUCCCCCAACAAACUUUGGCGUAGCGAACUUUUGGAAUCGUUUGAGAGCUCUAUCUUCGCUCUCGAUGUGGUUAUCAGGGUUCUCGGGGUUAGAGUUUGGGUUCUGGCCCUAUUGUUGCACUACUUGUGCUAGUAGGUUUGUCAUUUGCUGCAUAGCAGCAGUUAUUUGCACAUUCGGGUCUACUUGUGGUUCAGGAUUGGGUCCAGUAGAGAUUUCCCCCGUACCCGUAACCGGUGUGGGUUGUCUAGUUCUGCGUCCACGACCUCGACCACUCCGAGUGCCUUCCAUCAAUCUAAGUCAAUUUAGGUCACCAAAUAAAUAUACUGUUAAAGGGCACUUAACCCUCCUUUCCGUAGCACCAGACAGGAACAAUGAAACAAGAAUAAGUAACUCAAACAAUUACCGCGAAGAGCAUUUAAACACAUAACACGUAUACAUAGAUCACAUAACCAGGUUAAACAAUUAUACGGAACAGUCAGUCAAGUACAUACGAAGUCAUUCCAUGAAACAAAAGAGUCCUUCAAAAGUGCUAUAGACACCUAGGUCACAAGUGCAAAAGAACUCACGAAAAGCUUUUCCCCUUCUAGGGUUUCGUCCAAAUAUUUAUAUCUUAAUCAAGGUCGAUGACGCUUAACCACACCCGAACAAACCACACGAAGUUCCAUAGAAUCACCUUUCUAGUUCACCAAAUCCUUUCUAACCUAGGCCCUCAUAUCUUUCGUAUCCGGGCGCAAGAAUCUUGUCUAAGAUAAUUCACAUCUCGAGCCGGCCGGUCCCAAGAGUAAACCAUCCUUAUUAAAGAUUCCUACCCGACAUACAUACCUAGUUUCCUCAAGUCCCAUGAUAAUGAUUCGUACACUUAUCACAUGCUCGGUUCAUAACUUACGCUCAAACGAGCACUUAGACAUAUUCAUGAAAUUAGGACCACAACACCACUUGACUCAGUCUCACUCUGCGCAGAGACCACGCGAAGUGGCUCUGAUACCACUUGUAACAGCCCCACUUUCCCCUAAGACGAACCAAAGGGGUUAGCGGACUGCCUGCCCAACUCUCGUCAGGACUACGGAUUAGUUCACGUCGAUCUAAUACGUUCCGGAACAUACUCACGAGCGUAAACAAGUCAAAAUCACAAAAAAAAUGAAAAUCGAAGCCGAUGAUGAACAGUACCGGCCACGUCAGAAUCCAGAUACUAGGCCGAGAGUAGUCAAAUUUUUUUCUUUUGCCGUUUGAAAUACGAGUUGAUCCGAAAUUCAACCAAAUAUCAACCAAACAUACACACAUUGAAAUGUAAUAUUUUCAAGCCAAAGCGGCAUAUCAAAAAUCAUUCAUUACGAAUAUACAUGUUCGGUUUGCCAAUCAAAAGAAAAUGAACCCAAUACACAUUAGGGAAAUACGGGUUCUCACACAUGCCAUGCCAUGUCUCGUCUCAAAGGGGUGCCUGUGUUACUGACAUGAUGAAAUGCGGUUGGCUAGAGACUAGAGAGUGUUCAUCCAACUUGGUUUUAGUGGUAGCUUGUCUUUCUUAUAUUCCCAUUUCGUUUUCUUUUCAUUCGUUCUUUCCUUCUAACUUUCUAAGUUCUAACUAGUUUUGUACCCGUUCGUUGAACGGAAAUCGUCGAAAAAUAAUAAAUUUUAGUCAAUUUAUAAAAAUGUCGAUAUAAAAUACAUAUUUAAUGUAUAAUCUAUUAUAACUUGUCUUAAGUAUAUUACUAUAUACGCAUUGUAAUGUAAAGUAUUCUUAUAAUAUAAAUUUGAACAUCUAAUUCAGUGAAUAAUAAUUCAAAAGUAGAAAAAAUAACAUUCAACAAUAUCAUAACAUUCAAAAAUUUGAAAAUAAAUAAAAGUGCAAUAAAUAGUAUCAAAUAAUAUUCUACUAUUCAGAAACUUGUUUUUGUUUUUUUCUGUUUGAACAUUCUCUUCGAUUUGUCUGUGCAAAUCAGCAUUUAUUGAUUUUCUAUUAUCACUGUAUGAUAGCAAAGUAGGAUAACUAAGUAUAAAAAAAAUAAAUGAUUUAUCGCAUUCAAGUUUGUGUAUAACAAUACGUAAAGAUUAUAAUUAAGUAAAUGACCAAAAUCUUUUAAUUAACUAAUGAAUUUGCAGAUAUAUCUAAUAGAGAUAUUUAUGUCUCUUGUAUUUAUAUCGUAUUACUUUCCAGUGUCUUUUGUUUUUUGUUGUUUUUCCUGAAGACAAAUUAACAAACAUCGUAGUAUAUGAUCACAAAAAUCAAUUAACAAACAUGUUAGAAAAGAUCCUACAAAAAUAACAAUGAAAGUACUUGUUUAAAUCCUAUGUCUUCAUACAAAACAAAUAGAAAAUAAAAAAAAAAACAAAAUUCAAGAUAUGUUACUAAGCUCUUACAAUUGAAGAUCAACAUGCCUUUUAAAAAAUAUAUAUAUAUAUAUAUUGAAAAAAGAUGUACCUGAUAAUCAAGAGGGGUGGAAACCCAAAAUCGACACUUUAAUAUGCCAAUCGCUUGCACUGGAAAUACCUAACCAUGAAUUUGAUACUUGAAAUCAAUAUAUUAGAGGCUAUAUGUAGUGUAGACAUGGGAAAUAAGAAUUGAUAAGAAUACAAAGAGAUAUUGAUAAGAACAUUAAAAGUAUGUUUAUCUUAAUUUAAAUUGCUUAAAGUACGUAACUUUUGGUAGAAAAUAAGAAUCCUAUAAUAUUAAGAAUUCUUAUAAGAAAUAAAAUCAUAAUCGUCCAAAUAACUUUGGGUAGAAAAUAAGACCUUAUGUGACCCGUACUAUGCACGUAUAUAAACAUGUACGUAAUAAAUUUACAAAUGUGUUAUCAAGAUAGAUUUUACCGAUCUUAAAAGACCACCUCUACUAUAUCGAGUCCUUUAAGUGCAUAGACUCCUAUGAUGUAGGUCCACACAUGAAAUACUCCUUACCAUCUAGGUAGAGAUGUAUUGUGAUUAAGGAAUUAUUAACAAAAAUAUAUUAAAAAAAAGACGGGCGAAGAACACUACGGACGGAGGCAUUUCUUUUGGAUUGGAGGACACUACGGACGGAGGGUCGGGUAGGGGCCUUCAGGGUGCAAAACCUCAACAAAUAUCUAAUGUUUUAUCUCAUCUUUCUUUAGCUAUGAUAAUAGGAUUUUAUUUCUUUGGUUGAUGACACUCCAUUUUCUUUAUGGACUUUUCCAGAAUUUUUCAAUCAGAUGAAGUAUCAUUUUUCUUUGUACACAAAUUAUGCAUGGGGACUGUGAGUCUUGUAAAAACUUUUUCAGGCUAACUUUCUUUAAUUUUCAUGUCUAAAUUGUUUGUAUGUUGUUCUAUAUAUGGGUAGAUUAUCUUAAAAUAAAAAGGAUCUAUGAUGAAACUGUUUAAAAAAAAAUAAUAGGACACUAUAAAAAAAUAUAUUAUCAUUUAUUCCUAUAUAUCUAAUAGAGGAGAUUUAUGUCGCUUUUAUUUAUAUCGCAUUACUUUUCAGUUCCUUUUUUGGGUAGGAAAUAAGAAUCAUAUAAUAUUAAGAAUUUUUAUAGGAAAUAAAAAUUGAUAUAUAUCCAAACAAAAAAGGAGCAAGUCACGUAGGAAACUAUUUGACGUCUCAUUAAGCCACGUAGGAAAGAGAAAAUAUGAAAGAAUAAAUACGAAAAUAUGACUUUAUUAUAUAUAUAUGACUAGAAGACAGACUAUAAAUUGCAAGCCAAAUAGGAGAAGAGAGAGGAGAGUGGCUAAGACACGCUGUACCAAGUGUGGUUGGUCAGGUUGAAUGACAAGGCGUGGGUGUUGGGCUCAAUGUUAGGCCAUUGAAAUUAUAAUUUUACCCUUAUUGCUCCUCAAAUUUUACAAAUUCUAUUAUAAAAGAUCUUUUUUUUGAAUGCCUGCGAGUGUAAAAUAGAUUCCACCGUACCUGUACAAGCUUGACAAAGAACAACGUUCUGCUCCGAUUUUGAUUGAGAAGCCUGUUGAAAAUUUGUUCGUACAAUAAGCGGACGAACGUCCAUGUAUUGCCCGUCGGAUUUUGGAGAUAUCUACAUUAUGAUACUGGUAUUUGAGCUACUGUUGCUUUUCGCUUUUUGCUCUUUCGUUAUUGGUUUGUUGUUUUUAGGGUUGCAAACGAAUCAAACCGCUCGCGGACGGUUCGAGUCAAGCUCAAGUCGAGUUCGAUAUUAAUCGAGCUCGAGUCGAACUCGAGUUCAAAAUGUUAAACUCAUUAACUCGCGAGCCGACUCGCGAGUUUGAGUAUAUAUAUAUAUUUUUUUAUUUUUAUUUAAUAAUAAAAUUAUGUAUAUUAUAUAUUUUUUAAUUUUUAUUUUUAUAGUAAAAUUACGUAUAUAUCUUUAAUAUUUUAUUAUUUAUUAAGAAAAAAAUAUUAUUUUAUUUAUUUUUUUAAAAAUAAAAUAAUUAUUUUUUUAUUUUUUUCAAACUCGAACUCGGCUCGACUUGAUUCGAGUCGAGCUCGAGCUCGAAUAUUGCUGGCUCGUCGAGUUCGAGAUCGAGCUCAAGCUUGGUAAAUUUUAGUCGAGAUUCGGCUUGAUUAGCUCAAAACUCGACUCGACUCGGCUCGUUGGCAGCCCUAGUUGUUUUUCCAUCAGUUAUCCAGUCAGACUGCAGAAGAACAGAGCAAGUAUCUCCAAGAAAAACUUCACCCCCAUCUUCUUCUUCAUAGGCUUUUCUUCCUCUUGAUCAGCCGCAUCUUCGUUCCCCGCCUUUUUUCCUUUUUUUUUGUAAAUGUUGAUUAAACAAACAAGAUUGCUUCCACCUAUUAUUCUAUGGAUCUUAAUCUUUUUGGAAACUUUCAUAUUAAGGUAUGCUUGAACUAUUCUACACUUUGCACGGAUGAAACCAAUAAAAAACAAAUGAAGUUCAAAGGAGUUAUCUGAGGUGAAAAUUUCCUCUUUUUUUUUCCUAUGUUGUGCCUAAUUUCCCUUUUUUCCUUUCUCAGCUAUACAUGAAAUUUAUUUUUUUGCACUAACAGCUGCCGCCGAGAUGAAAAGGGGAAAUAAUUGCUAAGAGAGCCUUUAGGUAGAUUUUGCUUUUGUUUAUAUGUUAAUUUCUUUUUAGAUCAGUUUUUAUUCUUCUGAUUCUAUCUGGUAGUUAUUGAAUAUUUUCUUUAUUUUUUUUUCAGGUUUUUUGGUUGUACAAGUGCUUGCUUCAUGGUGACUGGUUAGUAUACAGGGGAAUUAGUGUCUCCUAUUUAUUUUCCUCCUUUCCGUUUCUUUCUUGACUACUCACACCGUUGUUUAGAGUGGUUUUUUGAAAUGUCAUUUUCUCAUAUCUUGCCUAAUGGAGUUUUUCUUUGAUGUCUAAGGUUUUGUGUGGUUAGAAAUUUAGGAUCUGAUACUUACAUAAUUGUUUAUCUCAUAGUGCUCAAAGUUCCAUGUGUUUUAGUGAUUACUAAGGUUCCAAGAAUUUGAUAUUUUUCUCCCUUUUUUGCUUUUGGAGUUUAGUUGUUUAAGUACUUGUCUCGUUUACAUUGCUAAUUCGCUAUUGUCCUCUGAAACAAAAAAACUUCACGGUAGCCAAGAGGUAUCCCCUCAAAUUCUGGUUUUGGGUUUUGCUGUGAAUUGUAGAGUGUUACCCGUUAUCUAAUGCUGAAUCUGUUGCAUGCAUGGUCUUAGCUUCUUUAUUUAGUGAUGUGCCUGCUGAAUUUGUAGUUUCCAAAGCUGUGUCCUGUAAGUUAUAAGCUUGUUUAAAUUGAUUUAAUAGCUCUAUUCUUCUCACAAGUCACUGGAAUUAUAAGCAUUAAGAAUAACUUUAGCAUAAGGCAAUUGAUGCAUGCAUGGAUGAUUUCCUAUUUUAGUUUUGUCUUUGUGUUCCCAUACUAAUGGUGCUGUUAUAUUCAUCAUCAUCGGCUAUUUAUUUUUUUUUUUUGCUCUGCAGGUUCUGCUCUUGGUUCGGUGAAUUUCUAGGUACUUUUCCUGUAGCUCUUAUAGUUAGUUUUUUUUUUCAACCCUUUCCUUUUUUUGGUGUUUUUGUACUAAUGAUACAGCUUAGUUGAUACACAUAGUUUUCACAGUAAAUGCUAUAAGUAUUGAAAUAUCUAUCUCAUUCCACUAAAACUACACAAUAGUACUUGAGUUCUUUAAAGGGAAAGCAUGACUUUUAAAGGGAAAGCAUUAGCAUUAGCUCACUUUGCAAUAGUACUUGAGUUCUUUAGUCUUGAUUGUUCCCUUCUAAUAGACUCUAGGAAUCACCAAAAGCUGAAUUCACUCAAGGUCAUUGUUUCAUCCUUUUUUUUAAGGUCUUUCAUCUUUCCAUCUAUAGAGUCCUUUGAGUUCUUUAAAGUAACAAUGGUCAAAGUUAAAAUGAACUACAAAUGAUGGAGACUAGAAUAUUUAAGCACUUAGAGGCACUACCUAUUUCUUUAUAUCUGACUUUUUCCUCUUGUUCUUAUGCUUCUUUGACACAGAGAUCUUAACCUUCUCUUCAGCAGACUCCUACCCAUGUGUACAAGAAGUUAGGAAGCUGAUUCUAGCAGUGAUAAAAGUAAAAUUCAAUUUUCCUGGCAUGUUCUUUAUGGGAAAUCGCUUAUGUGAAUGCAACUAUAGAUUACCUCAGAAUCAUCAAACGAAUCAGCUCUUCAAAGCACAAAGCCAUCUGCUGCAGGUUGGCCUAAACUUUCUUAUGUUGACAUAUCACAAAAUACAUUUUUAAUAGAACAAACAGGUUGUCCUUGCAUUUUCCAUGUAUUCGUUCAUUCCUUUUCAAUGUACUCUUUGAGGCAUGCUAAAUAACUCGAUCUCACAUGUUUAGUAUACUAUCUAACUCCCUCUGAAGCAGACUUCAAGAUUAACUGGAUAACCAAAUGGAUAGAGAGCAUCCCUGGUUCAUUAUACUGCAAUCGCUUCUUCCUUGAAUGAGCUGUGUAUUUCCUAGCACUUACUAACAAAGACUUCUAAAUGAACUCCAUAAGUAAAUGGAUGAAGCAUAUCUUUGCCUCACGUAGAGAACUACAAGAAAGGUAAUGAGCUGCUAGAGAGUGGUUGUACUCUUAGGUGUUGCUCACAUGACUUCUUAAGUUCUUAUGUUCCAAUUUGACAUUAUAUUUUCUUUUGCAAGAAAAUAGUUGUCCUUUGCUUUAUGAAGUGUGAUGCAUGUCUUUAUCUCUAUCUUUAAUAGUACACUUAGAAUCUUUUAUCAUUAGACCGUGGUCUACUAUGAGAGAUAGGUAACCAACUAUUUCACACUUUUGGAUUGCAUUUUAUAGCUCAAGUAAGUGAAAUUAAAUUCUUGACUUUGUUUUCUUAGUUUUGUAUCAAUAAGUUUGAUUAUGCCUACAAUGUGCUGCUUACUUUAGUAAGAUGUUUGGCGUGCUAUGUAAAUAAGUUUCUUAAUCAUUGACUUUAAAAAUUUGGCUGCUGGAAAGCACAAAAAUCAGGAUGAGAAAAUUCCUAUGACAGAUUUAAUAGAAAUUAGGGAACUUAAGUGGUGUGCCACUUUUGCUGUUUCAUUAGAGCAUAAGGACUUGACAAUUUAGAAGGUGGCUUAACUAAUUAAAUGGCUGAAAUGGUUUAAAAAAUGUCUUUUUCAAAAGGGUGAAACAUAUUUAAAUUGUAACACUAAACAAGUUGUCAUUUUCUUUUUUAUUGAUUUUUUUAUACAGUAUAUAUUAUACAAAAAAAUUUAUUUGUCUCUCUUCUUUUAUCGAAUUCAAGUAAGAACUCAUAAGUAAUGACAAAAGGGUGCAGAAUAUUGACUGAUUAAUAUCUUGUCCUUUCUUGGGAGUACAAGUGGGAAUGCAAACUUUGGUUUAAAUCCAUUUGACAAGUGUGUAGUUUCAAAGCUUUAAACAUGAGAAUUUUUAUACUUAGACUAACUCAGCCAAUUACAUAGUUGUGCAUCUGCUUGGCGACUUUAAGUGUAGAGAUGUUUUAUUACACUUGAUGAAGCAAGAGUAUGAAGCCUCCUUGCUCAGUUCUUACUUUAUGUUAUUUAAAUAGUCAAAAUUAGUUCAAAAAAUAAUGGGAGUGUUUGGAUACCAAAAUUAUUCCAAAUAAUAUUUCGCUUGCAUCACAAAUACAUUUUCCAACCAACCCUUUUAUAUUUCCAAUCACCUUUUUAUCUCACAUACAUCAUAUCACAAAAAGUGCUACAGUAAUUAUUCCAAAUAAUAUUUCAAAUAAUACACUAUCCAAAAUAUUGCAAGUCUUCUAUUCUACAAGUUCUUAUUUUCUUUUCUUGAUGUCUCUACCUUUUAUGAAGUCCAAAGAAAUUGAAGGCCUUUAGUCUUUUGGUGACUUCAAAAACAAUUUUGAGUUAGUUUCAACUGUUGUAGGAAAACAAAGAUUAAAGUGAUAAAAUUUGUUGGGUCGGUGGAUGAAUAUUUUGGCCUCAAAUACCAUUUUGAAAGGUGUUAAUACCUUUCUUUGCUGUUAUCAUGGGCCCAAAAUAUUUCCAUUGUAUAUCUAUUUCAUUUGCUUUAUCAGAUCUCAUUUGCUACGUCAAUAAGGUUCUAAACUUGAGAUAAUGACUUGUUUAUCUUAUCUCAGACUGGAAGCAUAUGCAGCUCUCCACUUCCGAUUGUGUCGAGUCUUGUGUUGAGCAUUGUGUCAAGUCUUCAUGGGUGCUAGUACUUGAGAGAAAAAGGGCAUUUCAUAGCCUUUUUGUAUUUUUGUAAUUUAUACCUUUUGAAACAUUAUGAAUAUUGUGCUGAUACUGCUUUCUGUUGGUAAAAUCUGGGGGAGAAAGAAAUCCAGCAAGUCCUGUAACUUACAAUUAUACUUUUUUGUUUUAUUCCUAGAUGAGAGUCCCAUUUUCUCAAGUCUGCGAACAUGGAUGCACUUCACAGUUACAAUAUCAUCGAAAAUUACUUUUGCAAAUUGCUCUAUCAACUUUUGAAUGGAUAGAUAUAAUACAGCUUUAUAUAAUUUUGAAUGGAUGAAUAUAAUAUUUAUGAUUUAGCGUAGUAUAAUUUGCAACAAUUAUGUACUAUAUAUAAAUGGAAAAACUUAAAUAAUUGGGAAAGUUCAAUUAUGUACCAUACAUGACUGAGCAAACACGAAAAUUUUCACGGUGUUCUCCUCCUAGUUUUUGAAAAACACGUGCAGGGUGGGUUAGAAGUGUGAUGCAUCACUUUUAACGAAUUUUGACUAACUUGUGUCACAUUCUACACUACUAGCAUAAUUUUAUAAUUUUUUAUAAAAUAAUUUUUAAGUAAAUUGAAUUUUAGGAAUCGAAAGAUGAGUUUAAAUAAUAAAAAAAUGUUUGAAUGGCGAUGCAAAAUAAUACUGGGCUCAACUGUAGAUUUGAUUUUUCUUUUUUCAAAUUAGAAAAAAUUGAAGUGUGUUUGGAUAGAAUAUUAUUUGAAAUAAUUAUUAUAAAACUUUUCGUGAUGUGAUGUAAUUAUUAUUCAAAGCUUGGGAUUCUCCCAUCGCGAUUUCAGCCCAGAAUGUAAUCGCCGCAGCCCAAAUAGUUCCUUCAACCCGAAGAAAGGAACAUCCCGAAACCUGGUCAAACUGAAAAAAUGAUUCUCGCCCAUGUUCAAACCACCACGGCACCACCAGCUGACGGCAAAAAGGCAAAAGCAGAGUCGUAAAUUCUCAUUAGAAACCACAGAAGUUUCCAGAACAAUGGCUUUAGCGACGAGGCAAAGGCGGACGCCACCGACAGAUCUCUUGACGACGUCGUCAAGUUCGUCGUCCUCUUCGUAUACGAAGCUCGAUAAGCCGAAGAAAUCCGACGCCGGACAAGAUGAGGUCGACCGCGGGUUAGGAUGGUUGUUGCCGUUGAUUUCUCUCGGAAUGCUGAGAUACAUGAGCUCUACGACGAAUAUAAUUCACGAUUGCGAUGAGGUCUUCAAUUAUUGGGAGCCUCUUCACUAUCUCCUUUACAAGUCUGGCUUCCAAACUUGGGAAUAUAGGUCCAUUUCUCUCUUCUCAAUGCUCAAUUUAAACAUAGUUGUGUAAAACUUUUCUUUUAUAUUUUAGUAGCUUAAUUUGGAUUUGUUUUUUGGUCUUAAUGUUUUAAUCGAGAAUUGAUCUAUGUUUCUUCAUGUGUUGCAUCCGUAAAAUAGUGAAAUUGUAGGAGCUAAAUUUCUCUUUUUCGGAUAUUCAUUUACAGAGCAGAGCUAUUACGUGCUCAAACUUGAUUGAGUUUUCUAAACAAUUUUUUUUUUUUUUUUUUAUUUUUGCUGAAGUGGAAGUUUGCAGUUGAUAUUAAGCAUACGGUAGGACAUUAUCUGUUUCUGCACAAAGGAAUAGUAACACUUGUUAUGGAGUAAAAGAAAAACAGGCUUGGGGUAUAAGUUGAGUUUCACUACAUCUUCGCCUGCUUCAUGCGGCAUUGUCGUUAAAUUGAUAUUUUGCAUCCUGCAGCUCCCAAUUUGCACUGCGCUCGUAUCUUUACAUUAUUUUCCACAAGUUAAUCGCAUCCCCUGCUUCCUGGUGGUUUGGUGAGGAAAAAGUAAGAACACCUCAAGCUUCUUUUUGUUUUUCUUUCCCUGACUUCUUUUUGUUGUUUUCCCUGAAUCUGUCUUAACUGGUACACGUGUAUAACUUUCAGGUCAGGGUAUUUUAUGCUGUGAGAAUUUUUCUUGGACUCAUCUCCACCGCAACAGAUGCUGCUCUUGUGGUUGCCCUGUCCAGAAAGUAUGGAAAACGUCUUGCAUCUUAUGCGCUUGCCAUGCUAUGCCUAACCAGUGGCUGUUUCUUUGCUAGUACUAGUAGGUAGCUUUUCCCAGUGAUCUCUAUCCAAGCUUCCAGCGUGUUUAUAAAUGGUUGAACAAAUUAGCAUCUUUCUGGACCUUGCUUUGAUUUUGUUAUUGUUUUCACGUUCAAUUUGUUUGGGCUUUUCACAGCAUAAGUUUAUAUUGGGCUAAAUUUGCAGGUUUUCUGCCUAGUUCGUUCUCCAUGUAUGCUAUGUCUCUUUCGUCAGCACUUUUUCUUUUUGAGAAGCCUGCCAUGGCAGUUGCUAUUGCAGCAACUGGAGUUAUUCUUGGCUGGCCAUUCUCGAUCUUGGCAUUUCUUCCAAUAACUAUCUACUCCCUCGUUAAAAGGUUUAAAGAAGCAUUCCUUUCAGGGCUAAUCAGUUCCCUUGCACUGUUGGUGAGUGGAUUUGGUUAUAACUUUAGUAUUGCUCCUCAACUCUUUAAUAUCCUGAUUUUUUGUAUAAAUUGCCAAGUUUGAUCAUUUAAGUUGUUGUUGAAUUACAUUAUAAGGAAUUUGAUCUCUUCCAGGUGCUCUCCCUCGUGUUUGACUACUACUACUAUGGAAAGUGGACAUCAUCGGUUCUGAAUCUCUUGGUUUAUAAUGUCUUAGGUGGUGGGGAGAGUCAUUUGUAUGGUACUGAAGGGCCGCUGUAUUACCUGAAGAAUGGCUUUAAUAACUUUAACUUCUGCUUCCUUCUUGCCCUGCUGUUCCUUGUGGUUCUUCCUGUUGCAAGAAAGAAGUAUCAACCAGAUUUAUUGGUCGUCAUCUCUCCUAUCUAUAUAUGGAUAGGUUUCAUGUCUCUGCAGUCUCACAAAGAAGAAAGGUUUGCUUGAUUUGUUGUCCUAGUAUUUUGAAAAUUAACAAUGGGCUUUAUUUUGUCCUUUUUUGCAUCUAUAUUUUUCAUAUUCAGUUCCUUUGAAGUGUUUAUUGGUUGCAACAUGCAGAAUCUGAUUUUUUUUUUUUUUGGUCUACUAUCAAGGCUUAGUAUGCUUUAUUGUUUUAUAACCUGGAUGCCAUUUGUUUAGUGUUCUCUAACCUAGAUGUAUUACAUUCCUCCACUUGGCUUAGAUUAUCUUCAAACAUGUUGUUUUUACUGGACUAAUGGGUUGUACAAUCAUCAAGGAUUUGAAACUAUGGAAGGUUUGUUAGGUUGCUUACUUAGAGAGUAAGAGUUGUUCUUUGAAGAUUUUUCGGGCUCUUUAGGUCUGUGAAAUGUAUUCUCUGUUGGCUGCAUACUGAAGGAAAAUUCAGAACAUCAAAGCUUGAUAGAAUGAUGUAGAAGUGAAGAACUUGUGAAAGGACUGAUAGAAAGGAUUACUAUAUUCAUCCUACCGCUAAAAGUGAAGAAUUUGUUUAACAGUUUAUGAUUUUCUAUUCAACUGAAAGAACACAACCACAUAAUGCAUUUGCAAGUUGUUUGUUUUUCCCCUUUUCCCUUUAACCACCUGCUACAAGUUUUCCAUGGAAAAAUGCUUUAUUUUUGGAUGACCUGGUGGUGUGCAUCAGUGCAACCCUGUAGAUUCCAAAAGAUUGUGUUGCAUGGAUAUUAAUGGUUGUGGCAUUGUUUAACAAGCUAAGCUCAAAGUUUUAAAGUAUACUCAGCUUAUUACCUCUGAUGGACUUUCUGCUAGGUUUCUCUAUCCAAUUUAUCCCCUUAUCUGUGUUGCUGCUUCAGCUGUCAUUGAGAGCUUUCCUGAUUUUUUCCGGGAUAAGCAUGAUCCACGCAACCCAUCCGUGCUUGUCAAGGUAAUAUGACUCCUAACUGCUGCUUUAUAUUGGCUCAGUGCCUGUUGCUGGUGAAAAAUUACCUUUGAUUUGUUAAUGCAGGUUGCUAAAUUUCUGAGACCUGUGAUUCUUGGCUUAAUUUUGUGUGUUUCCCAUUCUCGGACAUUUUCCCUGAUUCAUGGCUAUUCCGCACCUUUAGAGAUUUACAAGCAUUUUGAGCAUCAUGAUGAUGUAGGAACUGGUGAGAAUCCAUUUAUCUGAUUAUGGGAUCUGACGCUUUUCGUCAAAUUCUGGCUAUGUUACUUUAGUAUCAUGGCUAGUUCUUAAUCAUCUGUCCUCAAGGCCUACAGAAUAUAAGAAGACUAUGGAACUGGUUAGACAAAACUUGUAUGCCUGCUUACUGUCAAAUUAAAAUUUUUCCUCAUUGUUCCAGCAAAUUGCCUUCUUCCCCCAUCCCUUUUCCCUCCGUUUUAAUUUCCUUCUAAGAUGAUAUAUGAAUUUUCUUUUCCCUUUUCAUGGUAAACAAGUAUCUUGGCAAAUUAUUCUAACAAGGCUUCCUGUUUAAUUGAAGUACGGGAUUUCCUGAAUUGGUCUAUUUUUCUUGCUAUUGACAAAAUUGUCAGUGCUUUUGGGGUUAAUUUAAUUGUUCACAUUUAGAAACAAUCGUAGCCAAGUUUAUUCUGGGUGUUUGCUUCCCAAAAAAAAAAAUCUGGAUGUUUAUUUCCUCCUAAUUUCAUGUGUGCCUUACUUAUUUGUUUCAUGUAUUUACAGGUUCUGUUGUUUGUGUUGGGAGUGAGUGGCACCGCUUUCCUUCAUCUUUUUUCAUUCCUGAUUAUGUGGCCCAAGUUCAGUGGAUAGAUGAUGGGUUCAGGGGUCUUCUUCCAUUCCCUUUUAACUCUACCUUGGGUGGAACUUCAGCAGCACCGCCUUAUUUCAACAAUAAGAACAAGGCAUCAGAUGGCCAAUAUGUAAUCAAAAUUUGACUUUCUAGUGAAUAAGCAUCUCUCUUUCCCUUCCUUUCUCACAUGUUUCACUAGCUUCACUUGUUAUUUUGUUAUAAAGAAAAAGAUUAUUAUCUUUGUUUUUGUGUGAAUUGUUCAAUGGGUUACUAUAAUUGGUUACUUUGUUUCCUUCUAUAUUACAGCUCCAGGAUCUUGAGAAGUGCACUUUCCUUGUAGAGCUUCAGCUUCAACGGCCAGUCCUUUCCCGUGGAAGUGACUUGUCGAAGUGGGAGGUACAGCCACUCUCUCUCUCUCUCACACACACACACAUAUUCACACUUUUGUGCACACAACUGGGUGCACCAUGGCAGAUACAUAAAAUACCAAAAAGGGGUUGUUUUUCUGACUGGGAGUUUCUCUUAUGUAGGUUGUUGCAGCAUUACCAUAUCUCGACAGGGAAAUGUCACCUCCCCUUCACCGCUCUUUCUUUAUCCCCCAUCUUUGGCUGCAGAAGAAUGUCUUUGGCCUAUACAAGCUGCUGAAGAGAAUACCAAAAUAGCUAGCAGAUUAUGAGAAACCUUUCAUUAGUUGAGUAGUGCUAACUUUUUCUACGCUGAGUUCAGCUUUUACUAAUAGAAGUUUUCUGAAGACCCAGUUUGCUAAUUGAGGUUAGGAACACUCUAGCUGAAAGACCCAGUUUACUAAAGAAUGUCUUUGUUUUCAAGAAUGUCACCCUCCCUCUGUUUACCGCUACAUGCAAAUACUUUCAGUGAGAUCGUGGCAUUUAGUGUAAUGUGUCUAGUUGUAGCUGAUCUUUCUUCUGAUCCCCUCAUGCCACCAUUGUGGAGUCUCAUGGCAUCGGUCAUAAACUAGCUAUUUGUUGGUUACUCGCUGGCAAGCCAUUGUUUUUAUUUGAAGGGAGGUAAAAGGGGGAUGGUAAAUUGGGUUUUUUGCAACCUCUCAUAGAUUAAUUCGCACAAAUUUGAGUUGGAAAAUCAUGCCCCGGACUCAGCUGAGUUUCAGAGAUCAUAUUUGUGGUACUUGCAGGAAAAAUUUUCUCCACUCUUGUUGUGGCCAGUGGAAAUCUUCACGGUGACUGAAUGCUAGGAGGUGAUGAUGCGUGAUUAUAUUGCUUUAUCAAGGGAUGCCUCUCUAAUUUCGGACCACGGGUCCUGAAUGUUUUACAAUAUUCAAAUGAACACCUUCAGGCAAAUUUGGAAUCUGGAGAUAUCUCAUGGUUUUGAUGUUCGAUAGAAUUAAUGCUUAUAUCGUCAUCUCCUUGACCGGGAAACUCUUUUGACGCUGAAAAUGUUACUACAAGUAAGAUUCAUGUAUCGAUUAUAACUGUUUUCGUCCAAGGGGAAGAGAGGGGAUUAGAGGAGGAGACUCAAAAGAGAAAAAAAUGAAGUAAACGCAAGAGUCUUGAGCAAUGUGGUUUUAUGGCAGAGUGGCGGUACUGAGGUACAAUUGCUUCCACGGUUGGAGGUUUCCCAAAGGGUACUGAAAUGCAUUUUCUUAGAGAAACUAUCUGUGAUCAAGGAGAGGGAGCGUAUGUUCUUCUGGAGUAGCAUACAUGAUCCAACUUGUAGAAGCGUAAGGUGUUCUGAAAUUCGAAAAUAAACCAAAGACAUUUUGCAAAACUACUACGAAAGUUGGCGAAAUCAAAUGAGAAGGUGAUGAAAUCCUUAACAAAUGACCUCACAAUUUUGGCUGACAUUGAUGGCAAUACAGCCAAGUGCACGGAAUAACUCAACAAAUAGCGGUUCAGGUAGAUUGAAAUUACACUCUUUCCAUUUACUUUUUGAUAUGGUUACAUGUAGCCCGCACUUGUGAGAUCAAUACAGCAAACCCCACAGGAAUAGGGAUAAACAGUAACCCCUUAAAGCUACAUCAACCAUUUAAUCAUUCAUUCAUACUAGCCCAAAUAGUUACAUCUGAUAAACUGAAUUUGCAAAUUUAAACUUAUCAACCGUACUGACGUUUACUGUGUUGGGUUUGAGUUUUAUCUCACAACUGUUUAUUUUGUUGGAUUUGGAUUUUAUUCCACCAAACCCAACAAACUGAACGGUUGGUUGGUGAGAUAAAACUCAAGUCCAACAGACCGCAGAACUCAAACUUUUACCAACUGAUCGGCAUUCUGAUCCAGCCAGUAUGGGAACAAGUAGAGAUUAAGCGCUCAAUGCAGUUGGAGAAUUGGUGAUAGGUUAGUAAGAUAGUCAGAUAUGAAUAGUUAGCAAUGCCACAACCUGGAUGAUUUACGGGCUUCCAGAUGAACAUUCCCAACUAAUCAUUCCAACUAGGCAAUGCCGUACGAAGUUCUUGCACAAGCUUUGGUCGAGGACUCAUAACGCUUGACAUUAGCUCCUACAUUCUGAAGCUUCAUCUCCAUAUUCUCAUAUCCACGAUCACUGUGAGAUAUUCCGCUUACUUCAGUUAUUCCUUCAGCAGCCAACCCCGCCAAAACCAGAGACAUUCCACUACGUAAAUCAGCUGCCAUGACUUGAGAACCUUUGAAACUACUGAUGGAACAGUAAUUUAGAGUUGUCAAUCUUCAUAAACCAUAGUCAUACUCCAAAUUUAGAUAUAUUCAGCUACAUCAUAAAAGAGUAGAAGCUAACCUUCCUGUCUCCUUUCCAAAAAUCAAAGCGGUGCUUCCACAACCAUGAAUUCUGGGCCCAAAUUUCCUCAAUUCCUUUACUACAAGAACCAAAAGCCAGAACUAGAUGUAAAUAGCUGACAGUUUGAAAAGAAGAAUAUGGCUUGGUGCCUAGGGAAGGAUAUGUCAUAUAAAAAUUACCCUAGAUUAGAACAGGAAUACGUGUGUAGCUACAAGUUAAAAUAUGUAUUUGCUGAUGCAGUUGAGCAAGAAUGUGAACAAGAGUGGACAUGAAUUCCAGUGCAAUGAUUGAUCGCUCCAUUAUCCAUACUACAUGCCAUGACCCAAGCGGUUUUCAAACACAGAUUCCUCCACCAUACUUGGACCGUUACAUGUUGCAAGGAAUGCCAUAGUCUGGGGUUGGAGAUCUGUAGGAAAACCAGGAAAUGGGCCUGUUUUAAUGUCAAAGCGUUGCAAAUCAUCUCCACAUUUUUCAGGGAUAGCUGAAACCUGGUCAUCAAUCAUAUAUUUCUCGGAACUGUGUAUAACAGAUUUGGGUCUGGAAGAAAAUUAAAAGCUAAAAUAUGUAAGAACGUUCUUAUACCUCCAAGGUGUCAUCAGUGUACGAUACAAUUUUGCAGCCUGCACUAGAAAGCCUUUCAAUCAAACAGGAUAUAGUUGAAGGAAUGAUGGGUGACAACGAGAUACAAGAGCGGGUAAUCGCAGCUGCAAGCAUGAAGCUGCCUGCUUCUAUCCGAUCAGGCAUAAUGCUGUAACAGGAACCAUACAACUGACCCCUUCCGGAAAUAUAAAGUUCAUGGGUGCCAGCUCCUCUGAUGGAAGCUCCACAUCUUGUGAGGAAAUGAGCCAGAUCUAUCACUUCCAGUUCCUGCAGAGGGAAUAUCCAAUUAAAGAAUAAGCAAGAUUUUGAGUCAUUCACUGAGGUCCAAAAUCUUUGAAGCAGCAGAAACUUAGCACAACAAACCACUAUUCAAAUCAGAAUAGAAUAUCUAAGAGAUUCUUCUACUGCCAUACUUGAGCUACAUUUGAAAGCACUGUAUUUCCCUUGGCCAAAGAUGCUGCCAUCAUAAGAGUUUCCGUCGCCCCAACACUAGGGUAAUCAAGUUGGAACCUCGCACCAACCAAUCCCUUUCCAUUUGAAGCGUAGGCUUGUACUUUUUCAUCUCUGUGGAUGAUAACCAAAGCUUACUUCAUUCAUGUACAUUAUCCAGCAUCUGUCAAUUCUUGCAAAUAUGAACCACCACUGGGCUUCCUGUCAUACAUACAUGACCUGGCACCAGUCUGCUUUUUAUUUUGUGAAUGACUAGCAACUAUGCUUGUUGUGAAGCAACGGCUACGAUGAUUGCAAAUACAACACGACACAAAUAUACAGAUAUAUCAAAAGCUUGCCUAGCUUUCAGUUGUUUAACACAGGAUGAAGUAUUAACAAAAGCAGGGGCAAUUCUUUGUCUUUUGAGUGACAGAGAGGGAGAGAGAAAUUUCUUUUCAGCGAAUUAUGAGAUACUGCUGAUAAAUAAAUUCAUGCAGAAAACACCCCAAGCAGUCAAACACUACUAUCAAUCUCUUUGCGUGAACCACCAUUACUUCAAAACUUGAGUCUCAACGUCAGGGUUGGCAAUUGAGCAAAACUAUAGUUGUAGACCUUAAAAGGCUAGUACACAAAUUAACCACAUGUCGUUAGGAAUGAUAAUUGGGUCGGGUCGUAGCCUCGUAGGUUGGCAGGUCAGCUUGAAACUCACGUUUUCUGAAUAACACGUCAACUCGAACACCAUCCGAAAAUUUAAAUGAGUCAAUUUUCUUGACCCAAAUAAGAUUUGUUAAUUUCACGAGUUAUCGGAAUCCUAUUUAAAUAACUUGUUCGCUUAAUUUUCUUUUUAUUUUUUAACCUUCUCACUUUGGUAGUACGGUGGAUUUUUUUUAAUAAUGAAGUUUCCAUCAGAACAUAGAAAUUGUAGUCCAAUCUCGUAGUAUUUUUUUUUUUUGUAAAAAAAAUGAAAAAAAAAAACUACGACACUUGCACACAUAAAAUACCUUAUUUUCGCAUAAUAUUCAUGCUUUCGUUCUCGUAAUACUUAAUUAUAGCCUUAGUUAGUUUUCUUUUUUAUUUAUUUUAUGCCUCUAUUUUAUUUAUUAAAUUAUAAAAAUACAUAUUAAACUAGUCAAACGGGUCAACCCAUGUUGAUCUAAAUUGGACUUGUUUGAUUAGUGGAUCGUUCGGAUCUGACCUGAAUUUAAUCCAAAUCCGUGAAAAGUAAAAUCAUAUCUACUAAUUUUAUGUUAGGUUCGAUUCGAAUUUUUAAAUCGUGUUGAGAAUUGUUACACCUGCAUGUCUUGGCUAGAGAACAUUUUGACACUGGUUAAUUCUAGACAUAUCUACCGCAAAUGCAACUAGGGCUGCAAACGAAUCGAGCCGCUCGCGAGCGACACGAGUCAAGCUCGAGUCGAACUCGAGCUCGAAAUCGAGUUCAAAAUAUUAAGCUCGUUAGCUCGCGAGCUUGAGUAUAUAUAUAUAUAUAUUUAUUUAAUAAUAAAAUUAUGUAUAUUAUAUAUAUAUAUUUUUAUUUUUUUAUUUUCAUAGUAAAAUUACGUAUAUAUUCUUAAUAUUUUAUUAUUUAUUAAGAAAAAAAUAUUAUUUAUUUUUUUAAAAAUAAAAUAAUUAUUUUUUUAUUUUUUUCGAGCUCGAGCUCGGCUCGACUUGAUUCGAGUCGAGUUCGAGCUCGAAAAUUGCCGGCUUAUCGAGUUCGAAUUUGGUAAAAUUUAGUCGAGAUUCGGAUCGAUUAGUUCAAAACUCGACUCGACUCGGCUCGUUUGCAGCCAUAAUGGUGGUGACAAAUGCUAACUUCCCAACCGGGGCCGGAUUACGAGUGAGAACUGGAAAGUCAUCAUCCCAAGCGACGUCGCUUAACCGGUGCGUUGAAAUAAAUGUGCCUGGGAAGUUGUUGGAAAAAAUAACGAAGAAGAGAAAGAUGAAGGGGAAGCUGCGAAGCCCUAAGCCUAAGGAGCAUCAGCUCAACCCCAACUGGGAGCUGCUCCGUCAAGUAAUCUACAACUCUAUAGUUCCUCCACUUUCACAUUAACUUAUUCAAAUACUAAUUCUUUUCUUCUACCUUUUUUUUUUGCUUGUAUUUCUUUAUUAAUUCACUCGUAUAUGCAGAAGCUGAUAAAGAGCAAUGGCCCAAAGAAACAGUCCACCAGAAGCCAACAACAGAAAUCAGAACCAGAAUCCCAGAAUUCCAUUUUAGGUCAAUCCCAUUUUUUUUUUUGCUGGUACUUUAAGUGGUUGAUUCUGCUGUAUACUAGUAUUUAAAGUAUGAUUCUACACAAUUUUUUGAUUCACUGGUUUUUUAGGUAUUGCAGUGUCCAUUCACAGUAAUGUUCGAUAAAAGUUUGCAUUUUUCUAUGUUCUCGUGUUGGUUAUAAUCUCAGGGAAGCGUAAAGAGAGGCCAGUGACUGAGACUGAUGGUUCUAAGCCUAACCCAUUGAUCCCAAGCUCCUCUGAUUCCAGGUGCAGGAAAAGCGUUUUACUUUAAGUUGUAGUAUCCGUUUGUGGCGUUUAUUUAUUUAGUUAUUCAUUUAUAAAUUUUUAUUCUUAAAUUUAUGUUUAAAUGAAUUUUUCAGUCGAGGAAGGGAAUUCAGGUCGAGUAUUGACUAAUUUGAGCUUUUAGGCUAAAGUUUCCGUAUUUCAUAAAGAGAAGGAUAAACUUGAAAAAUCCUCCUAAACAGUGCAUGGACUUUUUUGGGCUUGAUAUGUGGUUUUUUUUUUUGUGGGGGGGGGGGUGGCGGCUAGGGGAUGUGGGGAAGAUGGCUGACUAUAAUCUUUAUGAUGUGGUAAUGUGGGAAAUAGCAGGAUGCUUAACAAGUGACGUGCGGAUGUUUUCUUAAUAUUUAUGCUUAUAGAAGAUGUGAGUGAGCUUAUGUGUUUGAAUUAACGAGUUAUAGCUGUUAUGAUAGUGAAUGAAUUCUCAAUCUUAAAUAAUCCAGAAUAAACAAUAAGGAAAUGUUAGCCCUUUAUGUAGUGGUUCCAAUUUUGGCAUUUGUUCGUGGGUAACAUUUUGUUUUCGCUUCAUUCUUCUUCUUCUUCUUCUUUAUAGUAAUAGGGGAGGGGUGGGAUCUAAGAAGCAUACUGCAUUCAAUGGUAUGCUUAUACUUUAUUUGUCUUGUUCAAAGUUAUUUUUUUUGACAAUUAUCAACCACAUUGCAGCGUCACAGAUGUUUUAGCCAUGGAUUGCGAAAUGGUCGGCGUCAGUUCUAUGGGAAACAAAAGUGCUCUUGGACGAAUUACACUGGUAUCCCUGGUUACAACUUUUGCGCAUGUCACUGGAUUUUUUUAAAAUUUUUAUUAAGUUUUUCCUUUUGAUCUUUUAUAUGAUUUUCUUUUUUAAAUUUUCUCUCUUGAGGUUGAUGUAAGAAAUAUUCAUUUUAGCUGUCUGUAAUAGAAAACUACUAUUAAGUUUAUUUUAUAUACUUGAACAAGUUGAAUUAUAGUAAAUACAUAAAUUUUCAGUGAAGCGUGAAAAGGAAAGAAGCUUUGGUAUCAGAAUUGAAAAUUAGCGACUUGAUGUGUUGUUAUCUUCUUACAUCGUCCAUAUUUCUAAAGGAAAGGUCUGCAUAUGGUACUAGUUAUUUUGUUAAAGUAUCAACGGAGCUUAUGUGUAAGCUUCCAAACCACAUGGUAGUCUUGUGUACUUUCUCUUCUGGCCUUUUUUUCCCCAUCGAGGAGCUCACAUUCUUGAGAUAAAAUCGCUUGUAUCCGUAUUUCUUUUCCCCCAACUAACAGAAAAUUGGUACUCAAAAAAGCAAGAUAAGGAGGGGCCUGCAAGCAAUUUGGCCAUUAUGUCACCAAAGUACAAGAAGAAUAAGUCCGAGGGCGCAUGCAUUUGGUGAACUUUGGCAGCCCAGAAUAUGUUUGGUGAAACUGUAGAAUGCUCUGCCCCGAGAGUUGCAACUACAAAAUGCUGAUUCUGAUCUAAGUCAGUUAGGUGCAUCAUCUCAUUUCUGCCAUAAAACAUUAAAAAGAAAGGAGAUAUUCGCCCAAUCCCUUCAAAUUCUCCAUCUUCUCCUAUACAGACAAGAAUAUACAUAUCCAUCCCUUUUUUUUUUUUUUUUAACAAGUGGGCUCAAACUUAAAUUACGAAGCCAAUUUGGUCAAAGUGUCACUGCUGCCAAAAUACUUAAAUGGUCUAAAUGCAGUAAUUUAAUCUAUCUCUGGAGUUUUGCAGGUCAUUAGACUAUUUAUAUUGUGGUUAGGUUUCAUUAGGCAGGACAAACUCCCGUACCAAAGCACAACAGGCAGUAUUUGCCAACGUUGAAAAUAUAUAGGAGGGGAAGCAACUCACAAAUAAGGAAAAGUUCAAAGAGUACCCUGAUUACUUCGUUAGUUCAACUUAGAGACAUAGGCAACAGCAACUGCAAUGCAUUUGGGCCAAAAAAAAAAAGGGAAAAAAUGAAUGGGAGCAUUAGAGCAUAGAAUAUAGACAUAGGCUAUGUAUAUCCAAGUUUUUGCAUGUUAGUUUUGUUGCCCUUUUUGGCUUGUCAAUUGCUAAUACAUAUGGUACUUUUUUGAACCCGAAAAGGGACAUUCAAUAUCCAAUAUCGUAGAUUGAGUUGAGUUUAUUAAACACAUUGUACAAGUAGAGGACAAUUGGUCUCGUAAUCCUCUUAACAAAUUGGGUGAACUAAACACCACAAGGCUGAGAAAAGAUGUAGUUGGUACCGCAUGAUCAUUAAUUAAUCACAUGAUAGGAACUAAACGUAUAUUUAACCAUCUUGAUAGACAUUCCUAGUUUCUAAAGCAAAGACAGGAGUCACAAGAGAUCUUGAUUUUGGUCAACCAAUUUAGUGUCUGAUACAAUGUGGUCCAAGUUAUAAUAAUUGGAGACAAAAAGUGACCAUUUCACGGGCCAUAGCUGCUCGCCUUUUAGACAAAAGUCAUGCCAUUGUUUGAAAGGGUCGAUGCCAUGCCCAAAGCACAUUGAUGAGUUUGGGUAGUACGGCCACCAAAAUGGCCUCACAAAAAUGUUAUGUUUUGAUAGUAAAUUAUUUGCGAUAAUUUUGUAAAAUAAAAUACUAUAUUACUUUUUUGAUAUCAUAUAUGUGAGUCACAAAAGUGAUUGAAAAAUGAGUUUUGGAUAGUACGGCCAUCAAAAUGGAAGGUUUAACGAAAUGGCCUCACAAAAAUCUGUGCGGUCAAGCAAUCAAAUGAAGCUUAUGGACUCUUACCUCUUUUAAGUUCGACCCUAGCAUACUGAUAUUUUAGGGGAAAAAGACGGGAAUAAAAACAUUACCUCGCAACAAAUUUUUCUAUUCUUUUACCAUUCCAGUCGUGGAUCCAAAUCUUCCUUCCUACUUUUAUUCUUCUCUACAUAUGUAGUUAUUCAUUCCUCCUAUUAUCCUCAAAACUUCAAAAACAAGGAAGCAUGGAUUCAAUUCUGAUUAAAACUGAGAAAUGUUCAAUAAACCUUGAUUAGUUUGCAUGAUGUGCUGAUGAAAAUCAAUCACGUUACUUGCCAAAUUAAAAUAAUCAUGUACAUGCCAAACGUCGCGUUGGAAUAUGGGAUCUCCAAAAUACAAGUUAUUACACUAAAAUUUUAUUCUGCCACGUAUUUAUUUAUUUGAAUGAAAUGAAGUUGGAGAAGAUACUUGUUAAAGUGCUGUACAAAAUUAAAGUUGUUGCACCCUCUUUAUCAUCAUUUUCUUGAACAUAAUGUAAGUUGUAUGAACGAUUGGAUUUUCCUCCUAUGCAAACAGUAGAAAGGUUAUAAAAUCGAAAAAAACAAAACAACAUGACAAAAUGCUUAUAAUACUUGGUCUAAUAUUUUGAUUGCAUUUCAAAACUCAAUAGCAUCAUCAUGGCACUAAAGCUUAAAGUUAGAUUUCGCUCAUUGACUUUAGAAAGGUAAAGUUUGGACAGUAAUUUAUUUGAAAUAAUUUUAAAAAUAUAUAUAUUGUAAUAUUUUUUGAUAUAAUGUAUGUGAGAUAAAAAGAUAAUUAAAAAUAUAUUUAUAAUAUAAAUAAAUAAAUUUAUGUAAAUAAUUCAUUGUACAAACAAACGCUUGUGAUUUCAUCCUACGGUUUCUUAUACCCAGAAAUUUUUUUUAAAAAAAAUCAUCACCCAAAUUGAAUGUGUAGUCCAAUCAAUGAAUCAACCAAAGCAAAAACUCCCAAGAGGGAAAGCAAAGGACCACAAACAAACAAGGAGAAUAGGAGAAAAGCAUCAUGCCUGCACCUGCUCAUAUCAGCGCAUGCAUUACACUCGCCAUAGUCAGCGCGUGUUCUUAAUAUCCUGUCUCACACACAAAGCCACAAUACUUGCCUUUGCCCACCUCUCCCGCUCUCCAUGGAUUCUUUACGGGUCUGCUACUCCACCCAUUCGUGCUUUGCUUUGCUUCUGUCGAGUAUACUCCACAUUUUCGUAUUUCGAAUUUUAUUAUUGUUGCAAAAAAUCAUUUUCAAAACCCUCCUUUUUGACAUAACCAUCUCCCUCUUUACAUACCAUUUCACGCCGAAAGUGACCAAACCAAACAAACAACAGACCAAAAUGGAUGGCAAAAUUGUUCCCAUUUGGCAACCCCACCAAGCCCAACCCACUCUAUACACAUUGUAUAAUUAAUUGAAGUAUUUAUAAUUUUGGUUUAUACUCAUUGUUGCAAUUUAAGAUUUAUCAAGUUUUGAAAUUCCCUAAUACUUCUAAGCACUUUUUUAUAUGGUAGGGACCCUUUGGCAUGAGCCACAUUUUAUGAGGAUUUUUAUGUCGAAAACAAUCACUACUACCAUGUUGCUUUAUUUGAAGAAACAGGACGAGAGAGGGAUUAUAAGUAAAAAAUCAUGAAUUCAAGAUUUUUUAUUUAUAAAAAGGAUUAACCUUUUCUACACCGAUAGUGUAUAGACUGUCAGUAUUGGAUGAAUAACAAUUAUGAAAAUUUUGAAUUUGAAAUUCAAUUUUUACACAUAUAUCAUGAAUCCAACGAUGAUAGUGUAUACACUGUCAGUGUAUAGAAGAUUCACUCUUAUAAAAAAGCAAAAAAGAAAUAGGCCAAUGCUAAUAUAGUAAUGUGUUAUUAAUUACUAAGAAUGCUUUAACUGACAUAUUAAAGGAUUUGAUUAAGAUAUUAUUACAAGAGGAGCUCUUGUUAAGCCAAUAACUACAAACAAGCACCAAUAAGCUCAAAUUACCAACUUAUUUGUUUGAUGGGCUAACAAUUAUCAUCUUAUCGAAAUGAGAAAAAAAUAGUGAACAUGGUUAUUGGGAAAGAUGAGUAAAUUUUUAUUAGUCUAAUAGUGAACGAUGAUAAAAGAACCUCUAAAAUCCAACCAACUAUAGAAACUGAAUCAUUAAAAUGUCAUUAAUUCAUUUCAUGCAGAAAGGCAACAAAUUUUUAUCUUGUUUAUCAGAAUACAAUUAUAAUCCAUCAAAUCUUUAUACAUGUGAUGCUAGUUGCAUGCCAAACUCCAACCAUUUUAUAGAGGGAAGUGUUAUUUGCAUGCACUUUUAUCAUUUAUUUUAUUAUAUAAUCUAAUAAAUGAAAAUUAUAUAAUAAAAGUAAUAGUGAGAGCACGAUUAAAGUGCCAAUAACAUUUUUCUUUGAUAAAUCCCUACACUUCAACCAAAAAAGAACAAGGGAAAUGACAAAAAAACCUUCUUUUAUCAAAAAAGGGGAAUAUUUACUAUUUAUUCUCCUAUUUCAUUUUUAGAGAAACAAGGUGAUAAAUACUAGUAGAACAAAACAAAAGUACCAUUGAAAACAUAAUUAAUUAAAUAAAUUUACCGUAUUAUUAGUGUGCUAUGCAGAUAAACUGCAUAUAAACUAGAUACAGACGCAAGACAGUUCUGAUCUUGUUCCCCUUCUUCCCUUCUCCUCCUCUCUCUCUACGCACCCUAAUACAUAUUCAGAUACAGAUAGCAUGUGCUAAUAUACACAACUCUGUACAUGUCUACCAUGCUCUACUGUUGAUAUUUUGGGCCAAGAUUUCCCGGGUUAGUUCUCUCAAAUUCUUUCAAUUCUUUCAUUUUGCAGUUAAUAUGAUUGCUUUUUUCACAUUUUUGUUGUCUUCUAAUAUAUAAUAAGAGCUUAAUUUUGGAAAAUAUUUGUUAUUUGCAGGAUUUCAGUGUGUUUCUUGGGGCGAAUUGAAUUGUUCUUGCCUUCAGGUGGGGUGGUGGUGUUUUGAUAGUUUAGUGAUGUGAGAAAAAUGGGUUCUUAAUUAUUUCCUAAAUGUUAAUCGAAAGAUUUAAGCUUUUCGCAAUUUUGGGUUUUGGAUUUUUUUGUUGUUAAAAUGGGGAAUAAGCUGGGGAGGAGGAGGCAAGUGGUGGAUGAGAAGUACACGAAGCCUCAAGGGUUGUACCAACACAAGGAUGUGGAUCACAAGAAGCUCAGGAAGCUCAUACUUGAUUCCAAACUCGCACCUUGCUACCCUGGUGAUGAUGAAUGCGGCGCCUGUGAUCUGGAGGAGUGCCCCAUUUGCUUCUUGGUCUGUAGUCACAAGCAUUCUUUUUCUUGUUUUAGGUGCUUUUAUCUUAUGAUCAUGAAUUGAAUUUUUUCUUGGUUCUUUCUUGAUAUAGAAUUUGUUUGAACGCGCGACAGAAUUAUUGUACUUUAGACAAUAGUGUAUUUUUUUAAUAUGGCUGGGUGAGUUAACUUACUGUGUUUGAUGAACCUUUGAUUGUUCUGGAAUGUGAAUAAGCAGAAAAUCACAAUUUUUUGGCUAUAAAUUUUGAGGAUUCUCCUAGUUUGAUUCUUGGGAUGUUUGUGCUUUUACUUUUACUGUACCAUGAUUGGCAAUUUGAAUUGUUGUAUUGGCCCAUUGGGGGAGUGCAGAAUAUAGGUGAGGCUUGCUCUAUCAUGUCAUGCACAGUAACCGUUGCUAUAUGUUUAUUGGCGGCUCAUAGUAUUGAUUGCAUAACUUGAUACAGACUAAAUCAGAAAUAGAUGAAAGAAACUUGAGGGAGAGAAUCAACACAGCUACUGAAUGUAAAUGGAAUUAAAACUAUGUGAGAUUCUGCUGGAGGUCAUAUAAAGAUUGAUUUUGAGUUUCUGAGAAUCAACUUAUAUAACGCUUCUUUGAUUAAGUUAGUUGUUACCUUCUUCCUCAGCAUCUAAUAGGCUAAAAAUGGGAGACCAAUAAGAAAAGAAGUGCUGUUAUGUGAAACCUUUGUAACAUUGCAUUUGCUAUCAUCUUCUUCUCUUUCUUUUCCCUUUUUAUUGAAAUUUUUGAGCUGUCAAAGUAAUAGUUGUAUGUUGGAGUUUCUUUUGAAUUACUUUCCUUCCACCAACACUACGCUCUUCAUCCAAAUCUGGAAAAUGAUGUGGGCAGCACAGUGGUCCAACCGUCUUGUUUGCAGAAUAGUUAUAAUAAUAUGCAGUGUAUGUUGAUCUACUAGAAUUAUGUGGAUAGACUACUGUAAUACAUCAAUGCUGUCACUCUGAUUUGAAUUCUCUUUAAAAUUGCAGUACUAUCCUAGUCUCAAUCGUUCAAGAUGUUGCAUGAAAGGCAUCUGCACAGGUAUUUAUAGCAUCCUUUGGAAUCUAUGAAUGUUUAAUGAAGAGAGUUCUUGACUACUGCAGUAUUAAUAAGUGUAUUUUCCAACCUGUUUCUUUGCACCAGAAUGUUUCUUACAAAUGAAGACUCCUAAUUCGACUCGCCCAACACAGUAUCCUUGAUUUCUUGGGGUAUUGUUGUUGUUGUUUUUUUUUUUUUGGUUAAAAUGAAUUGGCAUAAGUGCUUUUGUACUUUCUCUGCUAUUUUCUUCUAUCUGCUGUUUCCAACUGGGGCCUUAAGGGAUUCAGUCAUACCAGAUCCCUAUCUCUCUACCAUCAAUAAAUCUUAUCUCUUCUCAUUUAGUUUUGGGAAGAUUGCCUCUUUGCAAGUGCCUGGAAGGGGUAUGGGCUGGGAAAGAGGAACUUUGGAUUUUGGGAAGGGGUAAGCUUGCUUGUCUUCCUUAAAUUUUAUCAGGUGUCCUUUUUGUAAAACUUCAAAUUACGCUGUGGAGUAUCGAGGUGUCAAAACAAAGGAGGAAAAAGGAUUAGAGCAAAUUGUAAGAUUUCCUGCCCCUUGUUAUUUAGUUGAUAUUCUUUUGAGUUCAGCGUGCAUUACAAAAGUGAAUUUCUCAUUGUGACUAUUUUUACCUCUUUAGGAAGAGCAGCGAGUUAUAGAGGCCAAAAUAAGGAUGAGGCAGCAGGAACUCCAAGAUGAAGAGGAUAGGAAACUGAAACGUAGAGAGUUUAAUUCUUCAAACAGUAUAGCUGGGCCAACUGAAUCGGAGCUUUGCUCCACAGCAGGUAAUUAAUUCAACUAGCAAAUUGGUGUUGUUGGUUGGGCAGUUUCUGUUGCAUUCAAUUGAUGUUCAUUUUGUACACAGCCCCAUCUUUUUCUUCUGGUGUAGAAGAAGGUGACGAAAUUGUCACUUCUCAGGAGCCUUGUGCUGCCCCAGUUGUCAGACAACCUCUACGCUCAAGGCAGAAUAGGUAUAGAAAAUUACUUACUGUUGACCCCGUUCAUUUUGUUUCAUUCUAAAGGUUGGAGUGUUUUGUCCUUCCACUGAUUGAGCAACAUAGAAAAACCACAUCCUUGUUAAGCUUUGUGGCAUAAUGAUGUGUGGUUUAGUCUCACUUCCAGCCAAAAGCAGUUUUUUUCAGAAUCAGACGUCUUAGAAUCAUUAAGACACUUGACAAUGCUAAAUUGUGUUUCUGUAUGUUUUCAGUCAGUUUUAGGAGAAAUUGCAAUCUAGGGAUUUGUUAUGUUUUCCUACUGGCCUUUUCAUCAUCUUCUAUUUUUAGUCGUGGUUUCUUUCUUUUCUUUGCUUUUUUUUUUUUUUAACCUUUCUCUGUAAAUGCUAGGCAUUUUUUAAAAGGCAUCUAAAUGUCUAUCUGAUCAGUUUCUUGAUUCCCUGAACCUGAAGGCAUGCCUUUCCUGGUGAUGUUUUCUGCUAGAAAUACAUGAAAACUAUUUUGCCUUUCAUGGAUUAGUCAUUUUUAAGUAAUUUUCCUAUUUUGUUUGCCUCCUUUCUUAUCCCCCUCCUCCAAGAUACGGUUGAUUUUAGGUGAUGUAAAAUCUAUUUAGCAUUAGUUGCUUGAGGUCAUUUAUCUGUUGUGAGAAUUUUAGACAAAUUCCUGAUGUUCAAUACCCCUCUCUAUGGCGGAAAUGGAAGUUUAAUCAUCCUUAUUUGAUAUGCAUUUGCAAUUCUUAAUUUGUAAAGUUUUCAGGUUUCUCUUCAGAUGGUUGACAUAUGGCUUGUCCUUAUUACUUUGCCUUAUUUCUGAGUCUCAGGGAGGAUGAAUUUGACCUUGAUCUUGAGGACAUCAUGGUCAUGGAAGCCAUAUGGCUCUCCAUUCAGGUACUUCUGUGAGCAGUUGAGCAAUUACUGCAUUAGGAUGUUUUCAGUUACCAUUUAUUCCUUUAUUAAGCUUCUAUACUUACCAAAAAGAUCACACGUAUUAAUAAGGAUAAGAUGGUUAAAACCUUGAAUCUGUCACGUCAAACUCAUAUAUUGUUAUUAGUUGUUUUUUAUUAGCUUAUCAUGAUCCUAGAAAUUUCAGUCUAGUUCUCCUAUUCAAAGGUUUGUCUCUCUUUCCAGGUUUGCAUUUAAUUUAUUUCGAACCAUUUUUAGCUGAGCUCUGCUUGCUACUUUGUUAAUAUUGUAAUAGCUGUACCAUCGUCUGAUUGUUCGCAUCGGAUGGUCGCUGUCAUGUACUUACUCUUUGCCUUUUGAGUUGAGAUGUGAUUCCAUAAACUGUUAUCGUGAUAGGAUAAUGGCAGGCGGCGAAAUCCAGUCUACGUUGAGACUGUUCCAUCAGAGCAAUACACGGCCGAAGAACAGUGCAAUACGGCUAUCAUGGGUCCAAUUGCGGGAUCUUCCUCCUCUCCUUCGGGUGGUCUUGCAUGCGCAAUUGCAGCCCUUGCUGAACGCCAGCAAAUGGGUGGGGAGACCUCCAAUAGCUAUGGAACAAACAUGUCUGCGUACAACAUGCAUCCUGGAUGUGACAGGUAUCAGAACACACAGCAUGAAUCAGAGAACUUUGCUGCUGCAGGGAACUCGGUCGAGGUGUCACCUGAUAUUCAAAUGGCAAUGACUAGAGGUGAUCGAGAGUGGGUAGAUAAUAGAUCAGAGAUUGCAGAUGUCGGAACCAGCUAUGCCGGUUCUGAUGAUGUAGAAGAUGAUGCAGCUCAUGCAGCAUUGCCAUCACAAGAUGAAUCUGAUGGCACAUUUCAUCCUGUUGGAGGUGCAAUCGUUCCUGAAACUUUUGAGGAGCAGAUGAUGCUGGCUAUGGCUGUUUCACUGGCUGAGGCUCGAAAUAGAUCAAGUCCACCAGGUGUUGCAUGGCAAUAGCCUUAAAAGAGUCCUAAGGAUUGGUUCUCGGUUCCUAUGUCUCUUGUGACCCUCCUGCCUGCUUCUCACGUGAAGCAUUUCUCCUGUCUCUUCUUUUUUUUUUUUUCUCGAUAUACAGUGUAAGCAGGAAAAAAGGAAAAAUGAUUCUAGAAUGAAUGAAUGAUCCUAGUAUCAGUCUUUUUAGAUUGAGAUCCUUAAUCUUCAUAAGAAGUGAUGUCCAAGAGAUCGAGUAAACGGGGGCAUGUAAAGCUGGUUCCCAGAGUUGAUUAGCUUCAUUGUUGUAUAUUCGCCACAAAGUCUUGGUACAUGUGAUCUGAUUUGUUGCUCUUGAUAUAUAUAUAUAUAUAUAGACAAUUUAAAUUACGAGGUCUGGAAGUUGGUUUGGAAAAUCAGUUUUAAAUCCAGUUUGAUAGACACUUCGAAUAACCAUGCAUCUCGCAACUCGUGAACAUCUAUAAAACCCAAGAAACAAGUUAGAACGUUGGCUUCCAAUACGUUCAUAUUACCAAACAUGUCAUUCUCCAUCAUGCAUGGGAUCCUGUCUCAGCAAUGUAAUAUUCAUUGGUGAAAUAAAUCUUGAAGACCUGAGAUUCCAAUCUCAAACGAUAGGAGUAUGUUUUUGUAAUGGUGUGUUGGACCUGGACUUGGGAGUAUGAUUUGCACGAUCAACAUGUAAAUGAAAGCAUGGUGCAGCAGAGAAGUCGACUUGAGUUUAAUGCAUUAGGUCAUAUUUUGCUUGAAAUAUUAUCAGUUGAAAAAGUUGAAACAGAGUGAGUAGGGAUGUUGCAGACUCCAGAGGAGUGGCAAGCAGAUUCGGUAAGCCAGAGGAUGUUUUAGAAGGAAAAAUAAAGAGGAAGAAUGAAUACGGGACUCUGACAAUUUCGAUCUAUUAUAGGCUUAGCCCUUCUGUAUGUCAUAUAGAUGCGUAUGGUAAUGUACGCGAUAGUUCAAGAGAAAAAAAAUGUUAAGUAACUUUAUUUGGACUGUCAUUUUAUUUUCAAAAAGUUUUUAUAUUUUUUUUCGACAACAAUAACAAUUGUAUAAUUUAUUUUAUCCUAAUCUACAGGGGAGAGGGGGGCCUAAAGAGGCUUUGUAUUCGGGGCUGGCAGACCUGACUGACUAGACCAAAGGGGUGUUUUGGCACCACCCUUGAAUUUUUUUUGCCGCAAGUAAGAUUUGAAUCCCUACCUACAGUUUAAGGAGGGGCUUAAGUUCCUCUCCGGUGGCCAAAAGAAAAGUUUUUAUAGAAAAAAGUUUUUAUGUUUGCUCUAAACAAAUUUUCUAAUCACAUUUUACCUUACACCUAUUACAUUAUUACGGUACAUUUGUCUAUAAAAACUUUAAAAAAUAGGGAUCAAAAUGGGCUAAGUUCUAUUGCAUGUAUCACAUACAUCACAUGGUAUAUUCUUAAUAUAAGAAAAGUGACGUUGAGUACACAAUUUCUCAUUGUUUGCGAAUAAUAUGUGGUUAUUGCCUUAUUGGGUCUAAUGGACCAUCAGAAAUUUCCAAAACACGGGCUUCGUCGCAUAUGUAUUAAGGGUUGAUUUUGAGCCGUUCUAGAUGCAAUGUUUCGUUGGGCUUGGACAACCCAACAAUAGCCGAAUCUUAAAGUCCAACAAUGACCGUAACUAUGGCCCACUGGUAACAGUAGAAUGGUCUUCCCGCAGAAACGUGCGGGAAAGUGUUACAUGCUCCACUCUUCUUGCCAUUAGGCUUCUGUGCUUCGUCUUUGGAAUCCCUUUCGAAAUUAUCUUGAUGAUCAACUACUUUUUUGUCCCAGAACCAAUCGGUGGGCCUUUGAUGCUAACAUCUUUUAUAUCGGCAGCCAUCAUACCUUACAAAAACAUCUUUCGUACAACGUAAAAUUAAUGGAAAUGUUGGAUUUGCAGCAAUAAUGUGAAAAUCAAGACUCGGGAGAAUAGAUAUUAUCUUCAGUUGGUUCAUUGAAUUGGGGCAAGCAAAGAUUAGGAUUUUAAUUUAGGUUCAAAAGAACAAAAAUAAUGAAAGAGCAGGAUAAAGAGAGUCAUUAUCGAGAUUACGAUCAUCUUUUUUAUCCAUUUGUAGCAUUCAAUUGUGUGUAAUCCUACAUAGAAGAAUGUAGUUUCGGUACAUCAAAAUGCUCGGGAAAGAGUGACACUUUUAGUCAAAACUCAUCUUGGUGAAAAAUAAUUAAAAAAAAUAAGAUAGAGAGAGGGAGAAAAAGGUGAUUGCUCUCGAGCACUUAAUAUCAGACUAAGAUAAUUUAAUUCAGUUCAAAUGUUCUAUUAAUUACUAUAGAUUUGAUAGAGUAUCAUACUUCACUUUUUAGACAAAAGAGGAUAUUAAUAACCAGAAGUAGUAAUAGUUAUCUUACGGAACUCCUAAUAACAGUCCCUAGCAGGCUUUAAAAGAAUCCCAUGCCAGGUUUAAAAAAAAAAAAAAAAAAAAAAGAAUCCAAUGUCAUAUUUGCAGAAAAUAAAAAUAAAAUAGGAGUGUAGCCAGGAAGAUUGAUGUUCUAGUACCAAUCAAGUUGCACAUUGAAAUGUCAAACGGUAAAGCUGAAAACCAUUGCGCUUGAAAGAUGCAUAUUUUUUUAACCCCCACCGCCCCUAGAAGAUUUAAACUUUAGCAGAGUCUUGGAAUCAAUAAAUACUAUGGUUAAUAAGAGAAGAGAGGAAACAAAAAGAUUUCAUGCAUAUAAUUCGGUCACCGACCUGAUUAACUGAGCUUCUACCAUGGGUGCAUUUUUUCUUUGUACUUUUAGGUCUUUCCGGUAACUGAACAACGUUGGUUCAAAACAAAAGCUAAUAUUCUGUUCUUGACAGUCAUCUUCCACAUGCAUUUGAAGCGGUCAUAGGCUACAAAUAUAGAAUCAUCCAAUGCUACUGCUACAAAUCUUUAUGCUAAUAGUAUUCAAGGUCUGACUGAUGAAGUUUCCUCAACCUUAGCCAACUGUAAUUCUCAAACUGGGAGGUGGUAGCUUCUACGCACGAAAGGAAAAAGCUCAGAUUCUUUGAUAAAGAAAGUGAAAUGGGCAGAUAAUUAAGAGAAAUACAAGAAGACAUGGGGCCUUAAAUGCUACACUACAGAUCGAGUACAAAGGAGCAAUCUAGUUAAGAAUAAUUCGCUGGAAUUUUUGUAGCAAAAUUAGAAAUUGUUCACGUAUAAGAUCUGGUCCGAUUUUAGACACCUUUCUCAUGAAAAAGUGGGUACAUAAGAAUUUACAUGAAUUUCAGAUAAACGGCAAAAGUAGGAUAGAUAGAUAGAGAAUAUGAAUGUCUGAUUUCAUUUAAUUUAUGAUUUAUGUUGCUAAUUAUUCAAGAUUUUGAAAUAUAUAUGUGUGUGUGUGUGUGUCUAUACAUAUGUAUACAUACAUAUAUGUGUGUAUUUAUGUAUGUAUGGCGGAAUUCAACAAAUAUUAAGAUUGAAAUAUUUGAAAUGAAGUCAAUUUUGUGCAAAUUUUAUUCUAAUCUAACAUCUAAAUAUUUCUGAUAAAUAUUUCAUUAUGACAUGUAUAACAGAUAGUGACAUCAUAAUUUUUUCCCUAACUAUUUUGAGUGGAAGGGUAUUCUGAUAAAUUUAAGAAAAAAGUACUUUUAUUCAUGGUGUACCUGUAUCAUUAACAUUGAUGAAAGUUUAUACAAAAGUUGCCCUACAAAAAAUAAAAACCUGUUAGACUAAAAGUCAAAUUACAAGCUAAAGUCCUAUCAAACUAAAAAAUCAAAUCACAAAUCAAAUAACAUGGCACGACAACUUGUAGAUUAUAUGUUGUUGUUAAGAUUUAAAUCUAAAAAUUUAACUAAUUUCCAAUAUAUUCCGAGUAGAAAUCACUUUCAUUUUGGACAUUGUUUGGAUACUCUAGGUAGGGGGUAUUGCCAGGACGCCAGCCAAAUACAGUACUAGGCUACUACUAGUACUAGGUUUCUGCCUCAAUGUCAACAACCGACCCAAUUGAUGCCUCCCCAAUAGUAUGGAUCCCACCAGUCCAUGUCCCCUAUGUAAACAGCCAUUAUGAAAAUGCAACAAGACAUAGGGCCCUGGAUGCGACACAAAAACCAGCGUACAAAAGAGCAAAUUAACUACGUUUGGAUUGGUGUUUUUGAGCCUGUUUUUGAAAAAUUGUUUUUCACAUUCCAAAUGCUACAGUAAAUGUGUAUUUCAAAAACAACUUCAAAUACACCAAUCCAAACAAUAUAUCAAAAACAACUCCAAAUAUAUUUCAAUUAUGCAUAUUUAAUUUGUAUAUUUUAAUAAGUAUAUUUCAAUUUGUAUAUUUUAAUUAUGUAUUUUAUAUGUAUAUUUCAAUUAUAUUUUAAUAUAUUUUAAUUAUAUAUUUUAAUAUGUAUAUUUCAAUUAUGUAUUUUAAUAUGUAUAUUCAAUUAUGUAUAUUAUAUAUAUAUUAUAUUAAUAUAAAUAUAUUUAUUUCAAUUAUGUAUAAUAUUAUAUAUAUUAUGUCAAUUGAAAUAAAUAUUAUAUAUUUAUAUAAAUACAUUUAUUUAUAUAUAAAUUUAUAAAUAUAUUUAUGCAAUUUUGUUUUAUAAUAUAUAUUAAUAUGUAUAUUUCAAUUAUGUAUAUUAUAUAUAAAUUAUAUUAAUAUUAAUGUAUAUUAUAUAUAUUAUACAUUUCUAAUAUUAUAUAUUUACAUAUACAUAUCAUAAAUAUUUUAUUUUAUUUAAAAUAUAUUUUUAUAUAUUUAUAAUAUAUUUACAUAAAUAUUAUAUGUUAUAUAAAUUAUAUAUAAUAUAAUAUAUAAUAUAUUAUACAUUUAUAUAAAUGUACAUUUAUACAUUUAUAUUAAUAUACAUAAUAUUAAUUUUACAUUUAUACAUAAUAUUAAUACAUGUAUACAUUUAUAUUAAUUAUAUUAAUACAUUUCAACAUAAUAUUAAAACAUAUUUAUAAUAUAUUAAUUUAUACAUUUAUAUAAUAUUCAUUUAUAAUUUAUACAUUUUUAAUAACAUACACUUAUACAUUUAAAUAUACAUUUAUAUUAUGUAUUAUAUAUAAUAUAAUACAUUUAUACAUUUAUAUUAAUAUACAUAAUAUUAAUUUUACAUUUAUACAUAAUAUUAAUGCAUAUAUACAUUUAUAUUAAUUAUAUAAAUACAUUUCUACAUAAUAUUAAUAUAUAUUUAUAAUAUAUUAAUUUAUACAUUUAUAAUAAUAUACACUUAUAAUUUAUAAUAUUCAUUUAUAAUUUAUACAUUUAUAAUAAUAUACACUUAUACAUUUAUAAAUAUAUUUAUAUUAUGUAUUAUAUAGAAUAUAAUACAUUUAUAUAUUUUUAUAUGAAUAUAUAAAUAUAUUUAUUUAUAAAUGUAUUAUAAAUGCAUAAAUGUAUAUUUAUAUAAAAAUUAUAAUUUAUACAUUUAUACAUUUAUAAUUUAUAAUUUAUAAUAAUAUACAUUUAUACAUUUGUAAAUAUAAAUGUAUUAUAAAUGCAUAAAUGUAUAUUUAUAUAAAAAUAUAAAAAUUAUAAUCUUCUAAAAAUACUCAAAAAUAUGUUUCAAAAAUACCUCUAAAAUAAUCCAAAAAAAUCUACAGUAAAAGUUUUUCAUAUAGUUUUUGAAAAACAACCCCAAAAACCACUAAUCCAAACGGACUUGUUUUUCAGAUUCGAAAUGCUACAAUGGUGUUUUUGAAAAACAACCCCAAAAACAGCUAAUCCAAACGGAGCCAUGGUACUAUAUAUUCACGCUUAAGAUGAAUUCGAUUUUUAAUUGCCAACCUUCUCGUGAAUACAAAAUCGUAUAACCCUAAAAACCCAACAAUUUAUAAACCUUAAAGCUUGUUUUCGUCAAUCAACCAGUUAGAUAUGAUAGGUUUUUACCUUAAUCUGAUCAAGCUACCAAGCUCAAGUCCGCUAUAUAAAGCAUAGGUUGAGGCAGCACAGCAUGCACAAUACACACGGCAUAACUUUCUCAAUAUCUAGGUCAUGGCUUCUCUUACCAUGCCAACUCUCUCCUCCAACCUUGCCUAUUCCUCCUCUAUAGCACAUUUCAUCUCACUUGCAAAACCCGCUCACCCAAAUCGCAAAACAGGCCCAAAAUUUACAUGCAAUUCCACAAAAGGUGACCAAAACUCCAGUGAUCAUGACACUGCAGGCUCCAAAAAUGGAGAAACUUCUUUACUGAAGCUUGAUAGAAGAAAUGUGCUACUUGGCAUUGGAGGAGGGCUCUAUGGUGCCCUCCAAAAAUGGUACUAUAUAUUCACGCUUAAGAUGAAUUCGAUUUUUAAUUGCCAACCUUCUCGUGAAUACAAAAUCGUAUAACCCUAAAAACCCAACAAUUUAUAAACCUUAAAGCUUGUUUUCGUCAAUCAACCAGUUAGAUAUGAUAGGUUUUUACCUUAAUCUGAUCAAGCUACCAAGCUCAAGUCCGCUAUAUAAAGCAUAGGUUGAGGCAGCACAGCAUGCACAAUACACACGGCAUAACUUUCUCAAUAUCUAGGUCAUGGCUUCUCUUACCAUGCCAACUCUCUCCUCCAACCUUGCCUAUUCCUCCUCUAUAGCACAUUUCAUCUCACUUGCAAAACCCGCUCACCCAAAUCGCAAAACAGGCCCAAAAUUUACAUGCAAUUCCACAAAAGGUGACCAAAACUCCAGUGAUCAUGACACUGCAGGCUCCAAAAAUGGAGAAACUUCUUUACUGAAGCUUGAUAGAAGAAAUGUGCUACUUGGCAUUGGAGGAGGGCUCUAUGGUGCCUCCACUUUUGGUGGCAAUCCAUCAGCCUUUGCAGCACCACUAUCUCCAACAUUCACAGCCUGUCACGAUGCCACUGACCCCGACAGCAAAGAAAUCGACUGUUGUCCACCCUCGGCCACGGCCGCGGAUAUCACUGAUUUUGUUCCUACUGCUCCUUCUGUCAUCGCCACUAGACCUGCGGCGCAACUAGUCGACUCGACUUAUUUGAAAAAGUACAAGACGGCCAUAGAGAAAAUGAGGAAUCUAAGUUCGGAUGAUCCACGUAGUUUCACUGCACAAGCAAAUGUGCAUUGUGCAUAUUGUAACGGUGGAUACUAUCAAGAUGGCUAUGCAGAUUCUCAACUUCUAUUGGAUGUUCACAACUCAUGGCUCUUCUUUCCCUUUCACAGAUGGUACUUGUAUUUCUUCGAGAAGAUAUGCCAAAACAUGGUCGAUGACGAUACUUUUGCACUUCCCUUUUGGAACUGGGAUAAUCCACCUGGGAUGUUUCUGCCAACCAUUUUCAAUGACUCCUCAUCCCCACUCUAUGAUAGCUUACGCAAUCCCUCUCACCUAAGUACAGUUCUUGAUCUGUCCUAUGAAGGCACUGAUUCAACGGAUAGUACCAUAACAGUGAUAAAAAACAAUCUCUACCUCAUGUACAAGCAAAUGGUUACUCAGUCCACAACUCCAUUGAGUUUCUUCGGAAAAACGUUUCGUGCUGGUGAAACAUCUGAUCCAGGAGCCGGUUCAAUUGAAACUAGUCCUCAUUCGAAUGUGCACCGUUGGACUGGCGACCCUAAUGAAUCUCAUGGCGAGGACAUGGGCUCCUUCUACUCAGCGGGAAGAGACCCAGUCUUUUAUUGUCAUCAUGCCAACGUUGAUAGAAUGUGGUCUCUUUGGAACUCUUUAGGAGGCCAGAACUUCACUGAUUCAGACUGGUUAAACUCCAGUUUCUAUUUCUACAACGAACAGGCAAAGCCUGUAAAGGUUUACGUGAAAGACUGUUUGGACACCUCAGUUCUUGGAUACACUUAUCAAACUGUGGAUAUCCCCUGGCUGAAUAGUAAGCCAAGCCCGCGUAGGACGGCUAUCGAAUUACCAACAGCUCCUACUCCAAGUCAAGUGUUUCCAACGACCCUGGAGAAAACUAUAACUGUUCUGGUGAAAAGGCCAAAGAAGAAGAGGACCAAGAAGGAGAAGCAGAGGGCAGAGGAAGUUCUGGAGAUAUCUGGGAUCCAGUACAAUAUUGGAGAGUUUGUCAAGUUUGAUGUGUACAUCAAUGAAGAUACUCCGGACGAGAGCGGGCCGGAGAAGACUGAGCUUGUGGGGAGCUUCAUCAACGUGCCUCAUGGACAUUCCAUGAUUUCUACUACUACUAAGACUUUUGCUAUAUCUGAAGUUUUGCAGGAAUUGGGAGCUGAUGAGUUUGAGAGCGUCUUGGUUACUUUGGUCCCCAAGAGUAGCACUGUUACCAUCUCUGGAGUCAAGAUCAAGUAUGAUAGCACCAAGGUGUCUGCAUGAGAUUUAAAAAAAAAAAAAAUUAAUGGUGUGCUUCAUAUAUGUGCGUCUUGCAUGCUGUUUUUUGUUUCAGAUGUUGUGAUUUCUGUGUCCUCCCUCAACGAAUUAGGGCCUUGAAUGUACCUUUAUUUCCUUUUGAUAUGGUUCGGAAAGCUAUCUCAUCUUACCGGAUCAGCAUGAGGAGUACUGUGAUGUGUCUACCUAAAUAAACCUGCAUGGGGAUUGUGAAUUGUGAUAUACCUGUCUAAAUAAACCCCGAAAGGCAGUGAGGGAAAGAAAAGAAGAAUGCAGUAUUUGCACCCUUCUUUUUUCUGUUGUUAAAUGCUAUGUGAACCUGUUUCAUGAUGUGAGAUUACAUUGGGUUAGUAGAGGCUUUGAUUUGAUUUAACACGGUUUUCUUCGAGAAUCUAUUGCGUAUUUACGAUGUUAAUUAGGGUUUACACGUCUUGAACAUUCUUUUUGUCUGCCCAAUCAAUUAUUUAAUUACAAAUGCGGCUGUUUUUAAGUUCAUGUUAGGAUUUGUGGAAUGACAAAUUGAUAAUCCCAGGCGAAAAGGCUACUUCUAAUCUUGGAGGUCAUGUUGCUAUUCCAAAGAUUGAGGUUACGAGAAAAUAAAUUAAGGAGGUUGGGAGGUGUAAUAGAUUAAAUGCUUGCACAACCAACACAAGUACCUCGGCAGCAUUUAUUAGCUAAUGAUUGACCAUACAUUUUCACAACUCUGCAAUAUCAUAUCGGCUUUCCUACAUUCACCAAUUGCAGCUCAACUAAGAAUCAAGCCAAAAAAGAAGCGUGUUUUGGAUCAUAAAAUAUCAUUUCUCAUCAUUGUAGAAUUUAAUUUCUUUAGAUUCCUUCAACCAAAAAAACAAAAGAAGAAGAAGAAAGCUAUGAUUACUUUCCCAGAAAGGCGUUCAAGAUGACUUGUUUUGCUCUUUCAGCAAGAAACAAUCACGACUUGUUGUACUAACCAUCAGGGUUAUUCUUAAAUUCUUAAAAGGAGUACUUUUUAAUGAAUUGUUGCGUUGUAUCAUUAGUUUUAAUGAUUUGUACCAUUACUACUAGAAUCUAUAGAAGAUCUAAAUUUGGAAUGGAAAGCCCGGAUACCGAUUGGGUUGAGCCCCGCAUUGGGUGUGUUUGGAUAGGUUUUAUUUGUAAAAAAAUUUAUUUGUUUGCAUCACAAAUAUGUUUUUUAACACUUUUUUUUUUUUUUACUUUUUCGAUCACCUUCUAAUGUUACAUACAUCAUUUCAAGGAAAAAAAAUGCUACAAUAAUUAUUUUAAAUAAUAUUUCAAAUAAUCUUUUAUUCAAAUUCGCACAGCUCCGUAUGGAUUAUGUAUUUUUGGGAGUAUUUUUCAAAAAGUUUUCUGUAGUGGUGGAUAUGCAAAAUUUUACUAUAGAUGGUUAGGUAUUUUUGGAAGUGUUUUUGGGAGUGUUUCUGAGAAUGUAUUUUCAGGUAUUUUUAGAAUUUAAAUUUUUUUGACGUAUGUUUCAAAAAUUAAACACCAUCACCCACCACCACAACCUACCUUUGCCACCACCCCUUACCCACCACCACUACCUACCAUUGCCACCACCCCUCACCCCCUCCUUCCUCCUUCUCUCUCCUCCCUUUCCUCCCCUCACCUCAUUCCUCCUCUGAUCGCGAUCAACUGGGGGAAGGGAGGGCAUAGGAGAGGCUGGGCAAGAGAAGAGAGGGACGAGGAGGAGGAGGAGGAGGAGGAGGAGGGGAGGGGAGGGAAGGAACGAGAGGAGGAGAAAAGAAGUGAGGAGAGAGGAAGAGGAAUGGAGGCGAGGGGUAGUUGGUGAUGUUGGUAGGUGGGAAAAGAAAAUGUGGUUAGGUUUAUUUUUUAUUUUUUUGUAAGUUAUAUUUUAGAUUGUGUGUGUUUUUGGAGUUAUUUUUAGAAUUGCUAUUGCAUACUCCAAAUACAAAAAUAGUUUUUGAAAAACUUUCCAAAUCCAUGUAAAACUUGCACCGGCUACUAAGAAUGCCCAGAUACUAAUUGAACCUACGAAAGCCCGGAUUAUUCUAAAUAGCGAGUCCAUCUGUAUUAGUUACACCAGGUAAAGGUCUUAGCCAGUUUUUCAUUUUUUUUUUUAGUAACAGGUCUUAGCCUGCAGGUUAAAUGAGUAGUCUUGACACAACAUUGAAGAAAUAGCUAGAUAUGAAGUAUAUCUUCCUUCUCUUUUUUAAAGAAUAAAUGAGAUCAAGUGUAUGAUGUAGUCAAUCAAAUUCAAAAAUGAACUUGCCAAGAAAAUGAAAUAACAAAAGACCAAAGUACUAAGAGGAGCUUUUCAUUUUUAAAAUAUCAUAUUUAAAAUGUUUCGAAAGCUACAAAUCAUUCCCAAAUCCAAUGCCAAAAAUGGGUUCAAAUAAUAAAUCUUAGAUUUAGAGUUUUUAGACUAAAUCAUAUUUCUCCCCUGAAGUCUUCCGUCCAUUCACGUCAAGCUGUUCAUUUAACUUAUUUCUCUGUUUUCUGCUUCCAAAUGACAGUUCCAAGCAAGUAAACAAAUAUUCGUGCAACAAAUUAACACAUGGCAGUUUGGAAAUUUUACCUGCUUGUGCUGGACACAGAGAAAACAUCCUCCAACUUUAGAAUGGAUGAGGAAUUGAGAGAAUUUGAGGAGGGCAGACGAUCACGAAAAUGUGUUGGUGACUUUGGUCCAAAGAGAGGUGCUGUGACCAUAAUACACAGUCUCAUACUGAAAUAGAAAACCAUCUGCUGUUACAUUUUACAGCAUAUUGGAAAUGGAAAGAAUGUUGCAAGAAAUUUUGACCCUUGACAGAAAAUUCGAAAGAAAAAAAAAAGAACCAAAAAUCCGAAUUUAAGAGCCAGGUUACAGCACCACUCUCUAGUUUCUGCACCAAAGACACCAACACACUUUGAUAAUCUUCAAAUGAAUCAUUCUCAUCCUUUCUCCUUGCGAAAAGAUAAUUGGCAUUCGAAUUAGCACUAGUCGGUACAAACUUGGCAUGUCCGUAUAAGUAGGCUCGUUGAUCCUUGGGGCCUUUUAUCUUUCAAUUGUUUGUACUACUUGGUUGUACUACGCUACUACACAGACGGAAAACUUAGAAGAAAAUAGACAAUUGGUACUACACAUGUCUCAUGCAGUUUGUACUUCGUACUAGAAUGCUUGUUGGUACUACACAUAUGAUUCUUAGACAGCCAUAGGUUAGACAUUUCAUACAUCUUUUUAAUUGUUCAUAAAAAAUUUUAACCUUUUUAAUCUAUUUUUUAAGUGUAUCUAGGUAGCUUGCAUGUGUAAGCAGAGAAGAUAUCCUCUCCUCAGCCUGAAGGACUUUACCUAUGCCUUUUCUUAUCAAUCUCCUUUUUUUUUUUUUUUCACAAAAUUCCUUAAAUUUACAGCACACCAUUCUAUAGAACAAAACCUCAGCUCUAAUCUCCAACUACAAGAUUAAUACUAUUUAUACUCAAACACAAGAUUAUUACUUAUUAAAAGAACAACAUCAAACGUUAGUUUGAAACUUUGUAAAAAAAAAAAUUUAAAUCAAGCCUUUUUACGUUUUUAUGCUUUAGUACUAGUAUAUGUUAAGUUAGUAGAGGGCCACGUGUCACCAACACACCUUUUAAAGUGACUGCCCAGGAACUUGUCAGUUGUCGCGACCUGAGAUAAGAAGGGAGCCACUGGGCCAAUGGCUCGGUGACCAUCACCGGGGAGGGGUUUAAAUCCCUCCUUGAGUUGUAGGUGAGGGUUCAAAUCUUAUCUGUAGCGAAAAAAAAUUUAAGGGUUGUACCAGAGCAUUUUCUUGAUCUAAUUGGAUCUGUGUACCCACUAAUCCCUUACCACAGCCUCCUUAGGCUUCCCCUCUCCCCUAGAUUAGAAUAGAGUAGAUUAUACAAAUGUAUCGUUGCUAUGUUAAGUUAGUAGAAGGCCACGUGUCACCAACACACCUUUUAAAGUGACUGCCCAGGAACUUGUCAGUUGUCGCGACCUGAGAUAAGAAGGGAGCCACUGGGCCAAUGGCUCGGUAACCAUCACCGGGGAGGGGUUUAAAUCCCUCCUUGAGUUGUAGGUGAGGGUUCAAAUCUUAUCUGUAGCGAAAAAAAAUUUAAGGGUUGUACCAGAGCACUUUCUUGAUCUAAUUGGAUCUGUGUACCCACUAAUCCCUUACCACAGCCUCCUUAGACUUCCCCUCUCCCCUAGAUUAGAAUAGAGUAGAUUAUACAAAUGUAUCGUUGCUGAUAAAAAAAAAAAAAAAAGAGAGAGAUAAGAAGAGCAAAAUUCAAGCGGAUUAUUUGAGUCACAGUUUUUUUUUUUUUUUUCAUUGUGCAAUAGUCGUUGCAAUGUGAAUUAUUUCAGCAGCAGGAGGUCAAAAUCACAGCAUACAGUCCAGGUUCCAUGGACUGAAUUGAGGCCAUAUCAGGUUUACGUCUCUUUAGUAAGACACCCAUUUCUCUCAUAUUUCUUGACAGCGCACUCAAAUACCUGAGCAAAAUUGCAGCCUUCGCGAAGGCUUGAAAUCAAUUGAUCGCUUAGACGCUGAGGAAAUAUGAACUUCGCCAACUUGGGAAUCCACAAAGUGAAAUCAAUGGCUUUAAAAGUUAAUGAAAGGCUAAACUAUCUGUAUUGAAGGGCAAAGAGAAUUAUUGUGAUGGUAACAAUUAUGAAUUUUCAAUUAUUUGGGGGUCAAUAUAUAUAGAAAAAAGAAUUUGUUAAAAUUUAGUGAGUUCAAAUAAGAGGUAACUUUAAAAUUUCUCUAAACCUAGAUUUUUCCAAAAUUAAGUUGGAUCGAUUGACUCCACUUGUUGUCACAUGGCUCCGCCACUGGUUUCACAUGCACUAUCCUUUUCUACAAAGACUUCACCAUGAGGAAGAUUGAAGGAGACUUGGGAUGGAAAUUGUCCCAUAGGAUUAUAGAAAAAACAAAUAAUUAGCUGCAAUCCCUAUAUCUAGAAUGCCGACUACCAAGGUUAACCAUGAUUCGGUCCUCAAAAAACUUGAGUGUGUUUGGAUUGAGAUGAUUUGAGAUAAAAUAAUUUUUUUCAUAAAUUUUAAUCAUAUUUUUAAUUUAUAUAUAUCACAUCAUAAAAAGUAUUACAGCAAUUAUAGCAAUAGCCAAAAUAACUAAGAAAAAAAAAAGAUUGUGGCAACAGCCUUGUGGUCUUCUUCUUAAUGUUGGGACGUACGGCAGUUCAUCUUAAUUAAAUAGUCCAAUAUUCUAGCAAUGACUUUUUGUGUUGUUUUAUUCAAUAUCACUGUACUAUCAUUUAUGUGUGUUCAAUCAAUUACAGUACCUUUUUCACACCCCCUUUCUGGGAACCUUGUACAGAUUAUGGAGGAAAAGAAGGUAAAUUUUCGGAUAAAUAACUGUUGAUAAUGAACCAUGAAGCCUCGUUCUUGGACUGACUCUUUCAUGUGUGUUAAAGUAGGGUUGUAAUCGAACCGAGCAGCUCGCGAGCAACUUGAUCAAAAGCUUGACUCGAACUCGAUCAAAUUGAGUUCGAGUCGAGCUCGAGCAGCUCGAUAAGGCUAUCGAGUCGAGCUCGAGCAUCCAGAAGAGAUGCUCGGAGGCUCGACGAGCCUUAUCGAGCAUAUUAAUUUUAAUUAUUUAAUAUAUUAUUAUUAAAAUUAUAUAUUAUUUAAUAUAUAAAAUUACCAUUAUGCCCAAAAAAAUUGUCGAAUUUACGAAAUGUUUCAAAUUAUAUAAAAAUUUUAAAAGAGCAAUAAUGACUUUUCACUCAAAAUUUAUCAAGAAAAUGAAAUUUAAUAACUCGAGCUUGAUAGAGCUCAAUAAGGCUCGAAUGCUCGAAUGGACUCGAGCCCAUGCGAGUCGAGCUCGAGUACUGAGAGCAAGUUUCGAGCUCGAGCUCGAGCUGCAAUAAUACUACUCGCUCGAGCUCGAGCUCGAGUUCGAGCACCCCUAUCUCUAUGUCGAGUCGAGCUCGAGUAUGGCGAUACUCGGGCUCGACUUGACUCGAUUACAACCCUAUGUUGAAGGCUAUCAUCGAUAUCAGGGUCAUUUACCCCACAAGGAUGUACGCGGAAGAAUGGCAUUUACAGCAAAAUGGGAGAAAAUUCUCCCAGCAGCCCUUGAAAGCUUUCAAUCCGUUCGAGCUGAAACAAAUGAACAGUAAGUAUUAAGGCUGAAAUCUGAGCGAUUUGAUUUGUUUGAAGAAUCAUAAACUCAAAGGAAAGAAUUGAAAAUGAUCCUAUUCCAAUGUGCACAAGGAUCCUCUUAUUUGAGCUUGACAUGCCCCAAAAUUGUAAAAAAAUUUUAAAUCAAUGAUAGUUUAUCUAGAACACCUAAAACAAAACUUCUAAUACUGGAUUAAAUGUCAGAGGUGACAUAAAAGAAAUGAAUUCGUCCUACAGUAAAGGAUCUGUUUGAUCAAAUGACAAAGAUAUCAUCAUCUAAUUAAUAGCAAUGAAGUAUAGAAUUUGAAGUCCAAACAAGGUCGGUUUGACUUCCUGAAUUCGGAUUUUCAGUACUUUUGUGGUAACUAUAGAGAUAAAUAAAAAUGAGAUAAAACGAGGUUAGGAGAAAACCAUAAUACGCAAGUCGUUCUUGUGGGGGAAAAAUAGUGGUCAGAUAUUAGGGAGGUAAGUUUAGGCGCCAACUUUUGUUAGUUCCAAUCGGAUUUUACUCAAUACAAUAACAUACGACUCGGUAGUUAAUUUUGGGAAAUGAGGAAAAAUGGGGCGACUUUGAAAAUGAGGGCCCUUUCUUUCUUUUCCUGGUUCAGGGCCGUCUUACUUCGUUGGGCCGACGGAAAAGAUUUCAGACAUUACCUACCACCGAGGAAAUACUGCCCAUCAAAUCUUCCUUCUAUUGUUCUUUAGUGCAACGGCGAUCGAAUGAUGCCGUAUGGGUUACGGUCUUAGCAGUUGCUAAGAUUGAUAAGAAAACAAUUGAACUCAAGAAGCAAGUAUGAUACCAUACAAUGUGAAUGCAAAAGGCAACAUUAACUCCCCAUUUUUGAGUUCCACUUUUGCAACUCGAAUGUCAAUGCAAAACUACGUAUUCCAGUCCAAAUUUACCAUAAACACACACCAUUGGAAAUGAAAAUUUCAGUUUAAAAUAAAAAGAUAUUUGAUAGGCCAAAAACUUGUUCAAUAAUUGAAAGAAACGAGGUGAACUUAGGAUAUUUUCGAGCCGGAUAUGGGUACAGCAAUUUCUAGUCCCUACCUUGAUCAUGGGGUCUGUUUGUAUGGUGUAUUUUUUUGGUGUUUAUAUAAAAUUUUACUAUAAUCUAUUAUAAAAAUUGUAGAAAAUUUUUUGUAUAUAUAAGAUUUGAGAAAAUUGAAAAAUUUCUCCUUUUUUUCCCUUUCUUUCCUCUUUUUUCUUCUUCUCCACUCUUAUUUUGACCUUCCUCCUCUCUCUCCACUAUCACCACGCCGGUCGCCAUCUCUCCCUCUCUCUCCUCCACCCUCUUUCCCAUCCUCUCCUCUCCCUCCUAUUUCCUUCUUCUCAUCUCCUUUCAUCCUGCCCCCAUCCAUAUUUAUUUUAGGGUGUGUAUUUUAAAAUUUUGGGAUAUUUAUAAGGGGCUCCUAUAGACAAAAUCAUUAAAAAAAAAAAAAACUUGCAUGUUAAAAACUCUUUAAAAAACACCCUUCUCAAGCACACAUAAGAGUUGAGAUUAUUCUUCUUCUGCUUCCUUUUUUUUUUUUUGAUGAUAUACUUCUUGUUUAUCUUAUCAAAAUGGGUGGGAUAGCUAUUCUAAUGCCAAAUAUAUUCACGAUAUUUUAUACCUUUUCCAUGGCAUCCUUUGCGUUACUAGGUAUUUUCCAUGGCAUCUUUUGUAUUACGAGGUACAAGUGAUUUCUUGGGCAAAUUGAUAGUAUGCUUUAGAAUAAUUAUUAGCCAAAAAUAUUAAUUGCUUUUGAAAUGAAUGAUAUUAAUUUCUACUUAUUCAUUAUCUAUGUCAGUAAGAUGUUCAAUGCAUACAAUACAAGUUAUUUCUUGGAAAAAGAGUCUCAAUGGCCCUCCAACUCUUUCCCAGGUAAAGUUUUAGUCAUCCAAUAAUUAACAGUAACGUUUUGACCCUUGAUAUAAUAAAAUAGCAUAUUUGUGGUCCUUAUGUCAAAUUCAGCAGUUAAAAUUGACAGGAAGCAUUAUCUUGUGCGACGUGCGACCAAAUAUCAAGGGCAUUAUGGUCUCUUUUCCAAAGAACAAGUUCAGGAUGUCGUUGGGUCUUCUGGCGGCGGUAACGGUGAACUGAGCCGAAAACAAUAGGGCAAAGAACCUCUACAUCAUUUCGGUGAUGGGGAUCAAGGGUAGGCUCAACAAGCUCCCUUCUGCUAUCUGUCGUGGUCUUCGAGAGCAUGAGUGCCAAAACCGUCGUUGUCUGCAGCCUUGGGUCCUCCCCAAUUCCUCAAAAGAAGUAUUCAUUUUUCAAUUGGUUUUUCUUUGCCAUCAACAUGGGUGCACUCUUAGGUAUUACUCUUCUAGUUUAUGUGCAAGUGAAGAAGGGCUGGAGCUGGGGAUGUGCGGUUCCAACUGUGGCAAUGUUUUGCUCUAUCGUCAUCUUAGUCGCGGACUUCUCAAAAUAUCGUUACCAAAAGCCAAUAGGAAGUGCCUUUACUAGAUUUAUUCAAGUCAUUGUGGCUUCUGUGAGGAACCACUUUAAAGGGGUCAAAUUUGAACAAGGAGUUCGGCUUUAUGAGGUCCCGACUGAAAAUUCUGAUAUAUUUGGUGCUCGGAAGCUUCUUCACACUGAACAAUACAGGUUAGGUUUCAAUUAAGUUUUUUCUCCGGAUUACUCACCCGAGGGAUCAUCAAUUUCCUCAAAUCACAUAUCUCUUACUCAUAUGUCCUCCCCAAUUCCAACCCCAAGAGAGGAGCAAACCUUCCCGCCGCGUAGCCCACCUGGGAAAUUACCUCCUAAGCCUCCGCUGCCAGCCCCGGCGAUCAAUCGUUAUGUCGUAAGCGAGCCCUUCUUAGUGUCCAAGAUGGCAGAUUCAGGUAGGCAAGGAGGAAGGGGAUCAAGGGUAGGCUCUCCAACGCAGUAAAGGAGAUCAAGGAUAUGUUAUCACUAGGCCAAUUGGGAAGGAGGGUGUUGAUCUCUGGCCUUGGAUUGCUAGUGCUGCCACCACUAAAUACACUAAAUACUUCUUACAGGUAAUUAGCCUUUUUAUUUUUAUUUUUUUAAAUUGAGGUCUUUGGCAAAGAGCAGAGGGAGGUCUUCCCUUAGAGUCCUCACAGCCAAACUCAGGCUCACAAGGAAAUCAUCCCUGUAGUCAUGCUGCUUAUUAUCGUGAGGAGAAGCAAGAGCAACGGCAGCCGUGGCGGUGGCACAGGUGGUGGGGUGGUGGAGGGGUCGGUGGGGAAGAGGUGCUUGGUAAACCAUUAAGACUAUAAUACCCUUGAUAUUUGGUCGCGUGUCUUAUGAAAAGAUGUUUCCUAUUAAUUUUAAUUGUUAGAUUUGACAGAAGGACCACGAAUAUACUAUUUUAUUAGAUCGAGGGCCAAACCUUUAUUGUUAAUUAUUGAAGGGUUAAAACUUUAUCCGGAAAAGAGUUGGAGGAUCAUUGGACUCUUUUCCCUUAUUUCUUUCCGUUUCUCUCUUUUUAUCCGUACGGCCGGGUGGCAAGCAAAUAGACAGCUUAAUCUCCACGAGGCAAAAAAAAUUAAUCCUGGCAAAUCCUUCGUACGAUGGUAUAAUUACCUAUUGAAACUUUUGAACCAUGCCAUGUGAUACGUCGUACUAGUGCCCUUCUGCAGUAAAACGCAAUUGGAUUAUUAGACUACUUGUGCAGAACAACUAGCUCCUACAUUUCCUUUUAUUCAUUUUUUCAGAAAGCUACAACUAUCUACUCGUCCACUGUUGACAAUACCACAAUAGUAAUUUGAUUGUCGCGACUCACAAGUCACAAUCCAAUCCCACUAAACUUCUGAAUUUUGCCACACAUGCAACUCUUCUGAUUGAUUAUAAAGUAUAAAUUCAAUAUUUCAUUUGAAAAUGUGGUGUGGCAAUCAAAUUACUACAAUGGGACCAUCAGCUGCCAUAAUUAUCUUCGUUGAAAUGUAAUUCAAGUGUUAAUAUUUUAAAAUAUAAAAUUAAAUAAAAUAAAUUUAUAAAUGCAAUAUAAGAUAAUUAUUUUAUUUCUGUAUGCAUGCAUAUAAUAUGUUAGGUAUAAUUUAAGCGCCAGCUAGAAAAGUCCUUAAAAAUCACUCUUUUAUGACAUUUUUCAUUAAUUAACCGGAAGACUUUCAAACAUUAUUCCUAGACCGAGAUGAAUGGCAUGCAUGUGAAAGGUGCCUACCUGCAAAAAGAGCACAAGAAACAUCGCUAAUGAAUCCUAAUUGGCUAAUUCCUACGUCGUCUUCAAUUUUAAUCACGAUUUAAGCCAUAGCUCUUACCUAAUCACUGUUUAAUACGCACGUGCUAAACUUUGGCUCCACAAGUUGUCGUGAUUCCCGCUCAAUUAUUGCAAAAGAUAAUUUCCACAUCUUUUACCAUUUUUCACCCGACCUUUAGGGAUGGGUGCACAAAGUCAAGUCGUGCACGAUUGCAAGUUUCCACGUGAAAAAUGUCAGUGUCCUUGGAUCAAUCAGUGUGGGGCAUUGACCUCCAUCAGCUUCAAAAAUUAUAUAUUGGGUUAGCAAAAUUUUUUAAUUUUAUUAAGGGACAAUCUCAGAAACCUCCCUUGAGGUUUUCUGACAAUUUCACUGUCCUCUUCUAAAGGUUUAAAAUUUUCACUAAUAACCCUUAUCAGUCAUUUAGGAUCCAAUGCUUACAAUCACUAAUGACUAAAGGACUCAACUAUCCUUAUAAUUUAGAAUAAUUAGACAUACAUGUGAAGGAAAAGAGUUAAACAUUUGCUAGCUACAUUAACCAUAAUUUGGAUUGUAAAAGGUUAAUUAAUUUGCUAUCUAAAAAUAAAGCCAAUAUUAGGUGUUUCUUUUUUAAUUCUUAUAUGCUUGACAAAUAAAAGAAAUCGAAUGUAAUGCAUUUGAUAAUUUUGAAGGAUUUAGACAUAAGAAACAAUUAAGACAUUUACAAACUAAAUUAACCAUAAUUUGAAAUGUUAAAAAGAAAAUCUAAUUUGGCAUCUAAAAAAAGAAUCCAAUACUAGGCAUCCUUUUUCCAAUUUAUGUAAUAAAUAAAAGAAAUCAAAUAUAAAGAGAUUUCAGUUGGGUGAAUUUUUCUUAUAAUUGUAGUGAAAGCAAGAAUCUUAAGGUAUGGAAAAAAUUGUUUUGUUAAAUUUUGAAAGUUAUUAUUUUUUAUUAUGGAAAAAUUUUUUUAUUGACCAUGUGUAGUAAUGGUCCCAUAAGUAAAUUAACACGUUAGAUCAAAUAUUUAAUCUAACUAAUAUAAUAGUUGAGAGGACUUUUGGUAUAAAUAAAUCUUUUCACACCUAAAAUCAUAUUUUUAUUGUUGUUUUUUUUUUAAUUGGACUAGAUUGUUACAAGAAAAUUGGUUUCAAGGAAUGUCAGUGAUAUUUUAGAACCUUAAGGAAAGACAGUGAAAUUGUCAAAAACCUUAGGAGAGGUUUCUAAAAUUAUCCCUUUAGUAAUUUUUCCUACAUUUGUGCCCUUUUAAAUUUUUUUAAUAAUCCCUUUACCUUUUUAAAUUUAUUCCUUCUAAAUCUUCUCAAAUUCUUUCAUUCUUUACAUUAUCCUAUCAGAAAUUUGGAAAAUUUAAAGACAAUAGAGUGAGUCUAAUUUUUUUCUACAAAAAGGAAGAGAAAAAAAAUUCUAACUUAACUUUCGUAACAAUUCAAAAUUUUGUGGUUUGCAUUUGUGAGUUACAUGCACUUAUCUAAGUCGUUAUCUCCAGUUCAAAUUCUAGUAUCCCCUUAUCAAUAAAAGAAAACCUUGAAAUUUUUUUUUUCUGUCCUACUGAUAUAACUUGUCUACUUAUUAUUCAUGCGAAGAAUGGUGCUACUUAUUAAUGCUUAAUUGUCUGAUCAACAAAAAACUUGAAAUCUUUUUUUUUUUCUUAUACUACUGAUAUAAUUUGUUCAAUUAGUCCCAUGAAUUUCUUUUUUUUUUUAAAUCUAUUGAUAUAAGUUGUAGAGUUAUUUCCCAUCGAGGGAAGGUGUAACUUAUUAAUGCUUAUUUGAUUUCAAGCACUAGUUGGUGUUUUUUGAAGUAAUAUCAUAAAUUCUUGAAUCUAGUAUAGGAUUCAAGGAACUAAUUUAAGGGUGGAGAGAUUAUCAGUAGAGUUUGAUCAGAACUCUUUUUUUUUUUUUUUUUUUACUCUGCUGCACCAUUGGUUGAUAGAUUAUUAAUAAUUAUUGUUGACGAAUUAACCUCUGGCUCCUGCCCUUUAACUAGCGUGUUAUUGCUACCGAUCUAGCAUGCGUAGCUCAACCAUCCUCAUCUAAAUAGAUAUAGGAAACCACAUUUUGGCCACCAAAAUUCGUAAUCUCUAUGGAUGAGAUAUAAGAUGUCUGUGGGAUGCUAAUUUAGGAUGGCAUUGAAUACCCUCAUCGGGUUUUACUACCUAAUUCUUUUUUUUCUCGUUUACAAAUAAGUAUUUAAUAAAUUCACCGAACUAGAUGGUAUCAUCAUGCUACAAAUAAUAAGGGGGAAUUAUUGAUGCGUCGUCCGGACAACAAUUAUGAGACUUUUGCACAGCUUUGUCGACCAAUUGUUUGUCAUUUUCUGUCACGGCAUCACGGGUCUGUGAAUGUGGUUGUUCCACUAUUCUGCAGCUCAACUUGCAUAAUUGUACGGAGUAGCAUUAAUUUUGAUUCAGCGACAAUUGGGGAAAAAAAAAUAGUUUCGGGACAGUCUCAAAAGAAAACAAAAAUAACAAUUAGAUUUCUUAAUAAUGAUAACUAGCCAAUUGGAAAGAAAAAGUACUUUUUACUUGACAGCUUGUCAGACUGAAAAAGUAACGCAUACCGUACGAAGUAAUCAUCUUUUCAAGAAAAAUUGCAAAUGUUUUUUGAUUGCCUAACUUUUUUCUUUCGUUAGCGUUGAGAGCAAAUGACAGCUCAUUUGAGCUACAUACAAAUUCACCUACUCGCGAAUAGUUCCGGUCAAAUUUCAAUUUGAACUUGUUUAACACUAAUUUCAAUUUAAAUUCAAACUGAUCAAAUCGAGUUUGAACUCAAAUUUUGCUAACUCACGAGUUGAUUCGAUUAUAUAUAUAUAUAGUGAAAUUACAUAUAUCUUAUAAUAUGUUCAAAAAAAUUACUAUUUUAUUUAUUUUUUAAAAAUAAAAUAUAUAUAUUUUUUAAAUUCUAGUUCGAGCUUGACUUGGCUCGAAUUUGAGUUUAAACUUUAAAUUGAGAGUUCGUCAAGCUCGAAAUCAAGUUUAAAUUUGGUACAAUUACGUCGAGACUCAAUUUAAUUAGAUCAAAAUUUGAUUCAAUUCAACUCAUUUGCAGUCCCAAAACUCGUGUUAUGGAAUUUUCCUCGGAAUUUUCCUCUUGAGGCCCUUAAGGUAUGUACAAUAAAUAGUAAGCUAAAUGAAGAGAUGACCUUUUGCCCUCUCCCCUUCCCAACCCAAAAAAAGAAAAAGAAAAAAACUAAUUACAUUCAUGAUAUUCAUCCAGUGAUAAGAACUUUCAUCAUAGAAUUGACAAAAUCAAUAAAAUAUUUCUUUUUCCUAGAACUUUUACAGUUUCUGGAAGCGAACAAUAAUAAUUGCCUAAUUUUGGUUGACUUAGGAGGAAGAUAUAUAUGAUCUCUCUAAUAAUUCUCAACCAAAUAUAUCCUCGGACUCCAACCUACUUGAAAGGUGAACGUGACAGCUAUUCUUUCUUGCUGAAUAACUACGUGGAAGAGAAGAAUAAAAUUCAACUGUAGUUGUGGUGCCUGAGAAAAAGAAGACGCACAAGCAAAAUAUACUUUAUUCAAGAGAGCCCCUAUGGACCAAAAACGAAAAUGACAAAAAUCUGUAGUAGCCCGUAACUGGAAUACCACUAUAAGAAAAGAUGGAAUUAGUGGCACUAUACAAGAUUUUAGUGGCAUUUUGUUAGAAAAAAGGUGUCAUGGCUCUACUUGAGAAAUGUGUUGGCUCAGCGGUACUUUUUCUCACAGUGCCAUCAAAUAUAUAUUUAGGUCACAAUUUAGUUUACAUUUUAUUGAAAAAUGUCAUUGGAACACAAGUUUUACUAGAAUUUAAGGAAUCAACUCAUAAAAACUAAAAUGAAAUAGAAUAUAAACAAAAAUUAUCUUUCUAAUGAAUAAGAUAUGAUGGUUCCUUAAAUUACUCCAUUAUUUCGAUCGUAAGUAUUAAAGGAGGUCUUAAUUAUUAAAACUCGUUGAAAUCUCUCCUCCUUUCAACAUUCUUCAAAAACCCUACCAUCCCAUCCUCUCUUGUGUCAAAGUAAGUUUGUAAAGAAUUAAUUUCAAUUUUCUUGUGAUCUGGAUUUACUCUCGUGAUGGAUAGUGUUGCGGCCCUUAAUUUAUAGGACAGAGAAUUUUCUGGGAAGGAUAGGAGAGUUGUUUGCCACGCGAAAACAUUGGCACAGUUCUCAAGGAGCCUUUAAAAGUUAACCAAUGAGGUACAACUCUUUAUCCACUUUUCAUGUCACUUUUAGCUGGUUUAAAAGAUCAGCUGUGGUCAAAUUUUCAUCUUGCGAUGAGAAAAACUCAUCUUUAAUUAAGAACCUGUUGAGAUUACUCUAAGUUGCCCAAGUGGAUGGUUUUGCCAUUUGUGAAAAUAACAAGACUCUAUGGUUUCAUUUAAUUUACUCUGCGCAUGUAUUCUAUGUAGUUUUUGACUUGCUCCUUUGCCAUGUCCAAUUCUAAAGUAAGAGGUAAUAUGUCUACUUUAUAUAUAUUUUUUAAGAUACGUACAGGCCACAAUGCAACUGAAGGAUUAACAAAGGAUGACGCCACUGGGAAAAAAACUACUUAAAAUAACAAAGAGAUAAACUUAUUUAGUCAUUAGCUUAAAAGAUUUGUUUUUAGACAUGGUUCGUUCACCAAAAUGUAUUAAAUUUGUAAGAAAUAUCGAUGUGUUUGUUAUUUCAUUUCUGACUUUAUUUAAUAGUCAUUUGUGAAUUCUUUUUAUUUGUAGCAUUUUUGCAAUAUUAUAAUUAAUUGCAUAGAUGAACAUGAUCAAUUGGUUUGUUAAUAUUCAAAUUACUUUUUUAAUGCGAUUAAUUUUUUUAGUGGCAUUUGAAAGUGUUAGAAUAGCUUUAUAUAGUGGCAUUUGAAGUGCGAUGGCAACUCAACGCAUGCCGCUUGCAAUUGCCAUUAAAAUUUCAUAAAGUGGCAUCUUCCCAUACCAUGUAGUAUUAUUUUGGAACCAAUGGCCCUUUGGAUUGUUAGUCAACACUAAAGACGCUAAAUCUUGGUAAGGUAAGAGAUCAUGGGUUCAAAUUUUGUCUCCCAUCAAUAUGUUAUUAUAUGUGAUUUUUUUAAAUUCAUACGAUCUGAUGAUGGAUCAGUUUCCAUUGGUUUCUCUAGAUUCCGUUGGAUCUCUCCCCCUAGUAUAGAUUAAAAUAGGAAUAAACUAGACUAAUUAUUGUCGUCUGAUAAAAAAAAAAAAUGUAGUAUUAUUUUGUGCCACUUUUCAAGUGCCACUGGACAGUAGUCGCCAACAAGAAAAUGUCACUAAAUAAAAAUAUAUAUAUCACUAACGUAUGCAUAAAUUGCCAUUUUUUAAUGUCAUUAGAAAAGAAUUUUCUUCUAGUGUACAAAUAGUAGUGAAAUAAGAAUCUUAGGGAAAUUAUUUGAAUUAUUUUCAUUUUAUUCCCAAAGUUACUUUCCCCAAGUUUCUGAAAAUUUUGGAUUGUGAUCUUUUGGACAUAUAUUUUUACAUUUUUUAUGAAUGUUCUUUCUAUAUAAUUUAUAAUUUUUUUUGUAACCUUACAUACAUCACAUCCUUAAAAAAUGUUAUUAUAAUUUUUUUCCAAAAAUUCUCCAAAAAUUGCAAUCCAAAUGGGGUCUAAUGAUUUCAAUGAAUCAUACAAUAUCAGGGUACAUCCAGACAUUGUCAAAUUGUGGGAUGAAUUUUACAAGCAUUAUUGAAAUGACACUAAUGAUCACUUUACUUGUGGUCCUUGAAUCUUAACCCAAUUAUUCAAAAUCUACAAUAGACAAUUGAAAAGGUGUCUGUGGGCCAUCAUAUCGCGCCAACUGAUCCACGUAUGUGCAUGCAUUUGUCCAAUCAAUGGAUAUCUUUAGAUAACUUUUUUUCCAUUAAACCCUCGGCUAGCCCCACGUGGUUUAGGUAACUUGUUUUAGAAAUUUUUUUUUUAAAAUAUCAAUUACGAAAACACUUUAAAACAAUCACACAAUUUGAAAAAUAUACAAGAAAACAUGAAAUAGGCACUGAUGGUGGGAGUAGGUACUGGUGGUAGGUGGAGUUUGCCGUGGUCUGUGAUGGGUGGUGGCCUGGUGGGGGAGGGGAAAAUAUUAAUUUUGAAUUAAUAUUAAUAUUUUUUAAAAAUAAACAUAGUAAAAUUUUAAAUAAACACUUUCAUUUGGAUUGGUCUACUUUUUAAAAACUAAUUUUUCAAAUACAAUGUUACAGUAAUACAAAAACAAAAACAAUUCAAAAAAAUUUCAUUCAUACAAUAAAUCAAAAACAACUCACAAAUAUACACAAAAAAUUUUAAAAAAUUUUACAAUAUUUUCCACUAUUCACUACCACUCGCCACCGCCACCACUGCCACCACUACCACCCUCUUCCUCCUCUCCUCGACCAGAUCCAGGGGAGGAGGGGAAGAUUGAAGGGUGGGGGGGGGAAAGGGAGGGGAGGAGGAAAAGGAAAGAGAAAGAGUGGUGACGGUUGUGGUUGUAGGUGAUAGUAUUAAUUUUUAAAAAAUAUUUUAAAAAUAUUUUAAAUUUAAAAAGUACUUCAAAUUAUAUUUCAAAAACUCCUCCAAAAAAUCACAAAAAAAAUUUUAUAGUAAAAAUUUUUCAGACACACUACUAUAGUAAAAUAUUUCAAAAAAAUUCCAAAAAAUAACUUAUCCAAACGAACCUAUAAUAUCCAAGCAGACCGUCAUUGAACAAGUUCUGCUUUUUUAUUCGCUGCAUUUAUGCUCAAUUAAAAGAUUGCACUGAAAUAUCAAAACUAUAUUAUCUAUUUUCCUUUUCUUCUCAAAGGUAUUGAAAAAAGUUUUUUAACUUAAUACUUUGAACGAAAUAUCAUAUUAUAUCAGAAUAAUCCAAACAAUACAAAAUUGGCUAAUUGAAUUUUUUUAUUAUUACUCAAACAACUAUAAUUACUUUGCUUGUGGUCCUUUAUUCUCCAACAACAUAUUAAAAAACAUACGCUCCAUUUGGAUUAAUUAUUUUUGAGAGUGUUUUUGAAAUAUUUUAUUAUAGCAUUGUAUAUGAAAAACUUUUAUUAUAAAUAUUUUUUGAAAUAUUUAAUAUAUUGUAUGAAUGAAAUAUUUUUUGAGUUAUUUUUGUUUGUAUAUUACUAUAAUAUUGUAUUUAAAAUAUUUUGUUUUUGUAAACACCACACGAACUUAUCCAUGCAUUUGUAGAGUUCUGCUGUCCAGUCUCAGCAUUUAUCCAUUUAUACAUUAUCGAAAGAUUUCUUUCUGCUCUCCACUAUCCACAUUAAUUAGACUAUCAUUCUCGAAUGGGUUUGGACAGGUGCGUUUUAGGUUUCUAUGCAAAUUUUUUUUUUUUGUCUCUCCUAGAAUUUAAUCUAAUCUAAUCGAGGGGAGGAGGGGGAGGGGGACUCGAUGUGACUCUAUCGAACAUGACCAAUUAAGAUCGUCAUAAAUUGUAACAACUUUUUGGGUGAGAGACAAGGAUCGAACCCUUAAUCUCCCGCACCACCAAUACUUUUAAAGGCUUCUAUGCAAUUAUUUGAUUGUGUAUAUUUUACACAAUCUGGCAUACACUAAUAUUAUUAAUUUAAUAUAUGAAUAAAACUACAUUGAUAAACAUACACCAACAUCUAAAAAAAAACAGAAAAAUGAUAUUAACACUUCCAAAAAAGUUUCUAACACUCCAUCCUCCCUUUAAAACAUAUAGAGACGAUGUAUUGCAGGAAGAGCACAAAAAAGGGACGGGAUGGAGGAUAGAAUGCUCGGGACUCUCUUUUUUUUUUUUUUUUUUUUUUUUUUUAAAGUGCCAAUAAAAUCUCCCAAAAAGUAUCAAACCUCAAUUGUACAUUUGUACUUGCUCCAAUUCCCUUCAAAUUGUGUAGAAUGUUAUUGAUCCUAUCCUAUUGAAUUAAUGCAGCAGUCAUCGUAGACUUUGCGACUGACCUUGCAUCCUUCUUCAAUUACACCCACCAAAGAACACCAAUAACCAACCUAGAAAAAAAAAAAAAGAAGAAAAACACCACUAGCCACAAGCACGUGUUUAACGCUGUACUUCUAUUUAGCAAGAAGAAAAAUAAAAACGUCAGUGACACGGGGUCGCCAAUUGCUUCAGUAUAAGAGUAGGAGCUUCCCUCAGCUUCUUCGCUACAACAAUCCCCCUAAAGAAAACUAGCCAAUGGCAUCUCUUUCAACUCCCCUUCAAAGCUCCACUGCCUACUCCUCCUCCUCUACUCUGUCCUCCUGCCCUUUCUCUACGAAGCCAUCACAGUUUUACCUCAGUGCCAAACGUAACUAUCACCAGUUCACGGUUUCAUGCAAAAACAAUGAAAGCCAUGAACAAGUUAACAAUCUUGAUAGGAGGGAUGUGCUUUUGGGCUUGGGUGGCCUUUAUGGCGCCUCAAACCUCAUCAUCAACCCUUUUGCCAUGGCAGCUCCUAUAGCUGCCCCAGAAAUCGCCAAAUGCGGUCCACCGGCGGACUUACCUUCAGGAGCAGUUGUCACUGACAAUUGCUGUCCGCCGGUGCCCGGCAAAGUCAUUGACUACAAACUCCCUCCACCACCUAAGGUGAACCGUUUUAGGCCAGCUGCUCAUUUGGUCAAGAAAGA
RNAcentral lists this long non-coding RNA (425606 nucleotides) under Coffea arabica (coffee). Its description in RNAcentral is "long non-coding RNA (CARA_LNC003893)". Lineage: Eukaryota; Viridiplantae; Streptophyta; Magnoliopsida; Gentianales; Rubiaceae. The record is from RNAcentral.